UCCAACUUGGUAACGAUAAUCCUUCAUAGUAAUUUAUGUCCAAGCACUUGAGAUUUGAGUGAGGUUGAAGCUCUUCGAGUACUUGCUCAUCAUGAAUAGUUGGGGGCUCAGUAAAUCCAUCAUUGCUUUCCCAUGACAAACAUAAUUCAUGAAUGUCUGUUUUACCCAUCAAAUUAGCCGCUUCAGCUUCAGAUAAACUGCCCACAUCUUUUAAGCCUUUGAUACUCAGCUUUCCACCAAGGUUUAGAUCACAUAACUCUGUCAAGCUAUUCCCUUUCUCUAAACUAACAAUGUACAUGCUUAAUGUUCUUAGACAAGAUAAUUUGCCAAUGUUAGGAAACAUGAGAGACAAAGAUCGACAUCCUUUAAUGACUAUAUGUCUAAGAUUUUGUAAGCAAGCCAAGUGUUUCGGGAGACAACUCAGUUCACCGCAGUCUUUUAUUUUCAAUAUUUCCAGUUUUUGUAAGUUGUAAAUUGAGUCCGGCAACAUUUUUAUGUCAAGAGAACGAAGUUCCAAAUACCUUAAAUGAAUUAAACUUUCUAGUGAUAAUACAUGGGAUAUGCAUAAAACCCGAAGAGAGCGGUUUAAUGGGAAGUGAUCAUAUUUUUUUGCAAAAAAAUUAGGAUUCUUCAAGUUAAACAACAAUGUUCGCAAGGAUUCAACUUUUUUAAAGGCACCCUCAUCGAAUGAUAACAAAUUAUCGGAGUUAAAACUUAUGUGGUGUGUGCUUUUUGUCAAACUAGUCAUGUUUGCAUUCUCCAAAUACACACAUUCUUGCCCCAUUACUGAUUGAGCGAGAUCAUGGACAAGAUCAUGCAUCUUGAAAAAAAUGUCUCCAGAGUAUUCAUCCAUCUUGAUAUCUUGAAAGAAUGACUUUUGGUACAAUUCCUUCCAAACCAUAUUUCCAACAUCUUCAACGUCCAAAUUACCCUUAGAUGAAAUAAAUCCAUUAGCCAUCCAAAGUUGAAUCAAUUCUUCUUUCAGGAUUUCUCCAUCCUUGGGAAAUAUAGCGCAAAAGGAGAAACAUUGUUUUAGGGUUGGUGUUAAAUAAAAGUAACUCAACCUCAAAGCAAGCAAAAUAGAAUUUUCUUGUGGUAAAGCCCAAAGCUCACUGUCUUUAAUAUCAAGCCAUUCCUUUUCUUCAUUCCUUGAGCUCAUCAAACCUCCCAAUGUUUUUGCUGCAAGAGGCAAUCCAUUACAUUUCUUUACAAUCUCCUUUCCUAUUUCCACAAGCUUUGUAUGCUCUUCUCUGAAAUAUCCAAAUGCAUAUUCUUUGAACAACAACCAACAUUCACUAUCAGAGAGACCAUACAAAGAGUGAGCUUGGCAUGUUCCCAUGAUUGUUGCAACAAAUUUAUCACGAGUGGACACUAAAAUGGAACUACCUUUUGAUCCACACGACAACACAGACUUCAAAUGAUUCCAUUUAUCUUGUGUUAACCCAUAUUCCAAUUGUUGAUUUUGAUUCCACACAUCAUCCAAAACCAGCAAAUAUAUUUUACCUUGCAACAAUUCUUGCACCCUUCUUUCCAAUACAUCUAAAUCAAAGUCAGCAGACUUCUCUCUUGUGAUAGAUUCUACAAUAGAACACAAAAUUCUCUUGACUGAGAAAGUUUCAGAAACGCAAACCCAAAUUUUUUUAUCAAAAUUGCCACUCACCCUAACAUCAUUGUAGACCAAUUGAAGAAGAGUUGUUUUUCCAACACCACCUAAACCAAAAAUGGGAUAGACGGAAAGGAAGUCUGAGUCCCUCGUUUGGGUGAGAAGAAACUCAACAAUCUUUUCUUUAUCAUCUUCUCGUCCAAACACUUUUGGUUCAGCAAUAAUGGAGCUGGUUUGACGCCAUUCAGCUACUUCAUUUGAGCUUUCCUUAACAAUAGUACCCUCCCGUAGAAAAAACUUGUUCUUACUAUCAGCAAUAUCAUCCAAUUUCCUUGUAAUCUCUUUCAACCUGUUGCCGAUCUCAUGGCGAAACAUGAUGUUCUUUGGUUUGAAAGAGGUUAAUCCUCUAAGUUGACCAGACUUGAUUGAACACUCAUCAAGGAUAUCAUCGAGCACAUAAACAGCAUCUUUGAGUUGUUGUAGCCAUACCUUAAUAGAGUGGUCUGUGACUUGUUUCUUUUCAGCAUCUUCAAGAACAGCAUUGAUCAAAUCUAAGGUGGUUGAUAGUUUUUCAGCCUUUGACUUGAUUCUAGAAAUGGUUGAAAAUUCACUUUGUAGGAGAGACGUCAAAUUCUGAAACACAACUCCGAGUAAAGCGUCGGCCAUUUUUUGUGAAAACAAAGAGUUGAAAAUAUAAGUAAAUAAGAAAUUGGUUUAGAUUGAAAGAGUGUUGAAGUAAACAGAAGAACUUUGAGAAUAAAUGCAAUGGUAGUUGCAAGAAUGCAAGUGGUAUUCAAUAAUUGCGAGCAAACAUUCACGUAAACCACACAUUUAUGCAACUUGCAAGGUUCCAAUAUUGAUUGGGUGUUUUAGAACACGCAUUUUCUAUCACAAAUUUUCCCUCAAUUUUUUUUUUUCAAUCACAGAUUUAUUAUCGGGUCCAUUAUUGGUUUCGUUUCAUUUGUCUCUUGUUUUCACACUUGAACUACUUUAACCAAUAAGAUGUGGCCGACAUUUUAUUUAUUUAUUUAGUUGUUCCAUAUACAAUUUGGUCAUGCUCAUAGUUAUUUACUUUUGUGUACAAUUUGGGUCAUGCUAACUUGUAACUUAAUGAUACAUGUUAAACAACCUAAAAGUAUAAAAAAAAAAAAAAAAUCUUAAAUUUCGUACAUUCAAUUAAUUAAAAGAAAAAAAUUAAAUUAAAUGCAUUAAUUACAACAAAAUAUUUUUACAUUUGACUCAUUUACUUGUGUCUUAAGGGCAUAAGUUAACAUUUCACAAUAUGAUAAUUUGAAGCAUAGUUUCUUGUGUUCUCCUUGUACUCCCUCCGUAUGUCACCUUAGCAUAUUUUAUUUUAGCUAAAAUAUGAUUUUGGUCCUUGGAAAUAUGCCUCAUUUUGGUUUUAGUCCCUGUAAUUUUUGUUGUUGUUUUUGUCCAAAUAUGUCUCGUUUUGAUUUUGGUCUCUGACCUCACUUUUGUGAUGAUUUGCACACGCGGCACAUGACGACUGAACCCAUUUAUGAGAAAAAUAGUCCCUAAAAAAUCUUUUGAUUUUUAAAAAGAUCCCUGCAAAAUAUUUUGUUUUUGAAAAUAGUCCCUUAUUAUCUUUUUGCAUUAUUAUAUCCUUAUUUAUUAAAUGGAUUUUUCUAUCAUGUGUAAAUUUGCACAUGUUAAGAAGUUUUAAAUAAUUUAGUGUUGGAACUUGCACAUUUAAUAUUAAGAAUAAAACUUUUUAAUAGUUACUACUAUUAGUUGUUUUAACAUGUGCAAUGUUGCACAUGUUAGAGAAACCUUAAUUAAAUUGCAUUCAACUUAACUACUCCACUAACUACAAUUAAUAAGAGUAUUUUAGCAAGUGAUAUUAAUUUUAUCAUUGAAAUCAACGCAAUUUUAUUUCCUUAAUAAUCGUGCACAAAUCUUAAACGAUUACUCCCUCCGUCCCUAUUUCUAAGCACCUCUUGCAUCUUUAUCUUUAUUAUAUAUAUUUGCACUAUUUUUUUUUAAAAGUACACGUGUCAUUCUCUCUAUGCUAAUUGUCAUUAAAUGUCUUAAUUUGGCCAUAUGUCAUGGUAGUAUCAUUCAUUUGUUUGAUGGUUGAUUUUAUUGAGAAAGGAUUUUAAUUUGUGAAUUCUUAUAAAGAUGUAUAAGGGAUACAAAAUCGGUACAAUAAUUAUAUCAUUAAUUAAAAAUUAUCUUAUUUGGUAUCAUGCUUUCACAAUCUCUAGAGUUUUGCUCAAUUAUUGAUUUAAAUCAAAUUGUAACAAAAACUCAUUUUUGUGGUUGAAAAUUCUUAAUCAUCUCAUUAAAAAAUUAUCAUUCAAUGACAUUUUGACGUGUGUCAUUAUUGUGUAGUUGAACCAAUCAUAUUGCAUCGUUUUGUCUUUUUUGCAUCAUAUUACUUAUUUUUAUAUUGCUUUGCAUAAUAUUUCAUUUAUACUGUUUACCUAUAUAUACUCUGUUGUUAUUCAAUUGUCUCAUUCAUCUAUUCCUCCUCCCCCCAUCAAUCUAAAAAACGAGAUUAUAAUGGCAUCAAGAUCUGAUAACAUAUCUGAGAUCAGCCCUGUGAAGGAAUCAUGGAUCGUGGUUGUUCGGAUUGUCUGUGUUUUGUUUGUUUGUGAUGUCUCUAGAUAUUUUUAGGUUGUAAGCCAAUCAAGCAUUUUAGGAUUAGCCAAUUUUGUAUCAGAUUCUUUAUUUGUUCAUGAUGUCAUUUGCUUUUAUUAUUUUUCCUAUACAUAGUAUAUGUUUCUUUCAUCAUUUCCACUUGCACAUUUCUUUCAAAUAGUGUUGUCAAACUCCAAAAGAUUGUCAUGACACCAAGAUUUGAUAACAUCUAUGAAAUCAACUCGAUUAAAGAAUCAUGAAGCGAGUUGUUCGAAUAAUUCAUGUUUGGUUUGUUAAUAAUAUCAAUUGUGAUAGACACCCGUUCUAUCUAGAUAUGAUUCCCAUUGAUGCGCCUAUUUGUAUAUAAUGAAUGUAAAAAAAUGACAUUUUAAAUUAAUCUAAUUUUUGUAUAUAAUUUAUGCCAUUAUGAGUAACUUGGGUGGUGAUGUAAAUCGUGGAUUGUAUCGAACAAAAGAGAAUGAAUACAAACUCAAUUGUAUAAGUUUCCCAAGACUUUUUUUAUUUUCAUUUUAAUUUCAAUAUGGAUGAAUAAUAACUAUAUUGUGUUUGACAAAUUAUGUAUUUUAAAAUCUCUUCUUUGUCUUCUCCUGAUUUUAAUAAUAAAUUAUAAUUAUAUUGAUACAUUGAUACACGUAAACAUCACUAAUAUGUGCGUACACGUUACCAUCUAAAUAUAUUUUUCUUAUUCACUAUUGUCUAAUCAAAUAUCCACAUCGACACAUAUACAUCUUAAUCGUCUUAAUCUCUAUCUCUAUUAUAAACAUUUACUUUUUUUUUUUUUUUUAAAGUACACAUGACAUCUUCAUACUUCCCAUUUCAUUUAAUGUUUCUCCAUCAACCAAUGAAAAUGAAUCUUGACGUAUUCCUUUUCUAUUAUCCAAUCAAAAUGGAUCAUGACUCAUUUAUUUUUCAUGAGUCAAUCAAAAUUGAUCAUAACAUGAUUUUUUCACUAUAGCAAUUUGGUUUUUUUAUUAUUUUCAUCUACCUCUUCCUCCCAUAAAAAAUCACUGCUUUCAACGCCAUUCUAUUUUCUUUUAUUUGUUUAUUUUUUAUUGUUUUAUUGUUUAUUUAACAUUUCUUAUUGUUAUGUUCCAUUUUAUUGUGAUUUCUUAGGUUGAUGAUUCUUAUUCAUAUUUUCUUUUCAAUAUUAUUUUGGUGUUUAUAUUUUUUUUUCCGGAUAUUUAUUUUGGACAUGAAACCAAUCAAGAGAAAAGAAGAAAUGCAUCACAAAAAUUAGAAUUUAUACGAAGGAUUUCUAUCACCACGUUCAAAUAUAAUCACUUUCAUCCCCCUUUUGAUUUAUUUUAAUCCCUUAAUUCUCACAAUUUUUUCUAUCUAUCUAUUCUUUUUUGUUUAAUUUUUCUUAUGUUGUUAUUUUACUUUUAAAAUCUUUCUCUUUUAUAUUUUAUUUUGGUGAUUUUUUUUUUUGCUACUUUAUGCUUGAAAUGGAAACCAAUCGAUAUAUUAGAAGAAACGCAUCCAUUUUCAUAAAAUUGGUUGAAUCGAUAACUUUCAAGUGAAAAAGAUAAGAAAUACAUAAUAGAAAAUCGAUUUUAUGACACCUUUGAUUUUUUUUUUUUUAGUCAAAAUUAAAAGUUCCAUUUUCUUUAACUAAAAGGGAGCAAGGUGCUACCUUAAAAUUUUAAGUGCAUUUGCAAAAAAAAAAAAAAAAAAAAAAAACUUAACAAUCAUUUAUAUUUUAUUUCCUUCAUCCUAAUUAAACAUUUAAACAUUAGUUGGGAUGUCGGUGUGGCCUCCUGAUGUCUGUCUUUCUCCCUGCUUAGCAAAAAAAUAAAAUUAAACAUUUAAACGAGUUUAUACUAUUAUUAAAAUAAUAUCACAUUAAAUAUUAUUAAUUUAUUAUGAUUUUUAAAUGAAAAAAUAUUAAUUUUUUAUUCACGUCGUAUUUUUUUAUCCAUCAUUCAUUCUAUUAUUAAAACUAAUAAUAACAUAUGCUUUAAAACUGUAUUAAUAUUUUUAUUAAUUCCCAUAUUUAUAAGCGGAAAGUUGUAAAAGUCUUAAAAUGACAAAACUAAAUGAAUUUUUGAUUACUCAUUAAUCAUGUUUCAAUGACCCUUUAAUUUUCACUCAUGUUUCAAUGACAACCAUCAAAUUAUUAUCAAUGUUUUCAAUCAAAUGGACUCAUGUACCCUUUGUCUUAAUUUUUGACCAAUUAGAUUUAACUAAAUCAUCAAAGGUUUCAAUCAUACACGUAUUUGUUAACAAACAAAAUGUAUGCUUUUCCGUUCAACUUUCAACCAUAACAUAGCAUGUUGACGUGACAUUUUUUCUUUUAUUUCAAUGUCUUUAUUGGUUUCCUUUGAUUGUGUUUUUUCUAUGAUGCUAUAGGUUCUUGGUACAAACUCGAAGGAAGAAGAAAAAUUUAAUUUUGUUUAUGGAAACAAAACAAAUUAAUCUAACAACUAAUUACUAACAUUUGACAUUAAAAAAGCAUUUCUUUUCUAUUCAAUUCAGUGAUAGUCUUUGUCCCAUAGUUUUUUUUAUCAUCAUCUUGAAUUUCAUUUGAAAAUAUUAUAGCAUUUAAUCAAACGAUCUUUGUUCAUGUAUAUGACCAAAUACGCUAAAAUUAAUUUGUGAUAAAAUAUUUCUAAGAAUACAACAAUGCCUUAAAUUUUUGUAAAAAAAAAUGCCUUAAUUUUGUUACUAAAGCCUUAAAUAUUAUAUUAUAUACAUUGAAUUUUUUCGGCUUAUUAUAGAAGUUUCUUAUUCAUAGCAAUUUACAAAUUCUUUGUCUUUGACGAAUUGGUACCAAAAAAAUAUUAAGCAAAUUUGUUGUUAAUUUUUUAAAAAUUUACUUUGAAAUUAAACCAAGAACUGAUUCCCAUUUUUAUUAAUAUGGAAUUUAUAUUUAUAUUGUUAAUAUAUUUCAAGCACUGACCUUUAACCACAUAUAUAUGAGUAAUACCGUUAUUUGAUAGAGAUUAAAUUUAAAUUACAAAUAUUUGUGAAGUAAUUAAUUUUUUACCUAUCGAAAUAGGAAUUUUUUUCUUUGUAAAAAAAUUAUAAUAAUUUAACUUGACACAAAUCUAAAUUCCAUAAACUCCAAAAAGUAUAACAAUUUAUACUACCAAUAAAAUUAAUGAAAUGAUCUUUCUAAACCUCUAAAAAGGUAGUUUUAUGCAAAGAGAAAUGUUAGCAACACACAUAUAAAUUUAAACACACGUUUCAACGUCCUCAUUUGAAUAAAAGUUGGAAAUUAAUAUAUCUUAAUGUUUAAUUAACAAUAAAAAAUAGCUCCAAAAAAAGCGCACCAUAUAAGUAUGUUCCUUUUUUUUUUACUCAUAUAAAAAUAUUCUCUUUUCCACUAAAAAAACAUAUUCAUUUUUUUUUAAUAAUUUUAUUUAGGUGAGUUGGAUCCAAAGAGAAAGCCCCUAGGAUAAAAAAAGAUAUUACAAAGGUAUUUAUGUAUUAUCCAUCUAGGAUGUCCUAACGAUGGUAUCGAGAGUUGUACUCACACUUUAAUAGGGGUAGGAGUCAAUUUAUUAUCAACUAAAUCAACAUAUAUCUACAAUAUAAGCACAUUCUCAAUCACACUAUAAAUAUUUUUCUUUAUCUUUAUAUUUAUAAUAUGAAUUAAAAACUCAAUAAAUGAAUAAUUAAAUGUUGGAUUAAAUGAAGAAAUAUUUACCACUAAAAUCAAUAAAUAAAAAGUUUUAAGUAUCACAAUCAUUUUCUUAAUUGCAAUUAUGCGCAUUCAACUACUAUUGAUUCAAUCAUUAAAAAUUUCAAUUAAUAAAUGCUAAAAAGUCAUAAUUAUUUAAUGAAAUAGUUUAAUUUUUUUUUUUUAUCAAUCAAAGAAAUGCAUUAAACAUGUAUGAAGGGGCCUGAUAUGAUAUGAAAUAAAUUAAACUAUCUGAUCCUAUCCUACGCAGGAUAUGAUAUGAUAGGAUAGACUCAUAAUUAUUUAAUGGAGUAGUUUAAUUUAACUAGAGUCCGUUUGAUGGCCAGUAUAGGGAGACAUGAUAUGAUACAUUAAUCAUAUUCUGCUUAAAUUUCAUGUUUGAUGCACCAAAGAGAUAGGAUAAAAUAAACCAUUUCCCUAUCAUAUCAUGACUUUCCUUUGUAAUUUAUAUCCUGAGUAUAGGCUAAGUUAGAAAUUAUCCUGAUGGGAUUAGAAGAUCAUUCCUUAUUUAUUAUCUUGAUAUUCUGCCAUUUUUAAAUAUUGUCAUUUUUAAAAUAGUUAUAGCAUGUAUUUUCUAUUAUAAUUAAUAACAUACCAUUUUUACAAUAUUUAAUUAAUUAUGAAAGCAAUUUUUUCAUUUAAUUAUAAUGAUAUCGUGUUUGUUAUCAUGUGCACAUCAAACACAUGAUAAGAUUAAUGUUUAUCAUGUCAUUAUCAUAUCUUAUCUCUAUCCAACUUUAUAUCAUAUCACGCCUUUGUCAUAUCCUGACCAUCAAACACACCUUUAACAGCAUGAGGAUAUUACAUCAAAAUUCUAAAUAAAGGCAAACUAGAGUUAUAUACAUAGUGAGCUUAUUUAUCAGACAAGAUAUAUCAAUACAUUGUUAAAAAAGCAUACACUCAGAAAGAAAAUUAUCUUCUGUUAAAAAAAAAAGAAAAGCAAACUAUCUUUUAAGGGAGAGAAAGCGAAGUUUAUAUUCUUAAUUGUUUUGAAUCUUUACACAAUCGUUCCAAUAUUGAAUGGUACAAAGUCAAAAUCAUAUUCAAAAUAAAAUCGAUUUUUUUUUAGGGAAGAUCAAUUUUAUUAUGUAAAUUAUUAUGCAUUGAACAUAAAAUUAAUGAGUAUGUAUGUUUUUCAAUAAAUUCAGUCGAAAAAAUAUUUUAAUAAAAAAAUUAUAUUUCAUCUAGCUAGAUAUGAUUUUUUUCCGUUAUUUUUAUUAUAUAGAAAAUAUUAAUAAUAAUUUAUUUUAUAUUUAUUGGCAAUAAAACUUCUUCACGCAGUUUCUGUGAGUAUAACUCAGUUAUUGGCAAUUUGAUCCCCUUAAAAAAAAUAUUAUAAUUUUUUGAUUUUUUAUUUACAAAAAUAAAUAUAUAAUUCAAUUUUUUAUAUUUUAAGAUAACAAAUUGGUACUUUUACUUCUUUUUUUGUCAUCUUCACCGAUCGAAACACAUGUCGACAUUGUUGAUACUAACCGAAAACAAAAGAGUAGUGAAGAACACAAAAGCUUGAAACUAGAUGCAGGAAACCGAAAUAAAAGGUUGUCUUGGUUUUAAAUUUCUUAACUCAUUCUCUGUUUUUACAAUAAACGGUUCAUUCAUUCUCUUUAUGUCUUAAUGUGUCAUUUUUCUUACUGCUAAAACGUUUGAUUUUUUACUUAUUUAACUUCUUCUUUUUUUAACGAGGGAUUAAUUUUUUCCCGUAAAAAUUCUUUUAAUGUAUGUUAGCACUUAACUAACACUUUUAACGCCACUUAGUUAAAUUAACAAUAUACGUGAAAUAUUCAACUAUGGAAAUUGAUUCAAUGACUAUGUUAUCUCUAUUUGAUUUUGUAAGACAAUUAAAUCAGUCUUUUUAUUUGCGUAUGACUAAUUUGAUCCCUACACAUUUUUGUCAGGGACCAAAAUAGAUCUUCAUUUUUACCAUUUAAUCUAAUACAAUUAAACUAUCAAAUUAAGGGGGUAAUUGAUUUGACUACUUGCUUCUUUUUGUUAUAAAUAUUGUUUUUAGUCUCAAUAUUUUCAUGCCAUUUUGGAAUUUAUAUGAAAACUUCGAAACUUCAAAAACUUCAAAAAAUAGGGCGCGUUAGGUGAUGUUUCCGGAUUACAUAAUCCGGAAACCCCCUAAACACCAUUUUUCAAGGUAAAACAGUUCGAAUUAUAUAAUCCGAACUGUAUCAGCACAAAUUCUAAACAUGUUUGUAACAUGGAUAGUCAUUUUAGGGACAAUAUUAAUCUUCCUAACUUUCAUCCUUCCGUUUUUGGGUCAUUAUUACCUGUUCUUAGUCAAAAAUCAAGUUUUCGGGCUACUUGAUGUGAUUGCUCCGAAACUUCCCUAGAAAAUCAGAAAUCCAAAAUUCAAUCGGUUAGACCCAUUUUUCAUUUUUUAAAAUUUUUCAUAUUCUAAGAAAAAUCCGAAAAAAUUUGCAUUAGUUUUAUUUGAUUUUUAGAAUUUUUUUGUGCUAUUUUUAUAUUUUUAUGAUUUUAUUUGACAGGUUUUAAGCAUUUUUUACUUAGUUUUUUUGUUGUUUUUAAAAGCAAAACUCAAAACUGUUAAAAUAUGAGAGAGUCUGAUGGCUGAUUAUACAUAAGAAUUGUCCGGAUUAUAUAAUUCGAAAUAGUAAACAUGAAUCCGGAUUUUAAAAUAUGGAAUGCACAAGGUCAUUUUUGGAAAAAUUACAGGGCGCGGGAGAAGGCCAUAAGGUGGGAAAAAUAAUAGUCAAUAGUUUAUCAUAAUAUUGGGAUAAUUCUAGGACUCCUGAGUGGGCAUAGACUGAGCUGGAUAAUCAUAUAUUAGGCUAAUAUCAACUAUACAAGUGAGAUUGACACCGCAUCUUCAGAUAAAACCUUACGGCAUUAGACAUAUGAGUCAUCUCACUUAUAUGUUUUUUCAAAAUAUACUCAUCCAUCCAAUGUAGAGUGGUAUCUCACACUUGACAACUCUUAAUCAAGUGUGCGACUAUUUGUGUAUGUAAUUAUCUGAUAUUGUCAAAUCAGGUUAAAUAGAGUCACAACAUGUUAAAUAGGUUAGUUUAAGUAGUUUCAUGAAUGGAGAUUUAAGUUCAUUUCUUUCAUGGGAAGAGAGAAAUGAAAAUAGAAGAAAAAGAAUGAAUAUGAAAAAGGAAUUUGAACAUGAGAGAAACGAUAAGGGAAAAUAUAUGUAAUGUGUUUUGACCAUGAGAGUAAAUGGAAUAUGCUGGGUUGUCGGUAAUUAUAUGAGUUUGUUGAAGGAUUUGAAGAUUUUUGGGUAACUACAUUACCAAAAUUUAGACUUAAUUAUAAAAAUAUCACAUCAUUUUAAAUGUAUAAUAAACAUGUAUUUUGUCAACUUAGCAUAACACAUUUUCAAAUAAUAAAGAUUGAAUAAAAAAAGAGCAUGAAAGAGAAUGAGAGAUCCAAAAACUAAAUUUCAAUAUAAGAAAAAAACAAAUGACAUUCAAACAUUAAUAAAAUUAUUCUUUAUAUUGUUGGGACCACAAAGGAUGUUUACACUAAGUUGAAUCAUCAUAUUAGGUUAAGAGCAAUCACACAAGUGAGAUCGACACUACAUAUUAACUUAAAAUGUGUAAUGGACAUGUAUUUUGUCAAUUCAGCAUAACAAAUCUACAAUUUUCUACUGUCAGAUCCCACCAAAGAUCAAAAGUUAAGUAAUUUAAAAUAAUAGAUGUUGAAUAAAAAAAUAGCAUCAAAACGAAUGACAUCCAAAAACUAAAAUUUAAAAAAUAAAUAAAUAAAAGAUAUUCAAAACUAACAAAACCACCCAUCAUAAUGUUUAGACUUCCGGGGGAGUCUAAACUGGGUUGUAUAAUCACAGUAGAGUAAAAUCAACCAUAAAAGUGAGAUUCACACCAUAGUUUUAUUCAAAAUCUAAAGGCAUUAGGUAUAUGGGUCAUUUCACUUAUAUUUUUCUCAUCAUCUACUUUUUUUAUCUAAUGUGAAGCUUUAAUUACAUAUGAGACAUUAGUAUCUCUCUCUGAAGUGUGCGACGACUCUGCAUCUGUAUGAUGGUGACAUGGUCAUAUAUAAGGUCAGAUUGAUGCAUAACAUGAUAAAAAAAAAGGCGGGUGUAUUUUAAAAAGAAAUUUUGACAUGAAAGAAAUGGUAAGGAAAAAAAUAAGGAGUGUGUAUUUUAACCAUGAGAGUAUAGGAAAUAGAGUGAGUUACUGGUAAUUUGUAGGUUUGUUGAAGAAUUUGGAGAUUUUGGGGUUUAUUUACCAAAAAAUUAGACUCAAUUAAAAAAUACACUUCAUUUUCAAAUUUCUACUAAGUAUAUAUUUUGUCAACUCAACAUAAUACAUCUUUUUUCCAUUUCAGAUUCCACCAAAGACAAAAGUCAAGGAAUUUGAAAUAGUGAAAGUUGAACAAAAAAAAAUGUAAGAGAGUGACAUCCAACAACUAAAAUUUAUGAUAAAGAAAAAUUAAACAAAUGACAUCCAAAAGCUGACAUAAAACUUCAUCCUAAUUUUGGAACCUUCGAGGGAUCAUAGUCUAAGUUUGAUCACCAUAUUAGACUAAGAAAAACCACACAUGUAUGACUAAUAUCAAAUCUUUAUCCUAAAUCUUAAGACAUCAGAUAUAUAUGUCAUCUCACUUAUAUGUUGUUUAAAGUUUACCAUAUAUCGCAUCCUAACAUAGAACUUUGACUCACACUAGACACACUAAUAUUUCUUAACCAAAUGGGCAACUAUUCGUGUUCGUAAUCACGUGACAUAGUAAAAUAAGGUCAAGCGGAGGAACACCAUGUUCCAGAAGGUUGGUUGGUGACUGUUUCAUGAAGAGAGUUUUAUAUUCCUUUCUUUUACGUGAAGACAAAAAGGAAAUCAGAAGGAAAAGUAACGGAUUUGAAAAAGGAAUUUGAACAUGAGAGAAGAUAAGGGAAAAAAUUGUGCGUUAUGUUCAUGAGAGUAUAGAGAGUAGUGUGAGUUAUCGGUGAUUUUAUGAGUUUGUUAAAGGAGUUUGAGAUUUUUGGGUAAUUAUUUUACUAAAAAAAUUGAGUCAGUUAAGAAAUGCCACAUAAUUUUAAAUGUCUAAUAAACAUGUAUUUUGUGAACUCAGCAUAACACAUAUGCAAUUUUCCAUUGCCACUUGCCGCCAAAGUCCAAAAGUUGAUGAAUUUAAAUUAAUAGAGGUUGAAUGAAAAAAAUUCAGAUGAAAAACAAUGACAUUUAAAAACUAAAUUUUAAGAUAAAAAAUGCAAACAAACGACAUCAAAAAAUUAAAAGACAAUUUAUUUGUGACUUUCGGGAGAUUCUGCAUCGAGUUUGAUAAUCACAUUAAACAAAGAGAACAAUACACGUGAGUUUAACAACACAUCUUCACCCCAAACCUUAUGAAAUUAGGUAUAUGAAUCAUAACACUUAUAUGUUACUCAACAUCAACUCUUACAUCCAAUGUGACUUUAACUCGCACUUGACACAUUAACAUUUCUUCCUCAUGUACGAGACUCUCUGCAUAUGAGAUCUACCACCAUAAACCAAUUCUGCUUCUCCACAGAGUCGAUCUGAGCUAUGAUACCAUUGUUGGGCCUUACGAGGGAGCCAACACUGGCAUGGAUUGACCCAUUGCACAAAGAACAACCAGACAAAUGAAAAUGAUAUCAAAUCUUUAAUUAAUAUUUUAAAUAUCACGAAAUUCUAGCCCGUGCUUGGCACGGGUUUCCAAGCUAGUUUUUCACAUUUCUUAAGAAAAGUUGUUAGUGCAAUUAAUAUGUCUUUUUUGUGUGUUAAUAUUACCAAGUUGUCCUUUGUUUGUAUGUGUAUUAAAUUUGACUUUUCAUAUUUCAAGACAAGUUAGUAGUAUUAAUUAGGGGUAUGUUUAGGAAAAAAAUUAUAAAUGCAUCUAGUAACUUGAAAAGAGGUUUACAUUUAGGAAAAAGAAUAAAGUCAAAUGGAGUAUUAUUUAGAGACGAAGAGAGUAAUAUAGUUUGAUGGGAAGAUGUAAAAUAAUUUUCAUUGAUUAUUAGUUAUUUAAAACAAUUUUCAUUAAAAAAAAAAGCCUUGAAUAUGUUUUUUAUCCUUAAAAAUAUUCUAAUCUUUUUGUUUUUAUCCCUCUAAUUUUUUUUUUCAAAGAUUAAUAAUGAAUGUUUUUUGUUCUGAUAGGUUUUGAUUGGUUCAACAAAAAGGAGAUGAAAGGAAAAGAAAUGGGAGGAAUUUCAAUUAUACACACAUACGAGCGUUCAAACAAGCGGUUUCCAUUUGUCUGUUUUUAUAUUGUGCUAAUGCGUGUAAAUUAUGAACAAUAGUUUUUAAGAAAUUGAUUUUGAUUACGCAUACAGACAAAUGAAAAUUAGAAAAAUAUCACUACAAAUCUGUGAGAAAGAACUAACAAAUGUUGUGAGCAACCCAAAUAUGCAAAACAAAAAAGUAAUUUAUAUUUGUUUUAGAAUUCAAUUUUGCUUUGCAAUUUCAAGAUUUAACAAUCACUAAAUAAUGUCUAUGUUAAAUAUUGUUUUCUACAUAUAUUAUUAAUGAAACUGAAUUUUUUUUUAAAAAGUUCUUGCACCAAUGGAGUUGAGUCUAAGAAACGGAGUUCGACCCUCACAACUUCGCGAAUCAAUGUUCAAACUAUGACGGAGAACGAUAUUCAUAUUCAGUAUCUGGCAUGUCUCAAAUCAAACUACACAUAUAUUAAUUUAGCUUCAAUUGAAUUGUAGCUUUAACAGUGGUAAUCUACUAGCUUGGUGGUGUAUGCUAAGAUACAAUUUAAACUCAAAGGAUCGCAAGUUUUGAUGAGGGCUGCAUUAUUAAAGAGUAAGGGGAUAAAACUGAAACUCAGAAGGAAAAAAAUUGUGAUUGCUUGUUUUACAAACUCAAAGUGAGAGAUUUUAUACGGGGUGUCAGUAUGAAAGGGUCCGGAAUUGAUUGAGUUUUUAAACGUAGAGCUUGUUCUAAUAGCAAUAUGAGGCAUGGUCUGGUACAGCAGUUUCUCAGUGCAGCCGGAUCGGUUUUGGCGCUGUCUGUUUUUCAAAAACUGUUGUGGGUAUGAAAAUGUGGUGUCGUCUGUUGUAUUUUCCUAUGAUGUUGUGGAAUCAGUUCGCCUAUUUGGUCGAGUUGAAGCUGCUGAGUUGGAAGCAACCUGCAUAAUUAUGCAUAAUUAUGCAGGUGGGGUGGCUUUUUAUUGUUCAGACUUUGUGGUAGUAGGAGACAUAUUUUUAUGGUUUUCUCAAUGUUGGUUGCUUUGGUGUUAAACCAAAGUAAAUUCUGCUUUAACAAUGUGAUGGUCUAUUUUUAGAUAAUCUUGUCAUACUUCUUUUUAUAUAUUUCGCUUUUUUAAAAAACACACACACACUAAACUUUAGUGCACUUCUAGGAUUAGAACUCGAUCCCUUUCAUCUAUCAGUAAGGUUUCUACAAUACAAGACAUUACUAGCUAUGGUAAUUGCAAGAUGAUAUUACUUGCAAAUAGAACAACAAAUACUGAUCUCAUAAAAAGAAAAGCAUGGAAUGACUGGAGUAACAAUAUAUACUUGUUUUAAUCAACAAACUAUCUGCUCCUUGUUACAUUUACUUAUAUUUCAAUGUUCUACAUUUCACAAUAACAAAGCUCAUUAAAUUGCAUGUAAGUAAAUUGAAAUAUGAGUGGUAAAUAUUUAUAUCAAAAUACUUUAUGAAGAAGAGGGAACUAGAUCAAUGAAUAAUAACAUUCAGACUACAAAUCUUAGCUAAGUAGAUCUCUUCAUCCUCAAGGCAGACGAAAAAAACUUCAUUCCCAUGUUUGUCAACUGUUUGUUUUGGUUGCCAGCAGAAGCAUCACAGUUUUUUUUUUUACACGACCCUUGAAGGAUCUGCCGUUAAUGCAGUAUCAGCAAAAAUGACAGAUUGAAGUUUCAACUAAAAGCAGAAUUGUGCAGCAUUUUGGAGGACCUCAAUCAACUCUUGGGGAAGUUCAGAAUCAUACAAACUUUCAUUGCAGCGGAAAACUGCACAGGGCUCUUGCUUUUUGGCGGCGUUGUGGGCUUAACUUGAUCAACCAACUGCCUUCAAAACUCUUAAUCAGAAUGUGGGAGCUUCUUGCAGAGGUCAGCAACAUCCAUUCAUUCCACAACAUAUCUAACACAAACAUAAUGAAAUAACAUUGGUGUCUCAAAUUCGCAUUAUGAAAUGCAAUGGCACCUUUCUAAAGAAUAGAUGUAUUUACACCUAGCUUGUAGCUUGAACAAUGAGUUUUUACUUUUUAUUGCUAACAUUAAGCUCAACAUCACAUUGCAUCCUUUCGUAAGAAACAAUGGCAAAUACAGGAACCCAAUUCUCACGAUAUUUACCAACACCACGAGAAUCAUAAUAUAGGUGGCUUGUGAGAAAGCAAUUGAUUUCUGCAGAGUGAAAUUUAAAUUAGUAACUAAUAUUCUAAGAAAUAUUACAGGAUUAGAUGAUACAGGGAAGAAAUAAAACUAGUCUACCUCUUCUCACAUUCUUCAUGGCAUUCAUCUAACAACCUCUCUACUACUAUAGUAGCAUUUUCUGGCUGAGUAUAAGAAAAAAAAAAUAAUUUUAUAAGAAAUUGACAUUUAAGAUUGACAUAAAACGAUUCAAAAUGAGUGACAACCACUGAAAAAAUCACCUUUCAAAGCAACAAAUCAUGUUGAUAGUACAGACAAAAUGUGGAUCUGGAAGCUUGACCUUCAUUAUAAUGUUCUUUGUCUUCUCAAUAAAACUUUGAUUCCAAGUCACACACUCUACUCCUUAAUUUGUCCAGUUUUAGAAGCUACUUCAAUGUACUUGAAGUGAAUAUCAUCGAAAUUGCAGUCAAUCAUCGAAACGAAGCCAUGAACCUUACUUAGAAAAUUAUCUUCCCAAAACUAAACAUUAUGUUUAUACAUUUAAGCACUCAAACAUCUAAAUUUCAGUGCUACAAAAGUCUUACCAAAAUUCUGACUCGAAACUAUAGAAAAGGAAAUUCUCAACUAAAUUUACCCUAAAGGAUCACCUAAAAUCAGUACUAAGAAAUUAUACUUAUUAAUCAACUCGCCCUGAACCAAGGUUCUAAUUAAAAAAAGCUUGGCUAGCAAUCAUUAAUGUAGUUAACGUCUUACAAAAAUUGCGUCAUCAAUGCUCUAAACACAGUGUCGUAAAAUCAAAUCAAAACAUUUCAUAGAAGAUAGAACUAUAAAAGGGACAUAUACCUUUGGAAAACAUUGAAAACCUCCACCCUUUACAUUUAGCAAAGCCAAGUAGAGGACUCUAUCAGGAACCACUGCUGCUAUCAUAAAUCCUGUUUCAAUUGGCAAACAUAAUUAACUUAAAUACAAACAAAUAAACUUCACCUAACCAAAUCUUAGAACAAACCAUCUGAAUUUUAAGUAAAUCAAAGGCUCACUAAAAAAGAAAAAAAAAGCACAUUCACAAAAUACUAACCCAUUUAGUGCCCAGAAACAUGAGCCUUUUUCCAACCUUAUCCAACAAAGUAAUUGCAUCCUUUGCCAUGAUCUUUGUUCUGCACCCAACAAUCAUUCACCAAUAUUCAAAUUUCCAUUUCACCUUUUCUAAAUCAUUCAAACUUAAUGCAGCACCAAAACUUCAGAUUGAUGACAUGUAUGAUGUUCAUACUUCAAAUACCGAUAUGACAUUGACCCAUGUAAUUACGUUCAAACACUUUCAUUUUAACAAAUUAUUAUCAAAAUUAACAAAUUAUCAUUCAAAAUAACGUAGCACCAACACUACAUAUUGGUGUCUGAUGUUCAGAUACUGAUAUGACACCAACCCUAUAAUUACAUUCAAAAACUUUUAUUUCUUCAAACUAUUAUCAAAAUUAAGCAAAGAGGAACCCAAACAAUAUACCAUUCAAAGAAAGAAUCUAAAACAAAUAAAUAAAAAAGACCAAUAAAAAUGGAGAAAACCUUGAUGAUCAGAGUUGCUAAUGGGCACGCAGCUCUGACCCACGCCCUCACUAUCAAAAUCGCAAUCCUCGAUACCACCACCGGACUCGUUGUCACCUCCUCCACUCCAAAAGACGUUCUCUUCAUCAUUAGGUACGUUUGUUACGGUUAAUCCCUUGUGUGUUGAAGGCAAUCCUAACCAUUCAAAUCAAUCUCCAGAAAAUCAUUAAAAUUAAAAAAAAAAAACAUGAUGAAGAAAAUUACCUGAAUUAGAACAUUUAUCCUUCUUAGGAUGAACAGUAAAAUAUCUUUCAUGUACUCUGGAUCUCUUCCUGCGGAAUGGGUUCCAAAGAUGUCGACAAUGAGAAUAAAAAUAAAGAUUUUUGAGCAGUUGAAAUCCAAACAUAAGAAGGGGAAAUUGAGAUCCUACAAGUAAAAUUGAUUUUUGCGAUGUUGAUUGUGGCAGAUAAGGGUAAACGUCUCUGCUUCUUAAUCCUCGGUAAACUGUAUUAUUGGAAUAUGAGCUAUCUUGUCCCAAUCCUCCCCUGUUCCCUCUUUGCAUCGUUCCUCUAAUGUUGGGCAACCCUCAAUUGCCAGAAGCUCAAGUGAAGUGAGGUGUCGAAUACCCUCCGGCAAGCAUCGCAAUCCUUCACAAUUCCAAAUCCUUAAAAUUCGAAGGGAUUGAAGACCUUCCCAAUUUUGCUCUGGUAAGGACUCCAAUUGAGAGAAACAAUAUACAAACAGAGAUAGAAGAGAAGUAAGGUUUUUGAACAUCCCCUCUGGGAAGGAUGUUAUUCCUUCACCGUCACUUAGGGCAAGCUGAGUAAGACCACAAAAGGUAGAGAUUGACCUCAGUAACUCAUUGUUACAUGGAUCGGCAACGAGGUCUUUAAGAGAUGGAAGACAUGGCAGUCCAAUUUUAGGGCAUUUCCAAAUAUCCAAACUAGAAAGACAAGGAAACAUCUCCCCUCUUUCAACUUUCAAUAAACCCUCUAUGUUUGGUAACUUAUAUAAUACGAGUUCCUCCAGAGAUGGGAAAAUCCUCACCUCCAUACCAUCCUGAGAUUCAUCAUCAUCCAAGUAUUUCAGAUUAUCCAUAUAAGAUAAUUCCAGUUUUUUUAGAGAUGGUAGUUUACCAAGUAACGGAAGCCGCACAAUCUUGUUGCAAUCCUCAAGUUUAAGAGAAAUUAAAUUACUAAGAAUAAUUAUCCAACUUGGUAACGAUAAUCCUUCAUAGUAAUUUAUUGUCAAGCAUUUGAGAUUUGAGUGAGGUUGAAGCUCUUCGAGUACUUGCUCAGCACUAAUUAUAGAUUCCUGUUGCGAUAUCCAUGACAAGCAUAAUUGAUGAAGGUCUUUUUUACCCAUCAAAUUAGCCGCUUCAGCUUCAGAUAAACUGCCAACAUUGUUUAAUCCUUCGAUACUCAGUUUUCCACCGAGUUUUAGAUCACGUAACUCUGUCAAACUAUUCCCUUUCUCUAAACUAACAAUGUACACACUUAAUGUUCUUAAACAAGUUAAUUUUCCAAUGUUAGGAAACAUACUAGACAAAGAUCGACAUUCUUCAAUGACUAUAUGUCUAAGAUUUUGUAAACAAGCCAAGCGUUUCGGAAGCCAGCUAAGUUUAUCACAGUAUUUUAUUUUCAAGAUUUCCAGCUUUUUUAGAUUGUAAAUUGAGUCAGGCAACUUUUUUAUGUCAAGAAAACGAAGUCCCAAAUACCUUAAAUGAAUUAAACUCCCCAGUGAUGGCAUCCGGAUAAAGGAUGCGCAUAAAACCCGGAGAGAAAGAUAUGCUGGGAAGUUAUCAUGUUUUUUUUGGUAAGAAUAACUCAACAAUGUUCUCAAGGAUUCAACUUUUUUGAAAGCAUUUUCAUCAAAGGAUAACACUUUGUAGUCAACAACAAUGUGGUGUGUGCUUUUUGACAAACUGGUCAUGUUUUUGUUCUCCAAAUGCAUACAUUCUUGCCCCAUUAUUGAUUGAGCGAGAUCAUGGACAAGAUCAUGCAUCUUGAAAGAAAUGUCUCCAGAAUAUUCAUCCAUCUUGCCAUCUUGAAAGAAUGAUUUUUGGUACAAUUCCUUCCAAACCAUGUUUCCAACAUCUUCAACGUCCAAAUUACCCAUAGAUGAAAUAAAUUCAUUAGCCAUCCAAAGUUGAAUCAAUUCUUCUUUCAGGAUUUUUCUAUCCUUGGGAAAUAUAGCGCAAAAAGAGAAACAUUGCUUUAGGGUUGGUGUUAAAUAAAAGUAACUCAACCUCAAAGCAAGCAAAAUAGAAUUUUCUUGCGAUAAAGCCCAAAGCUCACUGUCCUUAAUAUCAAGCCAUUCCUUUUCUUCAUUCCUUGAGCUCAUCAAACCUCCCAAUGCUUUUGCUGCAAGAGGCAAUCCAUUACAUUUCUUUACAAUCUCCUUUCCUAUUUCCAUAAGCUUUGUAUGCUCUUCUCUGUAAUAUCCAAAUGCAUAUUCUUUGAACAACAACCAACAUUCACUAUCAGAGAUACCAGACAAAGAGUGAGCUUGGCAUGUUCCCACGAUUGUUGCAACAACUUUAUCACGGGUGGACACUAAAAUGGAACUACCUUUUGAUCCACACGACAACACAGACUUCAAAUGAUUCCACUUAUCAUGUGUUAGUCCAGAUUCCAAUUGUUGGGUUUUGUUCCACAGAUCAUCCAAAACGAGCAAAUAUUUUUUACCUUGCAGCACUUCUUGCACCUUUCUUUCCAUUACAUCUAAUUCGAAGUCAGCACACUUCUCUCUUGUGAUAGAUUCUAUAAUGGAACAACAAAUCCUCUUGACAGAGAAAGUCUCAGAAACACAAACCCAAAUAUUUUUGUCAAAAUUGCCACUCACCCUAACAUCAUUGUAGACCAAUUGAACGAGAGUUGUUUUUCCAAUACCACCUAAACCAACAAUGGGAUAGACGGAAAGGAAGUCAGAGUCCCUCGCUUGGGUGAGAAGAAACUCAACAAUCUUUUCUUUAUCAUCUUCUCGUCCAAAUACUUUUGGUUCAACAAUAAUGGAGCUGGUUUGACGCCAUUCAGCUACUUCAUUUGAGCUUUCCUUAACAAUAGUACCCUCCCGUAGAAAAAACUUGUUCUUACUAUCAGCAAUAUCAUCCAAUCUCCUUGUAAUCUCUUUCAACCUGUUGCCGAUCUCAAGGCGAAACAUGAUGUUAUUUGGUUUAAAAGAGAUUGAUCCUCUAAGUUGACCAGACUUGAUCGAGCACUCAUCAAGGAUAUCAUCGAGCACAUAAACAACAUCUUUGAGUUGUUGUAGCCAUACCUUAAUAGAGCGGUCUGUGACUUGUUUCUUUUCAGCAUCUUCAAGAACAGCCUUGAUCAAAUCUAAGGUGGUUGAUAGUUUUUCAGCCUUUGACUUGAUACCAGAAAUGGUAGAAAAUUCAUUUUGAAGGAGAGACAUCAAAUUUUCAAACACAACUCCGAGCAAAGCGUUAGCCAUUUUUUGUGAAAACAAAAGAGUUGAAAAGAUAAGAAAAGAUGAGAAAUUUGUUUCGAUGGAAUGAGUGCUUAACUAAGCAGGAGACCUUUGAGAAUAAAUGCAAUGAGAGCAGCAAAUCAACAAGCAGGUGCUCAAUAAUUAUGAGCAAACAUUCACACGUAAACCACAAAUUUAUGCAACUUGCUUGCAAGGUUCCAUUUAUGAUUGGGUGUAACCCACAUUUUCAAUCAGAAAUUUAUUAGCGGGUCCAUGAUUGCUUUUAUUUGUCUCUUUGUUUUCACACUUGAACUACUUUAACUAAUAGAUGUGGCCGACAGAAUAAUGAUCUUUGGGAAAAGUUUAUGAAUCUAGUCCCUACACAUUUUAUUUACUCCCGUCUUUAACGUAGGCAAUUAUUGCUUUUUUCACAUUUUUUUAGUGUAGUUAAUGUAUCUAUUUUGUGUGUUAAUAUUACCAAAUUGUCAUUUGACUUUUUCAUAUUUCAAAACAAGUUAUUAGUAUUAAUUAGGGGUAUGUUUAGGAAAAAAUAAUACUCCCUCCGGUUCUUAAUAUAAGAAACAAUUGACUUUUUUGGUUCAUUGUUUAAGUGAUGUAUCUAGUCUAUAUUUUUAAUAAAAUACAUUAAUUAUUCUAUGAACCUAAAAAGUUAACUUUUUCUUAUAUUAAGGACCGGAGGUAUUAAAUGCAUCUAGUAAUUUGAAAGGGGGUUUACAUUUAGGAACAAAAAAAAAAGUCAAAUGAGGACUUAUAUAUAGGGACUGAGGGAGUAUUUAGGUACCGUUUGGUCAGAUUUUUUUUCGGUCUAAAAGCUACUUUAAAACAAAGUAAAAAUAAAGUUCUUUAAGAAAAAAGCUAAAGCUGUUUGGUUUCUUUAUUUUUUUUAGUUCUAUAGUUAUUUUUAAGUUAAAAGUUGUUUGACAAAAUAUUAUACAAAACUUUGAAUUUAUUAUUUUUUUGGUGGUGUCCGGGAUUCGAACCCGCGACCUUUCAUAUAUUUAUUCAUUGUCUAUAUCAACUGAGUUAAGUUAUAGAAUAUUUUGUUUUUUCAUUUCCAAUUAUACUGUAUAACAAAUUUUGUUAUAAGAAUAUCAUAUUUUUGGUGUCAUUUAAAAAGAUAAGAAUUUAUAUUAUAUGAUAUUAUAUUUGAUUUUUUUUUUGAAUAAGAUAUUACUCCCUCCAUUCUUUUUCUUUUGAUGUUUUAGAACUUCAACUAUAUUCCAAAACAUUUGAUGUUUUAGUGAAUUUAUUAUUGUUUUCUCAAGUUUACCCUUGUUGGAAAACACAAUAAACUAUUAAAGUAGUUGUGACCUUUGGUUUAUCACAUGUGAAUUUAAUGAUAAAUAAGGACAUUUAAGUAAAAAACACACAAAUGUUUAUAUACUUUAAUUACUCCUUAAAACUUGUGUCAAGAGCUAAAACAUCAAAAGAAAAGGAAUGGAGGGAGUAUAUUUGUUACAUUAUUGGUGUCAUUGAAAAAGAUAUGUUUAGUUUUUUUAAUAAGAAAAAGAUAUGCAUAAUUUGUUACAAUAUAAAUGUGUAAAAUAUAUAUAAGUAUAAUUUUUUUAGGCAUCUAUACUAGUACUUUUAAUUAAAAUCAAAAUUUUAUAAAAAUAAGGCUAAAAUAUGAUUUUAAUCCCUGCAAAUAUGCCUCGUUUUGGUUUUAGUCCCUGGUAAAAAAAAAUUUGUUUUUGGUCCCUGCAAAUUUUUUUGUUUUUGAAAAUAGUCCCUUACCCCAAUUUUGUGAUGAUUUGCAUACGUGGCACAUUAUAACUGAACCAAUUUUCUAGUUUUUGGUCCCUGCAAAAUAUUUUGUUUUUAAAAAAGGUCCCUGCAAAAUUUUUUGUUUUUGAAAAUAGCCCGACCAAAAACAAAAUUUUUCUUUACCAGGGACUAAAACCAAAACGAGGCAUAUUUGCAGGGACUAAAACCAUAUUUUAGCCUAAAAAUAAUGAUUGUAUGCAUUAAGCAACACUGAAAAAAUUAUACGCAUUAGCAUAACAAAAAAAAACAGACAUACAAACAUAAAAUAUUACUCUAAACGCUAAUGUGUGUGUGUAUUUGUGAGGUUGAAGAAAGGGAAUAAAAAUAUUUGGUGUGAUUCAAUAACAACAUGAAUAGAAAUAUUUGUGAGGUUGUGAUAAUUAAACGAUAUUAAAAUUAAGGGUUAAUAGGCUUUUACCCCCUGCCAUUUGGGCGACAUUUGGUUUACCCCCCUGCAAAAAAAAAACUUGUAGAUUCCCACUUGUAAUAUGAAGAUUCCUUGGUUUACCCCCCAAAGCCAAUAGUCAGCGUCUGACUGGAUAAAAAAGGUGACGUGGCGUGCUGAGUAGGUAUUUUUUGUUUUUAUGUUUUUUUUUUAAUUUACAACUAGAUUAUUAAAAUUUAAUUUCCCCCAAAAUUGAAAAAAUCCAAAAGUCCAAACAUUUUGUUUAUUGGUAUACCCCCCUCUCAUUUCCCCCAAAACUUAAAACCUAAUUUCUCCAAUUGAGAAGAAGAAACGGACGAAGAAGAGAAACAGACGAAGAACAAAGGGACGGAUUCAGAAUCGAAGAGUAACAACUGGGGUUAGGGUUUCGAUUCGAAGCAAGAUUUCUGCGAUUCGAAGCAAGGUUUCUGCGUUUUAGCGAUUUUGAAGCAAGAAUACUGCGAAUCUAGGAAGCUGCGAUUUUGAAGAAAGAGGGUUUCGAUUUACGUUAUUGCGAAUCUGGACACGAACGGAGAAAGAGUAAGCGAAGUGAACGGGAAGGUUGGAGACGAAGCUUGUGGUAAGUUUACUGAUUCUCUCUUUCUCUUUAUGCAUGCGUGUCUCUGUGUUGUUAGUAUUUGUAGAUGGUAAAGAAAGGGAAAAUUGUAUGUUGUGGUCCCAAAAGUCUGAUCCUAGAUUCCAUUAUUGUCUGUUUUCCAUGUGCAAAAGUUCCAUUUUUAGGGAUUAUUUAUUGAAGCUUUUUGUUUUGUGUGAGUUGUUGAUAUUAACCUGGUUUAAACCAAUGGGCUGCAGACACGUGUGGUUCUGAUUUUGAAUAAAAAAUUGUUUUUUUUUUUACCACAGAUAAUGGUUUUGUUUGAUGUUGUUUUCCAUCAUGGUGGGGAGUUUGUUAUGGAUAAGCGUAUUUUUUAUAGAGGUGGUGUACAAACUGUUGUGUCUGGUCUUGAAAGUAACAACUGGGGUGUGUGUGAUAUUCAGAAUACUGUGGCUUCUUGGGGAUAUGAGAAGAAUAAGUUUAGGGUGUGGAGUCAAAUUGAAGUGAUUUUUGAAGAUUUUUUUCAAAUCAAUGAGGACCAUAUUAAUGAGGAGGUUUCUGGGUAUUCAGUUGCUAACAAAGUAGAUGCACAUAUCUUUGUUGAGCACAAUGUGUUGGAUAUAAGUGUCAAAGUAGAUGUACCUAGAUUUUUUGAUUUGGAUGUAGGGUAUGAUGAGGAAGAUGUUAUGGUUAGCACUGAUGAUGAUAGUGGUAAAUUUGUUGGGUUUGAUGAUAGUGAGGAUGAAAGAACCACUGCACUUGAAGAUGGGUUUGAAGAUGUUGAAGUUGAAGCACCUACUAAUGGUACCAACAGAGUCACAGUUAACAACAAAACAUUAAGGAUCAAGAAGUGUGGUUCCAAAACACCUAAGAAAAAAUCUCCUAAGAAAAACAAUAGUGGCAGGAUGAAUGUGAUUGCACCAGUGUCUCUUUUGAAGAAUGGGAAAGGGAAGUAUGUUGUAGAUGAAGAAAUAGAUGGAGAUUACCUUAGUGAAGAGUUGGGUAGCUCAGACCCUGAUGACUCAAAUGAUGACACAAUUAAAUAUGACCAGUUUAGGAUGCCACAAUUAAAUAAGGAUUUUAAGUUCAAGAUAGGUAUGGAAUUUAAUACUCUGGUAGAGUUUAAAGAAGCAAUUAUUGAGUGGAACGUAUUAAAUGGUUACCAAAUUAAAAUGCCAAAAAAUGAAAGUUACAGGGUAAGGGUGGAGUGUAGGGACCAAUGUGGAUAUAAGGUUUUAUGUUCAAAGGUGGGUGACAGAAGGACUUUUCAAAUAAAGACAUUAGAGGGGCCCCACACUUGUGCACCAGUGUUGGAAAAUAAAAGUGCCAAUUCAAGAUGGGUUGCUAAGAAAGUUGUGCCAAAAAUGCAAGUCACCAAAAAGAUGAGUGUACAAGAGGUCUUUAAUGAAAUGGCUGUUAAUUAUGGUGUGGGUAUUACCAUGGACAGAGCAUGGAGAGCAAGGAAGAUUGCAAAGAGCAUAAUUGAGGGUGAUGCAGAUAAGCAGUAUGCAAUGAUAAGGAGGUAUGCAGCUGAGUUGAAGAGAGUGUGUAGGGACAAUAAUGUGAAAAUAAAUGUUGCUGGUCCUUCUGCAACUAUUCAACCAAGGUUUGGGUCUUUUUAUUUCUGUUUUGAUGGGUGUAAGAAAGGGUUCAUAUCUGCUUGCAGACCCUUUGUUGGAGUGGAUGGCUGCCACUUGAAAACAAGAUAUGGGGGGCAACUGUUGAUUGCUGUAGGAAGAGACCCAAAUGACCAGUAUUUUCCACUAGCUUUUGGGGUAGUUGAAACUGAGUGCAAGGAAAGUUGGAAAUGGUUCAUACAGUUGCUGAUGGAAGAUAUAGGUCAAGAUAAGAGAUAUGUGUUCAUAUCAGAUCAACAAAAGGUAUGUUUAGAUCUAUUCAUGUUUUAUCUAUACAUAUAUGUAUUCAAUGUUUCAGAUCUGAUGAGAUCUAUAUUGAUUUACUAUUAUGCAGGGGUUGCUGUCAGUUUUUGAUGAGAUGUUUGAUACUAUUGAUCAUAGAUUGUGCCUUAGACAUUUGUAUGCUAAUUUCAAGAAGAAGUUUGGAGGAGGCAGUCAAAUAAGAGAUUUGAUGAUGGGAGCUGCAAAGGCCACUUACUAUCAAGGAUGGUUGGAAAAGAUGAAUGAACUGAAGAAGAUAGAUCUGGGAGCUUGGGAAUGGUUAAUGGCUGUAGAACCAAAAAAAUGGUGUAAGCAUGCUUUACCCUUUUAUUCUAAGUGUGAUGUACUGAUGAAUNACAUAUCUGAAUCCUUAAAUGCCACAAUAUUAUCUGCUAGAGAUCAACCUAUUAUUAGUAUGGCUGAGUGGAUUAGACAUUAUCUAAUGAGAAGAAUGACAACAUCUGCCACUAAACUUCAAAAGUGGCAACAUAAUGUGAUGCCUAUGCCUAGGAAAAGAUUAGAUAAAGAGAUAACAUUAGCUGCUCAUUGGAGAUCAACUUGGUCUGGAAUAGGUGAACAAUUUCAGGUUAUGCAUACAUAUAACCGUCAGCAAUUUAUUGUUGACAUUGCAAAAAGGAGUUGCAGCUGUAACUUUUGGGAGAUAGUGGGAAUACCUUGCAGACAUGCUGUUUCUGCACUUGGUAAAAGGAAGCAAAGGCCUGAAAUGUUUGUUGAUGAUUACUACUCUAGGACUAAGUAUGCCUUGUGUUAUAGUUUUGCAAUUAGUCCUAUUAAUGGUAUGGAUAUGUGGCCUGAGGUAGAAGCUCCUGAACUUUUACCUCCAAACUAUAAGAAUGGACCAGGAAGGCCUAGAAAGCUUAGGAUUAGAGAGUUUGAUGAAAAUGGAUCUAGAAUGAGGAGGCAAGGGGUGGCAUAUAGAUGCACAAAAUGUGAUCAAUUUGGACACAAUCAAAGGAGAUGCAAGAGUGAUGUUCAGAAUCCAGAGGCUGCAAAAAGGAAGGUAUGAUGAUUAUGUACAAAAUGUGAUUAAUUAUACUCUCUGAUUAUGUACAAAAUCCUAACUUAUGCCUUUUUAUGUUUGUUAAUGUUGUAGAGGAAAACACCUAGAAGGAAGAACACUUCAACUGCUACUGAACCAAUGCAGACUGACCCAAUGCAAGCUGAAGUUGCAGCUGCUACUGAACCAAUGCAAGCUGAAGUUGAAGCUGGUACUGAACCAAUGCAAACUGAACCAAUUCAGACUGACCCAAUGCAGGCUGAAGUUGCAGCUGGUACUAAACCAAUGCAAGCUGAAGUUGAAGCUGGUACUGAACCAAUGCAGCCUGAAGUUGAAGCUGGUACACAACCAAUGCACACUGCAUCUACUCAAGAUCCACCAAGGCACACCACAAAAAUUGUAAAAGUGAAAAACUCUGAAGCUCCUUUCAAGAUACAAAAAGUAGUCACCUCUGAAGCUGCAAAUGCUUUACCAGAAAAAAUUGUUACAGAAUUUUAUGAAGCCCUUCCUGAAUCACAACUUGAAACUAGCCUUGGGCCAGAUGUGUUUGAUGACCUGGAUGACAGUGUAUUGGCAGCCAUCACUGAUCAAAUGUUUGAAGCAGCAGAAAAAGAAUUUAAUGUUGUGAAUGUUGUGAAGAGUAGGAAUGAACAGAAAAAGAAAACAUUGGGGUUGAAGAAAUCUGUAAAAGCUGGUAGGAAGAGUUCCAGGUUGAUGAAAUUGAAGACCAAGGCAAUCAAAGGUGCUGGCUCCAGUAUGGAUCAACCUAUGGUCCUUGAUGAGUCUGAAGAGGGCACUUUGACUCAGGAGGAUCAUGGUCUGAUUAAGAGUGGGACAUGUUUGUCUGUGCUAAGAGGCUUACCAAAAUUGGUUAUGAGAUCCUCCAAGCCUAAUUGAAGAAGCACAUAUUCAUUCUAGGCCUCUGUUAGGUUCCUGCUUGUUAAUGUUUUUGUUUAAGUUUUUUGAUGUAAUGACUUAUGCACUUUAAGUGCUUUUAGUUAAUGUAAUGACUUAUCCACUUUAAGUGCUUUUGGUUGAUGAAUCUGAUUAUGCACUUUAAGUGCUUUUGGUUAAUGUAAUGACUUAUGCACUUUAAGUGCUUUUGGUUGAUGAAUAUGAUUAUGCACUUUAUGCACUUUAAGUGCUUUUGGUUAAUGUAAUGACUUAUGCACUUUAAGUGCUUUAUUGCUUAUGUUAUGGCAUGUUUAGAAUGAUGAAAAAAUUACUUCAAACAUUUUUCAUUAAUAUCUAAAGGAGUUACAUUUUUCAUUUUUCAUUAAUAUCAAAAGCAGAAAUGUUAACAUAAGUCUUACUACAUAAUCAGAACAUUACAAUGACUUAGAGAACAAUUACAUUAACUUGAAAACAACUGAGAACACAAUCCAAGACACAGCUAGCGCAACAAUGACGCCAAAAUUUUUCUUCUUCUCAGCAUCAAGCUUCAUUUUGAGUUUCUCAUGCUUCUUUGCACUUAUUUGAGUUCCAUGUUCUUUGCCAAACUCUUUCCCAAACUCUUUCCCAAAGUCUUUGCCAAAUUGUGUCAAAAACUCCAUUGUCAUUGCACAAUUGCUGCAACCAGCUUCAGACUUUAAAAUAGAAGAACAACCUGGUUCACAGUACUUUCCACAUUUUUUAGGAACUUCAUCGAGUUCAUCAUCCCAAAUGAACAGCUCACAACUAUACUCAGCCUGCAAUAAGUUUCGGCUUACAAAUUUAGCAACUAUUUCAAAACUACAUACGUUUGGAAAAUUUGAAACAAAAAAUUUACAUCAAAAUAAAAAAUUCACUUACUCCAGAAAAUCGGCAUCUCCAAAACUUUCUCUUGGGGUUUUCAUUUGUGUUUGAAAUCCACAUUGUUAUCAUGAUUUUCGGGUGUCAAGCCAUUAAUUAGGCUUGAACCUUUCAAUCUUUGAUAUUCUCUAUUUUUUCUUGGGAAGGGCAAAAUUGAGAAAAAAAACCCUUAGAGUCUAAGUUCGGGGGUUGCUUUCACUACGGGAAGGUGUUAGGCACCCGCAAUGAUUAUAGAACCUUUUUCCUAGUUUUAUGUCUACGCUUUACUUUUAUUGCCUACUUAUUGAAAAAAGAAGUUUUAUUUGAGUGAAGAAUGGGGGAGAGAAGAUGAUUGAGAUUUUAUUUUUAUUUGGCUUGGAAGAGUUUUGACUCCUUGCCUACGUACCCUUUUAAGGGAUCAAAACCAAACGUAGUUCAUUCUCAAAAAUUGUUUUCUUUGUUUUUAUUGGUUGAUUUUAAGUUUGAAAAAAAGGAAUUUUGAAGAAUGGAGAUGAGAGGCCUCAAGGGCAUGAGAUUUGGAAAAUGUGAGGUGGAAUUAGUUAUUUUGCAAAACAAAGUCUAAGUAUGAUUAAAAUUCAUUAAGAUUUUUAUUUAAGAAAAUAAAAGGAAAAUGAGGAGUUUUGACUCCUAUUUUUUUGGAAAAAGGUUUUCAAGUGAGGUUAUUCACAUUUUUUGGGAAAAAUGAUUUUUGUCUAAGCAUUAUAAAACCUAAGCAUACAUCUAAACAUACAUUCCCUAAUCAUGCAUCUAGAAUAUCCAUGUGGGGUGUGUGCAUGUGUCGGUGUACAUCACUUAUAGUGUCCAUAGUCAUUUACAUUGAGUCCUAGAUACAUGCUAUGGUCUUGCAAGAAUGUAAACUAAACUAAACUAACUAAAUUUAGUACAAACCAAUUGGCAUAGAAAUGAAUACAAAAAGAAAACCUAAACUAGGAGCAAUGAGGGUACAAAGAUUAGGUGCUUAUGGAAUGAAUGAGAUAUGAAGCAUAAGAGUUAGUAACACAAGUACAAAAUGAUAAUAAUAAAAAAAAAAGAUGCAAGCAAUAUAGAAUUGAAUAGCACAAGAGAAAGAAAAUAAUGCAAUGAAACAAAGUAGUAAAAAAUACACCUAGAAUUUAGGUAUAACACUCAUACAUGCAUAUGACCUAUAAUUCCCUCAUUAUAGCCAUUUUUGAAAGGUUUGAAUUUAAGCUACAAUGUGAGGAUCAUAAGAGUACACACAAGCCAAGCAUUAUAUCAUAUUCCUAGAGAUAUUUCCACACAUUAUUUCACAUGCAAAAAUAUCACAAUAUGUAACAAUGCAUCAAGAACAUAUAUGGAAUUUAAUGAGCAAGAAUUAAAAGAACAAAGUAAAGAAAAUGAAUGCAAAAAUAAGCAAAUAAAUUCUAAUACUUAGAGGAAAAAUUAAAAUGAUAGGGAAAUAUUUUUAGAAAUUUUUUUAGAAGCAUAAAACACCAAGAAAGUGUAAAAAAGGAUUUAAAACACAAUUAAAAAGCAAUUAAAAAGAGGCUCAGCAGGAUUUAAUCUUGACCGCUGGAUGAAUCCAGAGGUCCAGAUCUAACUCCCAAGAUCACAUCACAGCCACUGGAUCAAAGAUCCAAGGGUCCAAAAAAAAAGCACAAAAGAUAGUGUAAAAUGCAGGAAGCACAGUGACCGUUAGAUCAAAGAUCUAACGGUUCAAACAGAAGAUAUAGCAUAUUCCACACAAAAAAUCACACACAAGAUUCAAAAUCAAACACACAGCAGCCAUCAGAUCUUGGAACAAACCGGAUCUGAUGGUUCACAGAGCGAGGGAACACAACAAGAGCACGCACGUGCGCGCGUGGGAACGGAGGGAGUAUAAAAAGGAAUUUCACACAAAAAAUCACAUAAACUUCUUCUCCUUCUCUCUCUAAGUCACACUUAGAGAGAGAAGCUCUCCCUUCUCUCUAAAAAAACUCGCUGGCGAAGGUGGAGGAGGUGGUGGUUCAGGCGCGGCGGCCUGCCGGUUUCCGGCGGCGGCGCCCCCGUGCCGUAAAAUUCAAACUACUUUUUUUCAAAAAUUUUACAUCAAAAGUUCCGUCACCACCUCCUCUACACAAAUCCGGCGUUAGUUUUAGCGAGAACGGAGCGAUUCGGACUAGAUCUACGUUUUUACUUUGAAAAUCUUUUUCACACUUUUCGCAAAAAAAAACUACGGAUCUAGAUAUCCUUUUCUCUAUAGAGUCCGAAUCCGGCCUCAAAAUUCUCAAAAUCCGAACACAAAAGCCUAGAUCUACUAAUUUUUAUCCGUAACAAACUUUUUCACACUUUUUCAAGCAAGAAAUGCGCGGAAAUGACUUAGAAAGAAAGGAGAAACGCGUUACCUCUGUCGUAGAACGGAGAAAAAAGAUAUUCAGAAAACUUCGAAUCUCUCCUCUUCUCUUUCGCGCGCGCGCUAUAUCCUCCGUUGGUGUUGUUUUUGCUCGAAAAUCCGGUACGAUCUUGGUGUUGAUGUGAUGAUCCGCGGUGGUUUUGAGUGAAUCCGGUUCGGAUUUGUUGAUUUUGUGGUGAGGUGUUCUUGGUGUUCUUCCUCUUUUUCCUGAGUUUUUUUUCUGUUUUGAUUCUGUUAUGGAUGAGAGAGAGAAAAAGAUUCUGUUUGAGAGUGAUUGUGAUUGAUUCUGAUUUUUCUGACUCAUUGAUGGAUCUGACACAUUUACUAUUUAUAGCCUGCCAUGUGUAUCUGAGACCCAAUGGAAAAUUGACACCUGGACUGUUUUGGACUUAAGGACUAAUCUGCAAAAAAGUUAAUAUGAGGACUAAUCUGCAAUAAAAAAAAGAUUAAAAAAAUGCAAUUAAAAAAAAGAGUAUUGGACAAAAAUGCAAUUUUGGGAUCUGUUUGAGUACUAAAAAUGCCAUUAAAAUAAAAUUGGUAAAUUGGACAAAAAUGACAGGAAAAGACCAAAAUGCCCCUAGGGACUAAAAUGACCCAACCUGACUCAGAUGCAGUUUUGAAAUGAUUUUAAAAAAGAGAUUCAACAAUGAUUUGUACAGACAAGUUAGAAAGACUCAGAGACAGUUACAGGGACUAAAAUGGGUUCCGCUGCAGGAAAUGACCAAAAUACCCUUUUGUAUGAUUUUUGAAAAUAAAAUGCAAGAAAAGUAAUGCAAUGAUUCAGAGAAUUUUCAAAUGACUUGUAAUGCAAGAAAGACACUUUGGAUAGUUUUAUGCAAGAAAAUCAUGAUUGAACAUACUUUGAGACAGAGACAGUAAAAUAUGCAGAUGAAAAGAGAGUAAAGAUUCAGAGUGAAACAACAGUAAUUUGACAAUUAUAAGUAGUAGAAAAUAAAUUUGAAUGAGUAUUUUUAGGUCCAAAAUCAGGGUAUAACACACAUCUUCAUAACCUUCUCACAACCGCAUAUUGGGGGUCGAUUUCCAACAUUGUUACUAAUUGACGAAGUUCUGCUUCCACCCAUUAUAAACCCUAAGGUCCCACUGACAGUUGUCGUUUAAUCCUGAAUAGUCUUUGACUUUUCAAAAGGAAAUUUCGGCAGUAAGGUAUUUUAAAAUACCUCAUUUAGUUUGGUUUCUUAGCCCACAUUUUCAUUAUCACUUUAUUUUUAUUUUUAUUUUUUUUUAGUUAUUUUCUUUAAUUAUUUUUUUAAUAAGUCCAAAAUUGUCAAAAGAGCCGUGGUCCAAAGAUUCUUCACGCCACAAUUCCACAAUUCCAGGCAAAUUUACUCAGGUCUACUCUUUCUUUCCCAAUUUACCAGAAACGUGUUUCAUCCCUUUUAAUUCCAUUCAAGCACCAUUCAUUCCUAUUAAACAACAUUUCCUUUUGUUAUCAACCUUGAGCCUUUAAAUAGGAGUAAAAAUCAGAGAAGAAGGGGGACACGAUUCACACAACCUGAAAAGAGAAAAGAAAACCAGUAAUCACAAAUCAUCAAAACCUCUCUCAAACCCUCAUCACACACCAUCAUCGAAUCAUCAUCACAACAAUUCCAACCAACACAUCAAUUUUCCAGCCAUCAGUCACAAUUCCAAAACCCACACAAAAUCCUCACAACCGAUCCAACAAUUUUCCAAAGCCCUCAAUAGAAACCGACACAAAAACAUCACAGAAUACCAGCAUCAAAGGAACAACGCCGUACAUCAACCGAAACAGCCAUCACAGAAUUGACCAGAGAAUCCGAAUCGAAAUCAAAAGGUAGUAUUUCAUUAACUUUUAGAUCUAGGCUCGUAUAUUCACUGUUUGAGAUUUGUGAGUUUAGAAUCGAGUAGAGGAGAAGAGAACAAGUAGAAGGAACCAAAAAAAUCAAAAAAAUAAGUUGUUAGGGUUCCGGCGCGGUGGCGCCGCCCCACAGGCUGGCCAACCGCCACCGGAACCCUUUCGGGUUUUCGAUCCACCGGGAAGCGCAUUUUUGCCUAGGCCGCCCUUUCGGGUUUUCGACCUACCACGUUGUUCCUUUCAUAUAUCUAGGCGAAGUAUUUCUUGACUAUAUCGACAUUCACAGGAUUUGGAAGUUCAACACCAUCCAUGUGUGUAACAAUUAAAGCACCACCGGAGAAGGCCUUCUUGACAACAUAAGGACCUUCAUAGUUAGGCGUCCACUUGCCCCUUGGGUCGGGUUGCUGGCUUAUCCUCCUUUUCAAAACAAGUUCUCCUACCUUGAAUUCUCGAGGAUGGACUUUCUUGUCAAAGGCAGUCUUCAUUCUUGCUUGAUAUGACUGUCCACGAGCCAUGGCAUCCAUACGUUUUUCCUCAAUCAAAUUCAACUGAUCAUACCGGCUUUGGCACCAUUCAGCCUCGGAUAACUUUGAUUCCAUGAUCACACGGAGAGAUGGGAUCUCCACUUCCAAAGGAAGAACCGCUUCCAUACCAUAUACAAGAGAGAAAGGGGUUGCCCCGGUUGAACUGCGCACUGUAGUACGGUAACCAUGCAGAGCAUAGGGUAACAUCUCAUGCCAGUCCUUAUAAGUAGUAACCAUCUUCUGAACAAUCUUCUUGAUAUUCUUGUUGGCGGCCUCAACUGCACCAUUCAUCUGAGGUCUAUAAGGAGAAGAGUUAUGAUGCUCAAUUUUGAAUUCUUCACAAAGAGCUUGCACCACAUUGCUGUUUAGGUUGGUACCAUUGUCGGUAAUGAUCUUACUGGGAACACCAUAUCGACAGAUGAUGUUAUUCUUGAUGAACUUGGCUACCACUUGCUUGGUCACAUUGGUAUAAGAUGCCGCUUCAACCCAUUUAGUGAAGUAGUCAAUUGCCACUAAGAUGAAACGAUGACCAUUUGAAGCCUUCGGUUCAAUUCUUCCAAUCAUAUCGAUGCCCCACAUUGAAAACGGCCAUGGGGAUGACAUAACAUUGAGAGCGUGCGGAGGCACGUGAAUCUUAUCAGCAUAGAUUUGACAUUUGUGGCACUUUCUGGCGUGCUGGUAGCAAUCAUGCUCCAUGGUCAUCCAGUAGUAACCUGCUCGCAACAACUUCCUUGACAUAGUAUGCCCUGUAGCAUGGGUCCCGAAGGUACCGUCAUGUACGUCAUGCAUUAACUGUUCCGCUUCAUGUUCAUCAACACAUCUUAACAAUACCAUGUCAUAGUUUCUUUUGUACAGAAUAUCUCCAUCCAAAAGGAAUCUACUGGCCAAUCUUCUUAGGGUCUUCUUGUCUUGGUUGGAAGCACCUGACGGAUACUCACGGCUCAGCAAGAACUGCUUGAUAUCGUAAUACCAGGGUUUAUAGUCAACCAUAUUUUCACCGGCCUGAUCGAUCACAUCCCCAAUAGCAAACACAUGCGAAGGUCUUUCAAGGCGUUGCACUUUGAUUAUUGGCACAUCAUUCCAAUGGUUUACUCGAAACAUGGAGGAUAGAGUAGCAAGAGCAUCAACCAUUUGGUUCUCAUCACGAGGGAUAUGGUGCAACUCAACCUUUGUAAAAUAUGUCAGCAAACGUCUUGCGUAAUCACGGUAAGGAAUCAGAUUGGCAUGGUGGGUCUCCCAUUCACCCUUUAUCUGAUUGAUGACGAGUACCGAAUCUCCAUAAAUGUCGAGGUGUUUGAUUCUCAUGUCAAUCGCUUCCUCGAUCCCAAAGAUACAUGCUUCAUACUCAGCCAUAUUGUUUGUACAUUCGAACAGAAUCCGGGCGGUAAAAGGAAUGUGAUGCCCCUGUGGGGAUACAAUGACUGCCCCAAUUCCUUUGCCAUAAGCAUUGACAGCACCAUCAAAGACUAAUCCUCACUUGCUAUUGGGAUCUGGUCCUUCACCAAUCAAUGGUUCUUCGCAGUCUUUUGAUUUCAAAUACAUGAUCUCUUCAUCGGGGAAAUCAAACUCAAUUGGUUGGUAAUCAUCGAGAGGUUGGUAGGCGAGAUUAUCGGCAAGGAUGCUACCUUUGAUUGCCUUUUGAGUUUUGAACACAAUAUCAUAUUCAGACAAAAGCAUCUGCCAGAGUGCAAUCUUCCCAGUAACAACAGCUUUCUCAAAGAUAUACUUGAUAGGAUCCAUCCUGGAUAUCAACCAAGUUGUAUGAUUCACCAAAUAAUGACGCAGGCGUUUGGCAGCCCAGGCUAGAGCACAACAAGUCUUCUCAAGCAUUGUAUACCGAGUUUCACAGUCGGUGAACUUCUUGCUCAGAUAGUAGAUAGCAUGUUCUUUCUUUCCAGUCUCAUCUUAUUGACCAAGCACGCAUCCCAUGGAUUCAUCAAACACUGACAAAUACAAAAUCAAAGGCCUUCCUUCCACGGAUGAGACAAGGAUAGGUGGUUCCAGCAGGUAAUUCUUGAUGCUAUCAAAAGCUUCCUGGCAUUCAUCGUUCCAUACAAUAGGCUGAUUCUUGCUCAAGCAGUCGAGUGAUCUCAUACGGUAUAUCAUCAUCCUCUUCAUCUUCGGCUUCAUACACCGGGAAUUCAAAAUUUGGAGGAACUGUAUGAUUACUGUGUUCAACGGGUUUAUUAUGGUUCAAACUGCAUAGAAUGGUUGAAUGAUUUUAGAAAAGGGUUUUUUUUUUCUUUCAUGCAGAUCUUUGAAAUUAAUAAGAAAAAUAAAGAUGUUUUGGUUUUUUCUGGUAUUACCAUUAUUUCCAAGAAAAAAAAAAGAAAAAAAAAAUCACUAAAAAAUAAAAGUCGUGAAAGAAACGACGAUUUUUAUUGAUAACGGCGAUGCCGAAACAAACACGCCCUUCCAGAAAUAUCACUUUCGCUUCGGACAGAGCGAGAGGAUGGUUAUUUUGAAAAACAAAACACUUAAGCAACAAGACACAUUAUUCGGAAACAUGCAUGAUUGAAUGAAUGUUGAUGGCGUCCCAAUUUCUCGCAAUGCCUCCUGGUAUAACAAACAUAGGCCUAGGACUACAUCCAGUCGCCUCUUCAGUAAUUGCAUUGACAAACUCAGCACUGUAGAAGAUUCCUGUGGUAUUGUACUUGUAAGGAAUAGCCUUUGCUGAAGUAUAAGGUACCGGUCCGGGCAGCCUUAUCACUAGAGGCUCAACAUUCUCUUUUGAAGGCACGCUCUUGACGGGCGGAUCAUGAAAGACUGGCACAAUCACAUAAACAUCGUUGACAGUCAAAUAAUUGUCGUUCAUCAAGCUCUGGAUGUCAUUUUGAACAGCAUAGCAACCCAAAGGAUUACGAAAGCAAUCUGGGCAAUUGGCAUGAUCACGGUUAAACAGAGAAGCUUUGCAUAGCUUGAUGUGUAGUGGUACCAGAGGAGUUGCAACAUUACGGACAUCAAGUCUGGGAGCUUCCUCAUACACCUCAAUCAUGUUCACAGCAGCGUGAUUCGGAAGAGGAUUGUCGAGGACAUGAGGGACAUUGUUCUCAAAAGUCAACUUUCCUUGAUCAAUGAGCUUCUUCACGAUGUACUUCAAAGCAUAGCAUCCUUCGACAUCAUGACCCAGAGCACCUUGAUGGAAAUCACAUAUGAGGUCAGACCGGAACCUGGGAGGCAACGGAUCAGGUGGAGGCUUGCCCUGUCUGGUGGUGCAGUGCCCUCUGAGAAGUAGAGUUGGGAGUAGCUCAGCAUACAACAUUGGUAUCAGAGGAAAGGUAGGUCUAGCUUGUUGCUGCUGUCGUUGUUGAGCUGGAGGCUGAUUGUUCCCAGGCGGCUAGCAGAGCAGUCAUGGUAUCAUUGGCCUUUGCCAAUUCUUCCCUCAGAGAAGCCAACUCGGUGCGAAGCUGAGUGUUCUCUUCCUCCAUAGCUACCAAAUUCUUUUUUCUGUACAAUCUAGUCCGAUGGAUUCUGUCAGGUUCGUAGACUUUUCGAGCACGAGCCACCUUUCAAACUCUGUGGCAGAAGAACCAGGAGGCAAUGAGUGCUUGGAAGCUUCUGUGACUGAUGAAUGAUGCAUAUGAUGCAUGAUAUGUACAAAUGCAGAUGCAAAAAUGACUUUUUUGUCAUCGAAGGGUUUUUAGACAAAUUAGAAACCUUGUAAACAUUAUUUAAUAAGAUCUCAAUAGCGUUCAAAUCCACGAAGUUGUCGAGAUUCGAAAAGAGAAUGAGCCCAUAGAUAAACAAUGCAAGAAUAGCCUCGAGUGUAUCUUGACAAGUGGUUUCGAAUUAGCCCGCUCAAGUAGAUACUUUGAAGUGAACCCUCGGAUGUGAGAAUUGGUAAUAAGAUGAUUGGAGACGUCGGAAGUCCUGGGAUAGAUAUCCUUAGCAAUAACCAAAGGAGUAAGAGAAGUUCCGGGACCGCUAUAGGUGAAUCUAACAAGUAGGAAUAAGCCUCAAGAGUAGGGACCAAUUGGAAAUCCGAGAAAGUGAAGCAACGGAAACUCGAGUCAUAGAAUCGCACAAGAGUGUGCACUAGCUUCCCUUCAACAUUGGUCUGGAGAAUAGUGAGCAAACCACCAUAUCGGAGUCGAAAACCUGUUUGAUUCUUAACCUUGAGUGCCAAUUCUCUCAAGCUAACCAAAUCAACCUCCUUGCACUUGUAGGAUUUAGUCUUCUUCAUACCAGUAAUGUUUACAAAGUUUUUAAUUUGUCUAGUCCUUCGAUGAAGGCAUGAAAAAAGUUUAUGCAUGAAUGCAUGUAUGCAUGAUUGUUUUUUUUUUUCAAUUACAGAGAAUACAUGGUGAGGGUAAGUUCCACAAUGUUGGAGUUAAGGAUAACAACGCCAUUUGGUAAGGACUAUGGUUUAAAAUGUACCUGCAUCACGGGUUCUACCAAGUUCCCAAAUUACAACUUCCCUUAUGAGCAUAUCGGUGUAUAGGACCGCUCCUAGUCCAAUAACGCCCAUAAGUAAGUCUAGUUUGAGUGUAGUAUCGCGUGUCGACCAAAGUCAAAACUGCUCUUGGUUUAGCCACCGCACUACGUCCUAAAAAAAGGCCAAGAUGGGUUAAGGGUGAUCUAAAGGUCCUCAACGUUUAGCGGACUUCAAAAAUAAUAACGCCAAUCACGACUGCUCAUGACGACAUAUUAUUACUUUUGAAAGACCUACGUUGAGUGGAGUUAUAUCACAUGUACACAUAUCGCAGGACCGCUCCUGGUAUGGCACUACGAUUGUACCCCGUCCUAUCUUAUGUUUCACUCAAGCCCGGGUGUAGGACUUUGAUAUUCUCACCCCACACGUUAAAUGAAAAUAAACAAAUAUUCACAUAUAUAAGCAAUAAAACAAAGCGUAAACAUAAACUACGGAAAACUAGGCGUGACCCGCUUAAAAAAUGUCCCCAGUGAAGUCGCCAUUUCUGUUAUCAUGGUUUUUGGGUGCCAAGCCAUUAAUUGGACUUGAACCUUUUGACCGUUGAUAUCUUCUUUUUUCUUGGGAAGGGUAAAAGGAGAAAAACCCUUGAGUUUCCGAAUUCGGGGGUCGAUUUCGCUACGGGAAGGUGUUAGGCACCCGGAGCGAUUAUGGUAUUCCAUAAGAACCGUUCUCCUAAGUUUAUUUCUACGCUUUAUUUUAUUGCCUAUUUAUUGAAAGAAAAGAAGUUUUAUUUGAGUGAAGAAUGGGGGAGAGAAGAUGAUUGAAUUUGAUUUUAUUUCGGCUUGGAGGGGUUAAAGUCCCUUGCCUACGUACCGUUUUACGGGAUCAAAACCGGCGUAGUUCUUGCUAAAAAGACUUGUUGUUUUUUUUGUUUUAAUUGUUUGAUUUUAAAUUUUGAAAAUGAUUUUGAAGAAGGGGAUUGAGAGGCUUCAUGAGCAUUAGAGUAUGAAAAAGUGGGGGUUUGUUUAGUGAUUUUGCAAAAAAGUCUAAAUGAUUAGAUUUAUUUGAGAAUUUUAUUAAGAAAAUAAAAGGUGAAAAAUUGUUGGAGUUUUGACUCCAUUUUUAUGAAAAAAUAUUUGAAGCGAAUUUGUUUGCAUAUUUUUUGGAAAAAAUUGGAUUUUCUCUAAGUGUUUAAACCUAAGCAUUCAUCUAACCAUGCAAUCCUAGGCAUACAUCUACACAUGCAAUCCUAGCCAUACAUCUAGGGUGAGUGUGUGCGUGCCGGUGCGUCAUAGUGUCCAUAGUCCAUAUUACAAAAAUUGCCUAAAUACAUUCUAUGGCCCCUUUGCCAAGCUACAAACCAAUGAUAACAAAUUACAUCACCAAAUGAAUUAAAACUUGCAAAAAUAAAUGCUAAGCUAAAGAAAGUGGAGGAGGUAGUGGAAUGCUAUGAGUGAAGUCUCACAAGGAACAAAAUGUUAGUGAAACAAGGAAAAAUAUAAUGGGAAUGAUGAAAAAUGCACCAAAUGAAUAUGCAAUAAAAAGGGGUAAAAACAUGAGAAUUUAUCAAGCACAAUGUGUAAUAAAUGGCCUAUAAUGCAAGCACAAACACAAACCAAAUGAAAACAGUGGCACAAUCAUUGAAUUAUCAUCACAUCUAUCAUGAAAAUGCAUUCUAAUUAGCCAUGCUAUGCACCAAAAUUCUUAGGACAAGAAUCAACCUAAAAAGCAUGACAAAGCUAACUAGAGAAGUAAUUUGAACGAGAGACCUAUGCACAUAUUUUUUACCAGUUAUUUGCAAGCAAAAUAUCAUUAAAAAAUCAUCAAGAAAGUGGUAAAAACAUGUAGUAAUUUUUGGAAUUUAUGGUAAAAAAAUCAGAGCAAUCAGAGGUUCAGAUAGCAAAAAGAACGGUGUAAGUAGCACAAAAAGGCAAAGAAAUUCUUAGAAAACUAAGCCCAAACCUACAGCCUAACACACAAAACUCAGAUUGCACAGGAGACGUUGGAUUGAUCCAGGGUAGGAAACCCUAGAUCCAACGGCCAGGAACGAAGGAGGUUGGACCGGUCCUGAACCGGUCCGGUUCACUGGCUUUAAAAAGGGGGGGAAACCGGUUUUUUCCUAUUUUCUUCCUCUCCUUCUCUCUCUAACUCUUCUCUCUUCUCUCAUCUCUCUCUAAACCCUCACCGCCGGUGAGGAUGAAGCCACGGCAGAGACCUUGAAGGUCCGCCGGAAGCUUCAUCUUCUCCGGCGAGUCCUAUGCACUCUCCGGUGAAAAAUUUCCAGAAUUUAAAGAUUUUUACAUCAAAUGAUUCGUCCUUUAACCCUAAACACGAAUCCAGCAAUUAUUUUCUCAAACACAGCUUGAUACGAUGUAGAUCUGAAAAUUUCGUACGGUUUUGAAAUUGAUUUUCUUUGAUCUUUUUUUGAAAAAAAAAGGUUUAGAUCUUUACGGAUCUACAUCGUUUCGUCGUUUAUCUCUUUUCUGGUGCUUGUUCUUGCUUUCAAAACUUAGGUCCUUAUGGAUCUAGGUUUUGUGUUUACGGUUACGGUCUUAUCUUUGAAUUCUGGAAAUUUUUAGAUCUGUUUCUCGCGUGAUUUUACAGGUUAAACUAUGAUAUCACUUCUGAAAAGGAAUUCUGAGUUUUACCUGAAGUUUUUGAUUGGAGGUUUUAUGAGAUUCUUCGGAAAUCUUGAUUCUGUUCUUGAUGAUUUUUGAUCCUUCCGCUUGUUCUUUGGACCGAAAAUAAAUCGGUGAUUCACUGGCUUAAUCCCUUCAUCUUCUCCGAUUCUUUCUCUGUGAUUAUACGCUUGAACUUGCUUUCCCUCUUCUGAUCUUCUCUCUGUGAUCAACGCUUGAGCUUGCUUCAAUGCGAACUCGCGUUUGGAAUUGCAGGGAAACGACCAAUUCAGUGAUGAAGAUUCCACAGAAUCUCUGAGAAUCGAUCCAAAAAUUGUUGAUUCUGAUGAAUUUUAGGGUUUCUGGAAACGGUUAGGGUUUUGUGUUCUUGGUGUUCUUGAGAAAUUCUGAGAAAUUUUCUGUUUUGAUUCAAUUGCUGAGAGAGAGAAAAUUAGAAUUGUGUUUAUGAGUUGGCGUGUGGUUAAUGGAUCUCUGUGGCACUGUACACCUUUUAUAGCCUGCCAUGUGUGAUCUUGGACCAUUAGAAAGCUGACAUGUGGCAUUGGACUGAAAAAGGGGCGCUGCCUUGUAAUUUGACUUGAAGGACCUGUUUGCAAAUUUGAAAAAAUAUAUGGACUGGACUGAAAAAUGAAAGUAAGGACUGAAAUGAAAUUAAAAACUGUUUGGACAAAAUAUGCAAUUUUGGGACCUCAAUUGAGGGACCAAAAUGCAAUUAAAAAUAAAAUUGGAUAAAACGUAAUUUGACCAAACGUAAAAUGAAACAAAAAAAUAAAAUUGACAAAACGGACUAAAACGAACCAAUGGCUUAAAUGAGGUACUUCAAAGUAACCCCUCUAUGCCGAAAUUUUGUGUGAAAUGACCAAAAUGCCCUUCUGUACGACUUUUGAAAUAAAAUGCAAGAAAAGUAAUGCGAUGAUUUAUAGAAUUUUUUCAAAUGACUUGUAAUGCAAAAAGACAUUUUGGAUGGUUUUAUGCGCAAGAAAAAUCAAAGACAAAAUCACGAUUGAAAAUAGUUUGAGACAGACAUUAAAAUAUGCAGAUGAAACAAAGUAAAGGUUCAGGGAAAUAUAACAGCAAAUUGACAAAUAUCAGUAUUGAAAAAGAAAUUUGAAUAAGUAUUUUUAGGUCCAAAAUCAGGGUACAACACAUGCAAAUAAUCAAAAAUCACAAAAAUAUCUUCAUAAACAAACCUUGAUCUUAAAUCAAGUGACCGUCUUUUGUUUUCAUUUUCUUAAUCAAACUUUAAUCAAUUUAAUCAUAUUUUGAGUCAUUUUCUUUUAAUAUAAAAAAUACAAACAAAUACUCAUUUGCCACUUGGCUUUUCAUUUUAAAACCUUUUUUCAAAACUAAUAAAAAACACUCAACAAAUCAAACGUCGUUUUCUACCCCGAACUACGAGGUUUUGAUCCCUCACGGGUACGUAGGCAGAGGACCAUGUCCUUCCAAAUCAAUAAAAUGUAGAUAACUAGGUCUUUUAUUCUUCCACUUUAAUUCCUUCUUUUCAAAAAUAAUAAGCAAGUUUAUAGCACAUUAAUUAAAUAAAAUCAAGAGGUUCUCGUAGAGUACUACGAAUAUUUAGGGUGCUAAUACCUUCCCUAAAUAUAACCAACCCCCGAACCCUAAAUCUCAAUAUGGGGUAGUUUGAACCUUUUUCCCCUUUUUCUUAAAAAAAUUAAAUGUUCAGUCGUGAAAUAAUUAGUGAGUCAAAAGCUAAUCAAAUAGCCUUGAUCUCCAAAAAAUGACACGACAGAAAUGGCGACUUCACUGGGGACCCCCUAAGAGGGUUAAGCCUAACUUGGCUUUAUUUAAAUUUUGUUCUAUAACUUGCUUAAAAUCAAAAAAUAAAAUAUGGAAAACCGUGUAUAUAUGUUCUUCCUUCUUCGUUCUCCUUUCUAAACUUGAGUGGUGAGAUAAGUCAUACACCCGGACUUGAGUGAACAUUAAGAUAGGAUGGUGAUAUAAUCAAAGUGCCAUUCCAAGAGUAAUCUUGAGUGUUGGUACAUGUGAUAAUCCCGCUCAAUGGAGGUUCUUGGAAGUAAUACUUUGUUGACAUGAGUAAUCAUGUUUGACACUAUUAUUUUCAAGUAACCGUCGAAGUUGAGGGCCUUUAGUUACCUUUAACCCAUCUUGGCCUUUUAGGACGUAGUGCGGUGGCUAAUCAAGAGUAAUCUUGAAUUAGUUGAUACGCGAGACUACACUCAAACGAGACUUUCCUUCAAAUGAUAUUAGAUCAAGAGUAAUCUUGUAACCUAAUAAUAUUUGGAAGUGGUUAAAGACUUUGGGAACUUGGUAGAACCCGUGAUACAGGUACAAAUGAAACCAUAGUCCUUACUAAAUGGCGUUGUUACCCUUAAAGCUCCAACAUUGUGGACUUAACCUCACCAUGCAUUCCAUGUUCUUUAGCAUAAUCAUGCAAACAUGCAUUCAUUCAUAAAAACUUUUUCUCACUAAUAUCGAAGGACUUAGAUAAGUUCUUGUAAACAUCAAAGAUAUGGUCCUUGUAAGAAGGAACACCUACAACUUCAAAAACCUUAACUAAGCUUUAGCUUUUGUUAAGAAUUUUUUCCUUGGUUUCGUUCUUACUUUUGAAAAGGGAACCAAUUGCAACAUCUUCACAAUUUUCAGAUAAAACAAUGUUCCUUAUCAAGUUUACAAUUACUUUGACAAAUCCUUCAAAAAAAAUGUGUCUAUUUUUGCAUAAGCAUAGCAUGCAUCAUUUUGCAUUCAUAAUUUCAAGUCUGAGUCUCACACUGUGUCUUUUCUACUAAAGGUCAAUCCAUUUCAAAAGUGGCCCGACGUAAUCUUUACCAGUCUACCCGCACAUACAACACUCGGGCUAAUAUAAAAAAGAAAAUGGAAGGUCUUGAGCAAGAAAAUCAGGUCCUCCGUGCCGAAGUGAUAUCAUUGAAGACCAAGAUAGAGGAAUUGGAGUCCAUGAAGACCAAGAUGGAUGAGUUGUCUGAAUUGGUAAAAGUGCUAUCAACUGCACAAAAUCAACCACCACCACCUCCUCCCUUCAGCACUCAGGCCGAAGCAUCUUCCUCUUCUAUCCCCGAUUGGACAAUAUGUGCCGACACUCCGACAUACUCUGCUCCACAACGUUCCGCGCCUUGGUUUCAACCUUUUACUGCUGGUGAAAUAUUCCGUCCCAUUGCCUGUGAAGCUCAGAUGCCUACUCAUCAGUAUGUGGCUCGUGUUCCCCCUGUAAAGGUCCCUCCAGUCGCUAUGACCUACUCAGCACCUGUGAUGCAUACUAUUCCACAAAAUGAAGAAUCCAUCUUCCAUUCAGGGAACAUGGAGACUUACGAUGGAAUGAGUAACUUACGAGAAAAGUAUGAUGAACUGCAACGAGACGUGAAAGCUCUCCGUGGGAAAGGAAAAUUUGGAAAGACUGCUUACGAUCUCUGUUUGGUGCCGAAUGUUCAGAUACCUCACAAAUUCAAGAUUCCAGAUUUCGAGAAGUAUAAAGGGAACUCCUGCCCUGAGGAACAUCUAAAAAUGUAUGUGAGAAGGAUGUCCGCAUAUGCCCAGGACGAUCAGGUCCUUAUUUAUUACUUUCAAGAAAGUUUGGCUGGUCCCGCCUCAAAAUGGUACAAAAAUCUAGACAAAACGGAAAUCCAAACUUUUCGUGAUCUAUGUGAAGCUUUUGUGGAACAGUACAAUUAUAAUGUGGAUAUGGCUCCAGACAGAAGCGAUCUUCAGGCUAUGACCCAGGGAGACAAGGAAACAUUCAAAGAGUAUGCCCAGCGAUGGAGAGAUACCGCUGCCCAAGUCAGCCCACGUAUAGAAGAGAAGGAGAUGACCAAGAUCUUCUUAAAAACUCUCAAUCAUUUCUACUACGAGAAGAUGGUCGGAAGUACGCCCAAGAACUUUGCUGAGAUGGUUGGUAUGGGCGUACAGUUGGAAGAAGGAGUCCGAGAAGGACGAUUAGUUAAAGAUGGAGCUUCCGACAGUGGAGCCAAGAAAUUUGGGAACAACUUCCCAAGAAAGAAAGCACCAGAGGUCGGUAUGGUGGCCCAUGGGAGGCCUCAGCAAAAUUAUCCAGCCUAUCAGCAUGUUGCUGCCAUUACACCCGCUACCAAUGCUAUUCAACAACCGGGUUAUCAGCCGCAGUUCCAACAGUAUCCUCAGCAACUGUAUCAGCAACAACAACCUCGACCACAAGCUCAAAGGACCCAAUUUGACCCGAUCCCCAUGAAAUAUGCGGAUUUGCUCCCAGCAUUGCUAGAGAAGAAUUUGGUCCAGACCAGGCCACCUCCUAAGGUGCCAGAAAGAUUACCAACAUGGUAUAGACCUGACAAGUUUUGUGCUUUUCAUCAAGGGGCCCCAGGUCAUGAUACUGAAUACUGCUAUACUCUGAAGGCCGCAGUCCAAAAGUUAAUCCGAGAUAAAGAUCUGUCCUUCGCCAAUCCGCUACCAGAUCAUGGUACCUAAUAUUGCCACAAAAGGAUGGUUAACCGCAAUCGGGUCAAUGUUGAUGUCUUCUUCCAUUUGUUCAAUUUGUUUUAAGUGUUAUGUUUGUUGUUUUGUUAUCUUUCCAAAAGAGUCCUUUCGUCCCGCCCAAGACGAAAGUGAACUUAUGUAGGGCUUUUUGCUUCAUGAACUGUCAUCAUUAAUAAAAAGGUCGUUUUGAUCCCGACUUUGUUUUUUAUUUUAUUUUGUGCUUCUUCUUGAAAAAUGGUAAUACAAAAAAAAAACCAAAAAAAAGAAAAAACUUUAAUCAUUCUCAAAUAUCUGCAUAAUCAUAGCUUGUACUUACUUGUCAAAAUCAAUAAUCAAAUCAUGCAUUAAUAAACCUGUUGAACAUAAUAACCAUCUACUCUCUCCCAAAUUUGAGUUCUCUAUGACCGAAGAUGAAGAAGAGGAGAAUGAAGAGACUCCAAACAAGAUCUCUCGCCCACUGGGGCAUCUUAGCCGUCAAAGCUGCAAACAAAAUAUAAAAGAAGAUUGUCCAAAAGAUUGCUUUCAUUUACAAAGACCGGCACGAAAUGCUACCAUUUGCACUUCAUGAGUAUUGUACUUCAGUACACACUUCAACAGGGGCAACCCCCUCUUUCAUUAACAUACAUCAUGAAGGCCAUACUUCCCGUGGAGGUCGAAGUCCCGACAAUAGAAGUUUUGCCGAAGUCCAAGCUUGAUUGAACUUAAAUUGCAUGACGACCUUGUACAAACAUGUCAAAAGAGGUUGAAACAAACUUCCAACAAGAAGGUUCGUCCUCUUGAAUUUCAAGAAGGAGACUCUGUGCCUAAAAAGGUAUUAUCUUUCCAACCAGACUCUAGGGGCAAGUGGACGCCUAACUAUGAAGGUUCAUGUGCAAUGACUUUUACAACUAUGGAUGGUGACAAACUUGCACUUCCUAUGAAUGCCGGUGCAGUCAAGAAAUAUUAUGUCAAAAAAAUAAAAGCUCGAUAAGUCGCAAACCUGAAAAAGGGGCUUAGGCAAAAAUGAGCGUCUCGAUAGACUGAAAACCUGAAAGGGCGGUCUAGGCAAAAAUUAGAGACAUGAACAAAAAUGAUUAUCCUGAUAGAUUGAAAACCCAAAUGGGCGAUCUAUGCAAAAGUUAAGGAUCAAAAGACAAAUUAACUGCAUCCGGCGGAGCACAAUCCACUUGGGGCAUCCGGUUGUCAAAAGACCUCCGAUUCGAAGCAUCUGCAGAUCAAAGACUCGGAACAUUGGCAUUCAAAGUUGUUAGGGAGAAUAGUGGUUAUGGUGUUCAAUGUACCAUCCCAUACAUUUACCAUUUUUCAAAAUUUCCAAAAAAUCUGUGGAGCCAUGCCCUUAGCAGGCCACCACUCAAUUCAUCAAAUUUGAGCUUAUGCCCAUUUAUUCAGAACUCUCAUUUAUUCUAUUUGCAUAAUUUCUUCUUUUUGAUGGCAAUACUUAAAGCAAAAAUUUUCAAAAAAAUACAAAAAACUUUUUUUUACAUCUUUUGAAAAGUGUGAACAACAAACACACUCACUUUGAACUCAUGAGUAGGUGAAGCAUACAUCAACAUUCGCCUCGAGAACGGUUACACUCCAUAAGAGAAACAGAGCUAAGCACUAUGGAAAUGAUCUCUGCCUUGAACAAGAUGUUGUCACAGUAAAAAAAAAAUAUACAAAAAAAUCAAAGCUCGCUAAGUUGAAAACCUGAAAAGGCGGCUUAGGCAAAAAUGAGCGUCCUGGUGGACUGAAAACCCGAAAGGGCGGUCCAGGCAAAAAUUAGGGGCAGAAAAAAAAGAAUAUAUUCCCGGUGGACUUAAAACCCGAAAGGGCGGUCUAGGCAAAAGUUAGGGAUUUUCAAAAAAAUAAUAUAAAAAAACAUGACUGCUGAGGCAUACCAAUGGAAGGACACUCUGUGCCGGUUCACAAAUGGCGACUCUUUCCAUACCUUUUUAUCAAUAAUGGGCUUAUACCGUCAACGGCUCGAUUUGUUCACAAUAAUAUCAUCUCCAAGGAAGUUUGCCGAGUGUUUGUACUGCGAUGUCAGUCCGCCUCCCAUCUUACCUAUCUUGUCUCGUCUCAUCGAGUCACUUGUCACAUAAAGUUUAUACAGUCAUGCAAGUUGUACAUUCAUAACAUUUGUACAUUCAUAAAAUUCAUACAUUCAUACAUUCAUGUACACAUCAUAUGCACAACAUCAGUUCACACAUAAUUGCAUCAGUCGUCCAGAAUCUCAAUUCGGUCGCGUCUCUUCGGUUCAGUCUUAACUUACCAUUGUGUCAAGCCGCAAGUUUCUACAAAUAAGCCUCUUCCAUUUACCUUCUUAUUGUCAAAGUGUCAUCCCCGGCGUGAAGCCGUGCUAGUCAUGACACUAAUCAAACUUCAAUUUCAAUUUCAAAAAGUGUCAUCCCCAGCGGUAGCUGUGCAAGUGGUGUCACCAGUCAAUUUCAACUCUCAAUGGUGUCAUCCUUAGUGUGACUGACCAAGUUGUCCUUUCAUUCUUACCUUUGUUAAGCUAUCUCAUCGAUAGUUAGGUAAAAGUAUCAUUUGUCUUUGUUAAGCUAUCAUUUCAACGGUAGUUAGACGAUGGUUUUUUCUCUCAAUCUUACCUUUGUUAAGCUAUCUCAUCGAUAGUUAGGUAAAAGUAUCAUUUGUCUUUGUUAAGCUAUCAUUUCAACGGUAGUUAGACGAUGGUUUUUUCUCUCAAUUUUACCUUUGUUAAGCUAUCUCAUCGAUAGUUAGGUAAAGGUAUCAUUUGUCUUUGUUAAGCUAUCAUUUCAACGGUAGUUAGACGAUGUUUUUCUUUCAUUCUUACCUUUGUUAAGCUAUCUCAUCGAUAGUUAGGUAAAAGUAUCAUUUGUCUUUGUUAAGCUAUCAUUUCAACGAUAGUUAGACGAUGGUUUUUCUUUCAUUCUUACCUUUGUUAAGCUAUCUCAUAGAUAGUUAGGUAAAAGUAUCAUUUGUCUUUGUUAAGCUAUCAUUUCAACGGUAGUUAGACGAUGGUUUUUUCUCUCAUUCUUACCUUUGUUAAGCUAUCUCAUCGAUAGUUAGGUAAAAGUAUCAUUUGUCUUUGUUAAGCUAUCAUUUCAACGGUAGUUAGACGAUGUUUUUCUUUCAUUCUUACCUUUGUUAAGCUAUCUCAUCGAUAGUUAGGUAAAAGUAUCAUUUGUCUUUGUUAAGCUAUCAUUUCAACGAUAGUUAGACGAUGGUUUUUCUUUCAUUCUUACCUUUGUUAAGCUAUCUCAUCGAUAGUUAUGUAAAAGUAUCAUUUGUCUUUGUUAAGCUAUCAUUUCAACGGUAGUUAGACGAUGUUUUUCUUUCAUUCUUACCUUUGUUAAGCUAUCUCAUCGAUAGUUAGGUAAAAGUAUCAUUUGUCUUUGUUAAGCUAUCAUUUCAACGGUAGUUAGACGGUGGUUUCUCUUUCAUUCUUACCUUUGUUAAGCUAUCUCAUCGAUAGUUAGGUAAAAGUAUCAUUUGUCUUUGUUAAGCUAUCAUUUCAACGAUAGUUAGACGAUAGUUUUCUCUCAUCCUUACCUUUGUUAAGCUAUUUCAUCGAUAGUUAGGUAAAAGUAUCAAUCGUCUGUGUUAAGCUAUCAAUACGAUAGUAGACAUUCAUUUUCCCCAGUGAAAUUACAUUCCCCUAGCGGAGUUGGACCCCUUUUCUUCAACGAAUUCGGGUAUCCCGUUUUUAUUUCUCAUUCGAGUCAAAUCAUCCUGCAUUCAUAAAUUGCACCAAAUGCAUCCAUAUCAUCUUAGGUCAAAAAUUGUGUAUUUUGUAUUUAAGUCUCUUCGACUCGUCAAAUCAAAGAUUUCAUCUUCAAAUCUCCGGACGAAGAAACUUAAAUAGGGGCAUCUGUCAUACCCCAAUUUUUGACCUAAGGUCCCACUGACAGUUGUCGUUUAAUCCUGAAUAGUCUUUGACUUUUCAAAAGGAAAUUUCGGCAGUAAGGUAUUUUAAAAUACCUCAUUUAGUUUGGUUUCUUAGCCCACAUUUUCAUUAUCACUUUAUUUUUAUUUUUAUUUUUUUUUAGUUAUUUUCUUUAAUUUUUUUUUUAAUAAGUCCAAAAUUGUCAAAAGAGCCGUGGUCCAAAGAUUCUUCACGCCACAAUUCCACAAUUCCAGGCAAAUUUACUCAGGUCUACUCUUUCUUUCCCAAUUUACCAGAAACGUGUUUCAUCCCUUUUAAUUCCAUUCAAGCACCAUUCAUUCCUAUUAAACAACAUUUCCUUUUGUUAUCAACCUUGAGCCUUUAAAUAGGAGUAAAAAUCAGAGAAGAAGGGGGACACGAUUCACACAACCUGAAAAGAGAAAAGAAAACCAGUAAUCACAAAUCAUCAAAACCUCUCUCAAACCCUCAUCACACACCAUCAUCGAAUCAUCAUCACAACAAUUCCAACCAACACAUCAAUUUUCCAGCCAUCAGUCACAAUUCCAAAACCCACACAAAAUCCUCACAACCGAUCCAACAAUUUUCCAAAGCCCUCCAUAAAAACCGACACAAAAACAUCACAGAAUACCAGCAUCAAAGGAACAACGCCGUACAUCAACCGAAACAGCCAUCACAGAACUGACCAGAGAAUCCGAAUCGAAAUCAAAAGGUAGUAUUUCAUUAACUUUUAGAUCUAGGCUCGUAUAUUCACUGUUUGAGAUUUGUGAGUUUAGAAUCGAGUAGAGGAGAAGAGAACAAGUAGAAGGAACCAAAAAAAUCAAAAAAAUAAGUUGUUAGGGUUCCGGCGCGGUGGCGCCGCCCCACAAGCUAGCCAACCGCCACCGGAACCCGCCUUACCUCCGCCGAGGAUGAUGAAGAUUUGCCGGAAUCUUCAUGUUUCAAACCCAGAACUUUGAACAAAUUAGAGAGAGGAGAGAGCUUUUGUGAGAGAAGGAGAAGUAAGAGAGAGAAAGAGAUGUAAAAAAAAUGAAGAAAAAACCGGACACACCACAUAUAUAUGGUACUAGACCGAGCCGGUUCAGCCUUGAACCGGCUUGAACCGGUCUAACCCAAAGAUCAACCCACGAGGCCCAACAGCGCGCCUCUGUCUCCCUUUAAACCCAAUUCCAUCUUUUGUUUCGUUUCUGCAACCCCCUGAACACUGCUGCACCCCCCCACCUUGUGAUUGAUCCCCUUUAUUUUAUUUCUCGCAUGCAUUUUAUUUUUGCUUUUAUUUUAGCAUUGUAAUUAUUAUUUUAUAUUCUCUCAUGCAUGUUUUAUUUAUAGCAAGAAUAUUAGAAUGCAAAUUAAGCUUUGAUGUAAAUAAUUCAUUUAUAUUCUUGUCAUUUAUUUUCUGCAGACCAUAGCAUGUAUCCUAGGCUUUAAUGUAAAUCAUGCAUGUGUGCGUGUGUGGGUGUAUGCUUUAUUUUAUGUUUCUAGCUUAGGUUACAAACGUUUUACUUUCCUUGCUCCGUUAGUUUACAUUUUAGUUUAGCUUUUAUUCAAAAACAACAAAAACAUGCAAAUAAUCAAAAAUCACAAAAAUAUCUUCAUAAACAAACCUUGAUCUUAAAUCAAGUGACCGUCUUUUGUUUUCAUUUUCUUAAUCAAACUUUAAUCAAUUUAAUCAUAUUUUGAGUCAUUUUCUUUUAAUAUAAAAAAUACAAACAAAUACUCAUUUGCCACUUGGCUUUUCAUUUUAAAACCUUUUUUCAAAACUAAUAAAAAACACUCAACAAAUCAAACGUCGUUUUCUACCCGGAACUACGAGGUUUUGAUCCCUCACGGGUACGUAGGCAGAGGACCAUGUCCUUCCAAAUCAAUAAAAUGUAGAUAACUAGGUCUUUUAUUCUUCCACUUUAAUUCCUUCUUUUCAAAAAUAAUAAGCAAGUUUAUAGCACAUUAAUUAAAUAAAAUCAAGAGGUUCUCGUAGAGUACUACGAAUAUUUAGGGUGCUAAUACCUUCCCUAAAUAUAACCAACCCCCGAACCCUAAAUCUCAAUAUGGGGUAGUUUGAACCUUUUUCCCCUUUUUCUUAAAAAAAUUAAAUGUUCAGUCGUGAAAUAAUUAGUGAGUCAAAAGCUAAUCAAAUAGCCUUGAUCUCCAAAAAAUGAUAUGACACUUAUAUUUAAAAACGGAUGGAGUAUGUCUUUUAAGUUAUUCUCCUUCCUCCUUCAAAAAAUAAAAGUUAUUUAAUUCUAACUUUUAGGCGUCGAAUAACUUACAUUUAUAAGAUCUGACAUCUCUCAAAUUUUUACGAUUAAAUAACUUAAAAGACUUAAUUGGUAUGAAAAUAAUUUAAAGGACUAAUUUGUUAAAAUUAAUUAAUUUAAAGAUCUAAGUGGUAAAAAAAUAAACUUAAACACUAAUUAAUUUAGCCAUAUUUUUAGAGCACCUGGACAAGAAGGUAGUAUCUGAUGUAAUCAAGGAGAGGAUUGUCUGCCAUGAGAUUUUCUUUUGUUUUUCUCCGGUCAACAAUAUUAGCCCUUCAUUUGUUUAAUGAUAGAUCAACGGGGGGCGGGGGCGUAGUAACAAGUGGCGAACGUCCUUCCUUCUCUAUUGUCCUUCUACUAGUAUAUGCAACCCGUGCGGACGCACGGGUGAAAUUCUUCCUUGAGCAGCAAAAAUUCAGACCAAACAAUUAUUUUUGCAUCAAAAAUAAUAUUUAUUUGCUCAAAACCAGAAAAAACUAAUACGAAAUACUUCCUCACAUUUUCAACCCUUUUUAAGUGUUUGGCAGCAAUGCAACGAAGCUAAAAUUUAACGAAGAGAAAUCUUAAAGAUAACAAAAAGGAAAAGAGCAGAAAAAUGAAGGAAGGUUAAGUAUUUAUAGACUGAACUUUAUACUAUGUCCGCACGGUUUAUACUGUGUUCGUACUGUUACCGUUGUUGUUACCGUUACUGUUUCAGUUAUCGUUAAGGUUAACGUUACUGGGGUGGUUAAUUUGAAUUAAUUUAUCUAUGGCUCACAAAACAGGCUUUUUCAUUCGACGCUUUAAAUUGAAUUCGCAAGCAAACAAUAAGUACAAAAGAGAAAAAUACGGUAGAAAGGAAAAAACUUUUAUACAACAUUAGACAACAUGUUUUUGUUUAGAUAAAUAGCGAAGCUAAGUCUUCGUGAGCUUAACUCAGUUGGUUAAGGACAAUACAUAAUAUAUGUAAGGUUCGAGGUUCAAACUCCGACUACCAAAAAAAAAAUAGCAAAGACCAAGUCCUACCAACUAAAGCCUAGCCAAAACAUAUAAAUAUAAAAACAACACUCAAAACAAUACACUAACUCUUCGUGGGAGAGACAUGAGAAACAGAUGCUCGCAUCCGAACUUUAAAAACAUGACCACUCUUUUUUGGGUUAACAAUCUCAAACUUGAAACAGAGAAUGUCACGAACAUUGAUCCCAUUUUCAUCACAAAAUUCCUUCCAUCUCAUUCCCAGCGCAGUUUUCCUCGAAGGUGCAUCCAUGUAGAACUAAUAUACCAACCAAGUGAGAACUGAUGGCACUUAAUGCAUUCAGCUGAAGAUAAAAGUGCAUUGUGCAUCCAACCCGCAAGCCUAUGCUAUGAUAAGUUGGAAUCUGGUCAGGGUUUUCAUGUUUCUUGCUAUGAUAUAUCCCAAAAAGAUUAUCACCAUAGUAACAAAGUAUAACCUUCUCGUUGCUAUGAAAACCAAAUACAUCAUGCAUCUCUUUCCAUCAUGCAUCUCUAACCAUGUGGCUUUUAUCUAAAUAGUUCAUUAUUGUCCACUCUUCACCAAGAUCAUCCUUGUGAUCUUCCAGAAAAAUUGGAUUAACCACGCCAAAUUCCUUAAAAAAAAAGUUUGCAAUGCAUAAGGUGACAUAAAACCAAAACAAUACUUAAAGAACAACAAAUAAAUACUUACCUUGCUGCCAAGAUAAAGAGUAGUAAAACCACCACAUGGUUGUUGUUCAAGGUAAAUCUAGUAAUUCUCCAUAAGCAUUGUCGCUUGAACUUGUGUUGUGUGCAUACCCACCAAACUACUUAUAUAGAGAGAGAGAGAGAGAGAGAGAAAAACGUACAUUUUUUGAUUAAUUUUUUUAACUAUUCCCAUCGUUUCCAUAAUAACGUAAAAAUGGAGUCUAAAACACGUGGUAAGUACACAAAUAUGAAAAGAAAAAAAAAUGGUGGAAGAAAACCUAACAUAAAAUAAAGUAGGAGGUGACAACACGUUGAUAUAUUUGUUCAUGUUGAGUAAUAGUGUACUUUUUGUUUUAUACAAAUAUAAAGUUUGAUAAAACCAAGAACCAAAAAUCUUAAAUUGAUGUUUAAAAUUUUAAGACUAAAUCAAAUAGAGUUUACUUGAUAUACCCAAAUUACAUGUGGAUUUUAACCUCGAGGAUAACCAUACACACCAUGUUUACUAUUCAAUAUAUUUACAAUGUAUGCACUAUAUCUUUUGUUUUUUUGUUUUGUUUACAAUCAACUAUAUUUACUAUAAUUAAUAUACUUACUAUUUGCCAUACUUAUUAUUUAAUCCAUAAACUAUAUUUACCAUUAAUUGUUUAGUAUUUUUAUAUUACUAAAUCAAUAUUAAUAUUACUAUAUUACCAUUACUAUAACAAAAAUGAGGAAUUAGACCCUGCUACUUUUUAUUUAGUGGUCCACAAAAACUUAAAACUAAGUAUCAAAAACAUCAAAUAGUACAUAAAAUAAAAAGAGUAAUAGAUUAAAAUAGGCUUAAUUACUCUUUUGGUUUCUUAACUUAUUUUUUGGUUUCGUUUUGGUUCCUUAACUAUUAAAAGUUUUGUUUCGGUCCCAUAACUUAUUUUUGAGUUUUCUUUUGGUCCCUUAACUAUUAAAAGUUUCGUUUUGGUCCCUUAACUUAUUUUUUUGUUUCAUUUUGAUCCCUUAACUAUAAUACAUUCAUCCUAACAUAAAGGACCAAAGUGGUUGACGGAUGAAGAGUUAAGGGACCAAAACGAAACCAAAAAAGUAAGUUAAAGGACGAAAACGAAACUUUUAAUAGUUAAGAGACCAAAACGAAACCAAAAAAUAAGUCAAGGGACCAAAAGAGUAAUUAAGCCAUUAAAAUAUUAGGCAAUGAUCAUCCAGGUUCUUAAAACUAAAAGCCAAGAGAAUUAAAUGUGAUAUGUGCCACAUCCAAGGGCGUUAGUCAAGCAAGAAAAUGGACAUGACUAAAGGUAAAUAACACCCGGGACAAAAGAAACAUGAAAGAAAGGUCAAAAAGCAAAUAGCUUCCAAGGAUAACUUCAAUAGUUGAAAACUAUUUUCUGUCAUUUUUAUGAUCUUCAUCAAGCAAUGCAUAAAAGCAAGGAGAAUUUGAAACAGAUACCAUUGACAAUGAUGUGAAUGAAAACGUGUAUAUCUUAUAGCAAUAGUUAUCCAUCACCGACAAUAAAAUUGGAUUCAAAAUAUUUUUCCAUCAUAGCAAUCAUGUUUUCUGUUAAGCCAAAGAUAAAUUAAAUCCAACAAAAGAGGUAGAAUGACCAUUAAAAUUAUAUUUCUUCGAACCACCAAUAACAUGGAAAUUACAGGCUUAUUAAAUUAAAAAUAAAACAAUAAAUUAACACCAUAAUAUAGAAAUAAUAAAAGUUAUAAAAGUAAGUUAGAUAAGAGUCGUUUAAAAAAAUUCGAACAGGACUCAAAUUGUUUUUGAUAACUUGGACGAUAUUUAUGUUGAUGAUUUGGUUUUUGAAUCCAUUUUUACGUGGUAGAGUUUUUCUGAGGCAAAACAGAUGGUGUUCCUCGUAGAACUAAAAAAUAUUAUGCCAAGCUAGCUCUUUAACUUACAGCUAUGUACCACUUUGUAUUGCACCUCUUAUUUAUAGUGAAAUGCAUUAGUUAUGCUCCUGUCAAAAACAGAAGUUGCUUAAAAAAUUCAAUCAUCACAGCAAAAUGUGGAUGACUGGAUUAAGUAUGAUAUAGCAUAUAAUGAUUUUUCCUUCUCCAAUUUAAAAUAAAAAACAUUACUUGGUACCACAAAACAAACUUUUUAUUACACACGAUUAAAACAUGUCUAUAAUUCUUAUAAGUAUAGCAACAUAGAACACAAAUAAACUAUAGCAUGGAAACAAUAGAUUAGAAAGUUCAGCAGCAACAUACGUAAACACAUCACAUUUCUCGUGAGACCGCAUGAGGAUAUAAAGCAAAAUACAUCACAUUUCAAUCCUUGACAACCUUAGCAGACUUGGCUGAUUUCUUUGACCUCUUCCGAGAAACCUCAUCAAAUCCUUCACCAAACUCCUCUUGGCAUGAUGACUGGAAGUAGCAAACAACAUUGUCGUCGUUCAAAUCAGGGGUGAGUAUUAAAUUGGAGGUCAAACCUCAGGAGAGCCAACAAUCUCCCCAGAUUCUGCAGCAUUAGAAGGUGAAAGGGCUGCACCCUAAACAAACAAUUUAUCCAUUUCAGCAGGAUAAAAUCCAUCAUUUUCACCCUAAAAUAAAAUUAACGAACACAGUAAAAGACAAUUAACACCCAGUAAAUGCCCGUCAUUACAAUCGAAGUAGUUUCUGUCAACUGAGGAUAUUUAUAUUCAUAUCUCUAUAAAUCAGAAAAAAACUUAGCUGUGGCAACCAUGGAGGCACCCUGCUUGUCAAUAAGGAAUAUAAAGCAAUCGUUUCCUGACAGUGGCAUUAAUCUUGCAACCCUUCAAAGAUGAACAGGCAAAAAGGCUUUAAAAGAAAAGCAAUAAUCAUUAACCAAAUUAACCAAAAUAAUAAUCAAAGGCAAACAAACAGCAAUACAAACCUUCUCAUCAACAAACACCAUCUCAAUUGAAUUGAUCUGUUAUGAUUGAAGAAAAUCACGCACCUCCCACAAACGAACAACACGAAGCUUGAAUCUCCAAGACUCUCUUCCAGGAAGAACAUCAGACAGCAAAUCAAAGCUGCGAUACCUCUGUGACCAGACCUAAGACCCUUGUUAUCAAACCUAACACCUUUCAACAUUGCAGAAGACAUUAAAAAAAAAGAUUUAAACCAGAGCAGAUUGGAAAUCGGAAAAAGAAAAGAAUGAGAUGAGUUGUGAGAAACAGAAAGAAAUCCAGGACUAUUUAUAGAGGAUUUGAAAAAGAGGGGGAAAGAUAAAUUCUCCUUUGAUGUGAAUGGACAUGUAAUUGAAUUAGCUUAAAUUAAUUGGAGGAAUUGAAGGAAUUCAAUCAAACCCCACGUGCAUCUUCAAAUCAUCCUUUAUUCCUUGAUAACGACAGCUUUUUUUUCCUGUAGAAGAAAAAUAGAGAAGUAAACGGUUGUCCAAUCAAUCCCAAAAAAAUUCAAAAAGGCUCAUUAAACCGCGAAAAUUUCACCAAAUAUGUUACAAAAGUCAAACCACCAGCAGAUGAAUAUCAAUGGUCUGCUGAACAAUCUCAUUAACAUUGGUAAGAUUAAGGAAGCUUGUACACCACACCCUCGACCAACUUAUUAUGGAAGAGGUACAACAGCUGCUUACGAAUAGUAGCGUGAAUCCUAACACCCUUCAAAAUCAACAUGACAUACAACCUUGAACAAAAGGACAAAUGACAAAAACAAAAGCUAAAACCAGGGCAGUUUAAAUAAAAACACCAACCUUCUCAUCAACCAACACCAUCUCAACCGAAUUCACCUGUUCAGGAUGAAGAAACGCAGGAGCCUCCCACAGACGCACCACACGAACAAUGAAUCUCCAAGACUCCUUUCCAGGAGCAGCAUCAGAUAACAGAUCAAAACUGCUAUCAGCACCAGCACGGGUCUGCAGACCAGACUUAGGUAUUUUACCACCAUGCCUAGAACCUUUCAACAUUGCAGAUGACAUAACAAAAAUUGAAGGAAAGAGAGAGAAUUGUGGAUGAGUGUGAAAACACAAAAACAAACUAGCCCAAUUUAUAGAACAACAGAGCACAAGCAGCCAAAACGGUUUUAAAAGGGGGGAAUUGAAGGAGUUGAUGUGAAAGGACGUAUGGAUAUAAUAUAUUAAAUAAAGGAAACUAACCAAAACCCAUGUGCAUCAGCGUCUCCCUCGUACCAAUUCGUUGACAACGACAUCCCUUGACCUUUGAGAAACCAGAUAAACUAUUGAGAGGUAAACGGCCCUCACAUCAAACCGCCACAAAAUUCAAAUUUAGAAAGGGGAAAACAACCGCGAAAAUUCCAGAAUUAAAUUGGCACAAAAGUCAAUCCACCAAAUUUCUAAAUCUACAGUGGACUUUUUUUUCACGUCUUGAUAAGAGUAUGGAUUUGAAAUGGUGGUUAGACCUAACACAAUCCCACAAAACCGAUUUGUGAGGUGAGGAUUGCCUCCACUUAUAAAUAAAUUGUCAGGCCAACUCCUAACCGAUGUCGGACUCUUAACACACCCCCUCACGCUUAGGAUUGCACAUCUGAAGCGUGAACAUAAAUGACGGGUGGCCUGAUAACGGAAACCUGAUAACAGGUGGCUCAAAGAAUCGUGAAGAGGCUCUGAUGUCAUAUUAGAAAUGGUGGUUGGGCCUAACACAACUCCACAAAACCGGCUUGUGAGGUGAGGAUUGCCUCCACUUAUAAAAAAAAUUGUCAAACCAACUCCUAACUGAUGUGGGACUCUUAACACCUGCUCCUCCGUUCUCAUAUUCUCCGUGUUUAUUUAUUUUUUCUCUAUUCAUUUUGCUUCUCAUUAGUUUGAUUUCUUUCUUGCUAAUUUUAAGAUUUUGUACUUUGAAAUUGUGAUCAUGGAAACUAAUUAUUAUUGUACAUGGUACUUGUUAUGUCGACAUUUGAAUUGAACCUGUAAUAUUGUGUGAAAGAUCCAAAGAAUGACAAAUAAAGUGGAAUUGAGUCUGAUCCUUGAUAAAUCAAUUUUCAAAUAAAAAACUGAACCAGUCAAAUUGUGAUCAAUGAAACCUAAUAAGAAGCAUGGAUUUUGUUUUCUCCGCUCAUGGCAAUCCCCCACUCCAAGUCUUCAACCGAUCAAAAAAUACAUUGACCUUCACAAAGCCUCUACCCCUAAACCGUCCUUUUGAGAAAAACUUUUGGGUUCUACCCAAGAGAUCCAUCCUAGAGAAAAAGAAGAGUUGGUAGAGAAGAAACUUGUCUGCAUUGAGCUUGAAGCUGGUAAUCGUCUUCUUCCCAAAAUCUAUUUGGAGUCGAAUGUAUUUCAGGAACUAUGUACCCCUUGGAAAGAUAUGCUUGUGUUGAAACUUUUAUGGAAACCAUUGGACUAAAACACCAUGAAGGAACGCCUCCAAAAAGUGUGGAAGCUACAAGGUGGAUUAAAUAUCAUGGAUAAUGAUAAUGGGAUUUACAUGGUAAAACUUGACUAGGCAGCAGACACAGAAAAAAUCAUCACGGGAGGGCCAUGGAUAAUAUUUUAUCAUUGUUUAGCGGUCUCUCAUUGGUGACCUGAAUUUGCUUCCCUAAAUGCUAAAAUAGAUCGCACGGUCGUCUGGGUACGUUUUAAUGGCCUCAAUUUAGUUUCUUAUGAGAAAAGUUUCCUCGUAGCCAUGGCUUCAGCAAUAGGAAGACCAAUCAAUGUGGACACUAAUACCUGAAAGGUUGAAAGAGGUAGAUUUGCUAGAGUAUGUGUCGAUGUAGAUCUUAUUGUCCUUGUUGUUGGUAAAAUUUGGGUCAAUGGUCAUUGGUAUAAAGUUCAGUAUGAAGGUCUUCAUCUUAUUUGCACAAAUUGCGGUUAUUAUGGCCACCUUGGUCGAAACUGCCCCACCACCCCAACCGUGCCGAAAGUCGCGGCACAACCUCAACAUACCCAUCCUCAUCGCCCCACACCAAGGUCAACCCCAAGUCAACCCCCAAAUUUUUCUGAACAUCUAAACAUCAGCCAAGGUGAAAAGGAAGACUUACAUGGUGAUUGGCUUAUAGUUACUAGGGAAAAAAACUAAACUAAACUCAAUCUGCUAGCCUCGUAAAACACACCAAAUGAAUCAAAUAGAUUUAUUUCUUUAUCCCUCGUGGCCCACAACAAUAAAGCUUCCACAUCCCAUCAUACUCUUCCUCCUAACAUUCUUUAUGCUACUUCCCAACCCAAAGACUCUCCCACUUGGUCUUCAAUCAUUCAUGCUAAAAAUGCUCUCAGAGAAGGUUUAUGUCGGCGUGUGGGUUCAGCUAUUUCUUCCUUCAAGUUUUGUCCUUGGAGCUCUCUAGGUCACAUAUGAUCGAUUGUUUCAGUCAUAGACAUACAAUCUCAGGUUUUAUACAUGCAACUUCUCUCAUCGGCAUCUGAUUCCAUCAACAACUUGAACAUUAAGUUCAACCCCUCCUUCGAUGAUGCUUUCAUCUAGGCAUCCAACAAAAAUGGCGCCUACACUACUAAGAGUGGCUAUGCCUGGCUGCUGUCCCAUUCAAACAUGAUUGCUCAUGGUCAAACUUCUUCCUCUUGGUCUUGGAUUUGAAAAUUAAAAUCUUCUGAAAUGCACAAAUUUCUUUUUUUGUUGGCUUGCCAAAAUUAUGUCCCCACUCUUUUAUUGCUCAACAAUAGGAAUAUGGAUUCAUCGACCCUUUGCUCUCGUUGUGGUCUUGAAGAUUAGACUUUUCUUCAUUGUGUCCGUGACUAUAAUUUCUCUCGUAUUAUUUGGAACCAUGUUGAAUUCAAUGAUACAAAUUUCUUCACAGAUAAGAAAGUGAGCCACUAGUUAAAGAAGGUCUCUUCGGGUACCAAGCCUUCCUUUUCAUGGCCACCGUUUGGUGGCUUGGCGUUGUAACACCCUAUUUCUAUUAAAGCGAUAAAACACACGAAUAAUAUAAAUAUUCAAGAAAUAGACGUCACAUCAUCAACAAAAUCCGAAACAACAUGCAUGUAUAAAAAUUUCCAACAGUCGCAGCAGAUAAAAAUCAUACAUCUCAAAAGUAUACAUGCCAUGAUAUCAAAAAAUCUCAAUAUAAAAAUUCUCCAAAUCCCGACAAGUGGGCAAAUCUCCAACACAUAAAUAAAUCCACAACAGAUAAUCUAGAAUAAUCAUAAACAGACACCUAGAUCAAAGCCUAUCCUAGACUCUAAGGACUUGAUAACGGAGAUGGCUUCCGCUAUCCAAGCAACCACCAAGCAACUCACAAAAGCGACUAACCCUGUACUUCGUCUACUCAUCCAUACAGACAGGUAGAUGGUCCAAACCACUAGGGGUAAGCUUUACAUCAAUCAUAAUCAAUAAAAUAAAUUUGAGCAUAUAUGAAUUAAAGUCGAUUCCGAGUACUUCACAUAAACAUUUAAUUCAAUAUGCACAUUCAUAUAACAAUCCCAAAUAUCACGAUCAAGUAUUCACCAAGCAUACUUAUAAUCAACAAUUAUCAUUCACAUCUCAUCACAAUCUUCAACAAUUAUCAUUCACAUGCAACAAUUACGACUCAUGUCAAUAUGCUAUGCGCCUAAUUCCGACACAUACAUGCAUGUGGUACCAAACAACAACAACAAGAUGCCAACCGCACAUCUUAUGUAAGAGUACACCUCCUCUUACGCACAACUAUGUAAAAGUACACCUCCUUUUACAUUUCUCAUAUGACUCGAUAUGACGAUGAUGCAUGGACAUAAGCAAAGACUCAAUAAUGCAAACUACUCAACAUAUACAUACACCAACACAAUGUAAAAGUACACCUACAAUUACAUUGUUCAACUUCAACAACAAUUGCAUUAUCAAGUAUUUACAUCCACACAAUCAACAUGUCAUCAUUCCAUUAAGAGUCGUCCCCAAAAUAUCACAAUUCAUCAACAUAUAUUCAUUAAUCAACUUCAACUAUAUUUUAUAGUUCAUGAACUUUGCAUAAUUUAUCAACAUCCAAGUAAAAUGGAAAAUACAACACCUUCUGAUAAACGUCACCUCAAACACUUACCAUUUACUCACAUAUCUUCAUUCAAACAUAUACAACUAAUCACAAAGGAAUGUAAGCAAUUGGCCUUAAAGAAUCAUUUUUGACAAAAUCCGUAUCAAGUGGCAAACGGCCAACAUUGAUAAUUUCCAAAAUAAAAUACCUUAUUCAAGUUUGAAAAUUCACAAAUCAAUCUUAAUCAAUCAUGUAGUCAUGAGCUUAAGCCACUUACAAACUAUUAGACAUUAGUUCAAAGUAUAGCUUAAGUUCGUAUGAGAAAACCCAAGUUUACAUUUUCCACAUUCCCACCCGAAAUUCAAGUUUAACAUGAUUAAGAUGUGAAACCAACUUUACAAGUCUUGUAUAAGUCUAUAUGAAUGAACUGUAGACCCAACUUGUAAUCCCAUUUAGUUCAAAAAAGUUCAUUUCGACGAAAAUCCAAAAUUUCCAAGAUCCAAGUUUCAACACAAAAUGGAAAAUCCCAAAUUCGAAUGAGUAAAACAUGUUACAAUAGGUUUAGGAGUUCAAACAGUGGUUAAAAAAGUUGAAAGAAACAUUUUACAAAACUCGGAUUGGUGUAACACUCCGUUUUUCCAACUUGAAAUUUUUUGCAUACAAAUCAGAGUAAUCAACUUAACAGGAUGUCACACUGAUCUAAAAGAUAAAUAGAGUAGAAUUACUAUUUAUUCAAAACAUCUCAUGUCAUCAAUUCAAAUCUCAUUGCAGCGGAAAACAUUAAUUAAACAACGUAAUGACACAACGACCUCAACAUAAACAAGUUAUUAAACUCCAUUCUAGGUGGUUCCUCAACAUAAAAUCAUAGAAAUAUGUAACACAAGGAAAACAAGCAAGAUCAUCUCGUUACGUAUCAGAGCGACCCUAAGACGACGCGUGAGAGAGUCGACUCACUUCAACAGCUAUUCCUGGUUAUCUACGCGUUACCCUCGUAGAGGCAAUAUUCAAACAGAAUGGGUGAGAUUUCGCAUCCAAUAAUAAUAAGCAUAUAAUUCAUCAACAUAAUUUAACAACAUAAACAACCACAAUAAAUAAUAUUGAUACUUCACAUAACUUAUCAUUAACAACUCAUUAGUAAUUGACAACUGGACAACAACGACAAUGCGAUAACAUCAACAUCUACUCGACAAUGCAACAACGACAACUUACACAUGAAUGUGGUACCAAUCAGGGCAUCAAACCCCCAACGUAUAGAGAGAAUAGGCUCACAGGGCAUCAAACCCUCAACAUAUAGAGAAAAUAGGCUCACAGGGCAUCAAGCCCCCAACUUAUAGAGCAAAUAGGCUCACAGGGCAUCAAGCCCUCAACUUUAAUGAGUAUGCAUGGACUUAGCAACCAACAACUUAGACAACUUAGACGACUUCAACAACUUAGAACAACAACUUACAACUUGGCGACUUUGACAACAACUUGCAACUUAACGAUAUUAACAAUCAACAACAACAAGGACAACAACAAUAACAACCUGCAACAUUAACCACAACAACUUGAAUGAUAUGAACGACUAUAUUUCUAUAUUAUACAAUAUUCGCAUAAUAUAUGUAUCUCAAAUCAUCCAAAAACAACAUUCAUAUUAAUUCAGACUCACUGAACAACAAUAUAAUUAUAAACCACUUUCAUUCCUACCUGAAAGACUAACUUAGAACGUCACGUGCGACAAGGAUCACAAGAACACUAAACAAGGUUGACUGCCACUGAGUAACUCGCGAGGCGAGCCACUCUACUCGCUAUGCCGAGCUAAAGCUGAUGGCUCUCGGGAGUUUUGACAUUUUUCACUCAAAAAUCUCAUUUUUAACUUCCCUAUGCCCAAAUUUGAUCAAAAACUUUCCUAAUCAUUUCUAAACAUGUUAAUGCACUCAAAACCAUAUAAAACUUUACCCCUAACAUUAAUUCACAAAAUCAUAAUUUUCUCACUGGGUAAUUCGCGAGGCGAAAGAGGUUACUCGCAAUGGCGAGCGAUGAAGAUGAUCACUCGCGAGGCGGGAAGGAUUACUCGCUAUGGCGAGCGAUGACGAUCUGCUCUACGGACAGAACACAAUUUCAGCAAAAAUUUACCUAAUUCCAUAAUUCUAACCUUAAAACUGAUUUUAAUCAUUGCUGUUGUGAUGAAUAUGAUCUACUUUGAUGAUUAAUGUGAGAAUAUUUAUAUAUUGUGAAAGAUGUUGAUAUGAAGUUGUAAUGGUUGUAUUAGAUGAUUAUUGUUGAUGUUGACUUGCUGUAAAUUAUUGAAUGGCGUUGCCUUGCUGAUGUGAUGUAUUAAUAUCAUUAAGAUGCUAAUGUUUAUUUAAGUUGUUUAAGUUGUAAGAUGUUGAUCCAAAUUAUUGGAGUCAUAAGAGAUGUCUAAGUUGUUAAGAUGUUGAGUCCAUUGCAUACUCAUUUACGAUGGGCGAGGGCUUGAUGCUCUGUGAGCCUAUUUACGCUCAAUAAGUUCGGGGCUUGAUGUCCUAGUUGGUACCACAUGCAUGAUUAAGAAGUUGAAGUUGCCUAAGUUGAAUUAAGUUAUGGAAGUUGUAUUGUCGUUGUCGUCGAGUUGUCAUUGUUAAUGAGUUAUUGAUAAAGAACUAAGUGAAGUGUUAAUAUUUAUUAAAUGUUGUUGUUUAUGUUGUUGUGAUAUUAUUAUAAGAUGAUGAAUACGUUGUUGUUUAUGUUGUUGUGAUAGUAUUAUAAGAUGAUGAAUAUGUUGUUGUUUAUGUUGUUGUGAUAUUAAUAUAAAUGAUGAAUAUGUUUCUGUUUAUGUUAUUGUGAUAUUAUUAUAAGAUCAUGAAUACGUUGUUGUUUAUGUUGUUGUGAUAUUAUUAUAAGAUGAUGGAUAAUGCUGUCGUCUAUAUGAUUAUGAAGUGAUGAUUAUGUAGUCUAUGUUGUUGUGAUGUGAAUAUUAUAUUGUGUCUAAUGAGAUGAUGACUAUUCUGUGUGUUAAAGAUGUUAUUUAUGAUGUGAUGAUCUAUGUUGGUUAAGAUUUGGUUGUUAUGUACUAUAUGAUAAUGUUUAUAAUGUGAUGAUUAUGAAGUUAUUUAUGUCGUUAAAAUUAAUUAAUGAAUUAUAUGUUUGAUAUUAUUGUUUUGCGAAAUCUCACCCCUUCUGCUUGAAAAUGUUGCUCUUCGUAUGAGUAACUUGCAGGUGAUCGAGUUAGGUUGCUGUGUUUUGCUGUCGUGAGUGGCUAUCCCUCACUGAGUCGUUUAGGUGCUCUGAUAGGUAAUAGGAUGUGAUCUUUUGUGGCUAUUUUCUAUUCCUUUACGUAUUUGAUUAUGAUUUUAUGAUUAAGUUGUUUAAAUGAAUAAUUAUGAGAUAUUUGAUGAGGCCUGCGUGCCAAGACUUAUUUAUGAUGUUGAAUUAAAUACGCUGCAAUGUUUUGAAAUUGAAUUAUAUUGAAGGAUAAUUAGUUAAUUAUCUCAUUUAUGAUUUUUAGAAGUGUAGCAUUCCGUUUCUAUGCUGAUUACUCUGAUAAUAUGUUUGAAAAUUUUAAGUUAGGAAAACGGGGUGUUACACGAGCGAGAGCAUCUAUCUAGGUUCAAUCUCAUUCUAAUCAUCUAAGGAUCAACUCAAAAGUCAAAAUCACGAAAUUUGGAUAGCUCUAUGGUCAUGCUCGCUAUGGCGAGUUCAUUUGCUCGCUAUGGCGAGCUGCGACGUGCAACUCGCGAGGCGGGUAAGUUGCUCGUGUGGCGAGCGAUGAAGUUCAUCACUCGCUAUGGCGAGGAUCAUAGCUCGGGAGGCGAGCGAUGAAUGUCGCUACGGGCAGAAGUGCGAUUUUUCACAAAAAUCACUAACUCUCAUGGUUUUAAGCCUAAUCUUGAUUCCAGAAUUCAUCAUAAUCAUUAUCUAAGGUCUAGGGACAAUUUCUACAUCAUUCUAACAAGUUUUCACCGUUUAAUCAUCAAUUCCAUCAGUUUUAACCUACUUUUCGAUUUCUCUAAAACUCAUUCUACUUCAUGUUAAACCUAACCAUUGAUUCACAUACUUAACAGAAUUGCAAAGUUAGUCUCACCCUUACCUUAACAAUGAAAAUUGCAGCUCUCUAAGUGCUUCUCCCUUCUCUUAGCUUUUACUCCCUUUUCUUCAAAAUUGAUCGUACGUUAUGUUUUUUCUAAACUAGGUCUCUCCUAUUUAUAAAAAUCCUUAACGUACUUAUUUUUCUCUUAUAUCUCAAAUCUUAAUAUUCUAUUAUAAUAUAUAUAUAUAUAUAUAUAUAUAUAUAUAUAUAUAUAUAUAUAUAUAUAUAUAUAUAUUAUUUCUAUAACGAAUAACAAAUAUAUCUCUAUAAUCAUAUAUAUUUCUACAUUAAAUAACAUAUAUUUCUACAACAAAUCAACAUAUAACUUUACAAAAUAUCACUCAUAAAAAAUAAAUCAUAUAAAUCACACAAAUCAUAUAAGUAUAUUCUAAACUCAUUUAAAUAAUCAAAUAAUUAAAGAGAGCGUUACACCACAUAACCAUUUAAAUCACAUAAAUCAUAUAAAUAGACUAUAAACCCAAUAAAAUAAUUAAAUAAUCAAAUAGGGCGUUACAAUUGACCCCCUAAAGUCCGGAACGAAAAUAAAAGGUGGCUGAAACUGGGCAAGUUCGCUUAAGCGACAACCUUGUUCGCUUAAGUGAACAAGUUCCAGAAGCUACAACAAAAGUUCGCUUCCGGUUCGCUUAAGCGACCCAGUCACAGAACCUAUUGUGAUUGUUCGCUUAAGCGAUCAGUCAUAGUUCUGCAGAAAAAAAAAUUACAGGUUUCAACCCUUUUUCACCCAAAAUUCCAAAUUUUGAUCUCCCCCAAUGCCCAAAUAUGUUUCCAAAGUAGGUUUACAGGUCAAAACAACAAAAAGGGUUCCCAAGCAGACAUCAAACAUGAAAACAAUUGCCAUUUGAACACAAUUCACCAAAUCAACCUAUUUUUACAAAACCAACGACAAUAAUUUAUUUCUCAACAUCAAAUCAUGAUUUAUGAACACCCAAGCCAUGAAUCAUCAACAACAAUAUCUCUUAGCAACAACAACAUCAGUUAAACAUGAUUCUCAUCAUAAUUCAACAACAACAUAACACAAUUCAACAUUUAGAGCAUAAUUCACAAUAUAUCCUGUUCACAUACUAUGAACAUGCAAUUUCACCAACAACAAUUCAAUUAUCAUCAAUUUCAUGUAUUCAAACAUAUCAUCAUAAUUGGAGCACGAAUUUCAACAACUAUGAACAAAAAAUCACUUAUUCAAUUAAGCAUUUAAUCAUGCAAUUAAUGAAAAGUUACAACUAAUUGAUUAUGGUUGAAAUCUAACCCCCUUACCUUAGUUAGUGAACAUCCUAGCCCAAACUUCAAUUUAGCUCUUGGAAAUCUCCACCACCUCUUAGGUCUUCAAGUCUUCUCUCUUCUAACCCUUUUCCUCUUCUCUUGCAUUUUCUCUCUCUCUCUCUCUCUCUCUCUCUCUCUCUCUCUCUCUCUCUCUCUCUCUCUCUCUCUCUCUCUCUCUCUCUCUCUCUCUCUCUCUCUCUCUCUCUCUCUCUCUCUCUCUCUCUCUCCAAAAAUCUCAUGAAAUGAAAAAAUGAAUGCUAUUUUAUCUUAAGACAAGGUUUAUAUAGGCUAUUCUCAAAUGGGCUUAACCCUAAUGCCUUAGUGGGCUUAACCCACCCAAUCACAAUUCUAAAAUGUUUCUACACACUUAACGGUAAAAUACUAACAACGGUCACUUAUCGGCUCACAACUAUUUAUCACACUAGUAACUUAGUAAAAUAAUGGCUCUCACUUGAAACACUAAAAAUACUCCUCACCAAAAAUUACUAAUUUAUCCUUACUCACAAAAUGACCAAAAUACCCACUGAAAGGGAUGCGAUUGGCGACGAUGGAAGUGGUGGUGGGCGGCGAUGGGAGGAGAAGAGAAGCUUCAGAUCACGUUAUUGGGGAAGAGGUGAAUGAAGGAAGAUAAAUUGCAUUUUUUUUUUUAAAGAAGUACUUUAUAAAAUUUUAAAAUAUGUUAAGACAUUUGUUACCUUACCCAACUUGUAGCUUUUGGGAAAGUGACGAGGUCAAGAGAUGAACUGAGUUUUGUACACCUCUAAUCAACUUAUACUCUACGAUCUUAAAUAUUUUUUUUGCAUUGUCAUUCCAUAAAUUUCGGAUUGUUUUUCCAAAUUGAGUCUUAAUUUCUAAGCAAACCAUCUAAAAAGAUACCAAAUAAUUCAGAACGAUUAUUCAAUAAAGUGAUCAAAGUACAUCUUGAAAAACCAUCAAUAAAAGUCAAAUGUGGUUGUUUUAGAUAGAGACCAAAUACAUUUUCCAUUUUUAACUAAGUAGUGUAAAAAUAGUGUUUUUAUUUAAAUUUUUUUUUAAUUUUUUUAUAGAAGUCAAAUGUAUUUGUUCUAAAUAUGAACCAAAUACAUUUUACUUUUUACUUAAAUUUAAGAUGAUAAAACAAUGUUUUUUUUUAGGGGUAGUUGUGUUUUUGAUAAGCAACUUCAAAUAACAUUUGAGCUUUUUAUUUUUUUCUCUAAAUUUUAGCCUAAUUAUCUUUUAAAUAAGUAAAUAAUCCUUAUAAAUAUCUAAAAUUUUGUUUAGUCAUACAGAAAUUACACCUUUUAGUCCUCGUAAGCAUUUUCAUUUAGCAAUUUUAAGGACAAAAAAUAUUGAUGAAUUUUUUUUCAGGAAUUAAAAAUGUUGAUGGAAAAUUUUACAAAGGUUAUAAAUGCUGACAAAUUUUUCUAUGAAGACUAAAACAUACAAUUUUGUUUUGAGGGAUUAAAAACAAAAAAAAUCUAAAAUUUUGUUUUGAGGGAUUAAAAACAAAAAAAUCUAAAUAUUUACAUGGAUCAAUUACUUGAUUAACCCUUAUCUUAAUUGAAAUAUUAAAUUUUUAAUUAAAAAUAGUUUUUUCUACGUCAUUUCAUAUUCAUUAACUAAUUUAAGCACUUAUUUUAUCAAAAGCUACAAAUUCAUUUCACUAUCUUAUAUCAACUACUUUGUCUACCCUAACUAUGAGACCACCUUCUACUUUUUUUUUUUUUUAAUAUAAAGACUAUUUUCAAAAUUCACAUGCACUUAUGUUUUUCUUGCAAAAAUACCCUUAUUUAACUUUUUGAUAAAUAUAUAAAACUAACAUAAAUUUUUGAUAAAUUUUUCACAAUUUUAUUUUAUUUUUUGCAGGAAUUUUUCACUACAAUUAUUUUUCUUAAUACCUAUUAACAUUGUUGGAGGAUCUCUCUCAAAAAUUUGUCAAAGGAGCUUUUUUUUUUCCUAAUAAAAAAAAUUAAAUGAUAAUAAAAAUUUGAGUUUUUCUACUAGCACCCUAGUUAAUCAUGGUUGCACCUCAAAAUAACAAGAUUACCCUUUCAUAAAAUUUCAUCUUAAACUUAGUUGAAGUAGGUCAUAUAAAUUGAGUUUAAGUGUAUAUACUUAAUCUCAGUUUAAGUAGGUUCAUGUAAACUGAGUUUAAGUAGGUCAUGUAAACUGAGUUCAUGUAAACUAAAUUUAAGUAAGUGUACCAACUUAAACUCAGUUUAAGUAGGUUCAUGUAAACUAAGUUUAAGUAGGUCAUGUAAACUUAGUUUAAGUGCACAUCUAAAAGUUCAAUCUUAUUCAAUGAUUAUACGUCAUCUCAGUUUAAGUAUGCACAUGUAAACUCAGUUUAAGUAGGUUCAUGUAAACUUAAUUUAAGUAGGUUCAUGUAAACUCAGUUUAUGUAAGUUAGGUCAUGUACACCCAAUUUAAAUUUAAGUAGGUCAUGUAAACUUAGUUUAAGUAGGUUCAUGUAAACUCAGUUUAAGUAUGUUCAUGUAAACUCAGUUUAAGUUUAAGUAGGUUCAUGUUAACUCAGUUUAAGUAGGUUCAUGUAAACUUAGUUUAAGUAGGUUCAUGUAAACUCAAUUUAAGUAGGUUAAUGUAAACUCAGUUUAAGUUAACCUUGCCAAUGUAAAUUAAAACCGUAAUCGUACAGUGCAUCAGUGCAGUUGAAGGAAAAAAAUUGAAACUAGCAAAUAGAAGAAAAAAUUCACUUACUUAUAUCCAAUUGAGUAUGGAUGAAAAAUAUGUUGAUUCACUCUUUAAUUUUCAUGGGGAUUGAUAUUGAACAUCAAAUUGUUUGAUCGAUCGCUUUGUGGGGUGAAAGAGGGUGAAACUCACUGGCAAUGAAUAAAAUUAGGGUUUUAAGAAAAUUUAUAUAAAAGGACAAUUUUGGUAUUAUCAAAAACUUUUAAGAAAAUUUGGAUGAUUUACUCCAAAUUUAUAUGUAAAAAAAAAAAAAGAAAAAAACACAUUUUCCUUUUAUUUUAUUUUUUUCAAAAUGAUUCCUAGGCAAAUCUCAUGCUUUGCCACGUGAAAAAUUCACACUUCCCAUCAUCACAACAAACACAUACUUUUGUUCCUGUUUUUUUUAACAUUAAAAAAUGGGGCAAUUGUUGAAUUCAUACAAAUAUUCCAUUUGAAACAAAUUUUCAGUUACAACAACUAUCUUCAUCUUCUUCAAUCAUUCUGCUUCCAAUGGAAAACCUUAGAAACAACAAUUCAAUGACGGAAGAAGAAGACGAUCCCGGAAGUGCAUUAUCCUUCGACUCAACCGAAUCAAGAUGGGUUUUUCAAGAAGACGAGGAUCCAUCUGAGAUCGAGGAUUACGAUGCUUCUGAUAUGCGCCAUCAAUCUAUGUUUGAUUCUGAAGAUGAAGAUAAUGCUGAAAUGAAGCUUAUUCGUACUGGUCCUAGAAUUGAUUCGUUUGAUGUUGAAGCUCUUGAGGUUCCUGGUGCUCAUACUCAUCACUAUGAGGUGUGUGGUUUUUUUUUUUGGUAGUUUUUUUAAUGCUUGGUUUUUGUAUUAAUGGAUUGAUUUUUAGUAAUUAUUAGUGAUUAGGUAUUUAAUUAAAUUGUUUCUCAAGUUGUAUUUGUACUAUAUUAUGUUUGAUUCCGCCUUUUGAGGAGUCGAAAUUGAUUCGAGUAAUGUAGAAUUGUUUUUGAGAGAAGACGUAUAGAUUCUAGAGGAGUAGAAUUGAUUUUGGAAGGGGAGAAAUUGAUUCUAGAGGAGUAGAAUUGAUUUUGCUUGUAGAAUUGAUUCUAGUUGAAGCUAGUAGCUUUAGGGUUCUUGUUGUCCGUUUUGAUUGGCUUAUUUUUGAGUUUAUGAAAAAUAGCUUAUGCAAAUAAAUAAGCUUUUAUAUUAAUUCAUAAGCUCUCACUAAAAAAAAUUGUAUAUGCAUAAGCUGUGUUUUCAUAAACUACCUUGACAAGCUUAUGAAUAAUACAUAAAAACUUAUUUAUUUGCAUAAACUGUUUUGCAUAAGCUCAAAAAUAAACCAUUUUACAUCCAACUCACUUUUACUCAAAAUCAAUUUAUUCAAUAUCAAUUCUCACAACCGUAGAACCAAACACACCUAAGGAGAGUAGAUCAAAUGAAAGAUAACCAAAGGUAGAGGAAGAUCUAGAAAAACUAUAAGAGAAACUAUUAAGAAAGAUUUAGAGAUUAACAAGUUGGACUGAAACCUGGUUUACGAUAGAACAUUAUGGCGUAAUUUGAUCCAUGUAGCCAACCUCACUUGGUGGGAUAAGCCUUGGUUGUUGUUGUUGUUGGUGUAUUUUGACAUGUUUGAUUGUUCUCUAGUAGAAUUGAUUUUGCCUCAAGAAUUGAUUUUAACUUGAAGCCAGAAUCUUUUGGCUUCCAGAAUUGAUUUUUUGCCUUGAAUUUAUUUUUCAACUCACUUUUGCAUCAAUGAUGUAUCCACACAUAAACCACUUUACAUUCAAAAUUAAUUUGUGUCACCGCGUAGAACCAAACAUACUUUUAGUGUAUGUUUACUUCCACUUUUUGAGGAGUCAAAAUUGAUUCUAGUAGUGUAGAAUUGAUUUUGACAUGUUUGGUUGUUCUCGAGCAGAAUUGAUUUUGUCUCAAGAAUUGAUUUUAACUUGAAGCUAAAAAUCGUAGCUUUUGGCUUCUAGAAUUGAUUUUUAUCUUUGAAUUUAUUUUUUAACUCAUUUUUGCAUGAAUGAAUGUAUCCAAACAUAAAUUACUUCACAUUCAACUCACUUAUAGUCAAAAUCAAUUUUACAUAAUCAAUUCAUUCAAAAUCAUUCAGAACUAAACACACACUGUGCUGAUCAUAAGAUUCGUUAUGCAGCUGUGAUGUGAAUUCUGCUAGUGUGUAUGGUUUUACAGUAGUGAGAGCCAAAAGUGAGUCCAAACAUAUUAAAUUGAUUCAACAUGUUUGGGUGAUGUCUAUUGGAAUUGAUUUUUCCCUAGAAUUGAUUCUAACUUGAAGCUAAGAUUUGUCGUUUUUAACUCAAAACGUGAUUUUUACACUCAAAUUUAAUGUUUAACUCACUUUACGCGAAUGUAUGUAAACAUAAACCACUUCACAUUCAAUUCACUUUUAACUGAAAUAAAGUUACAAAAUCAAUUUUUGUCAGUUUUAGUAUUUUUUUGUAUCUAUUUUCUUCAUUGUGUUUUGUUGUUGCAGGAUAUGACCACGGGAAAGAAAAUUGUGUUGGCUUUUCAAACUCUUGGUGUUGUCUUUGGUGAUGUUGGAACAAGCCCAUUAUAUACCUUCAGUGUUAUGUUUAGAAAGGCACCUAUUAAUGACAAUGAAGACAUUCUUGGAGCAUUAUCACUUGUCUUGUACACUUUAAUCUUGAUUCCUUUCCUCAAAUAUGUUCUUGUCGUUCUCUGGGCCAAUGAUGACGGCGAAGGUAUGGUGGUGAAUUUAGUCUUUUAAAGAUAAAAUAUUUCUUUCUCAUUUCCUCUUAUAUACUCUAUCUUUGGUUUUGUUUAUAGUUGUUUUGAAACCAUUGCAGGUGGUACAUUUGCAUUGUAUUCCUUGAUUUGUCGAAAUGCUAAGGUGAAUCUUCUUCCCAAUCAGUUGCCGUCAGAUGCCCGUAUAUCAGGCUUUAGGCUAAAGGUUCCGUCUGCUGAGCUUGAAAGGUCUUUAAAACUCAAGGAAAGGCUGGAGUCUUCAUUCACUCUGAAGAAGAUUCUGCUAUUAUUAGUUCUUGCUGGUACUUCUAUGGUGAUAGCUAAUGGGGUUGUUACACCAGCAAUGUCAGGUUACUUACUGCUCUAGUAUCAUGUAUUGUGUAACUUCUACACAAAUGCUUUUGUCAUAGUAUGUUUAGAAUUCAGAUUGAUAGAUAUAUCAUGCUUGUAAAUUCUGAUGACAUCUUGCUGCUUGUGUUCAUGGCCAGCUGUUGUUUUCAAUAAGCUCUUGUUUACUUCAUAUUGAUUCUUACUUUACAAAAUUUUCUUCUUGCAGUACUAUCAUCUGUUAAUGGCUUGAAGGUUGGGGUAGAUGCAAUUCAACAAGGUAUUGUGUUAACCUAUUAACAAGCUCUUGUGCGUUAAUACCUGCAUUUGAUAUUACCCACAGACACAUUAUGAUCAUAGCAUAUCUUUUGUCUUUCUUUCUACUUAGAAAUUAAUAAUUUUUGCUUCUCCAUUAAUAGCACUAGCUUUCGAGGUAUUAUUUUGGUGUGUAAAGUUGCCUGAACUAUGCUUUGGUCCAUUGGUGAGAAAAUUCAGUUAUGUGUUGAUAGGGUGCUUAUGCUUUGUAUAUUAAUUCAACCUAAGUGUGUACAGGAUGCCGUUCCUAUAGUUUAGGCAAAUCUGGUGGAAACUGGGAAAAAUUGGUUAAAUAUUUCAAUUUUAGAAUUACUUAUGUAGCUGGAUUAAUUUUUUCUACUUUUUCAUUGAUUAUGCAGAUGAAGUGGUGAUGAUUUCUGUUGCUUGCCUUGUCGUUUUGUUCAGUUUACAGAAGUAUGGAACAAGUAAAGUUGGGCUUGCUGUAGGACCUGCAUUGUUUAUAUGGUUCUGUUCUCUUGCGGGCAAUGGUGUAUACAAUCUUGUCAAAUAUGACAGCAGCGUUUUUAGGGCUUUUAAUCCUAUUCACAUCUAUUAUUUCUUUGCAAGGAAUUCAACUAAAGCAUGGUAUUCUCUUGGGGGCUGUCUUCUGUGUGCAACUGGUAAACACAUAUGCAGAAUCAUUGAUAUGGUAGAUGUGAUAAUAUAUAUUCUCUCUUGUCGUGUAUAUUUUGAUUCUAUUGAUGUCUCUGUUUUUCUCUAUUUUUAAACCAAUGUGCUGGUAGCAAUUACAAUGGCUAAUUUUGAUUUUUCCAUUUACUAUCUGAAGUUUAAUGAAAUGCCUACUGGCAUCUAUCAUGAUUUUGAGAUUCAAUGGAGUUUGGGACCUGAGUCUUUCUUUUCUUUGGUGCUUGAAAAAAGAUUCAGGUUUAAGUGCUUAAGUAUUGAUAGUUAAGAGUACCACUGAUCAACUUGGUAACAUGUCUUGCAUGAAUGAUCAAGGAAUAUAGGCUUCAAACCAUAUAUUGUCUUUGAAUUUAAAACACGCAAGAAAUCACCAGACCAUACAACAAAAAGUUUGAAAGCAAAAAAAUGAAAUGUAGUUUUUUAGCUGGUUUACUGUUUUUUUUUUUUUAACGACAAAUGUUUGUUUUGUUAAUAUUUAUGUUGGGAUGGAUGGGUGGCAGCUGGUUUACUAUAUAGGAGGGACUGCAUUUUUCUGUUAUAGCAGUCUGAGUAUGCAGAGACUAGCUGCUACCCAAAAAUGGGAUGCAUAUGAGCACCUGAGUGAUGCAAUGUGUAGCCGCUAUAGUGUUGCUUUUGUGUGCCAUAGAUGAUUCAUUAUUCUGAAUAAAAUACCCUGUCAUAGUGGUGACAUGCAUCUAGUAUAGAAAAGCAGGAGUAUUGAUUUGUGGGUUGGUUAGUUUUUUAUUUGAUUACCUGCUUGGGUAAACAGCUUACCCUGUUAUCAUAAUAAACGCUUAAGUAUAUGCUUGCAUAAGCUAUUUUUAUAGCAAAAGAUAAAAUAGCGUUAAAUUGUUUCUGUAUGUGCUAUAAGUUGUUUACAUAAGCUAUAUUGGAGAACUUAUGAAAAUAAGUUGAAAAAAACACAUGAACAUUGUCAUAAGCUGUUUUCAUAAGUUCUCCCAAACGGUCUCACAAAACUUUGCUAGUAGAUAAGCCCAAAUAAACCACAAUCCAGACAGGCCUGUGAAAUUCAUGGAAAAAUUAUACUAUUGUUUGAGAAACAUGUAUUAUUCCCAUUAGAGUUGGCUGAAUUAGUAUGAUUAGAUAGUGUCGAUAAAAUGGUAGUUUUGAUUCUAGCCAGUGGUCUUUCGUUGAUAGGUCAUUUGUAAGUACCACUGUAAGCUUUUGAUGAGGGAUAUGGGCAUCCAGACCUUGUAGCAAGAGACAAACUCCCCUUAAGGCUGUAUUUUGGAUUGUUUGAAAUAAGAUGAACUGUAAUAAAAUCUUAUGGGACAUAUUGCAUUCUAUUUCAUAGGCCACCUCUAUCUUUCUCUGCUCUUCUUGGGGUAUGUAAUUGAAAAAAAAUAAUAUUUAUUAAUCUUGUUGUCUACCCGUCUACUUUUUAUACAAUGGUAUGAAAAUUUAAACCCGUUUAUCAUAAAAAUAUAUCUAGACAAUGGUGUGAAAAAUUAUUUCAUUCAACUCCACUCUAAUCUAUUCCAUUCUACCCCAUCAUUAAAUAUCCUAACACAGUCUGAUUUUUGUACGCCAAACAAAAAAGCUAUUACAUUAUCCUCCCCAUCACGUUGAUGUUGAGAUGCGGUAAAUAUGUAUUUUUGAUUUAACUGUUGCUGGCAUGCACAAAUCCCAUCCACUAUGAAUUAACAUUGUUAUUGGAUCAUGUUACAGGCUCUGAAGCCAUGUUUGCAGAUCUUUGCUACUUCUCUGUUCGAUCAGUUCAGGUAAUGAAUCAUGUCUAUGUUUUAUCUAUCAUGGCUUCUGGUUGGAAUUCUUUCACAUCUUUUGUCAUAUCAACUUAUAUAUUGAUGAAACUGAUGGUGGUUUGUUUGCAGAUUACAUUUUUAUUUCUUGUUUUGCCGUGCCUAUUAUUGGGUUAUUUGGGUCAAGCUGCAUACCUUAUGGAACACCAUGCUGAUGCUGGUGAAGCCUUUUUUUCUUCUGUUCCAAGUAGGUGUCAGUAUGUUUGCAUGCUUUACAAUGGCUCGUCUCUGCACUUCCCAUAAACUUCGGUGUAAUACUAUUCUUUAUUUGCAGGUGGUGCAUUCUGGCCAACUUUUCUCAUCGCCAACAUUGCUGCACUAAUUGCAAGUCGGACUAUGACAACAGCUACAUUUUCUUGCAUAAAACAGUCAACUGCUCUUGGUUGUUUCCCUCGACUUAAAAUAAUUCACACCUCUCGUAAAUUUAUGGGUCAAAUCUAUAUCCCUGUCAUAAACUGGUUCCUGUUGGCUGUUUCUCUGGUGUUCGUCUGCACUAUAUCCAGCAUUGAUGAGAUUGGAAAUGCAUAUGGUAAUUCUUUUAUUUCAAAAUAUUUAUUUUAUCUUGAUAAAUUUUUCAAAUUUAUCAGCCGCAUGCAUUAAAUACUUGUCAAAUUGUAAGUUUAGUGGGAUCGACUAUGUAGAAUAGAUUGCUCGAGAAGCUUAUGGGGCUGCAAUUAACUGGAAAGGCACUGAGCUUCACUCUUGAUAUUUCUCUUUGGAAAUUCUUGAAUAUAGUCCAAGAAUACUAAUAGUGUCGGUGGAUCCUUGUUUAAGAGGACCCAAUUAGCUUUUGCUGGUUGACCUGAAUUUACACCAGUAUCAUAAAUUUACCUAGCUUAGAUACCAUAGAAAUCUGCUGAAUGUGUGAAAAUGUUCAUUUAGCAGUUUUUCAAACACUGGCUGUAUGCUCAGAAAAUAUGAUGUCAGUAUAGGUAUACAUGGUUUCAUCCAACAAUUCUAUUCCAAAUGGACGAGAUCAAGCAUUGCCUCCUCCCCAAGAUUUCAUAAUGGUUCGGGUGGAAGAGAGGUUUCCCAGUUCCAAGGUUAAGACCAUGGUUUCAAAUUGUGGUCGGUAUCAGCAAUUGUGGCUGCAGUAUUGCUGUUGUAUCCUCCGCAACGGCUUCGCACCGCAAUUGCAGUGGGAUCUCCAGUCACAUGUACAACCACAUCGUAACCGCAUCACAUAAAGUUCAAUAACUAAUAUAUUUUGGCCAUGUUUUUCCGAAUCAUCUGACUAAAAAUUAAAUUUUAGAACCCCGAAUCCCAAUCUGCUUUAGAUCUAAUGAAAAUCUUACCUUAACAAUUUCUCAACUGUGUAUUUCAAGGACUUCCCAACCAGUAUUUACAGAGAAAAUUGAGUCUCUGCUAUGGUGGGUAAGUAGUGUAGUGGGUGAAAAUUUAAAAUUAUUUCACGCCACAAAGUGUCGCAGCAACAACAAUGACUGCGAUCGCAACGACCGCAGCCACAAUUCAAAACCAUGGUUAGAACAUGCGGCAUGCUUCAACAAGUGUUAGGCUCUGAUACCAAUCAAAACCCAAGACCUUUUAUUUGUAUGCUACUCGAUCCUACUGGUUUAACCAAUUCUCAUUGGCAAAACAUUUCUUAUUUAUCCAGGGAAAAGCUUUAACCUCGCGGUUUGAGCUUGUAAAAUGAAUAUGUCGAUAAUAAUUGGAUCAUGCAAGCUUAGAUAGGGGAAGACAGUUUUUUCUUUGGUUCUAACUAAAACACUGAAUUUCUUCAAUAUUGUUGUAAUAUAUUAUAUAUGAAAAUGUAUUUGUUUUCAGCCUGUUCCUUUGUCAUCUUUCAGGCAUUGCUGAGCUGGGGGUGAUGAUGAUGACCACCAUUUUAGUUACUCUUGUUAUGCUUCUUAUAUGGCAGAUGCACAUCAUCAUAGUGAUGAGUUUCCUGGGAGUCUUCUUGGGUUUAGAGUUGGUUUUCUUUUCAUCGGUUUUGUGGAGCAUAACAGAUGGAAGUUGGAUUAUAUUGGUCUUUGCUGCAAUUAUGUUUUUUAUAAUGUUCAUAUGGAACUAUGGAAGCAAGCUCAAGUAUGAAACUGAAGUCAAACAAAAGUUGUCACCGGAUUUAAUGCGAGAAUUGGGCUGCAAUCUUGGGACAAUACGAGCUCCUGGAAUUGGUCUACUUUAUAAUGAGUUAGUCAAAGGAAUUCCAGGAAUUUUUGGGCAUUUUCUAACGACACUUCCAGCAAUACAUUCCAUGAUAAUAUUCGUGAGUAUCAAGUACGUUCCAGUUGCUAUGGUGCCUCAAAGUGAAAGGUUUCUAUUUCGGCGUGUUUGCCAAAGAAGCUAUCAUUUAUUUCGUUGUAUUGCCAGGUAAUAAGUGCUAUAAGUGCAUAUUACUUUUUAGAAACAUGCUAAUAGUGCUAUAGCUUCAAAUCUCCCUCUCUCCCCCCCUCUCUCUGGAAUAGGUUAGGAAACAAUUUGGGAAAAUUUAACAAAGAUAUUAGUAGCUCUUUGGGGUAGUUUGUUAGUUCAUGAGGAUGCAAUAUUUUCAUCUGAGACACCGUGUCUUGUAGUUUUGUGCUGACCCCACUUAGUGGGAUAAGGCUUGGUUGUUGUUGUUGUUGUACCGUGUUUUGUAAUUUUGUCUUUGUCAUUAAAAUGUUUCUUUAUCUUACGUGUCUGAUCUGAACAUUUAUAUCUCACAGGUAUGGUUACAAAGAUGCUCGCAAAGAAAAUCACCAGGCUUUUGAACAGCUUCUAAUGGAGAGCUUAGAGAAGUUUAUACGUCGCGAGGCACAGGAGAGAUCACUGGAAAGUGAUGGGGAUGAGGAUACUGAAUUGGAGGACGAGUACGCUGGUUCUAGAGUUCUCAUAGCUCCAAAUGGAAGUGUUUACUCACUUGGUGUUCCCCUUCUGGCUGAUUUUAAUGAAUCAUUCAUGCCCAGUUUUGAACCCAGCACAUCAGAAGAGGCAGGCCCUCCGUCUCCCAAACCCCUUGUGCUCGAUGCAGAGCAACUUCUGGAAAGAGAGUUAUCUUUUAUACGCAAUGCUAAAGAAUCUGGAUUGGUUUAUCUUCUUGGUCAUGGAGAUAUAAGGGCAAGGAAAGACUCUUGGUUUAUUAAGAAGCUAGUUAUAAACUAUUUUUAUGCCUUCCUGAGAAAGAACUGCAGAAGGGGGGUCACAAAUUUAAGCGUACCGCAUUCACAUCUAAUGCAGGUUGGAAUGACUUACAUGGUUUGACUUUGACCAUCAAUUUUGCAAUCCAAUAAUAUCCCCGCAUUGAACAUCGUUCCAGCUCUACCUUUGGAAAUUGUUUCAACUUUCCUUAUGAGCAUGAGCAUGUGCCGCGGAUAUAUGGAAUUGAAAUAGGCCAAGAACAGAAAUAGACAGAUACAUGUAGAAUUUGGACAAAAAAAAGAUAUAUGUAAAAUUAUAUUAUCAAAAGAAAAAAGAACCUGCAAAUGGCUAUGCACACAUUUCCUUAUGAGUAUGAAUAUGUUUAACAGAGUUUUGUACAUGGGAAGACCUAUCUAGACUAAUUUUAUUUUCAUUUGCAUUAAUUGUUUGCCUGAUCUCUUUUGAAGAGACCUUCUGUUGAUUGAAGCUUAAUUGAGAUUAUAUUUUCUUUUUGAAAUAUUACAUCGUGCCUUUCCCUUGGCAUUAUAACUAUAAAUUUAUGAUUGACAAAAACUUUUCUGACACUAGUUUACUCAUUGGAAUUGAGAAAGGACAGGAGGAAUCAAAACUUUUGGUGGGAUGGAAGUAUUGGUAGAUCUAGAAAUGUAUGUAACUUUUUUUGUUCACUAGAAUGUAUCCAACUUGAAACUAUUAUUAACUAAUCAAUGAAAGAAAAAUACAAUCAGGCACAAGACAAGAGGUGCAUAUCUCAACACUAAUAUAGGGUCCGUUUGUUUCAGAUUUUUUCCCUUAAAAAAAAAUCACUUUUUUCAUUUUUAAGUGUUUGUUUAGGAUUUUUAGAAAAAUCAUUUUAUCAAAAAAAUCUAUUUUGACCCUAAAAUGAAAAGCUAUUAGGAUUAGCUUUUCUCAAAAUCUAUUUUUUUUAACAAGGAGAUAACACAUGUGCAUGUUAUAACUUAUUUUAAAAUAAAAAUAAAAAGGAUUUUUAUGGAUAGUAGGCAAACACAAAUAACUUCAGAUUUUUUUUAAAAUCUCUAAAAAAAAUCUCUAAAUUCUUUUGAUAUAAAAUCCAUUUUUUUUUUUAAAACUGAAACAAACGCAUCCAUACUCCACUACCCCUAUUUCGAAUACAACAAAUUAAGGCAUUUCUGGUAACUGAUUCCAUUAAUCUCUAUCCAAGCCAAACUAUUAUCAAGUCCUUAACUCCAUUCUGCCAAGCAUCAAUCCUGUUGAUAGAUGAUAACAAACACCACCACCAACUCAUUGAUUUGAUGAGAUAUUGUGUAAUGAGUACUGGUAAACUUUCAGGAUAUAAAAUGCAGAUUGAAAGUACAUUUUAUUUAUUGAAGAAUUCCGACACGAAUUGAAAGUUUAGACAACAAAGGCUAGCUAGAAAAUAGAAAUCACUAUUUGAUAAAAAAAAUCGAUAAAAACAUGACUCAAUGAUAACCAAUAGGAGCUGGAGCCUCUUUCAGUUCUUUUCCUUGAUGGUGAAUAUCCUACAAAAAGAUGAACACAACAUUCAGAGCAAAUGAAGAGGAAAGAAAUUAAAAUCAAGAGUGUUUUAAACAAAUUAUAAUGACUUAAAAAAGUUUUUCAUCCUUUUUUUAGACUAAGAUAAUAUAUUUAUAGAGACGAAAAACACAUUUAACAAAAUUAAAAUUGACAGAUUAAAAAAUAAAUAAUUACGAUUGACACUCACCGAAGCAAAGUGAUUGACAUCCCUAUGAUGAGCCUCAUCAGCACGAAUAACAGUGAUAACAUCCUUAAGAGUUGCAUCCUUAGGAAGUCUCCAAUAAUCAAUUGCAAUAGCAGGAGCAGGUACAUUUUCAACUUUACCACUCUCAAUUGCAUUCAAAUGUUGUGUAUAUGAAAUCACAGCUUCCUCCUCUAAAUAACCAACAAACCUGUGUGCAGUUUUUGGUGAGAGUAUGUAAAAAACAAAGAAUGCAUUGAAGAAAACUCCUUGUGCAGUAAUAACCAAAAGCCUUUCAUGCCAACUUGGUUUUACAAGCUCUACCAUUGUCAUCAAAUGCAUCCUCUCAUUCUCUGCUUCUUCAAGUAAUGCUUUGAUCCAACCACCAGUGUGUUGAAAUUUUCUUAGAGACUUCAAGUGUAAAAGCAUCCCUCCCACCAUUGGCGGGACGGCUGCAAUUGUUUCCAGCAUCAUUGCAUGGCAUCCGUACCGUUCCUGCAGCAGUUAUAUUUCAGAUUAAUCAAACCCAUCAAUCAAAAUUCUUCUAUGUAUCAAGUUACACUUCACUACAACACAUCGAAUUACUAGGGAAUUAAAUUUUCUUUUGUUGUCUCAACACUCUCGUUCCUAGCGGGAAUAGGCUAUGGUAAUUUAGUGUUCGGUCCAAAAGUAAGUAAAUUCUAGUAAAAAGUUGUUCUAGUCAGAAUCGAAACAAGUGAAUCAAUAAGUUACCACUAAGAAUAAAUUUUGUUAUGGAUAGAAAUAUAUGUUAUGUAGCAGUAGAUAAGCCCACAAACCUUGAAAUACAAAUCAGAGAGAACCCUUAGAAACUUGACAGAUCUGAAAGCAAACUUGUCCCCAAAUGUUUUUGGUACAUGAUGCUUGGUCACAUCUAUUGACACAUCUGAGCUGUAACUUUCCCAUGGCUGCACCAGACAUCAUACAUAGAGAACAUAUAGUAUGAGACAUUAUCGAAAUACAAUACUGUUAGAUCAACAUUGAAUUUCAUUGAUCUAAUGCUUAAAUCAAAAGUUUUUAUCGAAUAGCUCAGCUCGACAAAUUUGAAUAAAAUUACUUGAUGCUCUAUUGAAUAAAUUCAAAUCAACAUAUAAUAUAAAUAAGUCUAUCUACAAAUUUUAGGUUCAUAAGAUUUUUUUUGUGUAUGAUCAUUAACAUAAAUAAAUUCAACAUUUAUAAUGAAUUAUUAAGCAGAAUAACUCAGUUCAGAUUUACUUAUGCAUACAUUAAUUUUGAUACCUCCUCUAUAUAGUAUAUAUUCUUACCAUGAAACAGUUCCAUGGCCACUCAGUUCCAUCCUCCCUUUUAACCUUGGGCCUAGUGAUUCCCCAGUAACUCGAAACGACGGUGUUGCUGUCAUUACUGUUCUUAUUCUCCUCUGAAUGCUGAUCCUUUUUCUCUGGCAGAGUUGACAUCUUCUGCCAGUAGAAGCUUCCACGAGUGCCACCGCCAUUCUGGUGUCUCGGCUGAACUAUCACCGCAGUUGAGAAGCUGCAGUGAUAGUUGCGACUACUGUGGAACAGAGCUCGUGCCGUUGACCUUAGUAAAGAGUUUUUCAUGUAGAAUGUUUUUGAAUGAGUUCUUGGAUGAAAAUAGUAGCUCAGAAGUCAGAAGUGGAGAUUUAUAACAAGGAGUGGAGAAUAUAUUAAUAAUUUAAUAUAUAGUUUUUGUAUUAAAUUUUGUAUUCGUCACAAAGGGAAGAAGAAAGGUAGUGGAAGGUCUCAACAAUGUGGUUUUGUUGCUUUCCAUGUUUAAUUAUUCGUUAAAUUAGUGAUUGAUUAGUACUUACUACAAAGUUGGAAUUGAAAAUGUUAGCAGCCACUAGCUUUUUGGAAUUUUCUCUUCCUUGAUCCCAUUCUUAAUUAUAAGAUUCUUUAAAAGAUUUAUUUAUCCUUAAAUAUAAGAUGAUCCAUUAGAUUCAUUUUUUAAAUAUAUCUCGUAGGACUACAUCAAACUAAGUUAACUCCAAAAUACUCACUACCCUUAUUUUGAAUACAAUAAAUUAAUUUUACUAAUAAUUGAUUCCAUUAAUCUCUCUCCAAAGCCAAACUAAUAUUGAUUUUACUAAUUCCAUUCUGUGAAGCAUCAAACGUGUAGAUACAUGAUCAUCACCAAGACCACCAAACAAUUCCUUGAUUGGGUGAGAUAUUGUGUAUUGAUAAACUUUCAGGUUACAAAAUGCACACUGAAAAUACAUUUUAUUUAUUGAACAAUUCAAGCACAAAUUGAAAGUUUAGAGACAAAAAAGGCUAGAAAAAAGAAAUUACUAUAUUUUGAUAAUUUUUUUUUGACAAAAACAGUGACUCAAUGAUAACCAACAGGAGCUGGAGCCUCUUUCAAUUCUUUUCCUUGAUGGUGAAUAUCCUACAAAAAGAAGAACACAACAUUCAGAACAAUUUAUAAUGGGUCAAAUAUAUUUAUGAAUUCAAUUGCAUGCAGUCAACAAUCCUUUGCAUUCACGCAGUUGACACAUACUUGACCAUUGAGUCGAGAAAGGAUAUGACGAUCCAUAAUUCAAUGCCCAUUUUAAUAUUUAUAAAAUUUAAAAUAUCGAUCUUAAAAUUUGAAUGGUCUAAUCUCAAUCCAACAUCCACAAAAGGACCGACUGUGUGAACGCGGAGAUUACCUAUCGUAGUUAAUUCAAAUUCUAUAUUUAUAGAGGGAUAUGAAAACAUAUUUAUCACAAUUAUAAUGAAAAUAUGGCAGACUUACAGAAGCAAAGUGAUUGACAUCCCUAUGAUGAGCCUCAUCAGCACGAAUAACAGUGACAACAUCCUUAAGAGUUGCAUCAUUUGGAAGUCUCCAAUAAUCAAUAGCAAUAGCAGGAGCAGGUACAUUUUCAACUUUACCACUUUCAAUUGCAUUCAGAUAUUGUGUGUAUGAAAUCACAGCUUCCUCCUCUAAAUAACCAACAAACCUAUGUGCUAUUUUUGGUGAGAGGAUGUAAAACACAAAGAAUCCAUUAAAGAAAACACCUUGUGCAGUAAUAACCAAAAGCCUCUCAUGCCAACUUGGUUUCACAAGCUCAACCAUUGUCAUCAAAUGCAUCCUUUCAUUCUCUGCUUCUUCAAGUAAUGCUUUGAUCCAACCACCGGCAUGUUGAAAUUUUCUUAGAGAUUUUAAGUGUAAAAGCAUCCCUCCCACCAUUCCAGGGACCGCUGCUAUUGUUUCUAGCAUCAUUGCAUGGCAACCAUAUCGUUCCUGCAAUAAUUAUAAUUCAAAUUAAUCAAUAAUUUAAUUUUGAUACAUUGUGUCGCUGUAAAAAAGUUUCGUAGAGGCUGAACUUGGAAUAACCAAGUCUCUUCUUCUCAUGUAAACCAAUCCGAUUUACUACAACACAUUACAUUGUUUUUUGGUCUUGACAAUCCGAUUUUUUCACGGAAAAAGUCCUUACCUGGUAGUAAUCCAAAGUCGGACAACGGAUUUUUUGGUCUUCAUGAAGCACCCUAAGUAAUUUUUAUGUUUCAUUUAUAUUUUAUAUAUAUAGUUGAUGGAUAGAAUUAUAUUUUAUGUAGCAGUAGAUAUUCCACAUACCUUGAAAUACAAAUCAGAGAGCACUCUUAGAAACUUGACAGAUCUGAAAGCAAACUUGUCCCCAAAUGUUUUUGGUACAUGAUGCUUGGUCACAUCUAUUGACACAUCUGAACUGUAACUUUCCCACGGCUGCGAAAAAAGAUCGUAUGAGAAAUCAUCCAAAUACAACAGCAUGCAAGAUCAAGUAACUCAUGCCCUAGAAUUAACUUUAAGAUAUUGUUUGAAAGAAUUUAUGAAAACAGUCAGUGAUUUUGUUCAAAAGUUGUUCAACUUAUUUUUAUAAGUUCUUCAAAAUAGUUAAUAAAAAUAUUUACUAGCUUAUACAAAAAUAAUUUAACUUUAUUUUACUUUUUGCUAAAGAAAUAGCUUAGUAAGUUGCAAAUAUCUAAAUCAAUUUAGAGUUAAUACCUCUUUCUAUAUAUGUAUUCUUACCAUGAAGCAGUUCCAUGGCCACUCAGUUCCAUCUUCCUUAAGAACCUUAGGCCUACUGAUACCCCAGUAACUCGAAACGACGGCGUUGUGGUUGGCAUCUUUUUUGCUCUCCUCUGUCUGCUGAUCCUUUUUCUCUGGCAAAGUUGACAUCCUCUGCCAGUACAAGUUUCCACAAGCACCGCCGCCAUGCUGGUGGUGUCUCGGCUGAACUAUCACCGCAGUUGAGAAGCUGCGGUGGUAGUUCCCACCAUUGCGGAACAAAGCUCGUGCAGUUGACCUUAAUAAAAUGUUUCUCAUGUUGAAUGUAAAUGUUUUAUGACUAUUUCGAUGAAAACGAAUUGAAGACUUAUAUUUAUACAAGCAACAAAUUUAGGAGUGUGUAUUAAUAAUUUAACAUAUAGUUUUCGUAUUCAACUUUGUAUUUGCCACAAGGACAAGGUAACUCCAAGAAGAAAGGUCGUGGAAGGUUUCAUGUGGUUUUGUUACUUUAGAUGUUAAAUUAUUGAAUUGAAUUUGCAUCAGUGGUUGUUGAUUAGUUGCCACAAAGUUGGAAUUGAAUAUGUUCAGUCAGCGUUGCCACUAAGGCUUUUGUGGACUUUUCACCUCCUUUGAUUAUUAUUGUAACUAUUUUCUUUUUGACUAGAUUAUUACUGCUUCUAUUAUUUUUGUUCAAUUCAAUUCAAUGGUUACUUUCUUUAGCGUGAUGCAAAUGUAACGCAAUAUCCCCAAGGAAGAAGGAACUAGAAUCUUGGGAAUAGUCUAAAUGCUGUUUUUUCUUUUGACUUUAGAGGAAAAUUCAUCAAAGGACGGUUUCAAGAGAAUUAUUACAAUUUACAAUCAAUUUGAAACCACAUUAUUUGUUAUUGCAUUACUUUUUUUUUGAACAAGCAUUAUUGCAGUACUUAAAUAUGUGUUUGUAUUUUUUAUUUUUUUGCAAAUACGUUUUUGUAAUGUUUCUUUUACUGAAUUUGUACAUGUAUUUUUCUUUAUUUUUGUCUUUAUCUACUUGAUAUUAAGUUCAUUAUAGAUAUCUGUUUCUAAAAUGCUGUUGAAGUUUGGAGUGGCGUUGUAUUUUUUAAAGAUGAGACGAAGAAUCAUGGUACCGUGAAAGCUAUGAAACAAAGGUUCUCUAUUUUCACGAAAGUAGCUCUUUUAGACGUGAAUUUGUCUUUUUCAUCGUCAACUCUUACUAUCCUUGGUGGAUAAAUCAGUUUUGGCAAAGAUAUUGCAAUCGUUUGGAGUUUUAACCUAACCAUAGAUUGAUUUACACAAAUUUGAGAAUUAGUGAGAUUAAUGAUCACUAAGAUUAUAAAUAUUUGUUUAAAUUAAUCAUUAUGAGAGCAUCCUAUUCUUUAUUAUAAACUCAUUUGUUAUAAUUAGGUUAGUUUAUCGGUCAAAUUAUAGAUAUAAGUCGACUAAGUUGAUUCACUUAUGAUGUAAAAGAUUCAAAUCUCAUUGUCAGAAUGAAAACUUCUUUAAUGAAUAACUUGUAAGUAUAUUUUUGAGUCUUAAAAUUUGUUGUGACCCUGAUUAACCCAAAUUCUAAUCCACGAAACGAAAUGACAAUCACCAUUAAAAAUUUACACACAUAAAUAGAAGACCCUAACUUUGAUCCAAUCACUUACAUCUACUCUAACAAUUUCAACAUUUUUGUUAGUUGAAUUAAUUUUUUUGGACCGUGUAUAUUUAUUUAAAGGGUCUUGUUAAUGAAUGCUCUCGAAACCUUAUAUAAAGAUUUAAAAAAAAAAAAUUAUUUUAUUAAAAUGUCAAAACAUUUCGAUUUCUAAUGCAUUGGUUAAAAAAAAAAUGUAUUUCGUAAAAAAUUAUCAUUUCCCUUAUCUUAUUUGAAUAAAUGGGAAAGUAUUUUUUUGAGUGUAUCUCCAAAACUGGAAAAACACCUCCCCAGGCUUAAAAAUCAAAACCCUUUCUGCCCAAAACCCAGUGGCAGAGCAUAUCAGAGCUGAGCAGUGUCACUCUACAAAUCUAUAUCUAACAUACUCAACUGCCACCGUCGAUUCUCGAACCUUCCAAUUCUUCCCACCCCCGUCACAAACGAUGUCGGAAUCAAUUUGCAGAUCCUUACGCGACGGCGCGUUAGAAGGAGAACUCUCUCCCACUCUCACUAUCAAAGACACUCUCUCUUCACCUUUCGCAUUCAACGUUUUCUCUCACAUUCUUCUUCAACUUUCCUCACCAAAAUCUCACUCCAACACUGCUAUUCUCAUCGUUGCACUUUCUCGGAGUCCCUCAUUUUAUGCUCAUUUGUUGAAAAACAAGGGAAUCGAACUUUCUUCUUCUAACAAAUGGUAAUUAUGUUCAAUUUUUAACUUCCUUCUUGUUUUAUAUUUCUGGUUUUUACUGUUUACUCUCUAUUAAAAUUUUCAAUUUUCAUUUUUAAUGUGGAGAUUGAAAUGACAUUUAGGCUCUGUUUGUUAAAAAGUAUAGAUAGUUGAUAGUGGAUGAACUUAUAAGUGAAUUGAAUUUGUAGUAAUUGAUUAAGAUAGUUCAAACAAGCUGUUGAACUAGCUGUUAAAUUUAUUAUUUUUUUAUUAACGUUAGAAAAGAUGCUGCUAGAGAGAUAGUUGAGGUAUAUAAUAGAAAAGAUGGUGGAAAAUAGGCUUAGGUGGUUUAAGCCUAUAGAGAGAAGACCUGUAGAUUCGGUGGUAAGGACAGUAGAUUGGAUGAAGGAUAGUCAGAUCACAAGAGGUAGAGGAAGACCUAGAAAAACUGAGAAACUAUUAGGAAUGAUUUAAUGAUUAAUGAGUUGGAUUGAAAUAUGAUUUAUGUAGAACAUUUUGGUGUAAGUUGGUCCAUGUAGCCGACCCCACUCAGUUGGAUAGUAAUAAUUGGUUGUUGUUGUAUUAACGUUACUUGAAGUAGCCUAGAAAAACACAUUAUAAGCUCACAAGAAACCGCUGUUAACAAAGAGGUCUAUUUUGGUCCUAUGAGCUUUUAAGCUAUAAGCUCAAACGUUCAUCUUGCCAAACAGAACCUUAGUUGUAAAACAGUUUUACACUGACUUCCAACACGAAUCCAUUAUUUUGUUAUGUCACCCCACUUUUCAUAUGGUUGGAUGCUGAUUGUGUGACGUGGAAAAAUGGUGGCUUCUCAUUGGAUGUCAGUGUAAAAUUGUUUUACCCUGGCAGAAUACAACCGUUAAACUCUUUUAGAGUUUCAUUUUUGAAAACAUGUAUAAUGUCUUCUCUAAUGUGUUAUGUUGCAGGAUUCAUGUUUUGGAUUGUUAUACAGAUCCUCUUGGUUGGAAGGAUAAGACAAGGAAAUCUGGAAAUGUUACGAUUCCUUCUGACCAAAUUUCACUUGCUACUACUUCUUACAAAUCUGUCAAGGAUAUGGAUAAGUUGUUUUUGGCGAUUACUGAAUUGGGAAGAGGUAUUUUUUGCUGUUAGGUUGUGAAUUGUGAUCUUUUUUCGCUUCAAGAAACAUAUUUAUGUCGCCUAUUGAUUUUUUUUUUCUUUUCAAUUCAUAUACUUGCAGGUUUAGUUGGAGAAAAUAAAGUCCGCUUUUGUGUUGCCAUAGACUCGGUAAAUACCGUUGACUUAACAUAGCUCUGAGUGAAGUUGAAUUUACUGUGUUGGUCUAUUCUAGUCAAUGUUUAUGGCUUUGUAAUGUAUACGGUGAUUGGUUUUUUUACAUGCAUUUAGCUGAAAAUUUUAUGAUUAUGUAACUUGUAAGAAGGAUUUUUUUUUCUUUCAUUUAUUUUCAAGCUAAAUCAAAUAACCUUGAUACAAUAAUCUUUUUAUGAUAUUCUCCAUCAGUUUCUGAGAUUUUUACCUUAUCUAUGACUAGUAGCUUGAGUCACAAACUUGAACAAUAGAUUCUCAUCAUAAGAAGAGUCUGUGUGUUUACAUUGUAGGGGAUUCAUGCUGCUUUAGUUGUUAAUUUAUUUUGUAUUUUAUAAAGUUGCUAAAAAGGUGAUUGAGACUUGAGCUCUUUGAUAUUGUUCUAUCUUUACACUUUUGAGCCCACUUCUGAUCUGGCAGGUAACCCGACCCAAUUUGUUGUUACUUAGUUGAAAAUGAUUAGGUUGAGUUGGUUAGACAGUUAGGAUGGCAGUAGAGGUAUGGUAUCUUGUCAUUUUUGAGAGAAUUGGGGCCUUUGGCUAGGAAGAUUAAGACUCUCGAAGUUCUACAAUAUCUUUGUUAUUGGACAGUUUAUCUCUAUUCAUUUUCUAAUAAAAACCAAUUUGUGAUAAGCUUCAAAGAAACUUGAAAGUAUGGAUGGAAUAUGUCAGUUUGCCUCAUCUCUUAAACUCCCCAGAAAUAAACGAGCCAUUGAGGCAUUAUAAAGAUAUCAUGUUACAACUUAAUGAUGGAAUUGGAAACUUUUUUUUGUGUAUAUAUAUGUAUCUGACUAUCUAACUUUCUUGUGCCCAUUGUCAAAAAAGAAAAAGAAUUUUUGUGCCUGCAAGUUUCCAAAAUUCCUUUUACACUAGAAUUCCUGAGCAAGAAGUUUUACAAUUACUUUCAAUUCCAUUAAUAUUCUAAUCAAGACUGUUCGGUUUCUAUGUUUUUCUUGUAUUAUUUGUUUGUGUAUAUAUAUAAUCCUAAUGGAUUCUUUUUGGAUAUUAUCAGCUAAGUGAACUGUUGAGACAUGCAUCUUUGCAGUCAGUCGCAGGCCUUCUAAGCAAUCUGCGUAGCCAUGGUAUUUUCUCUUGUACUAUUUUGAAUACAGUUUUUUGUACAGUAUGUCUAAUUUGUUUUUAUUUGAUUGAGUAAAUAUUUUAGAGUACCAGAAGUCUAGAAUGUGAGUUAGUUGAUUAUUUCAGUAGAUAAUAUUUAUGGCACGGGUUGGCUUGACACUAACAUUAUCUUCUCUUAAAUCAUUGCUGUUGUAUGAUUGCAGAUCAAAUUUCAAGUAUAUUUGGAUUAUUGCAUUCUGACCUUCAUGAGGAGAGGGCUGCAACUGCUCUUGAGUACAUGUCCUCGAUGGUGGCUAGUGUAGAAUCAGAUCAUCAUUCUUCCGAGAACUCCUUAUCGGAGAAAAACUUUACCCAAGGAAAAUUUAAUGUCAGACUCAAACGCAGAAAUGGACGAGUUAGAGUGACGGUGAUCUCUUUAUUCCUUAUUGCGAACAUAUUUGGAAUUGCUAAUCUUCAAAACCAGUGAACUGAUGUAAGAUCGCUUUUAUUCAGUGUGAAAAGUUUAAAGUUGAAGCAGGAGGAAUCAGCUUUACUUCUGUUUCAGCAGAAGAUGGAACGACCGUUGCAGGCUUACUGCCAAAGGUCAGUCAUUACUCUUUAGUUUCCUGUGAAGUCAUGUCUCUUUCACUAGAAGCAAUGGCCCAACUCCUAAUAGCCUUGUUAUUAUUAGAUAUUUAUUAUUAGUUUUCAGAUAAAAUAUAUCCAUUAAAGAGAUCUUAUUUUUGUUGUGUCCCCCUUUAUAAAAGAGAGCAUAUCAUUCAAUGGUAUUUUUUCUAAGGAAAUGAAAAUUUAGAUGCUAGGUGUGCCUAUUUGAUGCUUUGAUUGAAAUGCUGAGUGCUUCUAACAUUAAAUUUAGGAUUUUAAAUUGUGGGCCGAUUUAGAUCAUUACAGCAGAUGUAAUCUGCCCUCAUAAUCAGAUGUAGUUGCUUAGAGCACCACAACCUAGUUGAUUGUACAGGACAGUUUUUAUGAUAAAAUCUAUCAAUGUGUUAUAUAUAAUUUGCAAUUGGUAUAAUCUGUUUUGAAGAAACAUCUCAUGUGCUGAUGCCAUGCCUGCACAUGCUAAGCACUUAGUUUGUUCACCUUCUCGUAUACACAUGACGGUACUUUUACAGAAUAUACACGUAUAUGCAUCGUAAACACAGUCACAAACAGUUGUAACAGAGACCAAACAAGAUAUGGUGUGUGAUAUGAAGCUGAAAACUUUGCAUUGACCGCAAAUAAAUAAUAGGUUGAAACUUUAUGUUUUUAACAGGUACAAUUCAAUCUCCAACUGUCAGAGAAGGAGCAAGUUGAUAGGGCAAAGGUUGUGCUUCCUUUUGAACACCAAGGUAUGAUAUAGAUUUGUAAUUGAGCCAUUUCUUACGGUGUUUAAAUCAUAUAUGUCCUCUUAUGCCUAAGCUCUUCUCUUUUAGGAAAUGGUGCACCGAUUCAAAUUUAUGAUGGUAGAAGAUCCCUUGAAGAGAGCAGCAGUGACGGGGCACCUCUUUCAAAGGGUAAAAAGGAGGACUCAGACCUAGGUGAGAUUAUAUAUUUUCGUGAUUCAGAUGAUGAGAUGCCAGAUUCCGAUGAAGACCCAGAUGAUGAUUUAGAUAUAUGAAUGUGCUUUAGUUAGUGUCUUAUGUAUUUCUAGGUGACUUAGAUUAGGAUUGUGAUCAAACAAAAUUAUUUAAAAAAAAAUCUGCCCGAUAUUGUUUAGCCAAUGUUGUCAAAAUUGCGCGUUAAAACGUAAAAUUGCCCUAUUUUGAGCGACUUGACUUGCAGUGAAAUCGAAAUACAAUCCGAUUUUGAGCAAUUUGAGUGAAAUCAGAAUACAUUCUGAUUUUGAGAGAUUUGAGUGAAAUCGGAACACAAUCCGAUAUUGAGGGAUUUGACUCGCAGUGAAAUUGGGUAAAAUCGAGGUACAAUUGAGUUAAUUUAUUUUGAUUUUACUCGUUUUUAUUACCCAAUAUUGAAGAAAUUAACUUUUUUUGGGGUUUGUUUUAACUUUUAACUGUUGACAACUUUAGAAACUUAUUAAACUCUUCUCUUUUGGGUAGUUUUUUGUGUGGAUGUUUUUAUGAUUUGGAUUGAUAAUUUAUGCUGUUUGAUACAAGUUACGAGCUUGACACUUCAUUAUGGAGAUUUGGUAUGUUUAUGAUUUAUAAUUAAGUUGAAAUUUUGGAUUAUUGAUGCAUUUAUAGUUUUUUUAGUAAUGCAUUUAUAAUAUUAUAUAAGUAUGUGUAAUUUAUAUAAUAAUUUUAAUAUUAUUUUAGUUUACAAUUCGAUUCCAUCUAGGCAAAACGAGUUCAUAUAAAAACUCGAGUUGACAACCUUAUGUUUAACUCAACUGAAUAAUUCAUCACAUUCGUCAUAUUGUACAGCCUACAUAGAAACCUGAAAUUGAUUUUAUGAUUUCGACAACAUAUCUAUUUAGUGCUCAGUUUUUACUAUUAUCUCUCUGUCACUACGCUCUUCGUUCCCUCGUUUCUAAUCUAUCUUAGCGUGGUUAUUGACCAAAUUCCUCUACGUUUUUGUCGCCGUAGAAGUUUAUGUCAUCGACUGGUCUUCAACCAAACCAAACCUACUCAUAAGUCACAACCAGGCAGAGAUGCCAAACCUACUCACAACCAGGCAGAGAACUGAAAACAUAUGUAUAACAGACCAUUGUGCCACCAUAUUGACAUGUAACAAACUGCAAAAACUGAAUACAAAUCUACAAACGAUUAUACCAAAAUUGGACAGGUAGCAAAAUAAAAACCUCAAUUAUGUUUUAAUUUUUUGCAGUAAAGAAAGCCUGAAUUAUGUUGAUAUAAGAUUCUGUUGAGGUAUUUAUAUGCCAUACAGCAGACUACAAAAUUACUCCAGUUACAAAAUUGCUCACAGUUACAAUCUAAACACCGUAAACAACACCAUAGAGCUCAUCUAAACCCUUCAUAUGAUGAAGAUUGUUCUUUUGACACCGAAAAAUUGCUCACAGGCACCUAAAACACGUCGAACGAAAGUUAAUUGCAGUUCAGGCACUUUUUAAAUCAGUUAAACUGAUUUAAAAAGUGUUCUCAAAAUAUUGGUUUUCGGCAUUCAUCAUUUUCAACUUGAUUUGUACAUAGCAUUCAUGUUUUUGAAAAAUCUGUAUGGUAAGCAAAUGGCAUUUAUGAAUGUCUAGUCUAAUGUGAGAGAUUUGGCCCCCUAAUUGUUCGGUCGGUCCUAAUAACAUAAUAACUUCUGUAUGGUUAGUACCGUAUAUAUCUCUUACACAUCCACAAAUCCAUAAUCAAACACAUCACUAGUUUAGAGUCAGACAAAAAGGAGUUCUUGAUAAUCCUCAACCUUAGUACUUGAUCCAAACCAAACCAUUCAUUGUAGAGAUGUCUUCUGCAGCAAUAACAACAGUACUUGCUUUCCUUAUCUUCACUUUCACAUAUUUUUUAUCCAAACUAUUCUUGCAUCCAAAACAAAAAACCAUCAAUCAUAAAAAGCCACCAGGUCCACCAUCACUACCAAUAAUCGGAAACCUCCACAUAUUAGGCACCCUUCCACAUAGAACACUUCAAUCACUCUCCAAACAAUAUGGUCCAAUCAUGUCCUUACAACUAGGUCAAGUCCCAGCUAUUGUCAUUUCAUCUUCAAAAGCCGCAGAGUCAUUCGUCAAAACCCAUGACAUCGUUUUCGCAAACCGACCGGAACUUGUAGGAGCACAGAUCAUGUCUUAUGGUUGCAAAGGGUUGGCGUUUUCUAAGUACGACUCUUAUUGGCGUAGUGUGAGAAAACUUUGUACUUCAAAACUUCUUAGUGCUUCGAAAGUUGAGAUGUUUGGUCCUAUUAGGAAGGAGAAGUUGGAUGUUUUGGUUAAAUCUUUGGAGAAAGCUGCUCUGGAGGGUGAGGUUGUGAAUGUUAGUGAGGCUGUAGAGAAUGUUAUAGAGGAUAUUGUGUAUAAGAUGGUGUUGGGUCGGAGUAAGUAUGAUCAUAUUGACCUAAAGAGGUUGGUUCAAGACGUAAUGGCUUUGAUUGGAGCUUUUAAUAUGGCUGAUUAUGUUCCUUGGUUAGGCACAUUUGAUCUUCAGGUAAUAUUUUUUUUAAGUAUUCAAAGUAUCUGCAUUGUAAAAUCAGUAUGAUUAACAUAUUUGCAUAUGACCAAAAUCAAAAUGAACUAUAUGUUAUAAAGACUAAAACCGAAACACCAAAAAAGAAAAUAUUUAAUGUUUUCAGUUUUAAAAACAAAUAAAACAUUUAUGGUUCCAUUAAGUUCACUGAAAAUAUUCAAUUAGAAAUUAACGUUAUCAAUUUGACUAUUUGUUAGGGCUUAACACGAGCCUGCAAAAGAACCAACAAAGCACUUGAUGAGGUGUUGGAGAUGAUAAUAUCAGAGCAUGAACAAACCACUAAUACAGACAAAACUCGUCAUGAAGACUUUGUAGACAUACUUCUCACUUUUAAGCACCAAAACAUUGAUCAUGGGAGUGAACAAAAUCAUGUCAUUGAUCGAACUAACAUCAAAGCUAUUUUACUAGACAUGGUUGUGGCAUCAUUUAGUACAUCUGCUACCACAAUUGAGUGGGCUUUAUCCGAACUUUUAAGGCAUCCAAGAGUGAUGAAAAAUCUUCAAGAUGAAAUACAAAAUGAAGUAGGAAAUAAGAGAAUGGUUGAAGAAAAGGAUUUGAAGAAUUUUAAUUACUUAGAUAUGGUGGUUGAUGAAACUUUAAGACUUCAUCCAGUUUCACCCUUCUUACUCCCUCGUGAAUGUAGAGAGAACAUAACAAUUGAUGGUUAUUUUGUAAAGGAAAAGACACGAGUUAUAGUAAAUGCAUUUACAAUAGCGAGAGAUCCUAAUGUUUGGUCAGAAAAUGCUGAAGAAUUUUGUCCAGAGAGGUUUAUUAAUAAGAAAUUGAAUUAUGAAGGACAAGAGUUUGAAAGUAUACCAUUUGGAUUUGGUCGUAGGCGUUGCCCUGGAAUUCAAUUGGCUUUGAGGACUGUUAGGUUAAGCAUAGCUCAAUUGGUGCAUUGCUUUAAUUGGAAACUUCCAUAUAAUAUUAGUCCUUCUAAUUUGAACAUGGAUGAGAAAUUUGGACAAUCUAUACAUAGAGCUCAACACUUACACGCAAUACCAAGUUAUCGUUUGGCAGGUGAUGGCAAGCUUGAAUAGUAGUUCCAAGAGGGACAAUAUUAUGUUUGCAUUCAACAAGGUUAUUACUAGUAAAGAUGCUUUAUUUUUAAUUAGUCUAAUGGUGUUUGUAUAAAAUAUGUUAAUGAAUACUUUUGAUGGCUGAUUCUGCACACAUAUGUGAGCUAACUUAUGAACUACAGUGUAUUUGGGCUAAACAACCUAAUAGUUAAAUGUUUAUGAACUAAAAGCUUAUUAUAGGAAAGGAAGAGAUAUUGCAUUAAAACUAUCUUUACAUAAAUGCCAAUUAUCGUGGUAUAUGUGUAUGAAUUACUUGUAGCCUUGUAGGGGAAUUUUCUCCCCCCAUCACUAUCCAAAUUUAGAAGUGGCAAAACAGAUUUAUCCUUUGAAUUGGUCCGUUUAACCCACCAUUUUAAGCAAAUUGAGUUGACGUUUUAAGUUCAUUCUCUAAUUUGUCCGUCCCAUCUAGCCUGAUGAAAAAGUGGGUUUUGAGCUGCAGGCUUAUGAAAAAUUGUUUCUUUAUUUUUAUUGUACUAUAGUCAAUAAGAAAGUGGCCAAAUUUUUAAAGAUUGUUUUUACCCUUAAAAAUAGUCGGAGGAUUUUUGUUUUAUUCAUACAAGAGAAUUUAAGACAAGAAGCAUAUUUUAUCUAAUUAUGCUCCUUUAGUUUAUAGUUAAAUAUUUACAUAUUUUCUUAAAUAACUAAGAAGUUUUUUUUUGAAGGAUUAAAUAACUAAGAAGUUAGAGAUUUCACGUACUUAAAAAAAAAAAAAGUUUGAGAUUUCAUUCUUUGACAAAAAUUCUAACUCAAUUUAAGUUCGAAAGAACACCAAGUCACCAACUGUACAUGAUUUAUUAAAAAUAAAAUAAAAAGAGGCGACAUAAUAUUCCUAUCGUAGAUGCAUAAUUUUUUUUAGAUGUAAUGUAAUUGAAUAACUACUAUUUCUCUAAUGUUUCUUUGGAGGGAACUAAAUCGUCAAUAUCUUUGGAGCGGAGUUAUUUGCAUCGAAUGGAAUGUGUACUUUUUUUUGCAGCACAAUAUUUGUUUUUGUCAAAACAACAAUAAUAAAAGAAUAUUUAAACCAAAAAUACAAUUAUUUUUUUCUUAUGUGUUUUCAAUAAUUGAUACUAUUAAUGUAACUCUCUGUUAGGGAUUAACACGAGCCUGCAAGAAAACAAGUAAAUCACUUGAUGAGGUGCUGGAAGUGAUAAUAACAGAGCAUGAACAAACAACUAAUGUAGACAAAACUCAUCAUGAAGACUUCGUAGACAUACUACUCUCAAUUAAGAACCAAACCAUAGAUCAAAAGAAUGAACAGAAACAUGUUAUUGAUCGACCAAACAUUAAGGCAUAUUACUAGACACGGUUAUGGCAGCAAUUGAAACAUCUGCUACCGCGAUUGAAUGGGCUUUUAUCUGAACUUUUAAGGAAUCCAAGAGUGAUGAAAACCCUUCAAGAUGAUAUACAAAAUGAAGUAGGAAAUAAAAGAAUGGUCGAAGAGAAAGAUUUAGAGAAGUUAAGUUACUUAGAUAUGGUGGUUCAUGAAACUUUAAGACUUUACCCUGUUGCACCCUUGUUACUCCCUCGUGAAUGUAGAGAGAGUAUAACAAUUGAUGGAUAUUUUAUAAUGGAAAAGACACGAGUUAUAGUAAAUGCAUGGGCUAUAGAGAGAGAUUCUAGUGUUUGGUCAGAAAAUUAUGAAGAAUUUCAUCCAGAAAGAUUUAUUGACAUGAAAAUGAAUUAUGAAGGACAUAAGUUUAAAUCUAUACCAUUUGGUUCUGGUCGUAGACGUUGUCCUGGAAUUGAAAUGGGUUUGAUCACAAUUAAAAUGGUUAUAGCUCAAUUGGUACAUUGCUUUAAUUGGGAACUUCCAUGUAAUAUUAGUCCUUCCAAUUUGAAUAUGGAGGAGAAAUUUAGAUCACUCUAUUCCAAGGGCUCAACACUUGCACGCAAUACCGAGUUAUCACUUGACAUGUGACAACAAGCAUGAUUAGGUUCAAGAAGGAAAAUGCUAUGUUUAAUUUGUAUUCGUCAAAAUAUUAUUAAUUACUAAAUACAUUAACUUUUUUUAAAAUUUAGAUCGAUUAAUAACUUGUCUUUGCGUCUGAUUUGCAGUAGGGAAGAGGGGUAUGUUAUUCAUAUUAUGCAUAGUUGUCCAAUGACAGUUUUGGCUUGGAACCACUUUGUAGAUAAUAAAUGGAAGCUUGUUUCUAAUAGGAAUUUGUUUUACAGAAUUGAGAUGAACUUUUAUAUUGGGUAAGCUUCGGAGUGUGCGGUUAUGGUGCUUAAGGAACCAUUUCCAUAGUAAAAUGGUUUUGACAUAAUUGGGUUGAGAUUUAUACAGGGUGCUGGAAACCAUUAAGUACAUCUAAUAGUUUUUGAGUAUAACUCACAAAAACCAUUUCUAAAUUUAUGCAGGAUCGUAAGGAUUUCUUUAUGCACCAUAACCACGCCAGCUUUAAAGUCAUUUGUUAUUUAUUGUUGAGGUGAAGAGAUAAUUUAGUGCAGUCCUCUUCAUGCUCUACUUGGGAUUUGAAUAAACUAUCAAUUAAUUCUUAAUUAUGACUCCAUCUUCAACUUAGUCUUUUUUUUUUCUUUUUUUUUUGAGAGAGUCUUCAACUUGUUCUUAAACUAUAUAAAUUUAGUCUUUAACAUAUACUCAUUUCUGUCCUUAUUAUAAAAAGAAAAACACUUGAUCAAAAAAAUAAAAAUAAAAAGAAAAACAAAAAAAAUAUCAAAACCAAUGCAAUCAUUAUUUAAUGUAACUUUUUUGAUAUUUUUACAAAUAUACUCUAAUAAAAAAUUAUAAAACAUUAAAUACACUCAUUAAUAUUAAAAAUAUAAACAUUAAAUAAAGGAGUAUUAAAACUUUUUAAACAAUAAAUACACCUUAAAAUUUGCCAAAAAAAACUACAUUUUAAAAGUUGUGACGUUUUCUUAUAAAUAUAACCAUUUAAAAAAAAAUUAUAAUAAGAAUAAGAGGGAGUAUAAAAUAUAUGUCAGUUUAGUCUUUACUCGUAGAAUUUUCAUUUACUUUAAGUAUUGUUAUGAAAUUAAUCUAAAGUAUGGCAAGAUAUUGUGCAACAUCGAAGAGUAGAGAGAAAAUGAUACAGGGAGAACAAAAGAGUAUAUUGUAUUGCUUUUCAAGUGUGUUUUCACACUAAAAUACGAGUAUUAUUUAUAGGAUACAAUCUGAGCAAGUGAAUGAUCAAAGUAAUUAAGGACCAGUAACCAUCCCUUCACUUAUAGGACUUAUAGGAAUGUGGAAGAUUAAGGAUGGACAUCCACUAAGUUAAUUAUUCAUAACACUCCCCCUUGGAUGUCUAUCAUGAUAUGCAUCGUUAAAACCUCACUAAACAAAACCCCGUUGAAAAAAAAUUCUAGCAAAAGUUCUUAAAUUCACUUGAUAGUGAAAUAUGAAACUCCCUGAAGGAUUUCAUAUGAAAGAUGUGUUACAAUUUAUAUAUAUGGCUCACUUGAUAGUGAAAUAUGAAACUCCCUAUAAGAUUUCAUAUUUCACUAUGAAAAAGUUCUUGAAUUCACUUCUGGUGAAUAUAUCUGUAAAGAAUAUAUGUCUUUUAAAAAUAAAUGGUAGACAUUUACCCAUUCCUUCUUUGAACUUUCAAGAUAUCAUUGGUAUAUUAUUACCUAAAGUAAUAUUAAAAACACUCUCUUUUGAACACUCUCUAAUACUUAGAUUUAAAUCAUUGUGGGUGGGACAUCCCAACAAAGUGGUGGGAUAUCCCGUCAUCCAUCUCAACCAUCCCUCAUACCAUGCAGUCAUGGGCAUCCAGUCAUCCACUUAUACAAAAUGGUGGGACAUCCAGUCAUCCACAAACACACCACUCGUUUAGAGAUGAUACCGGUUCUUAUAGCCCUCACUCCUCACUCUUGGUACUUGAAUUGUAGACAUGUCUUCAGCAACAAUAAUAACUACAUUACUUUAUUUCCUUCUCUUCACUUUCACAUGCUUUUUAUUCAAACACUUCUUACAUCCAAAACAAAAAAACAUAAACCAUAAAAAGCCACCAGGUCCACCAACACUACCAAUAAUUGGAAACCUUCACCUAUUAGGUAAACUUCCACAUAGAACACUUCAAUCACUCUCCAAAAAAUAUGGUCCAAUCAUGUCCUUACAACUUGGUCAAGUUCCAACAAUUAUAAUUUCUUCUUCAAAAGCUGCAGAAUCAUUCCUCAAAACUCACGACAUCAAAUUUGCAAGCCGGCCAAAGAUUCAAGGAACUGAACUCAUAACAUAUUGAUGUGAUCCUAAAAAUUAUCUCUCUUGACAAGAAUAAUAAAGUCAUUGUGGAAUAAAAGAACCAAAUUAAUUUUGGGUUCAAAGUUUUAUUUUCGUAGGUCAUGAUAUGUCUGUCUUGUUUUGGCUAUAUCUGGAGCUCUGGAUGUCCGUUUGAGGUGAUCUUUAACUCGUUGGAAAGCUUACGAAAUUCUCUACAUUUCAUCUAUUUGAUUCAAGAUCAAAUUCGGAAUAUUUAAUGGUGUAAAAUGAGUUGUAAGUUGAAAACGUGGUUAAAGUGUGUAAGCUGAAGAAUUAAAGGUGUUUGUGGAAUUGUAACGUCUAGAAAUAAUUAGCCUUCACAAAUCAAUGUGCAAAUGAAUAUGUAACCUCCUCAUGCAUUGAUUAGCCACCAGCUUAGAGAGUCAUUUUGUAACAUUUUAUUUGCAUUAAUCAGCCACCAAAACAUUAUUGUAAUUAGUGGUUGCAUUUCCUUUCAUUUUCUAAGAGUUUUAGAGUCAAAAUCAUCAUGUAAUAAGCUCAUAUAAAUAGAGCACGAAAAUGAUAUGAAAAAGAAGUUGAAUAUUAUAGAAUUUUACACAUAUGUGUAUUGAGAGCUUUGUCUCUUGUGGUUCUGGAUUGAACCAACCUUGAUCUUAUCAAGAAAUCAUAUUUCUUGUGGCGAUCCUCGCAUCCAUAGACUUAUCACUUUCUUGGAUUAGAAAGUGUGGCGUCCCUGUCUAUCCAUUACAUUUCUUCAUUUUUUAGUCUUUUCAUCAUUUCCACCAACAAUAUUCAUAAUUCACUUCCGACGGCUCCGUGACAUUCAUCAUUUGGUAAUCAGAGCUUAGGUUCAAAUCAGGUGUUUUCUAUCCUUUUAAUUUAUUUGAUUUUUGUUGUUCUACAUCAAAGUUUGAAAAAAAAAAAUGUCUCAAGAAAUCCAAGCUUCAAUAGAAUAUUUUGAUAAAGUAUGGAGAGAGAAAAUGCUUGAGGAUAUCAAGAGGAGAUCAAGUCAUUCUUCUCCUCUUAAAGAGUUACAAAGAAAUAGGAGAGAGAAAAUGAUGGCAAUAAUUGAUAGAGGAAUGGCUGAUAUCUCUAAAAUACUAGAGGAAAAUCUCUUUCAAAUCCAAAAUCAUUAUAUAGAGCCUAAAAUAGAUAUUGAAGAAAAAGAGAGUCUCAUUGUAAAGGAAACUCACGAAGAAGAAUGUGAAAAGGAAAGAGAAGAGACAAAAGAAAGUGACGAAAAACAAGUAGAGGAAAAAGGAGAAGAAAAGGAGAAUGAGAAGGAAAAGGAAGAGAAAAAUGUUAGGAAGUUUUGGCCUACUAUUACAUUAGUACCUUCUUCUAAGUUGGUUUGUGUUUUUAAAUGUUGGGAUUCUUCUUCUAAUAUUAUUCAAUUGCCUAACAUUUCUUUAUGUCAUGAAGGAAACAAAGAGAAUGAAGAAACUUUUUCUCAACAAGUGGAAGAAAAUUAUGAGAUUUGGAACGAUGAUCAUGUCCAUAAAUCAAAAGUGGAUGAAAAGAAAACUAAUUCUUCCAAUAAAAGUGAAGAGCUCUCUAAAGUUAAAGUUACAUGUGAUGGAUUCCAUAGAUUUAUUUUUGACCCAGGAGGUAUUCAAGCUAUAAAUUCGAGGUCGAAUUCUCUUGAAGAGGGAGAGUAUGAUGUGAUCCUAAAAAUUAUCUCUCUUGACAAGAAUAAUAAAGUCAUUGUGGAAUAAAAGAACCAAAUUAAUUUUGGGUUCAAAGUUUUAUUUUCGUAGGUCAUGAUAUGUCUGUCUUGUUUUGGCUAUAUCUGGAGCUCUGGAUGUCCGUUUGAGGUGAUCUUUAACUCGUUGGAAAGCUUACGAAAUUCUCUACAUUUCAUCUAUUUGAUUCAAGAUCAAAUUCGGAAUAUUUAAUGGUGUAAAAUGAGUUGUAAGUUGAAAACGUGGUUAAAGUGUGUAAGCUGAAGAAUUAAAGGUGUUUGUGGAAUUGUAACGUCUAGAAAUAAUUAGCCUUCACAAAUCAAUGUGCAAAUGAAUAUGUAACCUCCUCAUGCAUUGAUUAGCCACCAGCUUAGAGAGUCAUUUUGUAACAUUUUAUUUGCAUUAAUCAGCCACCAAAACAUUAUUGUAAUUAGUGGUUGCAUUUCCUUUCAUUUUCUAAGAGUUUUAGAGUCAAAAUCAUCAUGUAAUAAGCUCAUAUAAAUAGAGCACGAAAAUGAUAUGAAAAAGAAGUUGAAUAUUAUAGAAUUUUACACAUAUGUGUAUUGAGAGCUUUGUCUCUUGUGGUUCUGGAUUGAACCAACCUUGAUCUUAUCAAGAAAUCAUAUUUCUUGUGGUGAUCCUCGCAUCCAUAGACUUAUCACUUUCUUGGAUUAGAAAGUGUGGCGUCCCUGUCUAUCCAUUACAUUUCUUCAUUUUUUAGUCUUUUCAUCAUUUCCACCAACAAUAUUCAUAAUUCACUUCCGACGGCUCCGUGACAUUCAUCACAUAUGGUUCCAAAGGGUUGGCUUUUUCUAAGUAUGGUCCUUAUUGGCGUAGUGUGAGGAAACUUUGCACUUUAAAACUUCUUAGUGCUUCAAAAGUUGAGAUGUUUGGUUCUAUUAGGAAGGAAAAGUUGGAUGUUUUGAUUAAGUCAUUGGAGAAAGCUGCUUUGGUGAGUGAGGUUGUGAAUGUUAGUGAGGUUGUAGAGAAUCUUAUUGAGGAUAUUGUGUAUAAGAUGAUAUUGGGUCGGAGCAAGUAUGAUCAAUUUGACUUAAAGAGGGUGGUUCAAGACGUAUUGGCUUUGGUUGGAGCUUUUAAUCUGGCUGAUUAUGUUCCUUGGCUAGGUGUAUUUGAUCUUCAGGUAAUUUUUUCAAGUAUAAAAUCAAAAAUAAAGGAUUAAAUAUCGAAUGUGCAAUUUUAGUCAUGAUCUUUUUAAUUGUACGACUUUGUUCUGUAAAUAUUGUUGUGAGAUAUUAGUCUCCACUUUUAAUCCUAAGCAUCAUCAAACAUCAUGGUUGUUUGUAAUUGAAAAGAGAAUGGUAAAUUGCAUGACACUAGCCAUCAUGAAUAAUUAUGAUGUACGAAUCAAGGGUACUUCUGGUUGGUGUUAGAGGGAGAGGGGGUCUUUAGAGGCCAUGGUCUGGUCCCUCCUAUAUUUUUAAUAAUUUUUUUAUUUAUAUACUAUAAUUAAACUAUAUUAUAAUAUUUCAUAAAAUAUAUUAGGCUAUAGUCCCCUCAAUUGAUUUAAUUAAAACGUUCACCAUAUUAUUAGAUUUAUUGACAACUAGUAUUAUUAGUUUGAUAUGUUAUAUUUUAUUUUAAAUUAUCUCACAUUGUCCUUUCCUCAACAUAUUUUAAAUGGAAUAAAACACAAUGAUAUAGCGUUGCAAAAUAAAAGGUGAUUACAAUUAUUACCUUUUUUGAUAGUAAAUGGAUGGAUAAAUAAAUGUUAAAGACGAGUUAAUGUUAUGCUUAUAUGCAUUUGUAUAUAUUUUGACUAUAAAUUUAGAUCUUUACGAAUAAUAUUAAUAUUUUAUUUAAUUAUAAUAAAUAAAUUAAUAUAUGUGUAGUGGUGUCAAUGUCCUAAGUUAUUUACAUUAAUAGUGUUGACGUGUCAGGUGUUCGAGUCAAAGUCCAUGCUUCAUAGAUUAAGUGGUUUGAGUUAUGUAGGUUUUGAUUUUGUAACAUCAAGAAACUUGAUUUAAAUUUGACUAAGAGUUGUAAAAUGAAUAUUAGUGUCACCGUUAUUGAUAAUAAUUUUUUUAAAUGAUAAAUAACAUUUAAAUCAAAAAUAAAAAUCAUAUUUUAAUUUUGUGUGUUUUCAAUUUUUGUAUGCUCAUAUGGUUCUGUUAAAUUAGGUGAAAAUAUUAAAUUAGCAAUUGACAUUAUUAAUUUAACACUUUGUAUAGGGAUUAACACGAGCAUGCAAGGAAACGGGUAAAGCAAUUGAUGAGGUGUUGGAAGUUAUUUUAACAGAGCAUGAACAAACCACUAAUGUAGACAAAAAUCGCCAUGAAGACUUUGUUGACAUACUUCUUACAUUUAUGCACCAAACCAUUGAUCUAGAAAAUGAAGAAAAUCAUUUCAUUGAUCGAACUAACAUCAAGGCAAUUUUACUAGACUUGACUGUGGCAGCAAUUGAUACAUCUGCUACCGUGAUUGAAUGGGCUUUAUCCGAACUUCUAAGACAUCCAAGGGUAAUGAAAAUCCUUCAAGAUGAGAUACAAAAUGAAGUAGGAAAUGAAAGAAUGAUUGAAGAGAAAGAUUUAGAGAACUUAAGUUACUUAGAGAUGGUGGUUCAUGAAACUUUAAGACUUUACCCUGUUGCACCCUUAUUACUCCCUCGUGAAUGUAGAGAGAGUGUAACAAUUGAUGGAUAUUUUAUAAAGGAAAAGACUCGAGUUAUAGUAAAUGCAUGGGCUAUAGGGAGAGAUUCAAAUGUUUGGUCAGAAAAUGCCGAAGAAUUUUACCCAGAGAGAUUCAUUGGCAAGAAAAUGAAUUAUCAAGGACAAGAGUUUGAAUCUCUACCAUUUGGUUCUGGCCGCAGACGUUGUCCUGGAAUUCAAUCGGGUUUAGUGACCGUUAAGUUGGUUAUUGCCCAAUUGGUGCAUUGUUUUGAUUGGGAACUUCCAUAUAAUAUCAGUCCUUCCAAUUUGAAUAUGGAGGAGAAAUUUGGACUCACUAUACCAAGAGCUCAACACUUGCAUGUAAUACCGACUUAUCGUUUGGCAUGUGAUGACAGGGUUGAAUAGGUUCAAGAAGGACAAUAUUAUGCUUGUAUGCAAUAAGUUUAUUACUAUAUUAAAGGACAAUCUUAAAACCCUCUUUUAUUCUACUAACCCUCUCUCAUCAUGUUUUUUGUAACUUGGUUUCGAAUCCGUACGCGGGUUCGCUGGAUUGCGCUCAUGGUGAGAGUUAGUUUGUUAGGAUUGAUUAGGGUAGUUUCAUUUUUCUGUUUUACACGAUGUAUUUCCGUUUGGGUUAUUUCUGGGUCAGGUGCAAUGUCCCCCCAGCUCUUUACCUUUUGUUCUUUUAUGUUAUUUUAUUUCUAUUUUUGCUAUAAAAAAAAAAAAAAAAGUAUAGUAGGUCUAAUGGUAUUUUUCGAUGAUUCUAGGGUGAAGAGAACUAGACUUGCUUUUCUACAUUUGAGCACAUACUUUAAAUAAUUUGAAGGAGCAUUUAUACUUUAAAAUAGACUACAUAAACAAAAUGGAUGAUUUUCAUACUAUUUGUUAAAAUUAAAAAUUAUUUUUCAAAACUAGAUAUCAUAAACUUUCCAGUAAAUGGUCAGUUGCUUAAUUCUGACACCGUUUUCUAUAUUAAUAUAAUCGAUGAAGUUUAUGAUAAAAUGCAGAAAAAUGUGAGAAAAUGAUCAAUAAUUAAAGUAUGCAUACCAUAUUAUUUAUAUUUUCAUACAGGUUGCAAAAUGAUUUCUGUUAUCAAAAUAUGUUUUGAGCUAUGAGUUCCUUAGAAGACUAGACAAAAUAAGGAACCAAGUUGUGAGCCUCCCAUUUAUGGGGAGGACAAGUUCCAUGUCCCAGCAUACUAACUUAUUUAACUUAAUGUUUUAAUUUACUUUAAGAAGAUAUUUAAUUGCAUUUGCACCCAAAACCAAUGUCUUAGUGUUCAAGAGUUUUAGAGUUUGAAAUUCAUAGCACUAUUUAGAUGAUGCGAUGUGAAGGUACGAACUUAAUAAAUAAAGACAGUGAAAUGUUUGUUGUAAUUUAAACCUUCAACAGGUAAGGGGACCUACUCACAUGCUAAGAAUAAUAGAUAUGUUUGGUUAUAUAUACCGUUGGUGUACACAUCUGAUGCGGUGUAUUCUAUGAUUCUUGUAUACACAGGUCAUUAGUUUAUUACUAUAAAUAUAAUAAUUUUUUGUUUUAAUUUCUCUAAAUUUGUUUUUUGAUUGUUAGUUAUGAAAAAUAUUUUAAUCACCAUUUUUUUUUUAAAGAAAUAUGAUUAUAACAUUUCAUUAAUAAUAAAAGAUUCAAUACAAUCAGGUAUGUUAAAAUAAACAAUGAGACUAGUUAGAAACGUGACUUCUCUUACAAGCACAUGAGCAACCAUAUUUGUUUGUCGCCUAGCAAACUCCAUAGAGUUGGUAAAAGAAGAGCUGAAUAGAGAUCGACAAGAAGAAAUAAUGCAUGCAAAUCCAGAAAUGUCGUCUCGAGUAAUCUUGGAAUCAGUUUCAAAAUCAACAUUAUUUAUCAAAUUGCAUAUCACUCAACCAGUGCAUAGCACUAUGUAACAUGAAUGCUUCACCAACAUCAACCGAGUAAAUACAUGGAAAACUGGCAACUUUUGCCAAGACAAACGCACCUUCAAAAUCCCGAACACAAAUGUCAAUUCUAGUUUGGUUAAGAUUAGAUGAGAACGCAACAUUGAUGUUACACUUAUACCUACCUGACAAAGGACGUUCCCAGCAAUUGGAACCCGCGGGUCCUGUACUGCUAAUUGUAUCCAAAGUUGCGGCCGAAUGCUCCCCACCAUGAGGUUGUUGCGCUUGCUGCUGAGUUGUGGGAGCAGCUAUGCUAGAGGCAUUUGCAAGAUGCCAAUCGUUGACAAGUUCUUUGCACGCUCAACAAUCGUGGCACUUACCUAUAUGACAUCAUCCCAAACUUUUAGAUUACCAUGCUUCCAAAGGCUCCAUAAUGUUGCUGCCAACCGUUGGUUUUGUUCGGAAUAUAAUGUAUCCAAUAACAAAAUGAUAGUUUCAGUUGUUAAAGUAGUAAAUUGAAUAGCAUGUUGAAUAGCUCCCCAAAUAUUUGUCAUAUGCCAUACCUGGACAUGAUCAAAAGAACAAUAAAAAUAAUUAAGUGAGCAAGAUCCUCAUGGUUUGAGUUACAACUAACACAAUGUGUAGGACAUUGGAUUCCUUUAUCAAGGAGACGAACACGAGUCGGUAAGUAGCCCCGGCACAUACGCCGCACUAAAUUUUUAACUUUAGGAGGAACCUUAACCUGCAAAAUUCCUGACCAAGAACCUGGACAACGAGAAUGAGAAGAAACAACGGGCUCGUCCAAACAAAGCGGAUAAUCACUACACACAGAAUAACGACUAUUCUUUUCCGCUUUCCAGAUUAAACGAUCAUCUUGGAACUAGGCAAUAAGUGGCGUGUUAAAAAUCUUAUCAGCUAUAUCAACACUAAGAACCUAGCGAACUACCUCUUCAUUCCAGCUCUAGUCGUAUAGAUUAAUCAAAUUAUUAAUGGUAACAUUCUAACCAAAACGAGCUCCUAUAAUACUUCCAUCAAUACACUCUCCGUCAGAUAACCAAGGGUCAUUCAAAAUAGAAAUAGAAGAGCCGAAAUCAAUACUCCACCAAGCACCUCCACAAACGAUAAAUCGGGUGCGCAGAAUGUUGUGCCACACAUAGCUAGGAUUGUGGCCAAGUUGUGCCAUGAGAUAGGUAUGGAAGGGAAAAUAUUGUGCUUUAAAAAUACAAGCGACAUGAGAGUCAGGUUCCAUAAGAAAUUCCUAACCUUGUUUACCCAACAUAGCCAAGUUGAAAGCGGGGAGGUCCUUAAAACCCAUUCCCCUAUGAACCUUGUGUACUAACAACUUCUCCCAACUCAUACAGCUAAUAUUGCGUUGUGUAGUUCUACCAUGACGCCACCAGAAGGAAUUCAUCAUCUCUUCGAUACUGUUAAUUAACGUAAUUGGUGAUAAAAAAAUGCUCAUAACAUAAAAAGGAAUGACCUGCAAGACAAAUUUAAUCAUAACCUCACGCCCUGCCUUAAUUAGUUAAGCAUUUACUACUCUAGGAAUUAAUUUUCUGCCAAACUCGAUCUUUGAUAUAAGCAAAAGUUGCAUUUCGAUCCCUAUACCAAUCAUAGAUGGUAAACCAAAUAUUUGCCGAUUCCCAAUAUCGCCUGAACCCGAAGAAUGUUAGUAAGAGUCAGUUUGAGAAGGUCAGGAACAUUUCGACUACAAUAAGUUUCAGACUUAGGCAAACUAAUGGCAUGGCCUGAAGUUAAUUCACGUUUAAUCACCAAUUUUAGUCCUUACUUUUAAGUCAAUUCAUAUGUAUCAUUCAUGUUUUUUAAUGAAAAUUACCAAGAAUGUUUACAAUAUUAUAAGAAUCUCUUCAAAAAAAACAAUAAUUUAGAAAGAAAAAAAAAAGAAUUAUAUAUGUAUUUGUAUGUACCAAAAACAUAAAAAAUAAAAUCAUGUUUGUUAAAAAAUUCUAAAUUUGUUUGGAAGAUAUUCUUAUAAUUGUUGAUAUAAAAUCUAAAUCCCCAUUUUUAGUUUUAAAGAUAACAAACUAAUUAAAUUAAACUUUAUUAAUUCUGAUUUUAAUUGUUAUAUAACUUGUGCUCUUGAGUAUCUUUUUUAAGUUAAAGGUAUAAAAGCAUUGUACAAUUAUCAAGGAAAGCAACAAGUUAUGAUGGAGAGAUUGAUCUCAAGCAUUGGUUUCAAAUAUGGAUUUAAUGUUCAAAUAAGGCCAAGCACGUACAGGGAAAUGGAAUGUUACAUUUGAGGAAGCAAUAAAUAUUUCAAGCAUAAACUAUAUCAUGACAAGGAAAUAUUAUUUGAAGCUUACUACAAAUGAACAUAUGAACAAAAAGAACAUAUUUAAUGUCAUGUGCAAAAAUAGUUGGCAUGAGAAUGACCACUAUAUUUUCGACAACACAUCAAGAGUGUAAGACAAAUACAAAACUAUGAACCUUUGGAUAUUCACUUUAUGGUCACCUCACAACAUGACAAGAAAGCUGCCUAGUACAAGAAAAGCCUUUUCUUUGGGCUCAAGUCUUAUGGUACAGCAACAAGUGAAAAGGAAAUGAGCUGUACAAAGCUCAUGUCUCACGUAGCAAGCAACAAAGUACAAAGGAAAGCUUCAGCAGAUUUAGAGAUCGAUCUCAACUUUGAAAGGAACAGUUCCAUCUCAAAGGCUCCCUUGAAUCUUGUGCUGCAAGAAAGGAAGAAUUUAACAAGGGUUUUUCUCCUAUAAAUAGAAGACUCCAGCAAGUGAGAAAAACAACUUUUGAGCAAAAGAAAAAAGACAACAUUCUUUAAGAAUUUCUUUGUUUACAAAUCACUCAAGAAUCAUAUCUUUGUUUUGAGCAAGCAGCUCUUUUGUGUAUUAAAUCUUUGAAGAAGUUUAAUACUUUCAAAUACUAUUGUAAAAGAAUCUGCAAGUGUGCAGAAAGGUUGUAAAAAUUCUUGCUCGUAACGGCAAGUGACUUGACCAAGUGAAGGUUGAAAGAAAGUGUUGUAUAGAUCAGAAAGAUCUAAAAAGAAAGAAGGAAUUGAGAUUAAGUCAUAACUCAAUUACCUAGUGGAAAAUCUCACAAGUAUUGUGGGGACUGGACUAACCCACGUUGGGUGAACCAGGAUAACUCUUUUUGUGUGAUCCUUCUUCCUUAUCUAUUUUUAUUUGCACUAAUCACACACCUUCACUAUAUCUAUUUAAAAUUCCAUUUAAAUCACUAACGUUUUUUUGUUGAGAAUUUUUAAUAGGUAAUUUUUAUUACAUCACAAUUCAAACCCCCUUUCUUGUGAUAAUUAUUUAUCUUCAAUAAUACUUUAUGAAUUUCUGAAAAUUUAAUUAAAAAAUAUGAAGACUACACAAGAGUUCACUUAAAAGUAGAGAUCAGAAGUAUUGAUGAAAAUUUUAAGAAGACUAAAUAUUGAAGAAAUUUUUAGAGGAACUAAAACUAAAAAUUAAUAUAUUUAUAAGGACUAAAAACAUAUUUAACCAUAUCUUUUAUUCUCUAUUCAAAAUAUACCGUAUUAGAUUGCUUUCUUUAAAGAUUAUCGAUAUAAAACAUAAUUAAAAAUUAAUAAUUAAAUAUAAGUGGUUUCAUAGCCAGUAGUAAUAUAUUCAUUUUGAUGUCUUAAAAAAAAUAUUAAUAAUUAAAUAUAAAUAUAAAGAGAAAAGCAUUUCUUUAUGAUGGGAAAGAAAAAAAAAUGUAUCAUGUGUCAAAACUCAACUCAUUUUAUUUUUCAACAAUAUUCUUCUCAUAUAAUUGUAAUGUUUAUACAUUUUAUUUUACCAUCAAUAUUCUUUUUUUACCGCCAUGAGAAUUACACCGACCAAGGAAACAUGUGGUCCCCGCCCAUAUCGCCAAAAUAACGUUGUCCAUUCUUUUUUUAAUGAAAUACAUGUAGAUUUGACUUUGUAUGGAGAGGUGGAGUUGUGGGACGCCUCAUCUAUGUUAGCUUGCUCACUACUCUCCACCUCAUCCACAUUCAGUCAGUCACCCACUACCUCAUAUGAUCAACUCUAUAAAUAUGGGGAUUUCCGGCCUCCAUAAUUCAUUCACUCCUUCUUACCAAAAAAACACUAAUAACCUAAGAGCUCCUCACUGUCAUCACCAUGGCCAGGAGGGUCUCUACUACUGUACACAGAACAAGUACAUUUUUAAUUUAUUUUUAGGCAAAUUCUAUGGUACACCUAAUAUAUUUGAGUGUAUCAGUACACUCACUCUUUAAAUUAAUGGUUAAAUGAGUUGUAUUUUGAAGAAAAAUAUUAUUUUCUAUCAUUUAUAUUUAUAAUAACUAAAUCUUAUUCGUCAGAAGUGUUAACGAAAUAAAAUUAAUUUUUUUUUUGAAUUUUUAGCACUCAUAAUUGAGAAUAUUGAUUAUAUUUUACGAUUAUAUGUAAAAAAAAUUAUUAUGAUUCCUAUAAACAAUGAACUGAUGUUUUUUCUUAUGAAAUAUAAAUAUUGAUAAAUAGUUAUUUAUUUCAUAAAAAACGAUCGUUAAUUUAUAAAAUUAUGAAGAAAGAGUACCGGUACACCUCAUUUUAUGAGUGUACCGUAAAAGUUCCCUUAUUUUUAUUGGAAAAAGGAAAUUAUUAAUAAUGGUGACAUCAAUGAACAUAUUACAAUUGUCCCACGUUGGGUUUGGACCAAUAUUUCAUUUGUGAUUACAGUAAAUCUCUUUCCACAGAUGUUGGACAUAAUAUCAAAUGUAAUAAUCAAACAUAUACUCUCUCCGUCCCAAAAUAUAAGCAAAAAUAGUUUAAACCAAAUACAUUAACUUUUGUUGUCUAAUUUUUGUUUACAUUUUGGGACGGGAAGAAAUACUCGUUUAUAAUUAGAAUAUUUUAUUUUAUAUAAAAAAAUGAUCAUUCAAAUUGAUUGUGUACAUCCGAUACAAACAUAAAUUCAGCAUUUCUAAAAAUGAAAAUAAAUUUAAGAAUAAACUCACAUCAUCCAAAUUAAUACCAUAAAACAACAACAAAAAUUAUAAAUAAUGUGACAAAAUUAAAGGAAUUGGAAUAUUCAUGUAUUCAAAUCUGCAAUUGACGACUUAAUCAUUUGUUGAAUCAGAAAUUGUUUGAAGUUGAUAUGUUUAUCUAAGUCAAAUGAACACUACACCCAGAUGAAAAUUCAAACAAACACUACAUCAAAACGAGAAAUCAAACAACGUCGCACUGAGAUGACGAAAUCAUAAAAGAAACUUAGGAAAAAUAUGUACUUUAUAGAAAUAUCUUCAAGUUCGCGCAUUGUACAUCUUUGUUUUUUUCCUUCAAAUCUGUUAGAAUAUUCCUAGGCGCCGCCAAACUCUUUGUCAUGUCGAUAACCUUUUCUUCUCCUCCGCUUUUAGUCUACCUGCAAGAAGGUGGCCGUCUAACUUUGGCGCCAACUCAUGGUUGUGCAUUCCACAAAGCAUUGCAAUCCACCAAUCUUUUGUAUCCUUAUCAAAGAAACCUUGCAACCUAAGCGAACAUUCCCAUUUCCUUGAGCCCGUGUCUUCAAGGUUUGGUUUCUUCCUCGUCUUAGGUGGCUUGUAUUCACCACUGCUUUCACAUUGUGUCGUCAAAUAUGACCUUUUUAAACUAGAUUUAUCUAUAAAAAUAGUAAAUCCGGCCCUUGCCACUUGUGGCCAACCUAACCAAGUAAAUCUUCUCGGUCUUUCCAUCUUUUAUUUGUUGUAAAAAACGAGUCGGUGUCUACUUCAAUACCACGAUCAUUGGUAGCCAUUUGUCAUGGUCUGACCUCUAUAAUAUAUUGUCUACAACAAUCACUAUAUACAUGUAAUUUUUUUUUUUUUAAAUUCAUUAAAUAAUUAUUAUAUCUAAUUUAUUUAUAAAUGAGAUACAUUAAUUAUUCAAUAAAACUAAAAAAUUAUUUUUUACUUGUAUAUUUAACCGACUAAGAAUGGAAGGUGGAUCCAGUUUUUGAGGGAUGAAUCCAUUCAUCUGCAGUGUCUACCUUUACUUCUUCAAUUUAAUUUCUUUGUAUAGUUAGUCUUAAAAAAGUUAUGUAGCGAAAUAGUUCAAUCUAUUUGAAUUAAUGGUUUAAAGGAAUUAAGGAGUUAAAAAUCUUGGUUCAAGUCUUAUAAGAAAAUAAAUUAACAUAGGCUUAAAUGCUCUUUUGGUCCCUUAACUAUUUAAUUGGUAUCGCUUUGGUCCAUUAACUAAAAAAAAGAUUGUUUGAGGAUUUUAAAUUUUUUUUAAGUCUCGUUUUGGUCCCUUCGGUUAGGUUUCCGUUAGUUUUAAUAAAAAACGUUAAGUGUGGACACAUGUCACCUUGUCAUUGGUUCUGAGAUUUUUUUUUUACAAAAAAAAUAAUAAUUUUUUUUGUAAAAAAAAAAAAAAAAACUCAGAGCCAAUGACAAGGUGACACUUGUCCAAGAGUUAACUUUUUUUAAAACCCUAACGGAAACCUAACAGAAGGGACCAAAACGAGACUAAAAAAAAACUUAAAGUCCUCAAACAAUCUUUUUUUUAGUUAAGGGACCAAAGCGAUACCAAUUAAAUAGUUAAGGGACCAAAAGAGCAUUUAAGCCAAUUAACAUAUUUGAUAUUUGUCAUUUUCUUUGAAGGAUUGAUAUUUGUCAUUUAAAAAUACUUUCUAUUAAGGAGAAAAAUACUUCAAUUAACAUAAUCAUAUUUUAUCAUAUCUUCUUGAGCUUAGCUCAGUUGAUAGAAACAAUGUAUAAUAUAUGCAAGGUUUGAGUCAAACCUCGACCACCACAAAAAAUAAAUCAUAUUUUACCAUCACGUCAUUUUAUUAUAUUAGUUUACUGUAAAUAUAUUUUAAAAGAAUUCAUGAAAAUCCCCUAAAAAAAGAAUUCAUAAAUCUUCUCCUACAUAAUAUAAUAUAUAUAUUGUAAAACAUGAUUCAACUUAUAUGUAAGUUUUUGUUAACGGAAAGCGAUACCAAUUAAACAAAUCAAAAUUAUUUGUUUCCACCUUUAUUUAACUAAUAAUUAUUCUAUCACUUGCACGGCUGCACCAUCUUCAAAUCCUCAAUCAAGCAACACUAAUAAUUCUUUAUAGUUCUCAUCCUUAGAACUUAGAUCCAAAGAAUUCACUGUAAACAUGUUUUCAACAACAAUAAUAAUUCCUUUCAUUCUCUUCACUUUCACAUACCUUUUAUUCAAAUUCUACUUACGUGAAAAACAAAACACCAUAAAUCAUAAAAAACCACCAGGUCCACCAACACUACCAAUAAUAGGAAACCUUCACAUGUUAGGUAAACUUCCACAUAGAACACUUCAAUCACUGUCCAAAAAAUAUGGUUCAAUCAUGUCCUUACAACUUGGUCAAGUUCCAACAAUUGUUAUUUCAUCUUCAAAAGCUGCAGAAUCAUUCCUCAAAACUCAUGACAUCAAUUUUGCAAGUCGGCCAAAGACUCAAGCAUCUCAGCUCAUUUUUUAUGGUUCCAAAGGGUUGGCUUUUUCUGAGUAUGGUCCUUAUUGGCGUAGUGUAAAGAAACUUUGCACUUUGAAACUUCUUAGUGCUUCAAAAGUUGAGAUGUUUGGUCCUAUUAGGAAGAAGGAGUUGGAUGUUUUGGUUAAGUCAUUAGAGAAAGUUGUUUUGGUAGGUGAGGUUGUGAAUGUUAGUGAGAUUGUAGAGAAUCUUAUUGAAGAUAUUGUGUAUAAGAUGAUAUUGGGUAGGGGUAAGUAUGAGCAAUUUGAUUUAAAGAAGUUGGUUCAAGAAGGAAUGGCUAUGCUUGGAGCUUUUAAUCUGGCUGAUUAUGUUUCUUGGUUAGGUCCUUUUGAUCUUCAGGUAUGUGUGUAAAAGUUGAAGAAAUUAGUUACCUAUUGACUUGAUUUUAUUUUAAGUCUCUUAAGUAUCGUAGCUGUACAUUUUUCAUUGGUCACUUUAUUAUAUUGCACAGUUUUGGGUCCUUCAUGUUUUUUCCUCUUAUGUAUUAAUUGAGGGGUCCUUCAAUAUUUUAGUAUUACAAGGGAGAAAAUAGGGAAGAAAAAAAAAGAGGAUCAUGUAAUUGAACAACACAAUAACACUAGGACACAAUAACACUAGGGUUACCGUCUUUUUUUUCUUCUUUCAAAUAUAUACGUAUGUGAAGAAACUAGACAUUGCAAGUUUAAAUUUAUGUUCUAAGGUGUUCCACAAAUCCUGCGUUAACUUGUAACCUCGUACAACUCGUACAAAUUUACGUUUUUAUGUGUCAAAAAUAUGUUAAGAGCAUGUUUGGCCCUGCUUAUUUGCCACUUAUCUUUUACUUCUAAAGAGAAGUGGGGCCAAACAUAAUUUUGAUAAAGCUCUUAAUAAUAGAAGUGACUUUUUUGUAAAGAAGGAAAUCCAACAAAAGUGACUUUGAAAAUAAGAUAAAAAAAUGAGCUUUGAGAGUGACUUUUCGGAGGUUAUACCUGCUUUUCCUCCUUCGAUUCCCGCAAGCCACUAUAUUUUUUAUUUUAUUAUUAUUUCUGGCAAAUCGGAGGUAAAUUUGAUUUUUGGUGAAAUUGAAUGUUUGACAAGUUUGACCAAGUUAACACAUGUUAAAUUCGGUAAAUUAGAUCGAGUUUAUGAGUUUACUUUUUUUUUUGGCAAACACUUUUUAUAUUUUUUAUUUUUUAUUUUUGGUCCCACUAUGUAAAUCUUAGAAAAUCAAUGUCAUGACGACCAUGUCCCUUAAUUAAUUCUAAAUUUGAGUAAAAAUAAUGGACUACAUAAAGUGACAGAAAAUGGAGGGAUUUGAGGAUUUGUGUGUUGACUUUCACUUUAGUCUCUAGAUCCAUGUUACACAUCCUUGUCGGCAUUUAACGGUCAAUUUUAACGUCAAGCACUAAACUAACCAACGGAGGUAAACAUCCGGGGACCAUUUUGCAUUUUAUCAUAAGUCAAGAUUAUUGUAACAGUGAGGUGCAAAGUCAGAGACUAAAAUGAUUAUUUCUUCAUUUUUUUAUUGUUCCAGUAAGGUAUGUAAAAAUAUCCAAUUAGUAAUUGUCAUUCUUAAUUUAACACUUUGCUAGGGAUUUACACGAACCUGCAAGAAAACCGGUAAAGCACUUGAUGAGGUAUUGGAGAUGAUAAUUACAGAGCAUGAACAAAGCACUAAUGUAGACAAAGUUCGUCAUGAAGAUUUCAUUGAUAUACUUCUCUCAAUUGUGCACCAAACGGUAGAUCCAGAAAAUGAACAAAGUGGUGUUAUUGACAGAACUAACAUCAAGGCAAUUUUACUAGACAUGAUUGUGGCAGGAAUUGAUACAGCCACUACCACGAUUGAGUGGGCUUUAUCUGAACUUUUCAGACAUCCAAGAGUGAUGAAAAAGCUUCAAGAUGAGAUACAAAAUGAAGUAGGAAAUAAAAGAAUGGUCGAAGAGAAUGAUUUGAAGAAGUUGAAUUACUUAGAUAUGGUGGUUGAUGAGACAUUAAGACUUUACCCUGUUGGACCCUUAUUACUUCCUCGUGAAUGUAGAGAAAGCAUAACAAUUGAUGGAUAUUUUAUAAAGGAAAAGACACGAGUUAUAGUAAAUGCAUGGGCUAUAGGGAGAGAUUCAAAUAUUUGGUUAGAAAACGCUGAUGAGUUUUAUCCAGAGAGAUUUAGUGAUAAGAAAAUGAAUUAUCAAGGACAGCAAUUUGAAUCUAUACCAUUUGGUUCAGGUCGUAGACGUUGUCCUGGGAUUCAAUUGGGUUUGGUUACGGUUAGAUUUGUUGUAGCUCAAUUGGUGCAUUGCUUUAAUUGGGAACUUCCACAUAAUAUUAGCCCUUCCAAUUUGAAUAUGGAAGAGAAAUUUGGAGUCACUAUACCAAGGGCUCAACAUUUGCACGCAAUACCGAGUUAUCGUUUGGAAUGUGAUGAGAAGCUUGAAUAGGUCCAUAAAGGACAUUAUUAUGCUUGUAUUCAACAAGUUUAUUACUAGUAAAGAUGUUAUAAGUUGGUCUAAUGGUGCUUGAAUAGAAUAAGUUAAUGAGUAUUGCUAGUUUUUAUUAUAUGUUAAUAGCCAACAUAUGAAUAAAUUAGGAGUGAAGAAAUUAGAGAAAUUAUCAGUUAAUUGCUUAUUGAAUAAGUGUUUAUCAUACAAGUGUUUAUGUAUAUGAUCAGUUAUUCCAAUAAUUAAAGUGAUAAUCCGGUCCACUAUUUUCAACUAACUUGUAACUGAUUUUCUUAAAUUUGUCAUAGAGUGCUAAUUCAACCUAUGACAUCAGGUUCACAAUGGUAUGAAGAAUUAGUUCACUGGUUUAUGCUUGCUUUGUAAUUGUUUUUAGAAAUUUGAAUUAAUAAUAGUCUCAAUUUUAAUUUCAUAAUAAUCAUGAGUAGAGAAUAAUGCCCAGUACCUUAUUGUAAUGAUACCAAAGUUUGGGUUUGGAAUCUCUCCGGUGGUCACACGAGAGUCCAGUGAAAUCUUGUCCAUUAAAAAUUAAUGUAUAUGAGAAUUUUAAAUGUUGAAAAUAAAAGAGAAGACAAUUAAUGGUGCAGAUUGUAUCACUGCAGAAAACUGGAGAGAUUUUCACAGGAGGAAAUCCAUUUCCCCAAAAUUUUAUUUGGAUUUGUUAGUUCAAGACAACUUUUAGGUUGUGAAAGUAUAAAUACAGAUUUUCAUGCAAUUAUAACAUAAGGGAUGCCUAAAAUUCUAGAAAUUAGAGGAACAAAUAAAUAAUUUGAUUAGAGGAAAUAUUGGAAGUAGUGUUUUCAUAGUACUGAAUAGUUUGAUUCACCAUAAAAAACUCCAUCAAUUUUAAAAAUUUAUCAUUAGCUGAGUUAAGGUUUGUAUCUCUGUUUCUUUGAUUAACUUCAUCUUAUUUGUCGUUCUACAAUCUCCAUAGUAACAUUCUAGUUUUGUUGUCAUGUGUGAUAUGUUGUGUUAAAAAAGCUUUAGAAUUUGAAGGUCUACCUCAUUUCUAGAAUUGAUAUUAGCAUGUUUGUGCAAGCGGUUGAUUUAUCAAUUCAGUGAUAAAAACCCACGUUUGAAGAGAAGCUACCUUUUGAAGCUUCUUUAAAUCACGUCUUUCCAGCACACUGGCGGCCGUACGUACGUCCGCUNNNNNNNNNNNNNNNNNNNNNNNNNNNNNNNNNNNNNNNNNNNNNNNNNNNNNNNNNNNNNNNNNNNNNNNNNNNNNNNNNNNNNNNNNNNNNNNNNNNNGGAGACAUCCCAGACACUUGGCAUGAUCAUGAUUGAACAGAGAAGCUUUGCACAGCUUGAUGUGUAGAGGUACCAGAGGAGUUGCGACGUUGCGGACAUCAAGUCUCGGAGCUUCUUCACACACUUCGAUCAUAUUCACAGCGGCAUGAUUUGGUAGCGGAUUGUCGAGGACAUGUGGGACAUUAUUCUCAAAAGUCAGCUUCCCUUGAUCGAUGAGCUUCUUCACGAUAUACUUCAAAGCAUAACACCCCUCGACGUCAUGACCCAAGGCACCUUGAUGAAAGUCACAUUUGAGAUCAGACCUGAACCUUGGAGGCAACGGAUCAGGUGGGGGCUUACCCUGUCUAGUUGUACAAUGACCUCUCUGGAGUAGAGUUGGAAGAAGUUCUGCAUACAACAUUGGUAUAGGAGGGAAGGUUGGCCUGGCUUGCUGAUUUUGUUGUUGUUGUUGAACCGGCAUCUGUUGUUUCAUCUGUUGGGCAAUUGCAUUGACGGGCACUUGAGGCUGGCCCGGCGGCAAAGGGUACUGAUGAUAAAACGGUGGGAAGAACGGAUGCUGAGAAUACGGCAUAUAUGGGUAUGACGGAGGCAUUUGAGCUGCAUUGAUAGGAGCAACAGUAGCCAUUGAUUGCCCGGCUCCAGCUGACACCAUCCCCACUUCCGUUUCUUUCUUUUUGUGGUGUCCAUUACCAUAUCUCUUCGACGCAUUCACAGAGGAUUCAGCUUUCUCAAACACGAUGAUUCCAUCCCUUACGGCUUCCUCAAGACGGGUUCCCAUGGUGACCAUCUCCGAAAAGUUGUUCGGGGCAGCGAUGAUCAUCCUCUCAACAUAAUCUUUCUUCAACGUUUUUAAGAACGUCUGGGUCAUUUCUUCCUCAUCUAAAGCAGGAGUGAUACGGGCAGCCGCCCCUCUCCACCUUUGCGCAUAUUCACGGAAACUUUCCUCCUUCUUCUGAGAUAGGGACCUGAGAAACUCCCUAUUUGGCCUCAGUCGAGUGUUAAACCCAUAAUGGCUCUUGAAAGCGGUGGCUAACUCAUCAAAGGUAUGGAUGUCAUUCUUACUCAAACUAGUAUACCACUCUGCGGCAUCCUCCAUCAGACUAUCCUGAAAACAGUGGAUCAUAAGGGAAUCAUUGUCUUUGUAAUUGCCCAUCUUCCGGACGUAUUUGAUGAUGUGAUUUUGAGGACAAGUUAGCCCGUUGUACCGGUCGAAGUCCGGAAUCUUGAACUUUUUAGGAACAUCCACUUUUGACACUAAGCAAAGGUCUUGAGUUUUGACAGAGUUUGCACUCCCUCGAUUGGCCUGGAUCUCGUGACGGAGUUCUUUAGCAAGUUCCUCCAUCAUCUCUUCCAUAGUCUUGGUUACGGGGAUGCUUCUGUGCUGUGUGUUGACGUUAAUACCUUGAGGCAGAGUGUGUACCAGAGGCUCAGUGACAGCUGCUGUUGUUUGUGGCAAAGUAGCAAUGAUGGAGGCGGCAUUUGUUGCAGGGAUCAGAACAUUGUUAGCAGUGCCCGAGGUGCUUGCUGUAGCAACGGGAGUGAAGAACGGUGGAAGCCCAUACGGAAACCCCACUGGCAUAGUAAAGCGGUUGUCUGCAGAAGUGGUAGGGAGCACGCUUGUAGUUACUGGUGCAGCUGUGGUUGUAGGGAUAGCUGUAGCUGAUUGCUCUUGAGCAGCUAGUAGAGCAGUCAUGACGUCAUUAGCUUUAGCCAAUUCCUCCUUUAGAGAGGCCAACUCGGUGCGAAGCUGAGCGUUCUCUUCUUCCAUAGCCCUUUUCUUUCUUCUGUAUUCUCUGGUUCGAUCAAUUCUAUCUGGUUCGUAAACUCUCUGAGCACGAGCCACUUUUCACACUGUGGCAGAGGAACCAGGAGAUAGUGAGCACUUGGAAGCCUUUGUGACCAAUGCAUGAUGCAUAUGAUGCAUGAUGUGCAAAUGCGAAUGCAAAAGACUUAUUUUUUUUCAUCGAAGGAAUUUUGAACCAAUUAGAAAUCUUUGCAAAUAAUCAAAACUACAUAGUAUUUUUUUUUAACAGGAAGACUUUGAAAUUUCAACAAGAUAAACACAUGGAGUCCUCAAGCAUAGGAAGUAGUCGGAGGAUCAUCGGACUCGGAAUCUGAAUCACAGUAUCUGGCAAAGAAGUCUCGUCGUCCUCGGGCUCUCUUGGAAUCCCUCAUAAGCAGCUCGUCUUUCUCUUCUAGUUCCCUCCGGGCCUUAGCUAGCUCUUUCUUCAACAUCAGAUUCUCAUGAGUCUUCUGCUCAUCUCUACCAUCCAAAGUCAUGAUUAGAUUCUCGGCUUGAUUGUACCGAGCCUUCCACACUUGCUUCUCACGACUCUCCAUAGCUAGAUGCUCCUGAUACAUAUCCUGAGUCGCGGGGAGCAAAGGUAGAGGCAUAGAUGGGGUAGAUGAAGACACAUAUCUCAUAGCUGGAUAAGGCAUACCAAUCUCCUCAGCUCGAUCUAUCACCCACUGGGUAUAGGCCUCAUGAGCGACACCGGAUCUCACACCUAGAUGCUUCACACUCUUCCUUCGAACCUUGGACCAAGCAUCCACGAAAGCUUUCCUUUGUCCGGUAGGAGCAUUCGUGUAGAAGAAGAACUCUGGAGAUGUGGCAAGAUUGAUGGGCUUCGACUUCAUAGGGAAACCAAACUGUCUCAUAGCAAGCUCGGGAUUGUAGUUGAUUCCUCCACGAGUACCAAGAAGAGGUACAUUGAGAAAGUCUCCACAACCCAUAAUGAUUUCCUUCACUUGAGCGGCAGGAGUGAGCCAGACGACCUCAUCAGGAGUGAGAGCCAUAAUCCGCUGAGAGUAGGACCAAUUUUCCGAGUUAUCAUGGAAGGAACUCGGAAGGUGCGAAAUAAACCACCUAUACAAAAGAGAUGUGCAGCAAAGAAUAUACCCACGGCCCUUGAGAGUCCUGUCAUGAAUGGCGUGGUAGGUGUCCGCUAGCAAAGUAGGAACCGGGUUCUUAGAAUGAAAGAUCUCGAUAGCAUUCAUGUCCACGAAGUUGUCAAGGUUCGGGAAGAGAAUGAGCCCGUAGAUAAGCAAAGCAAGAAUAGCCUCGAGUGUGUCCUGGCGAGUGGUACCGAGAUUAGCCUGAUCAAGAAGAUACUUCGAAGUGAAACCCCGGAUGUGAGACUUGGUAAUAAGAUGGUUGGAGACGUCGGAAGUCUUGAGGUAGAGAUCCUUAGCAACAACCAGAGGAGUAAGAGGAGUCCCGGGACCGGCGAAAGGCGUCUUCUCGGCUAUAGGUAACCCCACUAGAUUGGAGUAAGCCUCGAGAGUAGGAACCAACUGGAAGUCCGGGAAAGUGAAGCAGCGGAAGCUCGGAUCAUAAAAUUGCACCAGAGUGUGCAUUAGCUUCUCGUCCACAUCGGUUCGGAGCAAAGUAAGCAAUCCCCCAUACCGGAGUCGGAACCCUGUUUGACUCUUGACCUUGAGCGCCAACUCUCUCAAACUAACCAAAUCCACUUCCUUGAACUUGUAGCACUUAGUCUUCUUCAUACCUGUGAUUAUUUACAAAAAUUCUCAUUUGUUUAAACCCUUCGAUGAAUGCAUGAAAAAUAUUUAUGCAUGAAUGCAUGUAUGCAUGAUUGUGUUGUUUAGUUACAAUGUGGGUUGAGAUUCAAAGUAACAAGGCCACGGAUGGACACGGCGUCCGGUGAACUAAGGCUUUGGAUAGUAGUAACCAAGGUUCUAACACAGUUCCCAAACUGCAACCUCUCUCACAUAUAUCAUGGUAGUACAGGACGACACCCGUUCCACGAUUAUUUGUGAGAAGGUCUAGUUUGAGUGUAGUAUCGCGUGACGACUAAAGUUUUGAGACAACACUCAAUUUAGCCACCGCACUACGUCCUAAAAAGGCUAGGAUGGGUUUGGUAACUACGGUUCAUAGCUUCGUCGAACAAUUGAAAGUGAAGUGCCUAAGCAUGACGACACACGCCGACAAUAUCACCUUCAAAAUGCCUCAGCUAUGUGAGAUUGAUCGCAUAAUCCAAUACACGAGGCAACCCCCGGAUCGAAUUGUCGAUUAUAUCUCUACCUAAACAUAAGUUCACUCAGCCCGGGUAUAGGACUUUUGAUAUUCUCACCCCACACGUCAAAUGAAAGUAAACAAAUAUUCACAUAUGUAAGCAAUAAAAUAAAACAUAAAUAUAAACUAAGGAAAACUAGGCGCGACCCGCUUAAAAAAGUCCCCAGUGAAGUCGCCAUUUCUGUUAUCAUGGUUUUUGGGUACCAAGUCAUUAAUUGGACUUGUACCUUUCGACCGUUGAUAUCUCUCUUUUUUCUUGGGAAGGGAAAAAUUGAGAAAAAACCCUUAGAUUCUAAGUUCGGGGGUCGGUUUUACUACGGGAAGGUGUUAGGCACCCGGAGUAACUAUAGUCCUCUAUAGGAGCCGUUUUCCUAAGUCGAUUUUUACGCUUUAUUUUUACCUACUUUUGAAAAUGGGAGGUUUAUUUAGUUAAGAGUGGGGGUGAGAAGAAGUAGAAUUUUGAUUUUAUUUCGGCUUGGAUGAGUUUUGACUCAUUGCCUACGUACCCUUUUAAGGGAUCAAAACCGUUCGUAGUUCUUGCUAAAAAGACUUGUUUUUGUUUUAAUUGUUUGAUUUUAAGUUUUGAAAAUGGUUUUGAAGAAGGAGAUUGGGAGGCUUCAUGAGCAUUAGAUUUAGCAAAAAGUGAGGUUUGAUUAGUGAUUAAAAAAGAAAGUCUAAAUGAUUAAGAUGAAUUGAAUUUUUCUCAAGAAAAAAAAGAAAGGAAAAGAAAUGAAGUGUUGACUUCAUGUUUAUUAUGAAAAUUUUUGAAGUGAAGUUCAAUUGUUUUUUUUUUGGAAAAAAGAUGGAUUUUCUCUAGGUGUUUAAAACCUAAACGCUUAUUUAACCAUACAAUCCUAUGCAUACAUCUAAGGUGAGUGUGUGCGUGUCGGUGCGUCAUAGUGUCCAUAGUCCAUAUUACAAAAAUUGCCUAAAUACAUUCUAUGGCCCCUUUGCCAAGCUACAAACCAAUGAUGACAAAUUACAUCACUAAAUGAAUUAAAACUUGCAAAAAUAAAUGCUAGGCUAAAGAGGGUGGAGGGAAUGCUAAAUGGGAUGCAUGAAACAUGGGAAUAAACUUGUUAGUCAAAAGAAAAAACAUAAUAAGCACUAAGAAAUAAAAUCAUGCAAGAUGACACAAAAAGUUAACAAAAUGACAUUAAACCCUAAAAACUUAGGUAUGAAACCUAAAGCAUCCUUGGCCUCUAAUUCUCAUGCUUUAACAAAUUUUGAAAGAGUUUUCUUUAUCUCAAGUUAUAGCAUGAAAUUAUUGGAAACAUGCAAGCAUGGUUUCAUGCCAUAUUUUCUAGAAUAAACUUGGCAUUUUAUAUCUUUCAAAAUAUGCAUAUAUUGCUCAUAAAAUCAAGCACUCAUGAACCAAAUCAAAACAGCAAAACAACACGAAAUUAUAGGCACAAAUUUCUCAUAUUAACACAUCAAAAAGCUUUUAUCACAUAUUCGCACAUCAAGGACAAAUGUAUGAAGAAGAAUCCAUAACAAAUAAUUCAAAGAGAAUUAAAAUGCUAUGAAUUAACCAUACCAAAAUUUCAUAGAUCCUUAAUGUGCAAAAAUGUCAUAAAAACACUAAGAAAAUAUCAGGAAACAUGCAUGAAUUUUUCUAGGAAUUUUAUCACAAUUUUAAUCAAGACAUAGGUACAGGUAGCAAAAAUAGAGGUGUGAAAAGCACAGGAAUAGCAAAACGUAAAGAUCCAAAGGAAACAAAGGCCCAACCCAAAACCCUAAGGAACCGGAUUCACAGGAGCCACAGGAUUGAUCCAGGGUCCUGAAACCCUAGAUCAAACGGCCUGGAAUCAACAGGAUUGGACCGGUCUUGGACCGGUCUGGUUCACUAGCUUAUUUAAAAGGCAUGGCACCGGUUUUCUUCAUUUUUCACUCCCCUUUCUCUCUCUAGCUCUUCUCUCUUCUCUCACCUCUCACCUCUCUCUAAACCUCGCCGCCGGCGAGGAUGAAGCUACGGCGGAGACCUUGAAGGUCCGCCGGAAACUUCAUCUUCUCCGGCGAGUUCAUGCAGUUUCCGGUGACCUAAAUUUCCAGAUUUCAAAGAUUCUUACUUCGUUUGACUCGUCCUUUAACCCUAAACACGAAUCCGGCAUUUGUUUUUUCAAAAACGGCUUUGAACGACGUAGAUCUUGAAAAAGCUUUUACGGUUUUGAAAUGAUUUUUGAUUUUUUUGAAUGAGAUCAUUUAGAUCUUUAAAGAUCUACAUCGUUUCGUCGUUUGAUUACUUUUUGACGCCUGUUUUCGCUUUCAAAACGUUGAUCCUUACGGAUCUGGAUUUUGAUGUUUACGGUUAUAGUUUUCUUUGAAUUCUGGAACCUUUGGAUCUGUUUUGCUUGCGUGAUUUUUAGGUUUAACAGUGAUAUUGCUUUUGAAAAAGAGUAUGAGUUUUACCUAAGGUUUUGGUUGAAACCUUUAAUGGAGAAAUUCUUUGGAAAACUUCAAUCUCUGAUGCUACGUGAUUUGGCUUUGAAUCCGGAAAUAAACCGGUGUUCCUGCUGGUUUCUUGCUUUAUCGCCUUCUUCGCCGGUUUAAACCUUCAUCAUCUUUCUUUCUUCUUCGUCUUCCUCACUGUAUCUUCGUGAUCGGUGCUGGAGUUUGCCUUUGGCGAAUUCGCACUUCGAAUUGCGAAGAUAUUGAUUCAAUGAUGAUGAUUCUUCAAAGAAUCACUGAGAAUCCAUGAAAAAUAGCUUGAAUUUGUGUAGUUUCUGUUUCUGGAAAACGGUUAGGUUUUUUGUUCUUGGUGUUCUUGAUGAAUCUGAGGAAUUUUUUCUGUUUUGAUUCAGUUGCUGAGAAAGAGAAAAUUUGGAAUGUGUUUAUGAGUUGGCGUGUGUUCUCUGGCUCUGAGUGGCACUGUGCACCUUUUAUAGCUUGACAUGUGUGUAUCUGAACAAAUGAGAAAGUGACACCUGGACCUGAAAAAAAAAGAUGGCACGGCCUUGGGCAAAAAAUGAAAUUGGACCUUUCUGCAAAAUUGAAAAAAUAAGGGACUAAACUGCAAUUGACAAAAAGGACUGAAAUGUAAAAAAAGAAAAUUCUGGACUGAAAUGCAAUUUUGGGACCUCACUUGAGGGACCAAAAUGCAAUUAAAAAAUAAAAUUGAAUAAAAAACGUAAUUUGACCCAACGUAAAGCGAAACAAAAAAAUAAAAUUGACAAAACGGACUAAAACGAACCAAUGGCCUAAAUGAGGUACUUCAAAGUAACCUCCCCAUGCCAAAAUUUUAUGUGAAAUGACCAAAAUGCCCCUAGGGCUAAAAACGACCUAAACAGAUUCAAAUUGACCUGACACUGACUCAGACGCAAGUUUGAAAUGAAUUUUAACAAAGUUUACUGAUGAAAUGUUUAAAAGUAAUCUGAAAAGACUCAGAGACAGUCACAAGGAUGAAAAUGGGUCCCACUGCAGGAAAUGACCAAAAUACCCUUCUGUAUGACUUUUUGCAAAUUUUGGAAUAAACUGUAGAAAAAGCAAUGUAAUGAUCCAGAGACACUUUUGAAUGACUUACAAGACAAGUAAAGACAUUUUGAAAGGUUUUAUGCAAGAAAAACAUAGGUAAAAUUGUGAUUGAAAAUACUGCGAGGCAGAGACAAAUUGAACUGUGCAGUUGAAAUUUGAUAAUUGACAAAGUUUGAAAUGAAAUUGGGCCCAGUAUUUUUAGGUCCAAAAACAGGGUAUAACACCUCUAAUCCCAACAAAGGAGAUUUAGCUACUCAUUGUCAUGGAAGCCUUGCAAGAAUGAAUUGAAGAAGCAAGAUUCAUUACAACUUGUGAUGUCUCAACAAAGGAUGAAGAAUCCACUCUCUAUCACUCUCACUCUAUAAAGCACAAGCCCUAUCUCUCUCUCUCUAAGAAUAUUACAAGUGAAAAACUAAGAGAAAAACUAUCUAAAAACUAUAUAAAAAACUAUCUUUUUCUGAAAUGGUUGAGUGGGCUAUUUAUAGAAUUCUGAGUCUGCCUUCACUCGCCUCGCGAGCUGCUUCAUUCGCCAAGGCGAGUUGAAGUUUCUUCCCCAUUGGGUUUGUGCCACGUCAGCAUUUAGAGGCUAAACCGCCCUUACUCGCCUCGCGAGUCCUUCCAUUCGCCACGGCGAGUAAGCUCGCCUUCUACUCGCCAUUGCGAGUUGGUGGCGUGUGAUCUUUGUUGCAUUCUGGAAUUGCUCGCCUUUUCUGCUUGCCAUGGCGAGUUGGAGGCGAGUGAUCUCCUUUUUCUGCCUUUUUGUACUUUUCUCGAUUUUCUUCUCUUUGCUUGAUGUCUUGAGUUCGAAUCCUGCACAAAUGGGUGAAGUAAGAUAGAUAAAGCGUAAAAGGGCAAUAAUCACUUAUUUCUCGGCUUUUCCCUUAAUAACUUGCAAAACAAGUAACAAAAGUGCCUAAAAUAUAUCACUUAAAUUACAACUUUCUAGCACUUAUCAAACUCUCCCCAACUUAACUCUUUGUUUGUCCUCAAACAAAAUCUUGAAAAUCAAACAAGUUAAUAUGACAAGACACAAGUACAAAAGGUUUGAAAACAUUUUUAGAUGAAUGAUUCAAAGAGAAUGCGCGGGCAAGUCUGAGUUUCCAACUAAUCUGGAAUUCUACCACAAAUAUGAAAUGAGUUCUAUGCACAAAGUUCAUGUCAAAUAGUUCAAGUCAAUAAAACAUUUAUUCACGAACCACACCUAACACACUUCUUUGUAAGUAGAUAUGCAAUUGAAAUCAAAUGAGUGAGGGUUAUGAACACACAUCCGGCAAUCAAGUUAACAUCCAAAUCAAGUUAUAUGUCCAUCCAAUUAUCAUUUCAAAAAGCAUAAAAACAUGGAUCAAAAGGUCUUUUAGGGUUGUAAUUUGGCUUGGCUACAAAAGAAAGGACAUUUGUGGGUCAAUUGAAUUCAAAUGGUCAAGCAUAAGGGAACAUUCCUUCUAUUCACAUUCAAAAGACAAAUUUACUAGAAUUCCCUAACAAACCCUUGGUGUUAAAACAUGAUACUCCUUGAUCUUGACAACUUAUUCUAUUUUUGGAUUUUUCUUUCUUUUUCUUUUUCUUCUUUUCUUGUUUUUAUCAUGUACACAUUUUUCUUUUUCUUUCUUUUUUCAUAUACAAACAAUGUUGUCUUGAUCAAAAUUUCUGAUUACACCAAUUCACUUGACAAAUGAUGAACAUCUACCUUUUCUCCCCAACUUGAAUGAAAACAUACCCUAUUUGAAUGUUCCCUUAAUCUAUGGCAAAAAGGGACAAAUAACAAUGAAGGUUUAGGGUUCAACAAUUAAAACAUAUCAAGGUCCGAUAGUGCAACAAAAAUGAACUGGAUUUUGAAAAAUAUAGGGCGAAUUCAUCAAGCAUUGUGCUUAUGAAUUGACAGUUCAUAAUUGAGGACCUUGCUUCAUUUGGCUCAAGUGGGUUAACAAAUACUCGCUCUUCUCACAAGGUAGGCUAUUUGUGGUCAAGUAUGUUUCUCUCAUUAAACAAAAUAUGCCUUGAUCCUUUCCAUGUCUUUACACAAUUUAAAACAAAUAUUAGAUUUAACAUAAAAUGACCGAGUUAAAACAAUGAAUGCCGGUCUCCUUGCAUAUAGUACAAAUAUUUGAGGUUUCCUCACUUUUUAGCUAGUACUAAGUGGUUCACAAACAAACACAUUAUCGAGGAGAACUAAAUGAAUUGAAAUUUGUGCAAAGUACUCGUUUCCUAUUCAAGUAAAAACCUAGAAAAACUGGAAACUUGUACCUUGGCUUUGCGCUUUAUCACAAACCAUCUGUUAUUAUCAAUCAUCUGAGAAUUUUGCUCAAGUUUUGGCUCUUUCAAGCGCUUUGAAAUUUGAAGCUUUGAGCAUUUUCUUUUCAAUAAGCAAGAGUGAUAAACUAAAGAAACUUCCACAAUUUUCAAAACAAAGUACUUGAUAUAAACCAAAAGUGCUAAUAUAAAACAACACAAUACAACUUUGAACAAUACGAAUAUGAAUACGAAAAUACCAAAAUAAUUAAACAAAAUGCUAACUAAACAAAGUGAGUCAUUGUGCUAAAUUUAAAAUAUGAACAGAAGCAAAUAUUGUCAGAAGAAAUGAAAGAGAAAGAAAGAAUAGACUGAAAGCUUUAUAAAAAUGUCACUCAAUAAACGGUGAGCUUUCAAAGUCAUUCUUUUCCUCUUUCAACCCUGCAUGUCAUGAUCAUCUGAACCACCAGUUGCACUUGGGACUCUGUCUGGAUCGUCUCUGUCAGAAUCUCCCAUCAAUAUAUCGUCAGAAAGCGUCCCGAACGAUGAUCCACCCCCUCCGUAAGGAUCUGGCCUGCCCUCAGGCCAAGAAACAUGAGCCUGAUAGGCCUCUGGUGUCAUGAAUUGUGACAUCACCUCCGGUGGGUACCCAGCCUGCUGCUGCAUCACAUACUGAGACUGCUGAAGAUAUGUAUUAGCACGGUUGGUUGCGUCCAGCAUGUUCCAUGUAUGGGUAUGGCACUGGUAUUGCCAUUGAGCGAAGCUUGAAAAGUCAAAAGCAGCAGUGUGUGGGUCUAGAUGUGGUGGAAAGUGGGGUUGUGGUUCAGAUGAUGGUUGAGGUCGUGGUGGAGGUGCCCCAGAAGAUGAUGCUUGUUUGCUUUUAUCCUUCUUUGUUUCACCCAUAAUGUAUCGGGUGAUGAAAGCAUCAUUGAUCGGGUUCCGGAUCUUCUCAUGGACACUGGUUGGUAGGCGCAUGCCGGUAUCUUUAAUGAGUCCCAUGAUUAAACCGGGAAAAAAGAGACGAGCUUCUCUUUCACCUCUUCCUUGCAGGGUGACCAUUCGGAGUUCCCAAGCAAUGGUCCGGGCAAUAUCUACCUUGAUCCCCUUGAGGAUGUAGUAGAUUAAAGGACACACCUCGACAACACAAUCAGACAGAUGACUAUUGGGCCUGACAUUAUAAAGAAUGAAUUUUUGGAUAAUUUUGGCCUCAUUGGUCAUGAAUUUGUAUUGGGCCCGAUACUCUCUCCCUGCAUCACUGAUGUCAUAGUUAUAGUCUCCCAACAAGAGAAAUCGUUUGAUUUCUUCAUGGGGGCCCGGGAGGAUAAAGUGGCCAAGGUUUUGCUUCUCAUGAAAGUCAUCAAGGUCGUCUGGGUAGGCUAACUCAAAGGGGUUGCCAAGGUAUGUAUUUAUUGCCUCACGGUCAAACCGGAUAGUUCGACCCCUCACAAAAGUUUCGAAUGUAAAUGGGUCAGUGUGUGGAUUUUCAGGUAGGGCAUUGGCAUAAAACUCACGCACUAACUCGGCAUUAAUAUCUGUUAUGGGUUGAAGGAGUCGUUCCCAUCCUUGAUCGAGUAAAAGUUUGGCAAUUUCUUUAUAGGGUCCCUCGGGAUUAAGGUUAAAGACCCUCUCACACCACAUGGAUUGGUCAAGCAGUUCAAUAUAUCUAUCUUGAUGGUAGCGAGACCUAAAUCUCUCCCUCUCAAAGGCUUGGUUUCUAGGUGGGGGUCGGGUUGCGGAUGUUUCUCCUUUCUUGCGUUUACCAGUGUUAACGGGUUUCUUUGGAGCCAUACCUGCAAACACAACCAGGAAUUCCACAAACACCAAACAGACAAUUAAAUAUCAGUAUGGAACAAAAAAUAUUGCAUGUUCUGUUACCACUCGCCUCGCGAGCAGGUGCACUCGCCAUGGCGAGUAGUUGAAAUUUUCUGGGUUUCAGAUUGCUCACUCGCCUUGGCGAAUGAUGAAGCUCGCCAUGGCGAGUUGCCCAGAAAAUGACAAAAAUCGACCCUUUUUCAAAAUUUCUUUCAGUUUCAACAUUCUUAACCCUAAAUAUAGUAAUUCCGACCCUGAUAAUGACAAAGAGAUGAACUAAAUCAUGCUUUUGAGUUGAAUGUCGAAUUAUACCACAAAAACCCUAAUUUUAAUUUUAUUUUUAAUUUUUACAAAAGGGUUAACAAAAAUGUGGAUUGGAAUCAGAACAACCACGAAUUUGGGCAUGAUUAUGUUUCAUCUGAGUCAUGUAGGUAUCAGUUUGAAGAACAUUACACUAUCUACUACCCUAGGGUUUUUUUUUUUUUUUUUUUUUUUUUUUUUUUUUUGCAUGCAAAUUUGAAAUGAAUGGCAACAAAGUGAAUACAAACCUGAAUCAGAAGUAAUCUAAGUGCAGAAAUGAGUAUGCAAUAAGCUUGACUUGGAUUGACUUGAUAAAUUGGAAAAAGGGUAGUGUUGAGGUGUUAGGGUUUGAGAGAAGGAAGAAAAAAUUUGUGUGGUUGAUGAGAGAGAAAUGCAAAACCGAAAAUGAUGAAUUAAAGUUGGUAAAGGGUGGUUAAGAGAGAUUAAUGAGGGAGUUAGUGGCUUUGAAAACUGAAACUGUCAGAACUGCUGCCAUUCGCCUCGCGAGCAUAUGUAUUCGCCAUGGCGAGCAAUUUGGUGGUCAACGCAGUCAAAGGACAGUUUUACUCGCCAUGGCGACUAGUUGUACUCGCCUCGCGAGUAAUGACAGUUCAGACUUUGCUUUCUUUUGGCUUCUGAUUUGUGAAUGGUUUUGGUAUGCACAUGACUCCUACACCUAGUAUGCAUUAUAAAAAUAAAUAACUUACAAAGUUGGGUUGCCUCCCAACAAGCGCUUGUUUAACGUCGUUAGCUCGACGCCUUUUUCGUUAGGGUGGCCAAAAUGAAACGGACAACACAUCAUCUUUUGUAAUCCUGCGUGUUGGGAGGAAUUCCAUGAAUUUGAAGUAUAAUUGAUGUGGAGUCCAUAUCCUCCCUAACUUUGGUUUAUUGAACAAGGCACAAAUCUCAUCUAUGAUCCGAUCAAUCUCCAACUUGUUCACUUUCUUCCCCUUUCCUUCCAUUGAUUCUUCCUUGAUUAGUAUCCGAUCCUCUUUCUCUGUCACCUCCAUCACUUCUUCAUUUUCAACAGUUUCGACCUCUUCAGUAUAUGGCCGUUCUUGAGGAAAUUCUUCUGGAUGUAGUGGCUCUAAUUCUUCCACCAUUUUCAUUGUGCUACAUUCUUCUAGUAUUAUGUCUUCCUCGGUAUCAUCAACACCUUCUUCAACAAUCUUUCCGACUUCCACAAAUGUAUUUGAAUUAUUUUCUUGUUUUCUGUGAGUGGAUUGAAUGUUGGCUUGAAUAUCCAUGAUUUGUUCUUGCAUUAUUUCCAUCUGCAAGGAUAGAUUCUUCAAUCUCUGAUUGGUAUCCUGCAUGUUUAUCAUGGAUUGCUGCAUGAAGAUAUUCAAAGUAUUUUCCAUCUUUGAUAUUCGUUCAUCUUCAUAGGGAUGUUGUUGAUACUGUUGAUAUGAUUCAUACUCCAAUGGAGUGUAGAAGUUGUUAUAACCAUGAUCAGCCAUGAUUGCAUUUAUGUAGAGAAUCUGAAACGGAUAUAACUAACAAGAAAUUUUUCUUUGUAUGCAAAGAGGGGUUAGUACCAAUAACUAUACAAAAGAAAAUAUAUUUACAGAGUAUUUACUAAUGCUUAAAAUGAUAAAAUAGUCGCGAUGUCUACGAUAUCUAAACGCCAGUCCCCGGCAGCGGCGCCAUUUUGAUGUAGUAUUUUUNNNNNNNNNNNNNNNNNNNNNNNNNNNNNNNNNNNNNNNNNNNNNNNNNNNNNNNNNNNNNNNNNNNNNNNNNNNNNNNNNNNNNNNNNNNNNNNNNNNNUUUUGCAUCAAACAAUUGUAAGUAUUUAUAUCGUCUCCUCAGGGACUAGUGCGAUAUCGCGGACCGUUCGACACCAAAUAUCAUUUCAAGUUAAACGAUAGUUGAUUGUUUGUUUUAGUAACUGAAUUGCAAAUGAUACAAUUGAGAUUAAUAGGGCGUAAAACUUGUUAGGAUUAGAGUUCCUUGAUCGAGCGUCGCACGUAACCUAAUGAUCAUACAUGGAUUCUAGCUUUUCUUUGAUAUUAUCACGUAUCCCUCGACAACACCAUUCGUGUCCAAACAAUAUUGUGAAAUCAAUUGUAUCAUUCAAUGGUCGAUGUCUCAAACUAUUGAAUGAUUCAAGAGUCGAUCUUAUCGUUCAAUCGAUGAUUUCUCAAUCUAUUAAAUGAUAAGAAAGCUUUAGGUUUGGAUACUCAAGGUGAUUAUCAAAACAUCGAUUCCAUGUCUAGAAACUAUGUUUUGAUAGAUGGUUAUUCUAAACCUAGAUUCAAAAGUAUUUCUCAAUCACAAUUAAAUCAAAGAUAAAGAUUAAAGUGCAAGAAUAACCUCAAUAUCAAUUCAAAUGCUAGAACCAUAUAUUUAUAGAUCAAACGAUUACAUGUUAAACUAUGAUCAAGUACCUCUAAUCCCAACAAAGGAGAUUUAGCUACUCAUUGUCAUGGAAGCCUUGCAAGAAUGAAUUGAAGAAGCAAGAUUCAUUACAACUUGUGAUGUCUCAACAAAGGAUGAAGAAUCCACUCUCUAUCACUCUCACUCUAUAAAGCACAAGCCCUAUCUCUCUCUCUCUCUAAGAAUAUUACAAGUGAAAAACUAAGAGAAAAACUAUCUAAAAACUAUAUAAAAAACUAUCUUUUUCUGAAAUGGUUGAGUGGGCUAUUUAUAGAAUUCUGAGUCUGCCUUCACUCGCCUCGCGAGCUGCUUCAUUCGCCAAGGCGAGUUGAAGUUUCUUCCCCAUUGGGUUUGUGCCACGUCAGCAUUUAGAGGCUAAACCGCCCUUACUCGCCUCGCGAGUCCUUCCAUUCGCCACGGCGAGUAAGCUCGCCUUCUACUCGCCAUUGCGAGUUGGUGGCGUGUGAUCUUUGUUGCAUUCUGGAAUUGCUCGCCUUUUCUGCUUGCCAUGGCGAGUUGGAGGCGAGUGAUCUCCUUUUUCUGCCUUUUUGUACUUUUCUCGAUUUUCUUCUCUUUGCUUGAUGUCUUGAGUUCGAAUCCUGCACAAAUGGGUGAAGUAAGAUAGAUAAAGCGUAAAAGGGCAAUAAUCACUUAUUUCUCGGCUUUUCCCUUAAUAACUUGCAAAACAAGUAACAAAAGUGCCUAAAAUAUAUCACUUAAAUUACAACUUUCUAGCACUUAUCAGGGGCAUCUGCAGACCCGGUUCGGUUGACAAGUUUACGGAAGAAGAUGAUUGAGUUAAUGCUAUGGAGCCUGUUAUUUCUGCAAAAGACAAUGAUUUUCUCACAGCUUCGUUUCAGGUCCAGGAAUUUAAGGAUGCAAUGUUUUCUAUGCUUCCGGAUAAAUGUCCAGGUCCAUAUGGUUUUAAUCCUGUAUUUUUUCCAUCAUUUUUGGUCUAUCGGUAGUCUUGAUAUCUUUAAUGAAUGUUUUCUUUAAGAAGCUAAAUUAGCCCACUAAAUUGGCAUUGGAGAGAAUCGAACCUGAGAUCUUGAAGAUCUUUAAUGAAUGUUGCUCGUGGCUUAAUCACAAUCACUUUCUACCUUCACUUAAUUCCACAAAUAUAGCUUUGAUUUCCAAAGGUACUGAUUGGCAGCCUAUAACUUUGUGUAAUGUUCAAUAUAAAUUGGUUGUCAAAGUCCUAGCUAAUAGACAUAAGAGUAUCCUCCAUAAGUGCAUCUAUGACAAUCAACCAACUUUUGUUAUGGGGCGCUCCAUCAUUGACAAUGACAUGAUAGCUAUCGAAGUUGUGCACCAUAUGAAAGUUAGUAAGCGUGUUAGAUAUGAAAAAAAAAUCUCUCAAGCUUGAUACUAGUAAUGCCUAUGAUCGUAUUGACUGGUUAUUGUGGUGUGUAUCGAAGCUGUUGACUAUUCUGUUAUUGUGAACAAUGAUUUGGAAGACCUAUUAUUCCCGGAAGAGGUUUACUUCAAGGAGAACCUUUAUCACCUUAUCUUUUUAUUUUGUGUGUUGAACGAAGAUGGGAUAUCCACGACAUUUCUAUUUACAUAAAUGCACUUGUUAUUUCUCACCUUUUAUUUGUCGAUGAUUGUUUCUUAUUUUUCAGGGCUAAAGAGCGAUAAGCUCUAACCAUGAAAAGUAUUCUUUAGACUUACGAGGUAGCCUCCUGUUAAGCUAUUAGUCUCCCAAAGUUUGAGGUUUAUUAUUGUAGCAGUGUAUCAAAUCCGUUGAAGGAUUCCAUAACCCUCAUCUUAGGAGUUAGAGCUGUUAUGGGAACAGGGAAAUAUCUUGGCUUGCCAUCGAUGGUUCGUCGAAGUAAAGAAGCAACUUUUAGUUUUAUCAAAGACCGUAUUUGGCAUAAAAUCAAUCCAUGGAGAAGAAAGUAUCUAUCCAAAGUGGGUAGAGAGGUAAUGAUCAAGUCAGUGCUUCAAAAUAUUCCAUCUUAUAUUAUGAGUAUCUUUCUUUUUCCAAAUAAGUUAGUCGAAUCCAUGGAAAAAAAAUUAUAAAUUCUUUUUGGUGGGGCCAUGGAUGAUUAAUGAGAAGAGGGAUGCAUUGGUUGUCUUGGGAGAGAUUAUCAAUUCAUAAAAAUUAUGGAGGUAUGGGUUUCAAGGAUCUCACAUCUUUUAAUGUGUCUAUGUUGGGGAAACGAGGUUGGAAGUUCCACACUGAUACAUCGAGUCUUAUUUCCCAUCUUUUUAAGGAGAGAUAUUUUUCUAAUUGUGAUUAUUUGAGUUCUCGAAUUGGUCACAAUCCCAGAUAUGUGCGACGUUGUAUUUUUCGUGUUAAGAUUGUUGUGAAUUAGGGUGCAAGGUGGCAUAAUGAGGGAAUUGCAUUAUCUACUAACAACCCUAUGUAUGCCUCCCUAGCCCAUUUUACGGUGAAAGAUAUUAUUCACCCAUUCAGAAAGGUAUGGAACACUCCUUUAAUUUAUAAUCUCUUGAUCCGAUUACAGCAUGACUCACUGUGAACACACCACUCCAACCUCUUGUCACUGAAGAUAAAUUGAUUAGGAAAGUGGAAAAGAAUGGUAAAUAUUCUGUUCAUAGUGCCUACUGCCUUUGAGUUACAGAAAUUGCAGAUAACUCUCAUUUACUCUGGAGCAAUGGAGUUCCAUGUGAAAGUUAAAGGUUCCUCCUAAGGUAAACAAUUUUUUAUGGCGAGUUUUUAGAGGAUACUUUUCCAACAAGAGCCCAUCUUAGUAGUCAAGGGGUGCGUUGUCCUAUUGAUUGUGUUCCUUGUGGGAAUAAUUUUGACGAUGGUAUCCAUGUCUUAUUGAAAUGUCUUGGUGCUAUCCAAGUAUGGCAUCAUGUUAAUCUUUGGGACAAAAUUAAUAGUACUCUCUGACAAGAUUAUAAUAUGAAUGCUAUGAUUUUUCAUUUUUUGCAUCAAUUUUCUCCAGCUCAGAGUGAGCUGUUUGCCACAAGUGAAUCUUUGCUCCAUUUAGCUAUACUUUAUUUAGUUCAUUUAAGAUUAUGUCUACAAAACAUGUGGCACAAAAAUAUCUACUGGCUGAAAUUGAAAAUAAUACAAAAAACAAGUAAAACAUUGUUCCAUUGUAUUCACGCUCCUCCCUCUUCAUCUACACACAACCGCUGCUCUUCUCCCUUUCUCUCAUAUCGUCAUCAACCACCAUCCAGCCGUCGUCCGUCGCCGACCCUUUGCAUCAAUCGAGUCAUAAGUUCGUGUCGAAUUUCCAGUAUUUGGUCUGUGUGAAGACAAUAACCCCCUUACUGCAUCCUCAUUCUCAUUCCAAUUUCCCAUUCAGAAUUUUAAGGUUUAUCAUCUGAUUCCAAACAUAUCAUUUGACUAAUUCUUAAACAACAACAACAAACAAACAAACAUUGCUAUUGCAGUUUAAUAUUCCAAUUUCAUAUACAUAAUAUCAAAAUUAACAACAUUAACUGACUAAAUAACUAAGAAUGAAUAUUUCUAGGGUUUCAAAAAAAAGAAACAAUAAACAAAAUUAAGAUGAGUAAUGAAUGACCUGAUGCAUUUGUAGGAGCGAAAGUGCAUUUAACGAUUGCAAUUUUAGAAUUGAACAACGGAAAGAACGGAGUCUCAGGAACAAUGAGAGAAGGUGUAGAGGAAGGAAGAUGUUUUUGCUUAUGUGGAGCGGUAGGGUGGGACGACGGUACCCUGGUGGCAACGCCGGCGCUGACGAAAGGGUGAUGGUGGGGCGGCGUUUUUAGGAGAUGAAGGAGUGUGUUGUAUCAUAGGAGGAAGAGCAGAGGCGUGUGUUUAUUUUCCAAUAAACAAGUAUUUUUUUCGAAGCCUUUUAAUCUCAGCCAUUGGUUUUUUAUUUUUCACAUGUCAAACAUCCAUGAAGUGAAUUGGUAUAAAUGGAGGCUCUCUAAAGGAAGCAAAGAUGCACUCGUUAGCCACGAGAAUGUGGAGCUUGUGAAAACGGCGGAGUCUCAAACUAUGGUAGCAACAAAAUGAAACAAAUAUGCAGGUUGUUGAACGUGCUACACAUCUUCUUGAUGAAUGGAGAGCAGCCAAAAAUAUUAGGUCCCGAAUUGCGGCAAAUUCUAGUAAUGAUAAAAACGGGCAUGUGGAGCUUGUGAUAAACAAAUUCUAGUAAUGAUAAACAAAAUGUUAGGUCCGUGAAUUGUAACAUUGAUGCCUCUUUUUUCUAGUCAACGAAUAUGGUUUGUAUAUGCAUAUGUUUGCGAGAUUUUGCAUGUAAUUUGUGAUUGCAAAAAUUGAUUGCUUCUCUCCCCUUUGUCAAGUUGAUAUAGGAGAGGCUUUUGGGAUGUCUACGACUUUAAAUUGGAUAUCAAACUUUCAAUAUGAUAAUGUUGGUUUUGCUUUAGAUUCUAAGAAUGUCGUUGAUCAGUUUAGGUCAGUAAUAGAAGAUAAUAGUGAAUUUGGUUGUAUUAUAUCUGACUGUAAAAACUUGUUCCAUCAUAGGUAUCAGAACUCUCAUGUCGAGUUCAAUAGAAGACAAGCUAAUGAGGUCGUUCACGAGUUAGCUCAGGUAGCCCUAGGUCAUGUUAGCUCCCACAUUUACAAUAACGCAUCGUCAUGUAUUUCGUACAUUAUAGCUAAUGAACAACACUGUAUUUUCUUUCUUAAAAAAAAUUAUUUGGUGCAAAUCAAUAGUACAAAUCAACGAUGUUAGUAUCAAUGAUUUAUUUUUUGUUGAAGAAGUUAGUAUCAAUGAUUUUCAGGUAUAUUUAGAACAAUACAAAAAGUUCUUAAAAAAUGAUUUUUUUUUUUUUAAGAAGUUAUUAUCAAUGAUUUUCAGGUAUAUUUAGAGCAGUACAAAAAAGUCUUAAGAAAAUAUUCUUUUUUCACAUGAAAUGAAUUAAAUAUAAAUAUUUGAAACACAAAAUAGUGUUUUCUGGAUGAGUUUUGGUUUAUCCAUAAAAAAAGGUUUGAGAUUCUCCCAUAUCAUUUGAAGAUUCUUUGUUUUUAGAGCAUACUAACAAAUGACUAUAUAAAUUAGCUUAUAAUUGAUAAAAACAAAAUACAAAUUAGCUUAUGGGACACCUAAAAUCGGAAUUUUUCUAUUAUAAAAAGGGCAGGCCGGUCUCACCAACUAGUGUAUUGUAGCAGUUUUAUCAUAUUUUUACAUAAAAACCGUUUUCAAAAUUUGAGCUUGUGACCUUUCAAUCAUGUUACGUGGCAUUUGAAAAAUAUCUUAAUCAACAUUUUUUCAUAAAUAAUUCAAAAAAAACUAUUUAUUUUUAAAAUUCUUUAUCACAUCCAUCAACAAACUUUGAAUUAAAAAAAAAAAAUCAUCAAUAAACUCAUGAAAAAAACGAAAAAAUUCUACAAAAAAUAAAUAAAUAAAGUCGUUUUUUUAUGACCUAUUAGGGGGUAUUCCAAAAAAAUAAAAUUACAGCGGGUAAAUCAAAAAAAAUAUUUUACAGGGAGGAAAACAAAAAAUGAUCUAUAUUACAGGUAAAGCCAGUGGCAGAUCUUAGUAGAGACCCUUGGGUGCCAUGGCAUCCCCUGGGUUUUCAAUAUAUACCAUAUUAGACAUAUUAUUUUAGUAAGUUUUGAAUUGUCGCAGCAGUAAGCUAGUCUUAUAGUCCCACCAACGGUCGCGAGUGAGUUCGACACUCACGCCAUCUUUUUUGACAUUUUUCUCUCGUAUUUACAUUUUUUAUUCAAAAAAAACCACUAGCAGGGAUUCAAACCUGCAUCCCACUUGGUGCUUUCAAACAAUUUAAACCAUUACAGCAAGUGAUUAUUUUUAUCUACUUUUUGAAACUGGUUUACAUAUAUUUCAUGGUGGUUUGGCACCCCCAAUAAAUUUACUCAAGAUCCGCCACUGGGUAAAGCACCAUUAACCCCAAAAUAAACGAAAAUCUACAUUAACCAAAUUACAACACCACAUCAAAUCUACAUUUGACAAACUCAAAAAAUUCUAGAUAUGAGAUUAAUACAAUAAAAACCUAGAAUCCAAUUCAAGAACUGUUAAAUUUGGUAACAACCUUGUACAUUCCAAAACAACAUUCAAUGAGAAACUCGUCAGUAUCAGGGGUAAAUUCGUCGGUGUCAGGUAUUAUAAAUCUCCCUUUUUGAUUCUGCCCUAUGAAGCAUGCAAAUAUGGCCGUUGAAUCACACCUGAUAUGUUCUGAUACAUUGUCGAUACAUAUUUAAAGAGUGUCCAAAUUUUUUAAUUUAAACUAAAAAAUAAAAAUUUGGAUUCGUCACCGACACGUUGUCGUCAACACGUUUCUAAUAUGCCUUUGAUACAUCUCAUGAUUGUUCAAUUUUCCCCUCCUUAAUUAGAUGAAUGUAAAUUAUAAUAUAUACCCAGUUAAUUUAUUAGAAUUUUUUAAGUUUUCUUUCUUUUUCCCAUAAUUCUCUUACGGUUGCAAAUUGAAAUCACAGCUAACUAAGAGUGCAUAUAAUAUGUCAUACUUACCAAUUGUGAACAAAUCACUAUAGAGGAUAGAGUUCCGAGCUUUAUUUUAAUUUUUAUGUGUAUGUUAAAUGCAUCGUAUUCUAUAUUUUUCAAUGAUUGAUGUCCGUAUUUAUACGUGUGGUAUCUGAUACUCGUAUUAUGUCCAUGAAUAAUAGAUUCAACCAAACAACUAACAACCAUACCUUUAAAAUUCUAUCUUGGGGCACAUGAGAGUGCACCCAAAGCCAUGAUCUAGGCGCAUAAACCAUGCUUUAGGCGCAUGGUGCUGCCUCAUGGGCACAGGUUCUCCGAUUUCCCGUCUUUUUAGGUCUUCGUCUUCAAAUAACUUGCCUCGGAACUUAGGAACAUAAUUCCUCCCACUGUAAAGUCUCAUGAGGUCUCUUGAAUCUUCAUUUUUGGUCUUCCCAAAGUCUUCACAAAUCUUCAGAUGGUCUUGAUUUGUCGAUUUGCAUGAUUUCUUCGUGAAGUACUUCAAAAAACCCCUAAAAUUGUUAUGUUUCGGGAAAACUAGAAUUACAUACUAAAAUAUAGAAAACAUUACAAAAGUCCCGAAAUCAUAUGCAAUCGUUCUAAUACUCCACCUUUUUUGCUGCUAAAAUCUACUAAAAAUGACUGAAAAACAUGCUAAAAAUAACGUAAGAUGACCUGUCAUCAAAAUCAAAACUAACUAAUAGUGCAUAUAAUAUGCCACACUUACAAAUUAUGAACAAACCACUAUAAAGGAUAGAGUUAUGAGUUAUGAGUUUAGUUGGAAGUUCGCCACUUCUAUUAAGCUUGUGUUGUGAUUUCAGUUUAAAAUUUGUAACUAACGUUUACUACUUUAUUUUAAUUUUUAUAUGUAUAUAUUAAAUGUAUUGAAUCCUAUAUUUUCAAUGACUGACGUAUCGAUACGUGUUGUACCUGAUACUCGUAUUGUGUCUGUGAUUAAUAGAUUAGCCAAACGACCAACAACCACAACCUUAAAAUUCUCUCUCCCACCCAUUUUUAGAAACGACCCACAACCAUAGUAUUUUUCUUUGACCUUUUGGAAGCUAGUUUACUAAGUAAUGAAUAAGAUGAGCACCAUACUCCUCAGUUAUUUGUGACACAAGCAAUUGAAGCUUAAUAUAGUUUUAGACUUGGAAGUUUUAUUAUAACUACUGAUGACAUAUCAUCUUUCAAUUUUGAACAAUCCACUAUAAAGGAUAGAGUUCUAAGUUUAGUUGAAAAUUCGCCACUUCUAUUGAGUUUGUGUUGUGAUUUUAGUUUAAAAUUUGUAAUUAAUGUUUACAACUUUGUUUUAGUUUUUACAUGUGUAUGUUAAAUGUAUCGUAUCCUAUAUUUUUCAAUGACUGACAUAUCAAUAUGUGUUGUAUCUGCUACUCGUAUCGUGCCCCGUGAUUAAUAGAUUCAGCCAAACGACCAACAAUCACUGCCUUCAAAUUCUCUCUUCCACCCAUUUUCAGAAACAACCCACGACCAUGGUUUUUGUCUUUGACCUUUUGGAAGCUAGUUUACUAAGUAAUGAAUGAGAUGAGCACCAUACAUAGUCCUCAGUUACUUAUGACACAAGCAAUUGAAGCUUAAUACAGUUUUAGACUUAGAAGUUCUGUUAUAACUACUGAUGACAGACCAUCUUACGUUAUUCUUAGCAUAUUUUUCAGUAAUUUUUAUUUAGUUUUGAUCCGAAAUAGAGGAGUUUUAGAGCUAUUACCUAUGGUUUUGGGGAUAUUUUGUAAUGUUUUCAUUUAUAAUCAUGUAAUUCUAAUUUCUCAAAAACAUAACAAUUCUAAAGUAUUUUGAUGUAAUUCAAAAAGAAAUCAUACAAAUAUAUUUGCUAACAAAAACAAAAGGUGAAUAUUGUUAUAAGAUCAAAUUGAUCUAAAAUUUAAAUUAUUUAAGUUUAUAUAGACAAAUAGUAACCUAACAUACUUAAUCUACUCUAAAAGAAACAUAACAUACUUAUUCUACUAGCUAGUACUACUAUAUUACUCUCUUAGUUUACUAUGUAUACUAUUCAUACAAGACAUUUUAUCAUAUAUGUUUCUAUUAAUAUAAAGAUAAAUAGUAAGAUAAAGAUGUUAGGGUUAAUAGUGUUUUUCACCCCUGUAAUAUAUGUCAUUUUUUGUUUUCGUCCUUAUAAAAUUUUUGGUUUGAUUUGCACCCUCGUAAAAAUUUUAUUUUUCGAAAAACACCCCUAAUAGGCCAUUUUCAGAUUUUUUUUUUUCAAGAAAUUUUGGUUUUUGAAUGGCCUAUUAAGGUUGUUUUUCGGAAAAUAAAAAUUUUACGAGGGUGAAAUCAAACUGAAAAUUUGAUAGGGGCGAAAAAUGAAAAUGACAUAUAUUACAGGGGUGAAAAACACUAUUAACCCAAGAUGUUAUUAGAUUUUUCUUAACAAAAUACUUUUAAAAUAUCUACUCUUAAUUAUCUUUUGUUAAUAUUCCUCUAAUAAAAUAAAUUUUUUUGUAAUUGUCAAAAAUGUGCAUCGCAUGUAAGAAAGUUACACAAACAAACCACUUUUUCAAUAGUCAUAAACAUUUAACCAAAAUCAAUCAUCUUGAUAGGGGGUAGUAUAUGGGACACCACUUGUGUACCAUUAAGGUAUCAAUGUUAUAUAACAUUGACCAAUAAGAGUGUGCCACAUACCAAUGUUACUUUAUAAAUGUUUUAUUUGAUAUAUGUUUUUUAAAGUGUGUGCCACAUGUCACACCUUAAUUGGCUAAUGUUAUAUAACAUAAUGGUACACAAGUGCUAUCCGUAGUAUAUGGCCCUGGCGAAAAGGGGGCCGUCGUAAAAUUCUUAUAAGUUAAUACUCUCUUUUUCGGGGAAAUAUCUUAAUAGCCAAUACUUUUUUUCACAAACACAUGCCAAAAAAACAAUUUCACAAACAAACACGUACAUCACGAGUUUCAAGAUAAUAAGAGAUCAACUUGGAGUUCUAUAUAGUCUUCAACUUCAACAUUGUUACGUACAACCAAACCAUUCAUUGUAGACAUGUCUUUUGCAGUAACAACAACAAUAUUUGCUUUCCUUCUCUUCACUUUCACAUACUUUCUAUUCAAACUAUUCUUGCAUUCAAAACAAAAAACCAUUAUCCAUAAAAAACCACCAUGUCCACCAACACUACCAAUAAUAGGAAAUCUUCACAUAUUAGGCAAACUUCCACAUAGAACACUUCAAUCACUCUCCAAAAAAUAUGGUCCAAUUAUGUCUUUACAACUUGGACAAGUUCCAACAAUUGUCAUUUCAUCUUCAAAAGCAGCAGAAUCAUUCCUCAAAACCCAUGACAUCGUUUUCGCAAACCGACCGAAACUUAUAGGAGCAGAGAUCAUAUCUUAUGGUUGCAAAGGGUUGGCGUUUUCUAAGUACGACCCUUAUUGGCGUAGUGUAAAGAAACUCUGCACUUUGAAACUUCUUAGUGCUUCAAAAGUUGAGAAGUCGGGUCCUAUUAGAACAGAGGAGUUGGGUAUUUUGGUUAACACUUUGAAAAAAGCUUCUUUGGUAGGUGAGGUUGUGAAUGUCAGUGAGAUUGUAGAGAAUGUUAUUGAAGAUAUUGUGUAUAAGAUGAUAUUGGGUAGAGGUAAGUAUGAGCAAUUUGAUUUGAAGAAGUUGGUUCAAGAAGGAUUGGCUUUGAUUGGAGCUUUUAAUCUGGCUGAUUAUGUUCCUUGGCUAGGAAUUUUUGACCUUCAGGUAAGUUUGUCAAAUUAUAUAUAGCUUUUUUAAGCUUAAAUAUGAAAAUGGUCCCUCCAAAUAUUUGGCGUUUGUUUUAGUCCAUAUAAAAAUAUUUUUUUGAUUUUAAUCCCUGCAAAUAUAAAAUAUUUGGUUUUGGUUCUUGGUAUUUUGUUUUAAUCCUUGUAAAAUCAUUUCAUAUUGAAAUUGGUCCCUAUAAUAUUCAUUUUAGUCCUCAUUUUAAGGGACUAAAAUCAAAUAUUCUACAUACUACAAGGACCAAUUCCAAUAUGAAUCAAUUUUACAAGGACUAAAACAAAAUAUCAAAGACCAAAAUCAAAUUUUUUAUAUUUGUAGGGACUAAAAUAAAAAAAAAAUUUACAGGGACUAUAACCAAUCAUAUUUAAGGCCUCUUUUUAAUACAUGGUCAGAUUAAAAAAAUAUAAUUAGAUUUGUAUGAGAAAACGAAAUUAUGAGUCAUUUUAUAAAAUUACCUUUUAUUAAUGAAUGAUAUAGAAAAAAUAAAUUAAAAAAUUUAAAAAAGAUAAAGUAAUAAAUAUUUAAGAAUAUGGAAUAAUUAAUAUGCUAUUGGUUAACGACUAAUAAUUUGAAACAAUUUCCCCUAAAAAAAUUUAUAAUUUAGGCUCUUUUUGUCAAGGUCAAGAACAUAAUUUAUAAAUAAUUUAAAACAAAUUAUGCUCUUUUUGUCAAUUUUCUUAAAUUGUCAUGUUUGAUAACAAUCUUUUUACCAUAAAUUUAUAGCUUAUUUUACUAGCUUAUAACUUAUCUUUCAUAUAGCUUAUAGCGUUUGAAUUUAUAGUGUAUAAUUUAUCAUCUUUUAUUUCAUUGGAUUGAUUAUUAUUUUUUUAUUUUUUAAGGAAACCAUUGGAUUGAAUUAUUUCAGCGACUUAUGUUCCAAUUUGAUUAUUUCUUUUGGCAAUCUUCUAAUUCUAACGAUAACAAACAUAUACUUUUUUCCACUAUAUUUUACUUUGGCUUGUGUAUGUAUUAUAUUAAGAAUUUAAUUCUGUUUUUUUUUUUUUUUUUUUUUUUUUAUCCCUAAUGAUUUUAUUAAAUUUUCUUUUUAAUUUCUGCAAAUCGGAUAUUAUUUUGUUUGUGGGAUAAAAAUAUUAAAUAUUGAUAACAUUUUUAUAAAGAAUUAACAACAUCCUUUGAAGUCAUUUUACAUUUAUCAGCUAGUUAAACCGCGCUACUUUUAUCAAAUACUUCAAUCAGCUUAUAAGUUAUCAGUCAUCAGAUAUCAGCUAUUAGCUAUCAGACAUCAACCAUAAACUAUAAAUUAUAAGUUAACUUUUCAGCUAUUUACUAUUUUUAUCAAACAAAACCUAAAAAAGAGGGAGUAUUAUGUAUAAGAAAUAAAAGAUUAAUCAUUGACUUUAGUUUUAUUUUAAGUCUCAUAAACAAAUUUCCUCAAAAAAAAAAGUCUCAUAAAUAAAUAUCGUGAUUGUAUAUAAUUUUGGUCACUCAAACGUGGUAUUGCACUGUAUUUAUCCUUUACACUGUGUUUGGUUGAGGUGAAAUAGGAAAGAGAAAGAGCAGGCAGAGAAAAAGGUGAGAAGUUCAAAACUUCUCCUGUUUGGUUAGAAAAAGAAAGAGAGAUAAAAACAUGUGGAACCCACAUCUCCUUUUUUUUUUUUGGUAGAUAACCCACCUCUCCUUUUAGUCUCUCCAAAGUAGUGAAGAAACAAAGAAGAAACCCACUUUUUAUUUUUUAUUCCACUAAUGCCCUUGUGAAAUUGUUGCAAGUUUGCAACACGGCACGGACAAAACGGAAGCAUUGGUGUGAUUAGUGAUAAAUUGAUAAUGUGUCCCUUGCCUAAUAUACAGUGAGUAAGCAAACUUUUUAAAUGUACUUAAUAAUUGAUUGAUUGAAUUACAUAAAAACUAUAAUCUGUUUAACUUAAUUCAGUUAAACUAAUUAGUUUAAUUUACCACAAAAAAAAAAAAUUUAAUUGAUAUAAAGUUUAAAUAAAUAAUUUAAUUAAUUAGAAUAAAUUUGAAUAAAAGAUUAAAUAAUUUAAUUUUGACAAAGAUUAAAUAAUUUAAUAGAUUUUUUUAUUGUAGGGGUAUCUUUGUACUUUUAUAAAUAAUCAACACUUCUCUCUCUUCUAUCUCUCUUUUCUCCCUUUUAUGCCAAACAACACAUCAAAUCUACUUCAUUUCUCACAUAUCUCUCUCUCUCUCUCUCUUCACAACUUCUCUUCCAAACUAAACAAACCCUUUAGUGUUUUUCUUCUAGUUCAAUAAAUAAAAGGCUUAAACGCACUUUUAACCCUCUAAGUUUGCAAAAGUUGUAAUUUUGGCACCCUAUUAAAAAAAUGGCAAAAGUGACCCCCCAUGUUUAUCCCAUUUUGCAAAACCUCAAUUUUGACUUAGUCAAAUUUAUGUGUCACGCCACAUCAGUUAAAAAAUCGCUACGUGUCUACUUUUUGAAUUUAAAAUAAAUGUAAAUACCACAAGUGUAUAUGUAGAAUUAAAAUAAUAAAAAAGAAUAAAAAAAUAAAAGGAAAGAAUUAAGGAGAGAAGCGCUUGGUUUUCUUCUCUUCUUCCUCUGUAACAUCAAACUCGGGUAAGAAAGGAAAAUUAAACCCAGAAAGCAACGUGAGUCUUCAUAUCUUCAUCUCCAUACUUCAUAGCAAUCUUCAUAUCUUCUAAUCCAACCCAGAAAGAAAGAAAAAAAAAAACGAAUCCUUCAUUUAUUAAUUGGAAAACUAAACAUGCAUACACUUUAACUCUCAUUUCUUUAGGACAGUAUCAAUAGUGAUGAUAAAAUAAAACCGUAGGUCUGUUGAAAAAUAGUGUAUUAGGUCAAAAUCACCCAAUUUCAUCUCCAACUAUACCUCCAGCACCAAUUUAUUAUCCAAGUGAAGAUGAAUUCAAAGAUCCAUUAGAAUUUAUUCACAAAAUCAGACACGAAGCCGUACCGUAUGGAAAUUGAUUUGGAGUUUUCAAAUUUUGAUUUUGAGAGAAAAAAUAGCCCAUUUUUUUUUAAUUUCCAAAAUUUUAAUUCACGUGCUCUUUUCUUCAAAAAACAUCACGUGCUCUUAUGUUUUUUUUUUGCUUUUUGAUUUAUAUUUAAUUUCAUUAAUUUAUAUCUGGCUUUUUUAUUUAAUUUUUAAUUGGAAAAAACACAUGUGGUGUGCCAUGUAGGCUUGAUCAAAUCAAAAUUAACGUUUUGCAAAAAGAGAUAAACAUGGGGUCACUUUUACCAUUUUUUUUAAUGGGGGUCAAAAUUACAACUUUUGCAAACUUAGGGAGUAAAUAGUACGUUUAAGCCUAAAUAAAAUGAUUACCUAAUUUUCAAACUCAACUGCCCUUCACUUGUAGUUAAGGUAUUCUGAUGAUUUUAGUUACAAAUACCUUAAAUACCAAGUGAUGGUUUGAAAUUGGGGGCUAAAUUUCACAAUCUCAAUAUUUGAGGUACUACGUAGGAGAAAUUUUGAAAAAAAUCAGACGACCCCUUCUUUGCACAAUGGAAAAAUAUUAAGGUCAUGAUAAUUUAUUUUUGAUAAUUUUUUGGUGAUGUAAUUUUCAUUUUGUGGUGUUUAAUCUUUAAUAAUGAAAGGUUGCGUUAACUUUUAAGUGGUUGAAGGUGAAGUUUCCUUUUCUUCCCUUCAAUUAUCAUGGUUGGUGGCUUAAUCCGUUUACUGUUUUAGGCAUUGGCUAUUUUCUGUUCUUUUUGGCUUGUUUUCUGGUGUUGGCUCUUGUCUUGUAUAUAUGUUUUGUUCUUUUGUUGUAACUUGCUGGGUUUUUAUUCAUUUGUACAUCUUGUGCUAGGAAGACCCUCGUGGUGUUAAUAUAUUUCAUUAAUUUUAGUUUCUUCAAAAAAAUAAUGAGAGGUUGCCAUAAUUUAGAAACCAAAUUGAAUCAAGUUUUAAAUAUUUUAAAUUUCCUUAAAUAUAUUGUUAUCAAUUUUUCAAGCCCAGUUUAGUUAGUAAGAUGCUUCAACUAUAUUCAUAGGGCUUCGAGUUCUAGUUAUGAAGGGGGAAAAUGGAGAACAUUGAUACUCUUUUAAAAAAACUUGCUCUAAUGAUUUUGUUAAGUACAAUGAAAAUAUUUAUUUAGUAAUUGAUAUUUUAUGUUUAACUCAUUGUUAGGGAUUAACAAAAUCUUGCAAGAAAGUUAGUAAAGCAAUUGAUGAGCAGCUAGAGGUGAUAUUAACAGAACAUGAACAAGCUGCUAAUGUAAACAAAACUCAUCAUAAAGAUUUUGUAGACAUACUUCUUUCAAUUAUGCACCAAACCAUUGAUGUCGAGGGUGAACAAAAUCUCGUCAUUGAUCGAACUAACAUCAAGGCUAUUUUGCUCGACAUGAUAGUGGCAGCAAUCGAUACAUCUGCUACCUCGAUUGAAUGGGCUUUAUCUGAACUUUUAAGACAUCCAAGAGUGAUGAAAAAGCUUCAAGAUGAGAUACAAAAUGAAGUAGGAAAUAAAAGAAAGAUUGAGGAGAAAGAUAUGAAGAAGUUGAAUUAUUUAGAUAUGGUGGUUGAUGAGACCUUAAGACUUUACCCUGUUGCACCAUUACUAGUCCCUCGUGAGUCUAGAGAGAGCACAAUAAUUGAUGGUUAUUUUAUAAAGGAAAAGACACGACUUAUAGUAAAUGCAUGGGCAAUAGGGAGAGAUCCUAAUGUUUGGUCAGAAAAUGCCGAAGAAUUUUAUCCAGAGAGAUUUAUUGAGAAAAACUGAAUUAUCUCGGACAAGAGUUUGAAUCUAUACCAUUUGGUUCUAGUCGUAGGCGUUGUCCUGGAAUUCAAUUGGGUUUAAUUACGAUUAAGUUGGUUAUAGCUCAAUUUGUGCAUUGCUUUAAUUGGGAACUUCCACAUAAUAUUAGUUCUUCUAGUUUGAAUAUGGAGGAAAAAUUUGGACUCACUAUACCAAGAACUCAACAUUUGCAUGCAAUACCAAGUUAUCGUUUGGAUGAUGCUAAACAUGAAUAGUUCUAAGUACAAUACUAUGUUGUGUUCAACAAGUUAAUUGCUAGUAAAAAUGCCAAGUAUGGUAGCUUAGUCCACUAAAGCUCUUGCAAACGGAAAGUUCGGAAAGGGGGUCUAACCAAUUAGUGUAUUAUAACGACCUUGGUACUUUCCAAAACAACAUUUAAUGAAGAAUCGGUUCCAGAAUCAGACAUGUGAGUUCAAUUGCACGAGAGGGGUGAAUUCGCCAAUGCCGGAAUUAGAAAUCUCCCUAAUUGAUUCAGCCCUAUGAAGCAUUCAAAAUUACCGUUAAAUCUCACCUGAUAUGCUCUCGUCCAUACGUAUCGAAGAAGUAUCCAAAUUUUUUAAUUAAAAAUAAAAAAUAAUUUUUUUUAACACGUCACAUAUACGUUGCGAUACGCUGCCAACACGUCUCUGAUACAUCUCAUGAUUGUUCAGUUUUUAGUUUUCCCCUAAUUACAUUCUAUCUUUACUAUGAUUAUGAUUGAUGCAUGUCAAUUAUAAUGUGGCAAAUUCUAUGGUACAUCCAAAAAUAUGAGUGUAUCGUUACAUCAAAUCGUUAAAUCAAUAAUUAAAUGAGUUGUUUUUUGAUUUUUUUAUUAUCAUUGAUAAUUAUAAUAAUUAAAUCUUAUUGAACAAAAACUUCGACGAAAUAAAAAAAAAUUGAAUUUUUAUUACUCAUAAUAAAGAAUAUUGAUGAUUUUUUAUGAGAAAAUGUUAAAAAUUUAAUAUGAUUCUUAUAAACAAUGAAAUGAUGUUUUUUCUUACGAAAUGAUGUUUUCUAAAAUAUAAAUAUGGACAAAUAUUUUUUUUAUUUCAUAAAAUGAUCGUUAAUUUAUAAAUUUAUAGAGCAAGAGUACCGGUAAACCUUAAUUUGUGAUGUGUACCGUAGAAGUUCCCUUAUAAUGUACCCAUUUAAUUUAUUAGAAUUUUCUAAGUUUUCUUUCUUUUUUCCAUAAUUAUUUUACGGUUGCAAAUUGAAAUCACAGCUAACUAAGAGUGCAUGUAAUAUGCCAAACUUACCAAUUCUAAACAAACAACUAUAGAGGAUAGAGUUCUGAGUUUAGUUUGAAAUUCAUCGCUUCGAUUGAGUUUGUGUUGUGAAUUUAGUUUAAAUUUUUUAACUAAUAUUUAUAACUUUAUUUUAAUUUUUAUAUUUGUAUGUUAAUUAAAUAUAUCAUAUCUUAUAUUUUUCAAUGACUGAAGUAUCGAUUUGUGUCGUAUCGGAUGCUCAUAUUGUGUCCAUGAUUAAUAGAUUCAACCAAACGACCAAUAACCAUACCCUUCAAAUUCUCUCUCCUACCGAGUUUUAAUUGAUGUUUACAACUUUAUUUUAAUUUUUAUAUGUGUAUGUUAAUUUUAUCGUAUCCUAUAUUUUUAAAUGACUGACAUAUCGAUACCCUUAAAAUUUUCUCUCCCACCCAUUUUUAGAAACAACCCACAACCAUGGUUUAUUGUCUUUAUCCUUUUGGAAGAAGUAUUUGUUAAAGCAUAUCACAAAAGAAAUGGAAGCAAGUUUUCUAAGUAAAGAUGAAGAUGUGCACCAUAGUCCUCCAUUACUUGCGACAAAAGCAAUUGAAGCUUAAGACAGUUUUAGACUUAGAAAUCAUGUUAUGACUACUUUGCUCAUGUUUAGGAAAGUUAGUUAUGAUACAGUGAGGUGAAGAUCACAGUAGUUUAUGCUGAUCUAUCACUGAAAUACCAUAAGUACAUGUAAUUGCUUCUAUUACAAGUUAAUGUGAAAUAAUGGUUCAUUGAACCAAUUCUUGAUUCUUUUAUUUGUUUUUAUCUCAUUUUUUUAUCAAUCUUUUGUUAUCUCAACAUUAUUUGUCUCGUGUGUUUGUAAGAGAACCCAUGGUGGCUGGUUUAUUACACGCUUGGAGGAGAAGGAGGUAGAAGGGGCAAUCCGCGCGCGUGUUUUUUUAGGGUUCUAGGUAGAAGUUGAUUUUUAAUUGAAGAAGCUUGAUAAAAUUGGUGUUUUAGAGUUUCCUAAGAAGAGGAGUGUAGCAGAAGUAACAAAAUUGAAAAGGGAGGAAGAUUAAAUCACCAAUGUAGCAUAUUUGUGUUUGUUGUUUUUUUUUUCUUUUUGCAUAAACAUGGCAAACAAAGACGAAGAAGAAAAAAAUACACAGGACAGAAGAAGAUUUUGGAAAUUGUUUUUAUUAAUGUUGUGAUGAAGAUUUAUGUAUGAAGAUUAAAAGAAAAGCAACAGUGAUCUGGGUUUCUCUUUAAACAUUCUAGAAAAAGGGGUUUUAAAUAAUUUUAUGUUUUUAAAAUUAAUGACUUUUUUUCUGCAGGAUUAAAAUUAAUGACUUGGUAACCAAUAUUCAUGUGGAAGUUUUUUUUUUUUUAAAGAAAUAUAAAUACACACUCAACUACGUAAUCCAUUGUACACAAUCAAAAAAUCUUAAAAUGGAAGAGGAAUCUCAAACUUUUCUUUUUUAAACCAAAAUUCGCUCGUGUAAACAUUAUUUGACCCUAAAAAUAAUGAAUAUUUAGACUUAAAUAUGCAAUUUAACCUUAGUUUUUUUUUUCGUCAUUCGAGUUUUUUUUUAUAAGCAAGAGAGAGGACAGGCAUCAAGAGACAUCAUCGACAUCCCAACUAGGUUGGCAUCUCAAGAGACCUCCAUCGUAUGCCGCCAAACUCAAAAGAUUUUAUUAAAAAAGGGGGAAAAAUAAUUACAAAAGGAGGGUGGACAAGACCAAAACUCUCAAAAUGAACGGAAAAGAAAAGCAACAGUGGAAACAACAAAACAGUCCAAAGAACAGAUCAAAGAAAUCUGUAAUUAGGAAAUCCACAAUAAAAAUUAGAAUUUGUGACAUAUAUAAAUUUUUAAAGCAAUCCAAGUAUCAAAGUUAUUGAUACCUCUAACAUUCCAAUGUGUGCCAAAUAUUGUAUUCAAAAAUUGUGAUCAACCAAUACUUUUUCAACAAGGAAUAGAUAAAUGGAGCACUCCUUGGUGGUAUGGUGACAUAUGUUGUAGCUUCUCUGUCCACAGAAAAACGUGUACACCAACUUGGAGUUCUUGAUAUCUUCAACCUCGUUACUUCAGCCAAACCAAAUCAUUCAUUGUGGUCAUGUCUUUUGCAGCAACAACUAUGCUCUAUUUCCUUCUCUUCACUUUCAUAUACCUUUUAUUCAAACUCUUCUUACAUCCAAAACAAAAUACCAUUAACCAUAAAAAGCCACCAGGUCCACCAACACUACCAAUAAUAGGAAACCUUCACAUGUUAGGUAAACUUCCACAUAGAACACUUCAAUCACUCUCCAAAAGAUAUGGUCCAAUCAUGUCCUUACAACUUGGUCAAGUUCCAACAAUUGUUAUUUCAUCUUCAAAAGGAGCAGAAUCAUUCCUCAAAACCCAUGACAUCGUUUUCGCAAGCCGACCGAAGAUUCAAGGAUCAGAGCUCAUGUCCUAUGGUUCUAAAGGGUUGCCUUUUUCUGAGUAUGGUCCUUAUUGGCGCAGUAUGAGGAAAUUUUGCACUUUGAAACUUCUUAGUGCUUCAAAAGUUGAGAAGUCGGGUCCUAUUAGAAAAGAGGAGUUGGGUGUUUUGGUUAACACUUUGAAGAAAGCUUCUUUGGUAGGUGAGGUUGUGAAUGUUAGUGAGAUUGUCGAGAAUCUUAUUGAGGAUAUUGUGUAUAAGAUGAUAUUGGGUAGAGGUAAGUAUGAGCAAUUUGACUUGAAGAAGAUGAUUAAAGAUGGAUUAACUUUGAUGGGAGCUUUUAAUCUGGCUGAUUAUGUUCCUUGGCUAGGCAUUUUUGACCUUCAGGUACAUUUGUACUAUUUAUUACUACUAUCUCGUUAAAUAUAAGAUCAUUUUGUGUUUUUUCUGUCGCUUUUUAUAAGAACCCUUUCAAAUUUUAAUGUAGAUUAAUUAUUUCUUUAUCAAUAUAUCCUUAUUUAUGUUGCAUAUUUUUAUACAAUAUAUAAUAAAUAUUCUACGAAAACAUCAGCUAAUUUCUUUCAUAAAGGAUAAAUAUGUAAAACAAUAUAAAUUGUAAACAAAAUUAAUUCAACAAUUAAUUUUCUUAAUUCCUGUGUUUUUCACGAAAUGGUUCUAUAAUUAAGGACGGAGGUAGUAUUUAUAAGAAAGAAAGAUAUUGAAUAUUAACAUACAUUUAUUUUAGUCUGAUGAUUUUGGCUUGGGAUCCGGGAGUAUGCACCUCCUCGAGGUCUCAGGUUCGACUCUCUCUGAUGCCAAUUUAAGUGGGUUAAUUUAACUUCUUCAAAAAAACAUAUGUUUAUUUUUAACACACUUAGAUUGGCCUGAUGGUAUUGGCUUGAGAUCCGGAAGUGUGCUGUUUCAUAAAUAGAGUGUUCUUCAAAACAAAACAAAAAACUCAUAAAUAGAGUGAUUGAGUGAUUUUGGUCACUCAAUAUUUAAUAGUUCGGUAUUGGUCCUUUAGUGUUUUUCCCUCUAUGGCUUUAAAAGGGUUACCUGAUUUUAUCUCAAUUGCCCUUCACUUUUAUAUAUGAAAUUGGAAACUGGGUCAAAUUUCACAAUAUCAAAAUAUUUUAGGUACUAGAAGUAAGAGAAAUUUGAAAACAAGUUAGAUAAUCCCUUUACUAUACACAAGGGAAAAUUGAAUUAACUCUACAAAAAAAAUGAGUUAACUCUUAAAUAUUUUCCAUUCGGUUAAAUAUUUCAGUUAUCCAUUUCAUCCUCAAUUUACUUAUGUUUUUACGGUUUUGUUAAUAACAACAAUCAAGUCUUAUCCGACUGAGUAAGAUCAACUAUAUAGAUCAAAUUACCCCAUAAUAGGUUAUCAUAAACGUGGGUUUGUUAAGUUCAAUGAAAAUAUUCAUGUAGUAACUGAUAUUAUUAGUUAACUUUUUGAUAGGGAUUAACACAAGCUUGCAAAAAAACCAGUAAAGCUCUUGAUGAAGUUUUGGAGAUGAUAAUAACAGAGCAUGAACAAACUACUAAUACAGACGAUCCUAAAGAUUUUGUAGACACAGUUCUUUCAAUUAUGCACCAAACCAUUGAUGUUGAGGGUGGACAAGAUCUCGUCAUUGAUCGAACGAUCAUCAAGGCUAUUUUGCUCGACAUGAUAGGGGCAUCAAUUGAUACAUCUUCAAACGUGAUAGAGUGGGCUUUAUCUGAACUUUUAAGGCAUCCAAGAGUGAUGAAAAUUCUUCAAGAUGAAAUACAAAAUGAAGUAGGAAAUAAGAGAAUGGUUGAAGAAAAGGAUUUGAAGAAUUUUAAUUACCUAGAUAUGGUGGUUGAUGAAACCUUAAGACUUUAUCCUGUUGCACCUUUAUUAAUCCCUCGUGAAUGUAGAGAGAACAUAACAAUUGAUGAUUAUUCUAUAAAAGAAAAGACACGAGUUAUAGUAAAUGCAUGGGCAAUUGGGAGAGAUCCUGAUGUUUGGUCAGAAAAUGCUGAAGAAUUUUACCCAGAGAGAUUUAUUGAGAAAAAAAUGAAUUAUCUCGGACAAGAGUUUGAAUCUAUACCAUUUGGUUCUGGUCGUAGACGUUGUCCUGGAAUUCAAUUGGGUAUGAUUACGGUUAAGUUGGUUAUAGCUCAAUUCGUGCAUUGCUUUAACUGGGAACUUCCACAUAAUAUUAGUCCUUCCAAUUUGAAUAUGGAGGAGAAAUUUGGACUCACUAUACCAAGAGCUCAGCAUUUGCACGCAAUACCAAGUUAUCGUUUGGAUGAUGCUAAGCUUGAAUAGUUCCAAGAAUAAUUACUAUGUUCGUGUUCAUCAAGUAUAUAAUUGGUAAAGAUGCUUAGGAGGUCUAUUAAUGAUGUUUUAAUGUAUAUUGCUUGUUCUUUAUAUAUGUUUGAUAGCCAACAUUUGAGUCUUCAUUGGGACAUGGAGGUCAAUAAAAUCACAUACCUUCAUGAUCAAUGGUAUGGUGCAAGUCUAUAGUACAAAUCUCCUUCAUCUCUACCCUAUCUCUUUCUUUUACUCAGUAUUUGUUUCAAUUCUCUGUUAUUAUUAUUACUAGGGUUGUUCGCGGUGCGGUUUGGUUCGGUUUCAAGCAUAAUAAUAAUCCAAACCGCGAGAGAAAAAAGCAUGCGGUUUGGUUUGGUUCGGUUGUUUUUUAAAAAGUCAUCCAAACCAAACCAAUGCGGUUUGGAUUGGUUCAGUUGAUGCGGUUAAUCACGAGAUAAAUAAAAAAAUUACAUUAACUUAAUAUUGCCAACUAGUACCAAGCAAUUUUAAUUAUUCAAAAAAAGAAUUUGAAGUUCCAAAAUAGCAUUACAAUACCAAUAAAAGUUAUUUAUCUAAAAUAACAUUACAGAACCAAAAUAAUAGCUGGAUAGUGUUGGGCUUGGACUUGGGUUCACUUUGGUAUUGGGCUAGUACAAUACUUACUUAGUUUAAUAACAUUGAGUAUUUUUGCGGUUUGGUUUGGUUUGGUUCGGUUGCUGAGAUGUAAACCGCAAACCGAACCGAACCGCGCGGUUCAGUCUAAAAAUCAUCCGAACUCAUCCGAACCAAGUGCGGUUUUUUGCGGUUUCAGUUUGGGUUGGUUCGGUUUGCGGUUUUUCUAUUGGGUUGGUUCGGUUUUGAACACCCCUAAUUAUUACUGAUUUUAAAAUUGGUAUGGCACACUUUAGAAAUGAGGUAGACCUGAAGUUCUAAAGUUUUUUUAACACAACAUAUCACACAUGACAACUUAAUAACUAGAAUACUGCUCCAUUAAGAUUGGAGAACAACAUAUAAAAGAUGUAAAUACUUAUUAUUCCUCUAUGGUUUUCCACAAUGUACAUGUAUAAUAUACUGCACAUUAACUAUUAUUUGAUUCAAAAAGUAUUAAAGUAUGUUUAUAUUUUUAUUUGUAUUAUGUAUUGAUAUCAAAAUAAUGAAUAUCAUUCAAAAAAAAAAAAAAAAUCAAAAUAAUGAAUAUGGGUGGCAUUUAGGGUGGGAAGGGGAAAGAUUUUCCCACCAUAGGUCAGUUGACAUUUUACCGUUAAAUUAAAAAGGAAUACUGAUUUUAUUAUGGACUGUCUACACCCUAUCUUUUCCCACCCACCUUUCUCUCUCCUCCUUGCUCUCCACCACCCGCAACAUCACCUACAGCCACUAUCACCACCGGUUCCUUCCAUUCUCGUCCAAAGCAAGCUUCAGAUCCGACGCACCUAGCUCAAUCUCUCUUUUCCAGUUUCUCUUAAUCAUUCAAUCGCCCCAUUUAUAUCCCCCCUUCGUAAAAAAUUCCAUGAUGUGAUAAUCCAAAUAUGGGCUAUAAUAUUACUGUAAUAUUUAUUGUUUGCUACUUAAUUUUAGUUCAAUGGGUCACUACAUAUAUAUUAAUUAUCGAUUCUUACAGGUUUGAUUGAAGCCUAUGAAGAUUGAUUUUUAACUUUUUUUAGAUUGCAACUCAUGAAGAUUGAUUUUGAUAAUUGGUUCCAUAAAAAGCAUGUUUCUUAAUUGUAAGCACGUGAAGAUUUUUGGGUUGUAGUUUCAUGGUGGCUGGUGGUGGUGGGUGAGUGGGGGUAUGGAGGAGAGAGAAGAAUGGUGAGGUGAGUGAGGUUGGAGACAGAUUGAAAAAAUAUAGUGUGGGUAGACCAUAGUAUGAUUAGUGUUCCUAUUUGAUCUAAUGGUCAAAAUCAACUUUUUUAUGGUAGGAAACUCUUUCCCUUACCCACCCUAAAUGCCACCAUGAAUAUGAGAGAGUUUUGUGUAACUUUUUUGCAUGUGUUGUUUUCUGACUCUAGAUUUGGAUAACAAAACAAUCAAGUCUUUUGUUCUCUUUCUCUAUUAUAGAUCUACUUUCUCUCUCUCUCUAUGAUUCCCGUGCUAUACUAGAUCUGACAACUGAACUCUUGCGACUCAAUAAUUUCUUUCUUCAAUAUGAACUUUAAGACCAAAUUUAGUUUCUAAAUCUUAAAAAAUUUAAUCAUAAACAAUAACAUUUUAGUACAUAAAUUAAUUUCCAAAACCUGAUCUUUCUCCUGUAGACCAAAUAUAUUGUCUAUCCUGUUUCAUGUUUGUAAAUUGUAACAAGUUAAUUUUUUUUUUUUUAAGUUGUAACAUUCUAGUCAAAUACCUCACUGGAUCUUCUAAGUUUUACGUUUGUUUCAGAUAGGUCCUUUAAGUUUUUAAGGUUUUAGAUAUGUCAUUUAAGUUUCGAGUUUGUUUCAGAUAUGUCUUUUAAGUUUCUAAGGUUUCAGAUAGGUCCUUUAAAUUUCGAAUUUAUUUCAGAUAGAUCAUUUCUAUCGAAUCAACUUUAAAAAAUUAACUUAUUAUAAACAACCAACUUAAAAAUCGCUAGAAGUAUUUGACCUUUCCAUAACCAAAAUCUAAAAAACAAAUGUGGUAUUUUUCCUAUAAGACCACUUUCAAAAUCACUCAUGCUGCUGUAUUACUCGAGAUAAGAUUUAAAUUGCAAAUGUAAAUAUUAAAAAGAGGGUUAAUUAAAUUUUUAGUCCCUUUUUUUUUUUUAAAAAAAAAAAAGAAUUUUUAGUCUCUAUAAAUAUUCACAGUUUUGUUUUUAGUCUAUACAAAAUAAAAUCACACUUUUUAGUCAAUGUGACAUUUUAAGGACUAAAAAUGCUGAUGAAAUUUUUUUAUAUAGACGAAAAAUGCUAAUGAAAAAUUUUAUAGAGACUAAAAAUAUUGAUGGAAAAUUUUAUAGGGACUAAAAAAUGUGAUUUUACUUUGUAGGGACUAAAAACAAAAUUAUGAAUAUUUAUAAGGACCAUUUACUUAUUAACCCUUAAAAAGAUGAAUGUUAUUUGAACAACCGUUUGGUUGACAACUUUUGGAACAACUAUAAUUUACAAAGAAAAAGUAGGUAUGUGAACGAAAACCAUAGUAGAAAGAUAAAGUAAAGAAUAACGUAAGUAUGAUUGAGAAAGUUGUCAAAAAAAUUAUUAAAAAAUGGAUGUUCUAAUAUCAUUCCUCUAUUAAAAAACGUUACUAUUUGAUCACAUUAUUAGUAAGUUAUCUUGCUCAGCUAGUAAAUUAUUAUACCGAUGGAGUUUUCACGGUGAAUCAAAUUACACAGUGCUUUGAAAACGAGGAGGAUAACAUCCUUCUUUUACUUUUUAAAUUGACAAGCAUGCACAACGAGAUGGAUAAAAGAAUAUUAAAAUAAUGGUAAAUCAUAUCCAACGUGUGCAUGUACAUUGUCGGUUGUAACAAAUCGACGUUCAUAAAAUGUACGUGCAUAGUUGAUCAUUUAAAAAAAAAAAAAUAUUUGAAUGAUGUUUUUCAUAUUUGCAAUUAGGUGUCAUUUAAAAAUUAGUUCAUAUAAUUGCUAAUCCUGACAAUUUACAUUUGCAUUAUUUAAUCAUUUAAAAUUUUAUCUUUUGACCAACUUAAUCACAAAUUAGCAAAAUGAUACGGAAAUGGACAAAUAUACCCUCGUCGUUAUUAUGAGAAGAAGACUAAGACAAGGGUAGAAAUACAUAAAUAUCUCCAUAAAUAUCUCACUAGCUAGAUAUACAAACCAAACACGUACACCACCGGUUUCAAGAUAAUCUGAGAUUAACUUGGAGUUCUAUAUAGUCUUCAACCUUGUUACGUACUUCAGCCAAACCAAAGCAUUCAUUGUAGACAUGUCUUUUGCACUAACAACAACAAUGUUUGCUUUUCUUCUCUUCACUUUCAUGUACUUUCUAUUCAAACUCUACUUACAUCCAAAACAAAAAACCCUAAACCAUAAAAAACCACCAGGUCCAUCAACACUACCAAUAAUUGGAAAUCUUCACAUAUUAGGCAAACUUCCACAUAGAACACUUCAAUCACUCUCCAAAAAAUAUGGUCCAAUCAUGUCCUUACAACUUGGUCAAGUUCCAACUAUUAUCAUUUCAUCUUCAAAAGCUGCAGAAUCAUUCCUCAAAACUCAUGACAUCGUUUUUGCAAGUCGACCAAAGGUUCAAGGAUCAGAUCUCAUGUCUUAUGGUUCCAAAGGGAUGGCUUUUUCUGAGUAUGGUCCUUAUUGGCGUAGUGUGAGGAAAUUUUGCACUUUGAAACUUUUUAGUGCUUCAAAAGUUGAGAUGUUUGGUCCUAUUAGGAAGGAGAAGUUGGAUGUUUUGGUUAUAUCUUUGGAGAAAGCUGCCUUGGAGGGUGAGGUUGUGAAUGUUAGUGAGGUUGUAGAGAAUCUUAUUGAGGAUAUUGUGUAUAAGAUGAUGUUUGGUCGGAGUAAGUAUGAGCAAUUUGACAUGAAUAAGUUAGUUCUAGAAGCAAUGGCUUUGAUGGGAGCUUUUAAUCUGGCUGAUUAUGUACCUUGGCUAGGCGUUUUUGACCUUCAGGUACGUCUUGACAAUUUCAUAUUAAAAAUUCUAAUUAAUUUUAUGAGAUUAUUUGAUUAUAUGGAAAAGAGGUUAACAUUGGCGCAACUGAUAAAUUUGUUGUCAUGUGACUGAAAGGUCAUAGAUUCAAGUCCGGAAAACAACCUCUUAUAUAAACAACAGGGUAAGGCUGUGUACAUUACACUAAAUGGUGGGACCCCUUCCCGGGGCCUAUGUAUGCGGGAGCUUUAGUGCACCGGGUUGCCUUUUAUUUGAUGAUAUGGAAAAAAGAAAAAUAUUUAUAGUUUAUUGAUAUUUAAUUGGUGGUUAAGACUUGAGAGUAUCUUUGUGUUGAUUUUUUAUAAUUUUUAUAAAGAUGUAUCUUUGUGUUGAUAUCGCUAUAUAAGAAAGAAAAAGAUUGAAUAUUGUGCGUUGUGUUUGAAUGGAGGGUUUAAGAAGAAAAGGGAGGAGAAGAUUUACUUUUUUUUUUUUUUUAAAUUAGUAACACUAAAAUGUUUUUCAAAAAUUGAAAUAACAUGUGAUUUUUCCUCUAUGGCAAUAAAUUGGGUUACCUGAUUUUAUUUCAAUUGCCCUUCACUUUUAAUUAAACUUCUUCAGAUUCUUUCUCAUGUAACCAAAAUAAAUAGAUAGUAAAUAAAUAAAUCAGCUAUCGAUUUCAUACUCAAUUUACAUAUGCUUUUGUUAAGUUCAGUGAAAAUAUUCAUGUAGUAGCUGAUAUCAAUUAUAAGUUUAAUUUUUUGUUAGGGAUUAACACGAGCUUGCAAAAAAACCAGUAAAGCCCUCGAUGAGGUUUUGGAGAUGAUAAUAACAGAGCACGAACAGACUACUAAUACUGACAAAACUCGUAAUGAAGACUUUGUAGACAUACUUCUUUCAAUUAUGCACCAAACCAUUGAUGUCGAGGGUGAACAAAAUCUCGUCAUUGAUCGAACUAACAUCAAGGCUAUUUUGCUCGACAUGAUAGCGGCAUCAGUUCAUACAUCUGCUACCACGAUUGAGUGGGCUUUAUCUGAACUUCUAAGGCAUUCAAGAGUGAUGAAAAUUCUUCAAGAUGAGAUACAAAAUGAAGUAGGAAAUAAAAGAAUGGUUGAAGAGAAGGAUCUGAAGAAGUUUAAUUACUUAGAUAUGGUUGUUGAUGAAACCUUAAGACUUUAUCCUGUUGGACCCUUAUUAAUCCCUCGUGAAUGUAGAGAGAGCAUAACAAUUGAUGGAUAUUUUAUAACGAAAAAGACUCGAGUUAUAGUAAAUGCAUGGGCUAUUGGGAGAGAUUGUAACGUUUGGUCAGAAAAUGCUGAUGAAUUUUACCCAGAGAGAUUUAUUGACAAGAAAAUGAAUUAUCAAGGACAUGAGUUUGAAUCUAUACCAUUUGGUUCUGGUCGUAGGCGUUGUCCUGGAAUUCAAUUGGGUUUAAUUAUCGUUAAGUUGGUUAUAGCUCAAUUUGUGCAUUGCUUUAACUGGGAACUUCCACAUAAUAUUAGUCCUUCCAAUUUGAAUAUGGAGGAGAAAUUUGGACUCUCUAUACCAAGAGCUCAGCAUUUGCAGGCAAUACCGAGUUAUCGUUUGGAUGAUGCUAAGCAUGAAUAGUUACAAGAAUAAUACUAUGUUCUUGUUCAACAAGUUUCUACUAGUAAUAAAGAUGCUAAGUAUGGCAGGUCUAUUAAUGAUGUUUUAAUGCAUAUUGCUUGUUCUUUAUAUAUGUUCAUAGCCAACAUUUGAGUCUCCAUUGGGACAUGGAGGUCAAUAAAAUGAAUAAUACAAGCAUAUCACAUGCCUUCAUGAUCAAUGGUAUGGUGCAAAGUAUUUUACUCAAAGUAUUUGUUUCAAUUCUGUUUUAUCAUUAUUAUUAUUAUUACUGAAUUUAAAAUUGGUAUGGGACAUAUGGUGUGUUUGGAUUCACGGCCAAAACACCUUUUCCACGUCCCGAGGUAAUUUUUAACGUGAUUUAAAGAAGCUUCAAAAGGUAGCUUCUCUUCAAACGUGGGUUUUUAUCACUGAAUUGAUAAAUCAACCGCUUGCACAAACAUGCUAAUAUCAAUUCUAGAAAUGAGGUAGACCUUCAAAUUCUAAAGCUUUUUUAACACAACAUAUCACACAUGACAACAAAACUAGAAUGUUACUAUGGAGAUUGUAGAACGACAAAUAAGAUGAAGUUAAUCAAAGAAACAGAGAUACAAACCUUAACUCAGCUAAUGAUAAAUUUUUAAAAUUGAUGGAGUUUUUUAUGGUGAAUCAAACUAUUCAGUACUAUGAAAACACUACUUCCAAUAUUUCCUCUAAUCAAAUUAUUUAUUUGUUCCUCUAAUUUCUAGAAUUUUAGGCAUCCCUUAUGUUAUAAUUGCAUGAAAAUCUGUAUUUAUACUUUCACAACCUAAAAGUUGUCUUGAACUAACAAAUCCAAAUAAAAUUUUGGGGAAAUGGAUUUCCUCCUGUGAAAAUCUCUCCAGUUUUCUGCAGUGAUACAAUCUGCACCAUUAAUUGUCUUCUCUUUUAUUUUCAACAUUUAAAAUUCUCAUAUACAUUAAUUUUUAAUGGACAAGAUUUCACUGGACUCUCGUGUGACCACCGGAGAGAUUCCAAACCCAAACUUUGGUAUCAUUACAAUAAGGUACUGGGCAUUAUUCUCUACUCAUGAUUAUUAUGAAAUUAAAAUUGAGACUAUUAUUAAUUCAAAUUUCUAAAAACAAUUACAAAGCAAGCAUAAACCAGUGAACUAAUUCUUCAUACCAUUGUGAACCUGAUGUCAUAGGUUGAAUUAGCACUCUAUGACAAAUUUAAGAAAAUCAGUUACAAGUUAGUUGAAAAUAGUGGACCGGAUUAUCACUUUAAUUAUUGGAAUAACUGAUCAUAUACAUAAACACUUGUAUGAUAAACACUUAUUCAAUAAGCAAUUAACUGAUAAUUUCUCUAAUUUCUUCACUCCUAAUUUAUUCAUAUGUUGGCUAUUAACAUAUAAUAAAAACUAGCAAUACUCAUUAACUUAUUCUAUUCAAGCACCAUUAGACCAACUUAUAACAUCUUUACUAGUAAUAAACUUGUUGAAUACAAGCAUAAUAAUGUCCUUUAUGGACCUAUUCAAGCUUCUCAUCACAUUCCAAACGAUAACUCGGUAUUGCGUGCAAAUGUUGAGCCCUUGGUAUAGUGACUCCAAAUUUCUCUUCCAUAUUCAAAUUGGAAGGGCUAAUAUUAUGUGGAAGUUCCCAAUUAAAGCAAUGCACCAAUUGAGCUACAACAAAUCUAACCGUAACCAAACCCAAUUGAAUCCCAGGACAACGUCUACGACCUGAACCAAAUGGUAUAGAUUCAAAUUGCUGUCCUUGAUAAUUCAUUUUCUUAUCACUAAAUCUCUCUGGAUAAAACUCAUCAGCGUUUUCUAACCAAAUAUUUGAAUCUCUCCCUAUAGCCCAUGCAUUUACUAUAACUCGUGUCUUUUCCUUUAUAAAAUAUCCAUCAAUUGUUAUGCUUUCUCUACAUUCACGAGGAAGUAAUAAGGGUCCAACAGGGUAAAGUCUUAAUGUCUCAUCAACCACCAUAUCUAAGUAAUUCAACUUCUUCAAAUCAUUCUCUUCGACCAUUCUUUUAUUUCCUACUUCAUUUUGUAUCUCAUCUUGAAGCUUUUUCAUCACUCUUGGAUGUCUGAAAAGUUCAGAUAAAGCCCACUCAAUCGUGGUAGUGGCUGUAUCAAUUCCUGCCACAAUCAUGUCUAGUAAAAUUGCCUUGAUGUUAGUUCUGUCAAUAACACCACUUUGUUCAUUUUCUGGAUCUACCGUUUGGUGCACAAUUGAGAGAAGUAUAUCAAUGAAAUCUUCAUGACGAACUUUGUCUACAUUAGUGCUUUGUUCAUGCUCUGUAAUUAUCAUCUCCAAUACCUCAUCAAGUGCUUUACCGGUUUUCUUGCAGGUUCGUGUAAAUCCCUAGCAAAGUGUUAAAUUAAGAAUGACAAUUACUAAUUGGAUAUUUUUACAUACCUUACUGGAACAAUAAAAAAAUGAAGAAAUAAUCAUUUUAGUCUCUGACUUUGCACCUCACUGUUACAAUAAUCUUGACUUAUGAUAAAAUGCAAAAUGGUCCCCGGAUGUUUACCUCCGUUGGUUAGUUUAGUGCUUGACGUUAAAAUUGACCGUUAAAUGCCGACAAGGAUGUGUAACAUGGAUCUAGAGACUAAAGUGAAAGUCAACACACAAAUCCUCAAAUCCCUCCAUUUUCUGUCACUUUAUGUAGUCCAUUAUUUUUACUCAAAUUUAGAAUUAAUUAAGGGACAUGGUCGUCAUGACAUUGAUUUUCUAAGAUUUACAUAGUGGGACCAAAAAUAAAAAAUAAAAAAUAUAAAAAGUGUUUGCCAAAAAAAAAAGUAAACUCAUAAACUCGAUCUAAUUUACCGAAUUUAACAUGUGUUAACUUGGUCAAACUUGUCAAACAUUCAAUUUCACCAAAAAUCAAAUUUACCUCCGAUUUGCCAGAAAUAAUAAUAAAAUAAAAAAUAUAGUGGCUUGCGGGAAUCGAAGGAGGAAAAGCAGGUAUAACCUCCGAAAAGUCACUCUCAAAGCUCAUUUUUUUAUCUUAUUUUCAAAGUCACUUUUGUUGGAUUUCCUUCUUUACAAAAAAGUCACUUCUAUUAUUAAGAGCUUUAUCAAAAUUAUGUUUGGCCCCACUUCUCUUUAGAAGUAAAAGAUAAGUGGCAAAUAAGCAGGGCCAAACAUGCUCUUAACAUAUUUUUGACACAUAAAAACGUAAAUUUGUACGAGUUGUACGAGGUUACAAGUUAACGCAGGAUUUGUGGAACACCUUAGAACAUAAAUUUAAACUUGCAAUGUCUAGUUUCUUCACAUACGUAUAUAUUUGAAAGAAGAAAAAAAAGACGGUAACCCUAGUGUUAUUGUGUCCUAGUGUUAUUGUGUUGUUCAAUUACAUGAUCCUCUUUUUUUUUCUUCCCUAUUUUCUCCCUUGUAAUACUAAAAUAUUGAAGGACCCCUCAAUUAAUACAUAAGAGGAAAAAACAUGAAGGACCCAAAACUGUGCAAUAUAAUAAAGUGACCAAUGAAAAAUGUACAGCUACGAUACUUAAGAGACUUAAAAUAAAAUCAAGUCAAUAGGUAACUAAUUUCUUCAACUUUUACACACAUACCUGAAGAUCAAAAGGACCUAACCAAGAAACAUAAUCAGCCAGAUUAAAAGCUCCAAGCAUAGCCAUUCCUUCUUGAACCAACUUCUUUAAAUCAAAUUGCUCAUACUUACCCCUACCCAAUAUCAUCUUAUACACAAUAUCUUCAAUAAGAUUCUCUACAAUCUCACUAACAUUCACAACCUCACCUACCAAAACAACUUUCUCUAAUGACUUAACCAAAACAUCCAACUCCUUCUUCCUAAUAGGACCAAACAUCUCAACUUUUGAAGCACUAAGAAGUUUCAAAGUGCAAAGUUUCUUUACACUACGCCAAUAAGGACCAUACUCAGAAAAAGCCAACCCUUUGGAACCAUAAAAAAUGAGCUGAGAUGCUUGAGUCUUUGGCCGACUUGCAAAAUUGAUGUCAUGAGUUUUGAGGAAUGAUUCUGCAGCUUUUGAAGAUGAAAUAACAAUUGUUGGAACUUGACCAAGUUGUAAGGACAUGAUUGAACCAUAUUUUUUGGACAGUGAUUGAAGUGUUCUAUGUGGAAGUUUACCUAACAUGUGAAGGUUUCCUAUUAUUGGUAGUGUUGGUGGACCUGGUGGUUUUUUAUGAUUUAUGGUGUUUUGUUUUUCACGUAAGUAGAAUUUGAAUAAAAGGUAUGUGAAAGUGAAGAGAAUGAAAGGAAUUAUUAUUGUUGUUGAAAACAUGUUUACAGUGAAUUCUUUGGAUCUAAGUUCUAAGGAUGAGAACUAUAAAGAAUUAUUAGUGUUGCUUGAUUGAGGAUUUGAAGAUGGUGCAGCCGUGCAAGUGAUAGAAUAAUUAUUAGUUAAAUAAAGGUGGAAACAAAUAAUUUUGAUUUGUUUAAUUGGUAUCGCUUUCCGUUAACAAAAACUUACAUAUAAGUUGAAUCAUGUUUUACAAUAUAUAUAUUAUAUUAUGUAGGAGAAGAUUUAUGAAUUCUUUUUUUAGGGGAUUUUCAUGAAUUCUUUUAAAAUAUAUUUACAGUAAACUAAUAUAAUAAAAUGACGUGAUGGUAAAAUAUGAUUUAUUUUUUGUGGUGGUCGAGGUUUGACUCAAACCUUGCAUAUAUUAUACAUUGUUUCUAUCAACUGAGCUAAGCUCAAGAAGAUAUGAUAAAAUAUGAUUAUGUUAAUUGAAGUAUUUUUCUCCUUAAUAGAAAGUAUUUUUAAAUGACAAAUAUCAAUCCUUCAAAGAAAAUGACAAAUAUCAAAUAUGUUAAUUGGCUUAAAUGCUCUUUUGGUCCCUUAACUAUUUAAUUGGUAUCGCUUUGGUCCCUUAACUAAAAAAAAGAUUGUUUGAGGACUUUAAGUUUUUUUUUAGUCUCGUUUUGGUCCCUUCUGUUAGGUUUCCGUUAGGGUUUUAAAAAAAGUUAACUCUUGGACACUNNNNNNNNNNNNNNNNNNNNNNNNNNNNNNNNNNNNNNNNNNNNNNNNNNNNNNNNNNNNNNNNNNNNNNNNNNNNNNNNNNNNNNNNNNNNNNNNNNNNNNNNNNNNNNNNNNNNNNNNNNNNNNNNNNNNNNNNNNNNNNNNNNNNNNNNNNNNNNNNNNNNNNNNNNNNNNNNNNNNNNNNNNNNNNNNNNNNNNNNNNNNNNNNNNNNNNNNNNNNNNNNNNNNNNNNNNNNNNNNNNNNNNNNNNNNNNNNNNNNNNNNNNNNNNNNNNNNNNNNNNNNNNNNNNNNNNNNNNNNNNNNNNNNNNNNNNNNNNNNNNNNNNNNNNNNNNNNNNNNNNNNNNNNNNNNNNNNNNNNNNNNNNNNNNNNNNNNNNNNNNNNNNNNNNNNNNNNNNNNNNNNNNNNNNNNNNNNNNNNNNNNNNNNNNNNNNNNNNNNNNNNNNNNNNNNNNNNNNNNNNNNNNNNNNNNNNNNNNNNNNNNNNNNNNNNNNNNNNNNNNNNNNNNNNNNNNNNNNNNNNNNNNNNNNNNNNNNNNNNNNNNNNNNNNNNNNNNNNNNNNNNNNNNNNNNNNNNNNNNNNNNNNNNNNNNNNNNNNNNNNNNNNNNNNNNNNNNNNNNNNNNNNNNNNNNNNNNNNNNNNNNNNNNNNNNNNNNNNNNNNNNNNNNNNNNNNNNNNNNNNNNNNNNNNNNNNNNNNNNNNNNNNNNNNNNNNNNNNNNNNNNNNNNNNNNNNNNNNNNNNNNNNNNNNNNNNNNNNNNNNNNNNNNNNNNNNNNNNNNNNNNNNNNNNNNNNNNNNNNNNNNNNNNNNNNNNNNNNNNNNNNNNNNNNNNNNNNNNNNNNNNNNNNNNNNNNNNNNNNNNNNNNNNNNNNNNNNNNNNNNNNNNNNNNNNNNNNNNNNNNNNNNNNNNNNNNNNNNNNNNNNNNNNNNNNNNNNNNNNNNNNNNNNNNNNNNNNNNNNNNNNNNNNNNNNNNNNNNNNNNNNNNNNNNNNNNNNNNNNNNNNNNNNNNNNNNNNNNNNNNNNNNNNNNNNNNNNNNNNNNNNNNNNNNNNNNNNNNNNNNNNNNNNNNNNNNNNNNNNNNNNNNNNNNNNNNNNNNNNNNNNNNNNNNNNNNNNNNNNNNNNNNNNNNNNNNNNNNNNNNNNNNNNNNNNNNNNNNNNNNNNNNNNNNNNNNNNNNNNNNNNNNNNNNNNNNNNNNNNNNNNNNNNNNNNNNNNNNNNNNNNNNNNNNNNNNNNNNNNNNNNNNNNNNNNNNNNNNNNNNNNNNNNNNNNNNNNNNNNNNNNNNNNNNNNNNNNNNNNNNNNNNNNNNNNNNNNNNNNNNNNNNNNNNNNNNNNNNNNNNNNNNNNNNNNNNNNNNNNNNNNNNNNNNNNNNNNNNNNNNNNNNNNNNNNNNNNNNNNNNNNNNNNNNNNNNNNNNNNNNNNNNNNNNNNNNNNNNNNNNNNNNNNNNNNNNNNNNNNNNNNNNNNNNNNNNNNNNNNNNNNNNNNNNNNNNNNNNNNNNNNNNNNNNNNNNNNNNNNNNNNNNNNNNNNNNNNNNNNNNNNNNNNNNNNNNNNNNNNNNNNNNNNNNNNNNNNNNNNNNNNNNNNNNNNNNNNNNNNNNNNNNNNNNNNNNNNNNNNNNNNNNNNNNNNNNNNNNNNNNNNNNNNNNNNNNNNNNNNNNNNNNNNNNNNNNNNNNNNNNNNNNNNNNNNNNNNNNNNNNNNNNNNNNNNNNNNNNNNNNNNNNNNNNNNNNNNNNNNNNNNNNNNNNNNNNNNNNNNNNNNNNNNNNNNNNNNNNNNNNNNNNNNNNNNNNNNNNNNNNNNNNNNNNNNNNNNNNNNNNNNNNNNNNNNNNNNNNNNNNNNNNNNNNNNNNNNNNNNNNNNNNNNNNNNNNNNNNNNNNNNNNNNNNNNNNNNNNNNNNNNNNNNNNNNNNNNNNNNNNNNNNNNNNNNNNNNNNNNNNNNNNNNNNNNNNNNNNNNNNNNNNNNNNNNNNNNNNNNNNNNNNNNNNNNNNNNNNNNNNNNNNNNNNNNNNNNNNNNNNNNNNNNNNNNNNNNNNNNNNNNNNNNNNNNNNNNNNNNNNNNNNNNNNNNNNNNNNNNNNNNNNNNNNNNNNNNNNNNNNNNNNNNNNNNNNNNNNNNNNNNNNNNNNNNNNNNNNNNNNNNNNNNNNNNNNNNNNNNNNNNNNNNNNNNNNNNNNNNNNNNNNNNNNNNNNNNNNNNNNNNNNNNNNNNNNNNNNNNNNNNNNNNNNNNNNNNNNNNNNNNNNNNNNNNNNNNNNNNNNNNNNNNNNNNNNNNNNNNNNNNNNNNNNNNNNNNNNNNNNNNNNNNNNNNNNNNNNNNNNNNNNNNNNNNNNNNNNNNNNNNNNNNNNNNNNNNNNNNNNNNNNNNNNNNNNNNNNNNNNNNNNNNNNNNNNNNNNNNNNNNNNNNNNNNNNNNNNNNNNNNNNNNNNNNNNNNNNNNNNNNNNNNNNNNNNNNNNNNNNNNNNNNNNNNNNNNNNNNNNNNNNNNNNNNNNNNNNNNNNNNNNNNNNNNNNNNNNNNNNNNNNNNNNNNNNNNNNNNNNNNNNNNNNNNNNNNNNNNNNNNNNNNNNNNNNNNNNNNNNNNNNNNNNNNNNNNNNNNNNNNNNNNNNNNNNNNNNNNNNNNNNNNNNNNNNNNNNNNNNNNNNNNNNNNNNNNNNNNNNNNNNNNNNNNNNNNNNNNNNNNNNNNNNNNNNNNNNNNNNNNNNNNNNNNNNNNNNNNNNNNNNNNNNNNNNNNNNNNNNNNNNNNNNNNNNNNNNNNNNNNNNNNNNNNNNNNNNNNNNNNNNNNNNNNNNNNNNNNNNNNNNNNNNNNNNNNNNNNNNNNNNNNNNNNNNNNNNNNNNNNNNNNNNNNNNNNNNNNNNNNNNNNNNNNNNNNNNNNNNNNNNNNNNNNNNNNNNNNNNNNNNNNNNNNNNNNNNNNNNNNNNNNNNNNNNNNNNNNNNNNNNNNNNNNNNNNNNNNNNNNNNNNNNNNNNNNNNNNNNNNNNNNNNNNNNNNNNNNNNNNNNNNNNNNNNNNNNNNNNNNNNNNNNNNNNNNNNNNNNNNNNNNNNNNNNNNNNNNNNNNNNNNNNNNNNNNNNNNNNNNNNNNNNNNNNNNNNNNNNNNNNNNNNNNNNNNNNNNNNNNNNNNNNNNNNNNNNNNNNNNNNNNNNNNNNNNNNNNNNNNNNNNNNNNNNNNNNNNNNNNNNNNNNNNNNNNNNNNNNNNNNNNNNNNNNNNNNNNNNNNNNNNNNNNNNNNNNNNNNNNNNNNNNNNNNNNNNNNNNNNNNNNNNNNNNNNNNNNNNNNNNNNNNNNNNNNNNNNNNNNNNNNNNNNNNNNNNNNNNNNNNNNNNNNNNNNNNNNNNNNNNNNNNNNNNNNNNNNNNNNNNNNNNNNNNNNNNNNNNNNNNNNNNNNNNNNNNNNNNNNNNNNNNNNNNNNNNNNNNNNNNNNNNNNNNNNNNNNNNNNNNNNNNNNNNNNNNNNNNNNNNNNNNNNNNNNNNNNNNNNNNNNNNNNNNNNNNNNNNNNNNNNNNNNNNNNNNNNNNNNNNNNNNNNNNNNNNNNNNNNNNNNNNNNNNNNNNNNNNNNNNNNNNNNNNNNNNNNNNNNNNNNNNNNNNNNNNNNNNNNNNNNNNNNNNNNNNNNNNNNNNNNNNNNNNNNNNNNNNNNNNNNNNNNNNNNNNNNNNNNNNNNNNNNNNNNNNNNNNNNNNNNNNNNNNNNNNNNNNNNNNNNNNNNNNNNNNNNNNNNNNNNNNNNNNNNNNNNNNNNNNNNNNNNNNNNNNNNNNNNNNNNNNNNNNNNNNNNNNNNNNNNNNNNNNNNNNNNNNNNNNNNNNNNNNNNNNNNNNNNNNNNNNNNNNNNNNNNNNNNNNNNNNNNNNNNNNNNNNNNNNNNNNNNNNNNNNNNNNNNNNNNNNNNNNNNNNNNNNNNNNNNNNNNNNNNNNNNNNNNNNNNNNNNNNNNNNNNNNNNNNNNNNNNNNNNNNNNNNNNNNNNNNNNNNNNNNNNNNNNNNNNNNNNNNNNNNNNNNNNNNNNNNNNNNNNNNNNNNNNNNNNNNNNNNNNNNNNNNNNNNNNNNNNNNNNNNNNNNNNNNNNNNNNNNNNNNNNNNNNNNNNNNNNNNNNNNNNNNNNNNNNNNNNNNNNNNNNNNNNNNNNNNNNNNNNNNNNNNNNNNNNNNNNNNNNNNNNNNNNNNNNNNNNNNNNNNNNNNNNNNNNNNNNNNNNNNNNNNNNNNNNNNNNNNNNNNNNNNNNNNNNNNNNNNNNNNNNNNNNNNNNNNNNNNNNNNNNNNNNNNNNNNNNNNNNNNNNNNNNNNNNNNNNNNNNNNNNNNNNNNNNNNNNNNNNNNNNNNNNNNNNNNNNNNNNNNNNNNNNNNNNNNNNNNNNNNNNNNNNNNNNNNNNNNNNNNNNNNNNNNNNNNNNNNNNNNNNNNNNNNNNNNNNNNNNNNNNNNNNNNNNNNNNNNNNNNNNNNNNNNNNNNNNNNNNNNNNNNNNNNNNNNNNNNNNNNNNNNNNNNNNNNNNNNNNNNNNNNNNNNNNNNNNNNNNNNNNNNNNNNNNNNNNNNNNNNNNNNNNNNNNNNNNNNNNNNNNNNNNNNNNNNNNNNNNNNNNNNNNNNNNNNNNNNNNNNNNNNNNNNNNNNNNNNNNNNNNNNNNNNNNNNNNNNNNNNNNNNNNNNNNNNNNNNNNNNNNNNNNNNNNNNNNNNNNNNNNNNNNNNNNNNNNNNNNNNNNNNNNNNNNNNNNNNNNNNNNNNNNNNNNNNNNNNNNNNNNNNNNNNNNNNNNNNNNNNNNNNNNNNNNNNNNNNNNNNNNNNNNNNNNNNNNNNNNNNNNNNNNNNNNNNNNNNNNNNNNNNNNNNNNNNNNNNNNNNNNNNNNNNNNNNNNNNNNNNNNNNNNNNNNNNNNNNNNNNNNNNNNNNNNNNNNNNNNNNNNNNNNNNNNNNNNNNNNNNNNNNNNNNNNNNNNNNNNNNNNNNNNNNNNNNNNNNNNNNNNNNNNNNNNNNNNNNNNNNNNNNNNNNNNNNNNNNNNNNNNAUUGCAUACUCAUUUCUGCACUUAGAUAACUUCUGAUUCAGGUUGGUAUUCACUUUGUUGCCAUUCAUUUCAAAUUUGCAUGCAAAAAAAAAAAAAAAAAAAAAAAAAAAAAAAACCCUAGGGUAGUAGAUAGUGUAAUGUUCUUCAAACUGAUACCUACAUGACUCAGAUGAAACAUAAUCAUGCCCAAAUUCGUGGUUGUUCUGAUUCCAAUCCACAUUUUUGUUAACCCUUUUGUAAAAAUUAAAAAUAAAAUUAAAAUUAGGGUUUUUGUGGUAUAAUUCGACAUUCAACUCAAAAGCAUGAUUUAGUUCAUCUCUUUGUCAUUAUCAGGGUCGGAAUUACUAUAUUUAGGGUUAAGAAUGUUGAAACUGAAAGAAAUUUUGAAAAAGGGUCGAUUUUUGUCAUUUUCUGGGCAACUCGCCAUGGCGAGCUUCAUCAUUCGCCAAGGCGAGUGAGCAAUCUGAAACCCAGAAAAUUUCAACUACUCGCCAUGGCGAGUGCACCUGCUCGCGAGGCGAGUGGUAACAGAACAUGCAAUAUUUUUUGUUCCAUACUGAUAUUUAAUUGUCUGUUUGGUGUUUGUGGAAUUCCUGGUUGUGUUUGCAGGUAUGGCUCCAAAGAAACCCGUUAACACUGGUAAACGCAAGAAAGGAGAAACAUCCGCAACCCGACCCCCACCUAGAAACCAAGCCUUUGAGAGGGAGAGAUUUAGGUCUCGCUACCAUCAAGAUAGAUAUAUUGAACUGCUUGACCAAUCCAUGUGGUGUGAGAGGGUCUUUAACCUUAAUCCCGAGGGACCCUAUAAAGAAAUUGCCAAACUUUUACUCGAUCAAGGAUGGGAACGACUCCUUCAACCCAUAACAGAUAUUAAUGCCGAGUUAGUGCGUGAGUUUUAUGCCAAUGCCCUACCUGAAAAUCCACACACUGACCCAUUUACAUUCGAAACUUUUGUGAGGGGUCGAACUAUCCGGUUUGACCGUGAGGCAAUAAAUACAUACCUUGGCAACCCCUUUGAGUUAGCCUACCCAGACGACCUUGAUGACUUUCAUGAGAAGCAAAACCUUGGCCACUUUAUCCUCCCGGGCCCCCAUGAAGAAAUCAAACGAUUUCUCUUGUUGGGAGACUAUAACUAUGACAUCAGUGAUGCAGGGAGAGAGUAUCGGGCCCAAUACAAAUUCAUGACCAAUGAGGCCAAAAUUAUCCAAAAAUUCAUUCUUUAUAAUGUCAGGCCCAAUAGUCAUCUGUCUGAUUGUGUUGUCGAGGUGUGUCCUUUAAUCUACUACAUCCUCAAGGGGAUCAAGGUAGAUAUUGCCCGGACCAUUGCUUGGGAACUCCGAAUGGUCACCCUGCAAGGAAGAGGUGAAAGAGAAGCUCGUCUCUUUUUUCCCGGUUUAAUCAUGGGACUCAUUAAAGAUACCGGCAUGCGCCUACCAACCAGUGUCCAUGAGAAGAUCCGGAACCCGAUCAAUGAUGCUUUCAUCACCCGAUACAUUAUGGGUGAAACAAAGAAGGAUAAAAGCAAACAAGCAUCAUCUUCUGGGGCACCUCCACCACGACCUCAACCAUCAUCUGAACCACAACCCCACUUUCCACCACAUCUAGACCCACACACUGCUGCUUUUGACUUUUCAAGCUUCGCUCAAUGGCAAUACCAGUGCCAUACCCAUACAUGGAACAUGCUGGACGCAACCAACCGUGCUAAUACAUAUCUUCAGCAGUCUCAGUAUGUGAUGCAGCAGCAGGCUGGGUACCCACCGGAGGUGAUGUCACAAUUCAUGACACCAGAGGCCUAUCAGGCUCAUGUUUCUUGGCCUGAGGGCAGGCCAGAUCCUUACGGAGGGGGUGGAUCAUCGUUCGGGACGCUUUCUGACGAUAUAUUGAUGGGAGAUUCUGACAGAGACGAUCCAGACAGAGUCCCAAGUGCAACUGGUGGUUCAGAUGAUCAUGACAUGCAGGGUUGAAAGAGGAAAAGAAUGACUUUGAAAGCUCACCGUUUAUUGAGUGACAUUUUUAUAAAGCUUUCAGUCUAUUCUUUCUUUCUCUUUCAUUUCUUCUGACAAUAUUUGCUUCUGUUCAUAUUUUAAAUUUAGCACAAUGACUCACUUUGUUUAGUUAGCAUUUUGUUUAAUUAUUUUGGUAUUUUCGUAUUCAUAUUCGUAUUGUUCAAAGUUGUAUUGUGUUGUUUUAUAUUAGCACUUUUGGUUUAUAUCAAGUACUUUGUUUUGAAAAUUGUGGAAGUUUCUUUAGUUUAUCACUCUUGCUUAUUGAAAAGAAAAUGCUCAAAGCUUCAAAUUUCAAAGCGCUUGAAAGAGCCAAAACUUGAGCAAAAUUCUCAGAUGAUUGAUAAUAACAGAUGGUUUGUGAUAAAGCGCAAAGCCAAGGUACAAGUUUCCAGUUUUUCUAGGUUUUUACUUGAAUAGGAAACGAGUACUUUGCACAAAUUUCAAUUCAUUUAGUUCUCCUCGAUAAUGUGUUUGUUUGUGAACCACUUAGUACUAGCUAAAAAGUGAGGAAACCUCAAAUAUUUGUACUAUAUGCAAGGAGACCGGCAUUCAUUGUUUUAACUCGGUCAUUUUAUGUUAAAUCUAAUAUUUGUUUUAAAUUGUGUAAAGACAUGGAAAGGAUCAAGGCAUAUUUUGUUUAAUGAGAGAAACAUACUUGACCACAAAUAGCCUACCUUGUGAGAAGAGCGAGUAUUUGUUAACCCACUUGAGCCAAAUGAAGCAAGGUCCUCAAUUAUGAACUGUCAAUUCAUAAGCACAAUGCUUGAUGAAUUCGCCCUAUAUUUUUCAAAAUCCAGUUCAUUUUUGUUGCACUAUCGGACCUUGAUAUGUUUUAAUUGUUGAACCCUAAACCUUCAUUGUUAUUUGUCCCUUUUUGCCAUAGAUUAAGGGAACAUUCAAAUAGGGUAUGUUUUCAUUCAAGUUGGGGAGAAAAGGUAGAUGUUCAUCAUUUGUCAAGUGAAUUGGUGUAAUCAGAAAUUUUGAUCAAGACAACAUUGUUUGUAUAUGAAAAAAGAAAGAAAAAGAAAAAUGUGUACAUGAUAAAAACAAGAAAAGAAGAAAAAGAAAAAGAAAGAAAAAUCCAAAAAUAGAAUAAGUUGUCAAGAUCAAGGAGUAUCAUGUUUUAACACCAAGGGUUUGUUAGGGAAUUCUAGUAAAUUUGUCUUUUGAAUGUGAAUAGAAGGAAUGUUCCCUUAUGCUUGACCAUUUGAAUUCAAUUGACCCACAAAUGUCCUUUCUUUUGUAGCCAAGCCAAAUUACAACCCUAAAAGACCUUUUGAUCCAUGUUUUUAUGCUUUUUGAAAUGAUAAUUGGAUGGACAUAUAACUUGAUUUGGAUGUUAACUUGAUUGCCGGAUGUGUGUUCAUAACCCUCACUCAUUUGAUUUCAAUUGCAUAUCUACUUACAAAGAAGUGUGUUAGGUGUGGUUCGUGAAUAAAUGUUUUAUUGACUUGAACUAUUUGACAUGAACUUUGUGCAUAGAACUCAUUUCAUAUUUGUGGUAGAAUUCCAGAUUAGUUGGAAACUCAGACUUGCCCGCGCAUUCUCUUUGAAUCAUUCAUCUAAAAAUGUUUUCAAACCUUUUGUACUUGUGUCUUGUCAUAUUAACUUGUUUGAUUUUCAAGAUUUUGUUUGAGGACAAACAAAGAGUUAAGUUGGGGAGAGUUUGAUAAGUGCUAGAAAGUUGUAAUUUAAGUGAUAUAUUUUAGGCACUUUUGUUACUUGUUUUGCAAGUUAUUAAGGGAAAAGCCGAGAAAUAAGUGAUUAUUGCCCUUUUACGCUUUAUCUAUCUUACUUCACCCAUUUGUGCAGGAUUCGAACUCAAGACAUCAAGCAAAGAGAAGAAAAUCGAGAAAAGUACAAAAAGGCAGAAAAAGGAGAUCACUCGCCUCCAACUCGCCAUGGCAAGCAGAAAAGGCGAGCAAUUCCAGAAUGCAACAAAGAUCACACGCCACCAACUCGCAAUGGCGAGUAGAAGGCGAGCUUACUCGCCGUGGCGAAUGGAAGGACUCGCGAGGCGAGUAAGGGCGGUUUAGCCUCUAAAUGCUGACGUGGCACAAACCCAAUGGGGAAGAAACUUCAACUCGCCUUGGCGAAUGAAGCAGCUCGCGAGGCGAGUGAAGGCAGACUCAGAAUUCUAUAAAUAGCCCACUCAACCAUUUCAGAAAAAGAUAGUUUUUUAUAUAGUUUUUAGAUAGUUUUUCUCUUAGUUUUUCACUUGUAAUAUUCUUAGAGAGAGAGAGAUAGGGCUUGUGCUUUAUAGAGUGAGAGUGAUAGAGAGUGGAUUCUUCAUCCUUUGUUGAGACAUCACAAGUUGUAAUGAAUCUUGCUUCUUCAAUUCAUUCUUGCAAGGCUUCCAUGACAAUGAGUAGCUAAAUCUCCUUUGUUGGGAUUAGAGGUGUUAUACCCUGUUUUUGGACCUAAAAAUACUGGGCCCAAUUUCAUUUCAAACUUUGUCAAUUAUCAAAUUUCAACUGCACAGUUCAAUUUGUCUCUGCCUCGCAGUAUUUUCAAUCACAAUUUUACCUAUGUUUUUCUUGCAUAAAACCUUUCAAAAUGUCUUUACUUGUCUUGUAAGUCAUUCAAAAGUGUCUCUGGAUCAUUACAUUGCUUUUUCUACAGUUUAUUCCAAAAUUUGCAAAAAGUCAUACAGAAGGGUAUUUUGGUCAUUUCCUGCAGUGGGACCCAUUUUCAUCCUUGUGACUGUCUCUGAGUCUUUUCAGAUUACUUUUAAACAUUUCAUCAGUAAACUUUGUUAAAAUUCAUUUCAAACUUGCGUCUGAGUCAGUGUCAGGUCAAUUUGAAUCUGUUUAGGUCGUUUUUAGCCCUAGGGGCAUUUUGGUCAUUUCACAUAAAAUUUUGGCAUGGGGAGGUUACUUUGAAGUACCUCAUUUAGGCCAUUGGUUCGUUUUAGUCCGUUUUGUCAAUUUUAUUUUUUUGUUUCGCUUUACGUUGGGUCAAAUUACGUUUUUUAUUCAAUUUUAUUUUUUAAUUGCAUUUUGGUCCCUCAAGUGAGGUCCCAAAAUUGCAUUUCAGUCCAGAAUUUUCUUUUUUUACAUUUCAGUCCUUUUUGUCAAUUGCAGUUUAGUCCCUUAUUUUUUCAAUUUUGCAGAAAGGUCCAAUUUCAUUUUUUGCCCAAGGCCGUGCCAUCUUUUUUUUUCAGGUCCAGGUGUCACUUUCUCAUUUGUUCAGAUACACACAUGUCAAGCUAUAAAAGGUGCACAGUGCCACUCAGAGCCAGAAAAACACACGCCAACUCAUAAACACAUUCCAAAUUUUCUCUUUCUCAGCAACUGAAUCAAAACAGAAAAAAUUCCUCAGAUUCAUCAAGAACACCAAGAACAAAAAACCUAACCGUUUUCCAGAAACAGAAACUACACAAAUUCAAGCUAUUUUUCAUGGAUUCUCAGUGAUUCUUUGAAGAAUCAUCAUCAUUGAAUCAAUAUCUUCGCAAUUCGAAGUGCGAAUUCGCCAAAGGCAAACUCCAGCACCGAUCACGAAGAUACAGUGAGGAAGACGAAGAAGAAAGAAAGAUGAUGAAGGUUUAAACCGGCGAAGAAGGCGAUAAAGCAAGAAACCAGCAGGAACACCGGUUUAUUUCCGGAUUCAAAGCCAAAUCACGUAGCAUCAGAGAUUGAAGUUUUCCAAAGAAUUUCUCCAUUAAAGGUUUCAACCAAAACCUUAGGUAAAACUCAUACUCUUUUUCAAAAGCAAUAUCACUGUUAAACCUAAAAAUCACGCAAGCAAAACAGAUCCAAAGGUUCCAGAAUUCAAAGAAAACUAUAACCGUAAACAUCAAAAUCCAGAUCCGUAAGGAUCAACGUUUUGAAAGCGAAAACAGGCGUCAAAAAGUAAUCAAACGACGAAACGAUGUAGAUCUUUAAAGAUCUAAAUGAUCUCAUUCAAAAAAAUCAAAAAUCAUUUCAAAACCGUAAAAGCUUUUUCAAGAUCUACGUCGUUCAAAGCCGUUUUUGAAAAAACAAAUGCCGGAUUCGUGUUUAGGGUUAAAGGACGAGUCAAACGAAGUAAGAAUCUUUGAAAUCUGGAAAUUUAGGUCACCGGAAACUGCAUGAACUCGCCGGAGAAGAUGAAGUUUCCGGCGGACCUUCAAGGUCUCCGCCGUAGCUUCAUCCUCGCCGGCGGCGAGGUUUAGAGAGAGGUGAGAGGUGAGAGAAGAGAGAAGAGCUAGAGAGAGAAAGGGGAGUGAAAAAUGAAGAAAACCGGUGCCAUGCCUUUUAAAUAAGCUAGUGAACCAGACCGGUCCAAGACCGGUCCAAUCCUGUUGAUUCCAGGCCGUUUGAUCUAGGGUUUCAGGACCCUGGAUCAAUCCUGUGGCUCCUGUGAAUCCGGUUCCUUAGGGUUUUGGGUUGGGCCUUUGUUUCCUUUGGAUCUUUACGUUUUGCUAUUCCUGUGCUUUUCACACCUCUAUUUUUGCUACCUGUACCUAUGUCUUGAUUAAAAUUGUGAUAAAAUUCCUAGAAAAAUUCAUGCAUGUUUCCUGAUAUUUUCUUAGUGUUUUUAUGACAUUUUUGCACAUUAAGGAUCUAUGAAAUUUUGGUAUGGUUAAUUCAUAGCAUUUUAAUUCUCUUUGAAUUAUUUGUUAUGGAUUCUUCUUCAUACAUUUGUCCUUGAUGUGCGAAUAUGUGAUAAAAGCUUUUUGAUGUGUUAAUAUGAGAAAUUUGUGCCUAUAAUUUCGUGUUGUUUUGCUGUUUUGAUUUGGUUCAUGAGUGCUUGAUUUUAUGAGCAAUAUAUGCAUAUUUUGAAAGAUAUAAAAUGCCAAGUUUAUUCUAGAAAAUAUGGCAUGAAACCAUGCUUGCAUGUUUCCAAUAAUUUCAUGCUAUAACUUGAGAUAAAGAAAACUCUUUCAAAAUUUGUUAAAGCAUGAGAAUUAGAGGCCAAGGAUGCUUUAGGUUUCAUACCUAAGUUUUUAGGGUUUAAUGUCAUUUUGUUAACUUUUUGUGUCAUCUUGCAUGAUUUUAUUUCUUAGUGCUUAUUAUGUUUUUUCUUUUGACUAACAAGUUUAUUCCCAUGUUUCAUGCAUCCCAUUUAGCAUUCCCUCCACCCUCUUUAGCCUAGCAUUUAUUUUUGCAAGUUUUAAUUCAUUUAGUGAUGUAAUUUGUCAUCAUUGGUUUGUAGCUUGGCAAAGGGGCCAUAGAAUGUAUUUAGGCAAUUUUUGUAAUAUGGACUAUGGACACUAUGACGCACCGACACGCACACACUCACCUUAGAUGUAUGCAUAGGAUUGUAUGGUUAAAUAAGCGUUUAGGUUUUAAACACCUAGAGAAAAUCCAUCUUUUUUCCAAAAAAAAAACAAUUGAACUUCACUUCAAAAAUUUUCAUAAUAAACAUGAAGUCAACACUUCAUUUCUUUUCCUUUCUUUUUUUUCUUGAGAAAAAUUCAAUUCAUCUUAAUCAUUUAGACUUUCUUUUUUAAUCACUAAUCAAACCUCACUUUUUGCUAAAUCUAAUGCUCAUGAAGCCUCCCAAUCUCCUUCUUCAAAACCAUUUUCAAAACUUAAAAUCAAACAAUUAAAACAAAAACAAGUCUUUUUAGCAAGAACUACGAACGGUUUUGAUCCCUUAAAAGGGUACGUAGGCAAUGAGUCAAAACUCAUCCAAGCCGAAAUAAAAUCAAAAUUCUACUUCUUCUCACCCCCACUCUUAACUAAAUAAACCUCCCAUUUUCAAAAGUAGGUAAAAAUAAAGCGUAAAAAUCGACUUAGGAAAACGGCUCCUAUAGAGGACUAUAGUUACUCCGGGUGCCUAACACCUUCCCGUAGUAAAACCGACCCCCGAACUUAGAAUCUAAGGGUUUUUUCUCAAUUUUUCCCUUCCCAAGAAAAAAGAGAGAUAUCAACGGUCGAAAGGUACAAGUCCAAUUAAUGACUUGGUACCCAAAAACCAUGAUAACAGAAAUGGCGACUUCACUGGGGACUUUUUUAAGCGGGUCGCGCCUAGUUUUCCUUAGUUUAUAUUUAUGUUUUAUUUUAUUGCUUACAUAUGUGAAUAUUUGUUUACUUUCAUUUGACGUGUGGGGUGAGAAUAUCAAAAGUCCUAUACCCGGGCUGAGUGAACUUAUGUUUAGGUAGAGAUAUAAUCGACAAUUCGAUCCGGGGGUUGCCUCGUGUAUUGGAUUAUGCGAUCAAUCUCACAUAGCUGAGGCAUUUUGAAGGUGAUAUUGUCGGCGUGUGUCGUCAUGCUUAGGCACUUCACUUUCAAUUGUUCGACGAAGCUAUGAACCGUAGUUACCAAACCCAUCCUAGCCUUUUUAGGACGUAGUGCGGUGGCUAAAUUGAGUGUUGUCUCAAAACUUUAGUCGUCACGCGAUACUACACUCAAACUAGACCUUCUCACAAAUAAUCGUGGAACGGGUGUCGUCCUGUACUACCAUGAUAUAUGUGAGAGAGGUUGCAGUUUGGGAACUGUGUUAGAACCUUGGUUACUACUAUCCAAAGCCUUAGUUCACCGGACGCCGUGUCCAUCCGUGGCCUUGUUACUUUGAAUCUCAACCCACAUUGUAACUAAACAACACAAUCAUGCAUACAUGCAUUCAUGCAUAAAUAUUUUUCAUGCAUUCAUCGAAGGGUUUAAACAAAUGAGAAUUUUUGUAAAUAAUCACAGGUAUGAAGAAGACUAAGUGCUACAAGUUCAAGGAAGUGGAUUUGGUUAGUUUGAGAGAGUUGGCGCUCAAGGUCAAGAGUCAAACAGGGUUCCGACUCCGGUAUGGGGGAUUGCUUACUUUGCUCCGAACCGAUGUGGACGAGAAGCUAAUGCACACUCUGGUGCAAUUUUAUGAUCCGAGCUUCCGCUGCUUCACUUUCCCGGACUUCCAGUUGGUUCCUACUCUCGAGGCUUACUCCAAUCUAGUGGGGUUACCUAUAGCCGAGAAGACGCCUUUCGCCGGUCCCGGGACUCCUCUUACUCCUCUGGUUGUUGCUAAGGAUCUCUACCUCAAGACUUCCGACGUCUCCAACCAUCUUAUUACCAAGUCUCACAUCCGGGGUUUCACUUCGAAGUAUCUUCUUGAUCAGGCUAAUCUCGGUACCACUCGCCAGGACACACUCGAGGCUAUUCUUGCUUUGCUUAUCUACGGGCUCAUUCUCUUCCCGAACCUUGACAACUUCGUGGACAUGAAUGCUAUCGAGAUCUUUCAUUCUAAGAACCCGGUUCCUACUUUGCUAGCGGACACCUACCACGCCAUUCAUGACAGGACUCUCAAGGGCCGUGGGUAUAUUCUUUGCUGCACAUCUCUUUUGUAUAGGUGGUUUAUUUCGCACCUUCCGAGUUCCUUCCAUGAUAACUCGGAAAAUUGGUCCUACUCUCAGCGGAUUAUGGCUCUCACUCCUGAUGAGGUCGUCUGGCUCACUCCUGCCGCUCAAGUGAAGGAAAUCAUUAUGGGUUGUGGAGACUUUCUCAAUGUACCUCUUCUUGGUACUCGUGGAGGAAUCAACUACAAUCCCGAGCUUGCUAUGAGACAGUUUGGUUUCCCUAUGAAGUCGAAGCCCAUCAAUCUUGCCACAUCUCCAGAGUUCUUCUUCUACACGAAUGCUCCUACCGGACAAAGGAAAGCUUUCGUGGAUGCUUGGUCCAAGGUUCGAAGGAAGAGUGUGAAGCAUCUAGGUGUGAGAUCCGGUGUCGCUCAUGAGGCCUAUACCCAGUGGGUGAUAGAUCGAGCUGAGGAGAUUGGUAUGCCUUAUCCAGCUAUGAGAUAUGUGUCUUCAUCUACCCCAUCUAUGCCUCUACCUUUGCUCCCCGCGACUCAGGAUAUGUAUCAGGAGCAUCUAGCUAUGGAGAGUCGUGAGAAGCAAGUGUGGAAGGCUCGGUACAAUCAAGCCGAGAAUCUAAUCAUGACUUUGGAUGGUAGAGAUGAGCAGAAGACUCAUGAGAAUCUGAUGUUGAAGAAAGAGCUAGCUAAGGCCCGGAGGGAACUAGAAGAGAAAGACGAGCUGCUUAUGAGGGAUUCCAAGAGAGCCCGAGGACGACGAGACUUCUUUGCCAGAUACUGUGAUUCAGAUUCCGAGUCCGAUGAUCCUCCGACUACUUCCUAUGCUUGAGGACUCCAUGUGUUUAUCUUGUUGAAAUUUCAAAGUCUUCCUGUUAAAAAAAAAUACUAUGUAGUUUUGAUUAUUUGCAAAGAUUUCUAAUUGGUUCAAAAUUCCUUCGAUGAAAAAAAAUAAGUCUUUUGCAUUCGCAUUUGCACAUCAUGCAUCAUAUGCAUCAUGCAUUGGUCACAAAGGCUUCCAAGUGCUCACUAUCUCCUGGUUCCUCUGCCACAGUGUGAAAAGUGGCUCGUGCUCAGAGAGUUUACGAACCAGAUAGAAUUGAUCGAACCAGAGAAUACAGAAGAAAGAAAAGGGCUAUGGAAGAAGAGAACGCUCAGCUUCGCACCGAGUUGGCCUCUCUAAAGGAGGAAUUGGCUAAAGCUAAUGACGUCAUGACUGCUCUACUAGCUGCUCAAGAGCAAUCAGCUACAGCUAUCCCUACAACCACAGCUGCACCAGUAACUACAAGCGUGCUCCCUACCACUUCUGCAGACAACCGCUUUACUAUGCCAGUGGGGUUUCCGUAUGGGCUUCCACCGUUCUUCACUCCCGUUGCUACAGCAAGCACCUCGGGCACUGCUAACAAUGUUCUGAUCCCUGCAACAAAUGCCGCCUCCAUCAUUGCUACUUUGCCACAAACAACAGCAGCUGUCACUGAGCCUCUGGUACACACUCUGCCUCAAGGUAUUAACGUCAACACACAGCACAGAAGCAUCCCCGUAACCAAGACUAUGGAAGAGAUGAUGGAGGAACUUGCUAAAGAACUCCGUCACGAGAUCCAGGCCAAUCGAGGGAGUGCAAACUCUGUCAAAACUCAAGACCUUUGCUUAGUGUCAAAAGUGGAUGUUCCUAAAAAGUUCAAGAUUCCGGACUUCGACCGGUACAACGGGCUAACUUGUCCUCAAAAUCACAUCAUCAAAUACGUCCGGAAGAUGGGCAAUUACAAAGACAAUGAUUCCCUUAUGAUCCACUGUUUUCAGGAUAGUCUGAUGGAGGAUGCCGCAGAGUGGUAUACUAGUUUGAGUAAGAAUGACAUCCAUACCUUUGAUGAGUUAGCCACCGCUUUCAAGAGCCAUUAUGGGUUUAACACUCGACUGAGGCCAAAUAGGGAGUUUCUCAGGUCCCUAUCUCAGAAGAAGGAGGAAAGUUUCCGUGAAUAUGCGCAAAGGUGGAGAGGGGCGGCUGCCCGUAUCACUCCUGCUUUAGAUGAGGAAGAAAUGACCCAGACGUUCUUAAAAACGUUGAAGAAAGAUUAUGUUGAGAGGAUGAUCAUCGCUGCCCCGAACAACUUUUCGGAGAUGGUCACCAUGGGAACCCGUCUUGAGGAAGCCGUAAGGGAUGGAAUCAUCGUGUUUGAGAAAGCUGAAUCCUCUGUGAAUGCGUCGAAGAGAUAUGGUAAUGGACACCACAAAAAGAAAGAAACGGAAGUGGGGAUGGUGUCAGCUGGAGCCGGGCAAUCAAUGGCUACUGUUGCUCCUAUCAAUGCAGCUCAAAUGCCUCCGUCAUACCCAUAUAUGCCGUAUUCUCAGCAUCCGUUCUUCCCACCGUUUUAUCAUCAGUACCCUUUGCCGCCGGGCCAGCCUCAAGUGCCCGUCAAUGCAAUUGCCCAACAGAUGAAACAACAGAUGCCGGUUCAACAACAACAACAAAAUCAGCAAGCCAGGCCAACCUUCCCUCCUAUACCAAUGUUGUAUGCAGAACUUCUUCCAACUCUACUCCAGAGAGGUCAUUGUACAACUAGACAGGGUAAGCCCCCACCUGAUCCGUUGCCUCCAAGGUUCAGGUCUGAUCUCAAAUGUGACUUUCAUCAAGGUGCCUUGGGUCAUGACGUCGAGGGGUGUUAUGCUUUGAAGUAUAUCGUGAAGAAGCUCAUCGAUCAAGGGAAGCUGACUUUUGAGAAUAAUGUCCCACAUGUCCUCGACAAUCCGCUACCAAAUCAUGCCGCUGUGAAUAUGAUCGAAGUGUGUGAAGAAGCUCCGAGACUUGAUGUCCGCAACGUCGCAACUCCUCUGGUACCUCUACACAUCAAGCUGUGCAAAGCUUCUCUGUUCAAUCAUGAUCAUGCCAAGUGUCUGGGAUGUCUCCGUGAUCCUUUGGGUUGCCACGCUGUUCAAGACGACAUUCAAAGCUUGAUGAAUGAUAAUCUUCUGACUGUCAGUGAUGUUUGCGUGAUUGUGCCAGUUUUUCACGAUCCACCUGUCAAGAGUGUAACUUUGAAGAAGAAUGCUGAGCCUUUGGUGAUAAGGUUGCCAGGACCAAUUCCUUAUGUUUCGGACAAGGCAGUGCCAUACAAGUACAAUGCUACUAUGAUAGAAAAUGGAGUAGAGGUGCCUCUAGCCUCCUUUGCCACAGUAAGCAAUAUUGCCGAAGGGACUUCUGCAGCACUAAGAAGCGGGAAGGUCCGUCCGCCGUUAUUUCAGAAGAAAGUAGCUACACCGACCAUUCCACCAGUUGAAGAAGCAACUCCAACCGUUGUUUCACCCAUUGCUACAGAUGUGAACCAGCCAGGCAAAUCUAUAGAGGAUUCAAAUUUAGAUGAGAUUCUGAGGAUAAUAAAGAGGAGCGACUACAAGAUCGUUGAUCAGUUGCUGCAGACUCCUUCAAAGAUAUCUGUAUUGUCGUUACUCUUGAGCUCCGAGGCUCACAGGAAUACCUUGUUAAAAGUGCUGGAGCAGGCUUAUGUUGACCACGAAGUUACGGUAGAUCGUUUCGGUGGCAUAGUGGGAAAUAUUACUGCUUGUAACAAUCUCUGGUUUAGUGAAGAAGAGCUGCCGGAAGUGGGAAAGAGUCACAAUCUGGCUUUGCACAUCUCGGUGAAAUGUAAAUCAGACAUGAUAUCAAAUGUGUUGGUGGAUACUGGUUCCUCUCUCAAUGUAAUGCCUAAGACAACCCUAGAUCAGUUGAGCUACCGUGGGACCCCGUUGAGGAGAAGUACUUUCUUGGUCAAAGCUUUUGAUGGAUCUCGAAAGAAUGUGCUGGGAGAGAUAGACUUGCCGAUAACCAUUGGCCCUGAGAAUUUCUUGGUUACUUUCCAAGUGAUGGACAUUAAUGCAUCCUACAGUUGCCUGCUGGGAAGACCGUGGAUACACGAUGCAGGUGCGGUUACUUCCACCUUACAUCAGAAGUUGAAAUUUGUGAAGAAUGGAAAACUCGUUACAAUCCAUGGUGAAGAAGCAUACUUAGUCAGCCAAUUGUCUUCUUUUUCUUGUAUUGAAGCAGGGUCUGCUGAAGGGACUGCUUUCCAAGGUUUGACCAUUGAAGGUGCAGAGUCUAAGGAAGCUGGGGCUGCUAUGGCUUCAUUAAAGGAUGCUCAGAGAGCCAUCCAAGAAGGUCAGACUGCCGGCUGGGGCAAGGUGAUACAGCUCUGUGAGAACAAGCGUAAAGAAGGUCUCGGGUUCUCCCCGUCAUCAAGGGUUUCCUCGGGAGUCUUCCACAGUGCAGGGUUUGUUAAUGCUAUCUCUGAAGAAGCCACUGGAUCUGGUCUCAGACCUGCAUUUGUUACACCAGGAGGCAUUACGACAAAUUGGGAUGCCAUUGACAUUCCUUCAAUCAUGCAUGUUUCUGAGUAAUGUGUCUUGUUGCUUUAAUGCUUUGUUUUCAAAAUAACAAUCCUCUCGCUCUGCCCAAAGCGAGAGUGAUAUUUUCUGUAAGGGCAUGUUUGUUUCGGCAUUGCCGUUGAUUAAUAAAAUUUUGUCGUUUCUUCCACGACUAUUUUUUUUUAGUGCUUUUUCCCUUGGAAACAAUGGUAAUGCCAGAAAAAAAAACCAAAACGUCUGUAUUUUCUUAUUAAUUUCAAAAAUCUGCAUGAAAAAAAAAAAAAAAAAAACUCUUUCUAAAAUCAUCCAAUCAUUAUAUGCAGGUUGAACCAUAAUAAACCCGUUGAACACAGUAAUCCUACGGUUCCUCCAAGUUUUGAAUUCCCUGUGUAUGAAGCCGAAGAUGAGGAAGGUGAUGACAUACCAUAUGAGAUCACUCGGUUACUUGAGCAAGAAGAGAAAGCCAUUCAGUCUCACCAGGAAGAGAUCGAGCUUAUCAACAUAGGUACCGAGGAAAACAAGCGAGAAAUCAAGAUUGGUGCCACUCUAGAGGAAGGGGUUAAACAGAAGAUCAUCCAGCUCCUCCGGGAAUAUCCGGAUAUUUUUGCAUGGUCCUAUGAAGAUAUGCCAGGUCUAGACCCUAUGAUCGUGGAGCAUCGGAUCCCUACCAAGCCUGAAUGUCCUCCCGUCAGGCAGAAAUUGAGAAGGACUCAUCCUGAUAUGGCUCUCAAGAUCAAGAAUGAAGUUCAAAAGCAGAUUGAUGCGGGUUUCCUCAUGACAGUUGAGUAUCCCGAAUGGGUUGCCAAUAUUGUGCCCGUGCCAAAGAAGGAUGGUAAAGUCCGGAUGUGUGUUGACUUCAGAGACCUGAACAAGGCCAGUCCAAAAGACAACUUUCCAUUACCUCAUAUUGAUGUGCUUGUUGAUAAUACUGCUCAAUCUAAGGUGUUUUCCUUCAUGGACGGUUUUUCCGGUUAUAAUCAAAUCAAGAUGUCUCCUGAAGAUAGGGAAAAGACAUCUUUUAUCACUCCAUGGGGUACUUUCUGCUACAAGGUGAUGCCGUUCGGCCUAAUCAAUGCUGGUGCUACCUACCAAAGGGGAAUGACCACUCUGUUUCAUGACAUGAUUCACAAGGAAGUUGAGGUAUAUGUGGAUGACAUGAUUGUGAAGUCAGCAGAUGAGGAGCAGCAUGUUGAAUAUUUAACAAAGAUGUUUGAAAGGUUGAGAAAAUACAAGCUGCGAUUGAAUCCCAACAAAUGUACAUUCGGUGUCAGGUCCGGAAAGUUAUUAGGCUUCAUUGUCAGCCAAAAGGGCAUUGAAGUCGAUCCUGAUAAAGUCCGGGCCAUCCGAGAAAUGCCAGCUCCACAGACAGAGAAGCAAGUCAGAGGUUUCUUGGGACGUUUGAAUUACAUCUCCCGAUUCAUAUCUCAUAUGACCGCAACCUGCGGGCCGAUCUUUAAGCUGCUUAGAAAGAACCAGCCUAUUGUAUGGAAUGAUGAAUGCCAAGAAGCUUUUGAUAGCAUCAAGAAUUACCUGCUGGAACCACCUAUCCUUGUCCCACCCGUGGAAGGAAGGCCUUUGAUUAUGUAUUUGGCAGUGUUUGAUGAAUCCAUGGGAUGCGUGCUUGGUCAACAAGAUGAAACUGGAAAGAAAGAGCAUGCUAUCUACUAUCUAAGCAAGAAGUUCACCGAUUGUGAAACUCGGUAUACAAUGCUUGAGAAGACUUGUUGUGCUUUAGCUUGGGCUACCAAACGCCUGCGUCAUUAUUUGGUGAAUCAUACAACUUGGUUGAUAUCCAGAAUGGAUCCGAUAAAGUAUAUCUUUGAGAAGGCUGCUGUUACUGGAAAGAUUGCACGCUGGCAGAUGCUUUUGUCAGAAUAUGAUAUUGUGUUCAAAACUCAAAAGGCAAUCAAAGGCAGCAUUCUUGCCGAUCACCUUGCUUAUCAACCUCUUGACGAUUACCAACCAAUUGAAUUCGACUUCCCUGAUGAAGAGAUCAUGUAUUUGAAAUCCAAAGACUGCGAAGAACCGUUGAUUAAUGAAGGUCCAGAUCCCGAUAGCAAGUGGGGUUUAGUCUUUGACGGUGCUGUCAAUGCUUAUGGCAAGGGAAUUGGGGCAGUCAUUGUAUCCCCGCAGGGGCAUCACAUUCCUUUUACCACCAGAAUCUUGUUCGAAUGUACCAACAAUAUGGCGGAGUAUGAAGCAUGUAUCUUUGGGAUCGAGGAAGCAAUUGACAUGAGAAUCAAACACCUCGACAUCUAUGGAGAUUCUGCGCUCAUCAUCAAUCAGAUAAAGGGUGAAUGGGAGACCCACCAUGCUAAUUUGAUUCCUUAUCGUGAUUAUGCGAGACGUUUGCUGACAUAUUUUACAAAGGUUGAGCUGCACCAUAUUCCUCGUGAUGAGAACCAAAUGGCUGAUGCUCUUGCUACUCUAUCCUCCAUGUUUCGAGUAAACCAUUGGAAUGAUGUGCCAUUAAUCAAAGUGCAACGCCUUGAAAGACCUUCGCAUGUGUUUGCUAUUGGGGAUGUGAUCGAUCAGGCUGGUGAGAAUGUGGUUGACUAUAGACCCUGGUACUACGACAUCAAACAGUUCUUGCUGAGCCGUGAGUAUCCGCCGGGUGCUUCCAAACAAGACAAGAAGACCUUGAGAAGAUUGGCCGGUAGAUUCCUGUUAGAUGGAAAUAUUCUGUACAAGAGGAACUAUGACAUGGUAUUGUUAAGGUGUGUUGAUGAACAUGAAGCAGAGCAGUUAAUGCAUGAUGUACAUGACGGUACCUUCGGGACCCAUGCUACAGGGCAUACUAUGUCAAGGAAGUUGUUACGAGCAGGUUACUACUGGAUGGCCAUGGAGCAUGAUUGCUACCAGCACGCCAGAAAGUGCCACAAAUGUCAAAUCUAUGCUGAUAAGAUUCAUGUGCCUCCGCACGCCCUCAAUGUUAUGUCAUCCCCAUGGCCGUUCUCAAUGUGGGGCAUCGACAUGAUUGGAAGAAUUGAACCGAAAGCUUCAAAUGGCCAUCGUUUCAUCUUAGUGGCAAUUGACUACUUUACCAAAUGGGUUGAAGCGGCAUCUUAUACCAAUGUGACUAAGCAAGUGGUAGCUAAGUUUAUCAAGAACAACAUCAUCUGUCGAUAUGGUGUUCCCAGCAAAAUUAUUACCGACAACGGUACCAACCUGAACAACAAUGUGGUGCAAGCUCUUUGUGAAGAAUUCAAAAUUGAGCAUCAUAACUCUUCUCCUUAUAGACCUCAGAUGAAUGGUGCAGUUGAGGCCGCCAACAAGAAUAUCAAGAGAAUCGUCCAGAAGAUGGUAACUACUUACAAGGACUGGCAUGAGAUGUUACCCUAUGCUCUGCAUGGCUACCGCACUACCGUGCGCAGUUCAACCGGGGCAACUCCUUUCUCUCUUGUAUAUGGUAUGGAAGCAGUUCUUCCUUUGGAAGUGGAGAUCCCAUCUCUCCGUGUGAUCAUGGAAGCAAAGUUAUCCGAGGCUGAAUGGUGCCAAAGCCGGUAUGAUCAGUUGAAUUUGAUUGAGGAAAAACGUAUGGAUGCCAUGGCUCGUGGACAGUCAUAUCAAGCAAGAAUGAAGACUGCCUUUGACAAGAAAGUCCAUCCUCGAGAAUUCAAGGUAGGGGAACUUGUAUUGAAAAGGAGGAUAAGCCAGCAACCCGACCCAAGGGGCAAGUGGACGCCUAACUAUGAAGGUCCUUAUGUUGUCAAGAAGGCCUUCUCCGGUGGUGCUUUAAUCCUUACACACAUGGAUGGUAUAGAACUUCCAAAUCCAGUGAAUGCCGAUAUAGUCAAGAAAUACUUUGCCUAGAAAUAUGAAAAGAACAGCGUGGUAGGUCGAAAACCCGAAAGGGCGGCCUAGGCAAAAAUGCGCUUCCCGGUGGAUCGAAAACCCGAAAGGGCGGUCCAGGCAAAAAUAAGGGACAAAAAACAAAUAUGAAAAAGCUCGCUGAGAUUGUUCGCAACUCAGGCAAAAAUGAGCGUCUCGAUGAAUCGAAAACCCGGAAGGGCGGUUCAUGCAAAAAUGAGAUUGAAGCAAAAGGCAAGUAACUAUAUCUGGCUAACCACCGUCCCCUUGGGGCAUCUGCAGCUGUUAAUGACCAUCUUCAUCAAAAGCUCCUAUGCUUGCGAAUUCAAAGUUUCUAGGAAAUGUCAUGAUUACUGUGUUCAAUGUAUCACCAACCAAUAAAAUUACCAUUUUCCAAGCUUUGUAAAUCCGUGGAGUCACGCCUUCGGCUGACCACCACUCUUAUACAUCAAAUUGAGCCUGUGCUUUUGUUUAAAAUUCUAUUUUCUUCUACUUUCAAAGCUAUAUACAAAACAUUUUCUUUCUAUUUUGAUAAUGGCAAUGCUUGAAACAAACAUUUUUGAAAACUGAAAACUUUUUGUUUAUUUUGAAAAGCAAACCUGAGCAACAGGGUACAUUCAAAUGAAACAUGCAUGAGCGAGAGUAUGUUGGUGUCUAUUUCAAUAUAUGUUACCAGCAGAUUCUCCUCCAAGAUAAUCUGUGGUCAAUGGCAAGAAUGAAAAAAACAGAAUGAAAAUGCAUGAAAAUAAAUGAGCUCGCUAAGUUGAAAACCCGAAAGGGCGGCUUAGGCAAAAAUGAGCACCCCGCUGGAUUGACAACCCGAAAGGGCAGUUCAGGCAAAAAUGGGGCAUUGAAAAGAAUUUAUUUCCCCGGUGGACCGAAAACCCGAAAGGGCGAUCCAGGCAAAAAUGGGAUGCAAAAAAUGAUGAAUGAAAAUGAGAAUAUAACAUGCAAAAGCAUUGACCACAGAUGCAAUGUCUACAACAUACCCAGCGCUGAAAUGCCCAGCACAACGGCGUUUUCCCCAGUCGGGUCUUCCAAGAUUCUAUCCCCAGCAAGAUGCAUAGCUACCUGCCCUCAGCCAUGGUUCCGAUACGUCUCCCAACGACGUCAUCCCCAAAGAGGAUUUCCAAGAAUGUGUAAUAUAGCACGAGCCACUACGUGCCCAAUACUCUGAUGUCUUGUCUUCCCCGUGAAGUCGUGCCUACAAAAUGCCAACAGUCAUGCAUUACAAGCAUUCAUACAUGCAUAAUCAUGCAUAUUACGUACCCAUGCAUUUAAUGAAAUUGUUAUAUCAUCCAUGCAUAUUGCAUUUCCAAUGUCAACAUCAGUCUCAAUUCAAUACUCAUGUCAGGUUCUCUGUCAAAACCUUGUGAGCCAAUAAUACCGGUCAAUUUCUGCCUUUCAAUUCAAAUCGAUGUCAAGUCAACCUCAAUCUAUAUUUUGUCAACAAACCAAUCCCCAGUGAAUAUGUUUCUAUUUGGUCAAGUGACUAGUUCAAGUCCAAGAACAGCUUGUACCUAUCAAUUUGCUUAUGUUAUCGGUCGAGUGCCCAGCUCAAUCCAAGAGCAGCUUGUACCUAUCAAUAUGUUUCCGUUUGGUCAAGUGGCUAGCUCAAUCCAAGAGCAGCUUGUACCUGUCUAUCUGUUUCUGCCCGGUGGAGUAACCAGUUCGCAUCCAAGAACAAGCUCGCACCUGUCUAUUUGCCUUGCUUUCAGUCGAGUCACCAGUUCGAAUCCGUAAGAACAACUUGUAAUUGUCAGUUUUCUCUUUCUUCCAGUCGGGUUACCAGUUCGAAUCCAUAAGAACAACUCGCACUUUCCAAUAUCCCCAAGUGAGUCACCAGUUCGAAUCCAUAAGAACAACUCAUGUUGGUCCAGUAACCUCUAUCCCCUGUGAAGUGACCAGUUCGAAUCCAUAAGAACAACUCGCAGUUGUCUGUUUGUUUCAUCCCCGGUCAAGUGGCUAGUUCGAAUCCAAGAACAGCUUGUACCUGUCCAACUUGUUUCUAGUUUCCCGUUACUCUGCUAUUCACUAUCUUUGUCAAUGUCUACCAAUCCCGCAAUGGAUACGACAUAUUUUGUUAAUUCCAAUCCCCAUGAAGUCUUGCAUUCAUAAUCCAAGUGAUGCAUGGCAUGCAUAUUAUUUGAAAAUGGGUAGGCGUAUUUUUACGUCCAAAUACAGUGCAAAUGCUAAUAUUUAAGUACCUUCGUCCUGUCAAGCCAAAGACUCCAUCUCUUGACUCUCCAGACAAAGAAACUUAAAUAGGGGCAGCUGUUAUACCCUGUUUUUGGACCUAAAAAUACUGGGCCCAAUUUCAUUUCAAACUUUGUCAAUUAUCAGAUUUCAACUGCACAGUUCAAUUUGUCUCUGCCUCGCAGUAUUUUCAAUCACAAUUUUACCUAUGUUUUUCUUGCAUAAAACCUUUCAAAAUGUCUUUACUUGUCUUGUAAGUCAUUCAAAAGUGUCUCUGGAUCAUUACAUUGCUUUUUCUACAGUUUAUUCCAAAAUUUGCAAAAAGUCAUACAGAAGGGUAUUUUGGUCAUUUCCUGCAGUGGGACCCAUUUUCAUCCUUGUGACUGUCUCUGAGUCUUUUCAGAUUACUUUUAAACAUUUCAUCAGUAAACUUUGUUAAAAUUCAUUUCAAACUUGCGUCUGAGUCAGUGUCAGGUCAAUUUGAAUCUGUUUAGGUCGUUUUUAGCCCUAGGGGCAUUUUGGUCAUUUCACAUAAAAUUUUGGCAUGGGGAGGUUACUUUGAAGUACCUCAUUUAGGCCAUUGGUUCGUUUUAGUCCGUUUUGUCAAUUUUAUUUUUUUGUUUCGCUUUACGUUGGGUCAAAUUACGUUUUUUAUUCAAUUUUAUUUUUUAAUUGCAUUUUGGUCCCUCAAGUGAGGUCCCAAAAUUGCAUUUCAGUCCAGAAUUUUCUUUUUUUACAUUUCAGUCCUUUUUGUCAAUUGCAGUUUAGUCCCUUAUUUUUUCAAUUUUGCAGAAAGGUCCAAUUUCAUUUUUUGCCCAAGGCCGUGCCAUCUUUUUUUUUCAGGUCCAGGUGUCACUUUCUCAUUUGUUCAGAUACACACAUGUCAAGCUAUAAAAGGUGCACAGUGCCACUCAGAGCCAGAAAAACACACGCCAACUCAUAAACACAUUCCAAAUUUUCUCUUUCUCAGCAACUGAAUCAAAACAGAAAAAAUUCCUCAGAUUCAUCAAGAACACCAAGAACAAAAAACCUAACCGUUUUCCAGAAACAGAAACUACACAAAUUCAAGCUAUUUUUCAUGGAUUCUCAGUGAUUCUUUGAAGAAUCAUCAUCAUUGAAUCAAUAUCUUCGCAAUUCGAAGUGCGAAUUCGCCAAAGGCAAACUCCAGCACCGAUCACGAAGAUACAGUGAGGAAGACGAAGAAGAAAGAAAGAUGAUGAAGGUUUAAACCGGCGAAGAAGGCGAUAAAGCAAGAAACCAGCAGGAACACCGGUUUAUUUCCGGAUUCAAAGCCAAAUCACGUAGCAUCAGAGAUUGAAGUUUUCCAAAGAAUUUCUCCAUUAAAGGUUUCAACCAAAACCUUAGGUAAAACUCAUACUCUUUUUCAAAAGCAAUAUCACUGUUAAACCUAAAAAUCACGCAAGCAAAACAGAUCCAAAGGUUCCAGAAUUCAAAGAAAACUAUAACCGUAAACAUCAAAAUCCAGAUCCGUAAGGAUCAACGUUUUGAAAGCGAAAACAGGCGUCAAAAAGUAAUCAAACGACGAAACGAUGUAGAUCUUUAAAGAUCUAAAUGAUCUCAUUCAAAAAAAUCAAAAAUCAUUUCAAAACCGUAAAAGCUUUUUCAAGAUCUACGUCGUUCAAAGCCGUUUUUGAAAAAACAAAUGCCGGAUUCGUGUUUAGGGUUAAAGGACGAGUCAAACGAAGUAAGAAUCUUUGAAAUCUGGAAAUUUAGGUCACCGAAAACUGCAUGAACUCGCCGGAGAAGAUGAAGUUUCCGGCGGACCUUCAAGGUCUCCGCCGUAGCUUCAUCCUCGCCGGCGGCGAGGUUUAGAGAGAGGUGAGAGGUGAGAGAAGAGAGAAGAGCUAGAGAGAGAAAGGGGAGUGAAAAAUGAAGAAAACCGGUGCCAUGCCUUUUAAAUAAGCUAGUGAACCAGACCGGUCCAAGACCGGUCCAAUCCUGUUGAUUCCAGGCCGUUUGAUCUAGGGUUUCAGGACCCUGGAUCAAUCUUGUGGCUCCUGUGAAUCCGGUUCCUUAGGGUUUUGGGUUGGGCCUUUGUUUCCUUUGGAUCUUUACGUUUUGCUAUUCCUGUGCUUUUCACACCUCUAUUUUUGCUACCUGUACCUAUGUCUUGAUUAAAAUUGUGAUAAAAUUCCUAGAAAAAUUCAUGCAUGUUUCCUGAUAUUUUCUUAGUGUUUUUAUGACAUUUUUGCACAUUAAGGAUCUAUGAAAUUUUGGUAUGGUUAAUUCAUAGCAUUUUAAUUCUCUUUGAAUUAUUUGUUAUGGAUUCUUCUUCAUACAUUUGUCCUUGAUGUGCGAAUAUGUGAUAAAAGCUUUUUGAUGUGUUAAUAUGAGAAAUUUGUGCCUAUAAUUUCGUGUUGUUUUGCUGUUUUGAUUUGGUUCAUGAGUGCUUGAUUUUAUGAGCAAUAUAUGCAUAUUUUGAAAGAUAUAAAAUGCCAAGUUUAUUCUAGAAAAUAUGGCAUGAAACCAUGCUUGCAUGUUUCCAAUAAUUUCAUGCUAUAACUUGAGAUAAAGAAAACUCUUUCAAAAUUUGUUAAAGCAUGAGAAUUAGAGGCCAAGGAUGCUUUAGGUUUCAUACCUAAGUUUUUAGGGUUUAAUGUCAUUUUGUUAACUUUUUGUGUCAUCUUGCAUGAUUUUAUUUCUUAGUGCUUAUUAUGUUUUUUCUUUUGACUAACAAGUUUAUUCCCAUGUUUCAUGCAUCCCAUUUAGCAUUCCCUCCACCCUCUUUAGCCUAGCAUUUAUUUUUGCAAGUUUUAAUUCAUUUAGUGAUGUAAUUUGUCAUCAUUGGUUUGUAGCUUGGCAAAGGGGCCAUAGAAUGUAUUUAGGCAAUUUUUGUAAUAUGGACUAUGGACACUAUGACGCACCGACACGCACACACUCACCUUAGAUGUAUGCAUAGGAUUGUAUGGUUAAAUAAGCGUUUAGGUUUUAAACACCUAGAGAAAAUCCAUCUUUUUUCCAAAAAAAAAACAAUUGAACUUCACUUCAAAAAUUUUCAUAAUAAACAUGAAGUCAACACUUCAUUUCUUUUCCUUUCUUUUUUUUCUUGAGAAAAAUUCAAUUCAUCUUAAUCAUUUAGACUUUCUUUUUUAAUCACUAAUCAAACCUCACUUUUUGCUAAAUCUAAUGCUCAUGAAGCCUCCCAAUCUCCUUCUUCAAAACCAUUUUCAAAACUUAAAAUCAAACAAUUAAAACAAAAACAAGUCUUUUUAGCAAGAACUACGAACGGUUUUGAUCCCUUAAAAGGGUACGUAGGCAAUGAGUCAAAACUCAUCCAAGCCGAAAUAAAAUCAAAAUUCUACUUCUUCUCACCCCCACUCUUAACUAAAUAAACCUCCCAUUUUCAAAAGUAGGUAAAAAUAAAGCGUAAAAAUCGACUUAGGAAAACGGCUCCUAUAGAGGACUAUAGUUACUCCGGGUGCCUAACACCUUCCCGUAGUAAAACCGACCCCCGAACUUAGAAUCUAAGGGUUUUUUCUCAAUUUUUCCCUUCCCAAGAAAAAAGAGAGAUAUCAACGGUCGAAAGGUACAAGUCCAAUUAAUGACUUGGUACCCAAAAACCAUGAUAACAAGAGGUACUUGAUCAUAGUUUAACAUGUAAUCGUUUGAUCUAUAAAUAUAUGGUUCUAGCAUUUGAAUUGAUAUUGAGGUUAUUCUUGCACUUUAAUCUUUAUCUUUGAUUUAAUUGUGAUUGAGAAAUACUUUUGAAUCUAGGUUUAGAAUAACCAUCUAUCAAAACAUAGUUUCUAGACAUGGAAUCGAUGUUUUGAUAAUCACCUUGAGUAUCCAAACCUAAAGCUUUCUUAUCAUUUAAUAGAUUGAGAAAUCAUCGAUUGAACGAUAAGAUCGACUCUUGAAUCAUUCAAUAGUUUGAGACAUCGACCAUUGAAUGAUACAAUUGAUUUCACAAUAUUGUUUGGACACGAAUGGUGUUGUCGAGGGAUACGUGAUAAUAUCAAAGAAAAGCUAGAAUCCAUGUAUGAUCAUUAGGUUACGUGCGACGCUCGAUCAAGGAACUCUAAUCCUAACAAGUUUUACGCCCUAUUAAUCUCAAUUGUAUCAUUUGCAAUUCAGUUACUAAAACAAACAAUCAACUAUCGUUUAACUUGAAAUGAUAUUUGGUGUCGAACGGUCCGCGAUAUCGCACUAGUCCCUGAGGAGACGAUAUAAAUACUUACAAUUGUUUGAUGCAAAAAUACUACAUCAGCCCCUUGGUUCCAACAACGAGUUAGAUCACGACGACAAGCAUCCAUCUCCUCUUUUAGACCAUUGUGAUUCACUUUGUUCCAUGUGCUAAGCUCUUAUGCACAAUGAUCUAGUUUUUCAACAAUCAACAAACCUGCACUAGAAACCCAGCUAUCAGAAACAACAUCAUGAAUACAUGGUUCAACACACCAAGCAUUCUCAAAUUUAAAAUUUCUUUUAGGUAUCCAGACACGAGCAUUCGGUAUCCCUAUUUAAUAAAAUUGGAUAAUGAUCAGAAGUUGAAGCCACUAAAUUCUCUUGCUUGGCAUUAGGAUACAACUAGAACCACUCUUCAUUUGCAAGAGCACGGUCCGAUCUUUCUUUAACUGCUCUAGGAGUACCUGAACUCUUAAACUAGGUAAAAGAAUACCCCCUCCUUUAACAUAUCAAUUAAACCUGCAUAAAAAACAACCUAUCUUAAAUCGUUAAUCAACCACCUAGCACGCUUAAAGCCCCCUCACUUUUCAUAGAUAUCCAAAAUAUCAUUAAAAUCACCAAGGAUACACCAUUGAAGCGAAGUACCACAAGAUAAAUUUCUCAAAAAAUCCCAAGAAUUGCGUCUUCGACUCCCUUAUAGGAAUCCAUAAAAACUUGUAAAUGCCAUCUCCCUUGACUAGGAUCACGGACUUCAACAUUAAUAUAAUUUUCAGAAUAAUUUAUCACUCUACAGUUAAAAGAGUGUCUCCAAAGUAGUGCUAAGACACCACUUCGACCAUUACUAAUAACAGUUAAACAUUUAUCAAAAUCAAGCAAAUAACGGAAUUCUUCAGUUUUAUUGGCAUGGAUUAAAGUCUCACUGAGAAAAAGAGCAUCCGACUUAUAAUAGGUACUAGGUAUUUUAGGUUAAGAACUACACUCAGGUUCUCUAGGCCUCGGCAAUUCCAUCCUAUAAGACUCAUUCCCCUCAACAAUAUUCAACAAAGACAUGACAGUAUCAUCAUUAACGGUAUCUGUAGCGAAAACUCUCUCCUUUUUCUUCAAGUACAAUUUGAUACAAACCUUCCAACAUAUCAAACUCAUGACACAUCAAUUUCAUCAAACACAGGUUAUUCAUAGUAUUCACCACCAAAUGCAAUCCCCAAAACCACUAAUUGUAUCAAGAAAGAACCGACAACAAUUUGAUCUCUAAUAAAAUGUGUAAUUAAAAGGAUUAUACCUUGUAUGAAAAUAUAGAUGAUGGAAAUUGCAACAAGACAAAGCACAUGAUCGAGAAGGCAAAGGAAUCAGCGUCAUCUUUAUCUCUGGAAAAGGAGUAAUAUCGAAGGAAAUAGAACAACGCAACAACAAACACGUUCAGGGGAGACUAUUUCUCAUCGAACGACGGCAAAAUCCUUCACAAAGGGAGCGGCGGCGCUAACCCUAGAAGCGACGGCAAUUUCUGUUAUUAUUCUUAAUGUCAAAAAAUAAUUUGGUUCAAAUCAUUGAUCAUGAAGGCCUGUGAUGGGCGUGUAUUAUUCAUUUCAAUGACCUCCAUGUUCAAUGGAGACUCAAAUGUCGGCUGUUAACAUAUAUAAAUAAGUAAUAUACAUUAACUUAUUUUACACGAACAUCAUUACUAGACGUACAAUACUUGGCAUUUUUACUAGCAAUAAACUUGUUACACAACAUAAUAUUGUUCUUGAAACUAUUCAAGCUUAGCAUCAUUCAAACGAUAACUCGGUAUUGCGUGCAAAUGCUGAGCUCUUGGUAUAGUGAGUCCAAAUUUCUCCUCCAUAUUCAAAUUGGAGGGACUAAUAUUAUGUGGAAGUUCCCAGUUAAAACAAUGGAUAAAUUGAGCUAUAACCAAUUUAACAGUAAUUAAACCCAAUUGAAUUCCAGGACAACGCCUACGACCAGAACCAAAUGGUAUAGAUUCAAACUCUUGUCCAAGAUAAUUCAUUUUUUUCUCUACAAAUCUCUCUGGGUAAAAUUCUUUAGCAUUUUCUGACCAAACAUUAGGAUCUCUCCCUAUUGCCCAUGCAUUUACUAUAAGUCGUGUCUUUUCCUUUAUAAAAUAACCAUCAAUUGUUGUGCUCUCUCUAGAUUCACGAGGGACUAGUAACGGUGCUACGGGGUAAAGUCUUAAGGUCUCAUCAACCACCAUAUCUAAAUAAUUCAACUUCUUUAGAUCCUUCUCGUUAACCAUUCUUUUAUUUCCUACUUCAUUUUGUAUCUCAUCUUGAAGCUUUUUCAUCACUCUUGGAUGUCUUAAAAGUUCAGAUAAAGCCCAUUCAAUCGAGGUAGCAGAUGUAUCAAUUGCUGCCACUAUCAUGUCGAGCAAAAUAGCCUUGAUGUUAGUUCGAUCAAUGACGAGAUUUUGUUCACCCUCAAUAUCAAUGGUUUGGUGCAUAAUUGAAAGAAGUAUGUCUACAAAAUCUUUUUGAGUUUUGUUUACAUUAGCAGCUUGUUCAUGUUCUGUUAAUAUCACCUCUAGCACCUCAUCAAGUGCUUUACUGACUUUCUUGCAAGAUUUUGUUAAUCCCUAACAAUGAGUUAAAACAUAAAAUAUCAAUUACUAAAUGAAUAUUUUCAUUGUACUUAACAAAACCAUUAGAGCAUCCUUAAAAAAAAUAAAAAAUAAAACCAUUAGAGCAUGUUUUCUUAAAAGAGGAUCAAUGCUAUCCAUUUUUCUCCUUCAUGACUAGAACUCAUAGCCCUAUGAAUAUAGUUGAAGCAUCUUACCAACUAAACUGCACUUAGAAAAUCGAUAACAAUAUAUUUAAGGGAAUGUAAAAUAUUUAAAACUUUAUUUAAUUUAGUUUCUAAAUUAUCGCAAUCUUUCAUUGUUAAAGAUUAAACACCACCAAAAAAUUAUCAAAAAUUAAAUUAAAUUAUCACGACCUUAAUAUUUUUCCAUUGUGCAAAGAACCGGUCGUCUGAUUUUUUUCAAAAAUUCUCCUACUUUUAUCACCUCAAAUAUUGAGAUUGUGAAAUUUAGCCCCCAAUUUCAAACAAUCACGUGGUAUUUGAGGUAUUUAUAAGUAAAAUCAUUGGAAUACUAUAUAACUACAAGUGAAGGGUAGUUGAGUUUGAAAUUAGGUAACCAUUUUAUUUAUUGAACGACAAAUAUCGUGCAAUUACAUAUUGAGUGAAGAAAAUUAUAUACAAUCACGAUAUUUAUUUAUGAGACUUAAAAUUAAACUUAUGUCAAUAAUUAAUCUUUUAUUUCCUAUACAUAAUACUCCCUCGCUCCUAAAUUAUAAGUUGUUUUUGAGGGAAAUUGUUUCAAAUUAUAAUAAGUAAGUUUUACAGUAGCAUAUUUUUUCUAUCAUAUUCUUAAAUAUUUCUUACCUUUCUAUUUUAUUAAUGAAAGGUAAUUUUAUCAAAUGACUCAUAAUUUCGUUUUCUAAUACAAAAUUAACAAGGUAGAAUUUAACAAACAUACCUGAAGAUCAAAAAUUCCUAGCCAAGGAACAUAAUCAGCCAGAUUAAAAGCUCCAAUCAAAGCCAAUCCUUCUUGAACCAAACUCUUCAAGUCAAAUUGCUCAUACUUACUCCGACCAAACAUCAACUUAUACACAAUAUCUUCUAUUAGAUUCUCUACAACCUCACUAACAUUCACAACCUCACCAACCAAAGCAGCUUUCUUCAAAGUGUUAACCAAAAUACUCAACUCCUCUUUUCUAAUAGGACCAGACAUCUCAACUUUUGAAGCACUAAGAAGUUUCAAAGUGCAAAAUUUCCUCACACUACGCCAAUAAGGACCAUACUCACAAAAAGCCAUCCCUUUGGAACCAUAAGACAUGAGCUCAGAUCCUUGAAUCUUUGGUCGGCUUGCGAAAACGAUGUCGUGGGUUUUGAGGAAUGAUUCUGCUGCUUUUGAAGAUGAAAUGACAAUAGCUGGGACUUGACCAAGUUGUAAGGACAUGAUUGGACCAUAUUUUUUGGAGAGUGACUGAAGUGUUCUAUGUGGAAGGGUGCCUAAUAUGUGAAGGUUCCCUAUUAUUGGUAGUGUUGGUGGACCUGGUGGUUUUUCAUGGAUAAUGGUUUUUUGUUUUGAAUGUAAGAAGAGUUUGAAUAGAAAGUACAUGAAAGUGAAGAGAAGAAAAGCAAAUAUUAUUGUUGUUACUGCAAAAGACAUGUCUACAAAUGAAUGGUUGGGUUGUACGUAAUAAGGUUGAAGAUAAAGACUAUAUAGAACUCCAAGUUGAUCUCAUAUUAUCUUGAAACUGGUGGUAUACGUUUGUUUGUGGAAUUGUUUUCUUGACAUGUAUUUGUGGAAUUGUUCGUUGUGAGAUAUUUCUUCCCCGAAAAUAAAAGAAUAAAGAUAGCUUCUGUAACCAUAUUUUUUCAAUUGCGGCCACUAUUUUUUCAAAAAAAUAUAAUGACGCAACUAAAAUACGCGUGACCACUAUUUUUCCAUUUAAUUAACCAAAUAAAUUCGGUGAAAAUAAUGGUCACACAACUGAAAAAUAUAGUCACACAUACCAUAUAUUUAGUUGACUUUAAAUUUUUAAGAAUGGUAGAGCAAUCUAUCAUUGCUCAAAAUAAAAGUAUUGACUAUUGAGUUAUUUAUGACGGGCCCCUUUUCUGCAGCGCCAUAUACCCAAUCAGGAUGAUUGAUUUUGGUUAAAUAUUUAUGACUAUUGAAAAACUGGUGGUGUGCAUGUUUGUUUGUGUAACUUUCUUAAGGGAAAAAGGAACGUGCUCAGUGCCGUAGUGUUCUCAAAACAUUUAUUAAUCAACCUACUCCCUCAAUCAUUGCUUCUUUUUUUUUUCCAUACAUUUAUUAACAAAAUAUAUAUUUCCUCCGGUCACAUUUAUAAGUAAAAAAAACUACUCUUUAGAUAUAUUGAAUAGUUAAUGUAUCUAACCUAUAAAUGUGGCCGGAUACAUUAAUUAUUCAAUGUAUCUAAAAUGUGAUUUUUUGCUUAUAAAUGUAACCGGAAUGAGUAAUUUUUUAGAUUAACAAAAAAUAAUUAAAGUAAAUAUUUUGUAAGUAUUUUGUCAAGAAAAAUCUAAUAACAUCUUUAUCUUAUAUAUUAAUAGAAAAAUAUAAUCAAAUAUCUUGUAUGAAUAGUAUACAUAGUAGACCAAGGGAGUAAUAUAGUAGUAGCAUUAGUCAAAUUUGAGUUUGAGUUGGACUGUCAAAAUUACCUAUUCUUGACGUGAAGAUAAAAGAAGUGUAGAUUGGCUCGCUAAUUUCAACAUUUUGAUGGAUUUUCUAGAUUUUCAUAUUAUGGAGAAUCCCCCUAGUGAGUUUCAGAGUCUUUUGUUUGAUGAUAUUUUCAAAGCUUGCAUACCUAGGAACGUCCGUUUAAUUUCUUAAUGUAGAUUUCAAGUCUUUUGUUUGUUUAAUGUAGAUUUUCGUUGAAUUUGUUUGAUGGGAUUUUUUUAUGCAUUUUUUUCAUGAGUUCAGUGAUGAUUUUUUUAAUUCAAACUUUGGAAAUGGAUGUGAUAAAGGGUAAGAGAGAGAAUUAUAAUAUAUAUAUAUAUAUACAUUUGAAUUAUUUAUGAAACAAAUUGACUAAGAUAAUUUUCAAAUGCCACAUAACAUAAUUGAAAGGCCAUUUGUUCAAGUUCUAGAAACAAUGUUUUAUGUAAAAAAUAGGAUAGAAUUGCGUACGAUACGCCAAAUGUCGAGACCUCUUCUUGACUUUGCGUAUGCGGAAGCUUUAGUGCACCAGACUGCACUUUUUAUAAUAAAAAAAAUCCUGACUCGGUGCCCCACAUAAGCUAAUUUGUAUACUAAGCUCUAAAAUCAAAUAAUAUUCAAAUGGCAACGAAGAAUCUCAAACUUUUUUUCGAGGAAUAACUAAAACUCGCCCAAAUGACAGGAAAAACACUAGGACAGAUCAUGUUAGUUUUAAUUCAAGUUAGAUGGUUUUAACUCAAGUUAGUUGAUCUUUAGAAAGAAAAAAAAAAAACUCAAGUUAGUUGAGAUUAAAUCAUGGUUAGAAUGUUUGUUGGAAGACUUGGCUAUUAGUUAGCAAAAUCAGUUCAGUUUGUUUUGAUUGCUUACUAAGCAAGCUAUGUAAAUAAGCUCUUUAUAAGCAUGUUGUAAAUAUUUUUUCACAACUUAAUGAGAAUACAAUUUUACAACAAUCAAUUACUCUUCUUCUUUCUCUCAGUUCUCUCAAUUUCUCAACCCUAAUUUUCAUAGAAACUCUUGCUUGCAUUGCAAGAAACUUAAGUUACAUUAUCAAAUUGGCAUCUAGAGCCACUAGUUCUAAUCUAAGGGAAAAAGAAUACUUCAAUCACGCAAAGAUUUAGGAGCAUAAAUGGUGUAACUGAAACCACGAAUGGUAAUAAUAGUUUCAAUACUCAUCUUCCAAAUCUUAAAGGUGGAAAUUGGGAAAGAUAGAGUCGUGUGAUGAAGAUUGUGCAAAAUGGUUUUGAUGAAUUGGGUUGGAAUGCAACUGAAGUACAAAGAAUUGCACAUAAGGAGUUAAAGAAGAAGGAUUGCAAAGCAGUGUUCUUCAUUCAACAAGGUGUUGAUGGAGGAAAUUUUGAUAAAAUUUCUACGGCUACAAGAUCAAAGGAAGUUUGGAUAUUCUAGAGAAAUAUCAUGAAGGAGAUGAGAAGGUGAAGGAGAUAAAGCUUCGGUCUUUAAGAAGGAAAUUUAAGUUGAUGCAAAUGGAAGAGGAGCAAAAGAUUCUUGAUUACAUCUUUAAGUUGAUUAAUGUUGUACAAAUGAAGGCAUGCAGUGAAACAAUCUCUGAUUAACAAAUUAUUGAGACGAUCAUAAGAACACUAUCUCCAAGAUUUUAUUUUAUAGUGGUGGCCGUAAAAAAAUCAAAGGAUGUGAAAACUUUGAAAAUUGAAGAAAUGCAGAGUUCAUUGGAGGCACGUGAAUUAAUAAUGUCUGAAAGAAGUAGUGAAAGAUCAAUUCAACAAGCUUUACAAGUUCAAACUGUGAAGAAGGAUGAAUAUGAUAAAAAGAAUUUCAAGAAAGGCAAAAGUAACUCUAAGGGCGAAACUGGUCAAAUUCUAAAGAGAAGAACAAAGCCAGUGAUAAAACUGAAUCUUCAAAAGGAGGAGGUUCUGGUAAUUAUCAAGGCAAGAAGAAAGGCUUUGAUAAGAAGAAGAUAUGUUGUUAUAAUUGUGAAAAGUUUGGUCAUUAUGCUUCUGAAUGUUGGACCGGUAAACGGAAGCAAGUAAAGAAUGAAGAGGAACAAGCCAAACUUUCACAAGAAGAUUUAGAUUAUGAUGCAGUCUUGUUAAUGGUGAAAACAACCAAUAAUGAAAGUCGUAAGUCAGAUAGAUGGUUUUUAGAUAAUGGUUGUUCUAAUCAUAUGACUGCAAAUAAGAAUUGGUUGAAAGAAAUCAACACGGGAAGAAACAGCAAGGUGAAGCUUGCAUAUCAUAGAACACUAGUUGGAAAAGGCAUGGGAAAGAUUGUUAUUGAAAGAAAGAAUGGAAAAUUAAUAGUAAUUUAAGAUGUGAUUUAUAUUAUGGGGAUGUAAUGCAACUUGUUGAGUGUAGGUCAAUUGGUGCAAAAGGGCUAUUCAGUAACAAUGAAGGAUAACUCUUUGAAAUUGUUUGAUAAAAAUCAAAGGUUAGUUCUGAAAACUCCCCUUGCAAAGAAUAGGACAUUUCAAACUGAUAUGAAAACUACUGAUCUGAUACUAUAAAAAAUGAAGAUAGUUAGUUAUGGGACUACAGAUUUGGUCAUUUAAAUUUUAGAAGUCUUAAUCAGUUAGUUGACGAAGAAUUGAUUUUAGGAGUACCAAAGUUGAAUAUACCAGAGAAAAUAUGUGAUAUUUUUUUUGAUAAACAAGCAACCUAGAAAUGCAUUCAGUGCAAAUACAACUCAUAGAUUAACAGAGGUGUUGAAUGUAGUAUAUUCUGAUGCAUGUAGUCCAUUAGAAGUUCCUUUAAUGGGAGCAGGAAGAUUUGGCUAUUUCUGAUUAAAGCAAAGAGUGAAGUUUUUGGUAUAAUCAAGAAGGAGAAGUGCUCUAGUUGUUCCUGCAAUAUUGAUGAAGAACGAGUUCAACAAGAAGUUGAGAUUCAGCAGGAGCCUCCCAUAACAGUUAAUCAAAACAUCAGAGUCUCACAAAGGAAAAGGUUUGUAUCUUCUAGACUGAUCCACUUUAACCUUUAAAACGUGGCCGACAGAAUAAUUAUCUUUGGAGUAAUUAGUUCUGGUGUGUGUCAUUUACUCAUAUUUGUUUUAUGCAUCCACUUUAAUUCAAUGUAUUGAGAACAUCUUGAACAAGUCUUAUCUAUUAUACCAAUGUAUGAACCACUAAAAUUAUUUAUAAUAUAUAAACACAAAUUUAAGUUGAAAUAAACAUUCAAGUUGAAACAACGGAGUUCGACUAAAAAUUAGCAUGAAUACUUAAAUCAUUACAUAUUUAACAACUAUUAUAAAUUAUGAAACUUUUUUUUUCGUACAUUACAAUUGUUAACGGAAAGAAUUUCCAGUUGACAGAACAAUAUACGGGAGAUUUGAAACUCAUGUAAAUUCGAAAGUCUAUAAGUCUUCGCUAACAUGCCAAGUAUAAGUAUCACAAAACUCACGUAUGUCACUUUUGAAAUUGCGGAAAACUAUAAUCGUUAAAAGAUAGAUCUAUAAUUAUUUAAAUUUUUAGGUUGGCCACUACACCACUUUACGAAAAUUUGAAUCAACCGUAACCAAAAAUUGACACAAAAUUGUAUAAAAUAUCGUAAAAUAGACCUAUAAUCGUUAAUUUUUUUAUUUUUCCGGAUGCCCCAUAUGGCUCCACUUGAAAGAACACCAUUCUUGUGUAAAAAAUAAUAAAAAUAAAUUUAUAAUAGUAACCGUACUUGUGUUUUUGACAACUGUUUUUUUUUUCCUAAACAUAAAUUCUUUUUUUUUUUAAAUAAAUUUUUUUAUACACUUUCAUUCAUUAUAAAAAGUGAUAAAUUGUUAUUUCUCAACUAUAUUUUAUUUCUGCAUGCCAGUUUAUUGUUAUGAGUUUUUUUUUUAAAAGACUUUAUUGCACUACAAGAAAAUUGCCAUAUAUCUAUGGAGGUUUAUAGUGACGGACUAAAAUCCGUAGGUAUAUAAGUUUUACCUACGGAAGUGGCCAUAGGUCUAUCUUAAAAAAAAUAAAAAUAAAAAAUAAAUAGUAAUACAAGAGAGUGCGCCUAAUGAAAACUAUAGACCGGGAAAGAUCCCGCUUUUUCCAAUUUUUUCCACCUCUAAAUUGAAAAUAUAUAAAAAAAACUCUAAUAAAAACAAAAAAAAAACCCAACUCUUCACGUUCAAGAACACAAUUUCAUUUUUCACCCGUUUCAGAAUCCAAAUCAAAAUCUCACUCUUCCAAAUCCUGAAAUGGCCAAAUCAAAACCUCACCUUUUUUUCCCUGAUUGAAACCUCAGCCUCUCUUGUUCUUCCCCGUUCCCAAAUUGCAACACUUUUCACACCCAAAUCGAAAUCCUUGAAGAUCAACUGAAAGAAUCUGAAGUCAAAUCCCUCUGUCUCAAAGCAAACGAGAUCCUGUAAGCCAUCAAUUUUCACGUUUCUUCUGUUUUUACUUUCUGUAAGUCAUCAAAGGACAAAAUUCUGUUAUUAGGUUUUCACUAUUUUUACUUGAUUUUUUGAUUUAUUUUUACUAUAAUAUUUGUUGAUUUUUUGAUUUGUUUUGAUUAUGUUUUUAGUAUGAUAGUAACAAUUAUCUUUCAAGGGAAGUUAGUAGGUUUAUUUUUUGAUUUGUGUUGAUUUUUUUAUUUGUUUCUUUUUACAUAGUAGCAACAAUUAUUUUAAUGAAAAGUUAUUUUAUUUUUAGGAUAUCUUUCAAGGAGAUUUAGUAGGUUUGGGGAGUGUCGUUCGAAGAUACAAUUAAUAGAGUGGACGGUUGUUGUUAUUAGUCAAUUAUUUGAAUAUAAUUUUUAUAUCUUCUAAAUAAAAAUGAGAAUAAUUGAUAUAUAUAUAUAUAUAUAUAUAAUCGAGUCAGUUCAUGAACUAAACGAGUCGAACUAUAUAUAGUUCAUGUUCGACUCAUAUAAUUAACAAACUUAAUUUUCAUCUCAAAUUCGAUUCAUUUGAAAAUUCUAUGUUUUAAACUCAUAUUGUGAAUCUUCAACGUUGUAAAAUGAAAAUCGAACGAUUACAAAUUACUCUUGGGGUAAGAAUAAUAGAAGAUAACUAGCAAAGUUAAAAAAAAAUGUUUAGGUUGUUAUUUGUGUCCUACUAGAGUACUAGUAUUUCUUGAACUCUAGAAAUUAACUAAUUUUUCAAUUGUAUUAAUACCAUAUUUUGUUUUAUACAUGAGUUAAUUAGCUGACUACCUCAUUUAUUUCUUUUCAAUAUUUAUUUUCUUUGUUUGAAGUUUAAUAGUUUGUUGUUCUCUACGAAAGCAAAAACUAUUUUUAUAUUUUAUUUUUUAUUCUUGAAUUGUAAUGUCAUCUUGUGUAUUUCAAGUCCAAAAUGAGUUGAUUUUGCAUGGUUGACCUGAUUUGGUAUUCUCUCAUUGCUUUAGUCCGAUCUUUUAAUUUACCACACAAAUAUUGUUUAUCCUCUAAAUUACCACACCCUUCCCAUACAAGAUUGAGAGGUAGUCAUAAUCACUCCUCUCACAUAUAAAUUGUCAAUCGUUGGAAGGCGGUUGAGAAGAAGACGCCACAUAAAAAGAUUGAUUUGCAGAGGAACAUCUUUAUGUCAGAAUACACGGGAAUAGUAAGUUGUCGCUGAAUUGAAGCACUAAGUAGAAGAAAUAGCACUGCCUCUUCUCUGCUAACAUUCAUAUCAACAACAUGAGAUGGUGUGGUAAAGGAGCCAUGAAAAAUCAAUCGGAUCCUUGAAGUGCAUAGAUAUUAAGAUGUGCUCUUCAGCCCAAGAAAAAGGCACACCACGAUGGAACAUGAUAAAAUGGACAAAGGAGAGGAAUGCAAUAUAGGCACAUACAAAGCUUCCCUAAGAACAUAUUUCAAAUCAUUAUUAGAUAUAUGAAUAAUUUUUAAAAGAUAUUUUAGUUUACAUUCAAUACCAAAUUAUUUUUUAAAUCAAUAUGAAUUAUAUAAUUGGUUUGAAUGAUAAUGUAUAAUAAAUCAUGCAAUUACAAAAUUAAAUACACAUCCACAUUUUUUUUAAUGAUUUUAUCAACAACAUAAAUUGAUCCUACCAUACAUUAUAAAAAAAAUCUUUUUUUAUAUUUGAGAGGCAUACACUACAAAUAUAAAAAAUUCCUUGCUAUCUUCUUCCAUAUUGAAAGGAACACAUCAAUUAGGCAAAUAAUUGUCGAAUUAUUAACAGAAAAUAACUUCAAAUUCAGCUUUGCAAGCCAUCUACUUGGAAAAGCAUCGAAAUCCAUCCAAGAUUCAACAAUGAGAGAUAAUUCAAACCUAUAUUUGACAAUAAGCCUUUUGAGAGCUAAUUUUGAUAGGGAACUUGCUAUACCUGUAAUAUUCUAGAAUUGGAAAAGCCAACCUUUAAUCUGGUGUUGUAUUGCUUUCUUAAUUUCUCAGUUUUGUUUUGUUUGCACCAGCAUCUGAAUUCGCAUUUCAAUACGGUUUAUAGCAUUGACGAGUAAGUUCAUUCAUAUUCCUCAAAUAUUCAUGAUCACCAUUGUCACAUUCGCAUUUUAAUACGGUUUUUAGCAUCAAUACUAUGUUCCGAGUUAGUUGUUCCACAAGCAUAAGACAUGUCAUUAACAUUGCCAGAAUUAUUCAAAGUGUUGUUAUAAACCAUUUCAGCUCUUUUUUUUUUUCCUUUUCUAUAUGUAUCCUUUAGGUUCACAGCUCCAAUAUUAUUAUCUGUGUAUAUUGUCUUUAGAUUACACAAAGAUUUUCUUCUAAUCCUAUUUAGGUUUUAUUCUAUUAAGGGUCCGUUUGCUACAGCUUUUUAUAAAAAAAAAAAAAAUCACUUUUUUUAAUCUUGCAUCUUUUUAUUCAGAUUUUCAAAAAAAAUUAAAAUCUGAAAAUAAUCUAAAAACAGCUUCAAAUGAGUAGCUGUUAUGAGCAGCUUUUUUUUUUAUAGAUUAUUUUUAGAGGAGAGAGAAAUUUGUUACGAGAUUUUAACAAAAAAAAAAGAUAUGUUUAAAACAAACUAAAAUUCCAAUCAUAUCCUUGUUUUGCUAUAUAUACGCAAAGACUAGUCUUCCUUUUUUCACAGCCUAUUCGUUAUUCUUCUCUCUAUUCUCUAAACAAGUGAAGGUUAGCAAUUUUAUUAUCUUUUUGAUUCAUUCAUAAUUGAACCUGUAUAUUUUUUUUUCAUGUUUCUCUUCCCAUUAUCAUAUAUUUUGUGUUGUUUUUGUCUAUUUUGGAUGUUUUUUAUGUUUGUAUAUAUCAUUGUUGCUUCUAUUUUGCGGUGCUGUUGAUGUUGGGUUUUGAGGGUAAUUGUUUGGGUGCCCUGCCAUGGCGUGGGGCUCGUAUAUAUAUCAUAAAUUGGAACCACUAUAUAGUUAUUAUUAUCAAGGAAAAUGCUAUUUUUUUACGAAAACCAAUGGCAAGAAAUCGACAAACGCUUUUGUAUUGUGCUAUUUCACCCACUGCUUGUCUCCUACUCUUGUAGUAUUCUGUCAAAUGCUAAUUAAACUGAUGAAUAUUUGUUAAAUUUUUAUAAAAAUAUAAUAUGAUACUUUGUAUUCGGCAAUAUGAGUGUAUGUAUACAAGCAGAUUAAAUUAUGAACAAAUGCUAGUGAUAAAUUUAUCAUUCUUGUGUUUCUUGUGCAAAAUAUAUGUGGAGUAAUAAUUUGGUAAAUCAACAAUUUUAUGGCAUGCUUAACUAUUCAUAUUUUGUUUACAUAUAUAACAUUGUUUGAUCCCUAUUGUUAGAUCACUUUAGUUAGGUAUUGAUUCAGGUUAAAUUAUGAACAAAUGCUAUUAUCAAUAUGUAGUAGCUAAAUAUCAUAUAUAUAGUAUCAUAGGAUAUGGAAGAACAAUCCAUCUUUUUCAACUAAUCAUUUUGCUCGUGUUUUAACAACGUAAAUGCAUUUUUAAUUAACAUACUUGUUUUCAUACAUAAAAAAGUAUUUUUUUUUUUUUUGGACAAACAUGUUAUAUUUGAAAGAAUUUUUUUUUGUGUCCUUUAUGGUAAUUUUAUAAUAAAAAAUCACUUUUAGAAAGUUGUAUCCAAAUAAACUAAAAAUCACUUUUUUUUUAAAAAGUGAUAUUUGACAUGGUAAACAAACAUAAAAUAGAUUCUGAUUUUUUAAAGAAUCUCUAAAAAUUAUCUCUAAAUUAUUUUAUUUUAAAAUCACUUUUAUUUUAAUCCGUAACAAACGGACCCUAAUUCUCUUAAACUUCACCAUAUCCAUGGUGGAAUCAGAGAAAAUGCAGAAGCUCAACGAAAAAGAAAGAGAGAAAAUUAGAUCAAAUUCUAGAUUCAUUGAAUUGAUCUGAAAUUGGUUACAACAAAGCUAUAUAUAGCUGUAUAUGAUCCUAACUAACUCUAAAAAACUAUUAGCUAGCUAGGAUUAGAAUCAUAUGAUGCUAGUACACAGUAAAGAUCUAUGGAAUGGCAGAGUAAUAUGCUGCGCAAGCUAUCUAAUAUUACAAGUAAUCACACAAUUUAAAAAAGAAGAAAAAGAGAAGGAGAGUGCACAAACAAAUAUUGGCGCCAGAUAAAUUGUGCAUAACCAGGAUAAUUAGGGAACCUUGCUAAAUAUAUUGGUACUCUCUGGUGGUUUGAUUUUAAUAAUUUGGAGAAUCAACUAAGUUCGAUGAUGAGGCCGAGGGAGGCAUGGUGGAAAAGAAGAAUUAUACAAUUGCAUUGUAGAGAUGAAAACGUAGCUUGGCAAAACAUGAAAACAAUGAGCUCUAUCUGAACGUUAAUGCAAAACAAUUUCACGCCGAUAGUGUAUAUUCACUAAUAUUGCCCAUUUUCACAUCAGAUGUGUUCGACUCAGGCACAACCACCCUUCAUUUGUGCAACGUCUGCAAGAAGUAAAUCAAUCACUUUGCUCUAGCUAGAAUCAUUAAAAUAAUAAGCAUUUCAGAGUUUGAGAGAUUAAGAAUUCUAUUGACUUUGUUUUAUGUCGAAUCCUAGUUCUUAUCACGAAUUAUUAUAAACAAACUUCCCAGACACAGGGAUAUUUAUGACAAGUUCACUUACUGAACAGAUAAGAAACAAGAAUUUGAAAUAAAACAAGGAUGAGUUCUUAAAUAUAUUCAGUGGAAGCUAAUUUGUGAAGGUAAUCAAAUAUUAUAUAUCCUCAAGCUGAAGUCCCUUCUAAGGAUCAUUCAUGUGUGCUGAUGAUAAUGAACUCAAAUUUGUUGAGACUUCAUCUGUUGCUUUUUUUCGCACGACUGUUGCACCGGACUAUUCAUUAACUUCUCAAGUCCUUUGUGGUUGUGUGUAUUGCUUAGUGGAUGGUUACAUCAACGGUAUAUACUUCUCUACCCCCUUCCAUUUAGUAGAUAUUGUAAAACCAAGGACAACCUCCUGAGGCUUAGGAGAAGCUAUAUAUAACUCUUUUCAACAUCUGUUAUUAGUUGGAAUUAAGUUCGGCUCAUGUGUUGGAUCACCAUUAUUCACUGCCUUCUUUGGAGAUUGAUUUUUCAGGCCAAAAUACAUUCAGUCCCUUGCCUGUAUGUAUAAACAAAAUACACUCAAUUCCUUUAUAAAAUCUUACCAUACAUCUACAAUAUACUAUUUUUUCUUUGCUAUAAGGAUGGAAUUUUAAAUGUUUGGUGAAAAACUGAUAUGUGAAGGUAAUUAGCAUUAUAAAGUCCUGAAAAUCAACUCCAACCACAAGAAGGUGGAAAGAGUAUUACUUUGUUGAAGCAUCCAAUAAAAAGAAAGCCGACUAAAGUUUUGAUAUGUAUGUUAAAAUAAAUUAGUUUGACGAGGCAGAAAAUUCAUGUUAAAGUAUUCACUAAGAUAUGAACUAUGCCUUACCCUUGAAUUAACCAUAACCAGCACAAAGCUAUCAGUUAGAGGAAAUUGAAAUCUUCAGCAGCAAACUUCAUUCCUAAUAUUGCUUAACAACGUCGCCAAUUCUGGCUAUUGGUGUUUCCCCUGAUCGAACAUGAAAUUCCGACUCUUUCAUAAAUAUAUUAUACAUGAAAGGGCUAUUUCAUAAAUGAAGGACCAUCACCUGCAUAUUUUCAUGGAUACAUGUAUUUAAAUUGAAAUCAAGUAAUAUAUGUUAAAAUUAAUACUAUAGGAAUGAAGAUCUAUACCAUAUCAAUACCAGCAUCAAUGGAAGUGGAAACGCGAUAACGAUAAUCUGACGUAUAAGGUUGACAAUUUUAAUCGAUUUUGUCUCAGACAAAAGACAAAAUCACAAGGUUCACAUAAAUCAAGUCUCUUAAAAAAUGUCUUCGUUCCAAUAAAUAAAUUUUGGGUAACCACGAAUAUUCAAAAACUUAAGUGAAGUGAGGUGUCAAAUACCUUAUGGCAGGGAUCUCAAUUCCUCACAUUCAAGAAUAUCCAUAGUUCGAAGCGAAAUAAGUGUCACCUGUUCAGUUUCAUAGGAGAUGCUCUCUGUAAGUGAUAUGACUAAUGCUAAUAUACUAAAAUAUAAAGAGUUAAAAGAUAAAAAAUUCACUUUGUUAUCAAAUUAAACGGUUGAUUUCUCAUUCAUAUCAUCCAAAAUCAUCACCUCUUAUAGUUUCUGUGGUUUAGCUGAAGCAUCCUCUUGCUUUCAGGAAAAACAGUGGACACAACACAACUUGAUCAAUAACAUUGUUCGACACAAACAUGGCUGCGAUUUAGCAGCAUUCCACAACAUAUCUGACACAAACAUAAUGAAAUAACAUGAGUGACUCGACUAGAAUCAUGAAAUAGCUAAAUACACACCUUCCUAAUGAAGAGCUGUAUACACACCUGGCUAAUAGCUUGAACCAAGAAUUUUGAUUUGUUGCAUUAACAAGCUCAGCGUCAAUUCUAAAGAUAUGGCCCAAUUCUCACAAUAAUUUUACUCGUAGACAUAUUCCAUACAAAAACAGAGAAAGCAAGUGAUUCCUGCAUAUAGAAAUUUAAAUUAGAAAGUAAUUUGGGGAUAAGAAGAUGCAGGGAAGAGAUAAAACUAGCAUACAUCUUCUUCCAGAUAAUUGUCUUGAGAAAUGCUUAGAAAUCAAAUAUGCAUGAAUCAACAGAGUUUAGUGCAUGCAUCAACAGCCAUCAAUAUUCUUUAAAAAUUAGCAAAUAACAUACCAAGACAAUUUUAGUACUAUGAAAUUCUGAACAAAAUUCUGACUCAAAGCCAUAGAAAGAUAAAUUCUCAACUAAAUUUGUCCUAAAGGAUCACCUAAAAUCUGUACCAACAAAUUAUACUUAUUAUGUAUGCAGGUCCACUCGUCAUGAACUAAGUUUGUAAUUAAAAAGUGUGGCUAGCAAUCAUUGAUGUAGUUAACGUAUUACAAAUAUUGCGUCAUCAAUGCUCUAAUCACAGUGCCGUAAAAAUAAAUCAAAAUGUUCAAAGAAUUAUAAAAGGGACAUAUACCUCUGGAAAACAUUGAAAAUCUCCUGUCAGGGAGAGAACUCUAUCAGGAACCAUUGCUGCUAUUUUACAAGCUAUCAUAGAUCAUGUUUCAAUAGGCAAACAAUAUUAAAAAUAAACUCAACCUAAUCAAAUCUUAGGAAAAACCAUCUGAAUUUUAACUAAAUCAAAACUCAAUAACACAAAAUAAUAACCGGUUGAGCGCCCAAAAACACGAGCCUUUUUCCAACCUAAAUGACCCAACAAAGUAAUUGUAUCUUUUGCCAUGAUCUUUGUAAAUUAUUCAAAUUAAUGUAGCACCAACACUUCAUAUUGAUGACAUGUCUGAUGUUUAGAUACUGAUAUAACACCAAACCAUAUAAUUUACAUUCAAAAACUUUCAUUUCUUCAAAAUAUUAUCAAACAAUAUAUCAUUCAAAUAAACAAUCUAAAGCAAAUAAAUACAAAAGACCAAUAAAAACCUUGAUGAUCAGACUUUCUAUUGUGUACAGAGCUCCGACCCACGCCCCAAUGAUCAAAAGCGAAAACCUCUACCACCACCGGACUCAUUGUCACAUCCUCCACUCCGAACGAUGUCAUCUUCAUCAUUAGGAACCUAUUAAUCCAUUUAUUUGUCGACCCCACCCUUGUGUGUCAAAGGAAAUCCUAACCAUUCAAUUCAAUCUCCACAAAAUCAGCAAAAUUUAAAAAAAUUUCAAAAAAUAAAAGUAAAAUUGAAUAAAAAUAAAGUGAAUUGAGGCAGAUAAGGGGAAAUAGAGAUCUUACCAGUUAAGUGAAUUGAAUUUUGCGAUGGUGAUCGAGGCCAGAUAAGGGUAAACAACAUACGAGUAAUCAGACUUGCUAAUCCCAUGGAAAAUCAUGAAUAUCUCUUUUUGGAAUAUGAGCUAUCUUAGGUAGAAUAUCUUUCAUGUACUCUGGAUCUCUUCCUGCAGAAUGGGUUCCAAAGAUGUCGACAAUGAGAAUAAAAAUAAAGAUUUUUGAGCAGUUGAAAUCCAAACAUAAGAAGGGGAAAUUGAGAUCCUACCAGUAAAAUUGAUUUUUGCGAUGGUUAAUGAGGCAGAUAAGGGUAAACGUCUCUGCUUCUUAAAACUGUAUUUUUGGAAUAUGAGAUAUCUUGUCCCAAUCCUCCCCUGUUCGCUUCUUGCAUCGUUCCUUUAAUGUUCGGCAACCAAUGAUAGUCAGAAGCUCAAGAGAAGUGAGGUGUCGAAUACCCUCCGGCAAACAUCGCAAUCCUUCACAGCUAUAAAUAUGUAGAGUUCGAAGGGAUUGAAGACCUUCCCAAUUUUGCUCUGGUAAGGACUCCAACUCAUUACAAUAACAGAUACACAGAAGCGUCAAAGCUGGGUUAAAGGUUUCAUUUGGUAACUCCUUCAGUUUUGGGAAAUUAUAUAUUCUCAGAGAUUGAAGAGAAGUAAGGUUUUUGAACAUCCCCUCUGGGAAGGAUGUUAUUCCUUCACCCCCAUUUACGAAAAGCUGAGUAAGACCACGGAAGGUAGAGAUUGACCUCAGUAACUCAUUGUUACAUUCCGAUACAGUGAGGGAUUUAAGAGAUGGAAGACAUGGCAGUCCAAGUUUACGGCAUUCAGAGAUAUCCAACUUAGAAAGACAAGGAAACAUCUCCCCUCUUUCCACUUUCAAUAAACCCUCUAUGUUUGGUAACUGAUAUAAUACGAGUUCCUCCAGAGAUGGGAAAACCCUCACCUCCAUACCAUCCUCAGAUUCAUCAUCAUCCAAGUAUUUCAGAUUAUCCAUAUAAGAUAAUUCCAGGUUUUUUAAAGAUGGUAGUAUACCAAGUAACUGAAGCCGCACAACUUUCUUACAACGCUUAAGUUUAAGAGAAACUAAAUUACUAAGAAUAAUUAUCCAACUUGGCAAGGAUAAUCCCUCAUAGAAACUUAUUUUCAAGCAGUUGAGAUUUGAGUGAGGUUGAAGAACUUCAAGUACUUGCUCAACACUAACAACAGGGUUCUUUGGAAUUCCUUGUUUGUCUUUCCAUGACAAGUAUAAUUCAUGAAGGUCUUUUUUACCCAUCAAAUUAGCCGCUUCAGCUUCAAAUAACCUGCCAACAUUGUUUAAUCCUUGGAUAUGCAGUUUUCCACCGAGGUUUAGAUCACGUAACUCUGUCAAGCUAUUCCCUUUCUCUAAACUAACAAUGUACACACUUAAUGUUCUUAGACAAGUUAAUUUUCCAAUGUUAGGAAACAUGAGAGACAAAGACCGACAUACUUCAAUGACUAUAUGUCUAAGAUUUUGUAAGCAAGCCAAGCGUUUUGGGAGACAACUCAGUUUACGACAGUCUUUUAUUUUCAAGAUUUCCAGUUUUUGUAAGUUGUAAAUUGAGUCAGGCAACUUUUUUAUAUCAAGAGAACGAAGUUCCAAAUACCUUAAAUGAAUUAAACUACCUAGUAAUGGCUCUCGGAUAAAGGUUAUGCAUAAAACCCGAAGAGAAAGGUUUGUUGGGAAGUAAUCAUGUUUUUCUUUUGAAAAAGUACUACAAAACUCAAACCAUGUUCGCAAGGAUUCAACUAUUUUGAAAGCAUCCUUGUCGAAGGAUAACGAGUCUUUAUUGUCAAAACUAAUGUGGUGUGUGCUUUUUGACAAACUAGUCAAGUUUGCAUUCUCCAAAUACAUACAUUCUUGCCCCAUUACUGAUUGAGCAAGAUCAUGGACAAGGUCAUGCAUCUUGAAUGAAAUGUCGCCAGAAAAUUCAUCCAUUUUUCUAUCUUGAAAGAAUGAUUUUUGGUACAAUUCAUCCCACACCAUGAUGCCAACAUCUUCAACCUCCGUAGUACCCCUAGAUGAAAUCAAUCCAUUAGCCAUCCAAAGCCAAAUCAAUUCUUCCUUUAGGAUUUCUGCAUCUUUGGGAAAUAUAGCACAAAAAGAGAAACAUUGUUUUAGGGCUGCCGGUAAAUAAAAGUAACUCAACCUCAAAGCAGGCAAAAUGGAAUUUUCAUCUGAUAAAUCCCAAAGUUCACUGUCUUUAAUUUUAAGCCAUUCCUUUUCAUCUUUCCUUGAGUUCAUUAAACUUCCCAAUGAUUUUGCUGCAAGAGGCAAUCCAUUGCAUUUCUUUACUAUCUCCUUUCCUAUUGCCACGAGAUCAGCACGCUCUUCUUUGUGAUGUCCAAAUGCAUAUUGUUCGAACAACAACCAACAUUCACUAUCAGAGAGAGAAGACAAACGAUGAUGAGUUUGGUAUGUUCCUGUGAUCGUUGCAACAACUUCAUCACGGGUGGACACUAAAAUGGAACUACCUUUGGAUCCACAAGACAACACAGGUUUCAAUUUGUUCCAUUUCUCUCGUGUUAACCCUGAUUCCAAUUGUUGAUUUUGAUUCCACACAUCAUCCAAAACCAGCAAAUAUCUUUUCCCUUGCAACAAUCCUUGCACCUCUCUUUCCAUUACAGCAUAAUCAAAGUCAGGACACUUCUGUAAUGUGAUAGAUUCUAUAAUAGAACACAAAAUCCUCUUUACCGAGAAAGUCUCAGAAACACAAACCCAAAUUUUUUUUUCAAAAUUGCCACUCACCCUAACAUCAUUGUAGACCAAUUGAACAAGAGUUGUUUUUCCAACACCACCUAAACCAACUAUGGGAUAGACGGAAAGGAAGUCAGAGUCCCUUGCUUGGGUGAGAAGAAACUCAACAAUCUUUUCUUUAUCAACUUCUCGUCCAAACACUUUUGGUUCAGCAAUAAUGGAGCCGGUUUGGCGCCCUUCAGCUACUUGAUCUGGGAUUUCCCUAAGAGUGCCACCCAUCUGUAGAGAAAACUUGUUCUUACUUUCAGCAAUAUCAUCUAACCUCCUUGUAAUCUCUUUGAACCUGUUACCAAUCUCAUGGCGAAACAUGAUGUUCUUUGGUUUGAAAGAGGUAAAUCCUCUCAGUCGACAAGACUUGAUCGAGUACUCAUCAAGGAUAUCAUCGAGCACAUAAACACCAUCUUUGAGGUCUUGUAACCAUAGCUUAAUAGAGAGUUCUUUGAAUUGUUUCUUCUCAGCAUCUUCAAGAACAGCCUUGAUGUGAACUAAGUUGUUUGAUAGCUUUUGAACCUUUGACUUAAUUCCAGAAAUGGUUGAAAAUUCAUUUUGAAGGAGAGCCGUCAAAUUUUCAAACACAACUCCAAGCAAAGCGUCGGCCAUUUUUUUGUGAAAACAAAUUAAAGAGUUGAAAGUGAAAUGAUAAGAUGAUGAGAAAUUUGUUUAGAAAGAGUGAGUACUGAACCAAGCUGGAGACCUUUGAGAAUAAAUGCAAUGGUAGUAGGAACUCAGCAAGUAGGUGUUCAAUAAUUGUGGCCGACAGAACUAUUAUCGUGGUCCAUUAUUAUUGAUCCACUUUAACCUUUAAAACGUGGCCGACAGAAUAAUUAUCUUUGGAGUAAUUAGUUCUGGUGUGUGUCAUUUACUGAUAUUUGUUUUAUGCAUCCACUUUAAUUCAAUGUAUUGAGAACAUCUUGAACAAAUCUUAUCUAUUAUACCAAUGUAUGGACCACUAAAAUUAUUUAUAUUAUAUAAACACAAAUUUAAGUUGCUCUACUGUAAUAAACAUUUAAAGAAGUUGAAACGGCGGAGUUCGACUAAAAAUUAGCGUGAAUCUUAAAUCAUUACGUAUUUAACAACUACUAUAAAUUAUGAAGAAAAAAAUUCGUACAUUACAAUUGUUAAUUGAAAGAAUUUUCAGUUGACAUGACAAUAUACGGGAGAUUUGAAACCCACCUAAAUUCGAAAGUCUAUAAGUCUUCGCUAACAUGCCAAGUAUAAGCAUCACAAAACUCACGUAUGUCACUUUUGAAACCGCGGAAAACUAUAAUCGUUAAAAGAUAGAUCUAUGAUUAUUUAAAUUUUCAAGUUUGCCACUCCACCACUUUACGAAAAUUUGAAUCAACUAAAACUAAAAACCGACACAAAGUUGUAUAAAAUAUCAUAAAAUAGACCUAUAAUCGUCAAUUUUUUUUUCGAAUGGGCCGCCCCAUCCCAUGAAGGGCUCCGCCACCGGAAAGAACACCAUUCUUGUGUAAAAAAUAAUAGAAAUAAAUUUAUAAUAGUAACCGUACUUGUGUUUUUGACAACUGUUUUUUUUUUCUAAACAAAAAUCCUUUUCUUUUAAAAAUAAAAACUUUUACAUCAUUAUAAAAAGUGAUAAAUUGUUAUUUCCCAACUAUAUCUUAUUUCUGCAUGCCAGUUUAUUGUUAUGAGAUUUUUUUUUAAAAGACUUUAUUGUUAUGAGAUUACUUUGUGCAGAUUAGCCACUGCAAAGUGUCGUUCGAAGAUACAAUUAAUAGAGUCGGCGGUUGUUGUUAUUAGUCAAUUAUUUGAAUAUAAUUUUUAUAUCUUCUAAAUAAAAAUGAGAAUAACUAAUAUAUAUAAUCGAGUCAGUUCAUGAAUUAAACGAGUCGAAUUAUAUAAAUUUAUGUUCAACUCAUAUAAUUAACGAAUAUAAUUUUCAGCUAAGUUCGACUCAUUUAAAAAUUCAAUGUUUUGAACUCAGACUGUGAAUCUUCAACGUUGUAAAAUGAAAACUAAACGAUUACUAAUUACUCUUAGGGUAAGAAUAAUAGAAGAUAACUAGCAAAGUUAAAAAAAUGUUUAGGUUGUUAUUUGUGUCCUACUAGAGUACUAGUAUUUCUUGAACUCUAGAAAUUAACUAAAUUUUCAAUUGUAUGAAUACUAUAUUUUGUUUUAUACAUGAGUUAAUUAGCUGACUACCUCAUUUAUUUCUUUUCAAAUUUAUUUUCUUUGUUUGAAGUUUUAAUAGUUUGUUGUUCUCUACGAAAGCAAAAACUAUUUUUUAUUUUAUUUUUUAUUCUUGAAUUGUAAUGUCAUGUUGUGUAUUUCAACUUCAAAAUAAGUUGAUUUUGCAUGGUUGAGCUGAUUUGGUAUUCUCUCAUUGCCUUAGUCCGAUCUUUUAAUUUACCACACAAACAUUGUUUAUCCUCUAAAUUACCACACCCUUCCCAUACAAUAUUGAGAGGUAGUCAUAAUCACUCCUCUCACAUAUAAAUUGGUCAAUCGUUGGAAGGCGGUUGAAAAGAAGACGUCACAUAAAAAGAUUGACUUACAGAAAAACAUCUUUAUGUCAAAGUACACGGUUCUCAUCUGCAAUGAUAUUUUGAUUGGCUAAUUGUUGAAGGAAAUUAUAAACACUACUAAUAAUGUAAUUAUUUGAAGAAUGUAAAUUCCACCGCCACCUGUUAUUAACAUCAUCCUACGGGAACAGUAAGUUGUCGCUGAAUUGAAGCACUAAGUAGAAGAAAUAGCACUGCCUCUUCUCUGCUAACAUUCAUAUCAACAACAUGAGAUGGUGUGGUAACUGGUAAAGGAGCCAUGAAAAAUCAAUCGGAUCCUUGAAAAUGAACAAAGGAGAGGCACGUUGAAAAACGAAACAAGAGGAAUGUAAUAUAGAAACAUACAAAGCUUCCCUAAGAACACGUUUCAAUUCAUUAUUAGAUAUAUGAAUAAUUUUUAAAAGAAAUUUUAGUUUACAUUCAAUACCAAAUUAUUUUUAAAUCAAUAUGAAUUAUAUAAUUGGUUUGAAUGAUAAUGUAUAAUAAAUCAUGCAAUUACAAAAUUAAAUACACAUUCACAUUUUUUUUAAUGAUUUUAUCAACAACAUGAAUUGAUCCUACCAUACAUUUUACUUGUGUAUAAAUAGUGGCGGAGUCAGAAAGAAAAUCUCGUAUGGGUUAAAAAAAUUAUAUUGUAAUACAUAAUAAGCACAAAAUUGAUCAUUAAAAAAUUAAAUUACACAUGUUAAAAAUUUAAAAUAAUUCUCAAUGUGAUUCGAAUGAUUUAGAUUCAUCAAUAAUAGAUUAAAAUAAAAUGGGUUCUUAAACUGAAAUUGAAACCAAAUGGCUAGCUGCAAAGCAUAAGGCAAGAUUAGUGGCUAAAGGCUUUAUGCAAAAAGCUGAAAUUUAUUACUUUGAAGUAUAUGCAUUUAUAGCAAGACUUGAGACAAUCAGGUUGAUAGUUGUUAUUGCAUGUGAAAGGAACUGGCCACUGUACCACUUAGAUGUGAAGUCAUCAUUUCUAAAUGGUCCACUAUAAAUAUAUAUAUGAAGUUGUGUAUGUCACAAAACCUGCAGGGUUCAAAUUCAAAGAAAAUGAAGAUAUGAUAUUCAGAUUACAUAAGGCUCUAUAUGGUUUGAAGCAAUCUCUAAGAGCAUGGAAUAAGAGGAUUGUCAACUUUCUAGUGCAGCAAGAAUUUGUCAAAUGCAAAGCUGAAUAUAAUGUCUAUGUAAAAAAUAGCAAAGAUAGUAAUCUGGUGCAUAUUUGCUUAUAUGUUGAUGAUUUAAUAGUAACUGAUAGCAAUUUGGCUGAGAUAGAAGCCUUUAAAGGUCAUAUGAUGAAAAAGUUUAAUAUGACUGAUCUAGGAAAGUUAACAUACUUCCUUGGUAUGGAAUUCACUAAAACUUCUGAAGGUCUAGUUAAGCAUCAGAAGAAGUAUGCUUCUGAUAUUCUCAAGAGGUUCAACAUGUUGAACUGCAAUCCUGCAUCUACACUGUUCAAACAAAUUGUAGGAUCCUACAUUGCUCAUUGUUCAAACUAGUAAAGAAUGAUGACGAGGAGUUGGUUGAUUCUACAUUUUUCUAACAAAUUGUAGGAUCCUUGAGAUGUAAGUGCAAUAACUAGCCAACUAUAGCUUAUGUUGUUGGUAUAAUCAGCAGGUUCAUGAGUGAACCUAGAAGCUCUCAUCUACUUGUAGCUGAAAGAGUGAUAAGAUAUGAUGACAAUCAUUCAUUCGUUAUUUUUAGAGUCUUUUUAUGAUAUUUUUGAAUUCACAAGCAAGAUUAAGCAACAAGAAAAAACUGAAAAAGCUUAAAAAAGGCAUCGUGUCACGAUUACUAAAAAAACGUGACACGAUUUGGAGCUUUCAAGAAAUAUGCAUUCGGCAUUGGUGAAAACGUGUCACGAUGGCAAAAACGUGACACGGUUAUGGAAACCCUAAUUUGGGUGGUUUGUUACACAAGGAAGAAACGUGUCACGAUUUACAUAAAUUGUGCCACGAUUUUAGGAGCAGUUCUUGCCUAUUUAAGCUUGAGACAAUUCUGAAAACAAGGGUUACGAAUUGGAGAGAGCAAAGUGCGAUUUUGAGACCUAAAGACGGCUAGGAGGGCGAUUUCUUCAACCUUCUAUCAGUUCAUGUAAGUUUUGAUUCCAUUAAUGAUUAUGCUAUUUGUAAACUCGAUUAUGAGUAGCUAAAUCUCUUAGAGAUUAGGUCUGAAAUGAUUCUUUGUAACCCUAAUUGAACCAUGUUGCUGUGAAACUCUAUUUAUUGUGAAUGACAAUCUAGUUUUUAUUCAAUUCAAUUAUUCUUAAUGCUUUUUAUAUCUUGAUCAAAUAUAAACAUGAUUUAAUGAGAAUGAAUGACUACUGACCAUAGCUUUCUACUUAGACCUAAAUGAAUUGUUCUAACAAACAUGGUUAGUCUAGGAGUGGAUAAUCGUUUGUUAGAGAUAUUAGGUUAACGUUCUUAAACCUUCAAAGAUUAUUAGACCACCUAAGGAAUUAAGGGAUUGAUUAGCACUAUUUUGUUAACUAUCGCGGAACUAGAAAAUCAUUCAUAAGAAUAGGUGCAGUAUACCAAUUAGGGGAACAUAGAUGAUUCGAAAGACCUGAUCUCAUCUCUUUUCAUAUUUUCUAACCAAAUCUAUAUUUUCAAGCCGAAUCUUUAUUUUAUGUUAUUUAAUUUUAUGCAAUCAAAUCAAAUCUACAAACAAAAUAAUUUAUACAUCCUAAAUAUUUACUUUAUUGCUAAAUUGAGAUUAACACAGUCCUCGUGGAUACGAACCUAUUUUAUUACUUCGAUGCAUUUUUAGUACAUUUGCUAAAAGUUUAUCAAGAUACAUUAAGGGAACCAUAGACUAUGGUGUAAUUUUUCCUAAAUGUAUCAGCGAAGCUAACAUGGAGUUAAUUGCCUACUCAGAUGCAGAUUGGUGUGGAGAUAUGCAAGAUAGGAAAAGCACUUCAUGCUACUUGUUCAAAUUUCUGAAUGCUCCUAUAUCAUGGUGUACAAAAAAGCAACUUGUAUUAGUACUUUCAACUUGUGAAUCUGAGUACAUUGUAGGGUGUUUAGCAGCAUGUCAAGCAGUAUGGCUAGAUUAUGUGUUAAAGGAACUGAAUAUUGAAAUCUGCAAGCCUAUUGCAUUGUUUGUAGACAAUCAAUCUGCCAUAAACUUAGCCAAAAAUCAUGUGUUGCAUGGAAGAAGCAAGCAUAUUGAAGCAAAGUUUCAUUUUCUCAGAGAACAAGUGAACAAAGAGGCUCUCAAGCUCAUAUAUUGCUCAACUAAACUGCAGCUUGCUAAUCGGUUUACAAAGGAUGUGAAGAUUCAAAGAUUUAACGAGCUAAGAGGCUUGAUUGGAAUGAUGAAGUGCGAAAACUUGAAUUAAAGGAGGAUGUUAUAGUUUUAAUUCAAGUUAGAUGGGUUUAACUCAAGUUUAGUUGCGAUUAAAUAAUGGUUAGAAAGUAUGUUACAAGUUUCUUGAAAGACUUAGCUAGUAGUUAGCAAGUUAUGUAAAUAAGCACUAUAUAAGCAUGUUGUAAAUAGAUUUUCACAACUUAAUGAGAAUAUAGUUUUACAACAAUCAAUUACGCUUCUUCUUUCUCUUAAUUCUCUCUAUUUCUUAAUCCUAAUUUUCAUGAAAAUUCUUGCUUGAUACGAACACAUUGAUUUAUACUAUUAAUUUGAAGGUGUGUGUUGUGUUGUGUAUUAUUCAUUUCCUUGACUCCAUAUCCAAUGGAGACUCAAAUGUUGGCUAUUAAAAUAUAUAAACAACAAGCAAUAUCCAUUAGCUUAUUUUAUACGAACAUCAUUAUUAAACCUACUAUACUUGGCAUUUUUACUAGCAAUAAACUUGUUGAACACAACAUUGUUCUUGAAACUAUUUAUGCUUAGCAUAAUCCAAACGAUAACUUGGUAUUGCGUGCAAAUGCUGAGCUCUUGGUAUAGUGAGUCCAAAUUUCUCCUCCAUAUUCAAAUUGAAUGGACUAAUAUUAUGUGAAAGUUCCCAAUUAAAGCAAUGCACAAAUUGAGCUAUAACCAACUUAACAGUAGUUAAACCCAAUUGAAUUCCAGGGCAACGUCUACGACCAUAAUCAAAUGGUAAACUUUCAAACUCUUGUCUUUGAUAAUUCAUUUUCUUUUCAAUAAAUCUCUUUGGAUAAAAUUCUUCAGCAUUUUCUGACCAAACAUUAGGAUCUCUCCCUAUUGCCCAUGCAUUUACCAUAAUUCUCGUCUUUUCCUUUAUAAAAUAAUCAUCAAUUGUUAUGUUCUCUCUACAUUUAGGAGGGACUAGUAAGGGUGCAACAGGAUACAGUCUUAAGGUUUCAUCAACCACCAUAUCUAAGUAAUUCAACUUCUUCAAAUCCUUCUCUUCAACCAUUCUUUUAUUUCCUACUUCAUUUUGUAUCUCAUCUUGAAGAAUUUUCAUCACUCUUGGAUGCCUUAAAAGUGCAGAUAAAGCCCAUUAAAAUCGAGGUAGCAGAUGUAUCAAUUGCUGCCACUAUCAUGUCGAGCAAAAUAGCUUUGAUGUUAGAUCGAUCAAUUACGAGAUUUUGUUCACCCUCGACAUCAAUGGUUUGAUGCAUAAUUGAAAGAAGUAUGUCUACGAAAUCUUUAUGAUGAGUUUUGUUUACAUUAGCAGCUUGUAAUCACCUCUAGCACCUCAUCAAUUUCUUUACUGAGUUUCUGGCAAGAUCGUGUUAAUCCCUAACAAAGAGUUAAACUUAAAAUAUCAAUUAUUACAUCAAUAUUCUCAGUGUACUUAACAGAACCAUUAGAGCAUAUAUUUUUUUUAAGAGGAUUGUGUUCUCCAAUUUUCUUCUUGAUGACUGGGUCUGGAACCCACAACCCUAUAGGUGUAGGUAAAACAUCUUAUCAACUAAACUGCACUUCUAAAUCGAUAACAAUAUAUUUAAGGGAAUGUAAAAUAUUUAAAAAUUAAUCACCACCAAAACAAAAUUACAUCACCGAAAAAUUAUCAAAAAUUAAAUAAAUUUAUCGCGACCUUAAUAUUUUUCAGUUGUAUAAAAAAAGAGGUCUGAUUUUUUUUUUUCCUCAAAGUUUCUCCUACAUUUAGCACCUCAAAUAUUAAGAUAUCAAAUUUAGCCCGGAAUUUCACACAAUCAUCACUAGGAAUUUGAGGUAUUAAUUAUAACUAAAAUUGUCAGAAUACCUAACUACAAUUGCAGGGUAGUUGAGUUUAAAAAUUAGGUAACCCUUUUAUUUAUUGAACUAGAGGAAAAAACACUAAAGGACUUUCGUGCAAUUACAUAUUGAGUGACCAAAAUUAUACAAUCACGAUAUUUAUUUAAGAGGCUUAAAGUUAAACUUAACUCAAUAAUUAAUGUUUUAUUUCUUAUACAUAGUACUGAAGGUGAGAAAAACACAAGAAGGGGGGGUUGAAUUGUGUUUUCUUUUUCUCUCUUAAAAAAUCUUCUUCUGAUAAACCUUCAGAAGCAGUUUGUGAGUGCUUCUGAUGAAAUGAUCAGAAUUAGAUAUGCAGCGGAAAAGAACAGAGCAGAGAAAAGAAAGACAAAGACACAAGCAGUUAUCCUGGUUCCUUCCACAACACGGAAGUAGUCCAGUCCCCCUUGCACUUCCAAGGAGAUUUCACUAUAAUCACAAAGAUUACAAAUGCUCAAUACUUUCUAAGUAUGAGACUUCACAAAAAAUGCUCACGCACACACGCAAGAGUCUUCCAAUGCUCAAGCACUAAGCAAGAGACUUCUAAUGCUCAAGCACGCAGGCAAGAGACUUCUGAUCAAACAAAAAUACAGAGAAUUGAGUUUGACUUGAACACUUGAUAUACAAUCAGUGGUGUUCUCAAUACAAUACAAUAAAGACUCUAGACUUUGAAUUUCUUAAGAUGUAUCAAAUCAGUGCAGAAAUUCAGUGUGCUUUGUAGAAUCAAUUUGACAGAGUUUUGGCGCUUUUUAACUUGUAUAUCUCUCUAUCUUCAAUCUUCAAGUCUUCACUCCUUUAUAUAGAGGCGUGAAAGAGACGUUGAGAUAAUCAGCACGUCUAAAGAGUCGUUUGAAAUCCUUUGAUCAUCCACCAGUAAUCCUAUGCCUGAUUUGGGUGUAGUCCUUUGAAGAAUUAGCUUCAAAUUCAUUCCCAUCUUGAAGGCACAAAUUCUGCAGGCAUAGCUGUUGUUUUGUCUUGUAGCGUGGACAAAAACAGAGUAGUGGAGGUAGUGGUUGUACACUUGUACUUUGUCAACUCUGUCAACGAAGGACAAAUGCUCAGUGCUAUCCAUAUGACCGUUGAUACCUCCCUUUCAAUUCUUCGUUCUUCUUAGAUAAGACUGAAUUGAGAACCAGCUACUUUGGAUCUUCAGUUUGAUUAAUGGAUCAAAUGUAGCUUCUGGUGAAGAUAUCGCUUCUGAUGAAAACCUUGCUUCUGAUGACCUUCUGCUUCUGAUGAGCUUCUGCUUCUGAUGACGUCAUCACUUCAGAAGCACUUCAGCUUCAGGAGCACUCUAGCUUCAGACACAGUUUUCUUCAGAUGCUUAGAAUUUCUUUUGCUUUUCAUUGUUCUUCUAAGACCUAUUGAAAUUACUUGACUAGCCUUUGGUCCUGUACACUUGAACAAUAAUUAGUAAUAACCAAUUGACAAUUUUUAAUACCUUGUUAUCAUCAAAACUCAUUAAGGUUCAUUGUGAAACACAUUUUGUUCCAACAAGUACUGCCACCCUCUCAAAUUGUAAGUUGUUUUAGAAGAAAUUGUUCUAAAUUAUUAGUUAUUUUACAAUAAUAUUAAUAUUAUUAUUUUCUAUACUAAUAAUAAUAAAAGGUAAUUUUAUAAAAUAAUUAAUAAUUUUGUUUUCUCAUAAAAAAUCAAUUAUACCUUUUAAAUGUCGCAAAAUCCAUUUUUUCUUGUAGUGUUUAAUUUGUGUAAGUCAUCAUAACGAGUUAUAAUUUGACAAACAUACCUGAAAGGUCAAAAAAUCUUUAGCCAAGGAACAUAAUCAGCCAGAUUAAAAGCUCCAAUCAAAACCAAUUCUUGUUGAACCAAAUUUUUCAAGUCAAAUUGCUCAUACUUACUCCGUCCAAACAUCAACUUAUACACAAUAUCUUCUAUUAGAUUCUCUACUACCUCACUAACAUUCACAACCUCACCAACCAAAGCAGCUUUCUUCAAAGUGUUAACCAAAAUACUCAACUCCUCUUUUCUAAUAGGACCAGACAUCUCAACUUUUGAAGCACUAAGAAGUUUCAAAGUGCAAAAUUUCCUCACACUACGCCAAUAAGGACCAUAGUCAGAAAAAACUAUCCCUUUGGAACCAUAUAACAUGAGCUCAGAUCCUUGACUCUUUGGUCGGCUUGCAAAAACGAUGUCAUGGGUUUUGAGAAAUGAUUCUGCAGCUUUUGAAGAUGAAAUGAUAAUAGUUGGAACUUGACCAAGUUGUAAGGACAUGAUUGGACCAUAUUUUUUGGAGAGUGAUUGAAGUGUUCUAUGUGGAAGUUUGCCUAAUAUGUGAAGAUUUCCAAUUAUUGGUAGUGAUGGUGGACCUGGUGGUUUUUUAUGGUUUAGGGUUUUUUGUUUUGGAUGUAAGUAGAGUUUGAAUAGAAAGUACAUGAAAGUGAAGAGAAGAAAAGCAAACAUUGUUGUUGUUAGUGCAAAAGACAUGUCUACAAUGAAUGGUUUGGUUUGGCUGAAGUACGUAACAAGGUUGAAGACUAUACAACUACAAGUUGAUCUCUUAUUAUCUUGAAGCCGGUGGUGUACGUGUUUGGUUUGUAUAUCUAGUGAGAUAUUUCCCCUUAAAAAUGUAUUGAGAUAUUUAUGGCGGCCAUACUAUAUACUCUAUAAGGAAAAAAGGAAAGUUCCUUUCGAAAAGACAAAAAAAGGAAAGCGCUAAAAACAUUUAUUAGUCAACCUACUCCCGCAAUUAUAAAUGAGCAUUGCUAUUUAUCUAAAGAGUUUUUAUCUAGAAUUUAACAAGAAAAGGUCUCAACCAAUUAAAUUUAUUAUUUGUUGGAAAUCAUGGAAGGUAGUGGUGUGUAAUUGAGGAAAGGAGUUAGCAAAUACAUUGUCUUAAAAUUUUCUUCAUAAAUUUUGUCACUCUAUCUAUCAUUUCCCAUUAUAAAUGAUGAUUAAUUUUGUUUACUUUACAUAUGUUAAUGCACAAUUUCUACUCACUCUCAUAAGGUUGAACCAUUCUUCUCCCACGGUCAGUGAUUCUCAAAUCUCAAUGGGUAUCCAUUAUUCUUACCAUGUCAUUUUACAUCUUCCUCUAAAUCGAUAACUACAAACCUCCACCUUGCAUAUUGAUGACGGAACAUCAUGUGUUAUUUUGGCUAUGUUUUAAGUACUUUUCUUUGGAUUUGAAGACAAAUAAGAUGAGAAUUAGAGGAGUUGUCAAUGGUUUGAGGAACAGGUGUUUUGAGUGCUUUGUAGUGGGAAAUCAUAUUAAUCGACAAAUCAAGACAUCACAUGAAGGAUCAAAGAUAUGAAGAUUGAAGAUUAAUGGUUCUUAAAAGGUUUUUAAAGACAAUACAAAGUGAAGAAAUUUCAUUUCAAGUUCGUAUGCGUUUCCAAACGGAAGAACGAUAAAAAAAAAAAAAAAAAGGGAUGAAAACGCAAGAUUUCACACACAGGGACUGUCUCAUGUGCCACUAUCGCAUGAGGCAGUGUUACCACUGCCCCAGGCGCCUCAUGCACACGACUGUGGGCAUAAAUUGCCUGCAACUUGUUUUUCAAGCUAAAACGGUGGUAAAAGCUCAGUUUUCUUCUCUUAAACCUUAAGUAAUCAUUUAAUAUAAAUAGAGACCCUUGUACACAUUAUUUUUCAUUCAUAAAGCUAGCAGUUCAAGGGGUAAAGCAUCAGAGUUUCAAGGCAGGAUUCCAACCUCAUCUUGACUCUCUCUAGGGUAUAUUUUUCUAUUGUUUUGUUAUGAUGUUUGUUUCUAUUAUUUUUCAUUCAUAGUCACUUUCUACUGAGAUCAAUUUAAUCAUUGAGAUUAAAAGUACAAUCAACUUUCGAUCUUAGUAGUUGUAAGAACAACAUUAAUCAUCUUUAGGAAGAAGGAUUAUAAUACACAUACAUGAUUUAUACAAAAAUAUAGAGUAGGAAUAAGUAUAUUUCAGAUUGCUUUUAAUAUUUGUAAUUAUAAGUGAUUAUGAAUUUGAUCUCAGUAUUCUGCAGACUUUUGUAAUCGGGUCUUUUUUAUCAGCUGUAGUGAGAUAUGAUAUAUCUUUGAAUGAUGCCCCUUAUAUAGAAAAUGUGGGACCUAUCUUGUCAUGGUGAGCAUGUAACAAAGUAUGCUUCUUCCAAAAGUUAUUGUUGUGAUUUAGUUUUGAAUUUCAUCUUUUGAAGAUCAAUCUCAUAUUCUAACACACUUUUGAAGUUGUUUCCCUUCAUCAUUCUUUUGGUGUUUUUUAAAUUUCUUAAUUUGAAGUUUGAUCUUUAGAACUUCAAUAUGAUGUGUUGUUGAACUGCAUUGCUUAUAUAUUUGAUAUGCAUUUUAAAGUACAAUCUAAUCUUCAUUCUGAUCUAAUUUUGAUUCUGGAUUUUGAAGAAUUUUGAUCAUUCUUGAUGUGACAUAAGUGAAGUUGCUUAUAGUGUUAGAUUUGUGUUUUGAUGAUGUUUAUUAGCUAGAUUCAUUUGAUGAUGUUUAAAUAAGUUUUAGUUAUAAAGCAUAGAACAUGUUAAAGCACCCAACAAUCCUUGUCUCAUUGUGUCAUAUGUGUUUUGUAUAUCAAAUGUGUCUUUGUGUGUGAAAACCUUCAUUUUUGAGUGGCAAAAACUUUUUUCCAGGUCCUUGAUUCGAUUCAAAAUAUUUUGAAUCGAAUCAAUCAUUAUCUAUGCCACUGUUUCUUGUUAGUCAUGUAAGUUUGAUUCGAUUCAUGAUUCUUUGAAUCAUAUCAUUGACUUUCUCUUGUCUUGUGUUUUGGCUUAUUGAAUCAUAUUAUAGUUCUUUGAUUCGUAUCAACCUUCAUCAGAGUUUUUCUGAUUCAAUUCACAUAAUGCUUGAUUCAACCUUUAUAGCUACUUAUAUGUCCAUUUACACAUAUCUGAAUCGAAUCACACAUUACCUUAUUCGAACCAUUACGUUGUUUUUGCCUAAAAUAUUGCAUUUACCACACAUACCACUCCCAAAUUAUUAAAUCAAUUGCAACUAUCAUUCUUGAGUCUUCAAAUCUCUCUCUCUCUCUCUCUCUCUCUCUCUCUCCACUUGUUCUUCAUAUUAAACACUUUUUCUAAGAAUCUUUGUGGUUUUUGAGUCAUAGAUUGCUAGAGUUCUAUUGGGAUUGUAGAUUGGUUUCUUUCAAGGAAAUUGAUUGGAAAUCAAGGGUCCAAAGGAAAAAGAGUGAUUUCUUUCCACCUCCAAGGGAAUUGGGGGUUCUUUAUAAUCUUCUCAAGUUCAAAUGGAUCCAAGCUUCAGACAUAGCAAAGAAGAGUUCGAGGUGAAAAACUUCAAGGAUUGCAUGGGAGUUUGAGUUUCGGAGACUUGAAGAAUCACCAAUUUGAAGAGUUACUUGAAGAUUGGGGGGUUGUCGUUGCUUAGGAUUAAAGAUUAGGGUUAUCGAGGGAAUUCUUUGUAAUCAUAACAAUUGUAAUCAAAUUUCAACAAUAAUGCAUGUCCUUGAUAGAGACAUAUUCUAUCGAGAACCCUAAUCUUUAAUCCCUUUCCUCUUUCCUCUUUGAUUAUGGUGUUAUUCUCUUCCCUUUCCUAUUUGAUUUUGCUUUAUUAUUUGUAAAUGAAUUUUAAUGUUUGUAGCUAUUUUAUUUGAUUGUGAUUAAUUUUCAUACUUAACCCAAUCUUAAUUCAAGAUUCUUUUCAAAUUCAAUUUUAUCAAAAUUAAACUUCUAUUAAGUUUCGAAUCAUUAAUUCAUAUAUUUUGUGUUCCUUAGUGUUAGUUUGGUUUAUUGCAUUUAGGUUUGGUUUAUGAAUUGUGUUAUUGAUGAUUGAUAUUUGAUGUGCUUAUUAAUAUUCAACAUUUGAACCUCUCAAUUCAAUAUUGAAUCUUAGUGUUUUAUUCAUUGUCUUAAUUUUUGUUAUCGUCGUUAUUGUGCGCGAAUCCGAAAAUUCAUACGUUUUCUAAUCACGCUUUCGCUAAACUCUUCUGAAAUUUGAAAAAUACUAUUCAUCCCCCCAAUUUGACUUUAAAUCUGAAGUUUUUUCGACAUGCUUCUAAUCUCAAUCUGAAGUACUUUUGAUCAAUCUAGAGUUCUUCUUAAUACAUUGUAAUAUUUAGAUUCAUGUUUCUUGAAUAAAUUUUGAUUUCCCACUUGUAAUAUCAUGUUAUAAAGAACAAUCAAAGAAACUUCUUAGAAAGCAAAACACAUCAAAAUUAUAAUUGAUCUGUGUUCUCAUAUGUUUGUUAUCAUUAAAACAUGUUCUAAAAAUGGAUUUUGUUAUUUUCCUCAACAAUCUUCCACUUUUUGAUUAUGACAAGCUUCUUGAAUUAAGGAUCAUAUUUUUUAGAUUCUGAUGUUUAAUCAAUGCAUUGAUAUGAGAUAAAUGACCUUUAAACUUAUUCCAUAAUCAUAAUUGAGAAUUUUAAUAAACAAAAACUCCCCCUCAUGAUUAGAAAUAAAAUUAUGCAAUAAUUAAAAUUGAACCAUAAUUGUACUUUAUUAUUUAUAGUCCAAAUAUUACAAAAUAGCAUUCAUGAUGCAGAUACAUGGUUAAAAAAAUAGUUGAUCUUAACAACGAUGAUAGCAAACAUCAUUUUUUACUAGCCAAAAUAAGAUCAUAAUAGGACUAUAAUGCCAAGUUUUUUUUCAUUCAUAACCAAAAAAUUGAUCCUUUUCUUCUCCCUCUUUUUUCAUUAGCAAAAGGGUACAUACAAGUAGCAAGCCACUACUUGGUAAGGGAGGAAUCAUUUGAAUAUAGAGCUUGACUAGAAGUAGAACAAUUGAUGUUGUAGAGUAGCAUUGGGAGUAAUUCAGUUGAAACCAAAGCUUUCCACCCAAAGUCUUUUUUGAGAACUCUCAACAAAAUUUGUUAAAUCAUUUCCUUCCAAACAAGAAGCUUUUUAAUGUCCAUUCUUGUCUUUCUUGAAUUGUCUUAUAAGAGGUUGCAUCAUCUUUUUCUUUUGAACCCCCUUGCUCAUUGAUGACAAUAUCAACCGAGUCAAGUUGUUGAGGAAACAUUGGUAGACCACAAUUACUAGGCUUUGGAGGGUUUGGUUUUUGGUGGUGAUGGCUUUGUUGGUUCAUUCAAAUCAUUUGUGUCCAAAUGCUUUGAUGGUUGCAUCAAACAUUGGUAACUUAGGUAUUGUACCGACUCUUGAUCGGAUUCUAGAUGAUCUCUUUAAGGAAGUAUAACUUGAUUGUUUUGAAGCUUUGGCUAUUUAGUUCUUGGUUAUAUGGGAGCGGAAGCUUUAGUUGAUGGUGGUUCAUGGCCAAUCAUUAGAAUGAAUCUGAGAUGGUGAUGGUUGAGGUUGAGAGCCAGACUAAGUUUUAGUGCAUAAAAUUGACUUUCUCCACUAGUUCUCUUUAUUUCAAAUUCAUCCUCAACAUAAUCGGCAUCACAAUAUUCUACAAGAUCAAAAGAACAACCCUUGAUAUACCAAAGACCAAGAUCAGUAGUAUCUACCAAAUAUAUGAAAAUCCUUAUACAACAAUAUGUAGAUAUUAUUUGGACAAGAUUAAAAUCUAGCACAUAACCUUACUACAAAGACUAUAUAUGGUCUACUUGCAAUGAUUCAAUCAUACCUCAAAAUUCAUUUUUUGAAACAGAUUUUUCAUUCACAUCUUUGUCUAAACUAGAUGAUGGGUGCAUAGGAGUCAUGAUCUCAACUUCAUUCAUUUUGAACUUCUUAAAAAUAUCUUUGACAUAUUUUUCUUAACAGAUGAAAAUACCAUUAAAAUGUUGUUUGAUUUGCAAGCUAAGAAAAACAUGAGUUGUUCCAUCAUGUUCAUCUCAAAUUCACUUUGUAUAAGGUUAAAAAAUUCCUUACACAUGUUUACAUUAAUUAAACCAAAAAUGAUAUCUUCAAUAUAAACUUGUACCAUCAACAUAUCAGAUUGAUUGAUUUUUUUUUUCUUUUUUCUUUUAAAAAGAGUGGUAUCAAUAUUUCUUCUUGCAAAACACUUUUCUUUAAGAAAAAGGUCCCAAUCUCUCCAACCAAACUCUUGGAACUUGUUUAUGACUAUGUAGAGAUUUUGUAAGUUUAAAAACAUGAUUUGAUUUUUCUUUGUUGAUGAACAUUGACUUCUUCAUUCAUAAAACCAUUUAGAAAGUCACUUUUAACAUCCAUUUUGCACUUAUGAGUUGUAAAUGUAAGUAAGAUUAUGAUAGAUAUAAACCUUAUUAUUGGUGCAAAAGUCUCAUCAUAACCAAUACUCCCUUCGUCUCAAAUUGUAUGACGUUUUGGGUAUUUCACACAUUAAGAAAUGUAAUUAAUAUUCUGUGGAAAAGAGAUAUUAUGAGUUGUUUUACAAAAUUAUCUUGAUAAAUAAUAUGAGAAAAAUAAAUGAAAGAAUUGAAAGAAGAGAGAGUAAUAAAUAGUUAGGGUUAUAAUAGGAAAAACAACAUUAAUAUUGUAUUAGUAUUAUAAAGCAACAUAUAAUUUGAGACAACUUUUCUCCUAAAACGACAUACAAUUUUAGAACAAGCUUGUUUCUGAAUACUCUAUUCCAAUAAUUUUUUUGACUGUGAGACUUAAAGACAAGAUUCCAAACUUUAUUUUUUUUCAAAUUCUUCAUGGUUUAAAGAAUUUUUGGGAUUGUUUUCUACUCAUAUUUCUUACAUGCUCUUAACCUUAUUGGUAAUACCGAUAUUUAUUUUCGUUGUUAUGCAGUUGAGAUCCUAUCAAUCCGAGAUGUUUUAAAGCUUGAUUGGACCUUGCAAUUAAUUCACAGUUCACACCUCAAGCGAAGAUAAUCAAGAUGUUGAUCUUAUAAUGACGAUAAGUUCUACCUUUGACAUGAACCUCCUCCUGAUCUCCCUUCCAUUGGAAUAGUUUAAUUAAGAAAGUGUAGAUUUUCUUGGUUUUCUUUGUUUUUUUCUUCCAUCUUUGUACCCAAAAAAUAUCUAACUUCCAAAGGAAACGUGAAUCAAUGUAUGGCUAAAGUCACACAUUAAAAAAAAUAUAUAUAUAAAUAAAAUAUAAUAUGUUAAAAAUAAGAGCAAUAAGUCAACUCUUACAAUGUGUUUCUUGUUUGAGUCCUGCAAUGUUAUUUACUGCUUUUGAUGUGAUUAAUUAUUGAGAAUGACUGAGUUUUAUCCAAAUAAUUUUAUAGAUGUGCUGAAGCGGCGUUACACCAUCAAUAAAAUCAUUUGAAUAAAACAUUUUUAUGAUUUAUAAGCUUUUAAAGUUGAUUUUGCUCUUGCCGGUAGCAACUUCAAGUGUUGAACAUGUUUUUUCAACAUUGAAAAUUGUUGUGAAGAGUAAUUAUGUAACAAAAUAGGUGAUCAAUGUAACUUAUAUAGAAAGAAUUGUUCUUUUAGCAAUUAACUUAUAUAGAAAACAAUUUUCAUUGUAAUAAUGUUUUUUUUUAGGGAAUGUAUUAUAUCAAAUAAUAUUAUUUCCUAUUUUAAACAUUUUAAUUUCACAUAUAUCAAAUGCUCCCUUAAAACUGAUGUAGCUUUUUUUUUUUUUUAAGGAGAAGAAAACGUGAUGUUAUUCGAUUAUUUUGUUAUAUUCUGGACUCUUUAAUUUAUAUUUUUUUCGUCUCAAUCAUUUAUGAUUGUUAGCCCCAAAGGGUUGUUGGGUCAGCGCACUAUAUGGUCAUCAUAGCUGGAUCAUACCUUUAUUAAAGUUAUUUAUUGAAAAAAGAUAUUUUGUUUUUUAAUCUAAUAGCGAAAUGAUAAUAGUUAAUUCAAUUUUGCACAUAAAUAAAGUAUUUUUUUGAAAGAAGCACAUAAAUAAAGGUUGUUUUUUUUAGGAAACAUAAAUAAAGGUUGUACGGUUUAAAUUCUUGUCACAGUCUAACAAUUUUGAUCUUUUUAUAAGUUCAACGAUUUAUAGACACUGACGAGAGCUUUAUUAAAGUUAAAAUAAAGUGAGUUGCGAUAUAUUGUCAUAUUUAUCAACAACCCUGAUUAAAUGUAAUUAAUCACUUAUUUGAAUUAUAUUAACCAUCAAUUUUAUUGUCAAAAUAACAGAAAUGGUGUCACAAGAGAGUAGAAACAAAAACGAGUAGACCACAUGACAAAUAAGUUUCACAAAACUCUGUCAUAUACAUUACUCUUUGAUCAAUACACAAUGACAAUACAGACAAAAUAUAUGUAAAUUUUGAAUUGUGUAAUAUUUAAUUAGCAAUAUGUAUAUGUACAACAUGGUUGUGGAGAGCCAGAUAGGAGCAAAUAUUUUCAUAUUUUAUAUGUUGCUGUCCUUUUUAAAUUAAUAAAAUCCUCGUUAAGAUGUCAUGUGUGAUUUGUUGAGUUAACAAAAAGCAAUAGAAACUUUAUGGUAUACACUAUACUCAAAUUGCUAUGUUUCGUACCAACUUUAUAAUUAGUACUAAUACAGUUAUGAAUAAAGAAAUGGACUAAACAACAAAGACUUUGAGUUAAAGACAGAGGGACAAGGUAGAGAGAGAUUGAGACAGAAGGUGGAGAUUUGUUCAUACUAUGAUUCUCUCUUUAUCAAAAUUUCACAUGGCAAAAUCCUAGAUCAUGAAAAUGUGUUCUGUGCUGUAAUUCAUUACUUUUCAUUCAUAUUCCAGUCUCUUCACCUCCUUCUCCACGUUUCUAUAAUAAUUAUUCAUCAAUGAGUGUAUACAUAAAUACACUUUAUCUUACUAUCUAUGAAUGAUUCAUUCAAUGAGCAUUAUUAUUUUUACUAUAUAGUUGAUCAUAGAAGAAGGGUCAUUCACAUUAUUUGAUUUGAUUAGUACUUAAUUAUAUGGGAAGUUAUAGAGUCUGCGUGUGUUUCCGGCGGAGGUUUAAGUCCGGGGAGGCAGUGGCGCCUCAGGAAGUCAGGGAGAUCUUCAACAAGUAUGCUGAAGGUGGGGCCCACAUGACUCCGGAACAGCUCCGGAGGUUUCUUGUGGAGGUUCAAGGUGAGGUUGAUGAUGAGAAGGAUGGACUUGAUACACAGAAGGUGGUGGAGGAAGUGUUGCAGAAGCGGCAUCAUAUUACGAAGUUUGCAAGACAUAAUCUCACGCUUGAAGAUUUUCAUCAUUAUCUAUUCUCUACUGAAUUCAACCCUCCUAUUAGAUCUAAGGUAAUGCAUUUGACUUGUUUUUGUCAUGUUGUUUUGAUUCAACGGUUUGACUUUUGGUCAAACAUCAUAUGUUUAUGUUCUGUUUCAAUUUGUUGGAUUAAUUGGAUCUAGUUAAGGUGGAUUUUAGAGGAAAUAAGUGUCUCAUAUUUGGCAUUUUUUAAUGUUAGUUUCAUGUUCUUCCUUGAUUGUGAUAAUUUGAACUUGCUAGUAGUAGUGAUGUUAAUUGUAAACCUCUUCUCUGAUUCAGGUUCAUCAGGAUAUGACAGCUCCAUUGUCGCAUUAUUUUAUAUAUACUGGCCAUAACUCUUAUCUCACUGGAAAUCAACUCAGCAGUGAUUGUAGUGAUAUCCCCAUUAUAAAGGCAUUGCAUAGAGGUGUGAGAGUGGUUGAGCUUGAUAUUUGGCCUAAUUCCACCAAAGAUGAUGUUCUUGUGCUACAUGGAAGGUAAUUAUAUUUUUCGUGGAUAAUGUUUGCACUGACACUUCUAAUUGAAGGAGUGUCCCGGUGUCCGACAUGUGUCAUGUCCGACACUAACACCACACCGAUACUUGUGAUUACAUUGAAUUAUGUCAUUUUCUCAAAAUUUUAUCAGUGUCGACAUUUCCGUGUCAUUGUCGUGUCUGGUGUCUGGUGUCCGUGUUAGUGUCCGUGCUUCAUCCUGAUCAACACAGCAAAAAAUGGUUUAAUUUCUAUUUCCCUUUUCAAUGCAGCUAUAUGAGCAUAAAAAAUCACUACUUAUUUGGAAUGUGUAUAGUGUUGUCUCCCUUUUAAUAAACUCUUAGUUUAUGAUUUUGAGAGUGGAAGUAUAAGUAACUGAUAGAACAAAAAUUUCAUAUUCUGCAAAUCUAUAUAAGCUUGAUGAAUGAGCUAUCAGAGUGUAAAUCACAAGAAUUUAUAUCUAUGCACCAAAAGGAUCUCUUCUGCUAAGGACUGUUCAUGAUUCGGUUCAUGAAGGAAGACUGAACCGGAAUGAACCUUUACAACAGUUUAGUAAAACUGAACUGAACCAUCAAUGAUAUAAAUCAGUUUGUUAAACCGAACUGUUUCUUUGUGAACCUUGCACCUUUUCGAACUGGACAAGCUAAAGGCACACACCGUGCGCAUUAACUGAUUUUGGAAUUUUAACAAGAACCAAAAACCGAACUAUUAAACCAAACUGCACCGCACCGAGAAAACUGAAUUUUGAUCGACAGUUCAUGAAUUGAACUGAACUGAGUAAUAAAAACACCAGUUCAGUUCUUGAACUGUCCGUCAUAAUUUGCUUCUUUUCAGUUCGGAUCGGUUUAACGGUUUAGUUUUUUGUUUUUUUUAACAGUCCUAUUGUGCUGGUAAUCUUUUUCUUUGACUUAUAAUUUUUUGCUGGUAGUUCAUGCUAAAUACCUAACUUUUGCAUAUAUUCUACUUGUGUUGACCUGUGAAUGUAGGACAUUGACCACACCUGUUGAUUUGAUCAAAUGUUUGAAAUCCAUUAAGGAACACGCGUUCUCGGCAUCUCCGUACCCAGUUGUAAUAACUCUGGAAGAUCAUCUUACCUCAGACCUUCAAGCAAAAGCUGCUCAGGUAAUUUCUUAUAGGUUUAACCAUGCUUUCAAUUUCUGUAAUUAUCUCGAAUUUUAUUUUAAGUUUCUGUAUCCUCUUUGAGGACUAAAGGCAUGCAGUUUUAUAACUUGUAGAGACAUAAAAGUGGAUACAGCGACUAAAAAUAAAAAGUGUAAAUUUUAUAGGGGACUAAAAACAUGUUUAAUUGUUUGUUAUAUCUGAAAGGAGUAAAUCACUCGGGUUCACAAUUUUUUUGGAAUUAAUCAUCAUUCUCUUUCGACGUUAUUAGAUGAUUACUCAAACAUUUGGAGAUAUGCUGUUCUGUCCAAAUGAUGAAAAUUUAAACAAUAUUCCAUCACCUGAAGAAUUGAAGUAUAGGAUCAUGAUAUCAACAAAACCUCCAAAAGAGUACUUAAAUUCCAAAAGUGUUAGGGAGAAUUCUGAACAAUUGCUGAAAUCAAAAUCAAAGGAUUCUGAUGAAGACGAAUGGGGAAAGGAAGUCACUGAUGUUGUACAUGCACAAAAUGAAGACGACAAGGUGAGAUAAACUAAGAAUUUCACUUUAUAGAAGCCUCUAUUUUCACAAGAUAAUGACAUAUUCGUUUAUGCUGUUUUUGUAUAAGUUAUAAACUGUUCUCGUAAGCUAUCCUGAACAUGCUAUAAGAUGUUUCCAAAAUCUCUUUCAAACAGUCUUACAAAGAGUUCAUGUUAGCAGAUAAGUUCAAAUAAGCCAAUUCUAACAGUCUUGUUUUUUUCUUUCUAUUUUCUUACAGGGUGACUGUGACUCACAUCAACAGAAUGAUGAUGAUGAUGAAUCAAAUGAUGAUGAAUAUGAAACAAAUCACGAGAGUGAGUAUAAGCGUCUAAUCGCUAUUCAUGCUGGAAAACCUAAGGGUAGUUUGAAGGAAGCCUUAAAAGUUGAAGAAGAUAAAGUGAGACGCCUUAGCUUAAGUGAACAAGCUCUUGAGAAGGCUGCUGAGUCGCUCGGAACUGAUCUUAUUAGGUAGCAUCUGAUUUCAUAUCAAAUAUCAUUUAUACGAUUAUUAAUUACCACUAGUGACCAUUUUACAGUUGUUAUCGAGAGAAUUUAAAUUAAGUGUACCUUGAGGUUACAAAGUCAUCAGCGUUAUAAUAGAUCAUGUAGCUUACCACUAAGCUGAUUAUAACUAAUUUCCUAGCUUAAGUUUACAAGUGAUUUACUACUCUUCCACUUUUCCUUAAACUCUUCUACAUUCUAAUUCUAAUUGUAAUGCUUUCUAUUUUGUAUGAUAGGUUCACCCAGAAAAACUUUUUGAGGAUAUAUCCGAAGGGUACACGUGUCACCUCGUCGAACUACAAGCCACUGAUUGGCUGGAUGCAUGGUGCUCAAAUGGUUGCAUUCAAUAUGCAAGGAUAUGGCAGAAAUCUUUGGUUGAUGCAUGGAAUGUUUAGAUCCAAUGGGGAAUGUGGUUAUGUGAAAAAACCAGACUUUCUAAUGAAUGUAGGUCCAAAUAAUGAGGUAUUCAAUCCUAAAGAUAAGUUGGAAGUGAAGAAGACGCUUAAGGUGAGGACUGAGGAUAUUAUCAAAAUGAAAAAGUUAGCAAAAUGAACAUUUUUCUUGCACUGUGUUUAAUUUAUUCUCACUGGAUAGGUUAAAAUAUAUGUGGGAGAUGGAUGGAGUAUGGAUUUCAAACAAACUCACUUUGACUCAUAUUCUCCACCAGAUUUUUAUGCCAGGGUAAGUUUUUUCUAUUUAUUUAUAAUUAUGCUUUGAUUUACAAUAUAACUGCUUAAUUCUUUAUGCACUAAUAGUACUUAUGUAAUCUUUAAUCUUUCACCACUUGAAGCUUAAAUAACUUUAAGGAUAUUAUUUCUCUUUAAUGAAAGUUGUGAGAAUUAAUACUAUGAUUCUUUCUAGAGUACAUUUGUUAAGGUCUAUUUACAAGUUAUUUGGUCUUGUCUAAUGACAUACAUACUUGUGUAAAGUGAGGUUAUCAAAUUGAGUUUAAAUCAUGAACCAGAAAACCUAUACAUAGGGAUUCAUUUGAAAGAAUCAGGGCUCAUCACUGUGAGUCGGGAUUCAUCAUAACGAAUCGGGAUUUAAAAUGAGAUUCAUAUCAAAAUUAGAUACAUACCAGAGACUCAUAUGAAUUGAGUUAAGUUUUGUAUCAAAUUGAGAUAUGACUUGCAUGUAUCAUAAGAUACUAAUAACCAUUUUUGCAAGAGCGUGCGCAUAAGCUGUUUACAGCACAUAUGAUAAUCUUGAAGGAUAACUUACAUGAAACGACUCACAAUUUAUAUGAAAACAGUUUAACCACGUUCUUUCGACGAUUACAGAAAUAGCUUAUUCAUAAGUGUUUAUAUCAUAUAUGAUAAUCACUUAUUCAAUAUGCGUUUAAUUAAGUCGUUUACCAAAACAAACCAUCGGUACUUCUUGCAUGAGCUUACAUGUGAAUUUGUGAGGCAGGUUGGCAUAGCUGGAGUGCCGGCUGAUGUAACAAUGAAGAAAACAAAGACAAUAGAGGAUAACUGGAUACCUACUUGGGAAGAAGAAUUCACCUUCCCUUUAACUGUGCCUGAACUUGCUUUGCUUAGAGUGGAAGUACAUGAAUAUGACAUGUCUGAGACAGAUGAUUUUGCUGGCCAAACUUGUUUACCAAUCACUGAACUAAAACAAGGGAUCCGCGCCGUUCCACUUUACGAUCGAAAAGGAGAGAAAUACAACUCAGUUAGGCUUCUUAUGAAAUUUGAUUUUAUUUAAGCUGUUCUUCUCUACUUGGGAGUAUAUUUAUUUUAUAUUAUGAUGAAGAAUGUUGAAACUUGUUUUCCAUGUCACACUUGAUUCAUGUGGAUUUGGCCUAACCAUGUAAGUAAAUAAUAUUAAAAAUUAAAAAUAGUAAUAGGAUUUUAUGUUGCAACUCAUGCUUCAUUAUGGCAGCGUUUACCUCUAUUGAAGUUUGAGUGGUUUUGGAGUUAUAAUUCUCUUUUGUUUUCUGCAUUGUAAAGCUAUAAUUCUGUUAUGUUACCAACUUAUUAGCAACAAAAUAACCCGCUCAUUUGAUCCUUGUAUAUGUAUUCCUCUGAUAGACCAAAAUGAAUAAGUUAAAUUAAGUAAACAUAAAAUUCUUAAUGAAUGAACAAUGGUACUCAAAUCAUAAAAGAAAGACCAUAAAAGAGAGCAAUGAUACUCAAAUCAUUAUAAAAAAAAAUACCAUAAAAGAGAGCGCAGGAUUGUUGCAAACUUGCUAUAAUCCUGUUCAAUAAAAUUAAUUUUAUUAUAUUUUGAUUGUUCUAACAUUUGAAUGUCUACAUAUAUAAUCACACACGUUUUUUUUCUUCCUGUGUAACCACUAAAUUUAUGGAUAUUGGGACUAAGGCUAUGUUUGGAUUGAUGGAGAGUGGUGGAAUGGGAUGGAAUAGAGUCAGAUUCCAUUGUUUGGUUUUGCAAAAUUGUAAUGGAAUGGAAUGGAAUGUGAUGGAACUCAUUCCAUCCAAUACCACUCAUUCAUCCAAUUUUCCAUUCCUCCCAAAUUGGGGUGUAUCCAAUGGAAUGGAACACAUUAAUAACUCAAUUACAUUUUUAUCCCUACUAUUUCUAUUUCAUUAGCCACUCCUCAUUCCAUGUUUCUUUUUUCCAUUGAUUGUUUCUUGUUUAUAAAUCUCUUUCUUCUUCAUUCAUAUUAAAGUGUCACGAAAAUUGACUAUAGUAGUUACAAAUGGAAAAACACAUAGGUUUCUUAUUUAUAAACCUCUUUGAGAUCGAUUUUGAAUUAUAUCUAAAAACUAUUGAUAUUGAAUUAUAUAUAAAAAUACGAUGAAUAGUAAUUUGCAACUAAUGUAACCUACAUAGGCUAGAAAAUAGAUGAAUUUUAACGUGUAACCUAUAUUAUUAUUGUUUUAUUUAACCUGACAAAUGGAAAUACUGUAGUUGCAAAUUAUGCCAGAACCGAAAUUUAAAAAUGUUUUGUUCAUAUCUUAAUUUGUGGUUAUACUUGUGUUUAUUCCUUUACUUGUUUAUUUUGUGCUAUUUAUGAAUAAUGUCAAAAUAACUACGUAUUGAUUGAAUUGAGUUGAGAAUUCAACAUAGUGAUGUUUUUAAGUAAAGGGUAAAAAUGAAAUAAAAAAGUUAUAAAUCAUUCCGUUCCAUUCACUUUCCAAACAAUGGAGUGGAAAAUUAGUUCAAUUCCGUAGUAAAAUAUCCAAACAAUAGGAUGGAACCUUUGUUCCGCUCCGUUCCACUCCGCUCCAUUCCGUUCCGCUCCGUUAGUUUCAUGUUAUCCAAACAGAGCCUAAAGAAAGCAAGGUAGAGAGAUGGAAGAGAAAUGAUAGGGUCACACCUACUAACACACUCUUUUAAAGUUUUAACACACCCAACAAGAAUUAGUCAUGUGUCCCACUUUUUUAAUUCAAUUAACUUGAAAUCUGUUCAACCAGUUUUUAAACAUUUGUUUUUUAUUUUUUUAAUAUUUUAGUACAACAGUUGGAGAGAGAAAGAGAAGAAAAAAACGAAGAGAGAGAAGAGUGUUGAAAAAUAAUCUGGGUCUUCAAUUUCGAUCUUCAAGCUUGAAAGCUUAAGAACCUAAAAUUUAAAGAGUCACACGUGUCUCUCUCUUGUUCCAGUUUCCCCAGCUAUGUCACCUUUCUCUCUUCUAUCUUAAAUGGUUUUGUUCAUCGUCCAUCCACUACGAGCGUCAUCAUUUACCUGGCGUUUUGAUUAUGUGAUUUGGAGAAAAUUCAUGCAAGUAAUUUUUAACUAAUGGAGUAAAAUAUGUCAUCCCUGGAUAAGUACUUAUAAAAAACCAUUAAAAUAACGAAAGCAAUGGAUCUCUUGUAACUCCAUUUUACUCUUUUAAAAGUGUCACAUAUGCAUAAUGCUUGUAUAUAGUUAACCCAAUUUUAGUUUAUAUAGAGAGAUAGAUAGAUAAAUAUAGAAGAUAGGUAGAUAGAUAUUGAUAGAUUCACAUAGUCAUAUGCACUAUAAAUCUAUAUAAUAUUUUAACUAAUAAAUGAUAAUAUAUACUCCCUCCGUUCUAAUUUAUAAGCAAAAAAACAUUAAUUCACACUUAUUAAGAAAACUAACAUUUAGUAAUUUGAGGUAUAAUUUUUUCGUGUUCUCCUUGAAAUAAGUUUCAUGGAAAGAAGUAAAAAUAAUUCUCAUUGGCUAAAAAUUAUGGAGAAAAUAAAAAGGAGAAUAAAUUGAAUGCAAUUUGUAUUUAAUUUUACAUUGGAAAAGAUGAUUUGUUUGAAAAAACAUAAUAAUGACAUAAAAGUUGGUCUUUUUUACUUAUAUUUUGAGACAAAGAAUACGAGAUUUUUUUGCUUAUAUUUUAAGACGGAGGGAGUAUGUUUUUAGAUAAAUGUUAGUGUUUAGUAUAUUGUUGGAGGGGAAGGGGUAAUAUUAUCAGCAGGGAUCAAAUCUUAACCUCUUCUUAAUCUCCAAUUUUCCAACCCUUUGACCACACAAUCAAUGAUUAAUGCAAAACAAUUAGUUGUUGGUUAACGCAUAAACAUAUAUUGCAUUAACCAAAGGAAGAAAUUUUUUAAAGUAGGAGAAUGGUAUUGGUUUAUAUUGUAAAUUUUUUAAAAAUAUAUAUAUUUAUAAUAAUUAAUAUGUUUUUUAUUUACUUUUUCAACAAAAUAAUGAUAGUAGCACUUUUUUAUACAUAUUUUAGAGAAAAUCUAUUUUUUUUCUCUCAUAUUUUAUCAUGUGUUUUUCAAUAUCUUGAUUAAGACGUAACACUUUCAAAGGUAGAAGAUCAACCAUUAGUGUUAAAAUGAGAGUAUAAGUUGAAAAUGGCAAGGAAGUAGAUACCCUCAUUUAUAUAUUAUUGGAAUUAGAAUAAGAACCAUUAGAGAAAAGGAGAAAAAGAAUGGACAACAAAAGCUAUGAGAAUGUCUUUACCUAUUCAUUUUGUUCUCCUGCUAUUAAUACAAUUUUUUUUUUGAAACAAAAAUGAAUGUGGCUUUCCCUAAAAAAAAAUCAGCUUGAGCUUAUUUUUUAAAGAAUAAUUAAAAAACUCAAGCUUAUUUAAAACAUUUGUUGAUAAAGUUUAUUUUUUGGUAAAAUAAUUCAUAAUUUCCUUUAAAAAGAUAGGUAUUCUUUGACCAAAAAAAAAAAAUAGGUAUCCUCUAGUGUGAAGAGAGUUAUUUUAAGGGAUAGACAAAACCCAACUCUUAAAUUUUCCUCAAAACUUUCUUACUUUUUGAACAUGAGAAAUCAUGGUUUUGCUUCCUAACAUUAACAAAUUUAAUUACAAUAUAUUUUCUACAAAGAAGAAAUAAACAUGCAGGUGGUAAAAAAAAAGUAUAGAAAAUGUUCCACUUAUCUUGUUGACAUUGCCGCAUAACUUGAAUCUCCAAUUUAUGACCUGAGAUAAAGAUUUUGUAAUUGUAAAAAAAGUGUGAAACUUUCUUAGUCCUUGAAGUGCCACAUCAUCAUAAUUCUAGCUUAAUAUAGUUCCAUAUUUUGUCUACAAAGAUGUUAAUCUAGAGAUGCCACAUCAUCAAGUUUGCUUUUUAUAUAGAAGAUAUAGAUAGAUAGUUAUCCGUAGUAGUUUUAUGAAGUUAUUAGUAGUUAUAAAAAGAUAGUUACAUAUUGGUGUGUUAUAUUAAGAUAGUUACUUAUCUCUUGUGAGGAAAACCUUGAUGAGGCUGACUACAUUUUUCCUUCAGAAUCUCACGUCGCAGCUUUAAGGUUUGCGACGCGAGACGAUUCUUUGCAUUUUUUCUCUUGCCUUUUAUGUUUUUCGGAUAUUUUCUUGUCCUUGCAUUUCAUGACUUUUUAUUAUGAAUUCUCACAUUCACAACACUGUAUCACAAAAGAACUGACUCGAUCACUCAAAAAACAUAAUUUAAAAUUUGGAUGAGGUUAAGAAAUUGAUGUCAGCAUGCGAAGUGAGCUUUUGUUGGAACUGUUUUUAACUGCUUAGCUAUGUUUUUUUGUUACAAUGACACAACGCAAUCAUUGCAUAUAUAGCUUUAUGAUGCAUUAAAACAAUAAAGUUACAAAUGCAUCUUAUAUUCUUUUGCAGCCUGAUAAUAUUUACUAAUCAGUUUUGUAAGGUUGACUUAGAUUCGAUCUAAAUUAUACUUAUGUGUGUGGAUCAAUUUGGUUUAAGUUUUUUCACAACUAAUUGUAAAAAACUAAAAGUUGAAUCCGUCUUGCAAUAAUAAUGAGUAUUCUAAUUAAUAGUUUCAAGUAGGCUUAAAUAUGUAUUUCACUAGAUCGUCCAUCCGUGCUGCCGCACGGGUCAUAUACAUUGUAAGUAUUGUAGACAAAAACAAAAUUUUAUAAUACAGUCCCAACUUAUAAUUUUAAAUACAACUAUAGAAGGAAAUUGUAUAAUUGAUUCAAAAUAUUUUUAGUGACAUUGAGCAGCAAUCUAUAAUUUAAUAAAAGAAGAGGUUUUGCCAAAAGCACUGCACACAUCUCUUUUUCUCGUGAGUCAAUUACAUUGAAAAUUCAUAUAUUAUAUAUCACUAACAAAGAUACAAAAAUUAUGUUGAAAGGAAUUUGUAUAAUUCAUUCAAAAUAUGUUUAGUUAACUUUAAUAUAUAAGAAGAUGUAUCGAGAAGUUGAGAAGGGGGAAAAUUCAAUAAGGUUAAACAAAGGAAUUUAGAAUCAGGGUUAAAAUAGUAAAUUUAUACAAUAAGUUUAAGUUAAAAUUAGGGCUAAAAUAUGCUUCUGUGUUAGCCUUAAUAUAUAAGAAGAUAGAAGAAAAUUGUAUAAUUGAUUCAAAAUAUUUUUAGUGACAUUGAACAGCAAUCUAUAAUUUAAUAACAGAAAAGAAUUUGCCAAAAGCACUGCACACAUCUCUUUUUCUCGUGAGUCAAUUACAUUGAAAAUUCAUAUAUUAUAUAUCACUAACAAAGAUACAAAAAUUAUGUUGAAAGAAAUUUGUAUAAUUGAUUCAAAAUAUGUUUAGUUAACUUUAAUAUAUAAGAAGAUCUAUCGAGAAAUUGAGAAGGGGGAAAAUUCAAUAAGGUUAAACAAAGGAAUUUAGCAUCAUGGUUAAAAUAGUAAAUUUAUGCAAUAGGUUUAGGUUAAAAUUAGGGCUAAAAUAUGCUUAUGUGUUAACUUUAAUAUAUAAGAAGAUGUAUCGAGAAAUUGAGAAGGAGGAAAAUUCAAUAAGGUUAAACAAAGGAAUUUAGCAUCAGGGUUAAAAUAGUAAAUUUAUGCAAUAGGUUUAGGUUAAAAUUAGGGCUAAAAUAUGCUUCUGUGUUAACUUUAAUAUAUAACAAGAUGUAUCGAGAAAUUGAGAAGGAGGAAAAUUCAAUAAGGUUAAACAAAGGAAUUUAGCAUCAGGGUUAAAAUAGUAAAUUUAUGCAAUAGGUUUAGGUUAAAAUUAGGGCUAAAAUAUGCUUCUGUGUUAACUUUAAUAUAUAAGAAGAUAGUAAAUUUAUGCAAUAGGUUUAGGUUAAAAUUAGGGCUAAAAUAUGCUUCUGUGUUAACUUUAAUAUAUAAGAAGAUGUAUCGAGAAAUUGAGAAGGAGGAAAAUUCAAUAAGGUUAAACAAAGGAAUUUAGCAUCAAGGUUAAAAUAGUAAAUUUAUGCAAUAGGUUUAGGUUAAAAUUAGGGCUAAAAUAUGCUUCUGUGUUAACUUUAACUAGACCAUUGACCCGUGCUAACGCACGUGUCAUUUAAAAAAUUAAUACUCAUAGAAAAAAUAAGACACUGUAGGUCGCUUGAAUGUAAAAAUUGUCGUGAAUCAAAGCAAAAUGUCAAUUACCAUAGACUUUGUUAUUGUUCCAUAAUUCUAGUACGUAGUACCUGUUACUUUAACAUAACAUAUAAUUUUAAAAGGGAAACUGAAGUUCGUUGACAUGCAAAUAGUUUCAAUAAGUAAGAAAAUGAAUAGUACACAAAAAAGUCCUACACAUUACGGAAAACUUCUCUGUAGACCACACUUGAUGCAACAUCGGUAUCAUCACCGUCGUCAUCAUUAAUCAAUAUCUUUAAACCACCCCUCAAAGUAACCCGCGAUAUUGCGACGUACAACUGUCCAUGUGAAAAAUAACAAAGAUGAAUCCAAAACGACAUCUAAAAAUUUCAAUAAAGAGAUAGCUACCUCAGUUGACUCAGUCAUGCUUUCAAUUGUCAUUCGGUUAGUGUUGAGCAAGUCAUCUGAUAAAGACGCGGGGCUGUUCGUUGAAAUUUGGCUGACACUUCGGGUGAACUAUAUUGAUGCAUUUUUCAUUCUAAUAAAAGGGCACCAAUGUUAAUAGAAGAGUGGUGAGACCUCCAGACAACUUAAUUACAACCAAAAAAACUUGCCUUUAUUCUAAAGCAUAUAAAAAUGUAAAUGGUUACCAUGUCAUGUACGCAGCGACAUCAGGCAAAUCGCCAUUAAGUAUCAGCUUAGUCCCAUUAAAGGCAUUAGCAACUCCCAUAGCACCUAAUUUUUUUAAAAAUCAACAGCAAGUGAACAUAAUUUCACAUUUCAUUGUUGAUAUCAGCAGAAAGCACAAACUUAAAACACGACAUACCUAACUACAUGUGUGUCUUGCAAAACUGCAAUAUUAAUACAGUAGGUGUGUCGUUAUCAUGGUUGCCAAAAAAGGUCACAAUUUUGUCAACAUGUUCACCCCAAAGAGAGCAAUGCAAGCGGUUGUUUCUGUAAUAAAAUAUUACCAAAAUAUCAAUUCAGGAACAUAAGGUAUAUUAAAAUUAUAUUACAACCAGGUACAAAGAAAGAGACAAAUCUUACUCAAGAUCUUCUAAAGUGAGAUCAGUAACCCUACUUUUCCUUCCGUCCUUUUCAGUUUCCCUUACAUCACCUCUUUCAAUUACAUGACCAAUAACAUCUGAAAUUACGUAUACAAAAGCAAAAACAAAUGUAUGAAAUUCCUAAACGAAUGCUUAUAGGUAGAAAUAAUGUACAACACACAUUCAGAAUUGAAGUCUUACCCGUAGAUACUUCCUCGACAGUUGAAGAGAGAAUUUCAUUGAAUGGCUUGAACUAAAAAACGUUCAUAGGGAUAGCAGGCGAGUGUACUUUGGUAAAAGUUGAAUUGUGCAUCAUACUAAGCUUAUGUUUGUGUGAAGUUACCUUAUAAGGACUUUCAUUAAAACCUACAAUUGCAUUUUCAAGCUGAAAUGUACCCCCUUCUUGAACCAUGGACCUGAACUUUGCCACCAAAUCUUUUCUACCUGUGGCGUGAAUACGUCCACCCUAUUGACGACAACAACAACAUUAAACAGCUGGUUAAAUUAGAUAACUAAAAAACAACAAUGACAUUAGUUUAAUUUUAAAGCUAAGAGUGCAAACAUGUAGAAACCUUUUCAUCAACCAAAUGUGAGCAACUCGCACACACAUCUUGAGAUUCUUUCUUCCUCCAGAAACAGCUGAGAUUGGAGUGUAUUUGGAAGACAUCAUUAGCUUGUUUUUUCCUUUCCAAGAAAGAGGAUGCUUAUUUAGAUUGAGAUGGUUUGGCUAAUAUGUUAUGAUAUAUUUAUAGGAAAAAGGUGGAAUACGUGUGAGUAGGAUAUGUCGGUUGAGCAAUAAAGAGUAUUAGUUAUCAGGAUAAGCACAAAAUAGUGGAACAAAAUUAGGAAAUGGCCAACAUUUUAGGAUAAAGAUUAAUAUGAAUAAAAUGAAAUUAAUAUUGUUGAUGGGGCACUUUAUUUUACUUAAGAAUUGACAUUUUUUUGUACUUAAGAAUUACCAUAGUUGAUUCGCCAAAACAUAUUUUAGAGAUGUGGAUGAAAUGUGUAGUAGUUACUUGAAUGAGAGGAAUUAGGAUUUUUAGUUUGUUUCCACCCAAAACAUAUUUUAGAGAUGUGGAUGAAAUCCCCUACUUAUUUGAAUGAGAGAAAUAAGGAUUUUAGUUUGUUUCCACCAAAAAGUUACUUUAGAGAUGUGGAUGAAAUCUCUUAGUUACUUGAAUGAGAAGAAUUAGGAUUUUUAGUUUGUUUCCACCGAAAACAUAUUUUAGAGAUGUGGAUGAAAUCCCCUACUUAUUUGAAUGAGAGAAAUUAGGAUUUUAGUUUGUUUCCACCAAAAAGUUAGAUUAAAGAUGUGGAUGAAAUCUCUUAGUUACUUGAAUGAGAGAAAUAAGGAUUAGGAUUUAAGUUUGUUUCCACCCAAAACAUAUUUUAGAGAUGUGGAUGAAAUCUUUAGUAGUUACUUGAAUAAGAGGAAUUAUGAUUUUUAGUUUGUUUCCACCCAAAACAUAUUUUAGAGAUGUGGAUGAAAUCUUUAGUAGUUACUUGAAUGAGAGGAAUUAUGAUUUUUAAUUUGUUUCCACCCAAAACAUAUUUUAAAGAUGUGGAUAAAAUCCCCUGAUUAUUUGAAUGAGAGAAAUAAGGAUUUUAGUUUGUUUCCACCAAAAACUUAGUUAAGAGAUGUGAAUGAAAUCUCUUAGUUACUUGAAUGAGAGAAAUAAGGAUUAGGAUUUAAGUUUGUUUCCACCCAAAACAUAUUUUAGAGAUGUGGAUGAAAUCUUUAGUAGUUACUUGAAUGAGAGGAAUUAGGAAUUUUAGUUUGUUUCCACCCAAAACAUAUUUUAGAGAUGUGGAUGAAAUCUUUAGUAGUUACUUGAAUGAGAGGAAUUAUGAUUUUUAGUUUGUUUCCACCCAAAACAUAUUUUAAAGAUGUGGAUGAAAUCUCCUGAUUAUUUAAAUGAGAGAAAUAAGGAUUUUAGUUUGUUUCCACCAAAAACUUAGUUAAGAGAUGUGAAUGAAAUCUCUUAGUUACUUGAAUGAGAGAAAUUAGGAUUAGGAUUUUAGUUUGUUUCCACCAAAAACAUAUUUUAGAGAUUAGGAUUAGUAAUUGUUAGUAAUAAUGUUAAGAGGAGACGUUACACCGCUAUGCUACUAAAUUGAUUCUAGUAAUUGUUACUAAUAAUGUUACUAAAAUGCUUCAGUAACACAGUCAUGCUACUAAAUUGAUUCAGCAACACAAAAACAAACACAAAUAUAUAAAUAAAAAAGCAAAGCAAGCAAGGCUAAAUUAUUUAUGAAAUUCAAGGGACAUUUGCUAAAUUCAAAGACAAAAAAAAUAGAUGCUUCCAAAACUCUAAGAAACUAAAACUUAAAAUUCAAAUUGGAAAGGUCUUGCACAAUUUAUCUAAACAUGGACUAAUUGUAAAUAACAUCAAGGUAGAUGGUAUCAUGUGACCCAACCAUCGGAGCACCCCCUCUGAUCUUCACACCGUCACCCACAAAAACCAAGGUCAGGCACCAAGAUCGAUUCCGUAAAAGUCACGAAUUGCUUUCCAUCCCUUUGUGAGAAAAAAUGCUUCGUUUACUCUAUCGACCAAUAAUUCAAACUUGUUGGACUUAGGAUCAAUCAAUAUUGCAUAGCGCCCAAUUUGAUCUCCGAAAUCACCGCCAAACAUGUUUGGCAAGCAUACUGCACCCUAAAAAAAUAACAAACAAAAACAUCACAAACGUUGAUAAAAUAGAAUGCAAAUAAUUGAGAAUAGGUAUAUUUCGCAAAAAACACAUACAGCAUCAAUGUCAUAUUCAACGAUAUAUGAUAUGUAUUUCAGUCUGAGCUUGUUGAUUGCUUUGUCAAGAUCGGAAAAAGGGUUUUUCACCAACGGACCUACAAAAGAUUGAAAGGGAUUGAAAGAAUUAUUUAUACUUUAAAACAGUGAGGAAUAAGAGCAAAAAUCUAUAUAUUUAGUUUAAACCAGAGUGGAAUGAAGAUAUGGUUACCAGUGAGGCAGUGGUAUGACAGUAAAGUCUGAAUGUUUCUGGAAGCCAUGUUGAAAAGAGAUUUCGGUUUAGGAGAAAAGAUAAAAAUAUAUUGGUGAGGGUUUGGAGGAGAGAAAUAUAUGGUUUUAAAGAGAGAUUUCGGUUUAGGAGAAAGGAUUAAAAUAUAUUGGUUAGGGUUUGGAGGAGGGGAAUUAGGAAAUAUGAUUUAGGAGGAGUGAAGUUAGAAGGUUAGGGUUUGGAGGAGGAGAAUUAGGAAAUAUGGUUAGGUUUUAAAGGAGGGAAAAAUUGCUAAAAUAAUAGGGUUAAAAUAUUAGGUUAAAAUUAGGGCAACCAAGCUUUGUUUAGGAAUAAGAAGAUAUAUAACAAGAUGUAUCGAGAAAUUGAGAAGGAGGAAAAUUUAAUAAGGUUAAACAAAGGAAUUUAGCAUCAGGGUUAAAAUAGUAAAUUUAUGCAAUAGGUUUAGGUUAAAAUUAGGGCUAAAAUAUGCUUCUGUGUUAACUUUAAUAUAUAAGAAGAUAGGUUUAGGUUAAAAUUAGGGCUAAAAUAUGCUUCUGUGUUAACUUUAUUAUAUAAGAAGAUGUAUCGAGAAAUUGAGAAAGGGAAAAAUUCAAUAAGGUUAAACAAAGGAAUUUAGCAUCAGGGUUAAAAUAGUAAAUUUAUGCAAUAGGUUUAGGUUAAAAUUAGGGCUAAAAUAUGCUUCUGUGUUAACUUUAAUAUAUAAGAAGAUGUAUCGAGAAAUUGAGAAGAAGGAAAAUUCAAUAAGGUUAAACAAAGGAAUUUAGCAUCAGGGUUAAAAUAGUAAAUUUAUGCAAUAGGUUUAGGUUAAAAUUAGGGCUAAAAUCUGCUUCUGUGUUAACUUUAAUAUAUAAGAAGAUAGUAAAUUUAUGCAAUAGGUUUAAGUUAAAAUUAGGGCUAAAAUAUGCUUCUGUGUUAACUUUAAUAUAUAAGAAGAUGUUUCGAGAAAUUGAGAAGAAGGAAAAUUCAAUAAGGUUAAACAAAGGAAUUUAGCAUCAGGGUUAAAAUAGUAAAUUUAUGCUAUAGGUUUAGGUUAAAAUUAGGGCUAAAAUAUGCUUCUGUGUUAACUUUAAUAUAUAAGAAGACGUAUCGAGAAAUUGAGAAGGAGGAAAAUUCAAUAAGGUUAAACCAAGGAAUUUAGCAUUAGGGUUAAAAUAGUAAAUUUAUGCAAUAGGUUUAGGUUAAAAUUAGGGCUAAAAUAUGCUUCUGUGUUAACUUUAAUAUAUAAGAAGAUAGUAAAUUUAUGCAAUAGGUUUAGGUUAAAAUUAGGGCUAAAAUAUGCUUCUGUGUUAACUUUAAUAUAUAAGAAGAUGUAUCGAGAAAUUGAGAAGGAGGAAAAUUCAAUAAGGUUAAACAAAUGAAUUUAGCAUCAGGGUUAAAAUAGUAAAUUUAUGCAAAAGGUUUAGGUUAAAAUUAGGGUUAAAAUAUGCUUCUGUGUUAACUUUAAUAUAUAACAAGAUGUAUCGAGAAAUUGAGAAGGAGGAAAAUUCAAUAAGGUUAAACAAAGGAAUUUAGCAUCAGGGUUAAAAUAGUAAAUUUAUGCAAUAGGUUUAGGUUAAAAUUAGGGCUAAAAUAUGCUUUUGUGUUAACUUUAAUAUAUAUAAGAAGACGUAUCGAGAAAUUGAGAAGGAGGAAAAUUCAAUAAGGUUAAACCAAGGAAUUUAGCAUCAGGGUUAAAAUAGUAAAUUUAUGCAAUAGGUUUAGGUUUAAAUUAGGGCUAAAAUAUGCUUCUGUGUUAACUUUAAUAUAUAAGAAGAUAGUAAAUUUAUGCAAUAGGUUUAGGUUAAAAUUAGGGCUAAAAUAUGCUUCUGUGUUAACUUUAAUAUAUAAGAAGAUGUAUUGAGAAAUUGAGAAGGAGGAAAAUUCAAUAAGGUUAAACAAAGGAAUUUAGCAUCAGGGUUAAAAUAGUAAAUUUAUGCAAUAUGUUUAGGUUAAAAUUAGGGCUAAAAUAUGCUUCUGUGUUAACUUUAAUAUAUAAGAAGAUGUAUCGAGAAAUUGAGAAGGGGGAAAAUUCAAUAAGGUUAAACAAAGGAAUUUAGCAUCAGGGUUAAAAUAGUAAAUUUAUGCAAUAGGUUUAGGUUAAAAUUAGGGCUAAAAUAUGCUUCUGUGUUAACUUUAACUAGAUCGUCCACCCGUGCUGCCGCACGGAUCAUAUACAUUGUAAGUAUUGUAGACAAAAGCAAAAUUUUAUAAUACAGUCCCAACUUAUAAUUUUAAUGUCAUAAUUUGAAAUACAACUAUAGAAGGAAAUUGUAUAAUUGAUUCAAAAUAUUUUUAGUGACAUUGAGCAGCAAUCUAUAAUUUAAUAACAUAAGAGAUUUUGCCAAAAACACUGCACACAUCUCUUUUUCUCGUGAGUCAAUUACAUUGAAAAUUCAUAUAUUAUAUAUCACUAACAAAGAUAAAAAAAUUAUGUUGAAAGCAAUUUGUAUAAUUGAUUCAAAAUAUGUUUAGUUAACUUUAAUAUAUAAGAAGAUGUAUCGAGAAAUUGAGAAGGGGAAAAAUUCAAUAAGGUUAAACAAAGGAAUUUAGAAUGAGGAAGAACCUCCUUCAAUUGGUGUUCGUGUGUUGCUGGGAAUUGCAGUUGAAUCUGCAAGGAAACUAAGAGGGAAAAGGAAGAAGAUGAAGCCAGGGGUAUUUUGGUCUUUUCGCAAGUUACAUCAACUAAUCGGUGAUGUGGCACUGAUUAACUAGGUUGAGGGACCAAUUUUUAAGUGAUUAAUUUUUAGGAGGGUAAAUUGCCAGAAUUAAUGGAUACAGGGACCAUUUUUUAAAUGACCCCUAAUUACAGGGAUGAAAUACGUAUUUAAGCCGUUUCAAGUACAGAGUAAGUUGAAAUAUUUAAUCUCUGCAAGGAGUAUUUCACAUCACUUUUUAUCCUUUCCACUAAAUAUGAAUGCUUCUUUUCCACUUAACUUUACCAGCACAUCACAUUGAAUAUUCCUUACUUUAAGUAGAUAAUUAUAUGAUUCUACUUUCAUCUAAUUCUAAGGGACAAAUUAAAGUCUUUUGAUAUAUAUGACUUGAAAUCAGUUACCAGAGUUAUUCCUCAUUGAACUGUAACAUCAAAAAGAGUACCAACACACAAACUCAAGCAAUCUCUUUCUUCUUUACAUAGAUAAUAUAGUUAACAAAAACAAAUUACUUUCAGCUUUUUAUUCACCUUCCUUAGAAACAUGGUUAUAGUAUAAAUUCUCGCUUUAGUUAGAAGCUAUCGGGAAAAACACAAGUUUCAUAUUGAAGAGCGAUAAAGUCUAAAAUAGUUUAUAAAGAGUGACACUACUCAUCUAACAAGGCGAUUUUAUAAGGAUGAGUUAGACAUAAUAUAAAAAUCGAAUAUUGAUAUCAGAGUUUAUCCAUUCGGUUCAUCCACCAAAAUAUGAACUCACUAAUCCAAUAGUGUUUGUUUUGUAACACAAUAUAAAACCAAUAUAAAGUGCUUGUUUUCGUGAAGGAGUCUGUUUUAGGUGGUGACGUGUAUUUUGGUGGGUGUUGUCAUCAUGGAUGUUUUUUAGGGUGUUUAUUUUCGGGUGUUCCGCCUAUAUACGGCGUCUUUAGUUUGUAUUCUUUAAUUUACCGGUCUUUGUUCGUCUUAAGCAGAAAUCUAGUUGUUUAAAAAAAAUUGCUGCGAAAAAAUAUAUAUAUAUAAAGAACAUAAUACAAGCCACUCCUGAUAAUCUUAAAACACAACAAUUUUUAUUCUCUCCAAGUGCUGUCUCCCCCUCAAGAGACAUCAUUAAUCAAACACAAAACAAUGGCGACAAAAUUUGGUUUUAGUAAAACCUCUAGGAACAAAUCGAUUAAACAACACUUCAAAGUUUGUUUUUGUUUCAACAGAAUGUUUAAGCUCAAGGUGGCUGAACCACCAGAAGAAAUCAACAAUAUUUUUUAUAGGUAUGCACAAAAUGGUACCAUGACCAUGGAUGAAUUGUACUACUUUUUAGUUCAUUUUCAAGGAGAAAAGGGUGGUGAUGCUACCCAAAAACAUGCUCAAGAUGUUUUCCAUAGUUUAAGACAUCUCAAUAUAUUUCAAAGGAGAGGUCUUCAUUUUGAUGCCUUCUUUCGUUAUCUUUUUGGUGACCUAAAUGGCCCCAUAGGUGAUCAGGUAAAUUUUCUUCCAGUUUAUCCUUAUUAUCUAUGAAGCACGGACACCGGACACUGACACGACGAAACCGUUAAUAAUUUGAGAAAAUCACAUAAUUCAAUGUAAUUAUAGAUGUCGGUAUCGAGUCAGUGUCGGACACGACACGUGUCAGACACCAGGACACACCUAAUCCGAGGAAUGUCCGUGCUUCAUAGUUUAUUAUCAUUUUUUUUAUAUCAUUUUGUAUUUAUGUUAGUUCAACUGCUAACUUUAUCAAAUACUACAAAUUUAAUCGGCUAGUUUAUCUACUAUAUUUUUUUUUUUUGAGAGGAGUUUAUCUACUAUAAUUAACAUGACAGUUAUAAAUUCAUCCGUUAUCAACUAGCGUUUAUCAAAAAUAUACAUGACUUUUUACCAAAAAGAGCCAAAAACAUGCAUAUAUCUUUUGGUUCCACUAAAUCCUUAACAAUUACAAUUAUAUAUUUGAAUUUUUAAAUAAAUUGUCUGUUUUUUAUUUCAGGUGCAUCAAGAUAUGAAUGCUCCAUUGGCUCAUUAUUUUUUGUACACAGGGCACAACUCCUACUUAACUGGAAAUCAAUUGAGUAGUGAAAGCAGUACUGCACCAAUAAUAAAAGCUUUGAAAAAAGGAGUUAGAGUAAUUGAGUUGGAUUUGUGGCCAAAUUCUAGAGAAGAUGAUGUGGAAGUUCGUCAUGGAGGGUAUAAGUUUAGUUUUCAACUACGAAGCACGAACACUCCUUGGAUAAGGCGUGUCCCCGUGUCAGACACGUGUCGUAUCCGACACCGACACAUAUAAUUACACAGAAUUAUGCGAUUGUUUAAAAAAUUUAGUUGUGUCGGCGUGUCUAUGUCGUGUCCGGUAUCCAUGUCCAUACUUCAUAGGUUUUCAAUAGCAUAUUAGUUUAAGUUCAAUAUUAUAGCACAUUGUUGAUUUCUUGUGCAUUCCAACUUUCAGCUUUAUAUAUAACUUAAACUAAUUGACUUAUUUUUGAGCUGUAGGACUCUGACUUCUUCGGUGAAACUUAGAGAUUGUUUGAAUGCCAUUAGGGACAAUGCAUUUGAUGCAUCAAAGUAUCCAGUUAUAAUAACUUUUGAAGACCAUAUAACUCCACCUCUUCAACGCAAAGUCGCCAAAGUUUGUAAAUUUUUUGCAUUAUUUAUGCCACUAUAUAUCAUAUAGUCUUAAAUUAAAGUAACAAUUUAAUAUUUAUAAUGCAGAUGGUGGAUGAUAUAUUUAGAGGUAUGUUGUUUCGUCCAAACUAUGCACAUCAAAUGAAGAAAUUCCCUUCACCAGAAGCGUUGAAGGGGAAAAUUCUGAUUUCGACGAAACCACCGGAGUCUCUUGAAAGUCAAAGCCAAAAGGUACAAGAAGAAGAAGUUGAUGAGUUGCUUGAGGACAAAGAUGAUGGAUCUAGAGUCAAUGAAGAGGUGAAAAUUUGAAUUCAUUUAGCUUAUGAACCUGUUCGCUACGAACUAUGAAAAAAAUUGAUAUUCAAUAAUUUAGAGAUUCAUUUUAAGAGAGUUUGAAGCAGUUUUUCGAUUUCUUUUGAGAUUCUCAUUUGUAUUUUUUUAAGAUAUGUAAUAAACAAAUGAAAAUUUCUAUUUUUUUUCUAAAUAGCUUAAUAAGCAUUUUUUGCAAUUAAUUAGGAUGAGUUGGAUGAUGAGAAUGAGGAGGAUGAGUCUCUUGGAUAUAGGAAUUUGAUUUCUAUUCAUGCUGGGAAACCAAAAGGUAAUGUGGAACACUGGUUGACGGAACAUGAUCAAGUUAGGCGUCUUAGCUUGAGUGAGCAAGUUCUUGAAGAUAUCGUCAAAACUCAAGGAUCUGAAAUUGUCAGGUGAUUUUAAAUGUAUUUUUGGUUGAUCGUAUUGUUGAACCUCAAUAAUUUUAAUUUAGUUAAUCGACUCGUAAGAGUGUGAAACUCUCUCAACACCUAUAUUUUUUCAUUCACAAAACUCUAACACAAAAUACCAAUUAAGUUCAUAUGCUCUAUUUUUUUACCCUAUUGUUAAUUGUUACAACAAUGAAUAUUAUUCCAUUCUAUGCUUUAGAUUCACCCAAAGGAAUUUGCUUAGAAUAUAUCCAAAGGGUUCACGUGUAACUUCCUCCAAUUAUGAUCCUAUGAAUGGAUGGAUGCAUGGAGCUCAAAUGGUAGCAUUUAAUAUGCAGGUUAGACUUCACUUUCCAUUUAUUUGACAAUUGAGAGAAGAGAAGGGAAAAAUAUGAAUUGACUCUUAAAAAGCACUAUGCUACUCUUAUAAAUAUAUUUCAUUUUGUCUCUUAAUAACUUUCAGAAGUGUCAACUUAUAAUUAAAUAUAAGAAGCUAAUUAGGAUAAAACUAAAUAAUAACGGGGAAUUAGUCACUUUAGUCCCUAAGUGAGAAAAGAGUAGUCACUUUAAUCCCUAAAUGCAGAGAAAUUGCAAAACAAUCCUUGAAUGUAGACUUUAUUCAAUUUCAGGGACUAAAGUGACAAACAGAGUCUACAUUCAGGGACUAUAUUGACUAAUGGAGUCUGCAUUCAGGGACUAAAGUGAUUAACAGAGUCUGCAUUCAUGGACUAUUUUGCAAUUUAUCUACAUUCAGGACCUAAAAUUACAACUUAUUUUCUAUUCAAGGACUAAAAUGACUAAUCUUCCAAAUAAUAACAUAAAACUAUGAAUGUAACAUGGUCAAAAACAACAUCAAAGCAUCCUAUUAUAACAACUUGCAUCCUAAGAAAAGUAUUUUUUUUUAAAACUCCUAAGAAAAGUAUUUUCAUAAUAACAUAUGGCGGAAUUUCACACUCAUGCAUCCUUCAUUUUAUACAAUUGUUGGUAUGUUAUGCAAUUUGGUGUCUGCUUUCCAUUAUUUAUUUAUAAAUUUGGGAAUAGAAAUCAAAAAAGUUUGAGGAUUUUUUUUCGAAUCAUGUUAACUAGGGUCACUAAGACACUACUUAACAUUUUCCUUUUCUUAUUUAUUUAUUGGGAAUAUUAAUUAUUAACUUUGUUUUACUUAAAGGGACAUGGGCAUUAUCUUCAAUAUAUGGAAGGAAUGUUCAAAGCCAAUGGUGGAUGUGGGUAUGUUAAGAAACCUGAUAUCUUAUUGAACAAUAAUAAGAUGUAUGAUCCUAGAGUAUACCGACCAAAGAAAACUCUUCAGGUAAAGGGAAUGUAGAUACUUAUAAUUCAUAUUUGGAAUUGAUACUACAAAAUUUAUCUUCUAAUAUAUAAAAAAUAAAAAACAGGUUCACGUAUACAUGGGUGAAGGUUGGCAAUCUGAAUUCGGCCAAACACACUUCGAUUUUUAUUCUCCACCUGAUUUUCGUGUACAGGUAAUUAUACUGUGAUUGAAAUGACUUAAGGACUUGUUUAAAUUGACUUAUUUAAGACCAUCUAUAACUUAGGUAUUUGUGAAACUAAUACCGUACAGUUGAAUUUGUGAAAACAUCUUAUGACAUGUUUAAAACAUGUUUUCAGCUUACUUUCGCAAUCUCUUUAUGACAUAUUUAAAGCAUUUGUUAGUAUUUCACAUUCUUAUAAUAGAUGUAAUGUAACAGUAGUCCUAUGUGUUUCCGUUAAAAAUAGUAUUAUGAAUCAAUCUGCUAUAUUUUCAUGUCAACUAAUUUUAGGAUCAUUGUGCUAAAAUAUGCACAAAAAAUUAAUUGUGAAGUCAGUAUGAACAAACCCCACAAACAUGAAAAUUGUAAGAGAAAUGUUAUUAACAAUUUUGUUGUCCAAAACCGUAUUUACUUACAUCGUAAAUACAAUUUUGUUUUUUUAUUAGUUUUCUAUCUUUCUCUAAAUCAAAUCAACAGCUAUAAAUAAUACAUUUUGAGAUGAUGUUAAAUAGUUGUCAAUUUUUAGAUGCUCAAAUAAAAUUCCUCAAAUAUAACGUGUCAAUAUUGUGCAGGUUGGUAUCCAUGGUGUUCCAGUUGAUACAGACACCAAAGUAACCAGGACCAAGGAAGAUGAGUGGGUCCCAGUUUGGAAUGAGGAGUUAAACUUUCCAUUAACUUAUCCAGAAUUGGCACUAUUACACAUUAAAGUUAUUGAACGUGACUUUUCUGGACAACAUGAUUUUGCUGGACAAACAUGUUUACCUGUAUCAGAGUUAAGAGAAGGAAUUCGUUGUGUUCGUUUGUGUAACCGCAAAGGUGAACCUUAUAAGCAUGUUAGGCUUUUAAUCCAAUUUCGAUUUUCUAAUCACUAGUAGUGAAUUUGUUUGUGUUUGUAUUAUGAAAGAUAUAAACACAUGUAAAUAUAAAUAAUUAGUACAAUUACGAAGAUAUGGUAUGUUCGGUUCGUUCCUACGCAAGAAUUUCUCGUGUAUUAGUACGGAAUAUAUCAAAGAUAUCCUCCACAUAUAGAAGUCACUAAAGAAUGAUUUCUCAUCCCUCUUCAUUAUGUAAACAAAAUUGGCAUACAUGCUUCUCAAAAAAUCGGUUUUCGAACAAAACUCACUAAACCAACGAUACCAGUACUUUGAAAUUUGUUUCAACUCAUACAAAUAUUUCUUCAAAAGACCCACCGUAGAUUUAUCCUCUACAAAACCUUUUGGUUGCUCUAUGUAAAUUGUCUCUUCAAGGUCUCCAUGUAAGAAAACCGUUUACGUAUCCAUUUGUUCCAACUCAAAAUUGUAGAUUAAUAAUUGCCGUAAGUACCCGUAUGAAACAAUGAUUUACGACAUAUAAGAGAAUCUCUUUGGAGUCAAUCCCCUCAACUUGAGUAAACCAUUUGUCACAAGCCUUAAUUGGUUCUUCGAUCGUUGAAUCACCUUUAUUCUUUAAACAAUGAGUUUGAACUUUUCUUUCAUGAAUCUUAGCAAGUCUUUUUUUUUUAUAUCAUAUCCAUUUUUUUUAAAUAGAUCAAAUAUAUCCCCGGAUCCUUUAAAUUUCAUGUUUGUUUCAGACAGAUCCUUUAAGUUUCUAAAAUUUCAGGCCUUUUAAAUACAAAUGUUAGUAUUUUCUCGAUUAGUAGGAUUCAAAUCUUUGAACCUUUAAUUAACUUUUUAUCCAACCUCUUAAUUUCUUAGCUCAACCAAAUUACACAUCCCCGGUAAUAUCCAUGUUUUUUUAGUAUCACGUCUUAUAUUAUUAUUAUUAAGAGUAAUGAUAUUUGAACAACUAUUUUAAAAUAAUUUUUGGGACAAUCUUGUUGUUCUUUUUUCAAUGGUCAAAAACAAAAGAGAAAGAAAAAGUAAGAGAGAGAAUAAAAAUAUAAUGUGAAUAUGAGAGAGAAAAUUGUACAAAAAUUAUACAAAAAUGAUUGUACAAAUAUCAUUUCUAUUAUUAAAGUUGACUGAAAUGGCUUUUUAGUGAACAAAUAAUAGCAAAAGACAAAAGGGUGAGUUUCGGGUAAAAAGGUCCUUGUAGACUCAAAAGCGAGAAAGUGAUAUCUUUUAACUUAUUUUGAUUAAGUGGGCACGGCAUAGGUCUGUUUAAGCUCAGCCACCGAGACAGAAAGACAAGACAAGCACUAACAAAUAUUUGAUCAAAGAAAAUCAAUGUAAAUUACUUUUCAUUUUUAGGAUACAGUUUAUGUUUGACUUGGAUCCAUUAACCUUGAAGAUCAAUUCUAUCAUCUCCACUAACAUGGAUCAAUCAACUAAAAUCAAUGUAUUUAAUUUGAUAAUAAAGAUUGAAUAUAUUAAGUUUUUUUCUCUCUCUUUAUUUACAAAAUAUACGGUUCACACUAAUGAAGAUAUUAUCAUAUCUCUUAUAAAAAUUACUUAAAUUUGAGCAAAACUAUUUAAAUAUAGUAUUUUCUUCUACUUUUAAAGAAAAUAUGUAAAUCUCCGUGAUCUUAAUUCAAUUGUUAGAAAUAUUACAUUUUAAAUGCAUGGUUUAUAUAUGAACCUUGGAUUUCCCACUUGUUCACCUUAUAAAAUAGAGAAUCUAACUACUUGACUACUUACCAAAAAUAAAUAAAUAAAUAAAAUACCAAAAACCUCGUGUUUUUUUUAAGGAAAAACUCUCCUAUUUUUGGUGAAUACAUAUACUCUCAUUUAUUUGUAAAAGUGUAACAUUAAUUAUUAUUAUUGUUGACAAGAAAUAAGCUUCAUUCAUUGAAAUACUAAAAUAGUAACAAUACAAUCAAAAGGAUCAUACGUUGGGACAUUUCUCAUCCAUAUAUUAGGAAUUAUUAAGAUAGUUAGAUAGAUGCUAAGGGUACAUUAUAAACUUUCAAAAGGCAUUAAUGCAAUAGCAAAACAAACUUCAAAUCUUAACAACCAAGCUAAAUUCUUACUCCUAUGACCAUAAGUCAAUAAUAAAUCGAGAUUCACGUAAUCCAACUUCAGAAAAAGAUAUUUGCAGGUGUUUGCACAAAUCGAUUAUUUGUGAUCUUUUAUAUGACCAAUUCUACCACAUAUUGACAAUACAUUUGUGUAAUUGAAAGGACCUUGAAUUUAGUGAUAGACGUUAUAAACCCCCUACUCGAAAUAGAGUACCUUUGAAGCGAGUCAUUCUCAAGCAUUUUAGCAAACAUAUAAGGUGCAAACUUGAAGCAAAUUAAGCAGAACAAUGAAAUAAAUAAGGGUAUUGUUAACAAGUGCCCUCGGGGCACUCUUUAAGCAUCCCAAAUUUAGUAACUAUUUUUUUAAAAAGUCAACAAUUACAAUUUCCAAUGCAUUCAAUACACAACUUUUCAUUAAAAACUUACCACUUAAAGUGUUUAAAGAGUGCUCCGGGGGCACUAGUUAACAUUUCCCAACAAAUAAAACAACCACAAAGACUUUGAAUCUCAAACCCAGUGAAGAUAAUAGAGUAGACCAUGGUGGCUUUCAAGGGGACCGUUUAUACGACUUUUUCACUUGAGAUAAUAGCCAUAACAGCUAGAUACAAAGGACGUGGUGGACGAUCCGUCGUAGGAACGCUUGAAUGAGGCGUGUAGGAAUUGAUCUCAUCGUCAUAGCACAACGAGGGAAAGCACAAAAAGAUAGUCAGAACAUAUUUCACGAGAAAGCGAACGAUGGUAUAAAUGGAUGGGUUGCGAGUGAAGGCGAUUAAAGCCAGAUAUUUACUUUUUAUCUUUUUUAAUCUCUUAACUCAACUAAAUGAGUUACUCAUGCCUAAAAUUUAUGGGUUGUAAUUCAUAUUCAUAAUAUGAGUAAUGCAAAGGGGAAUAGGAUAAAAAGUUAUGUAAAACCUUUAUAUAAGAAAAAAAAUUAGAGUGCAGAGACAUCAUCGUUCCAAGGUAAACUUGUCACCCAUACUUCAUUAUCACACUCAAGAAUGAUGCACAAUAUAUUCUACAAAAUAUACCUGCAAAAGGAUGUACAUAAAAGCUAUGUGUAGUAGUCACAAAGGUACUAAAGAAAGGCAAUGGAAUAGGAAACAUAACAGGGAACUCACUUAUUUCCCUUCCACAUUGAAAGAAUCUAUACCCACCAUCUGUUUGAUUAUGAAUAGCCAAAGUUAAUGGUCCCACACCACUCAAACUAAUCUAUCCCACCAUAAUAUCAACCCCAGAAAUAAAACACACACAAACAAAUACAAUACAAAUGUCAAAAAACACAUCAUAAUCUAAUCUGCCACAUCACCACCAUCAUCAUAAAAAAGAAGAAAAAAUGCAUCCAAAACCAAAUUGGAUUUCCAACUGUCACUAACUACUCAUCCUCACCAACUAGUAGAACAUCUCUAAAACAUCUGAUCUCAAUCAAACAAUCGAUAAAAUAAGUUAACUUUAACUUUUAUUCAAAUUAAAAUUAUCAAAUUUAAAAUUUAAAUUGUCCGAUCUCAAUCAAACUAUCACCGAUCAUCUGACUAAAUAAAUGCGUACAGUCAAUGACAAAGAGAGGAUCACCACUAAGACCAACCAAAAAUAGAGUCACUCUUGGGAGUCUUUUCUCCCUCUUCUCCUCUUGUUGUCAUAACCUGAUAAAUAAUCACUCCAAUUAUAUUUCCACACUAUGAACAAGUAAAGUAAAACCCAAACUAAAUAAACCCUCAUACUAAUUUAUUUCUUCAAUCAUCAUCAUCAUCUCUUCACUAAAAUCCAAACCCCAAAACCUGGUACCUUACAUACACAUAUACAUAUAUCAAUAUUCAAUUCAAUACUAUAGUAUAGUAUGAUAUGUCAUAAUAAAAUAUAAUAUUACUAUUAUUGCUAUUGUGUUAUUUUAUUUUUUAUAUAUGGUUGCCGGCGAUGCCGACGCCGGUAAGCUCCGCUCGUCAAUUCCUAACCGACGAAGCGGCGCGUGCCCUCGACGACGCAGUAGCCGUCGCACGCCGUCGCAGCCAUGCACAAACAACCUCCCUUCACACCAUCUCCGCCUUACUCUCCCUCCCAUCUUCAUCCCUCCGCGACGCCAUCUGCCGAGCUCGAACCGCCGUUAGAUUCCCGUCAUUCUCGCACCGUCUUCACCUCCGAGCACUUGAGCUCUCCGUCGGCGUAUCCCUCGACCGCCUCCCGUCGUCAAAACCAUCUCCGGUAGAAGAGCCGCCGGUUUCGAAUUCUCUCAUGGCGGCGAUCAAAAGGUCUCAGGCGAAUCAACGCCGGUCGCCGGAGAGUUUUCAUUUCUACAACCAUAACGGAACGACGCCGUCUUUGUUGAAAGUUGAACUGAAACACUUCGUUCUAUCCAUUCUUGAUGAUCCUAUAGUGAACCGUGUUUUCUCUGAAGCUGGUUUUCGUAGUUGUGAUGUUAAACUUGCUUUACUUCAACCACCGGUUCAAUCAUCAUCCCGGUUUUUAUCCUCUCCGCCGGUUUUUCUUUGUAAUCUUGAACCGGGUCGAACCGGGUUAACUCCUUUUCCUUUAGGGGUUGAUGAGAAUUCAAGAAGAAUAGCUGAGGUUAUAGCAAUGAAAGGUAAAAAGAUGAAUCCUUUGUUGAUGGGUGUUUAUGCAAAAGAUGCUUUUAGAAAUUUUGUUGAGUUGUUACAAAAGGGUUUAGGUGGUGGUUUGUUUCCACCUGGGAUGUCUGGUUUGAGUGUUGUGUGUGUUGAAAAGGAGAUUGUCGAGUUUGUUAAGGAUGGUGGGAGUGAGGAGAAGAUGGGUUUGAGGUUUAAGGAAGUGGGGUGUGAGGUGGAGAAAUGUUUGGGUGCUGGUGUUGUUGUUGGGUUUGGAGAGAUUGAGGUUUUGGUUGGGGAUGAUGUGGAUGGUGGAUGUAUUAAGUUUGUUGUGUCGGAGUUGGGGAGAUUGUUGGAGGUUUAUGGUGAGAAGGUUUGGUUGAUGGGUGUGGCUGAAACGUCGGAGGCUUAUUCGAAGUUUUUGAGGUUGUUUCCGGGUGUGGAGAAGGAUUGGGAUUUGCAUUUGGUUACUGUGACAUCUGCUACUCCUUCAAUGGAAGGACUCUACUCUAAAUCCAGGUUAGUUCUAUCUAUGAAGCACAGGCGCGGACCUGUCCGGACACCAGACACAACACUUGACACGUAGAUACUGAUAAUAAUUUAAAAAGUUGAAAGUGAUUAAAUGUAAUCACAUGUGACCAUGUACACAUGUUAGACACCAGCCACAUUGAAUUGAAGAGUAUAGAUGUCUAUUGGUUGUGGUUUGUACUUGUCAUGAUUUUGGUUGAAGUGUACACAUAGGUACUAUGCAGGCCUCUUAUAGGUUCAUAUACGCACACAUAUAUCAAUAUACAUUUAUGAAAACAUAUCAGAAUCAUCAUGUAUUUAAGGCAAUGCAUAUUUAGAAUGGUAAGUGAGAUCAUAGAAAAAUUAAUGAAUAUGAUUGUGACUUGGUUGUGUUUGUUAAUUUGUGCCAAAGGUUAUGGGUUUUUGCUAUUUUUGGUUACUCUCUUCUGACUUCUGUCUUCCUUAUUAAUCUUUCCCUCUUGCUUUUUUGGAAGGGUUGUUUGGUAGAAGUGGAAUUUUUAUGAACAAGUUAUUAUACUUUAAUCUCCCUUACUCAAUUCAAACCUCUAUUAUGUUUUUACUUUUUUCUUUUUUCAAUAGUAAAAUGAAAGUUAGUCCUUGUAAUUUAAGGUACUACUUGUUGGCAUUGUCAAAGUUGUGAUUUUAAGCAUGGAUUGCUAGAAAGUUUUCUUUUUUCAAACUCUUAUUGUGAGCCCAAAAAAUUCAUUAGUCUGUUGUUAUAUACAUACAUAUUGGCUACGAUAUACUUGAUUUUCGUAUACGGUGCUUUUAAGUUACAGGUCUCUCUUACUGUGUGCACUUUAGCUUCUGACUAUUGUACCGAUUGUAUCUCACAGUUCCAUGCUCAUGAUAAACUUACAGUUUGAUGGGGUCCUUUGUUCCAUUUGGUGGAUUCUUUUCUACACCUCCUGAAAGCAAAAGUCCCAUUAGCUCUGCAAAUGCAUCAUUUACUCGCUGUGACAAAUGCAAUGAAAAGUAUGAACAAGAAGUUGCUGAUGCUUUUAAGGUAGAUCCUGCUACUCUGGCAUCAAAUUACACAACAAGCUUGCCUUGGUUUAAAAAGGUUGUUGAUGUGGAUACACAUGGAGGACUUGAUGUGGCAAAGGUUUGUUAUGAUCGCCAAAUCUUAGAUAUUCUUGUCUUGUGCAUACUUGGCAUUCACAUGCAUACACAUAAUGUGUGCAACAUGGUGGGGGCAAUUAUUGUACUAAUCUACUUAAAUAAUUUAAGGGUAUAAAUAAUGCUAGAUUUCCUAUACUGGUUAAAGUAAUUUGGCUGCCCUAAAGUGAGAAGUCACUUUAGAGUGUGAAGUAAGUAAUUAUAUUUAUAGGCAUUUAUUUGGAAAUCAAUGGUUGAGUUUGUGAUCAUAUGCAUGCAAGUGUUUGACAAACUAUGAAGUUUAUAUGCCAAUUAUUGAUUUUAGAAUCAAUAGCUAGCUUAUUUAACCCUCCUAAGUGACUCAUUCACUUUAAAGAAGCCAAAUAAGGUAACAAAAACCUUUCCAAUCAAUAAAAAAGAUGGAAAUUUGAUGAUUCGUUUGUAAAAACCAAAUAAAAGAAUAAUGUUUCUCUUUUAUUUUCUCCCUGUGAAUAUUCUUUUGCUGAGCCUAUGGGCUUACGAUGAUCAAAUUUAGAUUUAUAUCAAACAUGUUAUAUCAAAUAAUGGGCAUGGAUAUCUAUUCAACAUCCACUAGUAUAGUGACCUAUAUUUUUUUUGAAGAAGCUAAAUUAGCCCACCUAAAUUAGCACCGGGGGAAUCGAACCUGAGACCUCAAGGAGGAGCACACUCCCAGGUCACAAGCCAAUACCACCAAGCCAACCCAAGUGGGUUUAUAGUGACCUAUAUUAGUUUUGGUUAUACCAUAUAAAUCUGCAGUUGCUGAAAUGACUUUUUUGCUAUCAGUAUUGGGACACAAGAAAAUCAUAUAUUUUCUUUAUAACUCUUAAAACAUCUGCAAGUUAUUCUAGAAUGUUAACCUAUAAAAUGAUUUGGAGUUCUAUUUUUCUCACGAAGAACCGUAAGAUUUUGUUUCUUGAGUUUAUAACUCUUAACAUCUGCAGGUAAAUGAAGAAAAUACAAGCUUGAAUGAUAAGAUAUUGGGAUUUCAAAAGAAAUGGAAUGAUAUUUGUCAACGUCUUCAUCAAGCAAGGUCUCAUGUCCCAUCACUUGAAGUUUUACGGUUUGGUUCAGGUUUUAACGAAGGCAGCAGUAAAGAUUCAUCACUUAAUGAACUCCAACGUUCUAGUCCAUUUUCCUACAUGCCUAAAGAGUUGCAUGGUACUUUUCCAUCAAAACAUUUAUCACCCACUCCAGUACAUACUGGUAGAGUUAGUGUCAAUGUUGGAACUGAUCGUGUGCCGAAAGUUACAGAGACUCAACAAAAUGACAUGACGACUCCUUGGCUCGCCCCUUCACGUAUGGCCAAUAUGAGUGUACUGGAAAACAAAUCAUCUUCAUCCCUUAUUCCUGUGACCACAGAUUUAGGAUUGGGAACGUUAUAUACAUCAACACCAAUUGCUCACAAGCCAGAUACUUCAGAAUUUCAAGAUAAAAUAAAGCAUUUUGAGCACUUUCCAGAGUCUACUUCAGCUGAUUCUGUUGCUGUCAAUGGAAAUACAUCACAUAAGAUUGCUAGAUCCUCCUUCCCGGCUUCAAACAUGGCAACAAAAUUUGAUUCAGUAGAUUUCAAGUCUCUUAAUAAACUUCUCUUUGAAAAGGUUGGCUGGCAGAAUCAGGCGAUAUGUGAUAUCAACCGAACUCUGUCCCUUCAUAAAUCCGGUGAAGGGAAGAGCAGAGACUUGCAUGGUAGAGCAGACAUAUGGUUUGCUUUCCUAGGACCAGAUAGAAUUGGAAAAAAGAAAAUUGCUUCGGCACUUGCAGAGACUAUAUUUGGAAAUACAGAAAGCAUCAUCUCUUUGGAUCUCGGCUUCCAAGACGGGCUUUACCCACCGAACUCGAUUUUCGAAUGCCAAAAGUCAUUAUGUUAUGACUUGUUUAUAAGGAAAACAGUUGUGGAUUAUAUUGCUGGGGAGUUGAGUAAAAAUCCUCAUUCCGUUGUCUUUCUAGAAAAUGUAGAUAAAGCUGAUUUUCUGGUGCAGAGUAGUUUGUUGCAGGCAAUAAGAAGAGGUAAAUUUCCAGACUCGCGUGGAAGGGAAAUAAGCAUCAACAAUGCAAUCUUUCUUUUAUCCUCGACUGUCUGUAAAGGCAACGGCUCUUCUGCUUUGGUGGAAGGCAACUUAUUUUCUGAAGAAACAAUACUUGAAGCCAAAAGAUGUCAAAUGCAAUUACUACUCGGAGAUACAUCUGAGGAUGCCAAAAGAAGCUUUAGUACAAAUGUCAAGAUUGUGCGGAGGAAAGGGUUUUCCAAACCAUCAUUUAUGAAUAAAAGAAAACGAGCUGAUACUAGUGACUUCAAAGAGGGAGCAGCAAGCAAGAUGCAAAAACAGGUUUGCGAGACAUCGAUGUCCUGUCUGGAUUUAAAUAUGCCUCUAGACGAGGGUGAAGAAGGUAUGGACGAGGACAACAAUGACCAUGAACGCGAUUUUGUAGUGGAAAACUCAGAUUCCUGGUUUAGUGAUUUCUGCGAUAAAAUGGACGAAAAAGUGGUUUUCAAGCCAUUCGAUUUUGAUGCACUUGCUGAACAAUUACUAAAAAGCAUUAGCAUACAAUUUGAAAAGGCAUUUGGUUCAGAGUUUCAGUUGGAAGUCAAUUAUGAGGUAAUGGCACAGAUACUUGCCGCUGCUUGGUUAGCAGACAAGAAAGAUGCAGUGGAUAAUUGGGUUGAAAGUGUACUUGGCAAAGGCUUCUUUGAAGCUCAGCAGAAAUACCACCCUGUAACUAAAUAUGUUGUGAAACUAGUUAACUGUGAAUCUAUUUUUGUCGAAGAACCUGAUCUUGGAGUAUGCCUUCCUGCUAGCAUUAACUUGAAGUAAAUUUUGGCUUACUAUUUAGUAUUAUUGUAAUUACUUGUAAAAUGUAGCUUUUAGAUAUAACAUAUGGUAGUUGGUAGCAUUGUUCAGCUUAUUAAUCUCACAUUUUUUGUUGUGCUGAUCAUCGUGUUGUAAGUUUUAUGAUGAUAAAAGAAUGUGUAGUUUUCUCUGGUAUAAUACCUAGUUAACAUGUAUUUUCUCUGUAUAUUUCUUUAUACGUUAUUGUGCUCUAAUAUAUUUGUUUGCAGAGGUUUGCUAUUUGAACACGAUUUUUGGACAAAACACAAAUAAAAAAUACUUAAACACACACAUAGAUAAGAAAAAUUAAAAGAUAAAAGUGAGAAAUGAUGUGACUAAUCUAUUUCUUUUUCAAUUUGUGUGUUCAAAUAUUUUUUAUUUGAAGUUGUGACUAAAUAAGAUUUGUUCACCUAGCAAACACAAAAAGGGAAUUGUACGUUCUAGUUGUGCGUUCUGUUAUCGAGGUGGGUGAAAAUGUUAAUAAAAAAUUAAAAAAGAUAUAGAAACCGUUUUGUUAUACGGUGUGGUUGUUGUGAUUUGUGUUCACAAAUAAUUCCCGUAGUUUGAAAUUGUUAUACAUUAUUGUACCUAAAAAAAUAUCUACUUAUUCCGAUGGUUGAUAUUUGUUCUGGUUACAAUUUUUUUUUAGGUUUAAUUGUUCUUUUGUCCCUUAAUUAUUUAAUUGGUAUCGCUUUGGUCCCUUAAAAAAAAAAAGAUUGUUUGAGUACUUUAAGUUUUUUUUUAGUCUCGUUUUGGUCCCUUCUGUUAGGUUUCCGUUUGGGUUUUAAAAAAAAGUUAACUCCUGGACACGUGUCACCUUGUCAUUGGCUCUGAGUUUUUUUUUUUACAAAAAAAAAAUUAAUUAUUUUUUUUAAAAUAUAUAUAUUUUUUUAAAAAAAAUCCCAAAGCCAAUGACAACGUGACACGUGUCCCAGGGUUAACACGUGUCACCUUGUCAUUGGUUCUGGGAAUUUUUUACAAAAAAAUAUAUAUAUAUAUAUAUAUUAAAAAAAAUUAAUUUUAAAAAAAAUAUAUAUAUAUAUAUAUAUUUUUGUAAAAAAAAAAAAAAAAAAAAACCUCAGAGCCAAUGACAAGGUGACAUGUGUCCACACUUAACGUUUUUUUUAUUAAAACUAACGGAAACCUAACAGAAGGGAUCAAAACGAGACUAAAAAUAAACUUAAAGAACUCAAACAAUCUUUUUUUUAGUUAAGGGACCAAAGCGAUACCAAUUAAAUACUUAAGGGACUAAAAGAGCAAUUAAGCCUUCUUUUUAUAUUGAUAUAAAGGGGAUGUGCUUAGAGUAGUAGCCGUCCAAAUGUCGAAAUGAAGUAAAUCAUCCUCACGACUAGAUACAUAAGGGUUGUUGGCGAUGGGAUAAAUACUUUUUUGGACGGAUCCUUGGGUGGGUCGUAGCCCUAUGUGUGACAGAUACAAACAUUUAUAUGAUUUAUUAGAAAAUUAAUUGACGGAGAAGGUUGUUCGCGCGAGAAAAAGAGAUGGAAGGGGCAUGCUGUGCUUUGCUUCAAAAUAUUGUUUUCCAGGUUGGCAUGGUGGAUAGAUAGGAAAUGACAUUUAGAGCCUACCAAUAGUUAUACAAUUAGCGGCAUUAUCAAUUGUUAACGAAUGUGGAACCGACUGCUCAUUUAGCUAUUAUUAUUUGGCAUAAAGUAGUUCUCUUCUUUUUUUUGGCAGUUUCUCUGCAAUCAGAUUUCAAUUAAGGAUAGCUUAAUCUGGAGAGGCAUCCUUCAACAUGAUUCUUAGUAUUGUGUGAGUGGUUGGGGUUUAGAUGGAAUGUUGAACAUCUUUUUUGGAGGUUUAAUUACUUCUAGAGUAUUUGGUCUCUUCUUCGACAUUGGAUUGACAUUUGCUCGUUUGAUCCGCUUCGAUUAUCAAACCACUUUCUUCAAUUAGGUCAUACAUACGGAUCUUCUAAAUCACUUCAAACUUUUUUUUUCUUUGGUUAAUUUGAUUCUCGUGCGUUUGGAUGAAUUGAAAAGAAAUGAAUAAUAGAAUUUUUUUUCAUAAUGAGGAAGAAUCGUUACAACAAUUGUUGGACAAAAUUAAACCCCUCUCUUUUUGGUGGUCGAAAGCAAAAAAAAACACUACAUUUGUUUUUGAUAAUUAUAAUUGGUGGCUUAAUCCUUUACUUUGCUUGAUUUUGACGCGUAACUUUUCUUUUUUAGCUAUGUUUUAUCUAUUUUGACAGUGUAACUGAUUAUUAAAUUAUGUGUUCGGUUCUGAAACUUUUUAUGUUGGGUAGAAUGAUUUGUUCGUAGUAAUAUAUUCAAUUUUGCUUGUUCAAAAAGAAAAGAUCUAUUUAUUAAUAUAAACAAUACUCAUACGUGAUAUAUAAUAACAAAAGAUAUAUUUUUGGAAAGGUAUAGAGCUCUUACUUUAGCAACCUUUCUUCGAGUCCGCUAUGCUCUAGAGGUUAUCUUUAGUCAAUAAAAAAAUCUUUUUUCAAUUUUUUUUUGAAUAAUUAAUGUAUUUAAAUGAGAUAAUAAAUUAUUCAUUUGUUUAUAAAAAUGACCGAAUAUAAGUUAAGAAGCACCCCUAAAAAAAUAAAAAGAAGUGCUUUGAACUGAUUCAUAGGAGGCCAUCAAAUAGAAAUUUGUGAUAACUUUAGAAACGACAAACAACAAGAGUAUGGGGGAAGCUCACAUAUGAGCCAAAAAACUUAUCAACGUCAAAGAUCUUAAAGAAAACACCAAUGUCCCUCUCAUCACUCGAUAACUUCAAGAAUACUUGUCGGACUUUUCUUAAAUAAUUACUACUAAAAUAUAAGCAAAAUUCAUUUUUUAAAUAUAUUUAUUUAAUAAUGUAUAUGGUUCAUAAUAUGAACCACAUACAUCAUUAAAUAAAUGAAAAUUAUCUUUCAUUGAAUUCUUCCAUCGACAUAUUAACAUAUUUCCUCCAUUUUUAAUUAUAGAUAUUUUAAGAAAACAACUUAUUUUGAUUAAACUCUUUUAUUUAUCUGUUAAUUUCAAAUUUUAAGUUUAAUUAAGGUCUCUCUUAAAAAUAAAAAUUCAGUUCUUUUUUAUUGAUAUAUUUUUUAAAUUAUCCUCGAAUUCAUCAAUUAUUUUAUAUUUACCUUGACGAAAAUAGAGUUAACUCACUAUUAAAAAGUGAAGAUAUAUUUAAAUUUAAAUCUCAAUCAGAAUUAUUUUUGAAGUUUUCUGUUUUGAAAGAUUUUUUUGUUAAGUUGUAUACUAUAUAUUUUCUAUACCAAUGUAUAAAAUACCUCUUUUUUUUAUAAAAAAAAAAUACCGUAUAGUUUUUUAUGAUAUAAAAAAUUGUAUAAAUAAUAAUUUUUUGUCAAAAUGACAAACACCACUAAAACUCUUACUAGAAAAAGAAGAAAACACCAAUAAUACUCACACACGCAAUUUCAUAAUCUCUGAUUCAAACACGAAUAAAAAUGUUCAAGUUAAUAAUAUCAGAAUAAACAACCGAAAUAAGUAUACAACUGUAUCUGUAAAAAAAUACUCCAUCUAUCACAAUGAGUGGUGAAAAAUAUUAUCGAAAAAUGAGUGACCCUUUUGAUUUUUAAAGACAAUAUUAAUUAUGUAUUUUUCAAUUUAAAUACUUACACCAAUACAUGAUAAACGAUAGACAUGACAAUAGGGCGGGGUGGGAACGGGUUUUACAUUCCCCGUUCCCAUAUCCGAUUCUCAUAUACUUACCUGUUAUCUUACCUAUAUCCAAUAGGGAUGAAAAAUUGAACCCCAUCCUCGUCUCCGAUGGGUUCGGGUACAUCCCCAUCUCUGCAUUUAAUUAUUUUUUAAUAAAAAAUCGAAGUUUUUUUGUAACCUUAGAGAAAUGUUGUAAUGCAUUAUCCAACAAUAUGCUCACUUUAACAUUUGUUAGACUGAUCGAUUUAGUUGCUCCUUUAAAUAUAAAUGGUGGUUUUUAUAACACGGCAAUUAUCAAACAAAAUAACAUAGCAUAUCAACAUAAAAUAAUUUUAUGCAUUCGGGACGGGUUUGAAUAUGGGUUCGGGAUGGGUACCAAUAUACCCGUUGUUGAAACAAAAUGUGUUUAGCAAUAAUAAUCCUUAAGAGUUUUGAUGAUAACAAAGUAUUAAAAAUUGUCAAUUGGAUAUGCUAGUAUUUGUUCAAGUGUCAAUUGGAUAAGCAAAAAUUUGACAUCUUAAAAUGGUAUUGGAAGAACAAAUAAAGAGCAAAUACAUCAACAAAAAGGGAAGCUUAAAGCGUCUGAAGAAAACUGCUCCUGAAGUUUGAAGUGCUCCUGAAGUGAUGACGUCAUUAGAAGCAAGUUCAUCAGAAGCUGUGAAUCACCAGAAGCUGCAGUUCAUCAGGAGAUGCAACUUAAAGCUUCAAAAGUUGUUUCAAGUAUAACAACGACUAUUUUGAAAGGAUUGAAGGGCAUUUGAUGCUUAUUCUUCAAAGAGCGUUGACAUAGUACGUUUGUACGAAAUGUACAACCACUAUCUCCACUACUCUGUUUUUGUCUCUGCUACAAGACAAGAAAAACAGCUCUGCCUGCAACAAUGUUCCUUCACAUUGGGAACACAUUUGAAAUUGAUCCUUCAUAGGACAAUAACCAUAUCAGGCAAAUGAUCAUUAGUGAUUUAUCAAAAGCUUCAAACGACUCUAUUUUAAAUGUGCUGGCAAUUCAACGUCUCUUUACACCGCUAUAUAAAGGAGUGAAGACUUAGAGUUUCACAAGAACAAUACGAAGCAUUAGCUAAGCCAAAACUCUGUUGAAAUUGUUCUACACUUCAAAGUUCACUUAGAAUUUCUCAUCAAAGCUCAUAUCUUAGAAAUUCUAGAGUCUUUAGAGUCUGUAUCUGAUUUGUAUUGUGAAUACCACUGAUUGUAUAUCAAGUGUUCAACUUCAAACAAUUUUCUUUGUAAUUCUGUUUGAAUUAAGAAGUCUCUUGCAGUUGUGCUUGAGCAAUAGAAGUCUCUUGAUUGUGUUCAGGAGCAUAGGAAGUCUCUUGCAGUUGUGCUUGAGCAUUUGAAGUCUCUUACUAAGUUUAGUAGUGAGCAUUUGUAAUCAGAUAUUACAUAGUGAACUCUCCUUGGAAAUGCAAGGGGGACAAGACUGACUUCCGGUUUGUGGAAGGAACCUGUAUAAAUUGCUUGUGUCUUUCUUCCCUCUCUCUCUCUCUCUCUCUCUCUCUCUCUCUCUCUCUCUCUCUCUCUCUGUUUUUAUCCGCUGCAAUUAGUUCUAAACAUCUCUUCAGAAGCAGAACUCUAUCUGCUUCUGAUCUGUAUUUUCAGUUAGGAGAAAAAGAAGAAAAAGCCAACAGAAUUUAACCCCCCCUUCUUGUGUUUUUCUCACCUUCACCCGUUAACCGUCCCAUACUCGUGUUUUGAAAUCGGGGAAGUCCAAACCCAGAAUUGCCUAAUAAACGAUAAUUUAAUAAAAAAGAAAGAGAAAUGCAAACUUGUGCCCUUAAGGCACAAGUUAAAAGCUAAAUAUAAAAUUAUUUUUUUAGAAAAUUGUGUAUUCAACACUACAAAAGUUUAAACAUUUAUAAUUUAAAUAUAAAAUUUAUUGCUUAUUUCUUUUUAUAGCUCCUUAACUUGUGCCCCAAGGGUACAAGUUAGCAUGAUCCAAAAAGAAAUGAUAACAAAUACUAUCUCCGUCCUUAAAUAUAAAUAUAAUACGAUUUUGGAAUUUUUUUUGUCUCUUUUUAUAAGACUCCUUUGAUAUUUGUAAGUACAUUAAUUAAUUCUUUACCAACAAACCUCUAUUUAUUUUAUAUAUCUUUUUCUUCGAUCAACAUUAAAUACUAUGUUGAAAACAUACACUAAUCCUAUCUUUUAAAAUAUAAAAUUGUAAAACAAUAGCAAUUACAAAUAAAUUUAUUAACACUUUCAAUUUUCUUAAUUCCUGUUAUUUUUCUUAUAUAUUCCUAUAAGAAAGAGAUAGUAUCCUUAUACAUUGUUUAAAGAGAUAAAAGAAGUAACUUUUGUAUAAAAAUUUGUGUAUUUAUCUAUACAAAUGAUUAAUUGAAUUGGUUAUUGUGAGAUGGCGGAGGUAAAUGAUUUAUGGAGUUAGGACAUAUACCAUAAAGUUGGAGAACUAACCGCUCACUUGAUCAGUGUGCGGAGGCAAACAAAUGAGGUAAACAUAUUAAUUAGCUAAGACGACCAUAUUAUCAGCUAAUUUUUAGUUAUUGAUUAGCAUAUCAGAUUAUAUUAAACACAUACUAAUGAAAUGCUAUAAAUUUAUUCCUCUAAAAAAAACAACAGUUCACUUGAUCAGGAUGACAGUCCAAUAAAAGAGGUUCUGAUAGGGGUAGAGUACAACUGUGAGCUUGUGAUAAAUGACAAAAGGUGACGGGUAGCAUUUGGGUGAUAUAGAGUUGGGUGACAUUGGUGAUAUUGACCAAUCACAAUGUCACAAUGUUUAUGAAAAAGAGAGAAACACAAGCAUUGUGGCAUUAUGAUUGACCAAUAUCACCAAUGUCAUCCAACUCUAUGUCAUCCAAAUAUUUUCCUGUGACACCACAGAAACUUCUCCAAAACAUGAAAUCCAAAACGUGAAAGACGUGAGUUUCCCGGAAUAUCAAUGUUGGAUCGCUUUUCCUAGAUUACGAUUGACACGUGUGUAUCCACUAUUCGGAGAGCCUUUAGAUAUUGUGCGCAGCCCCGGGCCCACAUGCCUUUGUUUUCCACUACUUUUUUUCUAUCUCAUUUCCAUAUGUUUUCGUCAUUCCAUCUCAUUUUAAUAAUCGUUUUAAAGUUACAUCUGUCUUAAAAAUAUUAAUAAAAUUGAUUUUAAUUGUAAAAUUAGUAUGAUUUACUAAAAUGUUUGUAUUAAUUAUAGUUAAUGGAGUAAAAUUCAAUAAAUAAAUGUAUACUAAUGAAAAUAAAAAUAAAUGUUGCAUGAAUAUUCUAAAGUUACAAUUAUUUUAAGAUAUAAAAACUUUUUAAAGUGACAAUUAAAAUGAGAUAGAGGGAGUAUUGGGGUAAUAGUCUUUUUGUCCUUGAAUAUGUAAUGGGUAGCUAGUGUCACAAUAGUUCUUCAAUGUAUCAAAAUUUUAAAACAGUCUCUGAUUGUGCACUUCGUUCCUCAAUAUAUCACAAUAAAUACUUAUUUAUUGUCAUUUAAGUCUUUACAUAAAAAGAGUUAUCGUAAGUAUUGAGAUGUUAUUUUAGUGUCAGUGACUAAUUUGACUAACAAAGAACACAAUCAAAGACUAUUUUAAAAUUGCAAUGCAUUAAGGGAUUAUUGUGACUACUACUUACACAUUCAGAUAUCAAAAUAACUAUUACAUCGAGAAAUAUUUGCAUGCUGCAUGUCACAUGACUUACAUAAUAGACACACAUCAAUGUACAAUUUAAAUAUUUAAUAUUUUUUUGUUAUUUAUUAGAAAAAAUUAUAUAAAUUUGAUAUAUAUUUUUAAAAAAAAAAAGUCAAAUUAGCUCAUUGAAAUUAGAAUCAAAGGGAAUCGAACCUCAUGCAUUGAUAAGAGUACAUUUCAAGGUUCUAAGUCAAAACCAUCAAGCCAAUCCAAAAUGAGUUAAUAUUUAGAAAAUAUUUAUCGAGACAAAUUCAACAAUAUCUUAUAUGCUACCAUUUAUUUUUAUAUACUAUGUUUUUUUUUUAGAAAAUAUGGUUAAAGUAUUAGAUAUUAAUAUUACACAUUAUUAAUAAGGUCAUUGAGUUUCAUCAUCUUUGCUAUAUAGUUUUUUUUUUUGACGGUCCCUAUUUGUCUUGUGCCUGAACUUGAUCAUUAAUAAAUUUUACAGUUAAAAAUAUAUAUUUUAUAUGAUGUGGAGGGAAUAGUAAACAUCAUCUAAAACUUAAUAUUACAAAAUUUUGGAUUUAAAUCCGAUUUGACAUUGUCAAUUGUGCCAGGUCUUACAAAUUUGGUUGUUCAUUCUUGUUUUUUGGUUUUAUUUAUCUACUAAUAUUACAUCAAUUUUAAGAUUUAGUUAAAAACAAAAAUUUGUUAGACUUUAUUAUUCUCAUGUUUCACUUUCACAAGUUUCUGUCACGUAUAAAGAAACAUCCAACCGGGAAGUUAUAAACUUCAUACAAAAGAAGUACUACUAUAAUAUUUUAUUUUGAAAGAAGGACUACUAUAAUAUAUACAGCUCUAUUUGAAUUAGAAAAUGUUACUUAGGCCGAAAAAAUUCGCACAAAAUCUUCACGAUAGAUAUGAAUAAUGAAUAGCUAUUUAGCGGACAUUUUUGGUAUUUACUAGUGUGGAAAAAUGGGUCGUGCCUGAUUGGUCCGUUUAAUCCGACAUUUUAAAUGAAGGAUUUGAACUCGAUUAUUUAAGUUGAUCUACUCUAUUUCAUUUUUGUCGAAUUAAAAACGGGGCGGCCAAAACGGCCCGUGCCAUCCCCACUUUGCGAUCCUAGUAAUUACUUUUUCUCAUGUUUUAUGCUAGAUAGAAGAUACAACACUCUUGCUAAAAAAAAAUCCAACUCUCAUAAAUAAUUCAUGAUAAUAAUAUUCGUUGUGUCCCCGUGAGCAUAGCUCAGUUGACAAGGACAUGCAUUAUUAUACGUUGAGGUUGGGGUUCGAAUUUCGGACACCUCACUUAUUCACUUUAAAAAUGGUAAAUUCUAGCCACUUGAUAAAAAAAAAUAAAAAAUAUUCGCCGUAAAUUGCUUAUCUCUAAUCUCUUAUCUUUAUUCUUUACCUUAUCAAAUUAUGCCAAAAUUGACUUAGCUUUUGGAGUACCAUUUGCAUAAAUCUCAUCCUGUUUCAAUUGAGCCCCUUAUAGUAAACAGUGUGCUUAAUAUCUAGAUUAGUUGGUUCCUUCUAAAAGAAAAUCUAGAUUAGUUGGUCUUUGGUCCGUUACCAAGUUUAAUAAAGAAACGAAAGUUAAAUAAAAAAUUUAUCUUAAUUCUUUUUAAAAAAAGUUGUUUUAACUUUUACCUGUAUGACUUUUACCUUUGAUUCCAAAAUUUGUUUGUAUUAAUAGAUUAUUAUUAAUUAAAUAUUCCAAGUGGUAUAUGUGCGCCCAUAAAGAUUAUCAAAGUUUCUUUUAAAAAUUUGACUGUUUUUUUUAUUUUUUUGAAAGAAUUUUUUUGACUGUUAUAAAGCUAUAUAUACAGAAGUUUCUGUUUAAUAUAAGGAAUUAAUUGAUAUAAAAAUAUUUUCAACAAAAUGACAUUUUGACUUCUGAAAUAAAAAAAUACUAUUAUUUUUUCCAAUGACUUUCUCUUUGUUGAACAAUGACGUAUUAUAUUAUUCUUUAAUAGAAAAAAAAUGGACUUGGUAAAUUUUAUAUUUGUAUAUGGAAAAAAUUGAAUAAAUGGAAUUGGUAAGAGGAGAAAGUGGUGUCUAGUGAGUUCCACUUUUUUGACCAAAACCAAAAUGUAUUAGAAAAGUCUUCCACUCUUUCUAUUAACCUUUGCAACUUUCAUUUCUUCAUCACAAAAGCAACCAAAAAACCAGUCUUAGUUUCUUUGCUUCGUGUCUUGUCUCUUUGUUUUUUAAGGUACGCUUCUUUUCUUAUAUUUCUUGCAUGUUGUUUGUUUUCACUUCAUAAUGACGAGUUUAAAAUGGUUCCACUUCCUUUAUUAGUCUCUUUGAAUAUGUAAUAUGAUGUUUUUGGUUUGAUAGUUAAUUGAUGAAAGAAAAAACAUUGACCAUGUUAAUAAUUUUUAUUUUUAUUUUUCGUUUUGUUUUACCAUGGAAACAACAUAGGACAGGUUGUUUUCUGUUUUCUGUUUAGAUUUUGUUUGUAACGAUUUCUUGUUUCAUAUCUUACCUGUAUUCAUGAAAAUAUUUAUAAUGAUUGGUGUAUAACUAUAAAUGACAGAAAUUUUUGUUCAUCAAAAAAUAAAUAACUGAAAGAAUUAACAUUUUUCAAUUAAAGCAUAUGAUUGUUGUAAAUUUCAGGCUGUUCAUGAUUAUGUAAGUUUAAAGGUUUUUUGUUUUGCCAACAAUUACAUGCAUAGACAAAAUGGGAAAAUUUAGCCCUUUAAGUUGAUUUUAUCUGUUUUAACUUUGUUAUGUUAAACUGAGUUUUGUGGUUUAAAUUUGGAAAAAAAAUCAUGGUUGGUUCAUCAGCAUCUUCUUGAAUCUUUUUCUCUUGUGUGGUUUUUUCAGAAAUCUUCAUGUGCGGUGAUUCUAAGAAAAAAACUUGUCAAAAGGAUUUGAUUAUGGGUUGUGAGUUUGUGAAUGGGAAUAAAGAAGGGCAGUAUCAUGAGGUUUCUUAUUUGCUUGAAUUUUCAGCUGCAGAUGAUGUGAUUGGUUUCAAAAAUGCGAUUGAAAACGAGGGUUGUGAUGUUGAUGGGGUUGGUUUGUGGUAUGGAAGGAACGUUGGUUCAAACAAAUUUGGUUAUGAAGAGAGGACACCUCUCAUGGUUGCUGCUAUGUAUGGAAGUUUGGAUGUAUCGGCUUAUAUUCUUGGAACAGGUCGGGUUGAUGUUAAUCGGUCUAGUGGAUCCGAUGGUGCUACUGCUCUUCAUUGUGCGGUUGUUGGGGGUUCUGCUGCUUCCCCCAAGAUUAUCAAGAUUUUGCUUGAUGCAUCGGCGGAUGCUAGUGCUGUUGAUGCCAACGGUAGCCGACCCGUUGAUUUGAUUGUUUCUCUGGCCAAUUCUAUCUUCAAUCAAAGGAAGAGGAUGCUACAAGCUCUUUUGGAGGGGACAGGCGGUGCUGAUCAGACACAUCUUUUGUUUCCAGAGACAAUUGAUGACAUUGACGAAUAUCAAAGGCAAGAUGUAAACACACCUCGUGUUUCAAAAGAUUAUGCUGUUGAUGUCUCUCUUCCAGACAUUAAGAAUGGGAUAUAUAGUACCGAUGAGUUUAGGAUGUAUACAUUCAAAGUGAAGCCUUGUUCAAGGGCUUAUUCUCAUGAUUGGACCGAGUGUCCUUUUGUUCAUCCAGGGGAAAAUGCAAGGCGACGCGAUCCAAGGAAAUAUCAUUAUAGCUGCGUCCCUUGUCCUGAGUUUCGGAAAGGAUCUUGCAGUAAAGGAGAUUCUUGUGACUAUGCACACGGUAUUUUUGAGUGCUGGCUUCAUCCUGCGCAGUAUAAGACACGGCUUUGCAAGGAUGAGAGUUUGUGCAUGAGAAGAGUUUGCUUCUUUGCUCACAAGGUCGAGGAGCUUCGCCCCUUGUAUGCUUCUACCGGUUCUGCUAUUCCAUCUCCUAGGUCAUAUUACAGUACUGCUUCUACAUUAGAGAUGGGUUCAAUUAGCCCAAUGUCACUUGGUUCUCCAUCUGUUUUGAUACCACCCUCCUCAACGCCGCCUUUGACUUCAUCUGGAGCGUCGUCUCCCGUUGCUGCUACAGCCAUGUGGCAGACACCGUCUAAUGUUUCGAUCCCUACCCUUCAGCUUCCCAAAAGCAGGUUGAAGACUGGAAUGACCGCUAGAGAUAUUAAUUCAGAUAUUGCAAUGCUUAGGGUUGAAACUCAGCGGCGAAAGCAGCAACUACUGAUGGAUGAGAUGUCCGGUCUUUCCUCUCCUUCCAACUGGAAUCAUUCCAUGCCUAACAGUCCAUCUUUUCCGGUUUCUUCGACCAACCAUACCACCGGGGAACUAAAUAGGUUUUCGGGGGUGAAUCCUACAAACCUUGAAGACUUUUUCGGGUCUCUUGAUCCGUCAAUGUUGCAUAAAUUCCACGGAAUUUCACUUGAUUCUGCAGGAUCUCAGUUACAAUCUCCGACUGGAAUCCAAAUGCGUCCGAAUAUGAACCAGCAUCUGCAACAAAACUAUUCUUCAGGCCAUUCCACUUCCAGUGUGAUUGGAUCUCCGACUUAUAGGUUUCAGCCAUCCGGGGAGUUAUCCGCAUCGGCUUUGAAUGCAAGAGCUGCUGCAUUUUCAAAGCGGAGCCAGAGCUUUAUCGAGCGCGGUGUCACAAACCGUCAUUCUGAGCUUCAUUCUCCUGCUAAGCCUUAUGCUUUUUCUAACUGGGGCUCACCCGAUGGAAAUUUAGAUUGGACUUCACACGGAGAAGAACUGAAUAAGCUGAGGAAAUCAUCUUCAUUUGCAUUUCGAACCACCAGUACUCCUUUAACUCCAGCUGCAGCUAGGGCACAGGAAAAUGACUAUGAACCAGAUGUGUCUUGGGUUAAUACACUUGUAAAGGAUGCUACGCCGCAAGAAUCUCAUCAGUUUAGUGUUGAAGAUCAGAAAAGGAAACUGCAGCGCCAUCUUAACAAUGGAACAGAUUCGAUUCCGGCUUGGUUGGAGCAAUUGUACAUGGAUCAGGAGCAAAUAGUGCAGUGAAUGCAAUUUUAGAAGUUACUCACAAUGUUUUGCUCCUUUUUCGCAACUCUCUCAACUCGGCUCUUAAUUCAUUUUAUGAUUUUUUUGAAUCUUAUAGAAUUUGUUUAGAUGACAAUUUGUAAAACUGAUGGAAAAAAUAGUCCCCAAAAGCUAUAGAAUAUACUAUAGAAGUUGGGUAGGAUGCAAAUUUACUGCUCAAGGAACUACAUAUUACCAGAGUAAUUGAUCACAAUUUUUUCUGAUAUUUUGUCAUAUAGUCUAUUGAGUUGUGAGUUUUAACUUUCCAUUGACAAAUUUACAAAGAUGUAGUGAGAUUAAUGAUCAAUAUGAUGAGGCUAAAGAGGUAACAAUUUUCAGAAUGUCAAUUCUCAAUUUACAUAUCACACAAUUUAAUUUAUUUUUUGUCUUAACCAUUUGAUAUAUAAAGAAAAGAAAUCUUAAUAAUCUGGAGUUUGAUUGUGAGAAAAGAUUCUAAUAAUCUGGAGUUUGAUCGAGAGAAGUCUGAUUAAAAAUUGUUUUAGUUGGAUUUAAACUCGAAUACUCUCAAUUGAUUCGAUUUUCAUUGAAGUUUAUUAAGCACACAUCUUAAUUGGUUUUUUCUAAAUGUUUUGAAGUGCUAAACAAGUUAUGAAGUCAACUUUGGCGUGUUUGAUUUUUCCUAUUUACCAUUCACAGUGAUGUUUAAGUGGGUCCAGUCUAGUUGCAACUUAGGUGAGCUAUUGAGGGUCUACUUAAAUAUUGCUGUACUAUUUGUGACACUUGUAGCAGCCAAAUUAGACUGAUUUUUGUUGGAUUCUACUAUGUUUAGAUUUGUAUUGACAAACUAGCUUUAAAGUUAUUAUUUUUUCUCAGAGAUUUUAUUUAAGAUUCUAAAAUUUAAAAUAGUUCAACGUGUUUUUAGAGGUUUUAUGCGAUGUUUUUAGAGAUUUUUAUAGAAUGUUUAUGUCAUUUAAAUUCUAUAAUCCAAACUAUAUAGGACUCGCGAUAAAUUUAUAAGAUUGAAAAAGAAGCAAUCCUAACUUGAACGUGAUUUUAUUGAGUUACAUGAGAUAUACACAUGCAAGGCACUAUAAAUGUGUGACAUGUAGUAUAACUUUCUAAUAUUCCUAAACAUGUAAAAUGUUACUUUUUUUUUUGAAAGAAUGUAAAAUGUUACUAUUGGUUAAUGUUUUGUUGAAGCAUAUAAACAAAUAAAAUCCUUUAAAAUUUGUUUAAAAAUAGACUAAUUUUGUAGACAGCAAAGAUUUUAUUUGCAUUUCUUACUCUUUUUAUUCUUGAGCUUUGUAGAAUCAGCAUAGUUUCAUUUUCUGUUAGUAUAUUAUCUUGUAUUUUUUAAAGUUUACAUUCAUUUGAGCACUAAGAAAAAGCUUUUUACAAAGUUUUUGUCGUAUUCUAAUUGGCUUUUAUCGCACUUUGGCUUUUUUCAUCAACCUUUUUCUUGGGAUGACAUAAUGAAACUUAUAGUUCAGGUCUCUUGACAUAAUUUUGGUCCACACGUUAAUAUUUGUUUAAUAUUUAGGAGCACUAAAAAGUUACAAGUCAAGUAAGUUACGCUUCUUCUAAAACUCUCAUGUUUGAUUUUUAUUUAAAAGUAACCAAAUAUUUCUACCAUUUAAGCCAAUAUCCAUGGCUUUGGCUGAUUCACUAGAAUAAAUUUGAGUAGCCUGAUAUGUUUACUUGAUUUUAAUGUUCUCCACCUUUGAAGUUUUUCCCCCUCAAUACGUUUAACAAUCUAAACUUUGUUUGGAUUUGGAUUAUGUCAUUACUUGCGAUUUUUUGUCAAAUGUAGCUUCAGUUUUUUCCACACAAGGGGCCCCUUGUGCAGAAAAUUAGAGGUAGCUUCAAUAUUUUACUAGUGGAUACAACAUUUGUCCCUCUGUAUGGAAAAAAAAAAAAUACCAUCUCCACUAUACAUGAAGUUGUCUACUUGUGAUGUGUGAAAUGCAUUGUAUAUUUAGAUGAACUUUGUAUAUUUGGUUCGUCUUGGAUCGGUUCGGUUAAUUAGUUGGUUUGAAAAUACAAUUAAAAAAAAAAUCAUAUUCUUUUAAGUUUGUAUUUCCUAUAUACAACUCACCCAAAUAUUUCAUGGAACUUUGUAUUUCAUUUUUUGUUUUUCAUUAUCUUUGAUUUUCAAACAACUUUAAAUUCAUGAAACACAACUUCAUCAAAAUCAAAUUUUUCAAUCCUCCAUAAUAAUUCAUACACAAAUUUAUUUAUAAUCAUUCAUGAAUCAAACACAAAUUCCAAAAGACAUCCAGAAAUUAAAAUAUACUCAAAACAAUACUCCAUGCAAACUAAAAUUUAAACAUCCUAAAAUUAAGUUUCUCGUCAAAUUUUUAAAAAAAGUCCACACUAAAAUUUCAAUUUCAAUUCACAUUCACAAUCCUAACUUUACUUAAGUGUGUGUAUGAGGUGUAAGGGAAAUGAUAUUAGUAAAUUGAGAGGGCGCGGUAAGAAUCGAUUCGGUUCAUUAGUUCUUUGGGUUUCAAAAUCAAAAUCCAAGAACUGAACCAUACUAAAAUAAUUUAGGUUGAUUUAGUUUAAUUUUAAACAGAACCAAACAAGGUCGAAUAUUUUUUUUGUUUGAUUCGGUUUGGAGUUUCGAUUUCGUUGAUUUGGUCUAAACCAUUUACAUCCCUAACUUUUAUUAGUACUUUGUUAUACAAAAAAUAAUGUUACGUAACAUUAUUAUUUUAAGAUCCAGAGCUAGUAACAACCUGUUGUCGUUUAGGACAAACUCCCAAGAAAAGUAAAAUGGAAAUUAUAUUUAGGGUUAAUAGUGUUUUUUACCCCUGUAAUAUAUGUUAUUUUUGGUUUUCGCCCCUAUAAAAUUUUCGGUUUGAUUUGCACCCUUGUAAAAAUUUUAUUUUCCGGAAAACACUCCUAAUAGGCCAUUUUCAGAAUUUUUUUUCCAAGAAAUUUUGGUUUUUGAAUGGCUUAUUAAGGAUGUUUUCCGAAAAAUAAAAAUUUUACGAGGGUGCAAAUCAAACCGAAAAUUUUAUAGGGACGAAAACCGAAAAUUACAUAUAUUACAGGGUGAAAAAAACUAUUAACCCUUAUAUUUAUAAUGAGAAAAUGAAUUACAUCAAAAGAUAGGAGGGGGUACAUUUGAUAAGGCUUACUAUAAGCCAUUGAUUUGGUUAUAGAUCAAUUAAUUUCACGAGUUCCUCGAGCAGAAUCAGUUCGGAACAAAUUAUUUGAUCUAUAACCAAAUAAAUGGCUUAUAGAAUAGUCCAUAAUUCAUAAUUAGAACCUAAGGAUCUUCUGAAAGCCAAAAUUUGCAUUUACCGUUAUAUUCGAAGCACGAUUCAUCAACACUAGAAUUGGUGAAAGAAUAUGGAAUUUAUUAACCAUAAAUCUGCGAAAACAUGAUAAGUUUUGAAGUCUAAAACAAUAAGCCGCAGCGCUGCAAUAGUCGCUGCAACAGACAUGAUGCCAUAGAACCAAAUGUUGAUCAAAUGCCAAAGCUUUCGAAUGGAUGUUAGUUUGUUCUUAUUCGAAGUCGUGUUAGCACGUCUAACCAAAACUCGAAAUGACAAGUUCUUAAAAGCCAGAGCAUUCCCUUUGAUCCCAUGUUUGGUAUCAAACUACUCAUACAUUGAACAAAUUCAAGUUAUCAAGUAUUUCGCGUCAAAUGUAGUAUUUUCGCCUCUUUCACGGUUUUGAAGUGAAACUAUCUACUGCUUGUCAGCUGAAACAAUUGGAGGUUUCUCAAAAUAUCAGAAGAAGACUAAAAUCACAAAAGAGUGGCAUUAUAUUCCAUGGUAAGCAGAUAAAAUGAAAGAAGAUGUUCAGAAUAGAGAUAGAAGGAAUGAUGAUGAAACUCAGAACACAAUUGCAAGAUCUGGACAACAAUUUCAGAUGUACCGACCGGGGAAACCAGAAACAUGUACAUUAUUCUCUUCACACAAAAGUACAUUAAUCAAAUGAGUGUCAAUGAAAGCUAUGACAAUAUAUGCAAGGCGUAAGACCGUCGAAAAUCCUAGCCAAAUUCCAAGAAACGAAAGAUGAGGAAUACAAAUGGUAAACAUUGCACACACAAGUCCAGCUAUAGAAAUAAAACGUGGAAGCUUCAUUUGAUCAUCAUCCCUAAAUAGAACAUAAAUAGCCUGCACAACAAGGAUAUUUACAAAAUCUUCCCCAAAAAUAUGUUACACUCAAUUUGAUUUCAUACAAAAUCUUCAUCUUACAUGAAAGAUAUAAUAUUACAUAAAAAACCGUCUAGAAGUCCUAGCUCAACUUGUAAAUGCCGAAAUUGCAAGGCCGGACAUCGUGACCCGGGUUCGCAUAGAUUGAGAUAGUUUGGGAUGGAUUGAUAUAUUUUGAGAUAGUUUGGCAUAGUUUGAGAUAGUUUAAGAUAGUUUGAAAUGGUUUGUAAAUUUUGGUCUUUAUAAAUAUAUAAACUUUUUAUUUUAGUUCCUCUAAAAUUUUCCUUUAACUUAUAGUUUGUAUAAAAUUUUCAAUUUUUACAUUUGGUCUCUAUUUUUAAUUAAUUUUUGUAUUUUUUUAUGAAAUUGAAUAUAAACGUAUAGAAUAUUGUAAAAGUCACUCCAAAAAAAAUCAUAAUUUUUUAUUAAAACAUAAAUUAAAUAUGAAUCUUUUACCAUAAAAAAUAUAAAAAUUCAUAUUUAAUACAUGUUUUGGUAAAAAAAAUCUAAUUUUUUUUUUGGAGAGAUCUUUAUAAUUUUAUAAAUUUUUCUGCAAAUUUUUAUUCAAAAAUAUAAAUUCUACAUAUGAGCUUACUUUAAAGAAGGGAUCAAAAUGAAGAUGAAAUUUUUUUGGAGGACUAAAAGUUGAAGAAAUUUUUUAAAGGUACUAAAGCGAAAAAAUUAACAUAUUUAUAGGGACUAAAAACAUAAUUAACCUUAUUUUAAUUGAGAAAUAUAAAAAAAUAUUUUUAACUGCCUUUCUUUAAUUGUGUCCCAUAGUUUGACUUGGUUUUAUAAGACAUGUUUUUUCUAGAUUACCCUCUCUUAUUUAGAGGGUAUUUUACGCUCUCAUGAUAUCAACCAAUCAAAAUGUAAUAUACAUUGGCAACAUUAAAUGUCAUAAAUGACUCAAUUUUUUUCUAAAAAAGAAUCAAUUAUAAUCAUAAGGUAACUUUUAAUUUUUUAUUUAAUUAUAGACAUGAUUACAUUAGAGAUCAUUUAUCUUAUUUAUUUGUUACACUUGGGUCCUUUAUCUUUAUUUUUUUUCACUUAGGUCAUUUAUCUCUUAUAAAAGCACAUAUACAUCAUUUUUCUCAUUUUUUUAAUUAUAAAAAAUACAUAAUUUUAUUUUUUAAAAUAUCUUUUUAUUAAAAAUAAAACAAAUCCAGAAAUAUGAUGAAGAUGUUCAUCAUCUUCAUCUUCUUCCUUUGAAUCUUCAUCAUCUUCGUUGAAUCAAAAGAAUUUCUACACAAAUAUAUCUCCAAAUAUCAUGAAUUAAUGUUAUAUUCACCUCAAAUUUUCUUUUAAACACAAAAAUCAAACCCCUAUAGAGAAAGAGAUUUAGUUUUAUCACAACAAAAAAAAAUAGUUAUAUAAAUUGUCAAAGCUGUAUAUUACUAUUUUUAUUAUUUUCUAACUCAAUAUUCAAGUCCGACAUAAAAAUAACCUCAAAAUUGAUAGCAACUUUGCAUAUCAAUUUUGUUGUUUCCAGAACAAUCUUAACUUUCGUAAAGCCUAACCCUUCCGUCAGUGACUAAGCCUCCAGCAUCCGCCUUGCAACAUUUGUGAAAUUAAGAUUUUGAUUUUUGUGUUUAAAAUAAAAUUUGAGGUGAAUAUAAUAUUUCGAGAUAUAUUUAAAAAAAAUUUUUUUUGGGAAAAUUACACUUUUAGUCCUUUAACUUAAUUUCAGGUAACAAUUUGGUCUUUUAUCUUUUUUUAUUUUAAUUUGAUCCUUUUUGUCCAUUUUCAUAUACAUUUUCAAGCUUCGAAUCUAAUAUUUUAUGCAAACAUAGACAAGGAUCAUAGAUUUGAAGACUCAAGGACCAUAAGAAAAUAAAAUCAUGAAUUUUAAGCUUAAAAAUUCAUAUGAAAAUAGACAAAAAUGACCAAAUUGAAAUGAAAAAAAACGAUAAAGGACCAAACUGUUACCCGAAAUUAAGUUAAGGGACUAAAAGUGUAAUUUUGCCAAUUUUUUAUUUAUUUAAAGAAGAUGAUUAAGAUUCAAAGGAAGAAGUGAAGAUGAUGAACAUCUUUAUCAUAUUUUUGGAUUAUUUUUUUUCAGUUUUAAUAAAAUAUAUUUCUAAAAAUAAAAUUAUGUAUUUUUUAAUUAAAAAAAUGUGUAAAAAGAUGUAUAUGUGCUUUUAAGAGAGAUAAAUGACCUAAACGGGAAAAAAUAAAGAUAUAUGACCAAAGUGUUACAAAUAAAUAAGAUAAAGGACCCAUAAUAUAAUAUUGUCUUAAUUAUAUUUAGUGUUCAAUCUUAAUUAAUUUACACUACAGGACUGGCUUAGAACAAUUAAAAUUUCACAUCAAAUUUCUUUCAUCUGAAUGUCCUUAAAUUUAUCAGUUAUAUUCAUAAAAUUUAUUCAUCCCAUUUUGAUUGUUCAAUUUUGUCGUUCCCAACUGCCGCAUUUUUCAAUUUUCGUGAGAAUCGUCAUGAUUUCAAAUAUCGUGAGAAUUGCCUUUACUUCCAGUACAACGUCAAGUAUGAUGACUUGAUUUUUCUUUUUGAUUUGAUUUUUCUUGGUUGUGAGGUAGUUAAUUAUAACAAUUGAGUAAAUCAUCCGUUGUACUUUGAGGGCUGCUAGCAGGUGUUGCCGCUGUGAUGCUGUGGGAGUUUGCUAGCAUUUUUAUGGUUGCUGCUGAAAUGGUUAUGUGAUGAGAUUUUUGUUCUUUUAUUUGGAUUUAAAAGCUUUUGCUGAUAGUGAGACAGGUCUAUGCGUGUUAACAUAUUUUAUUAGGUUGACUGCUUAAAUAAAAUAAAAAAGUCACGAUACCUGACGCAGUUCUAGAAACAACGACAAUUCUCACGAUAAUUGGAAAUUGCGGCAAUUUGGAACGACAAAAUUGAACAAUUAAAAUGUGAAGAAGAAUGAAAAAGAAACAAAAAUUGAUCAAUAUGGAAGAAUAAAGAAGAAGAAAUUUGAAAGAAUGAGAUGUUUUUGUUCUCACGUUCGGGGUUCUGGAAUGGAAGAAAUUUUAUGAAUAUAAAUGAUGAAUUUAAGGACAUCCAGAUGAAAGAAAUUUGAUGUAAAAUUUUAUUUGUUAUAAGUUUUAUAGUGUAAAUUAAUUAAGAUUGAACACCUUAAUAUAAAAAAAAAAUUAAUAAAAAUUAAAAGUAUUAAAAGUUACCUUUUGAUUAAGAUUAACUCGCCUUCAAAAAUAAAAUAAUUAAGACUAACUCAUUUAUUUUUAGAAAGAAUCUACUCAUUUUUUUUUUAAUUCCAAUCUUUUGAUAUUUCUUGAAUGUUGCUAUUAUUAAGGAUUCAUUAUUGCUUGACUCAACAAUAACGUGACACGAGAAGUUUAGGGACAACAAUAGAUACAAACGAUGUUUUUUCAAUUAGAGAGAAGAACAUAAGAAAAGAAGAUAUUAAAAGGAGAAGAACAGAAGAAACAUAGCAUUAGAGAGAAGAGAAAUAAAGUAGAACUCAUCGAUGGUGUUGAUGGAUGCAAUUGGUGAUGUUGGUGUUGAGAUUGAGGCGACGGUGGUAAUGAUUCGAAGAGGGAAUAAUUAUCAAUCGGUGGUGACGAGAAACCCUAUUUUUUAGGUUAGAAGAGGCAAUAUGUUUUUGAUUUUAUUUUAGGGAAGCAAUAUGUUUUUUAUAGUGUUGUCGGUCUUUAUGUAUUUUUAUUUCUUAUUCUUUUAUUACUUUUUUUAAAAUGGAAAUAUGUAAGACAGAAAUCACAUAUUAAAAAAAAGGGAAAAUCAUGCAUACGUAUCGCGAUAAAGUAUCGGUUUAUUCAGCCAUAUUGAAGUAUAAGUUAGCCGUAUCCGACACGUAUUGUUUUUUUUAUUUUGCAAAAAAAAUAAAUAUUAAUGGCCCGAUACUUCUCUAAUACAUAUGUCUGAACGUAUCGAGAUGUAUCAAUGUCGGAUACGCGUCGGACACAAUUCUUCACUAUUUUAAGAGUAUCGAGGCUUCACAAAUCUAUGUUUGAAAUGAGGAUUUUAGUGAUUAAUAUUGUUGUUGGGCAUCAUACUCUUGGUUUUACAAAUACUCUCUUGUGAUUUGGUAACUAUAAUUUGAGGCGUACAUAAUUUUGUAACAUUUUGUUGUUUUUGAUUUUUGAAGAAACAUUUUGUUGUUUAUGAUAUUUUGAUGCAGAGAUGCAUGAUUUUGAUGAAUGAAAAUGAGCUUCAACAGAAUUCAGUUUCGUCCUUUAACUUCUUAUGCUCAAUUCAUUUCAGUCCCUUAUUUUAAAAUUAAAAAGUCAAUUUGGUCCCUUACUUUGUGUCAAAAGUUAUAUUUUUUUGGUCCCUUACAUUUUCUAUAAAGUAAAAUUUGGUCCCCAAUCCGAAAUAGAUGAUUAUGACAGUAUAACUGGAUCAAAACUAACUCAAACCAUAACAUAAUAUAACCUGGUCAAAAUAGUAUAUCAUUAAUAAUAGGUUAAAAAGUGAUUCACAACGAAGACAUAAUAAAAUUCAAAAUAUAUAUCUUAUAAGUCCUAACUCAAUCCAUAAAAAUAUUGAAACUGUUAAGCCGUACAUUAUAACCGGAGUUCGAACCCGGAGUUUAUGAUAACUUUGCCAUCCCUUCCAUCUCUAUAUAGAACAUUGAUAAUGUAACCAAAAAAUAUAGAACAUGACCCUUGUUCUAAAUUCCUUUUUUUCUAUGGCCUUCCCAGCAUCUUCUUAAUGGGAGGUUGCUGCAGAUCUGUAUAUUGUGUCCGCACCCACAAAUUUGAGCCAUUACAUGGACACACUGAAGGUAGGUAAACUGCUUCAUAACAUGCCUUCUUGUAGCAUGCCGGUAUCAAAAGACUUAACCAAAUUAUUGAGUUACAAUAAUCGUGUAUAUAAGUUUGUGGUUAGUGUGGUUCUGCCAAUGGGUGUUUAAUUUUAUAAAAGUCAUAUAUCCAUGUAAGUAUAAGAAAAGUGAUUAUUUAUAGGGAUAACAUAUUAAGAGAGUGUGUAAUUACAUUUAGUCAAAAUCAAUAAAUGUUCCACAAUAUUUGAUAUUCAAUUAAUCCAAAAUUUAGCAAAAAUGUGACUAUGAAAAUUCAUAAGGAAAUACUCCCUCCGGUCCUUAUUAUAAGAAAAAAUUAACUUUUUAGAUACAAUGAAUCAAAAAAGUUAAUUGUUUCUUAUAAUAAGGACCGGAGGGAGUAAGAAACUCAAGAAUCUCCAAAUUAGAUUAACAUAUAUCAAUAAACGUUUCUAUGAAUGUUGGAUUCACCACAAUGAAACGUUUCCUAAGGUUAGAUAAGCUUCAACGCUCAACAAACAUUAACAGAGUAUUUACAAAUCACACAUCAAAGAGGUUCUCAUGUUGGUGACGGAUGAUUUUGCUAUGUGAAUCAACUUCUUAUCAACUGAAUCAAUCUUAUUGAAAUUAACUUAUGGUUUUAGAUAGAUUAAUAUUGCAGAUAACAAUGAUUUUAUUUGCAUUUACAGUUUUAAACGUGUUUGUUUUCUUAUCUUCUUUAUAUUCUUGGUCAUGAUCUUGUAGUCAGAAUAUAAGUAUAGUUUAUCCUUAAAAUAAAGUAUAGUUUAAUUUCCUGUUAGCAUUAUCUUGUAUUUUUUCAAAGUUUACAUUCAUUUAAGCACAAAGAAAAAGCUUUUUAUAAAGCUUUUGUCGUAUUCUAAUUGGCUUUUAUCGCACUUGGCUCUCAUAAACCCUCAAUGAGUUUAACAAUCAAAAACUUUGGAUUUGGAUUCUGUCAUUUUGCUAUUGUUUUUCUCCAAUGUAUUAUGUAGCUUGAGUUUUUUCCACAUAAGGUACCUCUUGAAAUUGAAGUUGUCUUAUGUGAAAUUCAUUGUGUAUUAAGAUGAACUUUGUUAUUUCAGCGUAGUGUCGAUACUUUCAACCAUCUUUAUAUUUUUUAGUGUACUAGUAUUUUCACCCAUGCAUUGCACGGGCGAAAAAGGAUUUAUUGUGACCGAACGUACAACCAAAAUAAAAACAUAUAAUGCAUUUCUUAGACAAAUCAAAUGUUCUUGUCAUCACAAAAAUUUGUCUUAUUGUAAUAAGCAAAUGUUGAUUCUCAAUACAUAAUGUAUAAAUGAGUAAAAAUAUAUCCAAUAUAUUGAAUACAAAUGUUAAAAUCAACAUAAUUUUAUACUAAUAUUAUAUUUAUCGGAAAUGUGUUAUCAUUUGUUAUUUGACAGGUUGAAUUCAAUUCUUAAAUAUUCGACAAAUAACUAUUUGGCAAGUUGAAUUCAAUUCUUAGAUAUUUGGUAAAUAUUGUGCUUGAGGUUAUCCUUCGUGUUUUUUGAAAGAUAAAUUAAGAAGCCAUCUUAUUGCAAUAAAUAUAAUAUUUAGACUUUUUUUUACAAUAAAAAAAACUUCACUUAAUAAAAACAAAACACUAAAAGAAAUAUAUCAAAAAAUAAAAUCUUACACAAUUAAAAUUUGGACUUGGUAAAAAGUCAUUGUCGAUAAUAGCUUCAACAUCUACUUCACAAAUAAGUAAGUAUUUGUUAUGCUUCACACAAAUCAUAAAUCCUUUGUAUCAUACUUUUAGUUACUAUAACUUUUAAGAAAUUUAAUAGGAUCGGUAUAUGAUUUACAAAUUUGAUAAAGAAUUAGAUACACAAUAGGCACAGUAAACCAAAUUGGGUAUAAAAAAGACUAAACCUUGAGCAAAUAAUAAUGUUUAAAGUCUUCUAUUAGUACUUUGUUAUACAAAAAUUAAUGUAUAAGCAACAUUAUUAGUACUUUGUAAUAAAGAUUGCUAAAAUUAAAAAAACAAUGAAAGGAAGAAUUAAAAUAUUUUAUUCUUUACUAAUUUACUUAGCUUGUUUUACAUUCUAAAUGUGCAAUACUCUCAUGAGAUUACAAACAAAAACUAACAAAUUGAUCUAUAACUUCAUCUAAUAAUUCAUCUAAAAUCUCUAACUCAAAAUCAGCACUUAUAUUUUCUAAAUCAUUUUGUUUCCUCUUGACUUCAUGCAAUUCACUUACCAAUUCAUCAUCAACUAGCUUGCAAAUUUUAAUCCAAAUAUCUACACAUUCAUUGUUAUGCCUCUCUUUUUUCCUUGAUCCUUCAUUCAAAUUGUUCUCAAUUUCCUUAACUUUACUCUCUUCUUCAUUCAUAAAGUUACUAUCAGAAUGUAGAAUAAAUAGCUGGUCAUUUUCAAGUACUGGUGACAAUUUUCUUCUCCAACUCAUAUCAACAUCACAAAGAUCUUCCUCUGCAACAUGUUUAUAUAUGUAAUUAGUUAGCAAAUUUAAAACAUGUAAAAAGGAAAAAAAAAAUUAAGCUACACUAUGUAUGUAAAUUCUAAGGAUAAUUGUGUGUAUGAUUUUGUUUGCAUUCAAAUUAAAAUGAGACAAACUAUUAGGUCAUGUUUGGAUAAAAAGUUUAAUUAAACAACUUAUAUCAUUAUCACUUAUCGUAUAAGCACUUAUGUAUUAAACUAUUUCCAAAAAAAAGAUAAAAUCAAUUUAUAUUAUUUUCAUUCAAGGUAUAAGACAUUUUCAUAAGUUAUCCUCUAUGAAGCACAUAUACGGACACGGACACGACACAGAUACCGACACGCCGACACAACUAAUAAUUUGAAAAAAAUCACAUAACUCAUUGUAAUUACAAGUGUCGGUGUCAUGUCCUGGUGUCGGACAUCAGGACACGAUAUGUGCUUCAUAGGUUAUCCUUAAAAGCUUCUAGAAAUAAUCUAAAACCAACUUAUUAUGAGCAUGUCAAUAGCUCUUUACUUGUCUCUAAACUCAAAUAAACAUAACCAAACAUGCAUUAAAAGUUAAGCUAAGAUGAAGAAACAAACCUGUUCCUGAAACAUCAUGCUCAAAAUCAAAGACAGAAACAGGACUAUAAUCUUCUGAACUACAUUCACUUUCAACCUUCUCUUCAACACAACAUGUUUUUCCUUUCUUUCUCUUCUUCACUUUCUCACCAUUUCCAACUGCCUUAAACAAACUCUUCUCAAAAUGAAAUUCACCAUCAUCAUUCACCUUUUCUCUCUUGUUUCUCUUCACUUCACCUCUCACUUCUCUUUUCUUCUCUUUUCUUCUUCCUUUGGACUUGAAUUUUCUAUUCUCACCUCCACUUUCAAAGCUAAACACCAAAAAGUUCUCAUUUUCAAGCAAAUGAAAAGCUUGUGGCACAUAGUUCAAUGACUUGCAAUGUGUAGGUGAACUUGGUUUUGAUUCAGAAACUUUAUCUUCUUCCAUUGAAUCAAUCCCAUUAACCUUGCAACUACACCAGAAGAAGAAGAAGAAGAAAUUAUAGUUCUUGUAGUAGUAGGAGUGUUAGUCUUAAAUUUUUGAACUUUUUCACUUACAAUGAACUUUGAAUGAAACUCUCUAAUCCUAUGAAAAAUGGUUGUGAAACACCCUGCAGCAACAGUUUUUGAGCUGCAAAAUGUUGAGUCAAAGCUAAAGUUUGAUGAAGAUGAUGGUGAUGAUGAUGAUGAAUAAGAUAAUGUUAAGAGCUUCAUGUUUAUAUGAUUUAGAAGAAGAAAAAAAAAGAAACCAAAAUGGUUCUUUUUCUUUAUACUUUUGGAUUUUGAAAUUCUCCAAUGAUAAAAAGCAAUGGAAGAAUCUAAAGUAUAUGAAUAUGAAUAUAAAGAUUUGAAUUUUGAUAUAAUGAAGAGAAGGGUCGCGGGAUUUUUAUUUGAAUAUGUGAGAAAAAGAAAGUGUAAAGAUUAGAAUGGAAUAUGGUGUACUAUGCUUUUGGUUAUUGAAAUGUGACAAGUCAUUUUUUUGUUAUGAAUUUGUCUUUUUAUUUCCUUGUUUGGACCAAACAAAAGACAUGUCUUGGGGCACGUUAAGAGGACACUUUUUUACUCUGCCUCCUUUGAAGUUCAAAUGGUGAAAAGAAUCAAUGAGAAUGUGAUGAGGUAUGAAGCACAUAUACUUCUUGGAUUAGGCGUGUCUCAGUGUCGAUAUAAUACCGACAUUUAUAAUUACAUUGAAUUACGUAAUUUUUUAAAAUUACUAGUUGUAUUGGCGUGUGAGUGUCCGGUGUCCACAUCUAUGUUUCAUAGGGGAUGAGUGUGUUUGUUUAGAUUUUUACUUUUUUUACUUUAUUGAUUUUGAUGAUAGAUUAGAAAGAAAGUGAGGAUUGGAUCAGAUUAUUGUAUGGUCUAAGCUAGGCAGUGAUUGUAUAGUUUGUUUUGUAGUUUUGUGUGGAGGGAGAGACAUUUGACAGAUUGUGUUUUGUUUUUGUAUAAUGUCAGUGGUAUGAUCAAAUUCUUUUGGGGUUUGAUGUUAAAGAUACUGUCAUUUUGAUUGUGUUUGUUCCAACAUAGUCCCUAUUAUUUUGUGGGAUUGAAGGUUAGUAAUUUGAUAUUGAAGUGGGACAUUUGAUAAGCACUUAUAAUUGAAUUGAAAUUGGUUGGUUAAAAUGAUGGAAAAGGAUAUCAACCAUUCCUUUUUAUAGGCUAAGGAAUAAUUUUAGGUUUAAUCUUCAAUUUAUGAGAUACAAGAAUUUUCAACUCAUCAUGAUGACAAUUAUUAAAUUUAAUACACUUUUAGUUCCUCCUAAUUUUAUGAUUCAUGAUUUUAACUCCUUGCUUUAAAAUUCCAAAAGUAUAGUGCUCCAUAUUUGAAAAUUUUAGAAUUUUUCUCCAACCUUAAAUUGAGGUUUUUUUAUAGGCAAAUGUUAGUUUAUUAAUAUAUUUUUUUAAGGGAGUUUAUUAAUAUAUUGUUAGAGGGGACAUAGUUAGUUUAUUAGUAUAUUGUUAGAGGGGAAAAGAAAUGUUAGCAGUCAGGAAUCGAACUCAGAAACUCAUUUUUAAACUCCUCCAUUGUAUAAACUUACUAACAACUAGACUACACCUGUAAUGCCCUAUUUAUUUAUUAGAUUAUUCUAUUGAGUUUAGAGUAUAUUUAUAUGAUUUAUGUGAUCAAAAUGAUUAUGUGGUGUGUUGUUAUUUUAUUAAGUGGUGUUAUUUAUUUAUUUGAUAGAAUAAGAUUUGAAAAUAAAAUAAGAUUAAGUUGUGGGGGUUGUUUUGAGAAUUUAGAGAGUUUAAUAGAAUAAGUGAGAAAUAGGAUUUAAUUGGAGUUUUUGGGUUAAAUAAGAAUUAAGUGAAUAAAGUGGGCGUUAAUUAAAUAUUGGAAGAUUAUAUUUACUGAGAAAAAGGAGAAAAUAUGGUUAGAAGCAGUUUCACGUACAAACAAUUUUUGGGAGAAAAACCAAGAGAAAGCUAGGAGAAGAAUCAAGAGAGAGUUGCGGAUCGAUUUUCUUAAGGUAAGGGUAAGACUAACUUUCAAUAAUUAUAGUGUAUGUAAAUUCUGAAAUUGAUUUAACAUGUGGGUUGUUCUUGAUUUUGGAAAUUGGGAAUUAGGUUUAGAAGUUGUAAUUGGUUGUUUUAAUUGUAGAAUUGAUUGUUGGAAUUAAGAUGUUAAUGAAGUUAGGGUUGUGAAAAGAAGUUAGAGUUUUGAAAAGAAGUUAGGGUUUUGAAUUGCAAUUUGAUUGUUGAAAGUGUAGGCAAUCCAAUGAAUUAACAUAUGAUAUGAUGUUCAGGUUGUAGAAUAAUCAUAGGUUAAGUUUCCAAACAAAUUUGGGAGUUUGUGUUUGAGUAUAAUGAAUUAAUAGUGAUUCUUAAGUGAAAAACGCAUUGUUAAACUGAUUUUUGAACUGCUGUGAAGCUCAAAAUCGGCCCCCGAGUUUUCAAAAUCGGCCACCGAUUUUUGAGCUGAUUUUCUAGCUUUGGUUCGACGAAAAUCGGCCCCCGAUUUGUCAAAUUCGGCCCCCGAUUUUCUGUCAGGCAAAUCUGAAAAUAUUCGUAAUUUUCACCAUUUUCUGUUUUGAAUUUGCUUUCGGUGUAAACAUAAAAGUUUUAGAUAAUUUUGUUAGCUUUCCAAUGGCUUUGGUUUGACUUGAAAAUGAUUUUUAUUUUUUGAGAUAUGAUGAAAAUACUCCAAGGAGGUUUUAGUGAACCUUAUGAAAAUUCAGCAUAACCGUUUCUAAGUUAACCCAAAAUUUAUGGGAUAAUUUCAACCCUCAAAACUAGAAGUACUAUGAGUUCAAUUAAGGUGUUUAAGAGUAUUUAACCCAUGUUGUGAGUUGAUCCUUGGGGUAGGAAUGGAGGUUGAAUAUAAUAUUACUGAUGAUCUGUGAAGCUAUUAUAAUAUGAUUUAAUGUUCGUAGUAAUGUAAUAUAUUUGUAUAUGCAUUAUGUGAAUUAUAUAAGAUGUUUAAGUUGUUGUUGAUUAUCAUUUGAUGUUGUUAUAUCUUGAGAUGUUUACGUUGUCAUCGUCGAAUCGUUGAAGUCGUUGUUAAUGACAAACCAUAAAAUAUUAAUGAUUAUGUUGUCGUUUAUAUUAUUAUAAGAUGAUGAAUAUGUUGUUGCUUAUGUCAUUAUAAGAUGAUGAUUAUGUUGUUGUUUAUAUUGGUUAUGAGUUAAUGAUGAUUAGAAGUGGAUUGGACUAUUAAUGAAGCAUUAUAUGAAGAAUUAUUAUUAUUAAUUAACAAUGUUUAUGUUGUUUAAUAUAAUUGUUGAAUUAUAUGCUUAAUAUUAUUGUUUGUGAAAUCUCACCCCUUCUGCUUGGAAAUGUUGCUCUUUGUAUGAGUAACUUGCAGAUGAUCGAGUUUAAGCUGCUGUUAGAUUGCUGUCGUGAGUGGACUAUCUCUCACGUGUGUCUUUAGGUGCUCUGAUACGUCACGGGAUGGGAACUUUGUUGCAUGUUUUUCUAUUCCUUACGUAUUACUUUAUGAAGUUUAUGACUAUGUUUUUAGACUUGAUUUCUAUGAGAUAUUUAUGAUGAGGCAUUCGUGUCAAAGACUACUAUUUUUAGAUGUUGAAAUAAAUUCCGCUGCAAAGUUUUGAAUAUUUAUGUUGAUUGAACUUUGAAGGAAAAUUAGUUAAUUAUUCCAUUUAUGAUUUUUAAGAAGUGUGACAUUCCGUUUAUGUGAAUUACUCUGAUUAUUUAAACGAAAUUUUUAUGUUGGGAAAACGACGUGUUACAACACGUUUAGAAAUAGUCUAUUUUUAUUGAUGUAUCAAGUUAAAUAAUGAGUAGACAAGUCAUAAGGCAAAGUGUCAAUGCAUAUGUGAAUUUAAUAUUAUUUUACUUUUGAUAUCUUUAAAUUUAUUGUUUAAAAAAACUUAAAAUAGAAAAGAAAUGUAAAAUCCUAAAAUAUUAUAUUUUCCAAAAAUAUGCAGUCAUUUGUCACAUUAUUAUUUUUUUUUGUCAAAAAAUCACAUUAUUCUGUGACUUGUGAGCUUAUUAUUCAUCAAUACACAUAACAAAAAGAAACUCAAAAUUCAAUGGUGGAAAUUUAAAAAAAAAAAAAAAAAAAAACUCGGAGAUCAAAGAGAGUGACGAUAACGAUCAACACACUUCAUCCUCUUCUUCAUAAGAGUGAUUUUUGGUCUAUCAAAUAGCUUGAACGUAAACAUACUAAAACAAUGAAAAGAAGAUAAAAAUUAGCAACUUUGUGCGUAUUUCAUAUUACAUAUGCUAAAACGAAUCAGUAAACGAGAAGAAAAAAAAUGAGCAGUCUAACCACAAAUAUUUGAUAAAAUGUAUACUAACCUCUGGUGUAGUUGUGAAAAACGUCUCUAAUUUGAAGAAUUUGAUGGAAUUUAGCUGAAAAUUGAAACAAUGAUAAGAUAUUUGGAUUUGGUUUUUGGUUGUUGUUGUUGUUGAGGUAUUUAGGUUAAUUUUCAUAAAUUGAAAGUGAGGGGAAGUUGUUGAGCAUUACAUAUAUAAUGGUACAUUUCUAAGCAUGUCUUCUAAAGCAUAUUUUCCAUGUUUUAGAUUGUAUAAUCUAUAUACUUAUAUUAAAAGAAAUGUCCUUUGAAUUUACCAUUUUGCCCCUAUUAAGGGUAAUUUGGUAAAUUACUAAUUGGUUGAGUUUUUUUUUUUUUUUAAGGUUGCCUAUAAAUUUUCAUUUUUGCCCCUAACCAAUUUUUUUAAUUAUUUUCUAAUUUUAAUAUUUUUAAUAACUUUUAAUUAUUUUCCAAUUUUUAUAUUUUUAACUAUUUUUCAAUUUUUUCUCCCAAAUUCAGUUGCUUCUACAUUGCCGUUGUGGAAGAUUAAGGUAUCGUUUGACCCGACUUUUUUCAAACUUCUUUACAUUUUUAAGGAGAAGUUAGGCCAAACACAAUAUCAAUUAAGUACUUGCUAAAAAAAGAACAUUUUUUGAACGCAUAAAAUUGAAUAGAAUGAGCUUUGACCAGAAGUUGUUGAAUGUUACUUUAAAAAACUAUUUCUCCACAAUUUAUUUCAUAAACACCUUUUCAACUCACGCUGGGAACCUUUUCUUUAUUUUUUAAUAUUAUAUAUCAAUAUCUUUUUCUUAUUCAAAAAAACUAAACAUAUAUGUUUCCACGACACCAACAAAUAUAAUAUCAUAUAGUAUAAAUUCCAACAUUUAUAAUAGUAAUUUUCUUAAGAAAUCAUCGGGCUUCUUCAAGAGAUUGUCAAGAUAAUUCCAAUUGGGACUAGAAAGAAACUGUGUACGAAUAUUGUGUUGAAAGAUAAAAGGUAUUAUUUUCUUAUUUGUCGGCAGAAGAUGAUAGGAUUUUGUAUACGUUUGUUAAUGACCUGAAAUAUGUCUUUCCUUAUGCAGUGAGAAUAUAGUUGAUGUAACACUAUGGGAAAAAUAUUUCGUAGCUUUAUCAUUUACCAUCUAUUUACCUUGAGUUAUUUGCUUCCAUUUUGUAGUAAAUGGCAACCCAAAUAUAUAUAAUAAUUGGUCAGGUUCGAGGCUACUCAUCAACCUACAUUAUUCGGUUGUUGAGAAGUUUAAAACUUAGUAAGUUUGCAUUAUGAUUUCACAAUACAGUGUUAGAGUAAAUUAUUAUUUCACAAUCUGAUUUAAUUGUUUUUUUUACCAUGUUUCUUGAAUUGUUGUCGUGACCUUAACACUUCUCAAGCUUAGAGUCAAAGCAUCAAUCAGAACUUAAGUCAGAGUUCGGCUUCUUCUCAAUGUACUUCGUACAAAGAUUUUUUCAAUCUGUCUCAAGUUAGGCCAAUUGUUGAAUUUAUAAACUUAGUCAAGGUCUUCUUUUUUUAUGCACAAACAUGCUUUGAAUUUUUUACGCACAAAUUAAAAAUACAUAUUGCAUUAUUCUUUAUUUCAUGUGCAUAUUUGUGUUAGGAUACAUAUUGCAUGACUAUUUGGAAAGCAGCUAAAUUCAAUCUUAACCAGUUUGGAUAAUAUUAUGAGAGUUUCACCAAAUGUUCAAAGACAUCAUUGUCAAAUGGUGCUAGCUAUAGAUGCACAUGCGGGAGUGAUGCUUAAUUUCCAUUUGUUUCAACAAUGUUAAUUGGUCAACGGGGUUCAUAUAAUGCACAUGAAUGCAUUUAUCUAGCCUUUUUAGGAAGAUAAAUUAGAAGUCAUGAUACAUUUUCUUUAGCUUAAAAUCAGUUAUGCUACCUUUAUUUUAUAAAUUAUAUGUAACUAUAUUCGCAUACGUCUUAUCCAUGUUAAUAUGCAUUAGACUAAUAUUGUUGUUAUUUCCCUGUUUAGCAUUUCCCAAACGAGGUUUCAAGAACAAUUCUAAAAGGAAAGCGCAAAACAAUCACUCUCAUUGGUUUCAAUUAUUUUCAUCCUAAAUAUUAUGUCAAUUCCUAAUCUCAUAAACUGAUUAUAUGAUCUCUAAAUCAGCUCAUACAUAUUUUAUGAUGAAUCACAAUGUUCUGUUGUUUUAACAUCUUUUCUUUCGAAUAUUUUUUUUUAUGCCGUGAUUAUCUAAGGUUAUUAUUUUACCUUAUGUUAUACCCUGUUUUUGGACCUAAAAAAUACUGGGCCCAAUUUCAUUUCAAACUUCGUCAAUUAUCAAAUUUCAGCUGCACAGUUCAAUUUGUCUCUGCCUCGCAGUAUUUUCAAUCACAAUUUUACCUAUGUUUUUCUUGCAUAAAACCUUUUAAAAUGUCUUUACUGGUCUUGUAAGUCACGCAAAAGUGUCUCUGAAUCAUUAUGUUGCUUUUUUUCCACAGUUUAUUUCAAAAUUUGCAAAAAGUCAUACAGAAGGGUAUUUUGGUCAUUUCCUGCAGUGGGACCCAUUUUCAUCCUUGUGACUGUCUCUGAGUCUUUUCAAAUUCAUUUUUUACUUUCCAUCAGUAAACCUUGCUAAUUUCAUUUCGAACUUGCAUCUGAGUCAGUGUCGAGUCAAUUUGAGUCUGUUUAGGUCAUUUUUUUAGCCCUAGGGGCAUUUUGGUCAUUUCACAUAAAAUUUUGGCAUGGGGAGGUUACUUUGAAGUACCUCAUUUAGGCCAUUGGUUCGUUUUAGUCCGUUUUGUCAAUUUUAUUUUAGUUUCACUUUACGUUUCGUCAGAUUGCCAAUUUUAUUCCAAUUUUAUUUUUAUUUUACAUUUUGGUCCCCAAGAGGUCCAAAAUUGCGUGUCAGUCCAGAAUUUUCUUUUUUUAUAUUUCAGUCCUUUUUGUCAAUUGCAGUUUAGUCCCUUAAUUUUUCAAUUUUGCAGAAAGGUCCCAAAUUAAUUCUAAGUCCAAGGCCGUGCCAUUUCCAUACAAAUCCAGGUGUCACAUUUUCAUUGGCUCAAGUGUACACAUGUCAACUAUAUAAACAGUGAGUCAGAAUCAGAAGCAAUAAUCACACGCCACUUCACCAAAAAACAGGAUCAAACUUUCUCUUUCUUGUCAGUUAGAUCAAACCAAAAAAUCACAGAGAAAUCACCAAGAACACAAGAACCCUAAGAUUUCCAGAACAAAAUUCAUACACAAAUUCAUUGAUUUUCACAUCAAUCCUCAGAGAUUCGUGUGAAUCUUCAUCACCGGAUUGAGGAAUUCCCCUACAAUUCAAAGUGCGAGCUCACAUUGAAGCAAGCUCAAGCACUGAUCAUAGGGAUUUUUCACACAGAUUCAAAAACGUUGAAGCAAGCUCAAGCACAUAAUCACAGAGAAGCAGAGAAAGAAUCAGAGAAGAUGAAGAUGAACCGGUAAACCGAUUUAUUUUCGGUCCAAAAGCAAGCAAAAUCAUCAAAACCGUCAAGAACAUUCAAGUUUUCCCAAAGAUUUCCUCCAUUAAAGGUUUCAACCAGAACCUUAGGUAAAACUCAGAAUCUUUUCUCAAAAGUAAUAUCACUGUUAAACCUGUAGAAAACAAUCACGCAAGCAAAGCGUAUCAAAAAAUUUCCAGAAUUCAAAGAAAGCCGUAACCGUAAACACGAAACCUAGAUCCAUAAGGAUCUAAGUUUUGAAAGCAAGAACGAGUACUAGAAGCGUAAUCAAACAACGAAACGAUGUAGAUCUUUAAACGAUCUAAACAUUUCUUUUCAAAAACCAAAAAAAUCAGUUUCAAAACCGUACGGAACUUUUUAGAUCUACAACGUUUCAAACCGUAUUUGAAAAAACAGCUGCUGGAUUCGUGUUUAGGGUUAAAGGACGAAUCAAAAUAUGCAAAAAUAUUUGAGUUCUGGAAAUUUUUCACCGGAAACUGCUAGGUCUCGCCGGAGAAGAUGAAGUUUCCGGCGGACCUUCAAGGUCUCCGCCGUAGCUUCAUCCUCACCGGCGGUGAGGGUUUAGAGAGAGAUGAGAGAAGAGAGAGGGGUUAGAGAGAGAAAGAGGAAUACGAAAUGAAAAAACCGGCGCGCUAGGGUUUAUAUAGAGUGCUAGACCGGACCGGUUCAAGACCGGUCCAAUCCCAUGCGUUGUGAGCCCUUAGAUCUAGGGUUUGGGAUCUUGGAUCAAUCCAACGAUCCCUGAGCAUUCCUGUGAGAUCCGGAUCCCUUGGCUUUGGGCCUGGGCCUCUUUUCUUUGCUUUUCUACGUUUUUGCUUUUUUUGUGCUAUUUGCACCGUGUUUCCUUGCUAUCUGCACCUAUUGCUUGUUUACUUCUUUUACAAAAAUUCCUAAAAAAAUCCUAGUGGUUUCUUGAUACAUUCUUGGCAUUUCUAUAGCGUUUUCUUGCAUAAAAAUGUUAAAAUGGCAUGAACUAAUUCCAUGUAUUUUUGUACUUUUGGUAUGCAUUUUGCUAUGUUUUGUUCUUGACAUUUUGAUAGUAUGACAUGGAUAAAUGAUGCCUGUUAUACCCUGUUUUUGGACCUAAAAAUACUGGGCCCAAUUUCAUUUCAAACUUUGUCGAUUAUCAAAUUUCAACUGCGCAGUUCAAAUUGUCUCUGCCUCGCAGUAUUUUCAAUCACAAUUUUACCUAUGUUUUUCUUGCAUAAAACCUUUCGAAAUGUCUUUACUUGUCCUGUAAGUCAUUCAAAAGUGUCUCUGAAUCAUUACAUUGCUUUUUCUACAGUUUAUUUCAAAAUUUGCAAAAAGUCAUACAGAAGGGUAUUUUGGUCAUUUCCUGCAGUGGGACCCAUUUUCAUCCUUGUGACUGUCUCUGAGUCUUUUCAGAUUACUUUUAAACAUUUCAUCAGUAAACUUUGUUAAAAUUCAUUUCAAACUUGCGUCUGAGUCAGUGUCAAGUCAAUUCGAGUCUGUUUAGGUCAUUUUUAGCCCUAGGGGCAUUUUGGUCAUUUCACAUAAAAUUUUGGCAUGGGGAGGUUACUUUGAAGUACCUCAUUUAGGCCAUUGGUUCGUUUUAGUCCGUUUUGUCAAUUUUAUUUGUGUUUCGCUUUACGUUUGGUCAAAUUACCAAUUUUAUUUUAAUUUUUAGUGUUUUUAUUAUUUUUGCAUUUUUGUCCUCAAAGAGUUCCAAAAUUGCAGUUCAGUCCACUUUUUUUCCAAUUUUCAUUUCAGUCCUUUUUGUCAAAUUGCAGUUUAGUCCUUGAAGUUUUAUUUUUUGCAGAAAGGUCCAAAGUUCAUUUUUCAGGUCCAAAGCCGUGCCAUUCCUUUUCCAAAUCCAGGUGUCACAUUUUCGUUGGCUCAAGUGUACACAUGUCAGCUAUAAAAGCAGUGAGUCAGAGUCAAAGCCAAGGACAACACGCCAACUCAACAAACACAUUUUCAGAUUCUCUCUCCAAUCAGUUAGAUCAAAACAGAAAAAUUUCUCAGAUUCAUCAAGAACACGAAGAACACAAAACCCUAACCGUUUCCAGAAAGUCACAAAUUCAUCAAGUUUCAGUGUUUUUCGCAUCAAUUCUCAGAGAUUCGUAUGAAUCUUCAUCACUGAAUUGAUUGAUUCUCUGCAAUUCCAAACGCGAGCUCGCAUCAAAGCAAGCUCAUGCGUUGAUCACAGAGAGCCUCUCGCAAAGAAAUCAAAGAAGCAAGUUCAAACGUAUAAUCAGAGAAAGAAUCGGAGAAGAUGAAGAAACCAAGCCAGUAAACCGAUUUAUUUUCGGUUCAGAGAAAACCAAAGAACGUUCAAGUUUUCCGAAGAUUUUCUCCUUCAAGAAUCUCAACCAAAUUCAGGUAAAACUCAGUUUUCUCUCUUUAAAAAGCAUAAUCACUGUUAAACCUGCAAACAAGAUCCAAAAAAUUUCCAGAAUCAUAAAAAAAAUCAUAACCGUAAGCAAAAACAUAGAUCCAUAGAAAUCCAGAAGUUGUAAGCAAGGACGAGUGCCAGAGAGAUAGCCAACACGGAAUCAAUGUAGAUCUUGAGGUGUUACAAGCUUCUUUUAAAAAUUCUUUGAAAACCUAAAAAAUUUUUCAAAACCGUGACACAAAAACGUAGAUCUACGUUGAUUCACGCCUUGCAUGAAAAAUCCAGUGGCAUAUUCGUGUUUAGGAUGGAAAAGGAUAUCUGAAAAUGUAAGUUUUUUUGAAAACGGUGGAGUUUGUUCAACUCCGGCGGCGGCGCCACCACCCUUGGGCGGCCGGCCACCACGCCGGAGGAGCAAAACUCACCGGGGAAGAUGAAGAUCUUCCGUGUUUUUCCAGAAUCCGGUGAGGGUUUAGAGAGAGAUGAGAGAUGAGAGAAGAGGGAAGAACUUAGAGAGAGAAAGGGAAGUAGAGAAAUGAAAAAACCGGUGCUCUCUUGUUUAUAUAAGCCAGCGAACCGGACCGGUUCAAUCCGGUCCAUUCCCCUUUGAUUCCUGGCCGCUUGAUCUAGGGUUUCAGAAUCCUGGAUCAAUCGUGUGGUUACUGUGCAUCCGGAUCUUUUAAGGAUUGGGCUUUGGUUUGGGCUUAGUUUUUUUACGUUUUUUUUGUUAUUUUCUUGCUAUUUGCACUGCCUGUCUUUGCUAUCCGCACCUGUUGCUUGCCUACCUUUUUAUAGAAAAUUCCUAAAAAAAUCCUAGUUGUUUCUCAAUGUAUUUUUGGCAUUUUUAUGGUGUUUUCUUGCAUGAAAAAAAUAUUAAAAUGGCAUGAACUAAUUUCCAUGAGUUUCUACACUUUUGGUAUGCAUUUUGCUAUGUUUUGUUCUUGGCAUUUUGAUAUUAUGACAUGGAUGAAUGAUGCCUAAUAUGGUGAUGAACAUGCCUCUGGAAAUGUGUUUAUUUUUGUUGUGUUUGGAUAUGAUUUUAUGGAUUACUUGUUUCACAAGAAAUAAUGGUUUAUUUUUUAGAAUAAAGUGGCAAAUUUCUCUAUGAACUUGGUAUGAUAUUUUGCAUGCAUACGCCUCCAUUAAUUGCAUGUCAUGGCUUGAAACAAAAUUUCUUUCUAAAUUGCCAUGAUGUGAUGAUUAUGGGUCACUAGCAUUUUUAAGUAUCAUAUCAAAUGUCUUCUAGGUUUAUUACCACUUUAUUGCUUUCUCUUGGCCAUCUUUAUGCAUUUCCUCUUAAUUACUUCCUACUAUUGUGUGCUUUAUGACUACUAACCAUUUCAUCUCAUGUGCCAUACAUUUCAUAGCAUUCCACCACUCUCUCCACUUUCUUUAGCUUAGCAUUUAUUUUUUGCAAAUCUUAAUUCAUUUGGUGAUGUAAUUUGUUGUCAUUGGUUUGUAGCUUGGCAAAGGGGCCAUAGAAUGUAUUUAGGCAAUUUUUGUAAUAUGGACUAUGGACACUAUGACGCACCGACACGCACACACUCACCUUAGAUGUAUGCAUAGGAUUGUAUGAUUAAAUAAGCGUUUAGGUUUUAAACACUUAGAGAAAAUCCAUCUUUUUUCAAAAAAUAAUUGAACUUCACUUCAAAAACUUUCAUGAUAAGCAUGAAGUCAACACUUCAUUUUUCCUUUCUUUUUUUCUUAAGAAAAAGUUCAAUUCAUCUUAAUCAUUUAGACUUUCUUUCUAAUCACUAAUCAAACCUCACUUUUUUGCUAAAUCUAAUGCUCAUGAAGCCUCCCAAUCUCCUUCUUCAAAACUUUUUUUUCAAAACUUAAAAUCAAACAAUUAAAAUCAAAAAAAAAAGUUUUUUUAGCAAGAACUACGAACGGUUUUGAUCCCUUAAAAGGGUACGUAGGCAAUGAGUCAAAACUCAUCCAAGCCGAAAUAAAAUCAAAAUUCUACUUCUUCUCACCCCCAUUCUUAACUAAAUAAACCUCCCAUUUUCAAAAGUAAGUAAAAAUAAAGCGUAGAAAUCGACUUAGGAAAACGGCUCCUAUAGAGGACUAUAGUUACUCCGGGUGCCUAACACCUUCCCGUAGUAAAACCGACCCCCGAACUUAGAAUCUAAGGGUUUUUUCUCAAUUUUUCCCUUCCCAAGAAAAAAGAGAGAUAUCAACGGUCGAAAGGUACAAGUCCAAUUAAUGACUUGGCACCCAAAAACCAUGAUAACAGAAAUGGCGACUUCACUGGGGAUUCUUUUUAGCGGGUCGCGCCUAGUUUUCUUUAGUUUAUAUUUACGCUUGUUUUAUUGCUUACAUAUGUGAAUAUUUGUUUACUUUCAUUCAACGUGUGGGGUGAGAAUAUCAAAAGUCCUAACCCGGGCUGAGUGAACUUAUGUUUAGGUAGAGAUAUAAUCGACAAUUCGAUCCGGGGGUUGCCUCGUGUAUUGGAUUAUGCGAUCAAUCUCACAUAGCUGAGGCAUUUUGAAGGUGAUAUUGUCGGCGUGUGUUGUCAUGCUUAGGCACUUCACUUUCAAUUGUUCGACGAAGCUAUGAACCGUAGUUACCAAACCCAUCCUAGCUUUUUUUAGGACGUAGUGCGGUGGCUAAAUUGAGUGUUGUCUCAAACUUUAGUCGUCAUGCGAUACUACACUCAAACUAGACCUUCUCACAAAUAAUCAGGGAACGGGUGUCGUCCUGUACUACCAUGAUAUAUGUGAGAGAGGUUGCAGUUUGGGAACUGUGUUAGAACCUUGGUUACUACUGUCCAAAGCCUUAGUUCACCGGACGCCGUGUCCAUCCGUGGCCCUGUUACUUUGAAUCUCAACCCACAUUGUAACUAAACAACACAAUCAUGCAUACAUGCAUUCAUGCAUAAAUAUUUUUCAUGCAUUCAUCGAAGGGUUUAAACAAAUGGAAAUUUUUGUAAAUAAUCACAGGUAUGAAGAAGACUAAGUGCUACAAGUUCAAGGAAGUGGAUUUGGUUAGUUUGAGAGAGUUGGCACUCAAGGUCAAGAGUCAAACAGGGUUCCGACUCCGAUAUGGGGGAUUGCUUACUUUGCUCCGAACCGAUGUGGAAGAGAAGCUAGUGCACACUCUAGUGCAGUUUUAUGAUCCAAGCUUCCGUUGUUUCACUUUUCCGGACUUCCAGUUAGUUCCUACUCUCGAGGCUUACUCCGAUCUAGUGGGUUUACCUAUAGCCGAGAAGACACCUUUCACCGGUCCCGGGGCUCCUCUUACUCCUCUGGUUAUUGCUAAGGAUCUCUACCUCAAGACUUCCGACGUCUCCAACCAUCUUAUUACCAAAUCUCACAUCCGGGGGUUCACUUCGAAGUAUCUUCUUGAUCAGGCUAAUCUCGGUACUACUCGUCAGGAUACACUCGAGGCUAUUCUUGCUUUGCUUAUCUACGGGCUCAUUCUCUUCCCGAACCUCGACAACUUCGUGGACAUGAAUGCUAUCGAGAUCUUUCAUUCCAAGAACCCGGUUCCUACUUUGCUAGCGGAUACCUACCACGCCAUCCAUGACAGGACUCUCAAGGGCCGUGGGUAUAUUCUUUGCUGCACAUCUCUUUUGUAUAGGUGGUUUAUUUCGCACCUUCCGAGUUCCUUCCAUGACAACUCGGAGAACUGGUCCUACUCGCAGCGGAUUAUGGCCCUUACUCCUAAUGAGGUCGUCUGGCUCACUCCCGCCGCUCAAGUGAAGGAAAUCAUUAUGGGUUGCGGAGACUUUCUCAAUGUACCUCUUCUUGGUACCCGUGGAGGAAUCAACUACAACCCCGAGCUUGCUAUGAGACAGUUCGGUUUCCCUAUGAAGUCGAAGCCCAUCAAUCUUGCCACAUCUCCAGAGUUCUUCUUCUACAUGAAUGCUCCCACCGGACAAAGGAAAGCUUUCAUAGAUGCUUGGUCCAAGGUUCGAAGGAAGAGUGUGAAGCAUCUAGGUGUGAGAUCCGGUGUCGCUCAUGAGGCCUAUGCUCAGUGGGUGAUAGAUCGAGCUGAGGAGAUUGGUAUGCCUUAUCCAGCUAUGAGAUAUGUGUCUUCAUCUACCCCAUCUAUGCCUCUACCUUUGCUCCCCGCGACUCAGGAUAUGUAUCAGGAGCAUCUAGCUAUGGAGAGUCGUGAGAAGCAAGUGUGGAAAGCUCGGUACAAUCAAGCUGAGAAUCUAAUCAUGACUUUGGAUGGUAGAGAUGAGCAGAAGACUCAUGAGAAUCUGAUGUUGAAGAAAGAACUAGCUAAAGCCCGGAGGGAAUUGGAAGAGAAAGACGAGCUGCUUAUGAGGGAUUCCAAGAGAGCUCGAGGACGACGAGAUUUCUUUGACAGAUACUGUGAUUCAGAUUCCGAGUCCGAUGAUCCUCCGACUACUUCCUAUGCUUGAGGACUCCAUGUGUUUAUCUUGUUGAAAUUUCAAAGUAUUCCUGUUAAAAAAAUACUAUGUAGUUUUGAUUAUUUGCAAAGAUUUCUAAUUUGUUUAAAAUUCCUUCGAUGAAAAAAAUAAGUCUUUUGCAUUCGCAUUUGCAUAUCAUGCAUCAUAUGCAUCAUGCAUUGGUCACAAAGGCUUCCAAGUGCUCACUAUCUCCUGGUUCCUCUGCCGCAGUGUGAAAAGUGGCUCGUGCUCAGAGAGUUUACGAACCAGAUAGAAUUGAUCGAACCAGAGAAUACAGAAGAAAGAAAAGGGCUAUGGAAGAAGAGAACGCUCAGCUUCGCACCGAGUUAGCCUCUCUAAAGGAGGAAUUGGCUAAAGCUAAUGACGUCAUGACUGCUCUACUAGCUGCUCAAGAGCAAUCAGCUACAGCUAUCCCUACAACCACAGCUGCACCAGUAACUACAAGCGUGCUCCCUACCACUUCUGCAGACAACCGCUUUACUAUGCCAGUGGGGUUUCCGUAUGGGCUUCCACCGUUCUUCACUCCCGUUGCUACAGCAAGCACCUCGGGCACUGCUAACAAUGUUCUGAUCCCUGCAACAAAUGCCGCCUCCAUCAUUGCUACUUUGCCACAAACAACAGCAGCUGUCACUGAGCCUCUGGUACACACUCUGCCUCAAGGUAUUAACAUCAACACACAGCACAGAAGCAUCCCCGUAACCAAGACUAUGGAAGAGAUGAUGGAGGAACUUGCUAAAGAACUCCGUCACGAGAUCCAGGCCAAUCGAGGGAAUGCAGACUCUGUCAAAACUCAAGACCUUUGCUUAGUGUCAAAAGUGGAUGUUCCUAAAAAGUUCAAGAUUCCGGACUUCGACCGGUACAACGGGCUAACUUGUCCUCAAAAUCACAUCAUCAAAUACGUCCGGAAGAUGGGCAAUUACAAAGACAAUGAUUCCCUUAUGAUCCACUGUUUUCAGGAUAGUCUGAUGGAGGAUGCCGCAGAGUGGUAUACUAGUUUGAGUAAGAAUGACAUCCAUACCUUUGAUGAGUUAGCCACCGCUUUCAAGAGCCAUUAUGGGUUUAACACUCGACUGAGGCCAAAUAGGGAGUUUCUCAGGUCCCUAUCUCAGAAGAAGGAGGAAAGUUUCCGUGAAUAUGCGCAAAGGUGGAGAGGGGCGGCUGCCCGUAUCACUCCUGCUUUAGAUGAGGAAGAAAUGACCCAGACGUUCUUAAAGACGUUGAAGAAAGAUUAUGUUGAGAGGAUGAUCAUCGCUGCCCCGAACAACUUUUCGGAGAUGGUCACCAUGGGAACCCGUCUUGAGGAAGCCGUCAGGGAUGGAAUCAUUGUGUUUGAGAAAGCUGAAUCUUCUACGAGUGCAUCGAAAAGGUACGGUAAUGGACACCACAAGAAGAAAGAAACGGAAGUGGGGAUGGUAUCAGCUGGAGCCGGUCAAUCAAUGGCUACUGUUGCUCCCAUCAAUGCAGCUCAAAUGCCUCCGUCAUACCCAUAUAUGCCGUAUUCUCAGCAUCCGUUCUUCCCACCGUUUUAUCAUCAGUACCCUUUGCCGCCGGGCCAGCCUCAAGUGCCCGUCAAUGCGAUUGCCCAACAGAUGAAACAACAGAUGCCGGUUCAACAACAACAACAAAAUCAGCAAGCUAGGCCUACUUUCCCUCCGAUACCGAUGUUAUAUGCUGAGUUGCUUCCAACUUUACUCCAGAGAGGGCAUUGUACAACUAGACAGGGUAAGCCCCCACCUGAUCCGUUGCCUCCAAGGUUCAGGUCUGAUCUCAAAUGCGACUUUCAUCAAGGUGCCCUAGGUCAUGAUGUCGAGGGGUGUUAUGCUUUGAAGUAUAUCGUGAAGAAGCUCAUCGAUCAAGGGAAGCUGACUUUUGAGAAUAAUGUCCCACACGUCCUCGACAAUCCUCUUCCAAAUCAUGCCGCUGUGAAUAUGAUCGAAGUGUGUGAGGAAGCUCCUAGACUUGAUGUCCGCAAUGUUGCCACUCCUCUGGUGCCUCUACAUAUCAAGCUGUGCAAAGCUUCUCUGUUCAAUCAUGAUCAUGCCAAGUGUCUGGGAUGCCUCCGUGAUCCUUUGGGUUGUUAUACUGUUCAAGACGACAUCCAAAGCUUGAUGGAUGAUAAUCUUCUGACUGUCAGUGAUGUUUGCGUGGUCGUGCCAGUUUUUCACGAUCCGCCUGUCAAGAGUGUACCUUUGAAGAAGAAUGCUGAGCCUUUGGUGAUAAGGUUGCCAGGACCAAUUCCUUAUGUUUCGGACAAGGCAGUGCCAUACAAGUACAAUGCUACUAUGAUAGAAAAUGGAGUAGAGGUGCCUCUAGCCUCCUUUGCCACAGUAAGCAAUAUUGCCGAAGGGACUUCUGCAGCGCUAAGAAGCGGGAAGGUCCGUCCGCCGUUAUUUCAGAAGAAAGUAGCUACGCCGACCAUUCCACCAGUUGAAGAAGCAACUCCAACCGUUGUUUCACCCAUUGCUACAGAUGUGAACCAGCCUGGCAAAUCUAUAGAGGAUUCGAAUUUAGAUGAGAUUCUGAGGAUAAUAAAGAGGAGCGACUACAAGAUCGUUGAUCAAUUGCUGCAGACUCCUUCAAAGAUAUCUGUAUUGUCAUUACUCUUGAGCUCCGAGGCUCACAGGAAUACCUUGUUGAAAGUGCUGGAGCAGGCUUAUGUUGACCACGAAGUUACGGUAGAUCGUUUCGGUGGCAUAGUGGGAAAUAUUACUGCUUGUAACAAUCUCUGGUUUAGUGAAGAAGAAUUGCCGGAAGCGGGAAAGAGUCACAAUCUGGCUUUACACAUCUCGGUGAAUUGUAAAUCAGACAUGAUAUCAAAUGUGUUGGUGGAUACCGGUUCCUCCCUCAAUGUAAUGCCCAAGACAACUCUAGAUCAGUUGAGCUACCGUAGGACCCCGUUGAGAAGAAGUACUUUCUUGGUCAAAGCUUUUGAUGGAUCUCGAAAGAAUGUGCUGGGAGAGAUAGAUUUGCCGAUAACCAUUGGCCCUGAGAAUUUCUUGGUUACUUUCCAGGUGAUGGACAUUAAUGCAUCCUACAGUUGCCUGCUGGGAAGACCGUGGAUACACGAUGCAGGUGCGGUUACUUCCACCUUACAUCAGAAGUUGAAAUUUGUGAAGAAUGGAAAACUCGUUACAAUCCAUGGUGAAGAAGCAUACUUAGUCAGCCAAUUGUCUUCUUUUUCUUGUAUUGAAGCAGGGUCUGCUGAAGGGACUGCUUUCCAAGGUUUGACCAUUGAAGGUGCAGAGUCUAAGGAAGCUGGGGCUGCUAUGGCUUCAUUGAAGGAUGCUCAGAGAGCCAUUCAAGAAGGUCAGACUGCCGGCUGGGGCAAGGUGAUACAGCUCUGUGAGAACAAGCGUAAAGAAGGUCUCGGGUUCUCCCCGUCAUCAAGAGCUUCCUCGGGAGUCUUCCACAGUGCUGGGUUUGUUAAUGCUAUCUCUGAAGAAGCCACUGGAUCUGGUCUCAGGCCUGCAUUUGUUACACCAGGAGGCAUUGCGACAAAUUGGGACGCCAUUGACAUUCCUUCAAUCAUGCAUGUUUCUGAGUAAUGUGUCUUGUUGCUUUAAUGCUUUGUUUUCAAAAUAACAAUCCUCUCGCUCUGCCCAAAGCGAGAGUGAUAUUUUCUGUAAGGGCAUGUUUGUUUCGGCAUUGCCGUUGAUUAAUAAAAUUUUGUCGUUUCUUCCACGACUACUUUUUUUUAGUGCUUUUUCCCUUGGAAACAAUGGUAAUGCCAGAAAAAACCAAAACGUCUGUAUUUUCUUAUUAAUUUCAAAAAUCUGCAUGAAAAAAAAAAAAAAAAAAAAAACUCUUUCUUAAAUCAUCCAACCAUUAUAUGCAGGUUGAACCAUAAUAAACCCGUUGAACACAGUAAUCCUACGGUUCCUCCAAGUUUUGAUUUCCCUGUGUAUGAAGCCGAAGAUGAGGAAGGUGAUGACAUACCGUAUGAGAUCACUCGGUUACUUGAGCAAGAAAAGAAAGCCAUUCAGUCUCACCAGGAAGAAAUUGAGCUUAUCAACAUAGGUACCGAGGAAAACAAGCAAGAAAUCAAGAUUGGUGCUACUCUAGAGGAAGGGGUUAAACAGAAGAUCAUCCAGCUCCUCCGGGAAUAUCCGGAUAUUUUUGCAUGGUCCUAUGAAGAUAUGCCAGGUCUAGACCCUAUGAUCGUGGAGCAUCGGAUCCCUACCAAGCCUGAAUGUCCUCCCGUCAGGCAGAAAUUGAGAAGGACUCAUCCUGAUAUGGCUCUCAAAAUCAAGAAUGAAGUUCAAAAGCAGAUUGAUGCGGGUUUCCUCAUGACAGUUGAGUAUCCCGAAUGGGUUGCCAAUAUUGUGCCUGUGCCAAAGAAGGAUGGUAAAGUUCGGAUGUGUAUUGACUUCAGAGACCUGAACAAAGCCAGCCCAAAAGACAACUUUCCAUUACCUCAUAUUGAUGUGCUUGUUGAUAAUACUGCUCAAUCUAAGGUGUUCUCCUUCAUGGACGGUUUUUCCGGUUAUAAUCAGAUCAAGAUGUCUCCUGAAGAUAGAGAAAAGACAUCUUUUAUCACUCCAUGGGGUACUUUCUGCUACAAGGUGAUGCCGUUCGGCCUAAUCAAUGCUGGUGCUACCUAUCAAAGGGGAAUGACUACUCUGUUUCAUGACAUGAUUCACAAAGAAGUUGAGGUAUAUGUGGAUGACAUGAUUGUGAAGUCAGCAGAUGAGGAGCAGCAUGUUGAAUAUUUAACAAAGAUGUUUGAAAGGUUGAGAAAAUACAAGCUGCGAUUGAAUCCCAACAAAUGUACAUUCGGUGUCAGGUCCGGAAAGUUAUUAGGCUUCAUUGUCAGCCAAAAGGGCAUUGAAGUCGAUCCUGAUAAAGUCCGGGCCAUCCGAGAAAUGCCAGCUCCACAGACAGAGAAGCAAGUCAGAGGUUUCUUGGGACGUUUGAAUUACAUCUCCCGAUUCAUAUCUCAUAUGACUGCAACCUGCGGGCCGAUCUUCAAGCUACUUAGAAAGAACCAGCCUGUUGUAUGGAAUGAUGAAUGCCAAGAAGCUUUUGAUAGCAUCAAGAAUUACCUGCUGGAACCACCUAUCCUUGUCCCACCCGUGGAAGGAAGGCCUUUGAUUAUGUAUUUGGCAGUGUUUGAUGAAUCCAUGGGAUGCGUGCUUGGUCAACAAGAUGAAACUGGAAAGAAAGAGCAUGCUAUCUACUAUCUAAGCAAGAAGUUCACCGAUUGUGAAACUCGGUAUACAAUGCUUGAGAAGACUUGUUGUGCUUUAGCUUGGGCUGCCAAACGCCUGCGUCAUUAUUUGGUGAAUCAUACAACUUGGUUGAUAUCCAGAAUGGAUCCGAUAAAGUAUAUCUUUGAGAAAGCUGCUGUUACUGGAAAGAUUGCACGCUGGCAGAUGCUUUUGUCAGAAUAUGAUAUUGUGUUCAAAACUCAAAAGGCAAUCAAAGGUAGCAUUCUUGCCGAUCACCUUGCUUACCAACCUCUUGAUGAUUACCAACCAAUUGAAUUCGAUUUCCCCGAUGAAGAGAUCAUGUAUUUGAAAUCCAAAGACUGCGAAGAACCGUUGAUUAAUGAAGGUCCAGAUCCCAAUAGCAAGUGGGGUUUAGUCUUUGAUGGUGCUGUCAAUGCUUAUGGUAAGGGAAUUGGGGCAGUCAUUGUAUCCCCGCAGGGGCAUCACAUUCCUUUUACCGCCAGAAUCUUGUUCGAAUGUACCAACAAUAUGGCUGAGUAUGAAGCAUGUAUCUUUGGGAUCGAGGAAGCAAUUGACAUGAGAAUCAAACACCUCGACAUCUAUGGAGAUUCUGCGCUCGUCAUCAAUCAGAUAAAGGGUGAAUGGGAGACCCACCAUGCUAAUUUGAUUCCUUAUCGUGAUUAUGCGAGACGUUUGCUGACAUAUUUUACAAAGGUUGAGCUGCACCAUAUUCCUCGUGAUGAGAACCAAAUGGCUGAUGCUCUUGCUACUCUAUCCUCCAUGUUUCGAGUAAACCAUUGGAAUGAUGUGCCAAUAAUCAAAAUGCAACGCCUUGAAAGACCUUCACAUGUGUUUGCUAUUGGGGAUGUGAUCGAUCAGGCUGGUGAAAAUGUGGUUGACUAUAAACCCUGGUACUAUGACAUCAAGCAGUUCUUGCUGAGCCGUGAGUAUCCGCCGGGUGCUUCCAAACAAGAUAAGAAGACCCUGAGAAGAUUGGCCGGUAGAUUCCUGUUAGAUGGAAAUAUUCUGUACAAGAGGAACUAUGACAUGGUAUUGUUAAGGUGUGUUGAUGAACAUGAAGCAGAGCAGUUAAUGCAUGAUGUACAUGACGGUACCUUCGGGACCCAUGCUACAGGGCAUACUAUGUCAAGAAAGUUGUUACGAGCAGGUUAUUACUGGAUGGCCAUGGAGCAUGAUUGCUACCAAUACGCCAGAAAGUGCCACAAAUGUCAAAUCUAUGCUGAUAAGAUCCAUGUGCCUCCGCAUGCUCUCAAUGUUAUGUCAUCCCCAUGGCCGUUCUCAAUGUGGGGCAUUGACAUGAUUGGAAGAAUUGAACCGAAGGCUUCAAAUGGUCAUCGUUUCAUCUUAGUGGCAAUUGACUACUUCACCAAGUGGGUUGAAGCAGCAUCUUAUACCAAUGUGACCAAGCAAGUGGUAGCUAAGUUCAUCAAGAACAACAUCAUCUGUCGAUAUGGUGUUCCCAGCAAGAUUAUUACUGACAAUGGUACCAACCUGAACAACAAUGUGGUGCAAGCUCUUUGUGAAGAAUUCAAAAUUGAGCACCAUAACUCUUCUCCUUAUAGACCUCAGAUGAAUGGUGCAGUUGAGGCCGCCAACAAGAAUAUCAAGAGAAUUGUCCAGAAGAUGGUAACUACUUACAAGGACUGGCAUGAGAUGUUACCCUAUGCUCUGCAUGGCUACCGUACUACAGUGCGCAGUUCAACCGGGGCAACCCCUUUCUCUCUUGUAUAUGGUAUGGAAGCAGUUCUUCCUUUGGAAGUGGAGAUCCCGUCUCUCCGUGUGAUCAUGGAAGCAAAGUUAUCUGAGGCUGAAUGGUGCCAAAGCCGGUAUGAUCAGUUGAAUUUGAUUGAGGAAAAACGUAUGGAUGCCAUGGCUCGUGGACAUUCAUAUCAAGCCAGAAUGAAGACUGCUUUUGACAAGAAAGUCAAUCCUCGAGAAUUCAAGGUAGGGGAACUUGUUUUGAAAAGGAGGAUAAGCCAGCAACCCGACCCAAGGGGCAAGUGGACGCCUAACUAUGAAGGUCCUUAUGUUGUCAAGAAGGCCUUCUCCGGUGGUGCUUUAAUCCUUACACACAUGGAUGGUGUAGAACUUCCAAAUCCAGUGAAUGCUGAUAUAGUCAAGAAAUACUUUGCCUAGAAAUAUGAAAAGAACAGCGUGGUAGGUCGAAAACCCGAAAGGGCGGCCUAGGCAAAAAUGCGCUUCCCGGUGGAUCGAAAACCCGAAAGGGCGGUCCAGGCAAAAAUAAGGGACAAAAAAGAAACAAAUAUGAAAAGCUCGCUGAGAUUGUACACAACUCAGGCAAGAAUGAGCGUCUCGAUGAGCCGAAAACCCGGAAGGGCGGUUCAUGCAAAAAUGAGAUUGAAACAAAAGGCAAGUAACUAUAUCUAGUCAACCACCGUUCCCCUUGAGGCAUCUGCAGCUGUUAAUGACCGUCUUCAUCAAAAAGCUUAUGUACUCGUGGAUUCAAAGUUUCUAAGAAAUGUAGUGAUUGCUGUGUUCAAUGUACCACCAACCAAUAAAAUUACCAUUUUCCAAGCUUUGUGAAUCCGUGGAGUCACGCCUUUGGCUGACCACCACUCUUACACAUCAAUUUGAGCUUGUGCUUUUGUUUAAAACUCUACCUUUCUUCUACUUUCAAAGCUAUAUACAAAACAUUUUCCUUCUAUUUUGAUAAUGACAAUGCUUGAAACAAACAUUUUUGAAAAUUGAAAACUUUUUGUCUAUUUUGAAAAGCAAACCUGAGCAACGGGGUACAUUCAAAUGAAACAUGCAUGAGCGAGAAUAUGUUAAUGUCUAUUUCAAUAUAUGUUACAAGCAGGUUCUCCUCCAGGAUAGUCUGUGGUCAAUGGCAAGAAUGAAAAAACAGAAUGAAAAUGCAUGAAAAUGAAAAGGCUCGCUAAGUUGAAAACCCGAAAGGGCGACUUAGGCAAAAAUGAGCACCCCGCUGGAUUGACAACCCGAAAGGGCAAUUCAGGCAAAAAUGGGGCAUUGAAAAGAAUUUAUUUCCCCGGUGGACCGAAAACCCGAAAGGGCGAUCCAGGCAAAAAUGGGAUGCGAAAAAUGAUGAAUGAAAUUGAGAAUAUAACAUGCAAGAAGCAUUGACCACAGAUGCAAUGUCUACAACAUGCCCAGCACAACGGCAUUUUCCCCAGUCAAGUCUUCCAAGAUUCUAUCUCCAGCAAGUUGCAUACCUACCUAUCCUCAGCCUUGGUUCUGAUACGUCUCCCAACGACGUCAUCUCCAAAGAGGAUUUCCAAGAAUGUGUAAUAUAGCACGAGCCACUACGUGCCCAAUACUCUAAUGUCUUGUCUUCUCCGUGAAGUCGUGCCUACAAAAUGCCAACAGUCAUGCAUUACAAGCAUUCAUACAUGCAUAAUCAUGCAUAUUACGUGCCCAUGCAUUUAAUGAAAUUGUUAUAUCAUCCAUGCAUAUUGCAUUUCCAAUGUCAACAUCAGUCUCAAUUCAAUACUCAUGUCAGGUUCUCCGUCAAAACCUUGUGAGCCAAUAAUAUCGGUCAAUUUCUGCCUUUCAAUUCAAAUCGACGUCAAGUCAACCUCAAUCUAUAUUUUGUCAACAAACCAAUCCCCAGUGAAUGUGUUUCUGUUUGGUCAAGUUACUAGUUCGCAUCCAAGAACGACUUGUACCCAUUUACUUUUCAAUGUUAUCGGUCGAGUGCCCAGCUCAAUCCAAGAGCAGCUUGUACCUGUCUAUAUGUUUCCGUUUGGUCAAGUGACUAGCUCAAUCCAAGAGCAGCUUGUACCUGUCUAUCUGUUUCUGUCCGGUGGAGUAACCAGUUCGAAUCCAUAAGAACAACUCAUGUUUGUCCAGUAACCUCUAUCCCCAAGUGAGUCACCAGUUCGAAUCCAUAAGAACAACUCAUGUUUGUCCAGUAACCUCUAUCCCCAAGUGAGUCACCAGUUCGAAUCCAUAAGAACAACUCAUGUUUGUCCAGUAACCUCUAUCCCCUGUGAAGUGACCAGUUCGAAUCCAUAAGAACAACUCGCAGUUGUCUGUUUGUUUCAUCCCCGGUCAAGUGGCUAGUUUGAAUCCAAGAACAGCUUGUACCUGUCCAACUUGUUUCUAGUUUCCCGUUACUCUGCUAUUCACUAUCUUUGUCAAUGUCUACCAAUCCCGCAAUGGAUACGACAUAUUUUGUUAAUUCCAAUCCCCAUGAGGUCUUGCAUUCAUAAUCCAAAUGAUGCAUGGCAUGCAUAUUAUUUGAAAAUGGGUAGGCGUAUUUUUACGUCCAAACACAGUGUAAAUGCUAAUAUUUAAGUAUCUUCGUCCUGUCAAGCCAAAGACUCCGUCUCUUGAUUCUCCGGACAAAGAAACUUAAAUAGGGGCAGCUGUUAUACCCUGUUUUUGGACCUAAAAAUACUGGGCCCAAUUUCAUUUCAAACUUUGUCGAUUAUCAAAUUUCAACUGCGCAGUUCAAAUUGUCUCUGCCUCGCAGUAUUUUCAAUCACAAUUUUACCUAUGUUUUUCUUGCAUAAAACCUUUCGAAAUGUCUUUACUUGUCCUGUAAGUCAUUCAAAAGUGUCUCUGAAUCAUUACAUUGCUUUUUCUACAGUUUAUUUCAAAAUUUGCAAAAAGUCAUACAGAAGGGUAUUUUGGUCAUUUCCUGCAGUGGGACCCAUUUUCAUCCUUGUGACUGUCUCUGAGUCUUUUCAGAUUACUUUUAAACAUUUCAUCAGUAAACUUUGUUAAAAUUCAUUUCAAACUUGCGUCUGAGUCAGUGUCAAGUCAAUUCGAGUCUGUUUAGGUCAUUUUUAGCCCUAGGGGCAUUUUGGUCAUUUCACAUAAAAUUUUGGCAUGGGGAGGUUACUUUGAAGUACCUCAUUUAGGCCAUUGGUUCGUUUUAGUCCGUUUUGUCAAUUUUAUUUGUGUUUCGCUUUACGUUUGGUCAAAUUACCAAUUUUAUUUUAAUUUUUAGUGUUUUUAUUAUUUUUGCAUUUUUGUCCUCAAAGAGUUCCAAAAUUGCAGUUCAGUCCACUUUUUUUCCAAUUUUCAUUUCAGUCCUUUUUGUCAAAUUGCAGUUUAGUCCUUGAAGUUUUAUUUUUUGCAGAAAGGUCCAAAGUUCAUUUUUCAGGUCCAAAGCCGUGCCAUUCCUUUUCCAAAUCCAGGUGUCACAUUUUCGUUGGCUCAAGUGUACACAUGUCAGCUAUAAAAGCAGUGAGUCAGAGUCAAAGCCAAGGACAACACGCCAACUCAACAAACACAUUUUCAGAUUCUCUCUCCAAUCAGUUAGAUCAAAACAGAAAAAUUUCUCAGAUUCAUCAAGAACACGAAGAACACAAAACCCUAACCGUUUCCAGAAAGUCACAAAUUCAUCAAGUUUCAGUGUUUUUCGCAUCAAUUCUCAGAGAUUCGUAUGAAUCUUCAUCACUGAAUUGAUUGAUUCUCUGCAAUUCCAAACGCGAGCUCGCAUCAAAGCAAGCUCAUGCGUUGAUCACAGAGAGCCUCUCGCAAAGAAAUCAAAGAAGCAAGUUCAAACGUAUAAUCAGAGAAAGAAUCGGAGAAGAUGAAGAAACCAAGCCAGUAAACCGAUUUAUUUUCGGUUCAGAGAAAACCAAAGAACGUUCAAGUUUUCCGAAGAUUUUCUCCUUCAAGAAUCUCAACCAAAUUCAGGUAAAACUCAGUUUUCUCUCUUUAAAAAGCAUAAUCACUGUUAAACCUGCAAACAAGAUCCAAAAAAUUUCCAGAAUCAUAAAAAAAAUCAUAACCGUAAGCAAAAACAUAGAUCCAUAGAAAUCCAGAAGUUGUAAGCAAGGACGAGUGCCAGAGAGAUAGCCAACACGGAAUCAAUGUAGAUCUUGAGGUGUUACAAGCUUCUUUUAAAAAUUCUUUGAAAACCUAAAAAAUUUUUCAAAACCGUGACACAAAAACGUAGAUCUACGUUGAUUCACGCCUUGCAUGAAAAAUCCAGUGGCAUAUUCGUGUUUAGGAUGGAAAAGGAUAUCUGAAAAUGUAAGUUUUUUUGAAAACGGUGGAGUUUGUUCAACUCCGGCGGCGGCGCCACCACCCUUGGGCGGCCGGCCACCACGCCGGAGGAGCAAAACUCACCGGGGAAGAUGAAGAUCUUCCGUGUUUUUCCAGAAUCCGGUGAGGGUUUAGAGAGAGAUGAGAGAUGAGAGAAGAGGGAAGAACUUAGAGAGAGAAAGGGAAGUAGAGAAAUGAAAAAACCGGUGCUCUCUUGUUUAUAUAAGCCAGCGAACCGGACCGGUUCAAUCCGGUCCAUUCCCCUUUGAUUCCUGGCCGCUUGAUCUAGGGUUUCAGAAUCCUGGAUCAAUCGUGUGGUUACUGUGCAUCCGGAUCUUUUAAGGAUUGGGCUUUGGUUUGGGCUUAGUUUUUUUACGUUUUUUUUGUUAUUUUCUUGCUAUUUGCACUGCCUGUCUUUGCUAUCCGCACCUGUUGCUUGCCUACCUUUUUAUAGAAAAUUCCUAAAAAAAUCCUAGUUGUUUCUCAAUGUAUUUUUGGCAUUUUUAUGGUGUUUUCUUGCAUGAAAAAAAUAUUAAAAUGGCAUGAACUAAUUUCCAUGAGUUUCUACACUUUUGGUAUGCAUUUUGCUAUGUUUUGUUCUUGGCAUUUUGAUAUUAUGACAUGGAUGAAUGAUGCCUAAUAUGGUGAUGAACAUGCCUCUGGAAAUGUGUUUAUUUUUGUUGUGUUUGGAUAUGAUUUUAUGGAUUACUUGUUUCACAAGAAAUAAUGGUUUAUUUUUUAGAAUAAAGUGGCAAAUUUCUCUAUGAACUUGGUAUGAUAUUUUGCAUGCAUACGCCUCCAUUAAUUGCAUGUCAUGGCUUGAAACAAAAUUUCUUUCUAAAUUGCCAUGAUGUGAUGAUUAUGGGUCACUAGCAUUUUUAAGUAUCAUAUCAAAUGUCUUCUAGGUUUAUUACCACUUUAUUGCUUUCUCUUGGCCAUCUUUAUGCAUUUCCUCUUAAUUACUUCCUACUAUUGUGUGCUUUAUGACUACUAACCAUUUCAUCUCAUGUGCCAUACAUUUCAUAGCAUUCCACCACUCUCUCCACUUUCUUUAGCUUAGCAUUUAUUUUUUGCAAAUCUUAAUUCAUUUGGUGAUGUAAUUUGUUGUCAUUGGUUUGUAGCUUGGCAAAGGGGCCAUAGAAUGUAUUUAGGCAAUUUUUGUAAUAUGGACUAUGGACACUAUGACGCACCGACACGCACACACUCACCUUAGAUGUAUGCAUAGGAUUGUAUGAUUAAAUAAGCGUUUAGGUUUUAAACACUUAGAGAAAAUCCAUCUUUUUUCAAAAAAUAAUUGAACUUCACUUCAAAAACUUUCAUGAUAAGCAUGAAGUCAACACUUCAUUUUUCCUUUCUUUUUUUCUUAAGAAAAAGUUCAAUUCAUCUUAAUCAUUUAGACUUUCUUUCUAAUCACUAAUCAAACCUCACUUUUUUGCUAAAUCUAAUGCUCAUGAAGCCUCCCAAUCUCCUUCUUCAAAACUUUUUUUUCAAAACUUAAAAUCAAACAAUUAAAAUCAAAAAAAAAAGUUUUUUUAGCAAGAACUACGAACGGUUUUGAUCCCUUAAAAGGGUACGUAGGCAAUGAGUCAAAACUCAUCCAAGCCGAAAUAAAAUCAAAAUUCUACUUCUUCUCACCCCCAUUCUUAACUAAAUAAACCUCCCAUUUUCAAAAGUAAGUAAAAAUAAAGCGUAGAAAUCGACUUAGGAAAACGGCUCCUAUAGAGGACUAUAGUUACUCCGGGUGCCUAACACCUUCCCGUAGUAAAACCGACCCCCGAACUUAGAAUCUAAGGGUUUUUUCUCAAUUUUUCCCUUCCCAAGAAAAAAGAGAGAUAUCAACGGUCGAAAGGUACAAGUCCAAUUAAUGACUUGGCACCCAAAAACCAUGAUAACAAUGCCUAAUAUUGUGGUGAAUAUAACUCUGGAAAUGUGCUUUUGUUUGCUAUUUGUGAAUAUGAUUUUAUGGAUUUCUUGUUUUACAAGCAACAAGUGUUUAUUUUUAGGAAUAAAGUAGGAAAUUUCUUCAUGAAUUUGGUGUGGUAUUUUGCUUGCACAUGUCUCCAUUAAUUGCAUGUCAUGGUUUAAAACAAAAUUUCUUUCAAAAUUGCCAUGAUGUGAUAAUUAUGGGUCACUAGCAUCUUUAGGUAUCAUAUCAAAUGUUUUUUUAGGUUUUUACCACUUUGUUACUCUUUCUUUGCCAUUCUUAUGCACUUCCUUUUGAUUAUUUCCUACUAUUUUGUGCUUUAUAAUCACUAACCAUUUCAUCUCAUGUGCCAUACAUUCCAUAGCAUUCCACCACCCUCUCCACUUUCUUUAGCUUAGCAUUUAUUUUUUGCAAGUUUUAAUUCAUUUGGUGAUGUAAUUUGUUAUCAUUGGUUUGUAGCUUGGCAAAGGGGCCAUAGAAUGUAUUUAGGCAAUUUUUGUAAUAUGGACUAUGGACACUAUGACGCACCGACACGCACACACUCACCUUAGAUGUAUGCAUAGGAUUGUAUGGUUAAAUAAGCGUUUAGGUUUUAAACACUUAGAGAAAAUCCAUCUUUUUUUCAAAAAAAAACAAUUGAACUUCACUUCAAAAUUUUCAUAAUAAGUAUGAAGUCAACACUUCAUUUUUUUUCCUUUCUUUUUUCUUAAGAAAAAUUCAAUUCAUCUUAACUAUUUAGACUUUCUUUCUAAUCACUAAUCAAACCUCACUUUUUUGCUAAAUCUAAUGCUCAUGAAGCCUCCCAAUCUCCUUCUUCAAAACCUUUUUUUCAAAACUUAAAAUCAAACAAUUAAAACAAAAAACAAGUUUUUUUAGCAAGAACUACGAACGGUUUUGAUCCCGUAAAACGGUACGUAGGCAAUGAGUCAAAACUCAUCCAAGCCGAAAUAAAAUCAAAUUCUACUUCUUCUCACCCCCAUUCUUCACUAAUCAUACCUUCUUUUUUACAAAUAAGCAAUAAAACUAAAGCGUAGAAAUAAACUUAGGAGAACGGUUCUUAUGGAAUACCAUAAUCGCUCCGGGUGCCUAACACCUUCCCGUAGUGAAAACGACCCCCGAAUCUAGAACUUUUUAAGGGUUUUUUCUCCUUUUACCCUUCCCAAGAAAAAAGAGAGAUAUCAACGGUCGAAAGGUUCAAGUCCAAUUAAUGGCUUGGCACCCCAAAACCAUGAUAACAGAAAUGGCGACUUCACUGGGGACUCUUUUUAGCGGGUCGCGCCUAGUUUUCCUUAGUUUAUAUUUACACUUUGUUUUAUUGCUUACAUAUGUGAAUAUUUGUUUACUUUCAUUCAACGUGUGGGGUGAGAAUAUCAAAAGUCCUAUACCCGGGCUGAGUGAACUUAUGUUUAGGUAGAGAUAUAAUCGACAAUUCGAUCCGGGGGUUGCCUCGUGUAUUGGAUUAUGCGAUCAAUCUCACAUAGCUGAGGCAUUUUGAAGGUGAUAUUGUCGGCGUGUGUUGUCAUGCUUAGGCACUUCACUUUCAAUUGUUCGACGAAGCUAUGAACCGUAGUUACCAAACCCAUCCUAGCCUUUUUAGGACGUAGUGCGGUGGCUAAAUUGAGUGUUGUCUCAAACUUUAGUCGUCACGCGAUACUACACUCAAACUAGACCUUCUCACAAAUAAUCAUGGAACGGGUGUCGUCCUGUACUACCAUGAUAUAUGUGAGAGAAGUUGCAGUUUGGGAACUGUGUUAGAACCUUGGUUACUACUAUCCAAAGCCUUAGUUCACCGGACGCCGUGUCCAUCCGUGGCCCCGUUACCUUGAAACUCAAUCCACUUUUAACAACACAAUCAUGCAUACAUGCAUUCAUGCAUAAACAUUUUUCAUGCAUUCAUCGAAGGGUUUAAACAAAUGAGAAUUUUUUUUGUAAAUAAUCACAGGUAUGAAGAAGACUAAGUGCUACAAGUUCAAGGAGGUGGAUUUGGUUAGUUUGAGAGAGUUGGCACUCAAGGUCAAGAGUCAAACAGGGUUCCGACUCCGGUAUGGGGGAUUGCUUACUUUGCUCCGAACCGAUGUGGAAGAGAAGCUAGUGCACACUCUAGUGCAGUUUUAUGAUCCGAGCUUCCGUUGCUUCACUUUCCCGGACUUCCAGUUGGUUCCUACUCUCGAGGCUUACUCCAAUCUAGUGGGUUUACCUAUAGCCGAGAAGACGCCUUUCACCGGUCCCGGGACUUCUCUUACUCCUCUGGUUAUUGCAAAGGAUCUCUACCUCAAGACUUCCGACGUCUCCAACCAUCUUAUUACCAAGUCUCACAUCCGGGGGUUCACUUCGAAGUAUCUUCUUGAUCAGGCUAAUCUCGGUACUACUCGUCAGGAUACACUUGAGGCUAUUCUUGCUUUGCUUAUCUACGGGCUCAUCCUCUUUCCGAACCUCGACAACUUCGUGGACAUGAAUGCUAUCGAGAUCUUUCAUUCCAAGAACCCGGUUCCUACUUUGCUAGCGGAUACUUACCACGCCAUCCAUGACAGGACUCUCAAGGGCCGUGGGUAUAUUCUUUGCUGCAUAUCUCUCUUGUAUAGGUGGUUUAUUUCGCACCUUCCGAGUUCCUUCCAUGACAACUCGGAGAACUGGUCCUACUCGCAGCGGAUUAUGGCUCUCACUCCUAAUGAGGUCGUCUGGCUCACUCCGGCCGCUCAGGUGAAGGAAAUCAUUAUGGGUUGUGGAGACUUUCUCAAUGUACCUCUUCUUGGUACCCGUGGAGAAAUCAACUACAACCCCGAGCUUGCUAUGAGACAGUUCGGUUUCCCUAUGAAGUCGAAGCCCAUCAAUCUUGCCACAUCUCCAGAGUUCUUCUUCUACAUGAAUGCUCCUACCGGACAAAAGAAAGCUUUCGUGGAUGCUUGGUCCAAGGUUCGAAGGAAAAGUGUGAAGCAUCUAGGUGUGAGAUCCGGUGUCGCUCAUGAGGCUUAUACUCAGUGGGUGAUAGAUCGAGCUGAGGAGAUUGGUAUGCCUUAUCCAGCUAUGAGAUACGUGUCUUCAUCCACUCCGUCUAUGCCUUUACCUCUACUUCCCGCAACUCAGGAUAUGUAUCAGGAGCAUCUAGCUAUGGAGAGUCGUGAGAAGCAAGCGUGGAAAGCUCGGUACAAUCAAGCCGAGAAUCUAAUCAUGACUUUGGAUGGUAGAGAUGAGCAGAAGACUCAUGAGAAUCUGAUGUUGAAGAAAGAACUAGCUAAGGCCCGGAGGGAAUUGGAAGAGAAAGACGAGCUGCUUAUGAGGGAUUCCAAGAGAGCUCGAGGACGACGAGAUUUCUUUGACAGAUACUGUGAUUCAGAUUCCGAGUCCGAUGAUCUUCCGACUACUUCCUAUGCUUGAGAGCUCUAUUUGUUUACCUUGUUGAAAAUGUUGUGUAAUUUUGUUUAUUUGCAAGAUUUCUAAUUUGUUUUAAAAUCCUUCGAUGAAAAAAAUAAGUCUUUUGCAUUCGCAUUUGCAUAUCAUGCAUCAUAUGCAUCAUGCAUUGGUCACAAAGGCUUCCAAGUGCUCAUUAUCUCCUGGUUCCUCUGCCGCAGUGUGAAAAGUGGCUCGUGCUCAGAGAGUUUACGAACCAGAUAGAAUUGAUCGAACCAGAGAAUACAGAAGAAAGAAAAGGGCUAUGGAAGAAGAGAACGCUCAGCUUCGCACCGAGUUAGCCUCUCUAAAGGAGGAAUUGGCAAAAGCUAAUGACGUCAUGACUGCUCUACUAGCUGCUCAAGAGCAAUCAGCUACAGCUAUCCCUACAACCACAGCUGCACCAGUAACUACAAGCGUGCUCCCUACCACUUCUGCAGACAAUCGCUUUACUAUGCCAGUGGGGUUUCCGUAUGGGCUUCCACCAUUCUUCACUCCCGUUGCUACAGCAAGCACCUCGGGCACUGCUAACAAUGUUCUGAUCCCUGCAACAAAUGCCGCCUCCAUCAUUGCUACUUUGCCACAAACAACAGCAGCUGUCACUGAGCCUCUGGUACACACUCUGCCUCAAGGUAUUAACAUCAACACACAGCACAGAAGCAUCCCCGUAACCAAGACUAUGGAAGAGAUGAUGGAGGAACUUGCUAAAGAACUCCGUCACGAGAUCCAGGCCAAUCGAGGGAAUGCAGACUCUGUCAAAACUCAAGACCUUUGCUUAGUGUCAAAAGUGGAUGUUCCUAAAAAGUUCAAGAUUCCGGACUUCGACCGGUACAACGGGCUAACUUGUCCUCAAAAUCACAUCAUCAAAUACGUCCGGAAGAUGGGCAAUUACAAAGACAAUGAUUCCCUUAUGAUCCACUGUUUUCAGGAUAGUCUGAUGGAGGAUGCCGCAGAGUGGUAUACUAGUUUGAGUAAGAAUGACAUCCAUACCUUUGAUGAGUUAGCCACCGCUUUCAAGAGCCAUUAUGGGUUUAACACUCGACUGAGGCCAAAUAGGGAGUUUCUCAGGUCCCUAUCUCAGAAGAAGGAGGAAAGUUUCCGUGAAUAUGCGCAAAGGUGGAGAGGGGCGGCUGCCCGUAUCACCCCUGCUUUAGAUGAAGAAGAAAUGACCCAGACGUUCUUAAAGACGUUGAAGAAAGAUUAUGUUGAGAGGAUGAUCAUCGCUGCCCCGAACAACUUUUCGGAGAUGGUCACUAUGGGAACCCGCCUUGAGGAAGCCGUCAGGGAUGGGAUCAUUGUGUUUGAGAAAGCUGAAUCCUCUGUGAGUGCAUCGAAGAGAUAUGGUAAUGGACACCACAAGAAGAAAGAAACUGAAGUGGGGAUGGUAUCAGCUGGAGCCGGUCAAUCCAUGGCUACUAUUGCUCCCAUCAAUGCAGCUCAAAUGCCUCCGUCAUACCCAUAUAUGCCAUAUUCUCAGCAUCCGUUCUUCCCACCGUUUUAUCAUCAGUACCCUUUGCCACCGGGUCAACCUCAAGUGCCCGUCAAUGCAAUUGCCCAACAGAUGAAACAACAGUUGCCGGUUCAACAACAACAACAAAAUCAGCAAGCUAGGCCUACUUUCCCUCCGAUACCGAUGUUAUAUGCUGAGUUGCUUCCAACUUUACUCCAGAGAGGGCAUUGUACGACUAGACAGGGCAAGCCACCACCUGAUCCGUUGCCUCCAAGGUUCAGGUCUGAUCUCAAAUGCGAUUUUCAUCAAGGUGCCUUAGGUCAUGAUGUCGAGGGGUGUUAUGCUUUGAAGUAUAUCGUGAAGAAGCUCAUUGAUCAAGGGAAGCUCACUUUUGAGAAUAAUGUCCCACAUGUCCUUGACAAUCCGCUACCAAAUCAUGCCGCUGUGAAUAUGAUCGAAGUAUGUGAAGAAACUCCUAGACUUGAUGUCCGCAAUGUCGCAACUCCUCUGGUACCUCUACACAUCAAGCUGUGCAAAGCUUCUCUGUUCAAUCAUGAUCAUGCUAAGUGUCUGGGAUGUCUCCGUGAUCCUUUGGGUUGUUAUGCUGUUCAAGACGACAUCCAAAGCUUAAUGAAUGAUAAUCUUCUGACUGUCAGUGAUGUUUGCGUGAUUGUGCCAGUUUUUCACGAUCCGCCUGUCAAGAGUGUACCUUUGAAGAAGAAUGCUGAGCCUUUGGUGAUAAGGUUGCCAGGACCAAUUCCUUAUGUUUCGGAUAAGGCUGUUCCAUACAAAUACAAUGCUACUAUGAUAGAAAAUGGAGUAGAGGUGCCUCUAGCCUCCUUUGCCACAGUAAGCAAUAUUGCCGAAGGGACUUCUGCAGCGCUAAGAAGCGGGAAAGUUCGUCCGCCGUUAUUUCAGAAGAAGGUAGCUACCCCGACCAUUCCACCAGUUGAAGAAGCAACUCCAACCGUUGUCUCACCCAUUGCUACAGAUGUGAACCAGCCUGGCAAAUCUAUAGAGGAUUCGAAUUUAGAUGAGAUUCUGAGGAUAAUAAAGAGGAGCGACUACAAGAUCGUUGAUCAGUUGCUGCAGACUCCUUCAAAGAUAUCUGUCUUGUCAUUACUCUUAAGCUCUGAGGCUCACAGGAAUACUUUGUUGAAAGUGCUGGAGCAGGCUUAUGUUGACCACGAAGUUACGGUAGAUCGUUUCGGUGGCAUAGUGGGAAAUAUUACUGCUUGUAACAAUCUCUGGUUUAGUGAAGAAGAAUUGCCGGAAGCGGGAAAGAGUCACAAUCUGGCUUUACACAUCUCGGUGAAUUGUAAAUCAGACAUGAUAUCAAAUGUGUUGGUGGAUACCGGUUCCUCUCUCAAUGUAAUGCCCAAGACAACUCUAGAUCAGUUGAGCUACCGUGGGACCCCUUUGAGAAGAAGUACUUUCUUGGUCAAAGCUUUUGAUGGAUCUCGAAAGAAUGUGCUGGGAGAGAUAGACUUGCCGAUAACCAUUGGCCCUGAGAAUUUCUUGGUUACUUUCCAAGUGAUGGACAUUAAUGCAUCCUACAGUUGCCUGCUGGGAAGACCGUGGAUACACGAUGCAGGUGCGGUUACUUCCACCUUACAUCAGAAGUUGAAAUUUGUGAAGAAUGGAAAACUCGUUACAAUCCAUGGUGAAGAAGCAUACUUAGUCAGCCAAUUGUCUUCUUUUUCUUGUAUUGAAGCAGGGUCUGCUGAAGGGACUGCUUUCCAAGGUUUGACCAUUGAAGGUGCAGAGUCAAAGGAAGCUGGGGCUGCUAUGGCUUCAUUGAAGGAUGCUCAGAGAGCCAUUCAAGAAGGUCAGACUGCCGGCUGGGGCAAGGUGAUACAGCUCUGUGAGAACAAGCGCAAAGAAGGUCUCGGGUUCUCCCCGUCAUCAAGGGUUUCCUCAGGAGUCUUCCACAGUGCAGGGUUUGUUAAUGCUAUCUCCGAAGAAGCCACUGGAUCUGGUCUCAGGCCUGUAUUUGUUACACCAGGAGGCAUUGCGAGUGAUUGGGAUGCCAUUGACAUUCCUUCAAUCAUGCAUGUUUCCGAGUAAUGCGUCUUGUUGCUUUAGCGCUUUGUUUUCAAAAAUAACAAUCCUCUCGCUCUGCCCAAAGCGAGAGUGAUAUUUUCUGUAAGGGCGUGUUUGUUUCGGCAUUGCCGUUUGAUGAAUAAAAAUUGUCGUUUCUUUCACGACUGCUUUUUUUUUAGUGCCCUUUUCUUGGAAAAAUGGUAAUGCCAGAAAAAACCAAAACGUCUGUAUUUUCUUAUUAAUUUCAAAAAUCUGCAUGAAAAAAAAACUCUUUCUAAAAUCAUCCAAUCAUUAUAUGCAGGUUGAACCAUAAUAAACCCGUUGAACACAGUAAUCCUACGGUUCCUCCAAAUUUUGAAUUCCCUGUAUAUGAAGCUGAAGAUGAGGAAGGUGAUGACAUACCGUAUGAGAUCACUCGGUUACUUGAGCAAGAAAAGAAAGCCAUUCAGUCUCACCAGGAAGAGAUUGAGCUUAUCAACAUAGGUACCGAGGAAAACAAGCGAGAAAUCAAGAUUGGUGCUACUCUAGAGGAAGGGGUUAAACAGAAGAUCAUCCAGCUCCUCCGGGAAUAUCCGGAUAUUUUUGCAUGGUCCUAUGAAGAUAUGCCAGGUCUAGACCCUAUGAUCGUGGAGCAUCGGAUCCCUACCAAGCCUGAAUGUCCUCCCGUCAGACAGAAAUUGAGAAGGACUCAUCCUGAUAUGGCUCUCAAGAUUAAGAGCGAGGUUCAAAAACAGAUUGAUGCGGGUUUCCUAAUGACAGUUGAGUAUCCUGAAUGGGUUGCCAAUAUUGUGCCUGUGCCAAAAAAGGAUGGUAAAGUCCGGAUGUGUGUUGACUUCAGAGACCUGAACAAAGCCAGUCCAAAAGACAACUUUCCAUUACCUCAUAUUGAUGUGCUUGUUGAUAAUACUGCUCAAUCUAAGGUGUUCUCCUUCAUGGACGGUUUUUCUGGUUAUAAUCAGAUCAAAAUGUCUCCCGAAGAUAGAGAAAAGACAUCUUUUAUCACUCCAUGGGGUACUUUCUGCUACAAAGUGAUGCCAUUCGGUCUAAUUAAUGCUGGUGCUACCUACCAAAGGGGAAUGACUACUUUGUUUCAUGACAUGAUUCACAAAGAAGUUGAGGUAUAUGUGGAUGACAUGAUUGUGAAGUCAGCAGAUGAGGAGCAGCAUGUUGAAUAUUUAACAAAGAUGUUUGAAAGGUUGAGAAAAUACAAGCUGCGUUUGAAUCCCAACAAAUGUACAUUCGGUGUCAGGUCCGGAAAGUUAUUAGGCUUCAUUGUCAGCCAAAAGGGCAUUGAAGUCGAUCCUGAUAAAGUCCGGGCCAUCCAAGAAAUGCCAGCUCCACAGACAGAGAAGCAAGUCAGAGGUUUCCUCGGGCGUUUGAAUUACAUCUCCCGGUUCAUAUCUCACAUGACCGCAACCUGUGGGCCGAUCUUCAAGCUGCUUAGAAAAAACCAGCCUAUUGUAUGGAAUGAUGAGUGCCAAGAAGCUUUUGAUAGCAUCAAGAAUUACCUGCUGGAACCACCUAUCCUUGUCCCACCCGUGGAAGGAAGGCCGUUGAUCAUGUAUUUGGCAGUAUUUGAUGAAUCCAUGGGAUGCGUGCUUGGUCAACAAGAUGAAACUGGAAAGAAAGAGCAUGCUAUCUACUAUCUAAGCAAGAAGUUCACCGAUUGUGAAACUCGGUAUACAAUGCUUGAGAAGACUUGUUGUGCUUUGGCCUGGGCCGCUAAACGCCUGCGUCAUUAUUUGGUGAAUCAUACAACUUGAUUGAUAUCCAGAAUGGAUCCGAUCAAGUAUAUCUUUGAGAAAGCUGCCGUUACUGGAAAGAUUGCACGCUGGCAGAUGCUUUUGUCUGAAUAUGAUAUUGUGUUCAAAACUCAAAAGGCAAUCAAAGGUAGCAUUCUUGCCGAUCAUCUUGCCUACCAACCUCUUGAUGAUUACCAACCAAUUGAGUUCGACUUCCCUGAUGAAGAGAUCAUGUAUUUGAAAUCCAAAGACUGCGAAGAACCGUUGAUUAAUGAAGGUCCAGAUCCCAAUAGCAAGUGGGGUUUAGUCUUUGAUGGUGCUGUCAAUGCUUAUGGCAAAGGAAUCGGGGCAGUCAUUGUAUCCCCGCAAGGGUAUCACAUUCCUUUUACCGCCAGAAUCUUGUUCGAAUGUACCAACAAUAUGGCUGAGUAUGAAGCAUGUAUCUUUGGGAUCGAGGAAGCAAUUGACAUGAGAAUCAAACACCUCGACAUCUAUGGAGAUUCUGCGCUCGUCAUCAAUCAGAUAAAGGGUGAAUGGGAGACCCACCAUGCUAAUUUGAUUCCUUAUCGUGAUUAUGCGAGACGUUUGCUGACAUAUUUUACAAAGGUUGAGCUGCACCAUAUUCCUCGUGAUGAGAACCAAAUGGCUGAUGCUCUUGCUACUCUAUCCUCCAUGUUUCGAGUAAACCAUUGGAAUGAUGUGCCAAUAAUCAAAAUGCAACGCCUUGAAAGACCUUCACAUGUGUUUGCUAUUGGGGAUGUGAUCGAUCAGGCUGGUGAAAAUGUGGUUGACUAUAAACCCUGGUACUAUGACAUCAAGCAGUUCUUGCUGAGCCGUGAGUAUCCGCCGGGUGCUUCCAAACAAGACAAGAAGACCUUGAGAAGAUUGGCCAGUAGAUUCCUGUUAGAUGGAGAUAUUCUGUACAAGAGAAACUAUGACAUGGUAUUGUUAAGAUGUGUUGAUGAACAUGAAGCAGAGCAGUUAAUGCAUGAUGUACAUGACGGUACCUUCGGGACCCAUGCUACAGGGCAUACUAUGUCAAGAAAGUUGUUACGAGCAGGUUACUACUGGAUGGCCAUGGAGCAUGAUUGCUACCAGUACGCCAGAAAAUGCCACAAAUGUCAAAUCUAUGCUGAUAAGAUUCAUGUGCCUCCGCACGCUCUCAAUGUUAUGUCAUCCCCAUGGCCGUUCUCAAUGUGGGGCAUCGACAUGAUUGGAAGAAUUGAACCGAAGGCUUCAAAUGGUCAUCGUUUCAUCUUAGUGGCAAUUGACUACUUCACCAAGUGGGUUGAAGCAGCAUCUUAUACCAAUGUGACCAAGCAAGUGGUAGCUAAGUUCAUCAAGAACAACAUCAUCUGUCGAUAUGGUGUUCCCAGCAAGAUUAUUACCGACAAUGGUACCAACCUGAACAACAAUGUGGUGCAAGCUCUUUGUGAAGAAUUCAAAAUUGAGCAUCAUAACUCUUCUCCCUAUAGACCUCAGAUGAAUGGUGCAGUUGAGGCCGCCAACAAGAAUAUCAAGAGAAUUGUCCAGAAGAUGGUGACCACUUACAAGGACUGGCAUGAGAUGUUACCCUAUGCUCUGCAUGGCUACCGUACUACUGUGCGCAGUUCAACAGGGGCAACCCCUUUCUCUCUUGUAUAUGGUAUGGAAGCAGUUCUUCCUUUGGAAGUGGAGAUCCCAUCUCUCCGUGUGAUCAUGGAAGCAAAGUUAUCUGAGGCUGAAUGGUGCCAAAGCCGGUAUGAUCAGUUGAAUUUGAUUGAGGAAAAACGUAUGGAUGCCAUGGCUCGUGGACAGUCAUAUCAAGCAAGAAUGAAGACUGCCUUUGACAAGAAAGUCCAUCCUCGAGAAUUCAAGGUAGGGGAACUUGUAUUGAAAAGGAGGAUAAGCCAGCAACCCGACCCAAGGGGCAAGUGGACGCCUAACUAUGAAGGUCCUUAUGUUGUCAAGAAGGCCUUCUCCGGUGGUGCUUUAAUCCUUACACACAUGGAUGGUGUAGAACUUCCAAAUCCAGUGAAUGCCGAUAUAGUCAAGAAAUACUUUGCCUAGAAAUAUGAAAAGAACAGCGUGGUAGGUCGAAAACCCGAAAGGGCGGCCUAGGCAAAAAUGCGCUUCCCGGUGGAUCGAAAACCCGAAAGGGCGGUCCAGGCAAAAAUAAGGGACAAAAAAUAUAUGAAAAGCUCGCUGAGAUUGUACACAACUCAGGCAAGAAUGAGCGUCUCGAUGAGCCGAAAACCCGGAAGGGCGGUUCAUGCAAAAAUGAGAUUGAAACAAAAGGCAAGUAACUAUAUCUAGUCAACCACCGUCUCCCUUGGGGCAUCUGCGGCUGUUAAUGCCUAUCUUCAUCUAAAGCUCCUACGCUUGCGAAUUCAAAGUUUCCAGGAAAUGUAAUGAUUGCUGUGUUCAAUGUACCACCAACCAAUAAAAUUACCAUUUUCCAAGCUUUGUGAAUCCGUGGAGUCAUGCCUUUGGCUGACCACCACUCUUAUACAUCAAUUUGAGCCUUUGCUUUUGUUUGAAAACUCUAUUUUUUCUUCUACUUUCAAAGCUAUAUACAAAACAUUUUCUUUCUAUUUUGAUAAUGACAAUGCUUGAAACAAACAUUUUGAAAAUUGAAAACUUUUUGUCUAUUUUGAAAAGCAAACCUGAGCAACAGGGUACAUUCAAAUGAAACAUGCAUGAGUGAGAGUAUGUUGAUGUCUAUUUCAAUAUGUGUUACAAGCAGGUUCUCCUCCAGGAUAGUCUGUGGUCAAUGGCAAGAAUGAAAAAGCAGAAUGAAAAUGCAUGAAAAUGAAAAGGCUCGCUAAGUUGAAAACCCGGAAGGGCGGCUUAGGCAAGAAUGAGCACCCCGCUGGAUUGAAAACCCGAAAGGGCAGUUCAGGCAAAAAUGGGGCAUUGAAAAGAAUUUAUUUCCCCGGUGGAUCGAAAACCCGAAAGGGCGAUCCAGGCAAAAAUGGGAUGCAAAAAAUGAAUGAAUGAAGUUGAGAAUAUAACAUGCAAAAAGCAUUGACCACAGAUGCAAUGUCUACAACAUACCCAGCACUGAAAUGCCCAGCACAACGGCGUUUUCCCCAGUGGAGCCUCUCAAGAUUCUAUCUCCAGCAAGUUGCAUAUCUACCUGCCCUCAGCUAUGGUUCCGACACGUCUCCCAACGACGUCAUCUCCAAAGAAGAUUUCCAAGAAUGUGUAAUAUAGCACGAGCCACUACGUGCCCAAUACUCUAAUGUCUUGUCUUCCCCGUAAAGUCGUGCCUACAAACUGCCAACAGUCAUGCAUUACAAGCAUUCAUACAUGCACAAUCAUGCGUAAUACGUGCCCAUGCAUUUAAUAAAACUGUUAUAUCAUCCAUGCAUAUCGCAUUUCCAAUAUCAAUAUCAGUCUCAAUUCAAAACUCAUGACAGGUCCUUUGUCAAAACCUUGUGAGCCAAUAAUAUCGGUCAAUUUCUACCUUUCAAAUCAAAUCGACGUCAAGUCAAUCUCAAUCUAUAUUUUGCCAACAAACCAAUCCCCAGUGAAUAUGUUUCUGUUUGGUCAAGUGGCUAGUUCAAGGCCAAGAACAGCUUGUACCUAUCAAUUUGCUUAUGUUAUCGGUCGAGUGCCCAGCUCAAUCCAAGAGCAGCUUGUACCUGUCAAUAUGUUUCCGUUUGGUCAAGUGACUAGCUCAAUCCAAGAGCAGCUUGUACCUGUCUAUCCGUUUCUCUCCGGUGGAGUAACUAGUUCGCAUCCAAGAACAAGCUCGCACCUGUCUAUUUGCCUUGCUUUCAGUCGAGUAACCAGUUCGAAUCCUUAAGAACAACUCGUACCUGCCAAUUUUACAUGUUUUCAGUCGAGACACCAGUUCGAAUCCAUAGGAACAACUCGUACUUGUCAAUUUUCUCUUUUUCCAGUCGAGUCACCAGUUCGAAUCCGUAAGAACAACUCGUACUUGCCAAUUUUCUCUUUAUCCCCAAGUGAGCUACCCAGUUCGAAUCCAUAAGAACAACUCAUGUUUGUCCAGUAACCUCUAUCCCCUGUGAAGUGACCAGUUCGAAUCCAUAAGAACAACUCGCAGUUGUCGGUUUGUUUCAUCCCCGGUCAAGUGGCUAGUUCGAAUCCAAGAACAGCUUGUACCUGCCCAACUUGUUUCUAGUUUCCCGUUACUCUGCUAUUCACUAUCUUUGUCAAUGUCUACCAAUCCCGCAAUGGAUACGACAUAUUUUGUUAAUUCCAAUCCCCAUGAGGUCUUGCAUUCAUAAUCCAAAUGAUGCAUGGCAUGCAUAUUAUUUGAAUAUGGGUAGGCGUAUUUUUACGUCCAAACACAGUGCAAAUGCUAAUAUUUAAGUAUCUUCGUCCUGUCAAGCCAAAGACUCCGUCUCUUGACUCUCCAGACAAAGAAACUUAAAUAGGGGCAGCUGUUAUACCCUGUUUUUGGACCUAAAAAAUACUGGGCCCAAUUUCAUUUCAAACUUCGUCAAUUAUCAAAUUUCAGCUGCACAGUUCAAUUUGUCUCUGCCUCGCAGUAUUUUCAAUCACAAUUUUACCUAUGUUUUUCUUGCAUAAAACCUUUUAAAAUGUCUUUACUGGUCUUGUAAGUCACGCAAAAGUGUCUCUGAAUCAUUAUGUUGCUUUUUUUCCACAGUUUAUUUCAAAAUUUGCAAAAAGUCAUACAGAAGGGUAUUUUGGUCAUUUCCUGCAGUGGGACCCAUUUUCAUCCUUGUGACUGUCUCUGAGUCUUUUCAAAUUCAUUUUUUACUUUCCAUCAGUAAACCUUGCUAAUUUCAUUUCGAACUUGCAUCUGAGUCAGUGUCGAGUCAAUUUGAGUCUGUUUAGGUCAUUUUUUUAGCCCUAGGGGCAUUUUGGUCAUUUCACAUAAAAUUUUGGCAUGGGGAGGUUACUUUGAAGUACCUCAUUUAGGCCAUUGGUUCGUUUUAGUCCGUUUUGUCAAUUUUAUUUUAGUUUCACUUUACGUUUCGUCAGAUUGCCAAUUUUAUUCCAAUUUUAUUUUUAUUUUACAUUUUGGUCCCCAAGAGGUCCAAAAUUGCGUGUCAGUCCAGAAUUUUCUUUUUUUAUAUUUCAGUCCUUUUUGUCAAUUGCAGUUUAGUCCCUUAAUUUUUCAAUUUUGCAGAAAGGUCCCAAAUUAAUUCUAAGUCCAAGGCCGUGCCAUUUCCAUACAAAUCCAGGUGUCACAUUUUCAUUGGCUCAAGUGUACACAUGUCAACUAUAUAAACAGUGAGUCAGAAUCAGAAGCAAUAAUCACACGCCACUUCACCAAAAAACAGGAUCAAACUUUCUCUUUCUUGUCAGUUAGAUCAAACCAAAAAAUCACAGAGAAAUCACCAAGAACACAAGAACCCUAAGAUUUCCAGAACAAAAUUCAUACACAAAUUCAUUGAUUUUCACAUCAAUCCUCAGAGAUUCGUGUGAAUCUUCAUCACCGGAUUGAGGAAUUCCCCUACAAUUCAAAGUGCGAGCUCACAUUGAAGCAAGCUCAAGCACUGAUCAUAGGGAUUUUUCACACAGAUUCAAAAACGUUGAAGCAAGCUCAAGCACAUAAUCACAGAGAAGCAGAGAAAGAAUCAGAGAAGAUGAAGAUGAACCGGUAAACCGAUUUAUUUUCGGUCCAAAAGCAAGCAAAAUCAUCAAAACCGUCAAGAACAUUCAAGUUUUCCCAAAGAUUUCCUCCAUUAAAGGUUUCAACCAGAACCUUAGGUAAAACUCAGAAUCUUUUCUCAAAAGUAAUAUCACUGUUAAACCUGUAGAAAACAAUCACGCAAGCAAAGCGUAUCAAAAAAUUUCCAGAAUUCAAAGAAAGCCGUAACCGUAAACACGAAACCUAGAUCCAUAAGGAUCUAAGUUUUGAAAGCAAGAACGAGUACUAGAAGCGUAAUCAAACAACGAAACGAUGUAGAUCUUUAAACGAUCUAAACAUUUCUUUUCAAAAACCAAAAAAAUCAGUUUCAAAACCGUACGGAACUUUUUAGAUCUACAACGUUUCAAACCGUAUUUGAAAAAACAGCUGCUGGAUUCGUGUUUAGGGUUAAAGGACGAAUCAAAAUAUGCAAAAAUAUUUGAGUUCUGGAAAUUUUUCACCGGAAACUGCUAGGUCUCGCCGGAGAAGAUGAAGUUUCCGGCGGACCUUCAAGGUCUCCGCCGUAGCUUCAUCCUCACCGGCGGUGAGGGUUUAGAGAGAGAUGAGAGAAGAGAGAGGGGUUAGAGAGAGAAAGAGGAAUACGAAAUGAAAAAACCGGCGCGCUAGGGUUUAUAUAGAGUGCUAGACCGGACCGGUUCAAGACCGGUCCAAUCCCAUGCGUUGUGAGCCCUUAGAUCUAGGGUUUGGGAUCUUGGAUCAAUCCAACGAUCCCUGAGCAUUCCUGUGAGAUCCGGAUCCCUUGGCUUUGGGCCUGGGCCUCUUUUCUUUGCUUUUCUACGUUUUUGCUUUUUUUGUGCUAUUUGCACCGUGUUUCCUUGCUAUCUGCACCUAUUGCUUGUUUACUUCUUUUACAAAAAUUCCUAAAAAAAUCCUAGUGGUUUCUUGAUACAUUCUUGGCAUUUCUAUAGCGUUUUCUUGCAUAAAAAUGUUAAAAUGGCAUGAACUAAUUCCAUGUAUUUUUGUACUUUUGGUAUGCAUUUUGCUAUGUUUUGUUCUUGACAUUUUGAUAGUAUGACAUGGAUAAAUGAUGCCUAAUAUUGUGGUGAAUAUAACUCUGGAAAUGUGCUUUUGUUUGCUAUUUGUGAAUAUGAUUUUAUGGAUUUCUUGUUUUACAAGCAACAAGUGUUUAUUUUUAGGAAUAAAGUAGGAAAUUUCUUCAUGAAUUUGGUGUGGUAUUUUGCUUGCACAUGUCUCCAUUAAUUGCAUGUCAUGGUUUAAAACAAAAUUUCUUUCAAAAUUGCCAUGAUGUGAUAAUUAUGGGUCACUAGCAUCUUUAGGUAUCAUAUCAAAUGUUUUUUUAGGUUUUUACCACUUUGUUACUCUUUCUUUGCCAUUCUUAUGCACUUCCUUUUGAUUAUUUCCUACUAUUUUGUGCUUUAUAAUCACUAACCAUUUCAUCUCAUGUGCCAUACAUUCCAUAGCAUUCCACCACCCUCUCCACUUUCUUUAGCUUAGCAUUUAUUUUUUGCAAGUUUUAAUUCAUUUGGUGAUGUAAUUUGUUAUCAUUGGUUUGUAGCUUGGCAAAGGGGCCAUAGAAUGUAUUUAGGCAAUUUUUGUAAUAUGGACUAUGGACACUAUGACGCACCGACACGCACACACUCACCUUAGAUGUAUGCAUAGGAUUGUAUGGUUAAAUAAGCGUUUAGGUUUUAAACACUUAGAGAAAAUCCAUCUUUUUUUCAAAAAAAAACAAUUGAACUUCACUUCAAAAUUUUCAUAAUAAGUAUGAAGUCAACACUUCAUUUUUUUUCCUUUCUUUUUUCUUAAGAAAAAUUCAAUUCAUCUUAACUAUUUAGACUUUCUUUCUAAUCACUAAUCAAACCUCACUUUUUUGCUAAAUCUAAUGCUCAUGAAGCCUCCCAAUCUCCUUCUUCAAAACCUUUUUUUCAAAACUUAAAAUCAAACAAUUAAAACAAAAAACAAGUUUUUUUAGCAAGAACUACGAACGGUUUUGAUCCCGUAAAACGGUACGUAGGCAAUGAGUCAAAACUCAUCCAAGCCGAAAUAAAAUCAAAUUCUACUUCUUCUCACCCCCAUUCUUCACUAAUCAUACCUUCUUUUUUACAAAUAAGCAAUAAAACUAAAGCGUAGAAAUAAACUUAGGAGAACGGUUCUUAUGGAAUACCAUAAUCGCUCCGGGUGCCUAACACCUUCCCGUAGUGAAAACGACCCCCGAAUCUAGAACUUUUUAAGGGUUUUUUCUCCUUUUACCCUUCCCAAGAAAAAAGAGAGAUAUCAACGGUCGAAAGGUUCAAGUCCAAUUAAUGGCUUGGCACCCCAAAACCAUGAUAACACCUUAGAUAAACAUUAAAUGUAAAAGUCUGGAGGGAAAAAUUAGGUUAAAACUAGAGCUGACAUUUUGCAUAAAUUAAAUCUAGGGUUAAUAUAGUAAAGUCACGCGAAAAAAUACGUUAAAUCUAGGGUUAAUAUUGCGUCACGGGUUAACAUUUAGAAAUAAGAGAUGACAUUUUGCAUAAAUUAAAUCUAGGGUUAAUAUAGUAAAGUCACACGAAAAAAUUAGGUUAAAUCUAGGGUUAAUAUUGCGUCACGGGUUACCAUUUAGAAAUAAGAGAUGUCAUUUUGCAUAAAUUAAAUCUAAGGUUAAUAUAAUUUGUUUAGUAAAUUUAAAGAGAAAAAUUAGGAGCGAUUUGUUUAUUUUGAUUUCCCUAACAAUUAACGUUAACAUUUUGUUUAAGUUAAACAUGAUUAAUUAAAUAGGGUUAAUACAGUAAAAUUAAGCAAAGAAGUUAGGUUAAAUCUAGGGCAAAAUUUUGCGUUGGGGUUAACUUUAAGAAAUAAAAUAGGUUAAGUAUAGCAAGAAGGAUUAACAUUUAUAAGUAAGAGAUUAGAUUAAGUAUAGCGAGACGGGUUAACGGUUAUUCCUUUCCAAAAAAACAACAUAUAAUUGGGAACAUCAUUUUAUUUUACUUUAGAUAAAUAUUAAAUGCAAAAGUGUGGAGGGAAAAAUUAGGUUAAAAUUAGAGAUGACAUUUUGCAUAAAUUAAAUCUAGGGUUAAUAUAGUAAAGUCACGCGAAAAAAUAUGUUAAAUCUAGGGUUAAUAUUGCAUCAAGGAUUAACAUUUAGAAAUAAGAGAUAACAUUUUGCAUAAAUUAAAUCUAGGGUUAAUAUAGUAAAGUCACAUGAAAAAAUUAGGUUAAAUCUAAGGUUAAUAUUGCGUCAGGGGUUAACAUUUAAAAAUAAGAGAUAACAUUUUGCAUAAAUUAAAUCUAGGGUUAAUAUAGUAAAGUCACAUGAAAAAAUUAGGUUAAAUCUAAGGUUAAUAUUGCGUCAGGGGUUAACAUUUAAAAAUAAGAGAUAACAUUUUGCAUAAAUUAAAUCUAGGGUUAAUAUAAUUUUUGUAGUAAAAUUAGGAGCGAUUUGUUUAAUUUGAUUUCCCUAACAAUUAACGUUAACAUUUUGAUUAAAUUAAAUAGGGUUAAUACUGUAAAAUUAAGCAAAGAAGUUAGGUUAAAUCUAGGGCAAAAUUUUGCGUUCGGGUUAACUUUAAGGAAUAAGAGAUUACAAUAGUUGUUAUGUUAUUUUUUAUGCAGUGUUUUAGGCUCUGUGUUGCAAAAUUUUGGUUUACGCAGUUUUGAUUUUCACAUUGAUAAAGGACAAUAAUUUUCCGUAAUUUAUAAGAUUUCUUCUUCGGAGUUAAAUUUUUUAAAAAUACGUUAUUCAACCCGUGCGAAUUCGCACGGGUUUGUAACUAGUUUGAAUGACAAAAAAAUAAAAAUGUGGAAUGGGUUGAGAGAAAGAGAAAGGAUGGAAAAAGAAUUAGUACGUACUUUGCAAUUAUGGAAUUAAAACCUCUUUUAUCACACAAUAAUGUGCUAAAGCUCAUUAACACAUUGAUUUUUUUUUUUUUAUUUUUAUUUUUUUUUUUUUAUUUUUUAUAGUUGUUCAAUAGACCUCUCAAAAUUGUUCACUUAACUACAAAAGCUAAUCAAAAGAUGCAUCUUGAUCGAAAUUCACAUACAAAAUCAAUCGAUCGGGGUCAUAAACUGAUUGAAAGAGAAAUUGAAAGGUCUAUUGAACAACUUACCUAUAAUUUUCUUCUUUUCUUUUCUAUUAAUUGGUGUGGGCUUCCACAUGAGUAGAGAUUCGCCAAACAGUUCUUUAUUUCACAAUUUAAGUGAAGCAAUUUGUUAUCAUUCCAAUAAGGGAUAGUGUCUGAGGGGGCACUUAUUAAGAAAGAAAUUAAAUACUACCUUAAAAAUUGUGUAUUUAUUUUUAAAAAAUUGGAAAGAGAUCAUUUUAAUAUAAAAUUUGUCUUUUCUUUUUACUUUUAAUUCUUUUAACAAAUGUCCCUAAACUAUUGUUACUGUGUCUUCCAACAACUACUACAUCUGUCCCUAAUUAUAAAACCAUUUUGAGAAUUUUUUUUGUCCCUUUUUAUAAGACCCAUUUUCUAUUUCCAACUACAUUAAUUAUUUCUUUACAUGCAUGGCCCUAUUUAUUAUUGUUGUGUAUGUCUUCAAAUUGCAAAGUUGGGAAGCAGAGAAAUCGUGACACGAUUUUGGUAAUGUCGUGAGCUGGUUUUCAGGGCGUCCAAUCGUUACACGAUUUUUGGCUUGCUGGGCAAGAUUUUCAGGAUAAGGUUGGUCGUACCUUGGAUCGUACGCAUCAAUCGUGGCACGAUUGGGGGAAAAACGUGACACGAUUUUGACGCAGAAGACAGCUAUAAAAGUGUUCUUUGCAGAUUUUGAAUGAGAGCUUGAAGAGAGAGAAACUUGGGAAAUCAAAGGAAGCAACUUUAGGGAUUAGGGUCUUUGAUUAGAGUUCUCUUGGGUUGGGAAACAUUGCAAACACCUUGGUGAGUGAAAAUCAUUGAGUGUCUUGUUCAUUGGUGAGAUUGGGAAAAAUGGUAGAAAUUAGGGUUGUUCUUUGUGAACUUGUCAAAGCUAAUUUCUUGUAACCCUUUUCUAUCUCUUUGGAAGAACUCAUUGAUAGUGGAUUGGAGAGUUCAAUCUCUCCUCCAGAGUAUGUCAAGUUUGGACCGAACUGGAUGAACAAUCUUUGGUGUGUUUGUUUCUCUCUUCUCUCCUUUUAUCUUGUGCUUGUGUUUUGUGCUUUUCACUUUGUUUCCUAGAUUAGAUCUAGGUGUUGUUAUUGUUGAUUAUUGUUUGCAUUCACUUUGUUAUUGGUUACUACUUUCCUUUGCUCCACACAUCAUAGUUUGUUUUGGUGUGAUUUUGAGACCGGAAUUCACAACAAUUAUACAUUUUUUCUUCAAUCAGCAAUAAAUAGAAUGUUGAAAACAUAAGCCAACCCUCUUUCUUAAAGGAUAAAAUUGUAAAAACAAUAGUAAUUACAAACAUAUUUAAUACAAAUAUCAUCUAUCUUAAUUCCCGUUAUUUUUUCAGAAGAGUCUUAUAAUUAGAGACGGAGGUAGUAUAUCAUAAGUCUCAACUCUCAACCUUCUUCUUAUGUGAUAAUCAAGAUUUUCUCAACAAAUCAACACCAUUGUCAUCUCUAUCUCCAACAUCAAUUAUAAACAUCACACCUUAGUUAAACAGCCAAAUCACAUGCCAAGUUACUUAGAAGUUAGAACCACCAUUCAACAAAGAAAUUAGGUUACUUCAAACUUGAAUGAUCCUCUUGUCCUAGUAAAAGUCCGCGUGUGUAUUGCAAAGUUCGUUAAAAGUACAUUUCGUUAAAAGUACAUUUAUAGUGAACUACUGAACUUGAUGUCGGUGAUUGCUUAUAUUUUGCAACAACAAAUUCUACACUAAAUUAAUUGAUUUAAACCUAUGAAGGACGGAUACGGACACAGACACUAGACACAAUACAGACACUGAUAUGCCGACACAACUAAUAAUUUGAAAAUAUCACAUUAUUCGGUUUAAUUACAAGUGUCGGUGUCGUGUUGGUAUCAGACACGACACGUGUCCGACACUGGGACACGCCUAAUUCGAGAAGUGUCUGUGCUUCGUACCAAGUCAUUUUUUUAAUAAAAUUACUUGUUCAUCAGGCAAACACCAAUUCUCAUACCAAUUCGCUCUCAUUAUAUGCUCAAAUUUCAAAACUCGGUUUUGGUUGAAAAUGAAAUCUUAACCGAUCAAAGUAGAAGCUAUCUCCGUAUUGUGGAUUAGUUUUUCACUAUAGAAAAAAUGAUUUUGAUAAUUAAAAACUAUUUAGAGGUUAAUUUAUUAUAUUAAAAAAAUUAAAUAUGUUUUGUGUUAGAUUAUUAUAAUGUAAACCAUUUUUUGAAAGAAAUUGUCUUCAGCACAUGAUUGGAACUCUCGAUGAACUCAUUUUGAACGCAUACAUAUAUAGUAUAUGAAUGAUUGGAUUUCAAGAGAGAACAAUUCUUGUGCACAUUUAUUCGGAUUUGAAUAAAUACACAAUUGUUUUACAAAUGAAAGAAGAUUAUUCCUAAGAUAUUUUUAAAUGGUGAAAUCUAGACGAGAAAAAAAAAAUAUUUCUCAUUUUUAUAGAUAAAUUUAGAAAAAGAUGAUAUUUUUCGUACAAAAACAUUUAUCAAGAAUUAUGGUAGUAGAAGAAAAAAGAAAUUGUCCACUAAACAUAGAUCUGUUGGUACGAAUAUUACAUAAUAUACAAAGUGGUCAAAAUUCAAAUCAAAAAUACCCCACUUAUACAAGGUUCAAAUUCCAAAAGCCCACUUAUACUUACGUUAGAUGAUUUCUAGCCACUACCAAAACUAAGUUAAAGGAAAAAAAAAUAAAAUAUUAAUUCAUGUGUUACAUUAUAUAUAUUUAAUUCAUGUGUUACAUUAUAUUUCUGUCAAAUGAGUAUCAUGACUAUCAAAAUUGUUACAACCAUUUUACCAUUUUCAACCUGGCCAACUGGAACCACUAUGCUAUGUAUGCAAUUUUUACACUUUAACAAUAGUAAAAAAAGAAGGGGAAGAGGUAGUGGCUAGAAAUGAAACAAAUCACUUCACCAUUUUGAUUUAAAUUGAACAUGUGAAUGCACAGUACAAGUGGUAAUUAGAAAACAUAACAGAUGAAACUGACAAUUCAAAAUUUAUUUCAUUUAUUUCAAAUAUAUUAUUCCAUUAAGAGUAACUACAUAACAUUGUCUCCAAAAAGAAAAAUUAAAAAUAAAACUCCAAAUAUUUUUGUCUCUAAGUAGCAACUGAAUUUACUAGGCAAUGACACCCAUUCUUUUUAUAAAGUAGACAAAAAGUCAUGUACCCAGUUAACAUGAACCACAACUACAACUUGUACUGCAACUUAUUCAUAGAUAAUUUUUAGAGGCUAGAAUUGAUUUUGAGAACCAAAAAAGUGACUUAUUCAUUGUGCUUCUUGUGGAGCUGAGGAUCAGUUUGAUAAAAGACAACAUCUCCAGUGUCACUUACAAAGUGAUCUUCAUUCAUACUUUGUAGUAAAUAUUUAAUUAGAUGAAAUGGAAGUGGUGAUGAUUUCUCUGGCUCACGGUAAUAGUCUCCAAAAAUUGGUUUUGCUGCUUUAGUCUGCAAAGGAAAAAGAUUGCAAUCAUUGUUUAAAACCACAUCGUAAGAAAUGACCAGUGACCCUGAGACGCUGGUUAAAGAACUAAAAAUAGGAUGAAGCGUGUUUAACGGUAAGUAAUUACCGCUUCAACCAAGUGAUAAUGAGGAAUUUGAGGGAAGAGAUGAUGAACAACAUGAGUGCCAAUGUCAUGAUGAAUGUUAUUAAUCCAACCAUAGUCACGAUCAACGGUUGUUAGUCCACCUCUUAGAUAGGUCCAUUCCUACCAAAAUGUACACGAGUAAUCAGACUCAACAAGAUUUGUGAUACAUAAUCACGUAAUUAUGAACAUAAAUAAUUGAUUGAUUGAAGGUACAUAAUUCAUUAUAUUUUUACCUGGCCACGGUACCAUGGUAAUUUUUGCGUAUAACCAUGGUGAUGCAAGUAUGUGACAAAAUCCAACCACAUGACAAAAAUCUGGAGUUGUACAAAAUAAGCAUAUAAUAAUCAAUUAAUGGACAUAAUAACAAUAAUUCAAUUAUAAUACAUUGUUUAGAUCAACGGUAAAUUUGGUAGAAGUAUGGUGAAACGUUCUAAAUUUAAUAAAAGAUUCAACAAAAUUAUGUUGUCCCCAUAACUUUUAAUAUGAAGCACAGCUACGACACUGACACAUCGAUACCAUAAAUAAUUUAUGAAAAUUACAUAAUUCACUGUAAUAACAAAUGUCAGUCUCGUAUCAGUGUCAGAAAAAUGUCUAACACCAGAACACGCCUAACUCGAGGAAUAUAAAAAAAAAAGGAUUUAAAAAUGAAUUUAACUUUACCCAAUAGGGAACUCCAUAGAGCUUGAGAAUUAAAAGUGGACUAGUUGUGAAGGACAAAUAAAGAAGCAAAGAAAACAUGAGAAGCCAACAAACUGUUGAAACUGUCACUUCUUUUCUCUCAUUGGGUGAGAACAAGUCGCUAUAGGGAUGAAAGUGUGACCCUGAUUUUCCAGGACUUCUACUCCACUGAAACAUUAACAUUUUCACAUUAGAAUAUGAAAAAAAAAAUUAGAUUCUACAAGUAUAUUAUCAUGAUAAGAACAAUAUUUGUAUUAUUUUAAAUAAUAAAAAAAAAACUCACCAAAUAAAUUGGAUAUGCAAACAAUGGUAAAGGCACUGAGAAUCUCACAAAUUUUGUCAUGUUGUCUAGACUGUUGUAAACCUUUUCUGUCAACUAAGAAAAUGACACAAAAUAUUAUGAACAAAACUCAUCAAAUGAAAGUUACUUCAUUUUUGCCCUUUGUUUGGGACUAAACCACCAAAACUAUGCAUAUAAUAUAAUAUAAUAACAUUAAUUAAGAACUUAGAAUAAAAUCAACAAAUCACAUACUGGAACCCAUGACUCAUCCCUUUCAACAUUUCCAUGGUUUUGAUGAUGUGUUUUGUGACUAAUUCUCCUGAAAAAUUCAUUAAAGCAAAAACUUGAAAUUUGUUAUAAUUCAAAGUAAAGUUAUUACCAUGAAACAACAAGGACAAAAAUGAUAUAAUGAACAAUAAAAAAACAAAAAUUCUAGAAACUAUUUCACUCACCAUCCAUGGUAUGGAACAAGAAUUGAGGAAUGCAAAAUAUGGCCCACAAAGUUAUUCACCAAAGAACUAUCUGAGAAGCUUCCAUGGCCACUAUUCCAAACAAAACAUCAAUGUUUACAUAAAAAAACAUAACAAAAACAAAAAACCAUAUGACAUAACAUUAACAUGAGUUAAACAAAAAACAUAAUUGAAAAAAAAAAAUUAUUUCUUACCAAUCAUGUCCAAGAACAAAAAUUGCCCAAAACAUUGUUCCUUGAAGAGGCCAAUAAAUUGGCCAAAAAUACCAGUUAUCAAACCUAAUUGCAGCUACAAUCAAUGCAGUAACAACCACCACAUCUCUAAGAACAUAACUUAGAGAUCUCCAUGUGUUCUUCACCCAACAAUGUUUUGGAAUAGCAGCUCUAAUAUCUGCUAUCUUAAAUGGUGGAGGAGCACUAGGGUCAAAUUCACUAUGGUUGUAAUUGUAGCCACCAUUGGUUACAACCAUUGUUUCUUGGCCUAGUGUUUCUCUUUUUUCAGAUAUGUGGUGAAUAGAGGUUGAUAUAGCCAUAAGAUGAAAUAUUUUUAACCUUUUGUAUGAGUAUACUACGACAGACACAUGGGGUCGUUUGUAUAUAUAAUAGAAAAAUGUUAGAGUGGUAAUAAUAGGUGCACAAGAUUUUAGUUUGACUUGUGUAAUUUUUUGUUUAUUUAUGUUGAUUUUCCUAAGAUCUAGGUGAUGUGGGAAAUGCUAAACUUGUGAAUUUAUGACGAUUUUGCAAAUUUCAAACCGUAUGAAGGUUGAAUAUUGAACCAUUGUAUCUCUUGAAAAACAUGUGCUAACAAAGAAGUGAAUUUAUGGUCGGUUAAUAUAUGGCAUAAUUAAAUUUUAUGUGCUAAUGUGAAUUUAGGGUCGGUUAUAUAUAUGGCAUAAGUUCAAUUUUGGAGGGUCAAGAAUCAUUUUAAUAGUUUUUUUUUUUGUUGAAAGAAUCAUUUUUUUAGUAUUGAUUUUAGGGUUAAUUAAGUUUUUAGUCCCUAUAAAUAUUCACAGUUUUGUUUUUAGUCCCUAUAAAAUAAAAUCACAUUUUUUAGUCCCUAUAAAAUUUUCCAGCAGCAUUUUUAGUCCCUAUAAAUUUUUCUAUCAGCACUUUCAGUCCCUGUCAAAAAUUUUUAUCAACAAUUUUGGUCUCUAAAAUGCUUAAGAAAAAUGUCACAAGAACUAAAAAGUGUGAUUUUAUUUUGUAGGAACUAAAAACAAAACUGUGAAUAUUUAUGGGGACUAAAAACUUAAUUAACCCUUGAUUUUAUCAUUGUAAAAAAAAAAAAAAUUUUAUCAUGUGCGGAUGAUUUAAAAGAUAUUACAAUUGCUUGGUGCUUAUAAUUAUAAUAACUUAACUGCAGUUAAUGUUGAUUUUAAUUUGGGUUUUAAUCUUGUGUUAUGGAUCAAGGCAAUUUCUCUCAAAGUUAACAUUUUUAUAUAAGUUUGUUGUUAAAUCGAAUUUCUGCAAAGGACAAUUUAUUUAGAAGGCAUAUCUUACCUAAUAAUGAUAUUUUUUGCUCGGUUGCUUGUAGUUGUGCGGAAGUCAGAGACCACUUGUUCUUCCCGUGUGAUGUUUAUGGUCGUCUUUGAAAUCUUAAUUAUGAUUGGUUAAGUUUUUACUUUGCUCCUCCUAAAAAUUUACUUGAUCAUCUUCUUCAAUUUGAGAGUUAGGGGGUUUCUCUAAAAAGUUUUAUGUGGCUUUCAACAUUAUUUGAACCUUUGCCAUUUAUGUCAUUUGGGAUUGGAAUGAACUAAACAAAAUAAUCUUUAAUCGUAAGGUGUGGCUUUCAACAUUAUUUGAACCUUUGUCAUUUAUGUCAUUUGAAAUUGGAAGGAACGAAACAAAAGGAUCUUUAAUUGUAAGGCUGAAAUUCUUACUUCUUUAACUUAAAAAAAUUAAGAUUCAGACAUAUUGGUGGUUAAAAUCUUUUUAUGAUUUGUUUUAUUUUGAUUAGAUAACUUGGAGGUUAAAUCCUUUGAUGUGUAUAAAGGUGCUCUUCUAAUUAACUUGUGUUUGUACCCUUUUUCAAUUGUAAUUCCCUGGACAUGUAGUUUCUCUAGUACGUACACCUUGUGUCGGAAGGACUAUUUUUGAUUGUUUAAUAUAUAUUUUCUUAGCCUUUACGGAAAAAAAAAGACAAAAUUUUCGUAAUAAAAUAAUGGACUUAGUAAGGACAAAAAAAAAAAAACUUUUUAUUGAGAUGUCAUUUGAUAUAGUGACUUAAUUAAUAUAUUUUUAUUGCGAACUGAAUAGUUAUUAUAUCAAAAUAGGGAUAUCAUAUAAAAGGUACCAGUUGUCUUGGUUCCAAUAUUAAGAAAUUUUUUUGAGAAAAUUAUUAUUUUUUGCUACAAAAGUAUUAUACAUUUAAUUAUUUUUUGCUACCAAAGUAGUAUACAUUUAAAUUGUCGAAUUAAAAGUAGUAUAUAUUUAAUGUAGAUUGUAACUAGAAAAGGAUUUAUUUUAUUUCAAAAAAUGCUUAUAAUUGUAUUUGCAUACACUGAUACAUUCUUUAGUAUAUCUAAUUUUUAAUUAUCAUUAUUAUUACUACUAUUUUUGAAAACUUAAUUUGAUUGGCUUUUAGUAAAAAAAAAUGUAUUUUGACACAAAUAAUAAUAAUUAUAUACAUAUCGUUCUUCUCUCAAAAAAAAAAAAAUAUAUAUAUAUAUAUAAAUGUUGUUCUUUUUUUUAUUAAAGGGAAAUAGAAAGACAAGAGAUAAGAAAAUUAGUUAACUCAUUGCCUCAAAUUAGUUGUUGGGUAUAGGUUGUUGAUGAGAAUUCGUGAAUUGGGUGAUAAUAAAUGUGUUGUUGUGGUUAAGUUGUUGUGUUUUAUGACUUUUGUGAAAAUGGGUUAAAAAUGGAGAAGUUUGAUUUUGAUGAGUUUGAGUGAGUUAGUAGAGUUGUCGUGAUGAAUUGAAUUGAGGAGAAUUUCUGUUUUCAAUCAAUGUAUUUUAGUGAGGAAUCGUUUGGGAGAAAAUCGAAUUUUUGUGUCAAAAAUUGUUUUAAGCACUUUUGAAAAAUAAGUCAUUUUUAGCUUAUUUGAAUUAAGUUGUUUUGAGUUACAAAACCAUGUUUUCAAGUAUAGUUUGAGUGGUCUAAGUGUUUGGGACACGUUGGCGAAAACGGAUCAAAAAUCGGGUUUUACGCGCGAAAAAUGAAAAAUCAAAAAAAUUGCACCAGAUAAGGUGGCAUGACCAUGCGCCCUGUGGCACAUCCGUGCCAACCCCUUUGUGUCCGGAAACCCCGAUUUUCGUGUUUUUGAGUACUUUUAAGUAUAUCAAUGGUUCCCAAACACCAAAACCUAUUUAAAUGGUAUGUAAUUGGACUUCUAAGAGUGGUUUAUCAUAGCUCCAAGUUAGGAAUGAAUUGGUUUGAAAAAUGAGGUAAAAAUGAGACGAACUUUGAGAAUUAUGCGAAAUAAAUGAACUUUGUGAAACCAAAAUGAUAUGAUUGAUUACACUAUGUGUUAUAUGAUAUGUAUGGAUGUUUUGAUGAUACGUAAGAACGAGGGAACCUAUUUUUGUUGAGGGAAAUUGGAAAUAGACGAUUUUAUGAAAAUAGACGAACUUCGUCAAAAUGGGGUUUUAUGAUCAGAUAACUUGCAAAUUACUUUGUGAACAUGAUAACCAGAUGAAAUAAGAGUGAGCCAAUGUUUGUGGAUGUUAAAUAGGUGGGUUAUCAUUAUGUGGUCGAUGGUACGUCUUUUGUGUGAUUAUACUAUAUGAAACAAUGUUGUUUCUUUGUGAUGAUGAUUACUUGACAGUUGUUUAUUAUUGUUAAAUAUGAAUAUGCAGAGAUGAAUGCUUGAUGAUGAAAGUGUAGAGAUGAUUUAUUAUUUGAUAAAUGCUUGAUGUGUGGAUGUAUUGUUUGAUAAUUCAAUAUGUGGAGAUAUGCGGAGAAUAUGUAGAGUAAAUUGGUGCUGUGUAUUAUCGAGUCAAUACUUGGCAUCCAUGCAUUCAUAAGUCUUAUAUGUGGAGAUACGUAGAGAUAUGCAUAGAUAUGUAGAGGGAUCAAUCGGUAAAACCUACCUUCGACAUCCAAUGGUAUCACAUGCAUGUAGAGUCGAGUCUAGAACAUCGCAUGCAUAUAAAAUGUGUGAAAUGUGCCAUAUUUAAUUACUUGACUUGGUGAAUUAUGUGGGCUAUGUGAUUGAUGAAUGUUGAUAUAUAUGGAGUUGUGGACUUGUAUAUUUUGUAUUGAUAUGCUUGAGAAAUAUUGUCGAUGCGAUAAUUCAUUUGGAAUCUCGAUUAAUAUUUAUUUGAUUAUGUUUAUUAUGUGGAAUAUAAUAUAACCUCAGUGGUCGUUUGGUUGACCGUCUGCCUAUUUGUACGAAUGUUAUUGAUCCAUAUAAAUAUAUAAAAUUUUUGUUUUAGUUUCUUUUAAAAAAAAUCUUCAACUUAGUCCUCCAAAUUUUUCGCAUCAACCCUUUUGGUCCCUCUUUUUAUUUUUGAAUAUUCCUGAUCCUUCUUUUAAGUCAACUCAUAUGUAGACAUCAUAUUUUUGAAUGAAACUUGACAAGAAUAUUAUAAUAAUGUCUCCCAAAAAAUAGAUUUAUUUUAGCAAAACAUGAAUAUUUAUGUUUUUUACACUUAAAUAUUUAUGUUUUGUUAAAAAGUUCUAUUUUUUUAAAGAGCUUAUUAUAAUAUUUUACACAUUUUUGAACAAUUUCGUUCAAAAAUAAAAAAGGUAACACAUGAGUUUAUUUAAAAGUAAAAACAAAAAGCGGUGAUCUUGACAAAAAAAAAAAAAAGCAGUGAUGAAGUUUUUUUGAAGACUAAAAGUCAAAUUUUUCUGGAGAAAUUAAUUAAAACGAAAAAUUAAUAUAUUUACAACAACCAAAACCAUAUUUAACCUUUUGUUAUAAUGACUCACUCUUUGAUGGAAGCAGAGAGCAAUGUUAUCCAUGACUCUUUGGCGCAACCAUAUUUAUGAUAAAUUAAUAAUGAAUGUUUUUGUAGUUGAAUUGGUAAUGAAAUACCGCAUAUUCUCUUUGAUUUAGGUUCAACUUUUGACUCUAACAAAACAUAAAUUUUAUUUAUCUAUAUGUAACUUUUUUAUUGUAUUUUUUUUACAGGAACUUUUUUACUGUAAAAAGGCUUACUAUAGAAGUUGUUUAAGGCCUCUAAUAUUGUUUGACUUGGGCAGGCAAAUGCAUAAGGAAGUGCAUAAGCAAAGUAGUGCACGUAAUUCUUAUGAGUAAAGGCAUAAGGAAGUGCAUGCAUGAGCAAAGUGGUAUACACGUAACCCUUAUAUAUCAUGAGCAAACACAUAUAAGGCAUGUUCUUGGAUGUUCUUGGCAUGAUGGAUUGGGUUUUGCCAAGUAAAGUGGUGAUGGAGUGCAUUUUUUAUUCACGUUUUUUCAAUGGAAUGGAUGAUGUGCAUUCUCUCUUACACGUAAUUUCAAUAGAGUGAUACUUUUAGGAUAAUUUUGAUGUAUUUUGUUGCCACAAUUUUGAGUAAUGCUUGAGUUAUUAUUCCUUAGAAUAAUUUUUCAAAGCACUCUAAAAGGAGAUCAUCUUGCUAUUAAAACAUAGGAAAAUGAACAUAUGACUAUGAUAGAAGCGUGAAAAAUCACUUUUAUGGAAAGGUUGGUCGUCUUAUGAAACUUAACGAUUUGUGUGCUAAGUUGGUUGCGUUAUGGAAGCUUUUGAAAGAAAAAAAAAAUGAGGAAAUGUUUCUUGAGUAUUGCUGUUGACACAUUUGAUUUGACUGAGAAACACGAGUAAAUUACUCAAAUGCCCUUCGGCAGUUAACUGCCGAAAUUUUAAAGAACCGGCUGCAGUUAACUGUCGAGGAAAACUUCGGCAGUUAACUGCCGAGGAAUUUCAAACCUGAAAUUAAAUAAGGAAAUAUACCAAAAUUUUCUUUAAUUAAAUUUAAUUCUUUAAUCCUUUUAAGGAAUUAAACAUAAUUAUUUUUAUGAUUUCAUUCAUAUGAUUUUGUUGUCAUAAAUGAAAAAAUAUGAGAGAUGAAUAAUAUCAGCAAUCGGUAGUUAAUGGAUCUAAAAUGAUGAUUCAAUAAAAAAAAAUGCAACAACAAAAAACAUUAUAAAUGAUAGAAUAAUUAUAUUUGUAAUUAAUUUCAUUGAUGUCUGUCAUUAUUCAUAGGUUUGACUAACCUAUUAUUACCCCAAUUUUUUUUUUUUUGAAAGACCCCCAAAUUUUGUUUUAAUUGUUGGACUUCAAACCUCACAUUUUUUAAAUUAAACGUUAACUUCAAAUUCAUUUAGCAAUUUCCAUCCUUAAAAAUUACCUCACGUCACAUUUUAUUUUAUUUUUUAAUAAUGUAAUAAAUCUGGUAUUUUAAUUUAUUAAAUAAAAACAUAAUUAAAAUUUUACAAAUAAAAUGAUUUACAAAAACCCAAAUCAAUACCAGUCAAAAAGAACGAGAAUAAUUUUCAUUUAUGUCAAAUUACAUUUUUGAUCUAUUAACUAUUUAUUUAAGUAAUAUUGUUUUAGUCCCUUAAUUAAAAUUUAAUUUAGCCUUUCAUUUAUCACUACAUGCUUCAUUCAGAAUUUUCAUUACCAGUCACCAUCCCCUUAUCAACAACACAAUCCUUAUCUCAAACCUUCAUUGCAAAACCCAAAACCCACAUACAAGUGAUAAAGUAGAAGAAGAAAAAAAAUGGAAAAAAUUCAUAUUUUCAUACCCAAUAAAUCAAUAACUCCAUUAUCAUUCCCCAAUAAACCCACCAAAUUUGAUUGCAUUUCUUCAAAAAGGGUCAAUGCAAAUUCCAACAAUGUCUCAACAACCAAACCUUCAAUUCGAAAAUUAAUUGAUUCCCAAUUGAACCAAUUAUGCAUUAAUGGCUCCCUUAGUGAAGCUGUGACAAUUCUUGAUUCCCUUGCUGAGCAAGGGUGUAGGGUGAAACCCAUUACUUAUAUGAAUUUGUUACAGUCAUGCAUUGAUAAAGAUUGUAUUUUUAUUGGUAAGGAAUUGCAUUCUAGAAUUGGGUUGGUUGAAAAUGUGAACCCUUUUGUGGAGACUAAGUUGGUUAGUAUGUAUGCGAAAUGUGGGUUGUUGGGUAUGGCGCGGAAGGUGUUUAAUGAAAUGUCUGUGAGGAAUUUGUUUACUUGGUCUGCUAUGAUUGGUGGUUGUUCGAGGAAUAAGAGUUGGGGGGAGGUUGUGGGUUUGUUUUAUGCAAUGAUGAGGGAUGGUGUUUUGCCGGAUGAGUUUUUGCUUCCGAAGGUUUUGCAGGCGUGUGGGAAGUGUAGGGAUUUGGAGACUGGGAGGUUGAUACAUUCGAUGGUGAUUAGACGUGGAAUGCGGUGGUCGAAGCAUUUGCGUAAUUCGAUUAUGGCUGUGUAUGCUAAGUGUGGGGAGAUGGAUUGUGCGAAGAAGAUUUUUGAUUGUAUGGAUGAGAGGGAUAGUGUUGCGUGGAAUGCGAUGAUAUCUGGGUUUUGUCAGAAUGGUGAGAUUGGACAAGCUCAGAAGUAUUUUGAUGCUAUGCAGAAAGAUGGAGUUGAACCUAGUUUGGUAACUUGGAAUAUUUUGAUUUCUUGUUAUAAUCAGUUAGGGCAUUGUGAUCUUGCAAUUGAUUUAAUGAGAAAGAUGGAGUGGUUUGGUAUUGCUCCAGAUGUAUAUACUUGGACUUCGAUGAUUUCUGGAUUUACUCAAAAGGGUAGGAUAAGUCAUGCUUUAGAUUUGUUGAAAGAGAUGUUUUUAGCUGGUGUUGAGGCCAAUAACAUUACAAUUGCAAGUGCUGCCUCAGCAUGUGCAGCCUUAAAAUCAUUGAGUAUGGGAUUAGAAAUACAUUCUAUUGCUGUUAAGAUGAAUUUGGUCGACAAUGUAUUAGUUGGUAAUUCACUGAUUGACAUGUAUUGCAAGUGUGGUGAUCUUAAAGCUGCUCAACACAUUUUUGAUAUGAUGUCAGAGAGAGAUGUAUAUUCUUGGAACUCAAUUAUUGGAGGGUAUUUCCAAGCUGGUUUCUGUGGCAAAGCUCAUGAAUUAUUUAUGAAAAUGCAGGAGUCUGAUUCACCACCCAAUAUUAUUACAUGGAAUAUAAUGAUCACAGGAUAUAUGCAGAGUGGUGCCGAGGAUCAGGCGUUGGAUCUUUUUAAAAGCAUUGAGAAAGAUGGGAAAACUAAGCGAAAUGCAGCUUCUUGGAAUUCUCUGAUAUCUGGUUUCGUACAAAGUGGACAAAAGGACAAGGCUUUACAGAUAUUCCGGAACAUGCAGUUUUGCCACAUACUUCCCAACUCGGUCACAAUACUAAGUAUCCUUCCGGUCUGUGCAAAUUUAGUGGCUAGCAAGAAAGUGAAAGAAAUCCAUUGUUUUGCAGUCCGUAGAAUUUUAGUGUCUGAACUUUCCGUAUCAAAUUUAUUAAUCGAUAGUUAUGCCAAGUCAGGAAAUUUAAUGUACUCGAAAAAUAUUUUUAAUGAAUUGUCAUGGAAAGAUGCUGUCAGUUGGAACUCUAUGCUUUCAAGUUAUGUUUUACAUGGCUGUUCAGAGUCUGCACUUGAUCUUUUUUAUCAAAUGAGGAAGCAAGGGCUUCAACCAAAUAGAGGUACUUUCGCAAGUAUUCUCUUAGCUUAUGGUCAUGCUGGAAUGGUGGAUGAGGGGAAGAGCGUUUUCUCCUGCAUAACUAAAGAUUACCUGGUUAGGCAAGGUAUGGAACAUUAUUCUGCUAUGGUCUAUUUGCUCGGUCGUUCAGGUAAGCUUGCUGAAGCACUCGACUUCAUUCAAAGUAUGCCCAUCGAACCUAAUUCCUCUGUAUGGGGUGCCUUGCUGACCGCCUGCAGAAUUCAUAGAAAUUUCGGAGUGGCAGUCCUUGCAGGAAAGCGUAUGCUUGAGUUUGAACCUGGAAAUAAUAUAACUCGACAUUUACUUUCACAGGCAUAUUCUUUAUGUGGGAAGUUUGAGCCGGAGGGAGAAAAGGCUGUCAAUAAACCUAUUGGUCAAUCCUGGAUUGAAAGGAAUAAUGUUGUUCAUACUUUUGUAGUUGGUGACCAAUCAAACCCGUAUUUGGAUAAGCUACAUUCUUGGCUAAAAAGGGUAGCUGUAAAUGUCAAGACACAUGUUUCUGACAAUGAACUUUACAUUGAGGAAGAGGAGAAGGAAAACACUAGUAGUGUACAUAGUGAAAAACUUGCAUUUGCUUUUGCUCUGAUAGAUCCUCACAACAAACCUCAAAUUUUACGGAUAGUAAAAAAAUUGAGAAUGUGUAGAGAUUGCCAUGACACAGCCAAGUACAUAUCAAUGGCAUAUGGGUGUGAAAUAUAUUUAAGUGAUUCAAAUUGCUUACACCAUUUCAAAGGUGGCCAUUGUUCUUGUAGGGACUAUUGGUAGAGCAAAUGUUGUGUGAGAGAAUCAAUGAUGUCAGAAAUAUGUAAAUCUGUCUUGAUGUAUAGUUGUUCAUGACGUACACAAACCUUUUGAAGAAUUGAUAGUUUAUAAUAUUAACCUUUCACGCAACUGAAAUUUUUGGCUUCCCUUUUUCACAUAAUGUAUCAGGUUAAACUGUAUAGAAUUUCAUUUGAUUAUUAUUCCAGGAUUUUGAAAUGCUUUUCAGGUGAAAAGAUUUGCAUGUAUGUCCUGUUAGCAAUUUCCAUCAAGAAGAUAUAUUAAAAAAAUUAAUGAAAUCAAUCAUUGUAAUAAUUUCAAAGAUGAUUAUAGAAUAAUGAUGGGAAAUAUAGUGGAGCUAUAAAAUAUUGGUAGAAUCAAAACUGUCCCACGAAUAAGCAUCCAUGAAUCAAAAGUGUCAGCCACCUUAUAAAAGCUGCACUAGGCAGUGAGUGCAUGCAGAAGCAAAAGAGUGAGGGCUCUUGGCUAAAUUCUUCUAAAAUAUUUGUUCCUUUUCUCCAGUCAUUUAUUUCUUUUACUAAAAUUGAGGGAAUAGCCCGUGGAAAGGAAAUGUUAGCUCCUUGACCAUAAAAAGUGCACGAAACUUUCUUAAUAAAAGAAAAAAACUGAUUUCUGUUUGGAAUCUGAUUCUCUGACUUUCAAUUCUUUCCCUCCAUGGUGGAACCAGAAUUAGCUUCUUCUAACAGUUUCUUAUCAUUAUUAUUUUCUAUAAAAAGCUCCUUGCCACAAACCAACUUUCUGCUUCCAUAAAUUCCUCUUAAGCCUUCCCCUGCUACAUCAUUAUUAGCACUUGCAACUGCAUUUUUCUUUCUAAGGUCUAUCAUUCUCUUCCUACAAGCAGAGGAUGGUAGUGCACUCUUACAAUAUCUUAUGACACAUUGCAUACAUAACCUUAUAGGUGAUGUUCAUUAACUAUCUUUUCACUUUUUAACACCUUUGCAUGAUGUUUUGCAUGCAGAGUUCUGUGGAUUCCAUAAAGAAACCUGCAUCUGUUGGGCCAUGGGGCGGCAAUGGAGGGUCCCGUUGGGAUGAUGGAAUAUACUCUGGAGUAAGGCAGUUGGUGGUAGUUCACGGAACUGGAAUUGACUCCAUCCAGAUUGAAUAUGAUAAGAAAGGAAGCUCUAUUUGGUCAGAGAAACAUGGUGGAACUGGAGGAAAUAAAACUGACAAGGUAAAGUUUUCAUCUUGUACUAAGCUGAUCCUAUGACAUAAAUUUUUAACAUUAGCACCAAAGAGUCCGUGAAGGUUUCAGUUAAAUUAUGAGCAUAUAUUAACUAACCACUUUUGACUGUGUUGUAGGUUAAACUUGAUUAUCCAGAUGAGUUCUUAACUUCAGUUCACGGAUACUAUGGUAGCUUGAACCAAUGGGGCCACAACUUGGUUCGGUCACUGAGUUUUGAGAGUAACAAGAAAACUUAUGGACCAUUUGGUGUCGAGCAAGGCACAUAUUUUUCAGUACCAAUGACUGGGGCCAAGAUUGUUGGGUUCCAUGGCAGGUGUGGUUGGUACCUAGAUGCCAUUGGAGUAUAUAUGAAGUCCUUGAAGCAACCAAAUCCAGCGAAAGCCUUGCAUCAUUCUGAUCACGUUAAUAACACUAGUGAGAAUUUUGGCUAUUCAGUGAUACAAGGAACUGUGAACCAGAAUUAUGAUAUUGUUCUUGCCGUAAGACAGAAAGAUCAUAAAGAUGAUUUCGGUAAGCCUAUACCAAACAAGAUGCCAGGGAAGAUUUCUACUAUCAAAGAAUCUAAAAACAUUGAACACAAAGAAAAGGUAAAGAUAUCCUGCAACUUUAGUGGAUGAUCUCUGUCUUUGAAGUGCUCCUGAAGUUUUUAUUUAAAUGUAAAAAAUCUUGCUUUUACACAAAAUGGAUCUUAAAAUCUAUUUAUGUUGCAGAUAACUCAUUCAGAAAUUCCACCCGCAAAGGUUGGUGGUGUAGUUACAUGCGGUCCUUGGGGUGGCGUUGGCGGAUAUGCAUUUGACGAUGGGACCUAUAAAGGAAUCAGGCAAAUCAAUUUAUCGCGCAAUGUUGGAAUUGUAUGGAUUAGAGUUAUGUAUGAUCAUGAUGGGGAUGCCAUAUGGGGAUGCAAACAAGGUGGGACAGGAGGAUAUAAAAGUGAUAAGGUAAAUCAAGAGCAUACAACCAAACUUCGCUUAUUUUACUUAAUAAUCUAAAACAAUCACAUUGAAUUUUAGCAUUUUUUGCAUCACUUUGCAGAUAGUCUUUGAUUUCCCAUAUGAAGUCUUGACAUAUAUAUCGGGAUACCAUGGACCUUUGAUGUACAUGGGACCUGCUGUUAUAAGAUCACUAACUUUCCACACCACAAAAAGGAAGUAUGGACCAUUUGGGGAAGAACAAGGAACUUAUUUCACCACAAAGGUGAAAGAAGGUAAAAUCGUCGGCAUUCAUGGGAGAAAAGGUUUGUUUCUCGAUGCUUUUGGUGUACAUGUGCUUGAAGGAAAAGUGGUUGUGCCGGUGGCAAUGCCUCCGAAGGAAAUCAUCCCUAGAGAAACAAAUAUUGGUGAAAUAGGCGGUACUCAAUGGCCUAACAAACUGGUGCUUGCUAAGCCAACAGCAGCUGAAGAGGUAUUUCUUUUCAUAAUAAACUUUUCGAAGAUAUAUUGAAGACAUUCAAGAAUUUGGUUAUCUUUAUGUUUGAGUUGUCCUUUUCACUUUAGUUCCCUCUUUCCCAGGUUUCUUGUGGUGUGGUCAAAGAACCAGCUCCAUGUGGCCCAGGCCCUUGGGGUGGGGAUGGAGGUAGACCUUGGGAUGAUGGAGUCUUUUCUGCGAUUAAGCAGAUUUAUUUGACAAAAGUAUCAGAUGGCAUCUGCUCUAUCCAAAUUGAGUAUGAUCGAAACAGGCAAUCUGUGUGGUCUAUAAAACACGGCGGUAAUGGAGGAGACACCAUGCAUAGGGUAUGAUUGUUGGUUUCCACUUCCUUUAAGCACAUUUUACUGUUUCACUCUUGGUUCAUUAUUUAUCCAUUGUCAUCGAAUUAGUUAAAUUAUAAAUAGAAUUUAUCUGAAAUUUGAUGUGCUUGAUCAUAAUAUGACGAUAUUCAACGGUUGGAUUGGUAAGUUCAAUGUCUAAACUGAUUUAUUAAGCAGAGUAACAAGAGUUACUCCUAGAGUAAGUUGAUUCCCACCCAAAGUACAUAUAGACAUAUAUGUAUUUAUACAUGCAUGCAUACAUUGAUAAAAAAAAUUCAAGCAUGCAUACAUUGAUAAAAAAAAUUCAAGCAUGCAUACGUAGAUAUGUAUGUAUGAAAUAAUAAGCUAAUAUGUAUGUAAUAUGUGUAUGUACUAAUACAAAAUGUAUUUCUUAUACUUACUCGUGCUAAUUAUGAUGUUAGAUACAACUGGAGUUUCCACAUGAGGUAUUGACUUGUAUAUCUGGCUAUUAUGGGUCAAUCACAAAGGAUGAGAAGCAUACAGUCAUAAAAUCACUGACAUUCCACACCAGCCGCGGUCAGUAUGGUCCAUAUGGUGAGGAAGUAGGGAAAUUCUUCACCUCAACCACUACAGAGGGAAAGGUGGUGGGUUUCCAUGGGAGGAGUAGCUUGUACUUGGAUGCUAUUGGGAUCCACAUGCAACACUGGCUUGGAAGUCAGAAAACUUCAAGGUCCUCCCUUUUCAAGCUAUUUUGAGUUUCUGAUCCGCAGUGCUUGAACAAAACAUCAGUUUGGCAUUUGGAGAAGUGUUGCAAGGAGUUUCAAAUUUUAGUGUAAUCUGAAUAAGCAGAAUGUAAUCAGGUGAGAGCAUGAUUACCUGUAUACUCUGAAUAAUUGUUUGGUGGGGUUUUCUGAUCAACAUAAUAAUUUUCUUUACGAGAAUGAAUAAUGUAAUUUGUUUGUUGAUUUCUUACACUUCAAGGUAUGAUUUAAGAUUUCAAUUUUUGCAGUUCUUCUGAUAUAAAUACCUCCACCCUCUCUUUCUCUAUAGCUAACAAGUAUGACAACAAAGGAUAAAAUAAAGUCAAACUAUUUUUUUUUUGUUGACAAAAAGUCAAACUAAAUAGUCUCACAAAUAUUUAUGCCAUUAAUUAAACUCAAAUAAGGCAAUUCAAACCAGGCUUGGGUGGACUAAAAGCUUGUUCUCAAACACAUACUGAAUGCGGUGGAACUAAAUACCCACGGAACAAAUAGUAUACCAACUAUAUAUAAUGUGUCUUGUGUCAUCAGCAAAUGGCUACUUACUACAGUUGCAAAGACCCAAUUCUGCGCGCCAUUAACAAGAUUUUACAUUGGUUGUCCACCCUCUAAACAAAUCUAGGAUGGUAAUUAAUUAAGUAAAAAGAACAAUAUAUAUAUUUUUUUUUUAAGAAGGUAAAGUACUCCACCAAAAUUGACACCUGGAAGAAUCGAAUUGAGAUCUUGAGAAGAGCAUACUCCAAAGUCGUACAAGUGGAAUAAUAAUACAAUUGUUUUAAGGUAAAAACUAUAUAUACAAAGUGAUUAGUAGUCAACACAGAAAUUAACAAACUAAUAGUUUUAUCAACAGAAAGAAAAAAGACAAACUAAUCAACAACUUAUCUUCUACUUGUUGCAUUUACUAAUAACUCAAUGUUCUACUUUCACAAUAACAAACUUCAUUAACUUGCAUGUAUAGAAAUUGCAAUAUGAGUGGUAAAUCUUUAUAUCCAAAAUUGGAGUGAGGCAGGGAGAACUAAAAAAAAUGUUAACAAGAAACAGUGCUAAUUGAAUUAGACCACAAAUAUGAGCUAAGCAGAUUUCCUCAACAUCAAGGGAGGUGAAACAGACUUCAUUCCAUGUUUUUGAACUGUUUGCUUUGGUAGCACCAGCAGAAGCACCUUGGAAUUGUUCAAACUUCACAAUAAAAUCACUGCUAACUUAGCCCUGUCAGAAAUAAAAGCAUAUACAAAUUUUGCAGCAUGACAGAAUUCUUAAUCGUACAAGCCGUCUCCAUUCCAACCUAUUUAUGUAAUCCAUUACCCUUGAAGGAUCUUCCUUCAAUGCAGUAAGAAUCAGCCAACUUAGCAGAUUGAAGUUUCAAACUAAAAGCAGAAUUAUGUAGCAAUAUCUUUUGGAGAAGCUCAAUCAACUCAUAGGAAAGAUCAGCAAUCAUAAGAACUUUCAGGAAAAGGAGUGGACAUAUAACUAGAUCAAUCAAAUGCCUCCUAAACUCAUAGUUGGGAUUUAGGACCUUCUCACAGAUAUCAGCAGCAUCCAUACGUCCAACAAUUUAUCUGAUACAAACAUAACGAAAUAACAUGAGUGUCCUAGAUUAGCAUUAUAAAAUACAAUGACACCUUCCUAAUUAAGAGUUGUAUACACACCUGGUUUGUAGCUUGAGCAACGGAUUUUUAUUGGUAACGUGCUCAGCAUCACAAUGCACCAUUUGGUAAGCAACAAUGGCAAAUGUAGGGCCCCAUUUCUCACAAUAUUUACCAACAAUACGAGAAUCAUAAUAUUGGUUGGUUAUGAGUAAAUGGUUAAGAUUGACAUCGAUGUCAAUCAUAAUUUUACCCACAUCAUUACAGACAUGUACAUCUUGGCUUUGCUCACUCAAAAGAAGUUCCAACAACUGUGAAUGCAUAGAAAUUGAAAUGAGAAAAUAGUAGUGUGAUAAGCAUAUGCAAGGAAGAGAGAAUGAACUGAAAGUAUAAGACCUUUAAGAACACAUGCAUCUGUGCAUCUGGAAGAUUAGCCUUCAUUAUAAAGUUCUUUGUCUUCUCGAUAAAAUUUUGAUUCCCAGUAUUAGCAGUUGCUUCAAUGUAUUUGAAGUGAAUAUCAGGAUCCUCACUAAAGAAUACAAAAUCAAAAGGCAAAAUUAUAAAAACGAAAAACAACUGCAAAUGCAAUAUAGGCCUAGAGUUUAAAUAUGCACCCAAACAAAGUGUAGUCCCUUAUAGGACCUGAAUUCUUCAAAGAGUUUCAUGAAUGCAUCAACACCCAAUUGCUCAGUAAUAUUUUUAGAAGUAUGCAAAUUAUGUACCAGUAAAAUUCUUUGAUGAAAUCCCAAAAAAAAAAAAUUAAUUGAGAAACAAAAGUUUUAUAGAAACAACAUACAAGCUCUAGAACAUUAUCUGAACAAUUAUUUGAAUAUUGUCCCUAAGAGGUUGCAAAGAACUCAACAAAAUCCUAAAAAUCACUCCAUGAUGAGAAUAUAUAACAAUUUUUUUUAUGAAAACCAGUCAAUUGAGCACUUGAAACUAGACAAGCCAUUAUAACGUUGUACAAAAGACAUACAAGAAGCUUGAAAGGAAUUGUUCGAAUAAAGAAUCAAAGAACCUGAAGAGCCUUUUCACAAAGUUAAGCAAACAAAAAGAGAUAUUCAUAAAAUGUUCGCCUAUUUUGAUUUUUACUUUGAUGAGAGUAAAUGUUCACUUAUUAAAUAGAUAAGAAGUAAGAAAAUGAAAUAAAAUAAAAUCAUCGAAACUUACCUAUGGAAGACAAAAGAGAAACUAACACGACAGCUAUAAAAUAGUGAAAAGAACGAGUGGCAUAUCCUGCAAACACAUUACAAUAGAUUGUUAAUGUAAUAUGAGAAACAUAAUCAAAAGGAUGGCGGGAGAAUAAAGAGCCUACCAGUUUAAGUGGAGAUGUGACAAACCGUUAGGAGCAACAAACAAAGGGAACUUCAAUGUUGAUGGAAGCAGAUAAGAGUAAACAAGCUAAAUCAAUGCUCUUCAAAUGCCUAUACUUAAUUUUCAGAAACAAAAGAUGGAUACUUCCCGAAUAUGUGCUAUCUUGUCCCAGUUCUCCCCUGUUCCCUCCUUGCAUCGUUCCUUCAAUAUUGGGCAACCGAAAAUUGUCAGCAAAUCAAGUGAAGUGAGGUGUCUAAUACCUUCUAGCAAGCAUUUUAAUCUUUCACAACCACCAAUUGUUAUUUUUCGUAGGGAUUGUAGACCUCCCCAAAUUUCCUCUGGUAAAGGCUCAAGCUCGCUGCAACAAGAGAUAUUUAGAUGCUCCAAAGCUAGACUGAAGGGUUCAUUUGGUAACUCUUUCAAUUUUCGGAAACCACUUACUCUCAAAUAUUCAAGACAAGUAAGGUUUCUAAACAUCCCCUUUGGGAAGGAGGUUAUUCCUUCACUUCUCUCAAGGUCAAGGGAAGUAAGACCAUAGAAGCUAGAGAUCGACCUCAGUAACUCAUUGUUACAUUCAUUUACAUAAAGGUUUUUAACAUAUGGAAGACAUGACAGUUGAAGUUUAGGGUAAAAGGCGAUAUCCAAUUGAAAAAGACAAGGAAACAUCUCCUCUCUUUCCACUUUCAAGUUUCAACAACCCCUCUAAGUUUGGUAAAUCAUUUAAUACCUCCAAAUAUGGGAAAAUCCUCACCUCCAUACCAUUGUGAGAUUCAUCAUCACCAUCAUCGUUCCAAAAUCCUCACCUCCAUACCAGAGCUCAACAACAUCACCGAUUCUGGCUGUUGAUAUAUUAUCUGAUUGAAAUGCCGACUAAAUAUUUUAUACAAGAAAGGGCAAUCACCUGUAUAUUUUCAAGAAUAACUAUAUUUAAAAUGAAACCAACCAAUUGAUGUAAAAUUAUUAUCGGAAUUGAAGAUCUAUACCAUAUCUAUUCCAGCAUCCAUGAGAGUGGAGACGCGAGAAUGAUAAUCUGACGCAUAAGGUUGGCAUAAUAAUCGAUUUUGUCCCAGUCAAAAAUCAUAAGGUUCACAUAAAUCAAUGCUCUUAAAAAAUGUAUUCUUCUUCAUUCCAGUAAACAAAUUUUGGAAUGUCUGUUAUCUUGUCCCAUUCCUCUCUUGUUCUCUUCUAACACUGACCCUUUCAUUUUGGGUAACCAGGAAUAUUCAAAAACUCAAGUGAGGCGUCUAAUACCUUCCGGCAAGGAUCUUAAUUCCUCAUACUCAACAAUAUCCAUAGUUCGAAGAGAAAAAUAAAUGGCACCUGUUCAGUUCCACAGGAAAAGGCUCUCUGUUAGUGAAAUGGCUAAUGCUAAUCUGCUAUAAUAUAUGGAGUUAAAAGAUGCCAAAUUCACUUUGUUAUCAAAUAAAACUGUUGAUUUCUCAUUCGUAUCCUCCGAAGUCAUUCGUUUCCUCUUGCUUUCAGAAAAAGCAGUGGACAUAACUUGAUCAAUUAACAUUGUUUGACACAAAAAUAGUCGGGAUUCAGCAGCAUUCCGGACGUUCCACAACAUAUCUGACACAAACAUAAUAAAAUAACAUGAGCGACUCGACUAGAAUCAUGAAAUAAAACUACACAUUCCUAAUGAAGAGCUGUAUACACACCUGACUUGUAGCUUGAACUAAGAAUUUUUAUUUUUAUUGGUAACACAUGCUCAGCAUCACAUUGCAAAAUUUGGUAAGCAACAAUGACAAUGGCCCCAGUUCUCCCAUCACUCAAAAGACGAUUCAACAACUGUGUAAAGUGGUUCCUGCACAUACAAAUUAAAAUGAGAAAAUCAUAUAGUAAUAUGGGAAAACUAGAAUACCUCUUCUCACUAAACAAUGGAAAAUCAAAAGCCAGAGUUAUAAAAACAAUAAGAACUAGAAAAAGCAAUAUAAGGUCGUCUAGAAAACUGUCUUAAGAAAUACCUAGAGCUCAAAUAUGCAUCCAAGAAAAAGUAUAAUCCUGCAUAGGACUUGAAUUGGUCAAAGAGUUUGAUGCAUGCAUCAACACCCAGCUGCUCUGAAUCUGAAAACUAUGUACCAGUAAAAAUGUUUUAUAAUAGCGCAAAAAAAUAAUUUAAUCGAAAGGGAUUUCAGAAAGCGAUUAAACAUGCAAUUAUAAAUUUCAAUUCCCAAAACAAAAAGGGAUUUCAGAACACGUGCACUUACUAAACUAAGACGAAUUAAAUAAAAUAAAAUAAAAGAAUCCAAACUCACAUUUGAAAGACAACACAGAAACUAACAUAACAAGGAGACCAUUGUGAAGAGACAAGAGUGGCUCAUCUUGCAAAGAGAGUACAAGAGAUCGUAAGAAACACAAUCAAAAGAAAGAUGGAAGGAGGGAGAAUAAAGAGCCUACCAAUUUAGGUAGAAAUGAGACAAACCGGAAGCAAAAACACCAACAUCUUUGCUUCUUGAUUCCUGUUGAAAUUAGAAGCAACACCAGCAUCACAAAAUCUUUAAUAUCGGAAUAUGCGAUAUCUUGUACCAGUCCUCUCCUGUUCCCUCCUUGCAUCGCUCUUCUAGUGUUGGACAACCACGAAUUGUCAGAAGCUCCAGAGAAGUGAGAUGUCGAAUACCUUCCGGUAAGCAUCUCAGUUCUUUACAACGACAAAUAUCUAGAGUUCGGAGGGAUUGCAGACCUUCCCAAAUUUCCUUUGGUAAAGACUCAAGCUCAUCACAUGAAGAGAUUAUCAGAUGCUCCAUAACUAGGCUAAAUGGUUCAUUUGGUAACUCCUUCACUUUUGGAAAAUCAUUCACAUCAAGAGCUUGAAGACAAGUAAGGUUUUUGAACAUCCCGUCCGGGAAGGAUGUUAUUCUUUUACCUCCAGCGAGGGUAAGGCUGUUAAGACCACAAAAGCUAGAGAUUGACCUCAGCAACUCAUUGUUACAUCCCAAUACAUCUAGGUUUUUAAGAGAUACAAGACAUGGCAGUCCAAGUUUAGGGCAAAAGGAGAUGGUUAAACGAGAAAGACAAGGAAACAUCUCACCUCUUUCCACUUUCAAUAACCCUUCUAAGUUUGGUAGGAUUUCUAAUAUGAGUACCUCCAGAGAUGGGAAAAUCCUCGCCACAAUACCAUCUUGAGAUUCUUCAUCAUCAUCCAAGUAUUUCAAAUCAUUCAUAUUAUGCAAAGCGAGUUUUUUCAAAGAUUGUAGUUUACCAAAUGACGGAAGCCGCACACAUUUCUCACAAUUCCAAAGUACAAGAGCAACUAAAUUACUGAGAAUACUUAUCCAACUUGGUAAGAAUAAUCUGUUAUAGUGACAAAUUAUCAACCUCUUGAGAUUUGAGUGAGGUUGAAGCACUUCAAAUAGUUGCUCAAAACUAAUAGUAGGGGUCUUCGUAAAUCCGUCAUUGCUGGUCCACGAAAAACAUAAUUCCUGGAGGUCUUUUUUACCCAUCAAAUUGGCUGCUUGAGCUUCAGAUAAACUACAAACAUCAUUUAAACCUUUGAUACUUAGUUUUCCUCCCAGGUUUAGAUCGUGUAACUCUGCCAAGCUAUUCCCUUUCUCUAAACUAACAAUGUACACACUUAAUGUUCUUAGACAGGUUAAUUUUCCAAUGUAUGGAAACAUGUGAAACAAUGAAUGGCAAUCUUUAAUGACAAGAUGUCUGAGAUUCUGUAAACAAGCCAAGCCUUUCGGAAGACAGCUAAGUUUUUGACAAUCUUUUAUUUUCAAGAUUUCCAGUUUUUGUAAGUUGUAAAUUGAGUCCGGCAACAUUUUUAUUUCAAGAGAACGAAGUUCCAAAUACCUUAAAUGAAUUAAACUCCCUAGUGAUGGUACCUGGAUAAAGGAUGUGCAUAAAACCCGAAGGGAACGGUUUGUUGGCGAGUAAUCAUGUUUUGUUUUGGUGUAAUGAUUCAACUGAAACAAUGUUCUCAAGGAUUCAACUUUCCUGAAGGCACCCUCGUCGAAUGAUAACACGUCAUCAUAGUGAAAACUUAUGUGGUGUGUGCUUUUUGACAAAGUAGUCAUGUUUGAAUUCUCCAAAUACAUACAUUCUUGACCCAUUACUGAUUGAGCAAGAUCAUGGACAAGAUCAUGCAUCUUGAAAGAAAUGUCUCCAGAACCGUUGUCCAUCUUGAUGUCUUGAAAGAAAGAUUUUUGGCACAAUUCAUUCCAAACCAUGCUGCCAACAUCUUCAACCUCCAUAUUUUCCCUAGAUAAAAUAAAUUCAUUAGCCAUCCAAAGAUGAAUCAAUUCUUCCCUCACGAAUUCUGUAUCUUUGGGAAACAUAGCACAAAAAGCGAAACACCGCUUUAAGGUUGGAGUUAAAUGAAAGUAGCUCAACCUCAAAGCAGGUAAAAUAUAAUUCUCAUGUGGUAAAGCCCAAAGUUCACUCUCUUUAAUUUCAAGCCAUUCUUUUUCUUCAUUCCUUGAACUCAUUAGACCUCCCAAUGCUUGUGCUGCAAGAGGCAAUCCAUCACAUUUCUUUACUAUCUCCUUUCCUAUUUCCACAAGCUCUGCACGCUCUUCUCUAUUUUGUCCAAAUGCAUAUUGUUUGAACAACAACCAACAUUCAUUAUCAGAGAGAACAUAUAAAGGAUGAGCGUGGCAUGUUCCCAUGAUCGUCGCAACAACCUCAUCACGAGUGGACACUAAAAUGGAACUACCUUUGGAUCCACACGAUAACACUGAUUUCAGUAUAUUCCAUUUCUCUUGGCUUAAUCCGAAUUCCAAUUGCUGAUUUUUGUUCCACACAUCAUCCAAAAUCAGCAAAUAUAUUUUACCUUGCAGCAAUUCCUGCACCUUUCUUUGUAUUACAUCUAAAUUGAAGCCGUCAUACUUCUCUCUUGUGAUAGAUUCUAUAAUGGAGCACAAAAUCCUCUUGACCGAGAAAGUCUCGGAAACACAAACCCAUAUUUUUGUAUUAAAAUUGCUACUCACCCUAGCAUCAUUGUAGACCAAUUGAACAAGAGUUGUUUUUCCAACACCACCUAAACCAACAAUGGGAUAGACGGAAAGGAAGUCGGAGUCCCUCGCUUGGGUGAGAAGAAACUCGAUAAUCUUCUCUUUAUCAUCUUCUCGCCCAAAUACUUUUGGUUCAGCAAUAAUAGAGCUAGUUUGACGCCAUUCUGCUACUUCAAUUGAUCUUUCCCUAAAAGUUCCAUUCUCUCCUAAAUGAAACUUGUUUUUACUUUCAGCAAUAUCAUCUAACCUCCUUGUAAUCUCUUUCAAUCUUUUGCCAAUCUCACGACAAAAAAUGAUGUUCUUUGGUUUGAAAGAUGAUGAGGCAAUAAGUCGAGCAGACUCGAUCGAGCACUCAUCAAGGAUAUCAUCGAGCACAUAAACAGCAUCUUUGAGUUGUUGUAGCCAUACCUUUAUAGAGCGAUUGAUGACUUGCUUCUGCUCAGCAUCUUCAAGAACAGCGUUGACCAAAUCUAAGGUGGUUGAAAGCUUCUGAGCCUUGGACUUGAUUCCAGAAAUGGUGGCCAAUUCAUUUUGAACAAGAGACUUCAAAUUCUGUAACACAACUCCAAGUAAGGCGUCAGCCAUAUUCAGUAACAAAAGUGUUGAAAAAAGAGAAAAAGAUAUAACAAAAGGAGUGGUGAAUUAUCAGAGUGUAGAAUGGAAAAUGAAUAUGAAAUGCUGAUUGUUUUUAUUCAAAAGCAGCAUCCACGAAAAGUAUGGAUGACUAAGCUUAUUGAAUAUCAAAGUCAAACGGUUGUAGUUAAUUUUGGGUCAAAUGCAUCUUUAAGUUUUUCAUUUUUUCAAAAAUCGUCUUUUAAGUUUCAAAAGUCUCAAACAAAUCCUUUUAGUUUUUGAAUCAUUUCAAACAAGUUCUAUUGUAGAUAACAUAGUUGGUAAUUGCUUCCUUGAACUCAUCUUUGAUACCAAAUUUGGCUCCUAACACCUACUUAAAAUUAAUCAUCUUUUUAGGCAUGAUAAAUGGUGGAUAAUGCUCUUUGUUGCUAUCAUCUAAAUCAUCACCAUCAUCCUCUAAAAAGACUUGUUUGAUUCAAAAACUAAAAGGAAUUGUUUGGGACUUUUGAAACUUAAAUGAUUUGUUUGGGACUUUUGAAAUUUAAAGGACAACUUUGGGAAAAACGAAAAACUUAAAGACCUUUAGAUGCAUUUGACUUUUGUAUAUAAAUCUUUUUUUUAAACUUGCAUAUUGAUUUCUUAAGUUUUUACUUUUCAUGUUUCAACAUAAUUGUGUCAUUAUAUUUAAAAUAAAUAAUAAUAAAUGUAUCUAGAAAAUUGCAUAAAAGUUCAUAUUUAUGGAUAAAGUUUUCUUCAAAUGCUUUUCUUGGUCUGGUCUUCAAUGUUUUUAUUUAUUAAUGAAUGACUUAGCUCUUGAUUUUUUUUUGUCAGAUAGUCUACUGGUUGGAGAUCACACAUUUUAAAUAUGGAGAAGUGGGGUGCCCGAGGUUCGAACCCCGACCCCUGCAUAUAAAAUGCAUUUGUCCCUACCAAGUGAGCUCUUGAAUUAUUAUAAAUAGUCAUGUUAUCAUACGAAAAAUUUGUCCCUAAACCCUAAUCCGGAAAAAUAUGGAUUAUAUAAUACGAAUCGUGUUUCCCCUAAAUUCUUGACACAAGAGGGUUGUUUGAAUUUUAUAAUCCAAUAAAAAGCAAAAGAUGCACCCUAUUUUUUGGGGUGUUCGUAUUAUAAAAUUUGAAUUGGUGAAAAACAUUUCCCACCCCAAAUCAAGGGAAAACUCAAUUUGAAUUAUAUAAUCUAAAAAUCUCAUGUUCAUUUUCGUAAAAAAUUAGGGCGCAAGAGAAAUUUAUAGAAUGGAAAAAGUAAUAGUCCAAUUAAAAUAGAUACCCUCUGAAAAUUUGGAGGUCUAGAAAACAUUGAAUGGCCUAAAAUGAAUGGCUAAAACAAUUACCGUUAUUUUUCACACCAUGUACUCUUCUUACGCGCAUGUGCUCUAUUUACGCGCCUUAUUUUUUUUUUCUAUAGCUAACAAGUAUGACAACAAAUAUAAUCUGUAUUUUUCUCAAGCGGAUUGAUCAAACGAGGUUAUAAUACUUCACCAUAAAUAAAUUCAUGGGAGUUUCUAUUACUCCUCCCAAUGAUUUCUUUAACUGAAGAAGUACACUUUUUCGGACGGGAAACACUUUUGUCCUGAUUUACCUAUCCUAGGCUAAGGAUAAAAAAUUUUUUUUUUUUUCCUUCACUCAUUCGAAGUACAUGUCCAGGGUAGAAAAAGAAGGUCCCUGAAUUCAUUUUAUUUUAUUUUAUUAGCAAAAGAUCCUAAUGCCAGUUAAUUAUAACACCAUAGGAAAAUAUAAUCCCAACAUAAUUAAUCCAAAGAAACUGAGGACACUCCUCCGGAGGAUAAUAAAAGACAAACCACAAUGUUAUAAAUUAUAUAAGUGUUUACUAAUAACUCAUUGUUCUAACUUCUACAUUUCACAAUAACAAAUCUCAUUAACUUGCAUUUAAAGAAGUUUCAAUAUGAGUGGUAAAUCUUUAUAUCCAAAAUUGGAGUAAGGCAGGGGGAACUAAAAAAAAUGUUAACAAAAAACAGUGCUAAUUGAAUUAUAACAUUUAGACCACAAAUAUGAGCUAAGCAGAUUUCCUCAACAUCAAGGGAGGUGAAACAGACUUCAUUCCAUGUUUUUGAACUGUUUGCUUUGGUAGCGCACCAGCGGAAGCACCUUGGAAUUUUCAAACUUCACAACAAAAUCACUGCUAACUUAGCCCUGUCAGAAAUAAAAGCAAUCAUAAGAACGUUCAGGCAAAGGAGCGGACAUAACUAGAUCGAUCAAAUGCCCUCUAAACUCAUAGUCGGGAUUUAGGACCUUCUCUCGGAGAUCAGCAGCAUCCAUACGUUUCACAAUUUAUCUGAUGUAAACAUAACGAAAUAACAUGAAUGUCCCACCGAAACUAUCAUUAUGUAAUACAAUGACACCUUCCUAAUGAAGACUUGUAUAAACACCUGGUUUAUAGCUUGAACAAAGAAUUUUCAUUGGUAGCAUGCUCAGAAUCACCUUGUGCCUUUUGCUAAGCAACAAUGGCAAAUGUAGAGCCCCAUUUGUCACAAUAUUUACCAACAAUACGAGAAAAUCAUAAUAUAGGGUUGCUUGUGAGAAAGUGCUUGAGUUUGUUAUUGUUGUCGAUGAUCACUUUGCCCCACAGCAUUACGGACAUGUACAUCUUGACUUCCAUCACUCAAAAGAUGUUCAAACAACUGUGUAAGCAAGUGAUUCCUGCACAUGGAAAUUGAAAUGAGAAAAUAGUAGGGUGAUAAGCAGAUGCAGGGAAGAGAGAAUGCACUGAAAGUAUAAGACCUUUCAUAACACAUGCAUGUGUGCAUCUAGAAGCUUGGCCUUCAUAAUAAAGCUCAAUGUACUUGAAGAAGUGAAUAUCAGGAUUCUCACUAAACAAUACAAAAUCAAAAGCCAAUAUUACAAAAGCGAAAAACAACUAUAAAUGCAAGUUCCCUAAAAAAAACACUAUAAAUGCAAUAUAUAUAGGCCUAGAGCUUAUUAAAUAUGCAUCCAAGAAAUAGUAUAUACUAGUUCUUCAUAGGACUUGGAUUCUUCAAAUAGUUUGAUGCAUGCUUCAACACUCAAUUGCUCAUAAUAUUCCUAGAAGUCUGCAAAUUGUGUACCAUUAAAAUUCUUUAAUGAAAUCCAAAAAAAUAAUUUAAUUGCCAAAGAAAAGUCUUAUAACAUAUUAUAAGACAUUUAUUUUUAGAAAGAGCCCAAUUCUUAGAUAUUUAGAAGGAACCCAAUUCAGUCGUUAACUCUUGAGAAUUGCUUUUCUCACCAAAGCAAUUGCUCACGUACACCCUACUAAUGUCAAUAAUAAAACAACAUAAAACGAUUCUUAUUUUUACUAAUAUUUGCACGCCUUGAGAUUUUUGUUUUGCACCUCAUCAAUCAAGACUGACGAGUCGAACCGGUGACAUUUGAAUUUGAAUGUUUGUUAAAUUUUCCAAAUGGACUUUUAAUGCUGCUACUCCCUCCGUCCAAGUGACACAGUUGAUCCAAUUAGGAAUACCAAUGCGUAAUUUUGAGUUUAAAUAUCUUGAAUAAUAUAUUGGAAAAAAUUAUAAAAAUUUGAUAUUUUGAAAAUACUCAUCGAGACGAAUCUAACGACAUCUUAUAUGAUAUUAUUUAUCUUUGUAUAUUAGUAGAAAAAUAUGGUCAAAGUAAGUUAGAUCAAAAUUGCACAUUUUUAAACAGGUCAUUUAUUGCGGGACGGAGAGAGGAUUAUAUUUGGUAGACUUUUAUUUUUCAAUACAUGAUAAAAACGUAUAACACUACCCUUCAAAAAAAAAAAAAACGUAUAACACUAGUUUCAAACUCAUGUCUAAGGCUUAUACUACUUCAAUUACUCAUCCACUAAACCAAAUCAAAUGCAUUUGAUACUACUUGCAAAUAAAUAAUAUUGAUUUGAAUUCCAGAAUAAAUCACUACUAAUCUUAGGUUUUGUAACCCGUUGUUCAUUAGAUAAUUCUUUUAGGAAUAUUAAAUUAUCAAACCGUAAAAGAGAAGUUAGAGUUUAUUCAUGCUUUUGAUAACAUUAGUUCACCCAAGACAUUGGAUUGAGACACAAUAUUGAUGUUGGUUUAUUUUUCUUUUAAAUCAACAUAAAUUGUUCUGUCAAAAGAAAAUAAUAGUAGAAAAAUAAGUAAAUAAUAACCAUAUACUUGUGUUCUUUCAAAAAAAAAAAAACUCAACUCAGCCAUGGAUCGCGCACAGCUUCUCUUAGUAGGUUUACCCCUCUUCCUCCUCUGCUCCGACCUCUUCUCCCUCUUCACAUCAUCUCCUCCACCGCCAAAACCAUCUCACCACCACCAUCACCACCAUCAACAACCACAACCAGUAAUCAACCCCGUAACCACACCCUUCCCUUCCGACUCCGAGGUAAUUUUCUAUUCCUUCAACCAAUUUACUUCAUCACUGUUAUAUUUUCAUCAUCACAACAUGUCUAAUUAUUAUUCGGUUUGUAUUUGAUCUCAGAAACUCGCUACUAAUAUUGGAGGUGCAGGGUUUGGCAACACUGUUAAUAUCAAUUUCUGCUCUUCUUGCUCCUACAAGUACGUAAUAUACUUUACAGAAUACUUAUUAUAUUUAUAUAUUUUUAGGAAUUAUAUUAAAGACAAAAUUGAUGCCUUAUUCUUUUUUUAUUUAUGCAUCUACAAUGCAAAAUGUUAUGCGGGUUGUUAGACACUUGAUGUGUAUUUUAUGCUUUGAAAUUUUGAUUCUCAGUGGUUAAUUAGCUAGAGAAAUGUUGUAUUAGGUUUUUAUAUUGAGUUUAAUUCAUCCUUACAAAUCAUUCCAUGCAUAUCAAUUUUGAGAUGUUCUAAGUUACUAAAAUACCAGUCAAUCCUGGAUUGCGGCCGACCCCAAAAGUGGGAUAUCGGGUGUAUAGUGGGAAGACGCUACUGAAUGAUACUAUAAAGUGUAAACGAACAUAUAUUUAAUAUAAAAUUAAAUAUAACACUCAAAUCUCAUGAAAUAUUCAUAAAUCAAAACACUCAAACAUCCACAGAACAUUACAUUCAAAUCCAAAUACCAAUAAAUGUCAAGGAUAUAAAUAAGCUUAUGAAAGCUUUCAAGUCUCCAACAAAAUUUCACAAGUCUUAGUUAAAACAUUAAAUCCAAAAGAACAAAGGACAGAGGAACUAAAAAGAAAACAAAGAAUAGAGGAAAAGAUAGAUGGAACAUGAAUAGUGGACGACGAUGGCAAUCGGUUUGCAGAUCGUGUGAGGGUUGCAAAUCAGUUUGCAGAUCGUGUUUUGCAGCGGAGAAGAGAGAAGAGUCAGGAAAAUGUUUGCACACAACAAAAUGUUAGGGCUUAUACGAAAUCCCCAAAAUGCCCUUAAAAUGGUUUUAAAAUUAGGGUCAAUGUGGGAUUUUCCUGUUAAAACCUAAUAGUGGAUCAAAAUCCGCUGCCCGCUAUAGCAGCUAUAGCGUCCUCUAUCUUGAACUGCAUCUCUAUGACGCCCACCAUAGUGGUUUCUUACCACUAUGCUAUGCUAUGCCGCUAUAGCGCACUAUUGACUAAAGUAAUUACUAUCAUGAAAUUCAUGGUGGACUUCCUUAAUGAACUAGAUAUUAAUUCCUUUGUUCACUUUCCUUGAUCUACUUAUCAUUGCUCUGCUUGCUGAAUCAUAUUUCUUAUAGUUGGUAGAUUGCUUGUUGGUUGAUUGUUUGUCAAUGAGUUGGAUCCAAAUUUGGUGUAUGAUAGAACACUAUGGCGUCAUUUGAUCCAUGUAGCCGACCCCACUUAGUGGGAUAAGGCUUGGUUGUUUUUGUUGUUGUUGGUUGAUUGCUUGUCUUUCUGUGCAUGAUUAUGUAUAGAAUGGGAUAGUCAGUGUAAAUGGAUGUUUUUUACGUAUGUAGGGGAACAGCAGUAACAGUGAAAAAAAUGUUGGAGAUUGCUUUUCCUGGAAUUGAGGUUAUUCCUGCAAAUUAUCCCCCACCACUUCCAAAACGUCUGCUAAGCAAAGUGGUUCCAGUUGUUCAAAUUGGUGUUAUAGGUGUCGUAGUGGCAGGGGAACAGAUAUUUCCAAUGCUGGGUUUUGUUGCACCUCCUCCUUGGUAUUUUAGUUUGCGUGCUAAUAGGUUUGGAACCAUUGCUACUACUUGGCUUCUUGGAAAUGCCGUGCAAUCAUUCUUGCAGAGCUCCGGGGCAUUUGAAGUUUACUUCAACGGCAAUCUGGUUGGUGCUCUUCUUCUAUCUUUUACUUAUAUCAUGUGAUUCUUUUGGAAGCACUCACAAUCAAUCAUGAUGGAAUAGGUCCCUUGCAUGACUAGUUUUAUCAACAUUUUGACCACUUCACUUCAUUUUACUGGAUAUUCACCUGACAUUAUGAAAUACUAUCAUAUAACAUGUUAGCAACGAUCAUUGAUCUUGACAAGACUAGUUGAAAAAUGAGAAAUAGCCAAUAUUAGUUGAAAAACAAGAAAUAGUUUUGUUACCUAGUAGUGCUAAUUAAAAAUGGUGGUCCCUUUGAUUUAUUAUAUAAAACCUUUGUACUCGUAGUUUAGAACAUCUACUUUCAGAUUGCAAUCAUUUGAACAUGCUUUUACUGGGAAGUUGUUUCUCGCCAUGUGUUUGACUCUCAACAAGUCAUUUGGUUAGUCGGUAGAUUGUUUUGAUUAUUAGGUUUCUUUCAUUAGAGUUUUUUGGUAUAUAACUUGUUAUAUCAUUACUAUUACGGUUUAUUUGGAAAACACCUAUGAAAUGGACUGAUAGUAAAUAAAUUGUGAUAAACAUGUCGUCUUCUCUGUUUUAAAGCUUGUUAUCUGAAGCAAAUUUUGACUUCCCUGUUGCUUUCAUUUGUGCACUUCUGCGACUAUAAUGUUACUGAGUUGUUGGUUAGAGUAGAUGGAAUGUAAAUGGCAUCUUUAAUGCUUCUGAACUUAACCCGUUGAAAUUCUUCAUCUGUCAUUGAAGGUGUUCUCUAAAUUAAAAGAGGGAAGGUUUCCAGGAGAGAUAGAGUUGAAGGAUCUGAUCACCAAAAGGAUGACAAAUUCUAGACUUGUCAGCAGCGCUUCAGAAUUGGGGCUUUAGCUCUUUUGUCGAAUUGCAUCUCAUGAAGACUUCUAAUUUGAACAGGCAAAGAUGAUGUAAUGGACCUACCAUUGCAUUGUGAAGCCGAGGCUGGUUCACAGAUAUAUCAUAGGAAUGUAAUAUUGUAAUGUUUCCAUACUGGAAAAUUGACUGUAAACCAUGUAACUUCUGAAGCCAUAUUGGUUAAUUCAAGUUUGCUUCAGACGUAAAUUUCAGCCUUACACUAUCAUUUUUCUUUUUUCGACAUUCUGACAUUGUGCUAUUGUCAGCUCAGCUCAAGUAAACUCCACUUACCACGCGAAAAAUAGAAUGAUAUUAAGGACAAUUUUGACCAUAUAUCUAACUGGAAGUAUAUGACUUCUGAACUAAAUGUGUAUAGAAAUUAAUAAAUCAAAUUAUCGAGAUACUGUAAUAAAUGAAAAAUAGAUCUAAGAAAUGAAUAUUAUCAAUGGCAAUGCGAGGAACUCAUUCGGUUAAUAGCCCUGAAAUGACGGAAAACUUGUCUGGCCAAAGAUUCUGUUAAAAAAAUAAAUCAAGUGCAUCAUCAAAUUGCUUUCUGAAGUCAUGCAAUUAUUGGAGAUGUUUGAAAUCAUAGCCUAAAGUUAUUGUUAAUUUUUGUUUGACAAAUAUUUCACACUAAUAUCUAAAGUUAAAUAUUUAAAAUUAAAUUAACCCCUAAAAUUAUUUAUGAAUAUCAGAUUAGUAGUCUUCAUAUUUGUUAUGUAAAUCUCAAAUUUCUUAUCAAAGAUAGUGAGACAUGACUAAAUUAUUUUACAAUAUAAUUUCAAAGAUGUAGUCAAUUUCUUUAUUUGAGGGACUAACUCAUUGUCUCGUACAAUUUUAGGCAUAAUUUUUUCAUACAUUAUUUUGAACAUACAAUUGGUGAACAGUUCAUUAUGAUUUUUGCUUGAUGAUGAACAGUUGAUAUAAACAUGAAAACUGGUUUGUUGUGCUCAGUAACUAAUAUACGUGAUGCCUAGAGUUGAAUCUCGAUGUGUAUACAUUGUUGAUUAUAAUAAGACCAAAGACUGCCAUAUUUUAUUGCCUUCCUCUUCAAGCUAUCUUUUGUGUAAUCUCCUUUCAAGUGCCACCAAUUUCUACCAAAUUGAACAUACACGAAGCAAAUAUCAUGAACAAGUACAGUUCCUUGUUGUUCAGCUAACUGGAAUUCAUCACUUAUCCCUUUAAUAAUGACCUGCGAUGCAAACAAAUAAAGCUAAGUAUGUUAGCAUUUCAAAGCCUUAAUAAAAUGUCACAACUAAAUAGGUUUAAGCUCUUUGGAACAACUCCUAACCAUUCUGAAAGUAUUUUACCUAAAAAUUUUCAUAUUCUGCUUAUAUCACGGCCAAAAACAAAAGUUGUAGCCCAGUUAAUAGCUACAUAGAAUCUGUUCCUCCAGCUAAUGACACGAGUUAGAUAAGCUGAGCGCCAAACAAACCAACUGAGAAAACCUGCUAGAGACAAUCCUUUUGCAUCCUGUAGGAGAAAAGUUAGUGAAUUAAACUGUUCUAUGUUUUUAAGAGCACCAAGAAAAGGACCUUUAGGUCGAGCACUGAUAAGUCUAGUGGUCCCUUUCUCCUGGGAUACUAUGCGUGAAAACCAGAUAAGCCUCACCAAAAGGUUAAGGAAUGAUAAAAAUUACCUUGUUCUGUCUGAGGUCUACUAGAGCCUUGUAACUUCCAACAGUUGCCAUGCUUCCAAGAUGCUUGUACACAAACUGAUUCCCCAAGUCUAUAUCUUUCAUGCUGUUUGCACGGCCUCCAUUGGCUUCACCUACUUUGUUUAACAAGGCUGCUAAGUAUUUACCUUGCCUCUCUGCUACCUGUGGAAUUCAAGUGGCAAUACAUUAAGGCCCUGUUUAAUUAGGCACUUAUAAGGUAAGUGUUUAUAUCAUAUAAGUGCGUAUGUAUAAGCCAUUUCUAUCGCAAGAGAUAAAAUAAAGUCUAAUUAAUUUCACGUAAUCUAUAAGCUGCUUUCAUAAGCUAUCCUGGAGAGCUUAUGGAAAUAAACCUAAAACAACUUAUGGACAUGCAUAAGAUAAUUCCAUAAGCUCUCCUAAACAGUCUCACAAGUGCUUAUACCGGAAGAUAAGUUGAAAUAAGUCGGUCCAAAUAGACCCUAAUUUGACAUGAAUAAGCUUUCAGGCAAAGGAAGAUACAAUACAUGAACCUCUACCAAGUAAAGGGAGUAACACAUUCAGAAUGGAAUGUGUUUAGGGACUAACUAAGUCCUUAGUGUUAAACUAAAACCAAACCUACACAUUGACAGGAAUUCAAGAAAUGAAAGUGAGCGUUGGAGAAACUAAUGAAACCAAUGUAAGUUACUUGGGCAAGAGCUGGAAGUGUUGGUUUUCCAGUACUUUCAACAAAUCCACUGCAGUCACCUAUUGAGAAGAUAUCUUGUACUGAAGGAACACGAAGCCACUCAUCAAUACCAAUCCUGUGAAGAGAGAACUUUGUACAUAAAUACUUACACGCUUUAGUGUUAAAACAUAAUAUAUUUGGAGUAUUGAUAAAAAUAAUAAUAUAUUUGGACCAAUGUGAUCCUGCUUUCAUGAUAAUACAGAUCCGAAUACUAUAUGUAUCCAUAUAGAAAUCAGCUGCCAAUUGUAAAUUUUGCAACGGUUGUCCAUGGAAUGAAAAUAAAUGCAACUACUACGUUGAGUAAACAAACCUUCCACCAGGAGAUUUAGGGAGAUCCAGCGAGUGGAUAAAAGGUGAUGGACCAACUCCAGUAGACCAAACCAGCAAUCCGUAUGGAACCUCAGUACCAUCGUUAAGUAUAAUCUUCUUUUCUUGUACAUCUUUCACAAUGCCUCGAACAAGUCGCACUCCUGACUGAUAGAAAUCUUAACAUGAGGAAAGGAACAUAUUGAACAAACAGUAAAGGGACUUUCUCGUGAUAUUCAUAGGUACAACACGAACAUAUUUAACAAAAAGUAAAGAAACACUUACAACAUAAAGCUCACCUUUGUCAACUGGUUGGUGGCAUAGUGCCUGAGUCGGUCAUCAAAGGAAGACAAUAUCUCAUUAGCCUGAAGAGACAUGAAUAAAUUGAUUAGCAACAAAAAUUAUUGUGAAAGACAAAUUUUGGAUGGAGAAGAAAUAUUGUUACAAAUUUACCACAAAAUUGGCUUCUAUGAACUCUAAGGUAUUUCUAACCAUUUUAUUAUUACAAUGAAUUGCCGAAAAUGACAACGGCAAGAGCAAGAUGACUGUUGCUAAUUUCUAUAACAUGUGUAUAAUCUAUUUAAUUGCAUCACAUAUCUAAUGAUACUAAGCAUACCUCAAUCAAAGUAACAUGGAUAUAGUCCUUCACAUGAGCAUAUCUCUGACGAACAUCUCUCAUGAUAAAAUCACUAAGUUCACCACUAAAUUCAACUCCCGUAGGACCACCUCCGACAACCACACAGUGUAACAGCCUUUUCUUCUCCUCUUCCGAAAUCCCUGCAUCCAAAUCAGUUACAGAUUACAAAGGUAAUGCAUAAAAAGCAUUAUUUUUCAAACACAGGAAAAUUAUCGCAAACCUGGAACGUCAGACAUCAUCAAAUUGAGGAGCAACUUGCGACGGAUUUCCUGUGCAUGGUAAACUUCACGAAGAAAAAUUGCAUGUUCAUAAACUCCAUGAAUUCCAAAAGUGGUGGGUUGUGCUCCUAGUGCAAUUACUAACUUAUCAUAGGAGAUUGUAAACUUCCAAGGAUCCAGUGUCUGUGUUCCUUCAGUUACAGUCUCACAUUGUACCUUCAAAACAAUGUGUCAGACUCUCCCAAAUUAAGCUGCACUGUGAUUACAUUUAUUUCAACCAAUACUAGUAUCACACCCUUUUGUUCGUUGCUGUCUAAAGGAGUAAGAGCAUUUGAAGAAGACUAAAACAGUGUUAUAAAAACCAGGAAAGUUACGAUGUUUCACCCAAUUUUUCAUAAGAAUUGUAAAUUGAAGUUUUAUACAAAGUAAGAUACAUAAAGCAGAACACACAACAGUACUACGGCUAUGGAAUGUAGUUUUAUACAUAAAAAACUAUAUUUCUCAAAAUAUCCUAACUAAACUGCCAGGAAACAGUAAGGAAAAUCGAAAGUUCAACACUCCUCCUGGUUUGGCUUGUUACAUAAUCCCACCUUCUUUCUUAGCUGCAAAAACCAAGUCCUAGGCUAUUAGGAAUAUAUUGUAUUCAGAGUUUCCCUUUUCCCAAAGUCAGAAUUCUGUUACAAUUUUGUUAGUCACGGUUAGGAAUUUAGUAACAAGUUAAUUACAUCUAGUUGCACUAUAAAUAUACCACUGUGCUCUUAUGCAAAUCAGAAUGGAAUAUACAAGGCUCUCUCAAAUCUGAUUUCUAGACCUUUCUUUCUUUUCUACACUUUCCUUUACUGUUUAUGCAUCUCAGUUUCUAAUAAGAAUCACUCAAUCUUUAUAAACUCUAUUUAUGUCAUAACCCUAAGCAACAUGGGAUUUGAGCUUUUCUCCAAUAAUGAACACCAAACGAAGAAGUCACAAUGUUAGGAUGAGUAAUUUCACAGAACAAACUGACAAACGAAAACACAUUGAUUCUAGCGCCAAUUUAACAAACUGACUAGCAAAAGAUACAUUUGAGAGUGUUUUUAUAAUUGAUAUAUUCAGGGACUUUAGUGGCACCAUCAGACAUAUUAAACAACCCAAAUGACUAUUUACUCGGGUCGGUUACAAUUUAUAUAUGAAAUUGAAUUUCCAUUGGGGCUUCCGGUGUCAGGGACAGGAACUGCUUUGAAAGUCAAGAUUCCAAUACAACAAUAACCAACUAUCUCACUAGUUAGGGUAGGAUAAAAGGAUACUACGUAUUUCAACCCUACAAAAAUGCAAAAAGAAAAAAAAUAAACAUCUAUAGUAAAUUCCAAAUCCCAAAUAAGGUACCUUUUAAUGGUUUGAAUUUUCAAACCUCAAAUAAAUUCCACUUAGCUUCAGAACAUUCUAAAGUUCUUCUCUACAUAAUAAUAGCUAUGAUUUUUCAUAGCCAAAAACGCAUUUUGCAGCACAAACUUCUAAUCUUAAAAUCAAAUAUAUCACAGCAUUGCUAAAUCCUCAAUACAUAGUUUGGCAGAGGAAAUUCCAACUUACAACCAUUGCAGAAUCACAUGCCAAAGGCAAAGAUCGUAACUCAUAAUGAUACUUGUUUGCCACAUCAUAGUCACAUUAACAUGACAUUGAAUUCAAUCACUUCCAACCACUCAUCAUUCUUAUUAAGAAACACAUUCAUGUGAAAAAUUGAAUUAUAAAAUCUACCACUCCUAAAGUUUCAGACAAACAUUAUAUAUAUAUGCCUUUUUUUUUUGUUUUGUAAAACUCGAUAUCCUGCCCAAUUACCGGCAAAUCCGCGAGACUAAUCCCACCGUUAACUAGCUGGGGGGUCAAUUGAAAUGAAAUCAAAACUUUGUAUGGACUGAUCAUAGUAGUCAAUAGCGGCCAAUAGCGCCGCUAUAGCGGCUGCGCGGUGCGGUGCGGUGCCGGAGCGCUACGCAACAAGCCAUAGUGUUGCGGUGUGAGAUAGCUGCGCAACGCUUCGUAGCGGUUUUACGGUUUAGAACCGCUAUUUCAUUUUAAGAGAAAAUACAAAAUUGUCCUUGGUUUAAAAAAAAAAGAAGGGUAUUUUUGUAAAUCUUCCUCUGCUUUUCUGCUGUUCUGUAAAACUUUUCACCUCUGCUGUAAAUCUUCCUCUACUUUGUCGUGUUUGCUCUGUUAUCCUGUUAUUUUUUUGUUUAACAAUCUCAAAACUCUGAUGUCCUGUUACUUUUUUGUUCUAGUUUUCUUUGCUAUUAUUGAUUCCAAACUCCAUUCUGCUCUCUCUGUUUUUGUUUGUAGUUUGUACAAACAAUCCUCUGUUUUGUUCAUAUAAAACUCUAUUCUGCUCUCUCUGUUUCCUUAUUUUUGUUGUUUUUGUUUUUAUGAAAUAGCGGUCAUAGCACUAUGCGCUAUCCCGCUAUAGCAUUUUUGGGGUCGGCCACUAUGCGCCGCUAUCCGCUAUUAACUACUAUGGGACUGACCCAACACAGGAAUUGUUAGCAAUUGGAAGAAUUGAACCCAAGACUUUGAGAGGAGCAUACUCAAAGGUCCUGAUCCUACAUCACCAGACCAAGCCCUAGGGGUUUUACAUAUUUAUGCCUCGAUUAGUUAAUUGCUAAUUCUGAUUCUUAGAUAUCAGGUCUAACUCAACUCCUCAAAAACCAAUAUUUUUUUUUUUUUUUGAGGGAUCCUCAAAACCAACUUGUAAAGUAAGAAUCACUCAAAAUUUCAAAACUCUAUUUAUGUCACAGCUCUAAGCAACAUGGGGUUUAAGCUUUUCUCCAACGAUGACCCACCAACCAAGAAUUCAAAAUGUUACAAUGAGUAAUUUCAAGGACCAAACUGACAAACAAAAGACACAUACCAGCACCAAUUUAAGUAAAAAAAAAAAAACAUUUAACAACUAAACUGUCUAACAAAAGACACAUUCGAGGGUAUUUUUUUUUAUAUAAUUUUGAUGCAUUCAGAGAUUAUAGUGUCACCAUCUAACAUAUUGAAUGACCCAAAAUGACUAUAAUAUUAUAAUUUAAUCCAAUGAAAUCGGUAAAAAUCAUUUUUUUUCCCUCCCACCAUUACUAAACCAUAUAAAUAUUCCCAAUUACAUUAGAUAAAACAUACCAUGAAUUGAAAAGAGAAAAAAAAUCAAACACCUGAUAGACAUGUACAAAUAAGUUUAGAUACAAUACAAUAAAAAGAAAAAUAAAGAUACCUCAUGUUUAUCAGCAUUGAUACCAGUACAAUUAGCAAGGAAGAAAAAAGAACCAGGUUCUUUAGAAAUAGUGGGUUGAAUCCUUGCAACAGGUUCAGCAACAGAUCGAAACUCAAGAGUUCCAACACAAGUAGAAGCCAAAAGAGGUGUGAAAACCAUGUGAUUACGCGGUGAUACACAAACGAUAUCAUAGAUAUUAGAAUCUAAUCCUUUCAUGAAUCUGCAUCCGGCCCAACCGGUGCCGAGAACCACCACGCGUGGCUUCUCGUGUGGUUUGGUUGGUCCGAGAGCCGCAUAACGAACCGGAGCGGUUGAACCGGGUGUUGAAGUGGAGAAGCGAGAGAGAAGAGUGAGAGAUGGGAAGAGGUGAGAAGGGUUGGUUGAGUUGGGGGGUUUGAAAAGUUGUUUCGUGGUGAAGAAGUAACUUUUUGAGAGGUUUCUAAACAAAGACAUGGUUAGUGUGUUUGUGUUUGAGAUGUUGAAGAAAGAAGAAAUGAAGUUCCAAAGAUGUAGACUGAUGGGAUGGGAUGAUCAGAUCAUAUUGAGUUGACUGAUAAUGUCACCAACUUUGUUGGGCUGCUUGUCUGCUUUUAUGGGAUCAAAUGAUGUAAUGAGAUGAGAUUGUUGACAUUAUUAUUGCUUUGAAUAUUCAUGUAGACUACUAGUCGUACAUCACAUACUGUCUUUUUUGUCCAGGUGCUCAUAAAAUAUAUAUACAAUAAAAAAUAACAAAUUUCAAAACUCGGAAGAUGCUAAUACAUCAUAGUUGAAACGAGAGAUUGAAGUUUAUCAAUUUUUUUUUUAGCAAAGGAAAGGUAAGUAUUAUCAUUAAAUCAAUCAAUGUUCAAUAUAAGAAGAAUAAGACUAAAAAAAUACGCUAAUUAUGUCAAGAACAGGCCGCCCUAAUUAAAGUAUGAGCAAUCAUGUUUGCAUGUCUCUUAACAAACUUCACAUCAAAGUUAGAAUGUAAAGAUAAUUGAUAAAAUUCUAUAAACAAUAGCAUAGAAUUCCGAAUCACCGUGACCCGAAGACGAUAGCGCUUGCACUAGAGUAGCUGAGUCAGAUUCGAAGACAUCAAGUAAAGCUACUGUCUCCCUCUCCAAAACUGUCAAAUUCGCUUGCUGCAAAUUCGUUUGAGCCCGAAUAAAUUGCCCAUGGAAGUCUCUAACACAACACGCAAAAGAUGUAAUAUGGUUACAGUCAUGGAACGCGACGUCCAUGUUGCACUUUGACCACGUCUCGCACGGUUUCUCCCAAACAGAGUUGUUACCUUGCACUCUAUUCUGCCCGUGUUGCACAACUGUUGGUGAGGGCUGUUUAUGAACCUCUUGUCAUUGUUGUCAUGCAUCUAGUGUUGUUCUUCCAAUAAUUGUUGAAGUAUGAUGAGCGUCAUUCUAAAUGACUUCAUUACGUGCUUCCCAAAUUUGCCAAAGAAGCAAAGCCACCCGACCAGCAAUGUCUCAGCUUUCUGAACAACAUAUGUCAAAAACAAAAUAUGUCAAACUGCUCACAGUUCCAACUCGCGGUUGCAACACAGUCGAAAGCCCUGCCCAAUACCAACUCUCACGCGCCACCAUAUAACCCAUAAAAGCAUGUCAAUCACCCUUAACAAUCGUAUCACACCAGGAACAUAUCACCUUACAUUGUACAUGUCGUGAUUGUAGUCAGAGGCGGGUUGGAACACACCCUCUGUAAAUCCUUCAUAACAAAUUACGAGUUUUAUGAGGGGGAUUCACCUUCCAGAUCCUACACCACUCUCCGUCAACAUGGAACCAAUCAGUGUGUAACAACUCCAUCAUAGCCAUUUGCAACCCGUCUUAAUAGUAUACCUUUCGUUACGUUCCAUCAUCCACUCUAUUCUUUCAUUCUGAACUUCCGCAAACAAUGGUGUGUUGAGAAUAGCUUGCACCAUCUCAUCUAAAAAGGUUUAAUUGUAGUUUUGAUCCCCUUUUUUCAUCAUUUUGCGAAAUUGGUCCCUCAAUUUUUAAAUUCGACAGUUUUGGUCCAUCUAUCAAAUAUUUUGUCUAAAAUAUUGUUAUAUCAAUGUUUUAAAUGAAGUUUUCAAUGGAAUUUUGUUACAAUUUCAUCCAUGUUAAUAUUUUUUCAUCUUCAGAUCAUAUUCCACGACAUUUAAAAUUUAUCACAUCACAUUUUUAAAUUUUAAAAUAUGAUGGAGGGAUCAAAACUGUCGAUUUUUACAAUAGGGGGACCAAUUAUGCAAAAUGAUAAAAAUAAGGGGAUCAAAACUGCAAUUAAGCUCAUCUAAAAACAAAGAUUCAAUCAAAGAAAAAAACAAAAAAACUAACUCAUAUGAAAUCGAAGAUAAUAAUAAAAAUAUAUGUCGACAUUAAUUAAAACGAUUCAAGUAAGUCGUUGUAGCUUAAUGUAAAUUGCCUAGAAAACGAAGAUAUUGAGAUGAAUGCGGAAAUAAAAGAUUAGUUAAUUUGUUGAGAAUAGAAUAUACACCAACUAAUGCUAUCCAAAUUCUUGUAAUGUAAAUGUAUACAUAAACAUGAGCAAAUUUAUAUAUGAUGUCUUAUGCAAAAGUAAAUCAUCUCAUCUUCUUUGCUAACUUGAUUUUGGACGUGUCUUGGUGACAAUACAAUUUAGUAAAAUAUUUCUUGUUAAAACAAAUGUUCAAGUGAUUAGCAACUCACGAAAAAAUAGCAGUAUAAUACAAAAUUUUUGAUGAAAAAUGAGAGCUUAUCAUCAACGUAAACCGAGAAAGAAGAUGGUGAAAUCUUUGUUCUUGAAAGGUAAAAAUAGCGAGUAUGAUGAUUGUGGCUUGUGAGUAUAUAUCAAAAGAUAAUAGAAGAAUUAGGAAAUAGAGAAAGAAACAAAAAGAAUGAAGUAGAAGAAUAAAAUUGAAACGUUUGGAAUUUGGAAAUAUAAAAUUGAAACGUUUGGAAUUUGGAAAUUAAUUGUGAACAUUUAUUCUAUUAAAAAAAUAAAGGAAAGACUAACCGGUGUCUCUCAAGUACUAGUCAAGGAGGAUAUUACAAAAUGAAAUUAUAUAUAUAAGGGUUAAUUAAGUUUUUGGUCCCUAUAAAUAUCUGCACUUUUGUUUUUAGUCCCUAUAAAAAUAAAUCACACUUUUUAGUCCCUACAAAAUUUUCUAUUAGUGUUUUUAGUACCUGUUAAAUUAAAAUUUGUUUAAUUAUGCUUAAACUUCUAAAUUUUUGAAAGAUUUUUUACAUACAAGUUCACUUGUUACGUGACUUUCUCUUAUCUUAUUUCCUUACUUCUUAUAGCGCAGUAACAUGUCCUGAAUAUCCCUUUUUUAUUUGGGGCAUUGAAAUAUAUAAUGGCAUGUUUAGUCAUUAGGGCUAUUUAGGUUGAUGGGUUCUUCAUUUUGAUGACUGACUGUAAUUUCUAGUCAGAACAAUUUCUUGAAGCUUUUUGUUUGUCUCUUGUACAUCUUUAUGCCGCGUUUUCUGAUAUCAAAUAUGCCAGUGAAUACGCAUUCCAUUGAACCACAUGGUUGGAUUUCAUGCUCUCAAUUUAAUGGAUUUUCAUUUAACACAUUGUUGAAUUCGUUGGAGUGAUUUUCAGGCUUUUGUUCAAUUUGUUCGUUGGAACCCUUUCCGAAGAAUGAGAACAGGAGAGCAUGAAAGAUCUUUUAUUGGUAAGGCUUAGGGGAAAUAUACAAAUAAUCGCGCAGGUAAUGUAUUAGGACUUAUGUAUUCUUAUCACAAUAAGCCUUUUCAUUUUGAGCAGCAAGUUGUUGAUCCUGAUAUUCACUUCAAUUACAUUAAAGCAGCAGCUAAAACUGGACAAAUUAAGGUGUAGAGAAUGUGACAUGGGAAUCAAUUAAUGUUUUAUUGAGUGAGGGAAGCAAAGACAUAAAUGUGUGUAAUGCUCUGCAGUGCAAGUUCUUAUGAUUGCUGAUUUCCGCCAUUAGUUGAUUGAGCUCCUUCAACAGAUUGUGCUGCACAAUUCUGCCUUUGGUUGAAACUUCGAUCAGCCAAUUUAGGGUGCUUUCUUAUGUAAAAUAAGAUAGCAACUUUUUGUCAGAAAAUUCUGCUCUAUAUAUAAACCAGAAACAAUUUACUUUCAUUCACAUGAUGUAUCUGAGUUUAGUCUCAUUAUUGUUUCAAUGAUUGUUAAUUAACCAUUUAUUUAUUCGGGUUUACUAGAAUUUGUAUUGACACAUAACGUUGACUGAUCGAUCUACUUUGAUUGGAUUGUUUUUAUUAUACUAAAAAAAAAUGAUUCAGUUUAGUUUACCAAUUACAUACAUAAUAGUUUACCAUCUUUUAAAUGUACAGGUUGGUAUGUAACGAUUUAAAUGAUUAGGUUGGUAUAGUUUACCAUCUUUUAUAUAGUUUUGAAUAUUUUGUGCAAAUUCAAAACCUUGAUGUUUCUGCUGGCUACCAAAACAGACAGUUAAAAAACAUGGAAUGUAGUUUUUUUCGUCUUCCUUGAGGACAAGGAAAUAUAUUUGGCUCAAAUUCAUUACAUGAAAGUUAAUGAACUCUGUUAUUGUUGAAAGUAGAAGAUUGGGUUACAAGUAAAUGUAACAAGUAGCAGAUAAAUUGUUGAUUAAAACAAGUGUGUUGUUAUUCCGGUCAAUAUCCAAUCUUUUAUUUUUAUGAUCAGUAUUUAAUGUUCUAUCUGCAUGUGAUCCUUUGAGUUUGAAUAUUAUCUUAGCUUACUCUUAUAUUAUGCUAAAACUCAACUGAAACUGAAAGAUACUAAAUUCCAUUCCGAAUUUUAUUCUCAAGAGUGCAUCGCAGCAAUAUCCUAAUGACAAACUGACCAAUUGCAAGAAAACCAAAGAGUUAAUGUUUUCUCCUCCAAAACUCCACCACCUCGAAACUCGAAUUAACCUGGUGGAGUUCCAAACAUGAAUUUUACCUGCAUUAUGAAAUACCGUCUGUACUUCUAACCAACCGGUUAUCUUCGCCCAAACCCUAGAAAAAAACGGACACUCAAAAUAAAUGUCGAACUGAAGGUGAAAAACACAAGAAGGGGGGGUUGAAUUGUGUUUUCUUUUUCUCUUAAAAAAUACUUCUUCUGAUAAAACUUCAGAAGCAGUUUGAUUGCUUCUGAUGAAAUGAUCAGAGUCAGAUUGCAGCGGAAAAGAACAGAGCAGAGAAAAGAAAGACAAAGACACAAGCAGUUAUCCUGGUUCCUUCCACAACACGGAAGUAGUCCAGUCCCCCUUGCACUUCCAAGGAGAUUUCACUAUAAUCACAAAGAUUACAACUGCUCAAUACUUUCUAAGUAUGAGACUUCACAAAACUAUGCUCAAGCACACACGCAAGAGUCUUCCAAUGCUCAAGCACUAAGCAAGAGACUUCUAAUGCUCAAGCACGCAGGCGAGAGACUUCUAAUCAAACAAAAAUACAGAGAAUUGAGUUUGAAUUGAACACUUGAUAUACAAUCAGUGGUGUUCACAAUACAAUACAGAAAAGACUCUAGACUUUGAAUUUCUAAGAUGUAUCAAAUCAGUGCAGAAAUUCAGUGUGCUUUGUAGAAUCAAAUUGACAGAGUUUUGGCGCUUUUUUUAACUUAUGUAUUUCUCUCUUUUAUCUUCAAGUCUUCACUCCUUUUUAUAGAGGCGUGAAAGAGACGUUGAGAUAAUCAGCACGUCUAAAGAGUCGUUUGAAAUCCUUUGAUUAUCCACCAGUGAUCCUUUGCCUGAUUUGGGUGUAGUCCUUUGAAGAAUAAACUUCAAAUUCCUUCCCAUCUUGAGUGUACAAUUCUGCAGGCAUGGCUGUUGUUUUGUCUUGUAGCGUAGACAGAAAACAGAGUAGUGGAGGUAGUGGUUGUACACUUGUACUUUGUCAACUCUAUUAACGAGAGACAAGAGCUUAGUGCUAUCCAUAUAUCCGUUGAUACCUCCCUUUCAAUUCUUCGUUCUUCUUUGAUAAGACUGAAUUGAAAAUCAGCUACUUUGAAUCUUCAGUUUGAUUAAAGGAUCAAAUGUAGCUUCUGGUGAAGAUAUUGAUUCUGAUGAAAACUUUUGCUUCUGAUGACUUUCUGCUUCUGAUGACGUCAUCUCUUCAGGAGCAGUUUAGCUUCAGGAGCAGUUUUCUUCAGAUGCUCAGAAUUUCUUUUUCUUUCCAUUGUUCUUCCAAGACCUAUUGAAAUGACUUGAGUAGCCUUUGGUCCUGUACACUUGAACAAUUAUUAGUAAUAACCAAUUGACAAUUUUUAAUACCUUGUUAUCAUCAAAACUCAAUAAGGUUCAUUGUGAAACACAUUUUGUUCCAACAAUCUCCCCCUUUUUGAUGAUGACAAACAAUAGUAUUUAAAAUGUUCAAUUGUUGUUGAUCUAAUUAAUAAGUUGACUACUGGGACAGAGGUUUGUAAGCUCCCCCUGAGUCUAAUAGAUCUUUAAGGUGAGGUUUGUAAGCUCCCCCUAAGUUCUAUUCUUAUUAAUUAAAUUUCAAUAAAAUACUUAUAAAAUCAAAUCAGAAGUAUUUAAAAGAAAUUUAGAGUAGGGCUCAGUGCCUUAAAAAAUACUAUACAUUUACUCCCCCUUUUGUCAUCAACAAAAAAGAAUAGAAACAAAAGAAAGAGUAUCAGAGCAAACAGCAUUAAAAACAGUAAAUAUCAUCAGAGUUAAAGCUUGUAAAACAUAUUGAAGGUGAAAAAGCACAAGAUCCAGAAACAAUGAUAAUAUAUAUAAAGAAAGAUUAAGAUACAAAGACACAGCUACUAAGAACAAAAGUAAAAAACAAGCUAGAGUUGGGUGUGCAACUAAGGUUGGGCUUGCUUAUACAACUGUUCUAAGAGAUACUUGAUCUGAUCAUCCUUCUUCUGAAGUAGCUCAUCCUUUUCCCUCAUUCUUCUUUUAUAUCCAGCCUGAAUUCUAGCAGCCCUAGUGAUGUACUCUUCUUCUGGAUAGAAAGGAGUAAUGUCCAGCAGAGGCACAAAAUUCAGCUCUUUCUCCUUAGCUGCUUCAUGCAUAUCUUCCAAAAGCUUCUUCAGCAUAGCAGAGUGAGAUGACACACAUUUAGUUCUAAGCUGAUCCAGCAGCUCAUCAAAGCUCUUCUGUAGAUCCAUCCACUGAUCAUAAUAGUGAAUAGGAGGUGCAGGAACUGUUCUGCGAAGAAUCAGUGCCUGAAUCUCAUCACUAAGUCUGAUCAGUUGUUCCUCUAUAUACUCAGACUCCAGGAUAUGGUCAGGGAUGGGUGAAGGUUCAGUUUGAGUUGUAUUUGAUGUGGAAGGUUGGUCAGAGGUUAAGUCUAUUAUAGUGGGUGAGUCUGGUUGUUGUUGUUGUUCUGUUGUUUGGUCAGAAGUUGUUUGGUCAGGAGCAACUUGUUCAGAAGCAGUUUGCUCCUGAACAGUUUGCUCAGGGAUGGUUUGGGUUUCUGUUUGGGUUUCCAAGACAGUCUUCUCAGAAACUGUCUUAGAGGCCUUAGUGGGUGUUGGUUGCAUUUCACCACCUAGAUGUUUUUCUAAGUUGUGAAGGGUUGAGGAUUCUUGGUGUUGGGGGGUUUCUGAAGUAGUUGCAUCUGAAACUACUUCAGAGGCCCUUUGUGGAGUUUGGUUAGGUUCUUGGUUGGGUUCAGGUUGUUGUAUACUAACAGGCUCUGGAAUAUCUGGAUAUAGUGGAUGAGUAGUAGGCAAAUUGAAUUUCUCACAAAGUUUUAUCCUAUUUUUUGAAAAUUCUAUUUGAGUACUCUCAUAGUCAAGUGUUCCAAAUUCUGUUAGUUUGGUAGGUUUGGUUUUUAGAAGCUUGUCUAUAUGUUGGCUAAGGGGUUGGUCAUCUGAUUCUGUGGAUGAUGAAGAGGGUGAAGAGGGUAGAGAUAGAGACUGAGUAUUAGUUGGAGCUUUAGAUGGAUUACCUGAGGACUGAGCUUCUGGAGCCUUUGAAACUGGUUCUGAUGAAGUUGUUCCUGAAGCUUGCUUAUUCUUCAAGGCUUGAGAAAGCAGAGUUGCUCCAUACUGAACUGUUUCUUGCUCUAACUCAGAAGCUAAAGCAGCAAUGUCAGGAGUAGGCACAUACCCUGCAGCCUUGAGACGCUCAUCCCUUUCUUUUUCAUACAAAAUCUUCAUCCUUUUCUUUUCUGCUAUCUUGGAUGCAGAAACCUCCCUAGUAUACUGCCUCAUUUCUUCAGUCAUUUCAAAACUGGGCAUGACUAUGGGCUCAGAAGUUGCAGUCCUUUUUGCCUUCUUGGGGCUUGAGUCUUCAUCCCAGUUCUCUUCCAGUUCUUUCAACAUUUCUUCCCUUCUUCCUUCAGCUGUCUUCAGAUUUCUUGUUAAAUUAGACCUCUUCCUUUUGAUGGUCUGAAGAGCAGCUUCUCUUUUAUUUUUGGGACUUGAAGGCUUUUCAGAAGCAGCUUGAUCAGAAGCAGCUUGUUCAGAACCAGCUUGUUCAGAAGCAGGCUGUUCUGCUGUUUCUUGAGUACUCCUUGUCCUUUUUCUGAUAAGAGGGACAUCAUCCAAAUCCUCCACUUCCUCAAGAAUGGUGGACAUAGCAGAUUUUUCCUUCUUAGCUUUCUUAUGCUUCUGAGCACCCACCUCAGUAGCAUCUUCAGCAAGGUAUUCUUCCUUGGUGAUCUGCUUCUUUUUAGAUUUUCUGCCUUUGGCCACAGGCAGAUCACCACCAUACAUUUCUUCUGGGAUAUCUUUCAGGCUGAUUUUCUUGUUGUAGCUCUUGUAGUAGUCUAAGAUGUAGGCCCUCUGCACAUCCAGGGGAUCUUUCUUGCAGAUAGGGAUGUGAUGAGUGACUAGAUCAGAUAUGACAUCAGAUUCAUGCAUAUCUGUAUCUAGUUUCCUGCAUGUUGAAAUCAGCCUCAUCUUGACUAGAGUUGCCCCAUUGAUUAUUUUUCCUGUGACUGCUCCCAGCUUCUGAUUAUCAUAAAUACCCACGUCUUUCAGGGCACUUAGGAGUCCUCCUUCUUGAAAGAUUAUGGAGAGCAGCCUUCCAUAGGGAACAAACUUCCUGUUCUCCAUCUGGCUCUUCUUGAGUUCCUUGAUCAUGUAUUUAAACAUAUACUUGGGAACGUUCAUUGUUGUUUCCUGAGAGAUGGUGUGAUGCAGAAAGACUUUGUGACCAAGUGAAGGUUGAUCAUUUCCUCCACCUUUGGGAAAAAUGUUUUCAUUCUGGAUCUUCAGCAGCAUUUUCUUUUCCAUGCUUAAGGUGCUGUAAGGCUUAGCAUCCUUUGAUCCGUAGAUAGUGUUGUUUACUAUCUCCUUCCAUGGGCUUGUUCUGGGGUUAGGAAUCUCUUCUCCAUCGUAUGUCCCAGAAGCAUCUCUCCUCAUAGCUUGAGCAAUCACUUGCUCAUUGAUUGUUACAGGAAUCCCCAUGACGUUUGAUCUAAUCUCAGUCCCAGUGAAGGCGAGUAGACCCAUUUCUUCUCUGGUUUUUCCCUCCAAAGUAGGAUCAACCAGAAUCAUCUGAGCUUCUUCCUGUUUAGCAGCAACUUUGUCAAACACUGAAGCUCUUACCCAGAAUUGUCUGACAAGCACUUCAUAAGUAGGACCGUUGAGAAGACUGAAGUAACUCAUUAGCUUCUGCUUCUUGUAGAAUCUUACCAAGUCGCAUCCAUGAUGAGUUAGAGAAGUGAAAUCCACAGGAUUUUCCGCUUGAAUGAUUAGCUCCCAUUCCUCAAUAGACAUAGUUCUUCCUUUGAUUUCAUAAGCAGGAGUAUCUAUAUCCAUAUUCGAUGAAGAACCACCGGCAGAACUUGAAGAUGCCAUUGAUUUGAAGUAGAAUUAGGGUUCUAAGGUGUUUUGAGAGGUUGAGAGAAUGUGCUUACUUACACAGAGGGUUGAGAAGAAAUUAGAAAGUGUUUGUUGUGAAGUGAGAAGUGUGUGAAAUGACUUAGUGUUUUUAUUAAAACGUUUGUAAUUCAGAGGGGACAAACAAACACAGCAUUAAUGACAAAUUGGGGGCGCGUGUAAGUAUGUUAAAAAGCGAAUAAAAACAUCAUUGCCCUUUUUGUUAUACUCCAAUACAAAUAGACCACGUCAGAGACUCUUCAGAAAACUACCUUUUGGGUAAUGGGACAGCUGUUACAUAAAGUAACUGCCAACGUUCCCACUAGCCAAGCUAUUCAGAAGCAAAGAAUAACACUUCUGAAGUUUUAGUGCUGACGUCAUCUUCAGAAGCACAUUUUCCUCAGAACCUCAGUUAAGAGCUUCUGAUGAACCAAAAUGCUUCUGAAUAAACUUCAGAACCAAACUUCUUAUUCAGAGGCAAGCAAUUUUUCAAUCAGACACAAAAUGCAUGUUCAAAUUUUUCUUAAUAAAAUCAAAUCUUUCAACAGACAAAGGUUUUGUAAAUAUAUCAGCCCAUUGAUGUUCAGUAUCAAUGAAUUGUAUAUCUAAAAUCCCUUUUUGAACAUAGUCUCUGAUAAAAUGGUGUUUGAUUUCAAUAUGCUUGGCUCUUGAAUGUAGAAUUGGAUUCUUUGACAAACAAAUAGCAGCAGUAUUAUCACAGUAAAUGGGAAUACUGUUAGCAUUAAUCUGAUAGUCUUCCAACUGAUGUUUCAUCCAAAGUAGUUGUGUGCAACAACUUGCAGCUGAAAUGUACUCUGCUUCUGCUGUAGACAUAGCAAUAGUUGCUUGUCUUUUGCUUGCCCAGGAUAUCAGAUUCUUUCCCAGGAAUUGACAAUUUCCACUGGUUGAUUUUCUUUCAAUCCUAUCACCAGCAUAAUCAGCAUCACAGAAUCCAAUCAACUUAUAAUCUAGGGAUUUCCUAUACAGGAGUCCAAGAUUAGUUGUUCCUUUCAGAUACCUGAAGAUUCUCUUAACUGCAGUUAAAUGAGAUUCUCUAGGAUCUGAUUGAAAUCUUGCACACAAGCAUACACUGAAUAAAAUAUCAGGUCUAGAUGCAGUGAGGUAUAACAGAGAACCAAUCAUACCUCUGUAUAGCUUCUGGUCUACUACUGUUCCAGUAUCUUCUUUGCUUAAGGUGCAGGUUGGAUGCAUUGGAGUGUUCAUCACUUUACAAUCUUCUAGCUUGAACUUCUUCAGAAGCUCCUUUGUAUAUUUUGUUUGAUGAACAUAUACUCCUUCUUUACUUUGGUUGAUUUGAAUUCCCAGAAAGAAUUUCAAUUCUCCCAUCAUACUCAUUUCAAAUUCAUCCUGCAUUAACUUAGAAAAUUCUUUGCAAAGAGAUGCAUUAGUAGAACCAAAUAUUAUAUCAUCAACAUAUAUUUGCACAAUCAAAAUAUCUUUCUUAAGAGUCCUUCUGAAGAGUGUUGUGUCAACUUGUCCUCUUUCAAAAUCAUUUUUAAUUAAGAAAUUACUUAGUCUAUCAUACCAAGCUCUGGGAGCUUGUUUCAAGCCAUAUAGUGAUUUCUUAAGUUUAUAAACAUGGUCAGGAUGCUUAAGAUCCUCAAACCCAGGAGGUUGUUUAACAUACACUUCUUCUUCAAUGACACCAUUAAGAAAGGCACUUUUGACAUCCAUUUGAUAUAAUAUUAUGCCAUGAUUAAUUGCGUAGGAUAGAAGUAACCUGAUUGCUUCCAAUCUUGCAACUGGAGCAAAUGUUUCAGUGUAAUCAAUGCCUUCUUGUUGACUGUAGCCUUGAGCAACAAGUCUGGCUUUGUUUCUGGUUACUUCUCCUUGUUCAUUCAGCUUGUUUCUGAAUACCCAUUUUGUUCCAAUAAUGUUCUUCUGAGAAGGUUUGGGUACCAGAUCCCACACAUCAUUCCUUUGGAAUUGAUUUAGCUCUUCUUGCAUAGCUAAUAUCCAUCCAUCAUCUGAGAGAGCUUCUUCAACAGUUUUAGGCUCAAUUAUUGAAAGCAGUCCUAUUAAUGACUCUUCUUGUCUAAAAUGUGAUCUAGUUCUUCUAGGACUAUCUUUGCUUCCAAUGAUUAGCUCCUCAGGAUGUGAAGAUUUGUGCUUGAAUUUAGGUUGUAUAACCUGCUGAGUGUUAUCUAGAAAGUCCUCAGAAGCAAUUUCAUUCUGUACUUUUGAGCUAGGUUCUGCUUCUGAAUUAGACUCAGCUUCUGGAGUGAUUUCAGCUUCUGGACUAGAUUCAACUUCUGUAUACUUUUCAGAAUCAGAAGGUUGAUCAGAUUCUGAUGCAUCUUCAGAAUCAGUUGUACCUGCAUUACUUUCACUUUGCUCUGAAGUUUUACUUCCAGGCUCUCUAUCAUCAAAUUUUACAUGCAUAGAUUCUUCAACACAUUGUGUUUCUGAAUUAUACACUCUGUAUGCCUUUGACCUUUCAGAGUAACCUAAAAAGAUUCCUCUUUGAGCCUUGGCAUCAAAUUUCUUCAGAUAGUCUUUAGUGUUUAAGAUGUAACAGGUACAUCCAAACUGAUGAAAGUAAGAGAUAUUGGGUCUUCUUCCUUUAAAGAGUUCAUAUGCUGUUUUCUCCAACAUAGGUCUGAUAUAGAUCCUAUUUUGAAUAUAACAUGAAGUAUUGACUGCUUCUGCCCAAAAAUGUUUAGCUAAGUUGUUUUCAUGGAUCAUGGUUCUGGCCAUUUCUUGUAAAGUUCUGUUCUUUCUCUCUACAACUCCAUUUUGUUGUGGAGUUCUAGGAGAGGAAAACUCAUGGAGAAUCCCAUGUUUUUCACAAAAAAGUUCAAAUGGCUCAUUUUCAAAUUCUCCACCAUGAUCACUUCUGACUUUCAAAAUUUUCAAUUCUUUUUCAGAUUGUAUUUGAGUGCAGAAGCUGCUAAACACUUCACAUGCAUAGUCUUUACUUUUAAUGAAUUUUACCCAAGUCCAUCUGCUGUAAUCAUCAACAAUGACUAAUCCAUAUUUACUUCCAUAUAAGGAUGCAGUGUUAACUGGACCAAAAAGAUCAAUAUGGAGUAAUUCUAAGGGUCUGGAGGUUGAUACAAUGUCUUUAGAUUUGAACGAACUUUUCACAAUUUUCCCUUUCUGACAUGCACCACAAAGUGCAUCUGAAUGAUAAUCAAUGUUAGGCAAUCCUUUGACCAGUUGUAACUUGCUAAUUUUAGAAAUUAAUCUCCAAUUAGCAUGUCCCAACCUUUUAUGCCAUACCCAUUUUUUAUCAUUCAUUGACAGAAGGCAAACUACCUUCUGAUCAGCCAGAUCAGAGAAAUUUAUUUUAUAGACAUUCUCAACUCUCUUUCCCUUGAAUGUAAUGGAUUUGUCAUCCUUGUUAACUAGUGUGCAGUUGGUCUUACUGAACGUUACAUCAUACCCAUUGUCACAAAAUUGACUUAUGCUCAAUAGGUUAUGCUUCAGACCAUCUACUAGCCACACAUUAUUAAUUGAGAUGGAGGAAUUACCAAUAGUACCUGUACCAAUGAUCUUUCCAGUUUGGUUGCCACCAAACUUCACUUCUCCUCCAUCUUUCAUUGUAAGGGUAAGGAACAAAGCUUUCUCUCCAGUCAUGUGCCUUGAACAUCCGCUGUCUAGGUACCAUGACCUUUGUUUCUCUCUUGCCCUUAAGCACACCUGCAUUUUUGGCCAAUUCAGAUUUAGGUACCCAUAUCUUCAUGGGUCCUUUUGGGUUAGCUUUGGAGGUUUUACUUUUCCUCCCUUGUACCUUAGGGUGAAUGCUGAGUGGCUUCUGAUCAUUCAAUACUUUAGGUUUGACACCUUUUGGUAUUGUUUUCUCAGAAGCAGUAGCUGCUUUGUUCUUCUGAUCCUUUUGUUUUGGAAUUUUAGAUUCUGGUUUAAUCAGAUUCUGAUGAACAGGUUCUGAUCUUUUCAGAAUUUUAAUCUUUUGACUCUUAGGAUCAGAUUUUGUCAUUACCUUGAUCUUAAGAUUCUCUGGCUUUGAUGUGAUCUUAGCCUGUGAACCUGAAGCUUCAGGUUUUGACUGAACAUCAGUUAUAGCAUUUGUACCUUCAGGCACAAAGGUGGAUUUCAAUCCAUCCUUGAUACAAUCACAGUAGCUCUUGAGACUGUAUUCUUUGGAUUUCUCCUCAGAAUAUCCAAUCCCUUUGCCUUUGUUCUUGUAUGUGCUGUAGAUCAUAGAAGCAACUUUGCUUCUGUCUAUUCCAGCCAUAAUAAAAUCAUCCAAGGCAAUCUCAUGUUUAUUGCCUGAACCUUUAUCACAUUUUUCUUGUAGCUUCUGACAAAGACUCUUGAGUCUAUCUUCAUAUGUUGUUGAUAUGAGGUUAAACCCUUUGAGUUCUUCUUCAGAAGCUUUCAGUUCCAAUAGAGUUGACUUUUGUUGUUUCAUCAAAUCAACAUAUUUUUCUUUUAAAUCUGUCAACUCAUUGGUUCUGUGUUCAAACAGUGAUAAAAGUUCUUUUAGAGAAUCAACAAGUUCUUGUCUAGGGAUUUUGGAAUAUACCUCAUUUUCAUCUUCUGAAUCUGAUUCAGCUUCUGAUACUGCUUCUGAUGAUACUGUUGCCACUAACCCAACAGCUGCCUUAGCAUCAUCAUCAGCUUCUUCUUUAUCAGAACCAGAUUCACUAUCCAAAUCUUCCCAGGUCGCCAUCAAGCUCUUUUUGAUUUGCUUUCUGAAUUUACUGGAAUUGAAGCUUGAUUUCUUGGAUUUGCCUUUAAACUUCUCCUUCUGAAGAUCAGGGCAAUCAGCAAUGAAAUGACCAGGCUUCUUACAAUUGAAGCAUCCCUUCUGAUCUUCUUUCUUGGAGUUCUUGUAGCUACCUCUCUUGCUCAAAAAUUUCUUCUGCUUCCUUGCCAGAUACUCAAGCUUGUUGGACAACAUAGCCAUUUUUACAGAUUGAUCUUCAUCAGAAUCUCCAUCAGGUGAUUCUUCUUCAGAUUCACUGGCUUUGUAGGCUUUGGAAGAUUUUGAGAUCUUUCCUUUAGAUGGUAAAGCAAUGGAUUUACUCUUCUUAGAGGUUUCAUGCUCAUUUAAACUCAUUUCAUGCACUUUGAGUGAGCUAACAAGAUCUUCAACACUUAAAGUAUUUAGAUCCUUAGCUUCCUCAAUAGCAGUUACUUUGGGUCUCCAUCUUGAAGGUAAGCUUCUCAAAAUCUUACUAACAUGAUCAGAAGCAACAUAGCUUUUCUUCAGUAUUUGCAAUCCAGAAACUAAAGUUUGAAAUCUUGAGUACAUUUCUUCUAUACUCUCAUCAUCCUUCAUUCUGAAAAGUUCAUACUGAUGAACUAGCAUCAAAGCUUUAGCCUCUUUUACUUUCUUGCUGCCUUCAAAGUUUGCACAUAGAGAAGCAAACAUAGCCUUCGCAGUAGAUUUGUCACUCAUUUUCAUGUAUUCGGUGCGAGGUAUAGAAGCCACAAUAAUCCCUCUGAUUUUGUGGUGCUUCUUGUAAAGCUUCUUCUGAGCAGGAGUAUGUAUUUUUCUAUCUAUAGCAGCUCCUUCUUCAUCUAAAUCCAGGUCAUCAACUCCAUCUUCCAGUAUGUCCCAUAACUCUUCAUCUAAUCCCAUGAUAAAGCUGUACAUAUUAGUUUUCCACCAAGAAAACUCUUCUGGAUCUCCAUUAAACCUUGGAGCUUUUCCAGAGUCUGUUUUCUUGUCAGCAGUAUCAUAGUCAUGCUUGACGCUUGUGUAUUUUGGAGUAACUGAUUCCUCAUCUCCAGACAUGUUUUUCUAAUAGAUCUUGAACUGUAACACGGUUAAGUGCUGUGAUAACAGAGCAAGCUCUGAUACCAAUUGAAGGUGAAAAACACAAGAAGGGGGGGUUGAAUUGUGUUUUCUUUUUCUCUUAAAAAAUACUUCUUCUGAUAAAACUUCAGAAGCAGUUUGAUUGCUUCUGAUGAAAUGAUCAGAGUCAGAUUGCAGCGGAAAAGAACAGAGCAGAGAAAAGAAAGACAAAGACACAAGCAGUUAUCCUGGUUCCUUCCACAACACGGAAGUAGUCCAGUCCCCCUUGCACUUCCAAGGAGAUUUCACUAUAAUCACAAAGAUUACAACUGCUCAAUACUUUCUAAGUAUGAGACUUCACAAAACUAUGCUCAAGCACACACGCAAGAGUCUUCCAAUGCUCAAGCACUAAGCAAGAGACUUCUAAUGCUCAAGCACGCAGGCGAGAGACUUCUAAUCAAACAAAAAUACAGAGAAUUGAGUUUGAAUUGAACACUUGAUAUACAAUCAGUGGUGUUCACAAUACAAUACAGAAAAGACUCUAGACUUUGAAUUUCUAAGAUGUAUCAAAUCAGUGCAGAAAUUCAGUGUGCUUUGUAGAAUCAAAUUGACAGAGUUUUGGCGCUUUUUUUAACUUAUGUAUUUCUCUCUUUUAUCUUCAAGUCUUCACUCCUUUUUAUAGAGGCGUGAAAGAGACGUUGAGAUAAUCAGCACGUCUAAAGAGUCGUUUGAAAUCCUUUGAUUAUCCACCAGUGAUCCUUUGCCUGAUUUGGGUGUAGUCCUUUGAAGAAUAAACUUCAAAUUCCUUCCCAUCUUGAGUGUACAAUUCUGCAGGCAUGGCUGUUGUUUUGUCUUGUAGCGUAGACAGAAAACAGAGUAGUGGAGGUAGUGGUUGUACACUUGUACUUUGUCAACUCUAUUAACGAGAGACAAGAGCUUAGUGCUAUCCAUAUAUCCGUUGAUACCUCCCUUUCAAUUCUUCGUUCUUCUUUGAUAAGACUGAAUUGAAAAUCAGCUACUUUGAAUCUUCAGUUUGAUUAAAGGAUCAAAUGUAGCUUCUGGUGAAGAUAUUGAUUCUGAUGAAAACUUUUGCUUCUGAUGACUUUCUGCUUCUGAUGACGUCAUCUCUUCAGGAGCAGUUUAGCUUCAGGAGCAGUUUUCUUCAGAUGCUCAGAAUUUCUUUUUCUUUCCAUUGUUCUUCCAAGACCUAUUGAAAUGACUUGAGUAGCCUUUGGUCCUGUACACUUGAACAAUUAUUAGUAAUAACCAAUUGACAAUUUUUAAUACCUUGUUAUCAUCAAAACUCAAUAAGGUUCAUUGUGAAACACAUUUUGUUCCAACAGAACUGUUUUUUCAAUAUCAUACCCACCAAUACAAAACUGAGCUUCACUACUUAAGAUCCCUAUUCUGUAAAACUUGUCAAACAAACAAUAUUACCUUCAGUGAAGUGAACACACAGUGUAAGCUGAUGGUCCUCCUUCCACACCCCCAAAUUAAUUUCUUGUAUCAAAUGACAAAUUGGGCAGGAGUCAGAAUUUACCAAAUUGAGAAUACUAACGUAGAGCUGCACUAAUAUAUUUACAUUACAGAAUACUAAUGUAUCCAAUUAGUAACACUGCAUAUUCUCUAAUAUAUUCACAAUGUAGGAAGUAAGGAAUAUGGAACACAAGAAGAUACAUUUUGGCAAUACUUUAGUAUCUCUGAUAUGUCUUGGAGAAUACAUUUUGUGAUCAAUGGAUUGGAAAUUACUUUCAGUGAGAUCAUUUUGGGUCUUGUAUUUGAUACAUUCUGCAUAAUAAAGAUACUAGUGCGAGUGUCACAUUUUAUUUUGAUUUGUAUUAAGACAUUGAAAAUUGGCAGUCAUAAAUUUUCUUUGUAUAUGACUGGAGAUUGAGUACCAACUAAGUUAUAGUGUUUCAUUGAUUAAAUAAUCAAUAACUUUUUUUUUUGGUCAGGUAAAAUAAUCAAGGGUUAAUUAAGUUUUUAGUCCCUAUAAAUAUUCACAGUUUUGUUUUUAGUCCCUACAAAAUAAAAUCAUACUUUUUAGUCCUUAUAAAAUUUUCCAUCAACAUUUUUAGUCCCUAUAAAAUUUUCCAUCAGCAUUUUUAGUCCCUAUAAAAUUUUUCCAUCAGCAUUUUUAGGCCCUAAAAUGCUUAAGGAAAAUGUCACAAGGACUAAAAAAUGUGAUUUUAUUUUAUAAGGACUAAAAACAAAACUGUGAAUAUUUAUAGGGACUAAAAACUUAAUUAUACAUUUUACUUUUUUUGUGAGUGCUUAAAUCUUGUGACCAUAAUAAUACUCUCACCACUAAAUGCAUUAAACAAUAAAACAAGUGUGGACCCACAAAGAGCUGGCUAUCGUUUUUUAUGCUUAAUCAAACGCUUCCCAACAAUUGUACCAGCUAGUGGUGACUAUAUAUAUUAAAAAAUGUUGAUGUAAAAUAUACAAUAAAAGAGACAAAAAGUCAGUCAAUAAAAGAAACUCACCAUACAUUUCAUUUUUUUUAUUCAACUCAUCACAGUCCACCCUCUUCCAUUUUCAUUCAACCACGUUAGAUCAAUCUAAAUAAUGGCUGAGGCCUUACUUGGUGAUGCGUUUGAUAAUUUAUUGUCUCUUGUUCAAAAUGAAUUUGCAGUCAUUUCUAGAAUCAAGUUCUACUCCAAGAUAUAUUGGGUCAUCUGCUAUUAGGUUUUUCGUAAUCGGAUCAUCCAUCAUUUAUGUCUACGACUGGUUUGUAAGGUGAUACCAUCUUAUAUAUCCACCCACUAUUUAUGUCCAUGAACUAAACUCAAUAGUGUUGGUCGUGAGAGGGUGUAUCACCUUACAACCCGGUAUUGUGGGGUUGCGCCCACAUUGUAAUACUACUUUAAUCAAUAAUGAAAAGCUAUAAACUUAUUUCUUUAAAAAAAAAAUGAGUGAUGAGGUGUCGACGAAAAAAUUUGGGGUCUAAUUUAAUAAAGAUAAUAGAGAGAUAAACAGAUCCUUUAAAAAAAAAAAAUAGAUAAAACUUGUUCCAGAAAUGCACAAAAUUAAAUUAAAGGUAUAAAACAAAUUACAUGUAGCCUGAGUUAGUAUGAUUGAACAAAGUUUGAUAUUUCUUUUAAGAGUUUUAUUGAACUGAGCCCAAGCUAGUAUGUAAUUAAAAUACCAAUGACAUGAGAUUUCAAAAACAAAUAUCAGUGAAUGACCAUCUUAAACCAGAACUGGAAUGAAAUUUUACAUUUAAUCAAAUAAAUAGAAUGUAAAACAAAUACAUAUGACAUCAUAACUGUCCCAAAAGAUACCUCAAAUUUAUUAUAAAGUAAAUUUUAUUAGUGUUCAUGUAUGAAAACAAAGAAAUUAAAUAAAAUUCUUUCCAACAAUUAUACAUGCCAGUAGGGACACCCCAUCUCUUAAUGGACCCCGAUCAAUAAUAAUGGAACCUUGCAAGCAAGUUGCAUAAAUUUGUGGUUAAAAAUAUGCCUACUUGAAUGUUUGCUCACAAUUAUUGAUCACCUAGUUGCCGACUUCCUACUACCAUUGCAUUUAUUCUCAAAGUUCUUCAUUCUGUUUACUUUUAACACUCAGUCAAUCUAAAACCAAUUUCUCAUUUACUUAUCUUUUCAACUCUUUCUUUUACCAAAAAAUGGCUGAUGCGUUGAUCGGAGUUGUGUUUGAUAACUUGAAGUCUCUCCUACAAAAUGAAUUUGCAACCAUUUCUGGAAUCAAGUCAAAGGCUCAAAAGCUGUCAGACACCUUAGAUAUGAUCAAAGCCGUUCUUGAAGAUGCUGAGAAGAAACAAGUCACAGACUGCUCUAUUAAGGUAUGGCUGCAACAACUCAAAGAUGUUGUUUAUGUGCUCGAUGAUAUCCUUGAUGAGUGCUCGAUCAAGUCUAGUCGACUGAGAGGAUUAACCUCUCUCAAGUUUCGCCAUGAGAUCGGUAACAGGUUGGAAGAGAUUAACGGGAGGUUGGAUGAUAUUGCUGAUAGGAGGAAGAAGUUUUUUCUGCAGGAAGGUACUGGAACUGUUCGGGAAAGCCCAAAUGACGUAGCUGAAUGGCGUCAAACCAGCGCUAUUAUUACUGAACCAAAAGUGUUUGGACGAGAAGACGAUAAAAAGAAGAUUAUCCAGUUUCUUCUCACCCAAGCAAAGGACUCCGACUUCCUUUCCAUCUAUCCCGUUUUUGGGUUAGGUGGUCUUGGAAAAACCACUCUUCUUCAAUCGGUCUACAAUGAUGUUACCGUGAGUAGCAAUUUUAAUACUAAAGUUUGGGUUUGUGUUUCUGAGAAUUUCUCUGUCAACAGGAUUUUGUGUUCCAUUAUACAAUUUAUCACAGAAAAGAAGUAUGAUGGCUUUGAUUUAAAUGUAACACAGAAAAAGGUGCAGGAAUUGUUACAAGGUAAAAUAUAUUUGCUAGUUUUGGAUGAUGUGUGGAAUCAAAAUGAACAAUUGGAAUCAGGGUUAACACGAGAGAAAUGGAACACAUUGAAAUCUGUGUUGUCAUGUGGAUCCAAAGGUAGUUCCAUUUUAGUAUCCACUCGUGAUGAGGUUGUUGCAACAAUCACAAAAACAAGGGAAACUCACCGUUUAUCUGGUCUCUCCGAGGAUGAAUGUUGGUUGUUGUUCAAACAAUAUGCAUUUGGACAUUAUAGAGAAGAGAGUACAAAGCUUGUGAAAAUAGGAAAGGAGAUUGUAAAGAAAUGUAAUGGAUUGCCUCUUGCAGCGAAAGCAUUGGGAGGUUUAAUGAGCUCAAGGAAUGAAGAAGAGGAAUGGCUUGAAAUUAAAGAUAGCGAGCUUUGGGCCUUGCCACAAGAAAUUUUGCCUGCUUUGAGGUUGAGUUACUUUUAUUUAACACCAACUCUAAAACAAUGUUUCUCUUUUUGUGCUAUAUUUCCCAAAGAUGGAGAAAUCCUGAAGGAAGAAUUGAUUCAGCUCUGAAUGGCUAAUGGAUUUAUUGCAAAGAGGAAAUUAGAGGUUGAAGAUGUUGGAAACAUGGUUUGGAAGGAAUUGUACCAAAAAUCAUUUUUUCAAGACAGCAAAAUGGAUGAAUAUUCUGGAGACAUUUCUUUCAAGAUGCAUGAUCUUGUCCAUGAUCUCGCUCAAUCAGUAAUGGGGCCAGAAUGUAUGUAUUUGGAGAACAAAAACAUGACCAGUUUGUCAAAAAGCACACACCACAUUGGUUUUGACUACAAAGACUUGUUAUCCUUUGAUAAGAAUGCUUUCAAAAAAGUUGAAUCCUUGAGAACAUUGUUUCAGUUGAGUUAUUAUGCCAAAAAAAAACAUGAUAACUUCCCAACAUACCUUUCUCUUCGGGUUUUAUGCACAUCCUUUAUCCGGAUGCCAUCACUAGGGAGUUUAAUUCAUUUAAGGUAUUUGGAACUUCGUUCUCUUGACAUCAAAAAUUUGCCUGACUCAAUUUACAACCUAAAAAAGCUGGAAAUCUUGAAAAUAAAACAUUGUCGUAAACUGAGUUGUCUCCCAAAACACUUGGCUUGCUUACAAAAUCUUAGACAUAUAGUCAUUAAAGAAUGUCGGUCUUUGUCUCUCAUGUUUCCUAACAUUGGAAAAUUAACUUGUCUAAGAACAUUAAGUGUGUAUAUUGUUAGUUUAGAGAAAGGGAAUAGCUUGACAGAGUUACGUGAUCUAAACCUCGGUGGAAAACUGAGUAUCCAACACUUAAACAAUGUUGGCAGUUUAUCUGAAGCUGAAGCGGCUAAUUUGAUGGGUAAAAAAGACCUUCAUGAAUUAUGCUUGUCAUGGAUAUCCCAACAUGAAUCUAUAAUUAGUGCUGAGCAAGUACUUGAAGUGCUUCAACCUCACUCAAAUCUCAAGUGCUUGAAAAUAAGUUUCUAUGAGGGAUUAUCCUUACCAAGUUGGAUAAUUCUUCUUAGUAAUUUAAUUUCUCUUGAACUUCGGAAUUGCAACAAAAUUGUGCGGCUUCCGUUACUUGGUAAACUACCAUAUCUAAAAAAACUGGAAUUAUUCGAAAUGGAUAAUCUGAAAUACUUGGAUGAUGAUGAAUCUGAGGAUGGUAUGGAGGUGAGGGUUUUCCCAUCUCUAGAGGUACUCCAAUUAUCUUGUCUACCAAACAUAGAGGGGUUAUUGAAAGUGGAAAGAGGGGAGAUGUUUCCUUGUCUUUCUAGUUUGGAUAUCUGGAAAUGCCCUAAACUUGGACUGCCAUGUCUUCCAUCUCUUAAAGACCUCUUUGUAUGGGAAUGUAACAAUGAGUUACUGAGGUCAAUCUCUACCUUCCGUGGUCUUACUCAGCUUAAACUAAUUCACGGUUUCGGAAUAACAUCCUUCCCAGAGGGGAUGUUCAAAAACCUUACUUCUCUUCAAUCUCUGUCUGUAAAUAGUUUCCCACAAUUGGAGUCCUUACCAGAGACAAAUUGGGAAGGUCUUCAAUCCCUUCGAUUUCUAAAGAUUCAUAGAUGUGAAGGAUUGCGAUGCUUGCCGGAGGGUAUUCGACACCUCACUUCUCUUGAGGUUUUGAAUAUUUAUAAAUGUCCAACAUUAGAGGAACGAUGCAAAGAGGGAACAGGGGAGGAUUGGGACAAGAUAGCUCAUAUUCCAAAAAGAGUGAUUUUUUAGAAUGAAGAAGGGCAGAGACGUUUACCCUUAUCUGCCUCAAUCACCAUCGCAAAAAUCAAUUUUACUGGUAGGAUCUCUAUUUCCCCCUAAAAUACACCCUUCUUAUGUUUGGAUUUUAAGUGAUUAAUUUACUCGAAUUUUAUUAAAAAAUCGUUAUAUAUUCUCAUUAUAGGAUGAUUUGCAGGCUUUUCUGUUGAGUUCUUUUGAACGCAUCCCCCAAAAGAUAUAUGUUCUAAUAUUCUAAUUCAGGUAAUUUUCUUCAUCAUAGUUUAUUUAUUUUUUUAAUUUCCUUUUUGAUUUUUGAUUUCAUUUUUAAUUUUGCUGAUUUCGUGGAGAUUGAAUUGAAUGGUUAGGAUUGCUUUCGACACACAGGGAUGGGGUCGACAGAUAAAUGGAUUAACCGGAACAAACGUACCUAAUGAUGAAGAGAACAUCUUUUGGAGUGGAGGAGGUGACAACGAGUCCAGUCGUGGCAUCGAGGAUUGCGAUUUUGAUUAUCAGGGUGUGGGUAGGAGCUCAAUGCCCAUUAGCGAGUCUGAUCAUCAAGGUUUAUUCCAUUUUUAUAAGUUUUUGUUGGUCUUCUUUAUUUAAGUUAUAUGUUGUUUGGCUUCCUCUUUGCUUAGUUUUGAUAAUAAUUUGCAGAAAUAAAAGUUUUUGAAUGUAAUUAUAUGGGUUGGUGUCAUAUCAGUAUCUAAACAUCAGACAUGUCAUCGAUGUGAAGUUUUGAGUAUAGGUGAAUGAUUGUUUGGUGCAGAACAAAGGUUGCAAUUACUUUGAUGGAUCAUUUAGGUUCGAAAAAGGCUCAUGUUUUUGGGCACUCAAUGGGUUUCUAUUUUGUGUGUUUUUUUGUCUGUUUUACUUUUUGAUUUAGUUAAAAUUCAGAUGGUCUGUCCUACGAUUUGGUUAGGUUAAGUUUUUUUGUUUGUGUUUAUUUUUAAAUAUGUUUGCCUAUUGAAACAGGAUCUAUGAUAGUUUGUAAAAUAGCAGCAACAGUUCUUGAUAGAGUUCUCUCCUUGGCUUUGCUAAAUGCAAUGAGUGGAGGUUUUCAAUGUUUUCCAGAGGUAUUGUCCCUUUCAUAAUUCUAUGAAAUGUUUUGAUUUAUUUUUACAGCACUAUGAUUAGAGCAUUGAUGACGCAAUUUUGUAAGACUUUUUGAAUAGAAACUUAGUUUAGGAUGAGUGGACUUGCAUACAUAAUAAGUAUAAUUUCUUAGUACUGAUUUUAGUUGAUCCUUUAGGAGAAAUUUAGUUGAGAAUUAUCUUUCUAUGGUUUAAGUCAGAAUUUUGUUAAGAAUUUCGUAGUACUGAAAUUUUGCUGGUACGUUAUUUGCAGAUUUUUAAGGAAUAUUGACGGGUGUCGAUGCAUGCACCAAACUCUUUGGCCAACCUGUGAAGGAUUAAACUUUUUCUUGGUUGCAUAUUUGAUCUCUAGGUAUUUCUUAAGACAGUUAUCUAGACGAACCUAUAUUGUAUGCUAGUUUUAUCUCUUCUCUGGAUCGUCUUAUCACCAUAUAUUACUUUCUAAUUUAAAUUUCUAUAUGCAGGAAUCACUUGCUUUCUCAGUUUCUAUGUGUAAUGUCUAUGGGUAAAAUUAUCAUCGACAGAACAGCAACUCCAGCAUUUUGUCACAGGCAACCUAUUAUGCUGUGUUUGUUAAUGUUACAAAUAAAAAUUCUUGGUUCAUGCUAUUAGCCAGGUGUGUAUACAGCUCUUCAUUAGGAAGGUGUCAUUGUAUUCAUGAUUCUAGUUUGACUUGGAUAUUCAUGUUAUUUAAUUAUGUUUGUGUCUGAUAGACAUGUUGUGGAAAAUAUGGAGAAGAUCUACAAAGAAAGUUUUUACGAUUUCUGAAGUUCCCCAUGAGUUGAUUGAGCUUCUACAAAAUACAACACAAUUAUGCAUUUAUUUGAAACUUCAUUCUGCGAUUUUGGUAAAAGUUCACUUGACUCCGUAUCUCAAAAUAUUCAGCUUUUCGUGGAUGAUCCAGAUGUUUGAUCACGUAAAGGUAAACCUGGGCCAUUCUUCAGUUCCUAUAAUAUUUUAACACAUAUUGUUUGUUUUCAUUUUAAAUUCAUAUAUUCAUGAAAACAUGCAGGCGAUGAUGGUCUUUCAUGUAUGAGAUGUUUAUGGAAGAGUUGGCAUUUCAAGUUUAAUCAGCCUAAACACCAAUAUUCAGAAUUGGCGAUUUUCUUAAGCAUAUUUUUGGAGUAAAGUUUGCUGCAGAAGUUUUCAAUUUCAGUUAACUGAUAGAUCUUUGCCUGUAAUGGUUGUAGAAGAUUGAGAUGCUUUCCUUAGGGUACUCGAAACCACACCUCACUUCUCUCGAGGUUCUGAAUAUUCAUCAUUCUCCAACAUUAAAGGAGCGAUGCAAGAAGGAGACAUGGGAGGAUCGGGACAAGAUAUCUCAUAUUCCGGAAUUACGCAGUUGAUUUGGUGUUUCUGCUUCUGGCUUGCCACAUUUCCACCUGAAUUGGUAGGCUCUCUAAUCUCCCUCCGUCUUUAUUUCUAUUGACUGUGUUUCUUACAGGGCAGUAACAAUUUCUUGGUAGUCUCUUUGUAGGAUAUGCCUCUCAUGUCUCUUGACUUUGGUUUCCUUGUUAUGCGACUUUAUCUUUUGGCUAUCAUAGGUAAGUUUGGAUUAUCUUAUUUCCUUACUUCUUAUCAGUGCAGUAACAUGUCCUGAAUAUCCUUUUUUUAUUUCGGGCAUUGAAAUAUAUAAUGGCAUGUUUAGCCAUUACGAAUUUAUCACUGUAACAAUAUUUCUCAACAUUUUGAAAAGGCUUGCCUCCAUUAGGGCUAUUUAGGUUGUUGGCUUCUUGAUUUUGAUGACUGACUGUAAUUUCUAGUCAGAACAAUUACUUGAAGCUUUUUGUUUGUCUCUUGAACAUCUUUAUGCCGAGCUGUCUGAUAUCAAAUAUGCCACAUUGAAUACACAUUCCAUUGAACCACAUGCUUGGAUUUUAUGCUCUCAAUUGAAUGGAUUUUCAUUCAAAACAUUGUUGCAUUCGUUGGAGUGAUUUUCAGGCUUUUGUUGAAUUCGUUGGAACCCUUUCCGAAGAAUGAGUACUGGAGAGCAUGAAAGAUCUUUCAUUGUUAAACCUUAGGGGAAAUAUACAAAUAAUCGCGCAGGUAAUGUAUUAGGACUUAUGUAUUCUUAUCAUAAUAAGCCUUUUCAUUUUGAGCAGCAAGUUGUUGAUCCUGAUAUUCACUUCAAUUACAUUAAAGUAGCUGCUAAAACUGGACAAAUUAAGGUGUAGAGAAUGUAACAUGGGAAUCGAUUAAUGUUUUAUUUAGAUGACAAAGAACUGUAUGAUGAAAGCCAAGCUUCCGGAUAUUUACUUCAAAUACGUUGAAAGGUAAAGUUUUUGGUUGCGGUUGUAUUUAAUUUAGAAUCAUUCUUUGACAAUCUUAAAUGUCCAUUUUUCUAAGAUUAUAUUUCUUGCUUCUAGGUCAAUCGAACAAAUUCUGCUAUAGUUGUCGGGAAAUUGUUAGAUGAUGAAUACUUUGAGCUCAUUCUCUUGUUCCCAUUGAACCAUUGGUUAAAGAAUGUGAGAAGAGCUAAUUUUCUCUCUUCCCUGCAUGUGCUGGAAUCACUUGCUUAUUACACUGUUGUUGGAACAUAUAUUGAGUGAGGGAAGCAAAGACAUUAGUUGAUUGAGCUUCUUCAACAGAUAGUGCUGCACAGUUCUCCCUUUGGUUGAAGCUUCAAUUUGCUUUCUUAUGUAAAUUAAGUUAUAAGAUAGCAACUUUUUGUCAGAAAAUUCUGCUCUAUAUAUUAACAUGAAACAAUUUACUUUCAUUCACAUGAUGUAUCGGAGUUUACAGUCUCAUUAUUGUUUCAAUUAUUGUUAGUUAACCAUUUAUGUAUUUGGAUUUACACUGUAAUUUACUUUCGUUCACAUGAUAUAUUUGGCUUGUUCUUAUUCAUACCAAAAAAAAAUGGAUCAGUUUAGUUUACCAUCUUUUUAUUUGUAGCAUCUUUUUAUAUAACUUAUAAUAGCGUUUGAACUUAUAAAAUACUAUUUUUCGUUUAUUUAUACCCUUAUUAUCUUAUUGUGAAAAGAAUAUAUUAAUUAAAAAAAUAUCCUUUCAUAUUUCUUUUUUUUUUUUUACAAAAUUGUCAUUUUAUAUUUUUUUUAGUUAGUUCAACGGUUAAUUUUAUCACAUACUUCAAAUAAAAUCAAUAAGUUUAUCUUUUUUUUUUGUUGACAAAACUAGUUUAUCUGUUAUUAAAUUGCUUAUCUAUUAACCGCUAUAAACUCAUCAUAGAGCACCUAGAUAUCAACCACCGGCUAGUUUUUACCAAAUAGAGCAUUAGUUUUUUUUUUUUAAGAAGUUAAAAUGAAAUUUUUCAAAACGCAAAGAAUCCUAACUAGCACGAGAAAUACUAAGCUAUGAGACUUAAAUAGCAACAUACAAAGAAAAAGUGUGCCAUACGCGAAACACUCAAACAAACACUCAUAUAUCAAAUACAAACGUCUACAAACAAACCAAAAACACCCUCCACUAAGGGCCUCCGAAACCAAUAAAAACUAAACACCAAAACCAUAAAGUCAUCUCCCAAAAACAAACUCUAAACGCCCUCUAAAAUAACCUUCAAACCUACCAAAAAAUCGUGCAACCGUACCUUGCUUCUCUUCUGCAGUUGAGCGCAAUUAAGCACGGGUUGAUUAUAUAUCUCACACUACGUGUUGCGGGUUGAAUGUCCACGCCCUUGUGGUGCAUACUUGCAGGUUGAUGACGCAUAUUUGCCGUGAGUUUUUCAAGGAUGGAUUUGGUGCCUACUCGUAUUUUACCGCUUACUUUUGGAGUCUUGUUUAGUGGUGCUGUGAUUAAGACGGUGUGGGGUUUUUAUGUUAUUAUUGUUUUAUUGGUGGAACCUUUGCGUUCAUUUUGAUGAUGUAUCUUGAGAUAUGAUAUUUACUCUAUGUUGUUGAGAUUUUAUUUUUCUCCAUCAUACCAAGAACCAAUGAUACAAAAUAUAAGGAAACUCGCAUCUAUGUUGUUCCUCGUUCUAUUUGUCAGCCAGAUCACUAUCAUGAACUGAGAUAAUUUAACCUACACUCAGGGGCGGAGCCACCCCCCAGCUAGCCUGGGCUAGUGCCCAGGCUCGGCUCCAACUUUCUUUGUAGCAAGCCCAACUAUUACUAGAAUUUUUAGCUUUUUCUGCGGAUUUUUGUGUAAAUUCCGCAGGAAACACAUUUCCUGCAGAUUUUGCCAAGGAUUUAGGUUCCGCAGGAAAGAUAUAUCCGUAGGAAAUGUGAAAUUAUCUGCAGAAAAUGUGAAAUUAUUUGCAGGAAGAAAGCAACGUUUUGCGAUAAAUUUUUUGCCCAGACUCUGUAAAAUUCCUGGCUCCACCACUACCUACACUGGUUGCACAAAAAUUGUUCCAACAACAAUAUGAGGUAUAGAUUCCUCAAGAUUAAUUAUAUCUCCCACAUGAGGAGUAGUUACCUUUUCUUUAGAACUUAUUAUAUCAAUAAAAACAAGAACCUUUCAACAUGCAUAAUUGAUAGUUUCGUACCCCAAUUUUUGACCUAGGAACCUACAUUCAUACACCGUCUGACUCAGAAUAUUCUCUGGUUUUUCAAAAAAAAUCGGCAGAAAAGUAUUUUAAAAUACCUCAUCUUUGUACCGAUUCCGACCCCUCUUCUCACUUUUUUAUCUUUUUUAUUUUCUUAGUCUUUUAGUUUUAUCUUACCUUUUAUUUUCCAUCUUUUAAUUUUAUUUUACUUUACAUAAUUUAUUUUAAUUUGUUUUUAUUUUAUUUCGUAUUAGAUUUAUUUUAUUUAUUUCUUUUUUAAUUAAUUAGUGUCCAAAAAAAAAAACAAAGUGUCAAUAGGUCCAAAAAUAAAAUGUCCAAGGUCUAAAAAAAAAUUCAAGUCAAGUGUCAACUUUAACAUUCCUUUUUCAAAAUUCACCAUAAUUGUUCAUCAUUUCCAUUAAACCAAUUUUUCAUUUUUCAUCAACCUCCUCACCUAUAAAUAGAGCCCUUAUUCCACACAAUUUCACACACCAAAAGUUCUCUUGAGUUGUCAAAGAACUUUUCUCUCUUCUCCCUACUUAGCUUGUGUUGACGAGCUAUUCUUUUCUUCUCCCUCUUUUUUCUGCCCCUUCGGAAUUUUGUCCCUUCGGUAAUUUUGUCCCUUUGAAAUUUUGUCCCUUCGGUAAUUUUGUCCCUUCGAAUGUCCCUUUCUUUUAUUUUAUUUUAUUUAUUCCCCUUUUAUAUAUAUUUAAAAAAAUGCAAAAAAUAUUAGGUUAGAAAAGGGUUUUUCGUGGUGAUCCAACGUCACUACGAAAAUUCCUCGUGCUUUUAUUUUCUUGUUACGUUAGUUUACUUUUAAUUUUUUAAUUAAUAUCAAAAACAAGAAAAACAUUCAAAUAAUCAAAAAUCACAAAAUAUUUUCAUAAUAAACCUUGAUUUUCAAUCAAGUGGUCGUUCUUUUUAUUUUCUUUCUUAAUCAAACUUCAAAUCAAUUUUAAUUCUACUUUGAGUCAUUUUUCUUUCAAUAUAAAAAACACGAACAAAUUCUUUUUGACACUUGGCUUUUCUCUUUAAAACUUUUUUCAAAACUAAUAAAAACCACAAAACCAAUCAAACGUCAAUUUCUACCCCGAACUACGAGGUUUUGAUCCCUUACGGGUACGUAGGCAAAGGACCAUGUCCUUCCAAAUCAAUAAAAAAAUGUAAAUAAAAAUGUUCCUUUUCCUUUUAUCACUUUAAUUCCUUCUUUUAGAAAGCAAGCAAGUUUAAGCACAAAAAGUUAAAUAAAAUCAAGAGGUUCUCGUAGAGUACUACGAAUAUUUAGGGUGCUAACACCUUCCCUAAAUAUAACCAACCCCUGAACCCUUAAUCUUUAAAAAUGUGGUAUUUAAACCUUUUUCCACUUUCUUUUGAAAAAAUUAAAAGUUCAGUCGCGAAAUAAAAAAUGAGUCAAAACUAAUCAAAUAGCUUGACCUCCGAAAAAUUACACGAGAGAUAGGAACUAGACUUGUAAGAAGUGUGGUGUCACUUCAUCAAUUUUCUCAGCUUUAGUAUUUAAUGUGGUAAGCUCAGAAAAUGUCUUCACUUUGUGUUACUUGUGCACAACUACUGAACUUGCAGAAAUAAUUUUUUAGAGUCUUAAUAUUUUUAAUUCUUAUAAGAUUAUCCAAUUAUCUUACAUGAGUUGCAGAAAGGUGGAAUUUUCGCAUGCUCAACAUCCACAUAAAAAUCAAAUUCAUUCCUUUUCAACAAAAAUUCAUUCACGCGAAUUCAAAAUUUAAAUCAACAUAUAUAUAUUAACACUCGUGCAAAGUGGCUGAUUUCCUCAUAAUAGUUGCCUCAUCAAAAGUCAAAGGAAUGUCGAAAACCCCCUAGAUUUUCAAACAAAAUUUUAGCGUCUAACAUUCGCGAGUAAGUCCAUAAAUGUGUACUAUCCAUAGUUAGGUCUUAGUUUGGUGCACUAUUUAAGGAUUAAACCCAAUAGUCCAAACUAUAUUCUAAGUAAACCUGGUGAAAGGUUCCAGGAUCAUAUGGUUCUUACAAGACAUAAAUUACACCAUGGAUUAGAGAGCACUUUUUUUUCCACAACCUUAAGAUUCUUCCAUUCAAUUCUAGCAUGAAAGCUAGGGAAAACCCCUUUGGAAAAAGUGAACCGUUUGUGGAUAUUUUGACAAUCUAGAACACCUUUGACCCAUGAGAACUCUUCGCUGAUCUAUCAUUUGAAGAUCUGAAAUAAAAGCUCACUUUCUUCGAUUCCCACAAUAUUUCACACAAAAAUUCAUAUAUAACUUCCAUAUAUUUUUUCUUUAUACAAACUCAAUAUGAAAUUCCCCGAAUGGAUUUUCCAUUUCCAUAAAGAAUAUAAUUGACAACUUUGAGUUCCAGAUUAUCCCUUUCCUGGAAUAGAUCUCGGGGAAAAAGUUUUACAAAAUCGAUAUUGUCCGAUAUUUCAUAUAAAAUUACAGGUCGAACCAAAAAAAAAUAUUUUUUCUUGGUAGUUGCGAUCCAUUGGACACAGAUAUAUUGCACUAAUCAAAGCUUUUAGGUGCCUCUUUUUACCACAUCAUUCAAUAACUUUGUAAUAUUAUAACUCACAAUAUUCAUAUGGGUCUUGGUAACCAGUGCCCUAAGGGCAAUGGUUAAGGAUUCCAUUAAUAGAAAUUUUGUCUUGGAAAUACAAGUCUUUACUUUUUUCUUAGCAAUAAUUACACCACUUUUCGAUACAAAUAUAUUUAUUUUAGUACUUUAACCAAUACCUCAAAUGCAAUGGUUAGAAUUCUCCUAUUCUUAUUUCACAAUCUACUAUUAUUAACCAAACAUCACAAUCCACACUCCAGCCUUUAAUUUCACCCUUUUUUAAGAUACUAUUAUAUGUUUUCUCCAUAGCCACAAUUGCCUUCAUUGUCUCCCCAUUUGGUCAAAAUAAAAUCUUCGUUGUAGAGAUAAAAACACGAUUAAGAUUGUUUUUAAUAUGUAUGGUUCAUGAUUGCUUCACAUAAGUUUGGUAUAUUUAUUACAAAAUUAAGACCAUCUAUAAUAGGGGUUCUUCCCCUUUUUAGCGUCAAGCUAACUAAACACCCCAAUUAUAACAUCAAUUAAUUGGGUGCCUAUAGAGAUGGAUGUUUUUAUAGGCACCAUCUCUCCCAUAUUACAUGUGGGUCCCACAUAUAUAAUUAAUUGUAAUUUUUUUCUCUAUUCAAUUAUUAAUUAUUUUAAUAGUAACAAAAUAAAUUAAAUAAUACUUAUAAGUCUUAUAUUUAAUCGAUUAACUUUUUGAAUUUUCAAUGAAAGACUUUUACUACAUCAAAUAAUUCAUUCAUCUUAAAGUUAAAAAAUUGAAAUCAAGCUGAUGUAAUUUAUUAUAAUUUGAUUUUUUUUCAAGUUUAAUUUUUUUGAAUUAUUAAUAAAAUUAAAAAAUUCACUUUUUUAUUGUUUAUAAUGAAAUUAAUUCAAUAUUUAAAAAUUAUAUAAUUAUGAGUGAAUAUAUAAAUUAUUGUUAAAAUUUAAUGAUAUAUAGUUAUUACUUAGACUCAUUUAAUAAUUUAUUUCGGGUGCUACGUUGGAGAGAUUAUGUGUUUAUUAUAUAUUAAUUACGAAAUGAGUGAUGUGUACAGUCGGGACCCGUUUAAGCACCCAAACGAGGUGCUGCAUUGUGGAAGGUCUUAGUUUAUUAUAAAUAUGGUUUCAUAAUAAAUGUAGAAGUUUCUUUAAGAAAAAAUAAGUACAAAAUUUUAAAUAUUGUUUCUUUUAACAAAAACAUUAAAGACUCAUAAGUGAAUGAAAACAGGAAAAUUUGGUAACACUUGUAUAUUAAUUGGUUAUCUAGACAGAUCAAUCUAUUAACUCCUCCUAUUUGAUUACUUCAUUACAUUAAUCGAUUAAUUGUCAUAAAAAAAGUUCUAAACUAUUCUAGCCAUCUCAUAUUGAUGUUCAGAUGUCUAAACAUUUAACAAUUAGAACAAUUGACCAACAAAACUAAUACAUAAAUAAUCAGAGCUUUGGGGUAUUACAUUUCUAAUUUCAAUCACUUAAAUCAAGUUUUCAUACUUUUCUAGUCAAGUAAAUUUAAUCAAUAUAAUAAUACAAUUAUAUUCAAUUGCUAAUUUGAAUGUUCUUUUUAACUUAUAAUUUUUAUGUGUCUAGAACAUCAAGACAUGAACAACAAUUUUUUUCUUCAAAAAUAUAAUUUAACGUGAUAGAAUUGAAAACUUAUUUUAUCAUAUGCAAGUAUUGGAAAAGGGAAAAAAACAUUUAUCUAACAACUAAGGCUUAAUACAUCAUCUGAUCCCCUAACUUGUUUUAUUUUUUCAGUGUGGUCCCUCAACUAUUAAGUGUGUCAAUUUGGUCUCAUAAGUCUUCCUCCAUUUACUUAGUUGGUCCAUUUUGUUAAGUUUUUUUCAAAAAACGUUAUGUUUGCACAUGUGACUCUCCACAUUGGCAUAACCCUUACAAUUCGGAGAAGAUAGAGAGAGAAUGAAGAAAACGUAUAGAGAGAAAGGAGAAGAAAACGCAGAGAUAGAAGAAGAAGAAACGAAAGGAAAAAGAAAGGAAAGCUUAGAAACGAAGACGAAUCUUCAACUCGGAUCCAAUUCUAGGUUUGUUUCCUCAUCUUCGUUGUGAAUCACAAGUAGAAAAAGUAUUUUUGUUCUGAUUAGGGUUUUGAAAACUUUCUAGGGUUUUGGAAAAUUUUAUAGGGUUUUGAAAUUUGAAUGAUUUUUUUUACCUUUUAAGGUUCUGUAUGCAUGAAUUUGGAUAUUCUAUUAUUAUUUUUCUUCUUAAAAGUUGAUUUUUGUCUGUUGUGUUGGAUUUUAUGCAUACAUUUGAUUAGGGUUUAUUCCUUUCUUUCCUUAAUGGCUCAGAAGAGAUGGACCAAAUCUUUGAGUGUGUCAUACAUCAUGUUGGGGACUUUUGUAGUUUUAUGGACUUUGAGUAUGUAGGUCCAGAAGAAGUACUAGAAUGUGACCCAAAUUAUUUCUCCUAUUUUGCAUUAUUAACAACAUUAAAAAGAUUAGGUUACCAAACUCUUCAAUCUCUGUGGUAUUAUGAUCCUGCUUUGGAAGAUGGAAUGAUUGUUUUGAAUAGUGAUAAUGGUUGUAGAAGGAUGCAGAAUAUUGCACAUCAAUUUGAUAGGGUCCAUUUGUAUGUUGUUCACCUAUGUCACAACCUGAAAUUGUAGUUCUUAACCCAUUGAUAAAAUAUCCUUGUAUGGCCCCACCUGUUAGGAAUGAGACAAAUGAAGGUCGCACUAGUUUAGGUCCCACUCGUGAGGGUUGAAAUGAUGAUGGUGGUGUAAGUGGUGUAGGUCCCACUGCUGAUGGUACAAAUGGACGUGGUUUUGCAAACUAAAAUUGUUACUAAUACCAACUCAACCCAAUCCUAAGAUUUUUAAAAUUGUUCCUAACAACUGAUAACUAACUAUAGUCGUUUUUUAAAAAAAAAAAAAAAAAAAAAAGAUAUCAUAAGAUAAACUAUCUUGAUUUUUUUGGGUUGCAUAAGAUAACAAUUAAUCAUGUACAUAAAAUAUGACACUAUGUGAUAAUUUAUUAUCAGAUGAUCAUCAAACACAUGACAUCAUACACACUUACUUUUAUAAUAUUUAUCUUGACUUAUCUCUUAUUAUAUCUAUAAUUAUCCUGAUCAUCAAAUUGACCAAAAAUAAAAUUUAAAAACCAACAAUGAAUAUAAAUUAUGUAAUUGAAUAAAAAGUAUAUGCAAAAACAUUAAUUUAUCAAAUCAGUUUAAAAAUAUAUAUAUAUUAAUCAAAUCACCAUCAAAUAUUAUUGUGACAUUUUUUUUUUGUCAAAAAUAUUAUUAUGACAUUGUUUUCUUAUUUUAAGCAUAUAUCAAUUAUCAAAACAAAUAUUCGUAAAUGUUCAAACAUCAAAUUUUUUUCUUUCUAGUUUCCAAUCUAAACCGCCCUCUUUUAUCACAUCCCAUUUACUACAUCAAUGCUUUAAUUAAUUUUAUUUCUUCAUUAAAUAUUCAAUCUACGUCCUCGUAAGCAUACCUCAAUUGGUAGAGACAUGCAUUGUUAUAUGCAGGCGCUGCGGUUCGAACCCCAAACACCACACUUAUUCACUUUAAAAAAAGUGAAUUAUAACCAAUAAACUACCUGACAAAAAAAGAAUAUAUUCCAUCUACACAAAAUAAAAACAAAAUCUUUUCCUUUAGUCUCAAAAAGUACGUUAGAGUUUAUAGUAGGGUAGGGUCCACUCUCAAAACGGCGUCGCCUAUACGCUGCACCCUCACACACUGGACCACACUCUAUAAUAAGCCGUUAAACUGAAACAAAAAUAACAUGAGGAAAGGAACAUGGUUAUUAAACAGUUCCAUCAAAACACAUAAGUAACGUGCAUGGUUUUUGUACACGUGGACCAAUCACAACAAAGCUCAGAAUCCUUAUUAUUAUGUUAUGUUGAAGUGAUCAAACUUCAACACUCUCAUAAAACAGAACUGAACUGAAACAAAACACAGAAAGAGAGAGAAACAGAAAAAUAAUCUAAGUUUUUUUUCGAUGGAUUAACGUUGUGGUUUUUGUCGUUUCCUUUGAUUCUGUGUUUUUUUCAUUGUUUUCUUGAAAAAGGGUACGUAUGAAUCACAGUUUCUUCUGCAUUGAUAAGUUUUUUCUUUCUUUCUGAAUUUUCUUACAUCAAUCAUCAAUGGAGGUUGAUGGUGAUAAGAGUGAUAAUGGAAAUCGAAAAAGGAAAAGAAGAUUUUUGAAGAGAAAGCUUCUUGUCAAUGAAAAAGUUGAGGUAAUGUAAUAUGAUUUGUGAUUUCGGUUUUUUCUUCUUCAUUUUUGAUAAAGAUUUUAUUUUUAUUUGGUUAUGAAUUUCUGGGUUGUUGAUUUUGUUUUUGGUUUUGUGAUUUGAUGUUCUUAGGGUUUCUUUGAGGUUUUUUUUUACACAAUUGUUAUGAUUCUUUUGUAUCAAGAAUUUUCUUUGUUUCUCUGUUUAUGAUCCUUUGAUUUUCUUGUAAUUCUGUUGUUGAUUUAUGGUUUCGGUGGAUUUUGAUGUUACUCAUCUAUGAUUUUUGUUUUCAUAAUUCUCAUUUUCUUAAAUUGUUUUGAUUUUUCUUGUUUUACGCUGUUUUAGAUUUCAUGCAAGUGAUGAAUUGGGAAUAGGAUAAAUGCUGUUUAUGGUAAUGUGGACUAAAUGUUAUUUCCUUUAUCAACACUUUUGCAUUUUUUUAACAAUUGUUUUUUGAUUUGAGAUACAUGCAUGUUGUGUGAAUGGUGAUUUCCUUCAUCUGAAAUUUCCACUUGAAAGAAUUUUUUAUGAAAAGUUUAUUUUUUUUAAUUUUUCAGUUGAGAAGUUUGGAAGAUGGUUUUCUGGGAUCGUGGCAUCCGGGGAAAAUUCUCCGCUGCGGGAGGAAGACGCGUUAUGUCAAAUACGACAAUAUUCUUGAUGAUGAAGAAUCGGAUUAUCUUAUUGAAGUGGUGGAUGUUUCUAGUGUUUUGGAUGGUGUUAAUUCUUCAUCUGCUUUAGAUUGUAGCUAUCAGCGAGGCCUGAUUAGACCAUUACCGCCUCCAAUUGAGUUACUGAUAAAGGAUCUUCCAUUCGGACAAUGUGUUGAUGUGAAAUAUCAGGAUGCUUGGUGGGAAGGUGUGAUAUUCGAUCGCUGCAAUGGAAUGAAGGAUAGGAGCAUAUUCUUCCCAGAUUUAGGUGAUGAAAUGAAGGUUGGAGUUAAACAAUUGAGGAUCACUCAGGAUUGGGAUGAGUCAACUGAGAAUUGGUUACCGAGAGGGAAAUGGGUGUUUCUCGAGUUGUUUGAGGAGUGUGAGAGGGUAUCCUAUGUUGCAGUCUCAGUGAAACAGAUUUGGUAUGAUAUUAGGAUGAGAAAGGAUUUUGCUGAAACCAUUAGAGAAUGGACUUGUAAUGUGAAGGAGUUGUGGAGAGACCUUGUUGUUGAGGUAAUUGGUGAUUACUAUACCCUCACAUUAAGCGAAGUUCGCCCUGCCUUAAACAUUCCAAACAAUUUACUCGAAGGAGAGUCAUUUGAACCAACUGAUAAUGUUCAGUGUGAGGCUACUAAUCAAGGUAAUGCAUUUGGUUCUGACAUUGGAAUAUCUGAUAAGCCUGAGGAAAACGCUGACUCCUUAAACUUGUUGGUUACUGAUCAAAACUGUGGCAGCACAAGCAUCAUUCCUUUGGUGGAUGAGGAAUUUGAGAAGGAAAAUCUUUUACAUGAAGAGCUUGAAUCAGAUAAAAGUCAAAUGGUGGAUGUGGAGUUUGAGAAGGAAAUUCUUUUACAUGAAGAGCUUGAAUCAGAUAAAAAUCAAAUGGUGGAUGUGGAAUUUGAGAAGGACAUUCUUUUACAUGAAGAGCUUGAAUCAGAUAAAAAUCGAAAACGGAGACGUUCUAAGUCCAUAAUUUGGAAGCCAUUGGAACUGUCUGAAGUUGAAUUCUGUCCUGAAGUUAUUGAUGAGUAUGCACUUGGAUGUAGGAGCAAGACGGUUCGGGAGCUUUUGAAGACGAAAGUAAGAAAACAUCUUGUUUAUCUUGGAUGGACAAUUGAAUGGACCGAAAACAAUACUCCUCCACAUAGACGAUACCGGUACAAGUCUCCGGAUAAACUUAAUCCAAAGUUUUACACUUCCAUUUUUCAAGUUACUAAAAUUUUGCAAGAGGAUCCUAACAUGAACUCUGGGCCACCUCAAAUUGACAGCAAUCUUUCACAUCUGCUCUCUGAUCCACCCCAAAUGAGUCAAGGUUUCAACGUUUGUCCUCCAACCAAUGAACCUUCUCCAGUUAAAUUUCAAGUUGAACCAGAAUUUUGUCCUCUAGCCAUCGUGAAAUACUACUGUCACUCAUUAGAGAGAAACUCGUCUGAUAAGAGAAAGUGGAAAUUGAAGGCGAAAAAACAUCUGUUAUCAGAAGGAUGGAUGUUUGACUACCCAACUGAAAGAAGGAAGACUACUUUGUACAAGUCUCCACAAGAUCAGUGUUUAGGCACACUUCAAGGUGCAUGCAGACUAUACCUUAAAGAAAAGAUUCCCGAAUGGACUAAUUCUGAUCAUGGUGAUGAUGAUGAUCUACUUUCGAGUGUGUCCCAAUUGCUUCAAAAAGAGCCUGAAUUACGUACUAUAGAUGGUUCACCACCAACUGCAAAGAGAAACCAUAAACGCGCAAGGACUUCAAAGGCUAGCACACAAAAGGACUUAGAGAGUGAAGUACUUACCCGGGUGCUAAGAUCAAGCAAAAGGGUGCAGAAGGUUUUGGGUUCGUCAUAUCAAAAGCCUCAAAAUAUUCUGUCUUGGUUAAUAGAUUGCAACAUUGUGUUGCCAAAGUACAAGGUCUUUUACUGGGAAACCGAAGGAGGAAACUCUCCUAUGUUUGAAGGGAGGAUAACUCGCGAAGGAAUUAGGUGCACCUGUUGUCAGAAUCUAUAUGGACUCAGUGGCUUUGCAAACCAUGCUGGUGGAAGCAGUAACUGCAGGCCUUCGGCUUGUAUAUUUUUGAAGGAUGGUAGGUCACUGUUAGAUUGCAUGAUGGAAGUAAUGCAAGAUCACAGGACAAGAGAAAUUACGGAGAAACCGCACAAUGAUCUGUUUGAAGGUGAAAAUGACAACAUUUGUUCUGUUUGUAACUACGGUGGUGAACUCAUUUUAUGCGACCAAUGCCCCUCGGCGUAUCAUAAGAAUUGUCUUAAUUUGGAGGUAGAUUAUUAACAAGUUUCCUUUUCAAUCAAACAUAUUAAGUUCUAUCUUGUCGCUAUAUUUCCUUUCCUUUUUGUUUCCAUGUAACUCCUUCAAUUCAGUACUUCAUGCCAUAUUAAGUUUCAUUCUGCAUGUGAAGGGCAUCCCUGAUGGUGAUUGGUUUUGUCCAUCAUGCCGUUGCGGGAUUUGCGGCCAAAAUAAAAUUGAAGAGACUGAGGAUGGACACUUUCUUACUUGCAUUCAGUGUGAACAUAAAUGUGAGCUGAUAUAUAGAUUUUAUCCAAUAUUCCAUCCAUUCCUUUGUGAUGUGUUUUAGUUUGUGUGAAUAACUACAUAUUUUGACCAAUGAAAAAUUUGACCAAUGAAAAAUGUCUUCAACUCUGUAGAUCAUGUUGAGUGCCUCAGAAAUGGAGAAAAAGAUGAUUCAAGACGAUGUAUGAAAAAUUGGUUCUGUGGAGAAGAGUGUGAACGGGUAAGUUAAUUCCACCUCCCUUUUUUCUUCUAGUUUAGAAAUAUUUUCAUCUCAUUUUGCAUGAAGAAUUGGUUUCUGCUUCUAUUUAUUCUGAUUUGACAUUUGUUGGAAGCAUUACUUAACCAUUCUUUUUUUCUUUAUCAAAACUAACUACUCCACAUCCAAUUCAAACACUUAGCACUUUCUAGUCCAACAAUGAGCUCUUUAUUCAGAUCAUGGUUGCAUCUAUUAAUGGCUGUCAUUUAAUAGCUAAGUAGCAAGUCGACAAUGCAUGAUUUUUGGUGAUUGGUAAGUGUUAAGACAUCAAAAGCAAAACAGAUUUAAGUUUGAUGCUAGUGAAACAUUUAAGGCCUUGUAACUUAAAUAUACACUGCUAGAAUUAUGUUUUAUGACAAUGGUUUUACUCUACAUUUACGCGUAUGCACUUUUCGCAGGUCUAUACUGGGCUCCAGAAUCUAUUAGGAAAGCCAGUUUUAGUGGGGGCAGACAAUCUAACUUGGACAUUGGUGAAGUAUGUCAACUCUGAGACUUGCGGUGUUGGCGGUGCUGAAAGUGACUUAGUGGUGGAGAAUUACAGCAAACUGAGUGUUGCACUCUCGGUGAUGCAUGAAUGUUUUGAGCCCCUGCAUAACCCUUUCUCUAGCAGAGAUAUCGUGGAAGAUGUUAUAUUCAACCAAAGGUUAGACAUUCUUAUCCUUCAAUUUAUGUUUAUCAUUUUUUUUUAUGAUUGUUUGCAAACUUUGUUUGUCGCAUACUCACAAUUCAUGCAUAUAACAUCAUGAGUUGAACCUGCUGAAAUAGCUUUGCUUACCUUCAAUUUUGAGCCUUUUCCAUUACACCAUGGUGGUAAUAUUCAGGUAACAACUGAAAGUAAUCAAUUCUCUGAUCUACCAACUUUAUCAUCAAUAAAAAAUAAAAAUAAACAAACUCUACUAUUUUUAUACAAUACAUAGAUAUGUUAGAAUUUAGGAUUUCUUUUGUUGCAUAUAUAGUGUUAGGGCAAAGUUUGCGGCUUUACGUUUAUCAUGCAGGAUGGAAUUUCUUGGACCGUAACAUAUUUAUUUGAAGAUACUAAUAAAAACGUUUCCUUAUUUUAUGUACACAUUUCUUGUCGUCCAACUUAUCCUGCAAAAUCUAUGCCUAUAUAGAUGGCAUCAUGAUUAGUGUUUGAGGAGUAAACAAAGUAUUUCGGCUCAUGUUGAGUAUUUAUUGCGAUUUUGGUUAUUUGAUUCAAAUAUGAUUCUAAUGGAUAUAUCAUAUAGCUUUUAACUCCUUCUGUGCUUAGAUUUCUUUUUUUCGAUCAAACAAGAUGGCAUGCAAAAGUAUCACUAUAGGUUUUAAAUUCCAUCCAUGUUUGCACCUCGAAACCUUAGUUUUGAUUGUAUGUACAUCUUUGAGUCCAUUCACUGAUGGAUUUGUUACCAGGUUUACAUUGUUUGUAAUCAUGGUAUUUUACCUCUAACUUGACCGGCAUUAUUAUUACAUUCACUUUGCGCCAAUGCCUGAUGUAUGUACUUCGGAACCUCGUAGGUCUGAGCUCAAUCGACUAAACUUCCAGGGUUUCUAUACUGUACUUCUAGAGAGAAAUGAAGAAUUGAUUAGUGUGGCGACUGUGAGGUGAGUAUAGGAUCUGCUACUACUAAGAAUAAAUACAAUAACAGAUUAUGCAUGAUUCAGUGAUUGCAUUUCAAGUUUCCGUAACUUGGCAUUUCAUGUUUUAGGAUAUUUGGAGAGAAGAUAGCAGAAGUGCCCCUCGUAGGUACCAGAUUUCAGUACAGACGACUUGGAAUGUGCCGCGUUUUAAUGGAUGAGCUCGAAAAGGUGACAUAAAAAUCAUAAAGUUUGUCAUUUUAUCUGGUUGUUUUUGUGAACUAUAUUAAAUCAUCUUGAUAUGGCCUGUGACAUUUGAAUUGUAAUUCAUUUCUAUUGUGUAAGUUAUUCCAAGUUUAUUAUCAAAUUUCUCACUUUAAUUUUUUUCUUUCAUCAGAAGCUAAAGCAACUUGGAGUGGAAAGACUAGUCUUGCCUGCUGUUCCCGGUGUGCUAGACACAUGGACGAAUUCUUUUGGUUUUGAGCAGAUGACGAAUUUUGAAAGGUCACAAUUUCUGGACUAUUCUUUCCUAGACUUUCAAGGAACUGUCAUGUGUCAGAAACUUUUGACAAGAUUUCCAUCUCCGGAAUCGGUUGUAACAAGAGGUUCGUAGCUUCUUAUGAUUCCUGUAUUAGCCGUUAGUUUGGCAUAAUCACAAUGCGGUAAAGUUAUUGUCGCAAUAACUACACUUUAGAGCUUUAACAAAUUUAGUGUCAUUGUGAUAUUGCGAAACUCACCGACAAUCUAAAUAUGCACAUAAUUAAACAGUUUCCUCGCUGAUUGGAUUAUAACCGUAUUUUUUCAUAUUGCAGACGCGACUCCAAAACAAAAAGAUGGUAGCUUCUCUGUUAAAUGUAAAAUUAAUUUUGAAAAGGCUAGUCCAGUAUCUGAAGUGGAUCAAGCAGAAGGGAUUGGCAAAAGAGGAAUGAUGGAUCUACAAGUUUGGAGAUCUUCCUAAUCAAACAAGAAAAUAAAUUUGAUUUUUGUGAAAGAGACAGAAAGACAAACAUGGAGUAUUGGAGGGGGAAAGAAAAGGAGAAUAAGAAAAAUUGUACAAGAAAAUUGCAUUUGAACAAUUAUAUUAAAUGUAAAGUAGGAAUUUUAGUCUUUAGGCUAAGUUUAUCUUCAUGAUUGAAAAAUAAUGUUGGUCUUUAUUUAAAUGAUUAACUAAUGUACUGUUUAUAUAAUGUCUUUGUUAUGGGAUUUUUCCUAAUGAACAAGAAUCUUUAAAGUGAACAUAUACUUGUUUAAAGUGUAUUAUAAUCACUAUAGAGUUUUGACAUUAUCGAACAUUAAAUGUGAGUAUAUUUCUCAGCCAAAAUUCAAAUCUUAAUUUAUCAUAUUAUCAUAGACUAGACUAGUCUCUUCUGUUGAACCUAACCCCACAAGUAGGUACUAUAUGUCCUUUAAUUUCGCCAUAUAUGCAUGGCUUUAUUGGGGAGCAUGGCUUUAUGCAAAAAAAAAAUCAAUUAAUGAGUUCAUUUGAUUAAAAGAGAGUGUGAAUUAAGACUGGGAAAUUUCGGAAUAAAAACAAGAUGUCCCGUUUCUAUUAUGUAAUCAACUCAAUAUGUAAAUCAGAUUUGGUUUUAUCCUCUCUUUUUCAUGAGAAGAAGAUUUUAUUAUAUAUUUUUUUACAAAAUCAUAACAAGAAGAUUUGUUUUCAUCUUUACUAUAGAUAUGCCUUAAAGAUUAUAUAUUAUCUUCAAAAUAAUUACAAAAAAUAUGUCUACAAGAAAUUUAUGAAAAAUAAAUAAAAGAUAUGCCUACAUGAUUAUCUAAAAAAUAAUUACAAAUUCAAAUAAUUCCAUAAUUAAGUAAAUCUGUGUAAAGUUACUCUACUUAAUAACUCAUUAAAUCAAUAGACUCACUAACUUAACUCAACCGUUGAAUUUAAUUAAGAGUGAGCAAGGGAAGAGUUUGAGAUGGAUUAUUGUAAUCAAUCAUAUUCAUUUUAGAAAGGGUCUUGUUAACAUCCUCCUUUUAAAAAAUCAUAAGCAGUCUCUUAAACCCUACCUACUAUAGUUUAGACAUAAUUUUUUUUGUUAAUAAAAUAAUAAAUUUCAAAUUUAUUUAAGAUGAAAUCGGGUCAGCUUAAAAUAUAUCUAAAAUAUUUUUAGUAACUUUUUUACUACUAAAAAACAUGUUUUUUGCUAGAGAGAGGGGUGUUUGUUUUAAGUUUCACAUCUCAACUCUUAACCAAUUCUUUCUAAAAAAAACUCUUAACCAUCUUUUCUCCUAGUUAAAAUAAAAAAUCAAUACUAUCAUUCUAUCAAUACUAUCCCCUUUUUAUAUUUCAAUAGUUUAGAUCAUUCACAUGCUCAUAUUUGUUUUCAUAUAUUAUAGGAUCUUGAUUCAUUCUCAUGAAAAUAAAAGUUAAAAUCAAUGGGGUGUUUAUUUUAAGUUUAUUACAUUUAUUCCUAGGAAUGUAAGGAUAAAAUUGUAUUGCUAUAUAUUUUAAAAGAAAGAUGUUUGAUUAAUAUUAUAAUAUUUUUGAAAGCUUUUAUAAUAGGUAAGUUUUUUUUUUUUGAAGGAUUUUAUAAUAGGUAAGUUAAUAGAUAUUUAUACAUGACUUUAUUCUCAUUUUUAAGACAACUUUAUUCACACUCUUUUUUUGGGAAUUUUUGUCUAUUCCCAUAAACAGUUUUAUAUUUAGAAAUACUUUUUAAAUUUGUAAUGAACAUGUAAAUGCAUAUAUCUAUCAUAUUAUUAAAAAAAAAAAGUGUCUAAGUUCUUUUGGAACCCCUUGGAUUUCUUCUUGUUGUUUCCCAUUCAUGAACCAUACCAUGAUUUCUACUACCUAUUGGACAUCCAUGUCCAAUAGGUAAGCAGGAGAAAACAAUUUCUAGUUAGAAAUUCGAAUAAAUUAAAACCUAGUUUUUUUUUUUUUUGAGAGAGAAAUUAAAACCUAGUUUUGUAUAUGGAGCCUUGGCUCUAGAUUUGGGGUCAAGAUCCUAUCACUAGAUUUGCUCAUUGUAAGAACUAUUGAGCUAGUCUCUAUUAAUUUCCAUCACUAAUUUUGAAUAUGUCAAUAAAGAGCCAAAAAAAAAAUAAUGGUUACUUUUUUGGGAUCUAAAAUCGGUGGUUUGCCUCUUGAAUGGGGACAAUUGGAUUGGAUAAGCUGCAACAUUUUUUUCAAUAUUUUGGGAUCUAAUAUCGGUGGUUUCUCUCCUUUUUUUUUACAUUAAAAUUUUUUCCAUCCUUUUAUUUUGAAUGGCUACUUACCAUUGCACAAGAUCAUGAUUUUAUAUAUACUCUCUUUUGUCAGAAAUCAUAAUUCUAUAUAAAGAAAUGUUGGAACAAUAGAAAUUAUGGCUGGGGAUGUCGGGAUAACCUAACAUGUAAGGAUAUGAUAAGCAGCUAGUUUCCCACAAACAGCAUGCAUAUAGUGACAAGUACUCUAUAGUAUAUUAUAAUUUAUAUCCAAACACUAUCUAUUGUUAUUACUAUUUUUUGAUAGGAAAAAUAAAUUAAAAGACAUGAUAUUUGUUUUGACCAAACCUAUAUUUAAGAAUGAUAUAUACUUCAUCCAUCUCUGUAUAUAAGCAUCAUUUGCCUCUAAUAAAAGAGUGCUUAGAUAUAGGGACGGAGGGAGUAAUUAUGUUUUUUCCGUGUAGUUUUCUUUCUUUGUAAAACGAUAUGAAUGUUAAAGAAUCCCACAUGGGAUAUGAGAUCAUCUAACAAUGUUAUGUUUAUAAGUGGUGACAAUUUUUACCGUAUCAGAGUCUCCUCCAAGAUUUGUUGGAUCACCUGCUAUCAGAUUUUUAUUAUUGGACUAUCCACUAUUUAUAUCCACACUCCAGAUGUUCAAUCUUCAUUGUGAGAGGAUGUGUUAAAUGUGUCUAUAAAUUGAAGCAAUAAUCACCUCACAAACCGAUUUUGCGGAGCUAUGUUAUGUACAACCAUAAUUUCUAAGAUGCAGAAGAAACAAUUGAAAACAAUCCAGGAGUGUAAUAAGUUGGUUUGUUUCAAUCUUUGAGAAGAAAAAAAUGAAACCAAUAAAAUAAUCAAUCUAGUUUUAUAAUAUUUUCUCGCAAAAUCUGAAUUAAAUCUUCGAAGAAUGGGUCGAUACAUACGAUUCAGUUCAGUUGGGUUGAUAUUGAAAAAUUUUAAAUAAAUGAUUUUAAAAUAUAAUGAUACAUGAAGAUAUCAUAUUUUUUACCUCUACAAAUACAUAUUUUUAAAAUAACACUAUGUAACAUAUUGUAUGAAAUAACAACCUCCAACUCUUUAAUUCUUAACCAGUUAUGUUCAAAACUGAACCAACCCAUUAAAAAAACUGUAAACCAAACCAAUUUAAAUCGAAAUCGUAAAAAAUCGCACUUGAUUCGGAUGAAUUCAGAUGACUUUUGCACUAAACCGUACGGUUCGGUUUGCGGUUUGCAUCUCAGCAACCGAACCAAAUCAAACCAAAUCGCAAGAAUAAUGAAUAUUACUUAAUCAUGUGCUAGCCCAAUUACAUAGCUCAAAAAUAACGCUUUCAAUUCGAUUUUUCCAUUGUUGCACCAUCAAGUUCGAUUCUAAUUAUUUUCCAUCUCUUUCAAUUCAUUUCCAGUGAUGAAUUUGUUUCCUUUACUUCCCAAUAAUUUGUUUCAUGCUCUUAUGUUUCUUCUUAAUUUUACCUAUUUUGAUAUAAGUUUUACCUAAUAUUUUAUCAUAUAAACAGCAAAAUAAAAUGUCCUAUGUUUAUUUUGUAAUAAGUUGGCAAUAUUAGAGUUAAUGUAAUUUUUUUUUUUAUCUCGCGAUGAACCGCACAAACCGAACUAAUUCAAGCCGCAUUGGUUUGGUUUUGAUGACUUUUUAAAAAUCAACCGAACCAAACCAAACUGCAUGUUUUUUUAUCUUGCGGUUUAGAUGAUUUUUAUGCUCAAAACCAAACCAAACCGCACCGCGAACACCCCUGUAAUCUUAACUCAAACUAGAUUGGGUUUAGCGAUAAGAAUUGUUUAUCCGGAUCAUCUUUUGAAACGGUUAAACUAUAUAUUAGUAUGGUCACAAAUUAAGUUAAACGUUAAAAAAAAUUCAACCUCUAACAUGUUUCCUUUCAUCUAGUUGAUUAUUGUUUUCUUUUGGUUUGGUGACUUUGCUUUGUUGCCUCUUUUGUAAUCUUUACUAUUGUAUUUUCAAUAUUAACACUUCUUGUGUUAUGACUAUGCCAUUUUAAUACAUUCUUUCUUGACCUUUUCAAAAAUAAAAUUUCUCUUUCCUUAAAAAAAAAAACAUUGAGCUACACAACAUCCAUAAAACACGACGAUAAAAUCGAUAUCCAAAUCAAAAUAUAAUGGUAUGGCGUAGAAUACGUUAACAAAAUCGAACCUAUUUAAUUGGUUUGGAUGGGAUCUUGUUCUUCUACCCUUAAUCAUAUCACUCACACCGGAUUUUUGGAUUUGAAAAACAAAAUCUUUUUUCCUACCAUAUAUCACCACCAUUGUUCAAAUUUUACUAAACCGCGUGAAAAAGUUGCAUGGUGAGUGAGUGACCACGUUCACGUUCAUCCACCUUCACAUGCACACAGUUUCUAUACCUUUUCUCUCAAAACAGUUACCUCUUUUUUGUAUUAAUAAUACAUUUUCAUUUUCCCUCUCUUCUAUUCUCUCUCAAUGUCUCUUUCUUUUUCUGUUUUUGCUUCAUUCUUCUCUCUUCUUUUUCUUCUUUCUCUUCAUUGCCAAAUAGUUUCUUCUUUUCAUUAUCAUCAUCAUCAUCAUCAUCAUCAUCAUGAACAAGUUUAUCAUCAAAAACCCAGUUUGAAAGCAAACAAUAAUCAAAGUAGUUGUGCAUUGUUUGUAGGAAGUUGGGUUUUUGAUGAAAGUUACCCUUUUUAUCAAUCUUCUAGCUGUGAAAUUAUAGACCCAGAAUUUAAUUGUCAAAUGAAUGGUCGUCCUGAUUCUGAUUACCUUAAAUACCGUUGGAAACCACUCAAUUGUGAGCUCCCAAGGUAUAAAAAAUAAUAAAAGCAUAUGUAGCAUUAACACGUCUGAUCAAAGAUGUGUCUGGUGUCUGACACGUGAUUAUGUUCAAUAAUUCAUUUUCUCAAGUGUCAAUGUCGUGUCUGGUGUUCGUGUUUGGGUUUGUGCUUCAUAGCAAAAUAUAGUGUUUUUAAGAUAUAGUGUGUGGUUGCUUAGUAUAAUUUGAAUGAUGGUGUUUUUGUGGUGUUUUGUAAUGGCAGGUUCAAUGGAGUUGAGUUUUUGUUGAAGAUGAAAGGAAAAAGUGUGAUGUUUGUUGGUGAUUCGUUAGGAAGGAACCAAUGGCAGUCUUUGAUUUGUAUGAUAUCUGCUGCAGCACCUAAUGUGGAGACACAAUUGGUUAGGGGAGAUCCUCUCUCCACUUUCACAUUCUUGGUGAGUCUAGAAAAAAUUUCUGAGCUUUAAGUUGAUUGCUAACAAAAAGUUUUAAAUUGUGGCUGUGAUCAUUGAUAUAUUCGGAAGAAUUGCGGUCAAAUGUAUCGAUCUGAUGCAGCCUUAAUUGCAGUUGCUUGUCUGACCAGUGCUAGUCUCUCACACUAACACUUGUGAUUACAUUUAAUUAUAUUAUUUUCUCAAAUUAUUACUGGUAUCAUGUAUCAGUGUCGUGUUUGUGUGAUCGUGUUUACGUAGGUGCUUCAUAGGUAUACCAAAUACCAAUACCCAAUUUGGCAUUUCACACUGUUUCUACUGCUAGUAAGAUUUAAACCAUAAUGACACUGCCCAAGUUUUGUUUGGUAAGAUUUAGAUUUUGGUUCAAAAGGAAGAGGUAGAUAAGAGCUAAUAGCUAUGCUAAUUUCCAGCAAUAAAAUAGUUGUUCCCCUCUUUGUAAAGUUUCAUUCAUGAUAUCACAAAGAGGUAGGGUCGUAUUUGUUUGGUAUAAGACAAAGAAGCUGUUGAAAAAAGUGUUUGUAAAACAGUGUCAAUUGAAUCAUUAGAUAGAUAUGAGGGGCCUCAAAAUAUUUUCAAGAAUUUUGAUUAUUUAUCCUGUAGAAUAUUGACUAUGCAAACAAGAGAAACAUUUUAGAGAUGUUAAAAUUGAAUAUGAUUUGGUAUAUGCAGGACUAUGAUGUGAACAUUUCAUUUCAUAGAGUUCCUUAUUUAGUAGAUAUUGAUGUGGUCCAAGGGAAAAGAAUUUUAAGGCUUGAUGAGGCAGAUAAGAAUGGUGACACAUGGAAGAAUGUUGAUGUGUUGGUGUUCAACACAGGACAUUGGUGGAGUCAUCAAGGAUCACUUCAAGGGUAGGCAAGAAUAGUAUCUUCUCUUUUUUAAGCUUAUUCAAGAAAAUACUAUAGGAAAAUUGAUUUUUUUUUUUGGGCUGUUUUUGUUGAUUAAUUGAGUGCAGGUGGGAUUAUGUAGAAUUAGGAGGGAAUUUUUACCCUGAUAUGGAUCGAUUGGUAGCUUUGGAAAGGGGUAUGAAAACAUGGGCUAAUUGGGUGGAUGCUAAUAUUGACAGAAGUAGAACCCAUGUGUUAUUUCAGGCAAUUUCUCCCACACAUUAUGAGUAAGGACUCUUCUAUGUCUCUAUUUUGGACCAAUUAUUAAUAAUUGAUUUUUUUUUUUUUUACUAAGCUAUAAUUGAUUAUCAAUGACUUGAAAAUAGGGCAGUCAAUAUUAAUUUAGUGAUUUAAAAAUGGUUAAAUUUAACAAGUUACAUAAUUAAUCAGACUCUUGAAGCAAGAUGCCAAAUUAACUUUUUCCCUGAAGUCAAACUAAAUUUUCAUUUUUUUUUUUUUCAUUUGCAUUCAUCUGAUGAGCUGCUUCUAGAUCUGGAAGUAGGACCUUGCUUUUGACUAUCCUUGAUUAUUCUAUUUCUAUCCUGAGGCUGAAAUUUUUUGGCUUGUUUAUUGGUGCCAUCUUGUCACAGAAUUAUGAAUCCGCACUUCAAUGUGCUGAGCUUAGAAGAAAAUAUGUCAGCCUAGUUAUAAGGGAUCCAAUGAAAACACAUAAAAUAGAUAAAGAAUUAGGAAGAAAAAAUGGUUGUGAUAAGAAAUCUUUAAAUCAUGUAAGAUCACAUGAAUCAGAUGGUUCUAAACUCUUUCAAGAGAGUUCUUGGUUCAAAUUCAGACCGGAGAAUGCAAUAAUGUUAAACCUGUUAGAGAAAGCUUUACUAUCUAAUUUGGACCUACCUGACUUAAGAGAUUAGUCUUUGUAAUUGCACGCAAAUAUACACAUCUUUUUUAAUAGAUAGAUAAAAUGACAAAGUCAUUAUAAACUCACACACAAGUGGAAGUGUUGGGGUUCGAACCCUGGUCAUGAUGUCUGACCUAACAAUUUCGGCAUUUUCGCUAGUUGAGCUACAAUACGUGGAUAGAUAUACUUGUUUUAUAUUGAGGGAAAUAUUUUUUGAUGAUUUUUUAGUAUAAACAAGUAUAAUAAAUAAAUUGGUUAGAAAAUAAAGUAUGCUGAAUAAAUUUCUAGGUAAUUAAGAUACAUCUUUUUACUAGCAUUACCAAAAGAAUAUAUAAUUAUGAAAACUAUGUCUUAAUCUGAUGAGCCAAGGUAGCAACAUCACACAUGAAGAUGUUAAGUUAUGUAACACUGAAUGAAAGAAUCAGCCCAAUUGAGUAUGAAGAAAAGAAUUGCUUCUUUACUUGUGGCAUUAACUCACUGAGGCACUGACCUUAGCUAAAAAUAGCUUUUUUAGAAAUCAAGCAUUGAUAUGUAAUAAGGGCGUUUGGAUUCAUUUAUUUACUGCGAUAAACACUCGUGAGAAUAUUGGGAGAGCUUAUUAAAACAACUUAUAACAUGCCCAUAAGUUGUUUUUAGCUUAUUUGCAUGAGCUUUUCAGGUUAGCUUAUGACUGAAAAAGUUUAUAGUUUAUAUGUAAACAGUUUGCUUUGUUUUGUAUUUUACUAUAUAAAUAAUUUAUAUGAUAAGUGCUUAUGCUAUAAGUUCAUAAUUAAAUUGUGUAUUCAAACAGGGCCUAAUAAUUAAAACAGGAAUUAGUGCUUUUCAAAUUUGACAGUAAAAAUGUAACAUGGCUUUAUUACAUUAAUAUUUGGUUAAGCUAGUAUGUAUGUUUUUCAAACAAAUUUAUGCUAAGAUUUGGUUGCACUGAACACUGAUAUUUAUAUGUAGCGAAAAUGAAUGGAAUUCAGCUGUUGGUAGAGCAACAAGUGUAACGACGACAAAGAAUUGCUAUGGUGAAACAGCACCAAUCAGUGGCACAACAACAGACUUUGGAGGAGGAGAAACAUACACUGAUCAACAAAUGAGAGUAGUUAACAUGGUGAUUCGAGAAAUGCGCGAUCCUGCAUAUCUUCUUGACAUCACAAUGUUAUCAGAAAUGAGGAAAGAUGGACACCCUUCAAUUUACAGUGGUGAAUUGAGUUCCCAGCAGAAAACUGACCCUGAUCACUCAGCUGAUUGUAGCCAUUGGUGUCUUCCUGGUUUGCCUGAUACUUGGAAUCAACUGCUCUAUGUUGCUUUAUUCUAUUAAGUUCAUUAGUACUUAAUUAGGUAUUUUACAAGGCUUUAAUUAACACUGUAUGAUUACUCUUAAUAGCUGUGAAGUUAUAUAUAUACAUUUUAUAGAACCAUUUUGAUCAAGAGAGAAAAUAGAGAGGUACAACUCAGGGAGUUGAGAUUUUCCUUUCAUAGAAAGUCUUUUACAAACUGUUGCUGCAUUCAGCUUGAUCAUAGUGAUGGGAUCGACCUCAGUGAGGAUAAAGGAGACAGUUGCUCCGAACCUCGGUAAUCUUUGUGUUUUCAAGAUUUUACUUUCUGCAAUCUUUCUUUCAUAAUCACGUUUAGAUUUGCUUGACCGGUUUCGACUUCAACUUGUUUCGCUAAAGAAUUCUGUCUUGUUCAAAACUCGUCUUUUGUUUCAUAACAUUAUCUCAGUCAAGUGUUAUCAACCAUCGUCUGGAAACUCAACAAGCCACAAUUAAGUCAAUGUCACACAAACACAAACCGUUGAACAAGUAGCAUGAGACGUGAUUAAUCCUCAUGAGUUUAUCUGUGUGGUGCGCAGAUCAUCUAGGAUAUAACAUGCUCACGCCGGCCAAGGUAAAGGUAUCAGAUAAAUUAAAUUAUAACUUUUAUGUGAAUAUCAACAGCUUUAAGCCAGCUUAAUGUGACAGUAAGAGUCGAAACUGUUCCAAUAAGUAAAACUUGAUGCAAUUUGUAUAUAGGCAACACAUUGCUUUGAAACCAAAUAGAUUAAGAUAACAGUUCAAAUUACAGAAUUCCAAAUGAUACAAGAUGCAAUACUUAUUUAAAGCCUUAUAAUUAUAUUAUAUAGCAUCAUUUCAUUGCCCCAGAUAAAUAAUACAGCAGGCGAAUUCUUCAUUCAUGUUAAUUAUUAUCUUCAUUCUAGCACAGUCGCUUCGUGCCACAGCUCAAACUAGCUCUGAAUGGCAACCUCAACUGGAGAAGCUUCCAAUGGUAUAAUCUUCUCAAAUUCUACAGGUUUGUUGACCAAGGUUUUCUGGUUUUCGUAAGCUGAAUCAUGAACUCCAAGUGCUGCUCUACCAGAAGGAUCAAGGUUCUUGGACCAAGAAGCAUCCCACUCAACAGCCUUAGCUGUGCUACAUGCAACAGUUGGUCCUCCAGGAACAGUUAGCCUUGCUGAGUUCUGCAAAACAAUUAAAAAAAUCAUCAAUAUUUUAAUCAACCCUUGUUAAAUUAUGUUGUCUUAUGGUCUACGAAGCACUGACACAGACACAAACACCAAAUACGACCUGAUACUGACACGUAAACACCAGUAAUGAUUUAAGAAUAUAGAAGUGAUUGAAUGUAAUCAUAUAUGUCAGCGGCCAACACCAUCACGUGUCAAACACCAUAUACACCUUUAAUCUGAAGUAGCAGUGCUACAAAGCUUAUAUCGUUACAACCGAUUAAAAAGAGUUGAUUGAAUAACUUGCCUGGGGGAAGAACCUCUCAAAGAUCAUUCUGUAGUAGUAUGCUUCCUUGGUGUUUGGGGUGUUGUGGGGGUAGAUAUUGCCAGCAUUAAGCAUCAUCCUAUCAGUCACCUAAUGGAAAAUGUGAAGAACCAAUUAUAAGUAACAUAAACUUUGUGACAAUAGAAAACUCCAUCACUAAAUUGUAGAGUAAAAAGGUUGGAUUCAAAUACAUGUUUUGCAGCAUGAGCUUUAAGGCCAUCAAUCCAACUAUAACCAACACCAUCACUGAAUUGUUCCUUCUGCCUGUAUAAAAUGUGCUGCAUGAAAAUGAAUGUUUCAAUGUUAGUUUCGCAAACCAAUUUUGCAUAAAUCAAUAGACAUUGCAGCAAAUUACUUAGUAGUACCUUUGGCAGAUAAGGAUUCUCUUCAUCAUCGAAGGCCUUCCUCAGAAUAUACUUCUCAAUUCGUCCUUCAUCUUUUUUUAUCUGCACGUUUUAAACAAACCAGCUUAGUUAGUACCCGCGAAAACAUUUCCUGUUUUCCAAGAUUUGUACAAGAAACACUAAAAACAACUAUUAUGUUUUCGGUAUUUCAUGUAGAAUUAUUGAAUCAACAGAGUAACACUAAUUACUCAUACCAUUUUAUUCUCAGGAUCAAUAUUCAUUGCAACAUUGAUAAACUCCUUGUCCAAAAAUGGAACUCUGGCUUCUAGACCCCAAGCAAAGGUUGAUUUAUUUGCUCUCUGGCAAUCAUAUUGGUGGAGUGCUUUGAUCUGCAUAUGAAAAAGUAAAAAAAUACAUCUAUUAAUCAUUAUACUUCAACUUCUUUUAUUAUUUUCUAACAUUGAACUUCAUAAUUCUAAAUUAAAUGACCUUGCGGCAUGUUUCUUGGUGGAACUCUUCCUUGUUUGGUGCCUUGUGAAAGUACAGAUAUCCACCAAAUAUCUCAUCAGAUCCUUCACCAGAGAUCACCCAUUUGACACCAAGUGAUUUAAUCUUCCUUGACAUAAGAAACAUAGGUGUACUUGCUCUAAUUGUAGUCACAUCAUAUGUUUCAACAUGGUAUAUAACAUCCUCAAUUGCAUCUAUACCAUCCUAUAUAACAUAAAACUAUAUAUUAAUCAUUUCAUAAUCUCGAUUUCAAAAAUUGAAGUAGCCCUAACUGUAAGCUAAAAAAGUACUAUUUCAAGCAGUGUUUUUAGAACCAGACUGUUGGUUGGUUCAAUCGGUUCUUUUUAAUACUUAUUUAACAGUCAACCGAUUAAAUCAUUUGAACCAUGACCUAGAAGGUUUCGUCGGUUCGAUCUCUAGUCAAAUUUUUAAAACAUUGAUUUCAAGCAGUUACCUGAACAGUAAAGGUAAACUCAUGGUGAACAGUUCCAAGGUAAUCUGCAACUUCUUUUCCAGCCUUAAGAUCAGGUGAGCCCUAUUUGAAAUUAGAAGACAAGAUAUUAAGACAACAUUGAAGGUAUUCUUUUUAAAAAUAAAAGAAUUACAUAAAGUUUGCGAAAGUGAUUCAAAAAUUUAAGUGUAUAUAUGCACCUCAAGGCCAACGCAGAAUGAGUGUAAUUUUGAUCCCCAUUGUUCAGCAGCUUUAGUGGUUGCUAGGUAGCGAGAAGUGAUGGAUGCAACCAAUGAUGAGUCCAAACCUCCAGAUAGUAGAACACCAAAAGGCACAUCAGUCAUCAACCUCUUUAUCACUGCCUGUAAUCACAACCAACCAAGAGGUAAGUAAAAUCUAACCAAAAAUUGUUUAAGUCAGAAAUUGAACUUGAACACUCUCGACCAAUACAUUUUAUCUUUUCUAGUCAAACGAGGUUUGACGACAAAAUCAACUGACAUAAACCAUAUACUAAUGUUUUCACUAAAAUCAUAUAUGACAUGACGCAAGAUCAAUCAUGUUAACUAUGCACCGUAAGUCUAAAACUUUCAAUCCAAUUAUGUGCUAUGAUUUUUAUGAAUCAUACCUUCUCAAAGGCAUGCCUCAAAGCUAGAGGAUCAUAAGGAGCUGAUGGAAUAGCCUCAGAGUACCAGGGAGGAUUGUACCAUCUUCUAAAUCCACCAUCUUUGCUAGAGUACAAAUGACCAGGUGGAAAACACUCAAAAUGUUCACAAUCAUCAUUCAAGGCUUUCAUUUCUGAUGAAAUCCAAACAGAACCUGAAUCCAGACACAUUCCAAAACAUGUUCAAAUACAAACUCAAAAAAUCCAUAAAUUAAAUUAUAAGAUAAGAUAUAACAUAACAUUACCAUCCAAUCCCCAACCAAUGUAUAGGGAAGUUACUCCUAUAGCAUCUCUAGCCACUAUGUAACUGUUAUCACGAGUAUCCAAUAGAACAAAGGAAAAGAUACCAUCCAACUUGUCCACAAAGUCUUCUCCAUAUUCCUCGUACUAAUCAAAAGUUUAACAUCAGUAACAAACAGUUCAUAAGCACAUGUUUAAUCAAGAAUCCAAACCAAACAAAUUAUUACAUCAAAGAUUACUAACCAAGUGUGCAAUAACAUCACAAUCACUUCCCGUUCGGAAUGUGUGAUUAGACAGCUGUUUCCUGAGAGCUUCAUGGUUGUAAAUCUCUCCAUUUACCUGAUUUUCCAAUAAUGACAGAAUUUACCAACAUUAAAUUAGUAAAGUACUAACAUAAUCAUUAUUGUUAUGGACACUCACAUAGACAUGAACAUUAGAUACGACAAUGACACUGACACGUAAAUAUCAAUGAUAACAUAAAAAUGACUGCAUAUUAUCACAUGUGUUAGCGUUGUAUCUAUACUGUUGUUGUCUGACACUCACGCCUUCAAUAUAAAGCGUCGAUGCUACAUGUGUUGUAAUUGAUUUAGCAUAUGUCAUAUAAAUGGCCUACCGUGACAAUGACAGAUUUGUCUUCAUUAAAGAGAGGUUGAUCCCCAGAAGCAGGAUCAACUAUGGCUAACCGUUGGUGUGCCAAAAAGCAGUCACCAUGUUGGUGGAGCCCACUCCAAUCAGGGCCACGGUGCUUCAAUCUGUUACGUCAACAAACAAAUAAUCAAUAAUCAAUCAAUUAUCCAUAUUCAGACACAUUAAACUAAAGGACAAUAAUAUUCUUUCAAUGUUACUAUGUCACCACAUAUUUUUUUAAUAAAAUUACAUUUUAUAUGAGUUGAGUUUGGACUUUACAAUGUUGUAGCAUAUAUUACGCACCACCUAGAAAAUCUUUAUAAGAUGAGUCACAUAAUUAAUAAUUGAACCAAUAUUAGUUUAUCAAAAAAUAAAACUUGAGCUUAUGAAAAAUGUAACUUUCAGUAGAUAUAUUCUAUUCGAUUAAGUAUUAUCAUAUGGAAAAAAGAAUAUAGUUCUACAAUUAUUUAACUCCUUUUAAUCUUUUGUUGUUCAAUUGUCAUUGCUCCUUUGAAUUGUUCAUAGUUCCCACUACAAAAUUUACCAAUAAUUCCAUUUCAAACUGGACCCCACAUACCACUUGUUGGUCCUAAUUGAUAAACAAUCAGUGAUCUGAUUGGAAUAUAUAUUGCCCUCUUAUCUUAUAAAAUUCUUGUUGUUUAAUCUAACUUGAUGGGCAUGGUGACCCAAUAUAAAGUUACCAUGGUUAAUUAAACUAAUUAAAAAAUUUAAAAUAAACAUUCUAUGUUCUCUAUAAUAAAUUAAAGAGUGACUUUUAAAUAAAGUGGAGUGUUAUGAUUACAACUGUUGAAGUUAUAAUCAUAUUAUAUAUAAAUAAAUUAUAAAAUUAGUUAAAAACUUCAAUCAUUGGUUAUUUUUAAUUAAUGAAUAUGACAUGUCUCUUUUUUUAGUCUAAUUACAAAUAUGACGAUUGAAACAAGGAAUAUGGAUUAUGUCACUUGGGUCCCACGUUUAUUCUUAAUCAUCAUCCAAAAUGACAAGAUCAUCACGACCCUGCUAAACAAAGAGUAUUAUUCUGUCUUGCUAUCCAAAUCAGCCACUCUUAACAAGGAAUUUGUUGCUGCACAUAGUAAUAUUCAGCACCAAUUUGCAAAUAGAAACACCCAAAAAGUCAUGGUUGGAUAUAAAUUUAUCCAUAUUAUCUAAUAUAUUUUAUUUAAUAAUUAAAGUCUUCCUGAUUGAUUUUAGAAAGUCCAUAAUGAAAAGCUAAGUAAAUACAAUUAAGAAUGAACAAUUUGAUCUGCAAAAUUUAACAAAUUUUAAUGAAAAAUAAACAAACAUUCGUUCACAUUAGUCUUUUUGCAUCGGUCCAUUUAUUUUUUAUAUUGUCGUGAACGACUAAUGUGAUCAAGAAUUUUUCAAAUCUAAUCAGGUCGAAACCACUAUAAUUGGUCUAGUAGUAAAAGAUUUAGAUAGUAAACAUAUGAUUUUGAUGCACGAUCAAUAUACUAUUACACUCUCAAUUAAUCACAAGAUCGUGUGCAUGGUUUUGAAGUUAGAUAUGAUGAAAGUUAAACUUUGGUUACAAUUGAUUAACGGUGUAAAAAAUCUUUAUACCGACCAGUGCAUAUAGAUUAAAUCCGACAAAAGUAUCAUGUGUAAAACAUGAAAUUAAGAAUACAAGAAUAGAAAGAGAAUAAUUGCCUGCGUGAAAGCUCAAGGACACGAACCCUCUUAGCUCUAGUAGGAUCAGAGCAACCAAGCACAGCAAGAAUACCACACAUUGUAGUAUAUGUUUAUAUGAUGAAGAAAUCAAAGAGAGAAAUAAUUUAGAAUAAGCUUAGCUUAGUUAGAAUAAAGAAGAAAAGAUAAGUGAAGAACACAACCACAUGUAGUAGUUGUAGUAAUGGUUUUGAAAUUGAAGGCUUAAAGGAAAUAAUUUAGGAUACAUAACACUUCUUACAACACGUAUUUAUAAGACAUAAUGUGAAUGAUAGACAUAAAAUGCUGACGGUGAAACGACGUCGUUUUUCUAUCAUUCAAUGUACUGUUAUUGCUACUAGUUGGUCCAUGACACUAGACAUGGGACCCACAUCUUGUACCAAGUAUAUUAUGCCAUGUGGUGAAACGUGGUUCGUUCUUGGUAUAGACUUUUUUUGUUAUUUAAUUUUUCUUUUAAGUGUAAAAUAAAUAUCCAGUAAUAUAUCAUUAUUAUUUUUUGGUUUUUUAUUCUAGUUUGUGUUCACAUGCUACAAUUUUGUUCCUUAUCAAAAUACUAUCUUUUGUUAGUAAAUUUCAUGUGUAUUAGGCAGCUAGUUGUUAACUUGAUAACUUCAUCUUUCAUCAUGAACUAAUGAAGGUUUUUUUUUUUUUUUUUUUUACAAAAGCUAAUGAACCUUUUAAACUAUGUUAGAUUUUUUAAUUUGAUCCUUAUGUUUUUGUUUUUAAAAUAAAUAUUCCAACAAAUAAAAGAAAUCAUUAUUAUUUUAUCUAUCAAAUGCUUGAUUGUAUGAGUAGGUCGUCAUACUUCACCACUCAAUUGAAUGGGCUAAUCUUUUACAACGUGAAGAAUGAAUUUUGAUUUGUGGUUUGAAGUGGUCAUAUUUGGCGGUAACAAUGCUUCAAAAAUUAUUAUUUUUCAUGGAAGAAAAGGUGAAAAAAUGGGUGACUAAAUUAAGUCUUUGUCAUGAGCGAGAUUGUUUAUGAUAGAAAGUCUUUCUCUUAUUUAACAUUAUGGUAAAAAGAUACCCUUAUUGUUGCUUCAAAUAAUUUGGUGUCUAUAAAUAUUGGUGUUUUUAUAGGCAUCGUCUCUCUCCUCUUAUUUGCGGAUCUAUAAUACACAAAUAAUUGUAAAUCUCUUCCAUUUUAUAAUAUUUUAAUAUUAAAAAAUAAAUAAAAUAAUUGAUGCAAAUGAUUGAUUAUUUUAUCAACCUUCAAUUUUUAUUUUCAAUCAAAGACCAUUUUUAUUUUUCCUUACUACAGUGUUGAUCAGAAGCAUGAUGUUAUUUAAAUUAGGUAAUUUACCAUCAUUUUAAAUUAUUAUUUUCUAUUUUUAAUUAUUUUUCAAAUUAUUAAUAAAAGUGGGAAAAAAUAGUACAUAUUUUUAUAAUUUAUAAUUGAAUUAAAUUAAUUUUUCAAAAAUUAGAUAAUUAUGAAUAAAUGAAUAGAUAAAUCAUUGAAAAAAUUAAUGAUAUAGGAUUAUUGUUAGAAAUCAGUUAAUAAUUUUUUUUAAAUGCUGAGUUUGAGAGAUUAAGUGUUUAACAAGUAUUAGUUAUAAAACUAGUGACUUGUACAAACAAGAUCUGUUUAAACAUCCAAAUGCGGAGUUCCAUUGUGUAUGAUUUAAGGUCUAGAUUAACCUUAUGAUAGCUUUGUUGGAUAUUAAAUUUGAUUGCAAUGUAAAAGAAUUAUUUUUAUUUAAUUUUGGGGCUAUUAAGGAUGUUAAAUACUCUUUCUAAGGUAAUACUCCACUUUACUCUUAAAUUAUUAGAACUUCUCAUAUCUUUCAUGAUGGUGUUUCAUUAGAUACGCAGAUUUAGUAAAUGUAACAGCAUUUUCCUCGUAGUAUAAUGAAAACAUCUUGUGAUAGUCUUGUUUAGGGGUCUUCAUGUACCUCAAUAUUUUCAUGCCCAAAAGAUUACAAACUCUUUAACCUUGUCUCAUGAAUAGAGCAUUGGUCUAGAUACAUAUUGCAACAAGUUUUAAUACCUAGGGCAUAAGUUUUAAUAUAAUCCCUAGAAUAAAUGCUCAAAGCAAUUGAGUUAAAAGAUGUUUUAAUAUUUAACAGACUUAAAAUGGAGAUAUUUUAAUCCUCGUUUGGCACUAGAUACAUAUUAUGAAUAUAUAUUGGUUUUUUUAAUUUUGAAUUAUAACCACAAUGAGACGUAUUUAAGAUAAUGUAAGAAUUAUGAACUCUUAGUUAAAGAUUUAGUGUAGUAUUGUUAUUAGGCUUAUGGCUUGUAAGUCUAGACAUUGUUUUAGUGGGUUUAGAGUAUAAGAUAAGACCCUCGGUUUAUUGGAUAAAACAUUCUAUGUUGAAGUAUAUUGUUAAUAUUUAGAACACAGUAGAAAAUAGAAAGACAAGUGAUAUAUAAUUCUCAUUGAUCUGUGUGUAAAAGUACAUGACAGGUUUAUUUAUACACUAAAAUAAAGAGAAGACUAAUCAACAUGUAUAAAUACAAUUGAAUAGAAUACUAAUAAGCAGGCUAACUAAUAGGUUAUAGUUAAUGAUAAUUAAAUUAAAUAUUAACAUGUAACAUCCCCCCACAAGCUGGACUAUGAAGAUCACAUAGGCUAAGCUUGGAAACCAAGGAAUUGAAAGCUGGAGACAGAAGUGGUUUUGUCAACAAAUCUGCUAUUUGAGAAGAAGAUGGCACGGGAAAGAGAUGAAUGAGACCACUUUGAAUUCUUUCGCGCACAACAUGACAAUCAAUCUCAAUGUGUUUUGUUCUCUCAUGAAAUGUUGGAUUAUGAGCAAGAUAUAUGGCUGAUUUAUUGUCACAAUAUACUGAAGCUGGUUGUUGAAAGUUGAUAUGAAGAUCCUUGAACAAAUAGGAGAGCCAUUGUAAUUCACAAGUAAGGCUGGCCAAGGCUCUAUACUCAGAUUCAGAGCUGGAUCUAGAAACAGUUGUUUGCUUCUUAGACUUCCAUGAGAUGAGGGAAGAGCCAAGAAACACACAAAAACCGGAGACAGAUCGUCUAGUAGAGGGACAGCUAGCCCAAUCUGAAUCAGCAAAACCUGCAAGUUUGACGGGAGAUGAAGAUGAAUAGAAUAACCCUUUGGCUGGAGAGUUCUUGAGAUACUUCAGAAUCUUUGUAGCAGCUUGAAAGUGGACUUCACGGGGCUUGGAAACAAAUUGACUAAGUUGUUGAACAGCAAAAGCAAUGUCAGGCCGCGUGAGUGUCAAAUAGAGAAGUCUACCAAUCAAACUUCUGAAGGAGAAUUCAUCAUGAUAUGGAGGGGAAUCAGAAUUAUGCAACUUUAAGGAGGUAUCAUAGGGAGUGGAACUAGGCUUAACAGCCAUGUGACCACUAUCUUCAAGAAGCUCAAGAGUAUAUUUGCGUUGAUUCACCGAAAUUCCUUUGUUUGAUCUUGCUAUUUCCAAGCCAAGAAAAAAUCUUAGCUUCCCAAGGUCUUUGAUGCGAAAUUUUUGAUCCAAAAACUGCUUAACAUGCUGAAUUUCAGCAUAAUCAUUUCCUGAUAAAACUAUGUCGUCCACAUAAACUAAUAAGGCAGUAAAAUUGGUACCUUUUAGCUUAGUGAACAAAGAAGAAUCAGCAACAGAAGGAGUGUAUCCGAGAGAAACCAACGCUGCAGAAAGUUUGGCAUACCAUUGCCUACUAGCUUGCUUCAAGCCAUAGAGACUCUUAUUUAACCGACAAACUUUAAGAUCAUUAGAAUCUGAAUUUUGAAGCUUCAGACCAGGGGGUAACACCAUGUAAACUUCUUCAUUGAGGUCACCAUGGAGAAAUGCAUUAUUGACAUCAAAUUGCUCAAGAAACCACCCUUUGAUGGCUGCCAAAGAAAGUAAUGUUCUAACUGUAGUCAUUUUUGCAACCGGUGAAAAAGUAUCAAAGUAAUCAACUCCUUCCAUUUGAGUAUAACCCUUUGCAACUAACCGGGCUUUAUGCCUUUCAAGAGAACCAUCAGAGUGGUAUUUAGUUUUGUAAACCCACUUGCAUCCAAUUGGAACUUUUCCUGGUGGUAAAUCAACAAUUGACCAAGUAUUUGUGGCUGCAAGAGCAUGUAACUCAGCUUUCAUAGCUUCUUUCCAACAUUCAAUCUUACAAGCUUGAUUAUAGGUCUUAGGUUCAGGGUUAGAAGAAACAGUUAGACAAAAAUUUUUAUAUGAAGGAGUGCAAUGAUCAUAUGUCAAAACAGAAGAGAGAGGAUAUGCCGAUUUACCUGAGUCAGAGAGUAAUUGUGAUUCAGAAGAAGUAAGGAGACUGCAGUGAUAGUCUUUAAGAUAUGCCGGUGUUGUUUUAGGUCGUGCAGAUCGUCGAAUAGGUACAUCUGUUGUGGUCUGAUCUGGAAUAGCUGUUGCAGAAGAUGUAGCAUUAGGAGGGGUAGAAUUAUGUGUUGUAGAAGUAUCAGAAUUAUCAAGGUUUUGAGAGAGAGGAAAAGAAGAAUUUGGAAUAACAGAUGAUUGGAUGGGUUCAUGAUAGGAAGAAAGAUGUGAAUUAUCAACGGAGACAUGAGGUGUAGAGGAAUCAGGGGAACAUCGUUCAUGCAAUGUAGAAAAUGGAAAAGAUGAUUCAUGAAAGAUGACAUUUCUUGAUAAGAAAAAUUCAUGUGAAUGAAGAUCAUAAAGAAGGUAACCCUUGGUGCCUUCUCUAUAUCCAAGAAAAACUGAUUUUCUUGCUCUAGAAUCAAAUUUGGUUCUAUGACUUUGGAUGGUGGAGGCAAAAGCAAGGCAACCGAAGACUUUUAGGUGAAUUAAAGAAGGUUGUUGUUGGUGAAGACAUUCAUAUGGGGAUUUAUUUUGUAGAAGGGGAGUUGGGAUUCGAUUAAUGAUAUGGACAGCUUGUUGAAUUGAAAAAUGCCAAAAAUUGGUAGGGAUAUGAGAUUGAAAGGAGAGGGCUCGAGCCACAUUAAGGAUAUGUUGAUGCUUCCUUUCUACAAUACCAUUUUGUUGAGGAGUCUCAACACAAGACCUUUGAUGAAUGAUGCCUUUAGAAAGAUAAAAUGAAGGCAUGAUGAACUCAAGUCCAUUAUCACUUCUCAAGCAUUUAAGUUUCUUAUGGAAUUGAGUAUCAAUGAAAGAAAUGAAAUUCAUGAGAUGAUUUCUUGUUUCACCUUUACAUUUCAUAAAAAUGACCCAUGUAAAUCUACUAAAGUCAUCAACCAAGGUUAAAAAAUAUUUAAAUCCGGAAACAGAAGGGGUAGCAUAGGGUCCCCAAAUAUCAACAUGUAGUAUAUCAAAUAUUUGAGUGGAAUGAAUAAGACUAUGAGGAAAUGAUGUUUUCUUAUGUUUUGCAUAAUGGCAUAUAUCACAAGGAGAGUGGGUACUGGUGUAUUUUACAAUGGGAAACUGAAUGGAAAUACAUUUGUGUAUGGAAUCCGAAAUGUGACCCAAUCUAUAAUGCCAAACAUUUGCAGAAUCAGUUGACUUAGACGACAAACUUGGAAAAACAGAAUUACAAAUUGAAGCAGAAACUAAACCAUUAUUUUGAGAUUUAUUUAGCAGUGAAGAAUCCAACACAUACAGUCCUCCAAACUUCUUAGCUGUACCAAUCACUCUCUGAUUCAAAAUCUGCACAAUAGAACAUGUAUCAAUAGAAAACAAGAAACUGGCAUUAGAAGUUUUCAAAAAUUGAGAUAUUGAAAAUAAAUUGAUGUUGAAAUCAGGAAUGUAGUAAACAUUAUGAAGGAUAAGUGAAUUGGAUAAGGAUACUGUGCCUGCUAUGGUUGUCACUAUUUUAUUACCAUUUGGUAGUGACAUGGAGAUAGGUGGAAUGUUGUAGAAAGAAGAAAAAUUUUGCAAACAGUGAGUGAUAUGAUCAGUUGCUCCUGAGUCUAUGACCCAAAGAGUAGAUUUCUUACCGAUUAUGGGAGUGGAUGUGGAAGUAUAAGCUGCGGGAAGUGAGAUAACUGAAUUGACAGCAGGCUGAGGCAUAGUAGCAUUGGUGUUUGACGUUGAAGCUUGCAAAUUUGAAUGUUGUAGAAGCUGCAAAAUCUGAUUAUAUUGCUCAUGGAUAGAAUUCAGUGAAGGGCUGCUAACAGAUCCUUGGUUCUGGACAGCAUCAGUAUACUUUUGUUCAGAAACCGCAAGAUUCGCUGACUUAGGACCUUUGUUUUGAUAACCAGGAGGAUAGCCAUGGAGAAGGAAACAAGUCUCAAUUGUAUGAUUAUGUCUUCCACAAUGACUACAAGUGCGAGUAAUGCCUUGAUUAUGUCCUCUUGUUCCAUUAUAAGAUCCUUUACCUCGACCUCUAUAGCUAGAAGAACCACCACGAGCAAAACCUUUGUUAGAAUUGGUUUGCUGAACUUGAUUAACAGCUGAUUGUUGAUCAACAGGAAUUUCACCAAAAACAGGAAUAUGUGUUUGUCUUUCUUGUUGAAGUACAAGAGAAAAAGUCUUAUCCAGUUCAGGCAAAGGAUUAAUUAGCAUAAUCUGAGAGCGCACAUGUGCAUAUUGCUCAUUCAAACCUUUCAAAAACUUAAUUACUUUGUCUUGCUCAUUAUACUUUUUGAGAUCAGAAGCAACACCACAAGUGCAAGGGAUGGCACAAGUGCAAUCACGAAUUGGCCGGAAGUUCUGAAUUUCUUCCCACAAAGUGGUUAAUUGUGUAAAAUAGGAGGAGAUAUCAAGAUUACCUUGUUGAAAUUUAGCCAAUUCCUCAAGAAUAUCAGCAACUCUGAAAAUAUCACCCUGUGCAAAACGGUUCUCCAAUCGCUUCCAAACCACGGAGGCUCGAUCACACCAAAUGAUUGAUUUCACAAUGGUUUCAGAAAUACAUCGUUGAAGCCAAGACAGAACCAUGUUGUUACAUCUUAACCAUGGUUCAUGAAGGAGAUCUGAAACAGGAGGAGGAUUUAGGGUGCCAUCAACAAAUUUCAAUUUGUUCUUGGAAAUUAAGGCGACCCGCAUAGAUCGCGACCAAGUCUGGUAAUUCUUGUUAUCCAAUGAUGGAGUAACAAGAACAAGUGAUGGAUUUUCAUUAGGAUGCAAGUAGUAAGGAUUUGAAGGAUUGGUUGCAAAAUCAAAAAAUGGUGGAUUCUCCAUAGAGAUGAAAGAAAUCAAAUAAUCAAGGAAUCAAAUGAACAGCGGAAUGAAAACUGAAAAUAAAAAUUCAGAAAUUGAAUAAUAAAGAGGAUUCUUGAGAUGAAUCGAUCAACAAGAGAAAUUGAUGAAGAGAUUCACAACUGAUACCAUGUUAAUAUUUAGAACACAGUAGAAAAUAGAAAGACAAGUGAUAUAUAAUUCUCAUUGAUCUGUGUGUAAAAGUACAUGACAGGUUUAUUUAUACACUAAAAUAAAGAGAAGACUAAUCAACAUGUAUAAAUACAAUUGAAUAGAAUACUAAUAAGCAGGCUAACUAAUAGGUUAUAGUUAAUGAUAAUUAAAUUAAAUAUUAACAUGUAACAUAUAUUGAUACUAAUACUCUAGAAGUACACAAUAUUUACAUGUUAAUUUAUAUGCAUUUCGUUUGUAAAUGGUGUAGACAAGGAAUUGCUAAUUUUAAGUAAUAACUAUACAUACAAGUGUAUGUAAUUCAAGUGAAUGUUUUUUAUGAUGUGGACUAUUGAAUCUAUUAUAAUUUUUUAUUAUGCAAAUAAAAUUCACUUGCACACAUCAUUAACAUUGUAGAAAAAAAUAUGACUACAAUGUAAAUCAUCAAAGACAUUUUAAUGUUUUUCUACUAUAGUGUAAUCAUCAGAGAUUUAGUAAUGAAGUUACAUAUCUAGUCAUGCUUCUGGUUUCACACUCUACACCUGUGAAACCCGGAUACCAGAUACGAUACUGCACCGAUACGUCGAUACAGAAAAAAAUUAAAAAUCAAGAUACGAUACGGUUGGGAUACGUUAAUAAAAAAAUUAUAUAAUUAAAUGUACAAUAUAGUUAUAACCAUUUUUUUUAAUAUGCAAAUAUAUUAACAAGCAAAAGAAACCGGUCAUAGGCUCCUAGCACAUCAACAUAAAUAUAAAUAAUAUUGACGAUUAAGAGAGUGAUGAUUAGUCAAUUAGAAACACAAUAUAUCCACAAAAAAAAAAAAAACACCAUUAGUGCUAUACUAUAUCCAAAAUGAACAUUGUUAGUGUUAUACUAUAUCGAUCCAAAAAAAGCACUAUAUUCAAAAAAGAACACAUCACUACUCAGGAGUUAAGUUAUUUUAGUUAACAUUAAUUGGGAAAUAUCAGGGCAGAUAUCGGUGCAGAAUAAUUAUUGAAUACUCUCCUGGUACGUGUAUCGGGAAGUAUCGGAUAAUUAUUUUUUUUUAAAAUAAAAUUUAAUCUUCGGAUACUCUCCUGAUACGUAUCGGGAAGUAUCAGGCAGGUAUCGGUGCAGGAUACGCAGGGGAUACGGUACGUCAUCCAUUUUGAAGUAUCGGAGCUUCAGCUACACACAUCAUCAAAGACAUUUUAAUAUUUUGGUGCUAUUAAGGAUAUUAAAUACUUUUUCUAAGUUAAUACUCCACGUUACUCUUGAAUUAUUAUAACUUCUCAGAUGUUUCAUUAGAUACAAAGAUUUAGUAAAUGUACAACAUUUUCCUCAUAGUAUAAUCCAAAACCACUUGUGAUCGAUAAUUUUGUUUAGGGGUCUUAAUAUAUCUCAAUAUUUUCAUGCCCAAAGAUUACAAGCUCAUUAACCUUGUCCGGUAAAUAUGGCAUUGGUCUUUUUUCUUUUUCUUAGUUAAAGAUUUAGUAUUGUUAUUAAGCUUAAGACUUAGUUAAAUAACUUAUUUUAAUAUUUUGUAUUAACUAGUAGUUUUUUAAACAACAAUAGGAUGGGAUUGAGUCCAGAAACAUGAUAUGUGCAUAAUUGGCGUCGAAUUAUUUAUAAUUAUUACUAAUAUAAAAUAUGGUCAAUUAUUUUACCAAAAAAUAUGGUCAAUUGUUAUUGAGCACUAAUUAUGGAUAAAUAAUUUGAUUAUAAAUGGACCGUGAUGGGUUUGACGAUUUAAUAAGUUCAAUAAGAGAUCUCUAUCUUGAAUCGUUUAACUAUUAAAACUUUAUCACUAAGACGUUUAGAAAUACUGUGAAACCUAAUCUAUGAACCUAAAGAUGAUGAGGAUAGUGCAGGCCUCUCAUAGUUGCUCUCUCAUCGGUUGUGUCAAAUCAUAUAUGUCUGAUAAAAUAUGGGUAGAGUUACUUGAUGACAAUCAAAAUCGUUUAUUUUUCUUUAAUUAUUUGUGUUAUAUUUAUAAUAUAAAUAGAAUAUUUUAUAUGUUGCUAAUAAUAAUUUAUCCUGGCAGACAAGCAUGGGAUGAAUGAUCGAUUAUGAGACAAGUAUAUAUGAAGCCAAUGAAGUAGUUGUCUGUCCAAAAACUGCAUGCAACCCGAAAAUUGGAUAUCAGUACAGAUAAACCUCUUCUAUACGCUUAUCAAAAUAUCACAUGCAACAAAAAACACACGCAUGUAUUUUAGUCCCACUACUUUUCUGAAAUCUUUCAAUAUCAAAUCUCAACCAUUUUCUAGUUCAGUGAUUCAUAUUUACGUUUCCAUGUGGAAAAUGAUAAUAACCUUAACUGACCCAUUAAAUUAGGUUCUAUAUUAUUUCUUUUCAAGUAAAAAAUUUAACAGAAAUAGAAAAGUUAGUUUUCUAAGUUGUGUUAUGUUCCUUGCAAUGUAAUGCUUUUACUUGUCGAAGAAAGAAAAGAAACGUGAAUCUACUUAAUUUUAAUUCAUAUGAAUGAAUGAAUGAAUGGAUCCCCAAUUCCCCAUAACUUUACGUCAAGUGUAUUAUUUAAUUUAUUUACAUUAGGGUUCUUUAUAUAAUUUUUAACCAAUUAUAUAUGGUUGAGCUAUUUUAUGCUCACACUAGAUCUUUUUUUUCUUUUUCUAAUCAACAUAAACAUGGCUUAAAUUUGAGAUAUAUGAACAUGAGGCCCGUGUGCAUUACAUCAUGUGCAAUUAAGUUCGAUGGGUUUUGUGGCUUGGCUUUUAGGCAGAUCUUAGGGCUCAUUUAUGUUUGCAUGUGUAUAGUUAAUCUAAGUUUGAGGUUCUAGUUCGUAUAAAAUAAGUGGAGGACUAUAAUUGAUUGACAAGUGGGUGUCCUUUAAUUUGUUUUCAUGGUGGACAAAAAUUGAGGAUCACCCAUGUUUGAUUUAUGAAGAAAAAUAAAAUAAAAUUGUUAAUAAUUGUUAUAAAUUUAAUGAAUGACAUGCAAGAUUCAAGUGAUUAAUAAAUUUUAGUUAAAAACGAACUGAUAGGGAAUUUCGAAUUCGAUAUUUGGCUGAACAAUCUUUAAAAACUAGAGGUUAAGCUUUAGUUUGAUGUUAUGGGAUGCAGUAUCCUCCAGAUUAGUUUCUUCUCUUAGACAAUAAAACUAAUAUCAACAAUAAAAAUGAAAUUAAAAAUAUUAAGCUGAGCAAAAAAAAAAAAACUUGGGGCCUUCAAAACCCUACGAAGUCCCUGUCCACAGAAUUAAGUCAUAAUCUGAUGGUUAACUUUGUUUCUGAAUACGAUAUCGAUUUUUAGCAUCCAAAUCUUAGUGGCUUUUAGAGGUUACAUAGAGUUCUUUUGAUACUUCACUUCAUGACAAUUUAACAUGGUUUAUGCCUUACAAGUUUGGUUUAUGACUUUUGGUAGCUCUGUUAGGUCGUUUAUCAAUUUUUAUUUUCAUUAUUUCCUAAUCCACAUAAGUGAAGAUUUUGAUUGAUAAAGACUUUCUCAACCUCCUCAAUUCAUAUAGUUGCAUACAGCAUACUGUUUAUAUACAAUAAUAGAAAUGUUAGUUUAGUUCACUCUCAAAUCAAUUAAUGGAAUACAAUUACUUGUAAGCACCAAUAUAAAGUUAAAAUAGAAAUCAAAUAAAAAACUUCGCAGCAUUAUUGAACUCAACUGAAUUACAUAUAUAAUUUUGAGAAGUUUGUUUUUGAACAUUAGGUACGUAAUUGUCUAAUAGGUUCUCUCUAUAUGAGGUAAUCAUAUUUGAGGUGUACGUCGGUCUGCGACACCCAACAUGUGUUGGUUUACGUCGGUUUAUAUAAAAUAAACAAGAUACUUAAGAAAUUUGAUGAUUUUUCUAUCAUCUAUCUGCCAGUUUAAAUUGACUUAUUUGAAUUUAUUUGUUCAGUUUACUUUCAUAAACUCUAAGAAAAAUUAUGAUAACAGUUAUGACUUAUACAAAGUAAAUUAACUUUAUUUUAUCUUUGUUGUAAGAAUAUUUUUUACACAAGUGUUUACCAUGAACAGCAGAUUAAGUUACUUAUCCAAGUAUAUCAACGUGAUAAACGACUAAAAUGUUGUGUAAUUUCAUAAUCAUAUGGCAUAAAUACAGCAUCGAAGGGUUUCAUAAAAUCCUUCUUACUGUUAAAAUUAAAAUAUAUGAGCUGCUUAAUUAUAAUGUGUCACUGUGAUGAACACUCAGACAGUAGUAACUAGUAAUGGAAUCUAAAGUUCCUUACAAACUUAGCAUUGAUGAUACUCAACAUUACCGAUAACUUUGAUAAAAAUCAAUAAUGGCCAAAUAGAAACAUAGUAUGAUAAAAUUACAAAAUACAACUAGUGUACUUUCCCGUGCCAUGCCAACAUAAAUUAAAAUUUGGCAUUCUCUCUAAACUCAUUCGAGGAGCUAAUCCAUAUAACUAAUGACCUACUUAACUCUCUGUUUCUGUUGAUUUUUGUCCUUUCCGCGACCUCUUCCUUUUCCUGCUUCUCUUCACUGUGUUGUCUCCUUUGGUUUCCUGCGUAAGAGUCAAGUAAAGGAAACAUCUAACAGAUCAGUAAGAAGCAUGCAAAAUAUAAGUUCCAGCAGAUAAGACACAUUUAAAAUAUGCUAUAUACUAUAAAAUAGCUGAACUAAACUAAGGGGUUUGGAAUUUGUUUAAUAUGCAUGCAUAAACAAAACCAGAACAGCUAAGUAUAUAGCAUCUAAACUGUUUUGCGCAGUUGCAACAGCCAACGCUAUCUUAAAUUGAAAAGAAAACUAGCAUUACAGAAUUCAGUUUUUCAGGUUAGACGGUAUUCUAAAAAAGACAUGGUUAGCAGAAGGGUUCGGCUUGGAACUAUUGUCGGCCUAUCAUAAGCAGCCUUAAUUUGCAAUUUUAAGAGUCAUGACAAAUUGAAGAAAAGUUAACAGAUUAGUGUUUUCAAGUUCAAAUUGAAGAAACAUUUAAAUUUUGCCAACAACCCUACCUUUGUAGGAUUAUUUUGGUUUUCACGACUUUUCUUCUUCUUGCACGAAAGUGGGUUUGGACCCUGCAAAGUUCAUAGCAAUAUCAUCAAAAAGUGACGCAAUACAACUGUUACAACAACAACCAAAUAGUAUCCCACUAAGUAUGGUUGGCUACAUAGAUCAAAUUACACCAUAAUCAAUGCAAUAACUGUUCUGUUUUAUAGGGGAACUGUUGGAAACAAUAAAUUAAUAUGAAUCAUCCCAGCAUACAUGUGAACAUGUUUAUAUUUGUUAAGUUUCAAGGAAACAUCAUAGAACACAACUUAAAAUCAAAACAUAAUACAUCUGCAGAAAAAUCUACCUCUGGGACAUCAUGAUCAAUAAAUGUUCUUAAAACUAUUUGACCCAUCAAAUGUUUUCCAAAUGCAACAAAUUUUAUAGUUACCCUCCUAAUACCCAUUAACAUGACCAUAUUUUCAUUUUUACAAAAUUAUCGUAGGAUAACAUAGAGUAAAUGGAGGGAGAGAAAACCAUAGCUCUUUAUUUUACUAAACCGUUCAAGUUAUAGAAAAUUUUGAACACUCAAAGCCAAAAUCCAAAAUACACGGCCAUAUAACUAUAUUAUCAAAGUGCAUCAAGUGCUGCAGGUAAGAGAGGGGGAGAGAAAAAGAAAUUAAUUUGUGGCAAAAAUAUAUCAAGUCUGUAUGAACAAAUUAAUUUCUAAUUGGCUGCUACCAGCUUGUUUUAUCAACAAAAGAAUACUGUCAGUUAGUUAACAGUCACUUCCAUGUGGUAGUGUAAGCUGGAGUCUUUUAGUUCUGUCAGCAUUAUGUCCCUAAAAUAUUCAGUUACAUAGUUACUGUUAUAAUCAGCUAAGAUAUCACAGAAUAAUAGACCAUCUUUCUCAAGUUAUAUCAUUUCCUUUGGUUUCUAAAUUUCCUAUAUGUUUCUCUCAUUACCUCUAUCAGCUACAAACAAAAUGGUAAGCUAUAAGCCUAUCUAUGUUUAGACAUGUGAAAAUCAAUAACCAAUCAAGAAAAAAGACGCAGCACAAAAUUAAAAUAUAACCUUUGCUUUUCUUCUCUUGAAUUGAGGUUUAUCCCUGACGCCAUUCUGAUUCCUUGAAAUUAUGCUUCUUUUUAUUGCCUGUGCACUUGCAAUCGAAUCUCCUAAAUCAUUGUUUUCCACUAUUUCAGCAUUGGAAUUAUCAGCUUCACCAUCAGCCAGUUUCUUCAUAGCCCUAUCCUUAAAUAUCUGGUACUCUUUAUCGGUCAUAUGCAAUCGUCUUUCUUCAGAAGUUUUGACAUACUCCUUCUGAAAUGCAGAUGGAGAUUCGAGGAAAAGAGCAUUUCUGAGACCAAAUAUGAGGGGCACACCAGGUACCUGCAACAAGCGGAUAAAGACUAAACAUAUGUACAAUGGGACAAAUUUACACAAAGUCAACAUAUUUUAGACGUAAAUACGCAGAAGUUCAGUGGCACUGUGACACAGAACAUGCCAUUAAUGCAAAUAACAUUUUAUCAUGUUUACAAAGUGACAGCAACAUAUUGAAUUGGUACAAUCAACAUUACAAAAAAAAUAUUCCAACCUCUUCCAACUUCUUCCGUAGGUCAGUGUCCUGACUAGCAACAAAGAAGUGCUCGGAAUUAUUUUCUCCAACAACCUCCAUGAUGCAGGAAUCGGCCCUCACACAUUUAUCAUGCUCGCAUCUGCAAAUUGGAAUUUAGAUCAAAUUAUAAAACCAUCACCACAGCAAUACUUGUGCUCAAAUAUCUCAACCCAAAACAACAAUCCUUUCCAGUCUAGUGGACUAAUCAAAUAUUAGAUACUGAUUAUUAAGACUUAAAAAGUUAACAGCUUCGAUUCUUCACAUUAGGCAGCCUUUUAACAUGUCAUUUCAGUCGGCCAGAAAAGUGAUUCAGAGUAGGAAUGUCAAGGUCAGUUCUAUACAUAUUUGGGUCUAUAAAUAUCAAUUCUCAAUGCAAUUAUAUCAUUUAUAACAGAUCUCAAUGAGGGUAACAAAGUAAGUACACUAGUGAUUUGGGUGAUCCGCAAUAUUAGAUACUGAUGAUUAAUCAAUUGGGCGAGGAGCUAAAGGUGGCUUUCUUGCCAAAUAACAAUAUAAGGGGCAGAAAAAAAUUAGAAAGAACUUCAAAUAUGAGCAACAAGAGUAAAUGAAAACCUAAAGGAUUUAAAACGCUUAAAUUCUUCUGAAACUUCAAAGUUGUUUCUUCAUUGAGGCAAAAGGAGGUGUUGCUUUGUGUCUAACAAAAACUUAUUGGACUGAAUUAGACAGACCCACUUUCUUCAAAUUUGUGUUUUCUCAACCUAAUAUAGUGUUGAUAAUGGUGGAAUAUAGAAAAAGGGCAGAAAUUUAUCAUAUAAAGAUGCCAUUGCAGCCUACGGUGCAGCCAUGGCAGGAACCCCUUUACAAAUUGCCUAUGGGGAUUGUCAAAAACUCCGAUAUUGCCAGUGGCCACCAUUUAACAACACUAACCUAACCAAGCCUUCCAAAACUACAUCACCCAAACAUGCUGACCGAAUUAUUCGGAACCAGCCCAUUUGACCCCUCUCUUAAAUAAAAUUAGUAUAAUAAAUUUACAUUUAAAGGGUCUCAGCCUACUCAAUCCGGUAUCAUUCAUCAUGCACAUCUAUCUUAAUGACACAGGAAAAGUUUGUUAAACAACUAGGCUCUGUUUGGAUAACCAACUUAAUUUGCAGCUUAUAGCAUAAACACUUAUCAUGAUAAACGCUUAUGCAUAACCUAUUUCCAUAACAAAAGUAUAAAUAACGUUAAAUUGUUUUCGUAAAGUCUCCUAAACAGUCUCACCAGUGCCUAUAUCACUAGAUAAGCUCAAAUACACAAGUCAAUUCAAACAGCAGUAAGAAGUGUGUAUACCUUGCAAUUAUAAGAUCAUUCGCUGCAUCAAGAGCCUCUGAAUACGACUUCCCAAGCCGUUUCAAUUCAGCAACAACACAUCUACAUCACCACAAUCCAAAACUCAAAUCAACAACACGAAAAAAAAAAUCAAAACAAAAACAAAAGCACCCAAAACAAAACAAAACAAAAUAAAAACAAAAACCUUGUUGUGUAGAGCUUGACAGUGGCACUAAGAAUAUUGGCAAGAGCAGUAUCAGCAGGUGUUAUACGAUUGACAAUAAGGUGAUUAACAAAUGUUCCAUCACAUAGAACUUUGUAAGGUUUUCGAAAACCAAAACAUGCAGUGUAAAACGUUAAACUCUUCCUAUGUCUCUUUUGUUUCUUAACCUUCAUCUACAUAAAAAAAUCAAAAAAGGGUAUUCAAAUUAAACAACAAAGAAACUAAAUUUGAAGUUUGGUGUUCAGUGAUAAUAACAAGUUCUUUCAUAUACCUUAUACAAAAAAUCUCAGCUGCCGGCGACGAUCAACUCCGACGGCGGUUCCCGGCAAUGUUUUGUUUAUUGCGGCGGUUCGGUGACGACAGCGGCUGUGAGACUGAAAGGAGAAUACGGUGUAUGGAAAUUGUGAAGGUUAAUGGAUAAUGGAUAAUAACCGGUUAACUCAAUGGUAACCGACCCGUUUUAAGUUUUGUCAAAAUGGACUGGAUCAGUUAAAAUGAAAUUGCUAUGAAACAUUACCUCAUCGGCGGUUAACUGCCGUCGGUUAGGUUUUAACAGCAGUUAACUCUCUCCGUCAGUUGGCUUUCAACGGUAGUUAAAUACCGUUGCAACUUGCAAUCAAGCAUUCACACAACAUGUUCUGUUUUAAGAAUCAACCAAAAUUCAGUUUCUUUAUUACCUGUAAUUCAAAAAAACAACAAUCCAGAGGUAGUACAACCUUUAAACCAAUUAUAAUCACUCACAAGCAAGAACAAUACAUAAUUUUGUACAAUUGACCAAAAUUAAAUCAAUUCGACAUUUCGUUAAAAUUACACGAAUGUUCGAAAUUCAACAAAAGUGCAAUAGUAGGUGUAAAUAAUAACUUAUUUGAUGGAAGGGGAAAAUAGGUGAUGAUGGAACAGUAAGUAGGAGUAGGUUUUUGUAAUCAACAGUAUCCAUGCGCAAUGGCAGUUAAUUGUCGUUGAAAGCUAAUUGAUGGUGUGUUAACCGUUGUUGAAACUUAAUCGGAAGUAAUUAAUUGUUGAUGAGGUUAUAUUCGUCAUUUCAUGAUAUUUUAUAGCAAACUUUGAUGUGGGAGCGCAACAAUUUUCCAGUUUUUAUGCACACCCCUUAGAUACAAGGGUAAAGUGACACUGAAUGAUGGUGUUUCAUACAUGAUUAUGUGAUAUUUUCUAAUAGUAUAAAUUGUUUUACAUAAUACAUCUUUCGAUUUUAUAUGAGCAUAAAUAACUAUUUUCACACUUAUUAAGAAAAUUAAGUAUUCUCCUUUUCAGCUCUAAGUAAUAGUGUUAAGUAUGUGUUAAGUAAAGUAAGUUAAGUUUUGUUUAUAUUUGAGACCAUUAAAUGAGUUAUAUAUUUAUUUUUUUAUAUUUGAGAAAGGUGUUGAGUAGAAAUCCUUUUGGGGAUAGCUUGUAAAAUGACCAUCAAUAUUACUUGAAUUAAUAAAAAUUUCUCCUUCCCGAUUUUUUUUUAAAAAAGAGUGGUGUAUAAUAAUUAAACACUUGUUAUUAUAAGAAAAUAUAUAAUUGCAAAAAUUACACUUGUUUUAAAAGGGUUAAUUCAAAAUUUGACAGAAACGACAAACUUAUGCUCACAUCAAUAACAUAAGGGACCGGCAUAAAAAAAACAUGCAAUUAAACAAUAAUUUUAUUUCUAUCAUAACAAUUGUUGGCAAUAAAAGAAAUAAGAAUGAAGUCAAUGAAGGCUAACUCAACUGGUAAGUAGUUAACUUUUUUAACCUUGAGGUCUGUCCUAACUUGGUAAAUUAUUUGUUGGAAUCAUGAACCAUGGGGUGGAAGCAUGUUUAUGCACAUUUAGAAUGUACUCCUUCGUACUAAAAUAUAAGUAAAAUUUGAUCAACAAAAGUCAAUGUAUUUGAUUCAAAAUUUAUAUCAAAUACAUCAACAUAUGUUGACUCAUUUUUACUUAUAUUUUGAAAUGAAUGGAGUAUUAUGUUUCUGCCUAUGUAUCCAAGGAAGAACAACCUCAAAUUUUAGUAACCAUCCUUAAUCUCAACGAUAGUGCUUCCGAUGUAUAAAUGUAAACGAUUCAGUGAAUGCAUAGCUGGGUUCAAGGGAUUGUUCAAAGAUUUCAGGAGCUUUCUAGUUGCUCAUGAUAUGCUCUUGGGGGUUCUUAUAAUAUAAACCCAAUUUCCUGUUUUUCCUUUUCUUGUUUUACCUUUUUUAUCAUUUUUUUUUUCUUGAAUUUGAUUUAUAUCACCUCAGGUUUAUGUAUUUUAUUCUUUGGAUCUCGCUAACCAGUGCCCUUAGAGUAUUGGUUAAAGAAUCUACAAAUAGAAAUUUUGUCUUAAAAAUAUAAGAUGUUACUUUUGAUCAAGUAAUGAUUACAUAAUUUUUUCAUGAAAACUUGUUUGUUUUGAAUGGUUAACCAGUGCCCUCCUUUAGGGCACUGGUUACCAUUACGGAUAAAUUUUUCGCUUGAAAAAAAUAAAAAUAAAAUCAAUUUUUUCUCAUAAAUUAUCACCUUUAUCAUGUUUCAUAAUUCAUAGGCAUAUCCAAGCCUCAUCUUAUCUUUUGCACAUGAUAUGAUUCCCUCUUAUGAUUUGAUAUGUGACUAGGAAUAGGAUUAGGCAAAUGCUAUUAUAUAACUAUAAUAUAAUAUAUCUUUGUUUAAGGUUAUCCCUUUAUCAAUUAAUCACAAUCCUCCCAUGACAUUAUAAUUAAAAGACAUUGUUGUGUUAGUGGGUGAUAUUCUAUAAAUUAUUUCUUCCAUCAUGGGAAGGAUGAAGAAAGAUCCAUAAGCUUAUUCAUUUGCUUAAAAAAUUGAAUUCCACGAAAAAGAUCAAACAUAUAUUUUAUGACUAAAUUAUUACAUUGUUCAUUGUUUGCUUUGGCUAAGAUAUGGCACCCCCAAGCACAUCCUAACAACCACGUGUAUAGAUGCUGUAGGUGCGUUAUACAUUCAAGUUUGUCGUUUUUAUUUUGGAAACAUUUUUUUUAUGGAUAAUUACUUCAUUUAAGUUUUAUUUCUUGGAAGCUACAGAUGCAGCUUUUCAACCAUGAAUGAAUGCAUUCUUGUUGCAAAACUUCAACUGAAUGCUACAAUUUGUGAAGUAAAGUAGAUUUGUCAAUCAUAGAUCGACGGAGGGAAAAAGAUUUAUAUUUUGACAAAUGUUUCAUAUAAUAAAUUAAAGGUGGUGAAUGUUUCAUAAUAAAUUAAAGGUCGCUCUAACUUGUACUCGAUAAAGUUAAGGCAAUAGAGAGAAAGUAAAAACAUAAUAAUAAUAAUAUGAGAGAGAAAUUUGUCAAAAAAAAAUUGUCGAAAAAUAGUUGUACAAAUAUUAUUUCUCUUUUAAAAAUGUGCUAGCAAGGAGACCUUGUGUUUAAGGAGGGGCGGGAUAACAAUACCCCCAUCCCGUCUCGACAAGUAUAAGAAAAAAGUUGAAUCGAAACCCACAUUUAGUUAUAACGGAUUUCUCUGAAAAAAGUCUUCGGAUGUGUUAGGUCAUACAAGUUUUCAGAUGAGUACUUAGACUUUGAUAUGACUUUUUUUUAGGGAAGACUUUGAUGAUUGACCUCCUUAAAAAACCUAUUAAAUAAGAAUUUAAAUUAACCAACCUAUUUACUUCAAACACACCCUAAUAGGCAAUAAGUCAAGAAUCAAAAUUGUAGAAAAGGGAGAGGAAUUCAAGUUGCCAAAUUUUAAUUGAAAGCAUACGUGAUGCUAGAAGUAACAACAGCGAUAGCAAUUUGUUGUCAAGUAGAACAUGUCAAGAAUAAACGGAUAAAACUAUGAUUAUACUCUUUAUAUAAAUCGAUGAUGUAAUUCAAAAUCUUUUUUCUACAUAUAGAAACAUUCAAUCAAUUCAUAAUGUCUUUUUAUAAUUCUAUUUGAUACAUCAUCCAACACUAAAUGUGAAUGUAUCAUGAGAGUCUAACAUCUUAAGCUAAACGGUGUUUAUGACUUUAACUGAUGAUGUUAACUAAUGUCUUUGAAACAUUUAUUAACAAACUUCUUUUACACUUUUAAAAUAUCGACUACAUAUAUUUUAAAAUAUUUUUAUUAUAUUUGAUUCUUUAACAAGUUACACGAACAACUUCUUAACAUUUUUUUCUUUAAAAAAAAAUUUCACAUUUCUCAUUUUAUCAUAUUCAUUUUCCACAAUGGAUGACAUCAAAUGUGGGGGACAUGAAAACGUUGUAGGUAUAGACAACAACAAAAACAAUUAACAACAAUACAUUUUAAAAAUCAACAAUAAAACAAAACCUUCUUUUCCCCCACUUUAUCUUUGUAUAUGAUUUUUCUUUGAGAAUAUCGUCACAACCAUAAUUAGAUACAUAAAUAUAAUAACUAAAAAAAAUAUCACAGCUAACAUGGGGUGACUAAGAUCCAAAAUGAAUCAUGCUGGCUUUGAAAAUGAAAGCACAAAAGAGUGACAUCAAUCGAAUAAUUUAGUGUGCGGCGACACGAAGUUGCGUAUGUAAUUAUAACAAGAUAGGUUAGUGAGAGUGACAUGUAUUUUGAAGGAUUGAAUAUGGUUUGGUUUUUGGUUCAUGUUCAACUUACUUGUCUAAAAAGUUAAACUUAAUUUUUGCAUUUUAGGGGUUUAAAAGUAGAUAAUGGACCACCUUAUCUAUGCUUCAAUUGAAGAAAUGGUGAUAUUAUUGAAUCAAUAGGAAGGGACAAUUUAAAGAGAUGGAUGAUAAUGUGGCAAGAGAGUUUUAGCCAAAAAAAAAAAACGUGGCAAGAGAAUUGUUAGUUAUAGCACUCUUAUUUAUUUAUUGGGUCACACCAUUUUCCUUAAUUUUUUUUAUUGAGAAUAUGUUGAUUGGGUUUCAUAUACUAACCAUGAUCAGGAAUUUUUUUAGAAGUUUUAAUGUUGUGAAUUCAGAUCAAAAUUCACAUUAAUAUUUGCUCAUUUGGUUAAGUUUAAAUUUGACAUACAUUUAAUUCUUUAAAAAGAGAAACAAAAAAAAUUACAAGAAAUUAACAUCAACAAUGACGGUCAUAAUUUUUAUCCUUUGUCUGAAUCUCUUGAUGUGGUCAAAAGACUCAAUGAUUUAUUCUCUAGGUGUACACAAGUAUUUUCCAACCCUAAAAUCUAUUCCAAAAGAAACAAUAUUUAUGUAUCUUAAUUUGCUUGAUAAGGCCUACUUUGCCUCACUCCCACCUCAUUGUUAGAACUAAAAACUGGAGCCUUUUAUAUAUGGGUAUCACUCUGCUUGUCUAACACUUCAAGAAACAACUUUGCGGACAAUUGCCAAAAAAAUAAGCAAACAAAGUGAAACAAUCACUUUGUUUGUCUUCCACAUCAUGAAAUGGCCUUAUGAAAUAUGUAUUGUCAAGCAAGAAAACCGCAUUGUUUUUCUACUCUUUUGAGAAACAAGUGGCAUCAUCAACUUUCUUGAGAAGCAAAAAAAAAAAAAACUCAAAAUGCUAACAAAUGUACUUACAUUUAUCCAACAAUGAAAUUAUCACAUCAACAGAGAGAUUCAAAUUCAAGUCCUUGUAAAAUUCGGUUUGAAUUCAAUUAUCAAUUAUUCCAAACUAAAUUGACACUCUAUUUUAUCUACACACCUAUAUUAUUAUUAUUUUUAGGGUUAAUUAUUGAAAUUGACAUGUAAUAUAAACGAAGUCUCAAAAUGACGUUGUUAAAUAAAAAUCACAUAUUCUAACCCUGUAAUUCGAGAUUCUUAUUAUUUAUGAUCAUGUGAUAUACGUAAAGUCCAAAAAAGCAACCUAAAGAUUUAAUUUUUUCAUGAUUUUUUAGAGGCAUGUUAAGAAAGUUAAAAUAUGAACUGACAGAAAAAAUUAGAAAUUUUCGAUAAGCAACAACUUAAUUAUGAAUUUUUAAAGCGUCAAAAGCUCAAAAAACAAGAAUGAAAAUCUCAACCUAUAAAUCAAAUUGUGAGCUCACUAUUUGUAGAGGCAUCUAUAAAAAUACACAAAAAGGAUCUACAAAGUUUCAUAGCGUUUAGAAGAAGUUUCAAUUUAUUUUUGUUUUCCAACUAAAACGUGCAAAAUUGAAAUUUUGUUUCUAUUAAGCGACUCACAUGUCAAAUUUUAUUCCCUAAUUUUGUAGGCAUGGUCAGAACAUAAUGAAUUUUUUCAGUUUUUAAACGAGAGACAAAUUAAUUAUAAAUUGUUUAAGAAAUUCAUAAUUAUGGGGAAUAAAAUUCAUAAUUAAAGACAAAGUGGUCCUUUUAAGUUUCAAAAGUCUCAAACAAGUCCUUUUAGUUUUUGAAUCGUUUCAAACAAGUCCUAUUGUAGAUAGCAUAGUUGGUAAUUGCUUCCUUCAACUCAUCUUUGGUACCAAAUCUGGCUCCUAGCACCCACUUAAAAUUAGUCAUCUUUUUAGGCAUGACAAAUGGUGGAUAAUGCUCUUUGUUGCUAUCAUCUGAAUCAUCACCAUCAUCCUUUAAAAGGACUUGUUUGAAACGAUUCAAAAACUAAAAGGACUUGUUUGGGACUUUUGAAACUUAAAGGACUUGUUUGGAACUUUUGAAACUUAAAGGACCACUUUGGAAAAAACGAAAAACUUAAAUGACUUUUAGAUGCAUUUGACCUAAAUUGUCAUUCCUAGAAACGGAAAAUAACUUUUGUUCCUGAAACAGUAAUUAACGUUUUCUCUAUAUUUCAAUCUAAAUAAGUGAUUUUCACAUAGAUCUAGGUUUUUUCUUUAUGAUUUCAUCAUCUAAGUGUGGUGGUUUGUUGUUCGUCGUCUUGUGCGGCGCUGUUUGAUUUUCCGUCUUCUUGCGGUGUUUAUUUGAUUCAUAUUGAAGAUUGAUUAUUCAAUCAAAGAUUUGGGCGUCAACGUUGCAGAUCUGGAGGCCAUGGAUAUUCCGGCCACUUUAAUUUUAUCAUAUAUUUUUGUAGGCAUUAUGCUGUUAUAUAUGCUAUUAACUUGGAUGUUGUGAGUAUGUUCGCAGAUUCAUUCUUUACGUUUUUAGCGGUGUUGAAUGAUAUAGUCUCUCGAUUUAAAUAAAUGAAUAUCAUUUUGUUUUUGUCAAACAAUAAAAAAAACUAUCAUUAAUCAACCAAACAAUAAUUAAUUACUGCUAGAGCUAUUUUCGAACGUUCAAGGUGCAUAUGAACAAUUCAUAGGUGCUAAAGAGCAAUUUUCGGAAAACAAAGUGUAUUCAACGGACAAUGAACAAGUGGGUCUUAAUACAACCAUGUGAAGAAUUUAUUCCACACCCCUAUAUUUUGCUUGGAAAAAAAUAACUUUGUUGAAUAUAAAUGAUAUAAAAAAUUCCUGAUAAAUAUGAGAUUAUACAGUUUUACUGGUAAAUAUGAGUUAUUAUAUACACCUCUUAUAAAUAAAGGGAUACUCCCUCCAUCCCCAAUUAUUGGAAGAAAAAAAAAACUCUUUGUUUGUCUCAAAAUAUAAGCAAAACAACAAGUGUGACAAAUUAAAAGUAUGGUGCACAAAUUAAAAGUAUGGGCGUCAACAUUGCAGAUCUGGAUGCCAUGGAUAUUCUGGUCACUUUAAUUUUAUCAUAUAUUUUUGUAGGCAUUAUGCCGUUAUAUGCUAUUAACUUGGAUGUUCUGAGUAUGUUCGCAGAUUCAUCCUUUACGUUUUUAGCGGUGUUGAAUGAUUUAAUAUCUCGAUUUAAAUGAAUGAAUAUCAUUUUAUUUUUGUCAAAAAAAACUAUCAUUAAUCAACCAAACGAUAAUUAAUUACUGCUAGAGGUAUUUUCGGAAGUUCAAGGUGCAUAUGAACAAUUCAUAGGUGCCUAAAGAAUUUAUUCCACACCCCUAUAUUUAGCCUUCUACUCCUACUAGUUUGAGACAGGGCAUAUUUUGCUUGGAAAAAAAUAACUUUGUUGAAUCUAAAUGAUAUAAAAAAUUCCUGAUAAAUAUGAGAUUAUACAAUUUUACUGGUAAAUAUGAGUUAUUAUAUACACCUCUUAUAAAUAAAGGGCUACUCCCUCCAUCCCAAAUUAUUGGAAAAAAAAGCUUUUUAUUUGUCUCAAAAUAUAAGCAAAACAACAGGUGUGACAAAUUAAAAAUAUGGUGCACAAAUGAUUUUAGUCUUUAGAUUUAUUUUUCUUCACAAUAAUACCAUGUACCCAUCACACCCCUACUAAAUUCUAAUGCUUCACCCCAACUCUCGCAUACUUUUCACUAUUAGACCCUUAAAUUCAAAGUUAGUACCGGUCUGUUUAGUUAACCCAAAAAAAGAGUUUUUAGCUUUUAGCUUAUAGCUUAUAAGCUCGUUUGACAAAAAAAGCUCUGUUUGGUAACACUUUUUCACCAUGAGCUUAUAGCUUAUUUCACGAGCUUAUAAGCUAUUUUUCAGAAGCUAUUCCAAGUAGCGUUUGAGCUUAUAGCUUAUAGCUUCUCACUUUUUCUUCCAAUUUUACCCUUAUUAUUUCAUUUAAAUUGUAUUUUUAUCCAUUAUAAUUUUUAUAAUAAACUACGUAAUAAAGACUACUAUCCCGUUAUUCCAAUUUUUGUAUAUAUAUCAGCUGACCUUUUUUUUUUUUUUUUGAAAAAAUAUAUACCUUUGUUUUUUUUUUACGAAACAAAAUACUAUUAUUCUAUUAGUGUUACUUUUUUUUUUUUUGAGGUAAGUGUUAUUUUCUUUAUUCUCUGUUAUUAGUAUUACUCUAUUAGUGCUACCUUUUUUUUUUUGUUUUUGAGGUAAAUGUUAUUUUUUUUAUAAAGUGGAAACACUUAAAUGAUAAUAAAUAUAAAAUAAAAUUUUAGUGAAUAAAAUUUAAUUUAAUUUAUAAUACAUAGGAUAUAUUAAAUUAAUAAAUUUAAAGUAUUUUUUUAAAGAAAAAUUAGUUUACAAAAUUACAAAUACUUAAAUUAAUGAUAUAAUUUUUAUUAUGAAUUAAGAAUACCCUUUAUGUCAUUUUACAUUUAUCAGCUAGUUGAACCGCUAUUUUUACCAAACAGAGCCUACAUACACAACACCUAACAUGUUUCUCAUCUCCUUAAAUUCUUCAACCUUAAGUGGUUUUGUUAAUAUAUAAGCUUGUUUGAGUUUUGUUAAUAUAUAAUACUUAGUUUCAUUGUGUUUCUUGGACCACACGCAACUGGAUUUUUGGCUAAGAAAAUUGCAUUAGUUGUUUAUCACCGCCAAAAAAUUGCGUGUUUUGAGAAAUUUGAGGACACAAAUAUGAGUUUGAGAACCCUAUCACUUAACUUUCACACUGCUUCUUAUCAUCAUGAAUUAACAAACCAAAAUAUGAAGUACCUUUUAGAUAUUUCAAAAUUCUUUAUGCAUCAAUCGUAUGUGAUUGAUUUGGAUUCAAACUCUAAUUCAUUAUCUCCUUAAUUAAGUAUCACAUUCAUCAAGAAUUAACGUGAGCUUUCUUAACAAAAUUCAUUUUAACACUCUCACUUUUAUUCGAUAAACAACAAGGUCAUAUUACUUUGGAGACGAAUCCUUUAUAAAGUGGUAGGAUCCAUACGUAUUUUGUUUUAAUAAGAGAGUGAAUGUUAAAAGGUACGUUAAAAUGAGUGUUGUUAGCGUAUUUUACGAAGUAAUGUUUUGUUAAAUAUAAAAGAUGAAAAUAACAAGUGGAGUCAGAUAAUUUAGUUUUCUCUUAAAUCAAGACCACAUAAAUUGCCCUUCUCAAAUAAAGAGUAAAUUAUUUUUUGUUGUUGUUGUUGUUGAUAUAGAGAGUGAACCUCUUUCAAUAAUGGAAAUUUCUCUUUAGAUAAUUGUUCUAAGACACUUUGAUCAAACAAAAAAUGAUAUUUGUACAACUACUUUAUUAUAAUUUUUUAACAAUUUAUUAUCUCGGACUUAUAUUAUAUUAUUAUUCUCUCUCUUUAUUUUUUUCUCUCUAUUGUUUUGGACAAAUGAGAAGAGAGGAAAUGAAAGUUGUCAUCAAAGUUGUUACAUAUGGUUGUACAUAUAUCACUACUCUUAAUCAAAAUAUUUCCAAUGAUAUUAAAUUUUUGUAUAUAUUUUUUUCUUUGUUUUUGUAUUGGUAACUUAUAUGUGAUAAUAAUUCUCUUGUAGCAGAAAACAGAAAAAGAGACAAAAAAUAAAAAGCAGAAGCUUGCUACAAAACAACUCCCAAACACAUAAGGGAAUUAAACCACCACUUAUGUUAGUUUAAAGAAAAGUUAAUGUGAUUCGUUUUCAACCACAAAAAAGAUUAAAGUUUAUUUUUUUUUUAGAAGAUGUUGAACCGCAUUCCCCUUUUGUUGGCGAAUCUGAACAUUUCUUUCCCGCCAAAUGACCCAGACAUAUGAAAAUCAAAUUAGAUGAAGAACUAAACAGAUUCUUUUAAAGACCGCCUAGUAAUCCAAAUUGAAGAAGAUGACUUUAACAUGUUCCAGAUAUUUCUAACAACAUAAAAAUUGAAAAUCUAUUUUCUUCAAACAUAAGGAGGUAAGAUAUAAACUAGUUAAAAAUCUUUUUUUUAGAUAAUAAAUAAACACAAAUAGCUUCAGAUUUUUUUUCUUUCAAAAUCUCUAAAAAUAAUCUCCAGAUUUCUAACACAAAAUCUAUUUUUUUUCUUAAAGUAAAACAAACAUACCCUAAAUUUUUUCAUGCUUCAGCCACGUCAAGAAAGAGGUAAACCGCAUUAAUUUUUUGGAUAAUGAUGAAGGGGUACGAAUUGCUGAUGAACAAGGCAUGAGUCAGGUUGCAAAAGAAUAUUUUGAGACUUUAUUUUUAGAGAGCAAUAGUACUCGUGCACCGGUUGGUAAUAUAAUAGAAAAAGUUGUGUCUGAUGAUGAUAAUAUUAUGCUAACCGCUCCCUUUCAGGCUGAAGAAUUUAAGGACGCUAUGUUUUCUAUGCAUCCAGAUAAGUGUCCUGGUCCGGAUGGUUUUAAUCCGGGAUUUUUUCAACAAUUUUGGUCUGUCUGUAAUUCUGACAUUUUUCAGGAAUGUUGUGCGUGGCUCAAACAUUGCAUUAAUCCCUAAAGGUAAUGAGCAAAGAACCAUGAAGGAUUGGAGGCCGAUUGCUUUAUGUAAUGUGUUGUACAAAUUAGUGGCAAAAGUACUUGCUAACCGACUCAAAAAAAUCUUACACGAAUGUAUCUCUGAGAGUCAGUCAGCUUUUGUACCAGAGCGCUCUAUUCUUGAUAACGUCGUGAUUGCUAUUGAGGUGGUCCAUCAUAUGAAAGUUGGUAAGAGAGUUUGAGAUAAAAAUGUUGCACUUAAAUUAGAUAUUAGUAAGGUGUAUGAUAGAAUUGAUUGGCUUUAUCUCAAGGAAGUGAUGCUUAAAAUGGGUUUUGACAGUAAAUGGGUACAAUGGAUUAUGAUGUGUGUUGAAACUGUUGAUUACUCUGUCAUCGUUAACAAUGAGUUGGUAGGUCCGAUUAUACCGGGUAGAGGUUUGAGACAGGGUGACCCGUUGUCGCCUUAUUUAUUUAUUUUGUGUGCUGAAGGCUUAUCCCCUCUUAUUCGGAAAGCAGAACGAACUGGAGACCUCCAUGGCGUGUCUAUAUGUACUAAUGCACCUACCAUUUCUCACCUAUUGUUUGCAGAUGAUUGCUUUUUGUUUUUCAGGGGUGAUGAUAAUGAGGCACAAGUGAUGAAGAAUAUUCUCCAUACUUAUGAACUUGCUUCGGGGCAGGCCAUUAGUCUUCCAAAGUCUGAGGUUUUCUUCAGUACUGUUAUUCCAUUGCCUUUGAAGGAAACUAUUACUAAUAUAUUAGGUGUCCGAGCGGUGAUGGGCACGGAAAAAUAUCUUGGCCUUCCGUCUAUGGUGGGCAGAAGUAAAGAGGCGACUUUUGGUUUUAUCAAGGACCGUAUUUGGCACAAAAUUAACAGUUGGAGUAGUAAGUGUUUGUCCAAAGCUGGUCGAGAGGUAAUGAUCAAAUCGGUACUACAAUCAAUCCCAUCUUAUAUUAUGAGCAUUUUUUUACUUCCAAAUAAGCUUGUUGAUGCAAUAGAAAAAUUGAUUAAUGCUUUCUGGUGGGGCCAUGGCGGUAAUAUGCGUCGUGGAUUACAUUGGAUGUCCUGGGAAAGAUUGUCUGUUCAUAAAUUUUUUGGAGGCAUGAGCUUUAAGGAUUUGACCUCUUUUAAUGUGGCUAUGUUAGGGAAACAGGGAUGGAGGUUCCAAACAGAGUCUAGCAGUCUUGUUUGUCGAUUAUUUAAGGCUAGAUACUUUCCUAAUUCUGAUUUUAUUGGGUCCAAAAUUGGGCAUAACCCAAGCUAUGUUUGGCGAAGCAUUUUUAGUGCAAAAAUUGUGGUGAAACAGGGUGCACGAUUGCGGAUCGGUUCAGGGGUCAACAUACCUUUCUUGGGAGCCCUUUGGCUCAAUGAUGGUUUGUCUUUAUCCACAACUAAUCCUAUUUUUGAGCCUUUGAUGCAGGUGAAAUUAUGUGACUUUAUCGAGCAAGAUGUUAAAAUGUGGAAGGCGCCUCUUAUUCACAGUUUGUUUGAUGCGCAAACUGCGGAGCUCAUUCUCAAUACACCAUUGCAGCCACUUGUAUUGGAGGACAAAAUGAUUUGGAAAUGGGAGAAGAGUGGUACGUAUUCUGUCAAGAGUGCUUAUAGAAUUUGUGUUACUGAAAUUGCAGACAAUUCGCAUAUGCAUGUCAAUGGCCGGUGGAACCUUACUUGGAAACUAAAAGUGCCUCCUAAAAUCAAAAUUUUUCUUUGGCGUGUGUGUCGUGGUUGUUUUCCAACACGUGCUCGCUUAAAUAGUAGAGGAGUCUCUUGCCCACUUGAUUGUGUUCAUUGUAAUCAUAAUUAUGAAGAUAAUAUUCAUAUCCUUAUUGAGUGUCCUAAAGUUGUUCAAGUUUGGCGGAAUGCGAAUUUAUGGGACACAAUUGGCAGGGUGAUCCAUCAAGACUAUAAUAUUAGUGCUCUCAUUUUCACCCUUUUACAAAAUCUAUCUUCAGGGAAAUGUGAGCUGAUGACAACAAUUAUAUGGAGCCUUUGGAAAUGUAGAAACAUGAAGCUUUGGCAGCAACAACUUGAGACAGAUUCGCAGGUGCUUCAACGUGCAAUUCAUGUACUUGACGAAUGGCAAACAACCCAAAGAAUUAGAUCAAGCAGCAGUAACCAAACCAUAACUCCACAGGUUCGGUCUUUGAGACAAGAGGAUGCAUCCUUUUCUACUUCUCUUAACAGGGUUGGGUUGGGCAUGUGUCUUAGGGAUGAUGAUGGCGCUUUUGUACUUGCAAGAACAGAAUGGUUUGCCCCUAUUUGUGAUAUAGAUGUGGGGGAAGCUGUUGGACUACACACGGCUUUGGAUUGGCUCUCUAAUCAAAAAUUUGAUAAUGUAGAUUUUGUGCUGGAUUGUAAAAAGGUUGUUGAUUGUGUCAAUUCUAGUCUAGAAGAUAGUAGCGAGUUUGGAUGUAUUAUCACUGCUUGUAAACAGCUGCUAGUUGAUAGUUUUCAGAACUCUCAUGUUGAGUUCAGCCGGAGGCAAGCAAAUAGGGUAGCUCACGAGUUAGCUCAGGCAGCCCUAUCUAAUCCUAGCCCCCAUGUGAUUGAUGAUAUACCUACAUGUAUUUGGCAUAUUUUAUCUAAUGAAGUGCAAUGAUUUCCUUUCCUAAAAAAAAAAUGAAGAAUGGAGGGAGUAGUUUUGUCAUUGAAUAAUUAUGUGAACAAGACUCACGCAUUAGCCAAAAUAAUAUAUUAGAUGAGAACAAUUUUUUUGCACAUGAGAUAAUAAUAGUUUGGCUGUGUGAGAAAGAAAGAAAUACCGAGAGAAUAUAUAAAUGUUUAAGAAAUAAAAUAGGUUUUUUAUAAAAAAAAAAAGAAAUAAAAUAGGUUUGAUGUAUCGAUUGGUAUCCUAGAAGUAGAGGAAAGAUGAAGAAAGAAUUAAGAAGUGUCGAUAGUUUUUUAAAAUAUGAUAAUGCCCCUAAAUUAAAAAAGUUCUUCUACUUAAGCUAAUUUAAACUUUUUUUAAUUUAAUUAAUUAACCUUUCUUUUUUACAAUAAUUAAGUACUCCAUAAUUUCAGUGAUUACAUUAAUAUAACUAUUUAUUGAUUCAAAGUAUGUCAAAUAAUUCUAUAGAUUUUGGUUUGUUUAGUGUGAGAUACGAUUGACUUAAUUUCAAAGCACUCCAAUUUAUAGAAUUAUUGAGAAAUGUAAGUACUCUCAACUGUGCAUAAAUUAAUCAUCGGAUUAUUUAUUUUUCCUUCAAAAAUUCUCAAUUAACAAAAUUACUAUCAAUUUUUAUUGCAGCAUACAUAUACUUUAAAUGAAGAAAAAACAAUGUAAUAGUUGAAACUCAUGAAACCAAAAACAAUGUAAUAAUGAAAACUCUUGAAACCAAAAUUGUGAAAGUAUCUUUUUCAUAUUUGAAUUCACUGCAAAUUACGUGCAAGGCUAGCAGGUAUAAGAAAAGCAAACAAAUUCGUGCAAAUUGUGAAAUUACAGACCCAAAAGUGUUAUAAUUUUUUUUUGGUUGGUGAAAGAAAGAUAAAAAGUGCAAGUGGUAUAAUUCUUAAAUCAACUUAGUUAACUUAGUCAAUUCAUUAACACAAAAAGAAAAAUUAGUCCACUAUUUAAUUGUGAGAUUAUUAACAAUUGAGAAAAUAAAUUGAGAGGACUAAUUCAUGCCCGUCCAUUCAACGAAUAAAUUUUAAUCACUUACAUCAAUUUUUUAAUUGUGAGAUUAUUAAUCACUAUUGAAUGAAAAUACUCAUUCUAAAAUAAAUAUAAACAAAAGUGGUAGUUGUUUUUUGAAAAGUGGUAGUUGUUACCAUUCUCACUAUUUUAAUCACAUACAUCAAUUUUUUAAUUACCUUUUAUUUAUAUUGCAUUCCAAAGGGAGUAGGUAAGAUCAAUUAUUAAUAUGAAAAUUGAGAAUAAAUAAAUUUAAUGGUAAAAUUGAUAACAAUUGAAAGACCUUAGAGAAAAUAAAUUUAGAGGAUAAUUAUCAUCGAUUCAUUGUUUAAAAAAUAGUCUCGCAUUCAGUAAAAUGGUAUCAAAAGGAAAGUAAAUUAUGGACGUGGUUAUUUGUCAAUAUCAAGAAAAGAUGAAUGGAACCCACUUAUUGUAACUCUCUGCCUGCCUCUGGUACUCAUUUCAGUCUCAAUUAUUAGUAAUUUUCAUUUUUUAAAUUCAUUGUAUAAAUAAUAUAUGUGACCAUAAUAUAGAUCAUAUAUAUCAUUUAUUCAAUAUACUUAAAAAAAUGAAAAAUUGUCUGCUUGUCACAUUAACCAAAGUUUUACUAAUUUCUUAGAUCUAUGAAUAAGUUCUACAUUACUCUUUAUCAUCACUCACUUUGUUCCUCUCAAUCACCAUCCAAGACAAUAGUUUGUCUCAGUCAUGAAUUCUCAAAGAAAUGUUAGAUUGAUUACAUUAUCAAAAUAAAAGUGAGAAGUAGUACUAGCAAAUACAGAUGUGUAAACAAUAAGUCUCAAUAUAUUUUUCUUGCAAAUUAUUUUGUUUCCUUGGGCCCUUAUUAGGGUUUUGACCUAGCCACACAAAACCCAUCAAUCUCUCAUACAAUAAAUCUAAACCCUCCAAUCACUCAUCUACUAGCCGUCCGAUCAACCAUCUUUCAUUAUAUAACCAACCAUACAACUAUCUCAUUCACCAUCCGCCGUUACCAUCCACUUCUAUUCCUCUUGGCCCCUUUUCUAAAAUUAGGGUUUCUCAAUUAUUAGGGUUUUUCAAUUUUCUUAAUUUUUUUGUUCAAUUUUUGAAUUAGGCUUCACUAUCUGGUCGAUGUGGAUCAAUUCAAUUCCCAUUCAGACUCGUUCCCUUGAAGCAAUAUUAAUAUGUGUUGUUCCUUCAUUUCACUUCCAAAACCCCCUUUUUUGGUUUUGGGAGCAUGAAAGAACAACUAAAUUUUAAAAAAAAUCGUAUUUUUAUCAAUGGGUUUUCGUUUUUGAUUAAUUUGAGCAAAUGGGUUUUGCUAGUUAACUGUGAUGAGUCUUUAACAGACCUGUAAUGAAUUGCGGGUAUGAUCGCAUUUUUAUUGAACAUCUAAGGGACUGAGUUAACUAGUUAAUCUCCCAUUUUCUUAUUAAUUUUUGUUUUUAUUUUUUGUUAUAAUCCAUUUAGUGGCUUCAGAUUUUGAUUUUAAUUAUGCUUGCACCUAAUUUAUUGUGUUUGCAAUGUUCUAUGAAGCCUAUAAUUGUGUUCCCCUCGCUAUCCACUACUGCAAAUCUAAUGCUGUAUAUGGACGUCGGGGAACAAAAUUUCAAUUUUUUUUUACCAUGUGAUUAAAUGGUUUAAGCCGUUUUGAAUUAUUGCUUCUAGAUCUAUGUUUGUUUGUUAAUUUGAUUUGAAUUGUAGAUAAGGAUGAAGCAAUAUAUAUAAUCCAACACUUGAUCUGAUUUUGUGAUGCCAAAUAUAUUUAUUAUGUUUCUGAAUCUACAUUUUGGGCUAUAAUCGUAAUGUUUUGCUUGUAGGUUAAUUUAAUUUAUAUUUUGUAAAUAUUUGAGGAGUCUUAAUUUGCACUAUCAUGUGAUGAGUUUGGAAUAAAUCUUAGGACACCUUCCUACACAACAUAUGUUGUGGAUGAGAUGAAUUAUCCUUUCUGAUGAUGUUUACAAAUUUCUCAUUACUCUGUCACUAAGUUAUUUUCUAGCUACAUUUUAAUUUUUUAUGUGUUUGGCCUUCAUAAUCCCAGUUAAGAUUGAAUUUUUUUCAAGUGAUUACACUGAUUCAUGGAAGGCCAACAAUAAGUGUUGGAAGUUUCGCUGAUAAAUGCCUUUAAUUGAUUUUACAUCAGGGUGUUUACUAGUAACUUUACCGCACACUCAUUUCUAACUUUACCGCACACUCAUUUGGAAUAAAUCUUAGAUCAAAUACCCAGUUAGUAUUAGUGUGACUUAAUAUACGAUUGUUUUAUGGGUUUAUGAUGCAACUGGAAUUAGUCGGAAUUGUGACUGGAAUGAAAAGGUUAAUGUUAACAAAUAUGCGGCUGAUCUUGACCACUGUAUCUGGAUUCACUCUUUAAUUUCCUAGUACGGAGCAUUGGUUAAUUAAACAGUCUCAAGUUCAAGUACAUUUCAGUAUGGUUUCAAUGACGAAAAACUAGCAUGAUAUAAAAACCCUAAAACAAAUUCAAGUUAACCAACAAAUGCAAGACAAUACUAGAAAGAAGAAACUAGCAUUGCGAAAAACUUAGUGUGAAACAAGCUUAAGGCAGUAGAUGGUACUAGUUUAAAUUCAAGCAACAAUUACUAUCAUCUUACAAUACUAGAAACUGGCAUUGCUAGUUAUCAAGAGACAAGAGCAUCCACAAUGGGGCAUAUUUUUUGGUAUGGUGCACAAAUAGCAAAAUCACCAUUGAUUUAAUAUUUAAAAAUUCAACGGUCAGGAUUGCACACCUGGUAAUUGACUAGCAGGUAUUUCGUAAUAGUAUUCGAAAUUGCAGAAAUAUCCUAUGAAUUUAUGUAAUUAAAAUUAUAAAUUGUAGAAAUAAACCUUGAAAUUAAUGUAAUUAAAUUUGUAAUUUGAAAUUAAUAUAAUUAAUUAUUUCUGUUAAUAAAAAAAAAUUAUAUUUUUAAAUAAUCAAAGAAAAGUAUUUUAUAUUAGGCCUUUUUUUUUUCCCUUGUUAAAAAAAAUAUAUAAUUGUUGUUUUAUAAACAGAAUAAUGAAUAAUUUAUGGAUUUUUUUUUUAAAGACGAAGUCAUUAUUUAUUUAUUCCCCUUAAUUAUUCAUCUCUUCAAACAAAUAUUUGAGUUUUAAUAAGGUUUUAAUAAGCGAUGAACGAUGAAGAUGGUGACCGAUGAAAUGUGCGGUGAAUGCAGGUGUGCCAUCAUCGGCGUUUUGAGAUGGACGAUGACGAAGAUUAGGUUAUUUGAGUGGGUAUUCCGAACCGUUUUGAGGGCAAUAAGAUUGGGCUUUUUAGGUGGACCGGGCAAAAAUUAAUGGGUGACGGCCCAAAUAGAAGGUUCUGUUAAGGGUUGUUUUGAAUCUUAGCAUUGGUCGACGGCUGUGAAGAAAUUUGUAGGUUUGAAUUUUGAAAAUCUCUUCAUCGGCAGUGUCUUGUUGUAGCAGGUAACUUCAAUGUUUGAGUUAUAUUAUAAUCAUGUUAUUUACUAGAUGUUGUUGUUACUGCAGCGAUAUAAUUGAUCCGGAGUUGGAAGAAUUGAUGCCCAAUUUUGACUCACCUGCGGACGAAAAUCCAAGUGAAGAAGAAGUUGAUGGCCCAGUAUUUGCACAAUUACAAAAUUUUCAAAACGGUGAUCAUAUUUGGAUGUUGUUGGGAGUUUUUCUGGAUGGUUUUAAUUUUAUUUUUGCUGGAUUAUUUGCAUAUGGGCGCCUCUAUGGUUGGAAAGUAGUCAUUGUAUUUGUUUUGUAUGUGUAGGAUAAUUGAAAGUUGGAAUUGUUGUUGAUGAAAUGGACAAGAAUAUGAAUAUGAAGUUGUUGAUAAAGGAUAUUGGUUAGAGAAAUACGUUUCAAGUGGAUGGGUUGAGUUUGUUAGGGCAAAAGAACUCAAACAUGGAGAUUCGUUGAUCUUCAACAUUGAUAAUCUUCGACAACAAAUUAUUUGUAAAAGUCAUUAGGUGUGAUAGUUAGGUUGUACAAAUUAUUAUUAUGUUGCCAAUUUGGUUUGAUAUGCGAACACCAGUUUGAUUGCAACUAAACCGAUAACUACAUUGUACCCAGUUUAAAAACCUUAAAAAGCCACCAAUUAAUUGUUAAAGUCGCGACCACCGUAGUGGUGAAGUCAAGGGUACCACCGUAGUGGUGAAGUCGUGGUGAAGUCAAGGCUGGAAUAUAUCCAAACCGAAAAUAAGUUUCAACAUCCAAAAACAUAAUAAGGGCAUUAGAUGAUUACAUUUCAUAAAACAUAAUAACUAAUAUUUGGCUUCUUACUCCUUCAUCAUGCUCUUACUGGUGACGGAUAUGUCGAACAUACAUUUUUUUAGGCGGGUCCUCCAGUUGGAAUAACAAUUUGUCAUUCACCUUUAAACCACGGUCAACAACAAAUUGAAACCAUCCACCACCUAAACUCUUCUCAUGGUUCUUUCUUGGGGCUGUCCUAACCCAACAUUGAUAGGUCUUGCGUGUUUCCACAUCCUCCAUCGGCAUUCUCAAAUAUCUUUUUUUCAACACCUUUCUUGAUACUGAAUUUGGAAAAUGCUACAUGUACGAAGGAAACAAAAAAUUAACUUAUAUCAUCAUAGGGUUCAACUACCGAUGGUAGACAACAACAAAAAAAGAUACUUAGGUAUUUGUUUGUUUCACAUUAUUCAUGAAAUGAGUAAACCAUAAACCAUGAUUGGUAAAACAAAUGAAGAUAGAGAAAUAACAUAUAAUUGGAAAAAUAUUAUGAAGUUGACAUACCAGCACUUGAAGCUUUUUAAUGGAAGCCAAUGCUUUUGUGACAGUCUUCUCAAAGUGAUAGAAAUUAAGGUUUUCAGGUUCUUCUUCCUCAUGUUCUGCCUCCUCUUCCUCUUCAGUUUCGUCUUCCUCUACAGUUUCAUCUUCGUCUUCGUCUUCCUCUUCCUCCAUUUCGUUGUCAGAUACAAUCUGAAUUGGCUCCUCUUUAACACGUGUCGGGAAUACAUUUGGAACUAGGAUGUUUCCUAGUGGAGUCAAUCUAAAGAAGUUCUUUGCACCGUCAUAGUCUAGCCUAACUCUUGUUGGAACUUCGCAACCAAAUACCUUAGCAACCCUAACUCCCGGAGUCAUAUACACACCUACGUCAUCUUUUCCAAAAUGUGUUGUAAUGGUUAUCUCUUCAUCAUUUCUUAACAUUCCAGGAGCUUUUAGAUUGAAUUCUUUCUUAUUGUCCUUGUAGUACUGCUUUGGAAUACGUAUCCUCCCCUAAAUAAAAAAAAUAUUGUUAAGUGUGAAUCCGUGAAAAAUUAAUGUAUGUAAGGAUCGAGGUUUUUUUUACCUGUUCAGGCCAGAUGAUGGUCUCCAGAAUGUCACCUCUUAUACCUUCCUUCGACAUCCAUCUACAAUACAACAUAUGCAGAAGAAUUUAAUUUCAAAUUGUCACAAAAAUAGUACGUAAUGGAUAAAGUCGGAGUACAAAUACAACAAAUAUAUAUACACUUAGAAAGAUGAAAUUGUCAGAAACAAUGUUCAAAAUAAAUUAAAAUUGAGGCAGUCCAAAAGUGAAAGUAUGCAAGGAGACAAUUUAAAAUAUAAAAACGAGAAAAACAUCAGAAAAAUAUGCAUUGGACUUGGAUUUUUCACUAUUUGAAGGGGUGUAAAAAGAAGUUAUGGGCUUGUUUAAUAAAAGAAAAGAAACGGGUUGAUUGUAGCCCAAUAAUUCUUCCUCUCUAACCUAGAGAGUGAAAUGCAUAGUAGAGAAAGAAAAAAACCAGAACUUCAAAAAUGACCAUUUAAAAAAAACAGGCAAAAUUGGUAAAUAACAGAGGGAGAAUAAUAUGUUAGAGAACUGAUGAUGUGCAGUAAUGAAGAAGAAAUAUGUUUAUGUGUAGGAAAUUGGUGUAUAACUUAUGGGUAAUUUGGUAAAUAUAGAUGUCACUGAAAAGUUGAAGCUGCGUUUGCUUUGACGCAGAAGCUUGAACUUGUGGCUUCAAUCAAACCUGCGUUUGGACACUUCAUCAUGUUCUGCACAAUGACGUUUUCUUCUAUCCAAACACCACAGAAAAAACAAGACUCACGUUUAUAGAAGAAAACGCAGGUUUGGAACUUGUGGCUUCAAUCAAACCCGCGUUCGAAUCGAUCGAUCCUUUUUAUGUUUGUUUGAUAAAUCGGUUUUGAUAUUACAGAACUUGAGCGUUUUUGAUGCAAAUAAACUCUAAUGCCAUAAUAACCAUGAUAGUUGUGGAAUAGUUUACCUUGAUGUGUCGCCUUCCAUGAUGAUGGUGAAGUGGAUGAAGUGGUCCCGAAAGGUUUGUCUGCUUCUGAGAAAGGGGUUUGGUGGUAUGACAAUUGUGAAAGUGAUUGUUUGUGAGGAUAAAUGUCCUUAACAUAACAGCCACAUAAUUGAUUUCCAUUUUCCUUUUAAUUUUCCUCCAAAUAUUGACGUUACAACUCUCAAUAUUUGUGACAUUAUUUAUUUUUAAAAAAAUAUUGAUUUCCUUCUGAAAUUUUGAACUUCCAAACAAGAGAUCUACGAACAAGAUUGGAGGUUGGAGAUAACUAAUAAUAUUUGAGGUUAGAGAAGAAAAACAAAACAAGGAUGUAUGUGGUGUUUGAUGAACUUGGUAGGUAGAUCUUUGGAUCCGAAACAAGAUGAACUUUUUUUUUUUUUUGACGAAUAAACAAGAUGAACUUGGUAAUUGUUUCUUCAGAUCCAAAUUAUUUUGUAAUAUAAUCGGCUUUCCUUCAUUUAAUAUGCACACCUUUUUAAUAAAAACCAAUACAAAAACAUUUAUUAUUUCGGGGGCCAAAUGUGUAAUUGUCGAAAAUAUUGUGCUGUGUCUGAAAUAACAUUUAACACAAAAAUGGGGGUCAAUGUCAAAAAGUAUAUAAAACCUGCAAAACCGGCUAUCAUAUGUAUUUCCAAUUAUUUUCAUUUUUGUGCACCAUACCAAAAAAUAUGCCCUUGGGCAGGCUAGAUGCUACCCCACAAUGGUAGUUGCUUAAUGGAGAAUCCUUAAAUGGACUCUAUGUUAAUAAAAGUAAGGACUCAAUGAUUCCAAUGGAAAUAUACUAAUAUAGACUCCAAUGAAAAAUAUUUAAUCAGGUCUCACUAACUUUACAUCAUUAAACAAAAAUAAUUUAUUUAUUAAACCUCAUUUAUUUAUUGGUAUAAACUUAAAUUUCAGCCACAUAACAUUACAACUUUUACAUUCUUUCGUUAAAUAAUAAUAAUAACAACUAGUAUAGUGACCCGUGCCAGCACGGGGAAAUAAAAAACUUUUUUGAUCAUAAUUGUGGUUAUAAUUUAAAUUUGAUAAGAAAAAAACAUCAUCUUAAUUUUGUAUAUAUUUUGAAAUAUCUAAACAUUGCAUAUAACGAUAAAAGUAUUUGGAUUAUUAUACUUGUACUAAUUAUUUGUCGCAUAAGAUGCACUCAUUGUUAAACUUAGCAUAUGUAAUAUUUUUGCAAAAAUACGCCGAUGUACUGUAUAAUAAUAUUUGUUGACAAAAUGUAUUUUAUUAAUCAUAAAAACUAAAAAAUGUGUAUUUUUUUUAUAUAAUAGUUAGUGUCACAUGCAUACACGUAGUCGGUAAAUGCAAACGUUUGUUAUUUGUUUUUAAUUUUUACAAAACAAAUGGUCUAAUGUAAAUAUUGUAUUUUAGGAUAACAACGAUGUAAAAAAAAAAGAAUCCGCGACAAAGAAAUUGCAUGUCUAUAAUGAAAAGUACGCCUUACAAAGAAAUUAAAAAUAAAACGACUUCCAAACAAUAGGCAACUUUAGAUUUCUAAAUUAUAACAACAAGAAUUCUAAAACAUAACAAAUGAUCAUACUUUUUGAAAAACUUCAUGAUAUACAACAUUUGUGGUCUCCUUGUCUCCUUACAAACAUUAUUAUCCCUGGCUUAGGAAGAUAAACCCCCACUCGAGAUAAAGAUUGACCCUGGCUUUUAUUUAUUGUUACAAAACAAAGCGUCAAUGAAAAUUGCAUGCGCCUGAAUUUGAAGGGUAGUCCUGGAUCACUCGGAAUAAGAUUCAUCAUGGAAAUGAAUACCAUAGUACAGCUCUUUUUCCUGUAAUUACGGUAGCAGCUAUCGUGCUCUUCCCUAGGUGUAACUGACAACCUAGUACUAUUACACAGUCCAUUUGUUUGAUCGAUGUUUCUCAUCAGCAUAAUUGGACAUCCCACCCUUAGUUUCAAUCGGUGAUUUGGAAUUCCAGAGGUCUUAAUACCAUGAAGAAAUUCCAAAUGCGAGAUACACCAAACCUAAAAAUGUGAAAAACAACACAACCAACCCAUAUGCGAGAUGAGAAACCUUCUAAAUCCAUCAAGAGCUCUGGAAUUCCAGAUCUCUUAAUACCAUUAAUAAACUCGCAUUUGACUUUAUUAUUAUUAUUCUCCCUUCUAGGGGUUUCUUGACACAUUUCUCCUCUUUCAACUGAUUCAAUAUACCCCUUUUUUUUAUAUGACCUUUGAUUGUUUUGUGAAACUGAGAUUUGGUCGGUUAAACAUGCUUCAUAAUCCGUUAAGGGUUUAAUGUGAAUCAUCAUUGUCUCUGCAGCCCAUGCCACCAUCUUUAGUGGCUUUGUUUUCUAGGAUUGUAAGCUUCACCAUUUGGACGAUUUAGAUUGCGUUGGUGCGGUUUUGUUAUUCAAUUCAUUGUUUCAACUGUUGGUUUCCCUUCUUCGUAUUGGCUUCAGACUCUUUGGCUCGUAAGGGCGCUGACUUAGCGUUAUGGAUGUUUUUUUGUGUUUCAGUUCGUUUGAUGGCCGUUGAUUCUUGUUAAUGUCAUUUUCGUUAGAGUGGGUUGUUGGUUAGUGCAUGCUACAAUGUUUCAUUCAACAUGUUUUAGAGUUGGGUUUUGAUUUUUUGUGGUCGUCUUUAAUUUUGUGAUCCCAAACGUUCAUACACCACUUUUUUUUUUUUUGGAAUAUAGUUUCAUCCAUGUACGUGGGUCUGUUGGAUUGUGCUCGUGAUUAAUGUUCAUUUCUUCAUAUCCUGUUUUUACCCGUUUGCGAUGUAUGUUUAUUACCCAUUUGUGUUUGUUUUACUUUUGUGUAUUUUAGCACUGUUUCUAUUAGCAUCUAUGGUGUGUAGAUUUAUUGGGUCAGGUUUUGGUCCCCCAGUCAUUGUACUUCCUUUUUAUUUUAAUCUACUAUAUCCUUCGCUUGAAAAAGUUACACAAAAAAAUACAUCUUACAUACAAUUAACAUAUAUUUAAGUUAUUUGACAUAUAGGUCACCAUAUAUUUAAAGUAAAUUUAGUAUAAAUUAUAAAGCAGUAAUAAUAAUGUACCAUAUAAAAAUGCCAUUUGAUUUAAUAAAGUAUAGUUUAGGGACCUUGCAGUCGAUUCUAAUUUAGAGAUCAAGUUGGUGAGAGAGUGAUAGUUUAUGACUAAUUUUACUCUUUAUAUAUAUAUAUAUAUUCCUCAAAAAUUGGUCAUAGAUGACUCGCUGAAAACCAAAAUUGUGACGCUGUUUAAGCGAUUGGUUAUAAGAUAUUUCUCAACAUCGGUAUAAUAUCUUAAAGCUAAUGUUUGUAAUUUAUCAUUUGAUUUGCAUGUUUGGCGAGUAAAUCUCUUAGUUUGUCUGGGAUAACUCACUUAGUUUUUUUUUGUUAGAUGGGUUGGCUUUGUGAUAUAUCUGUAUGACUUUUUAUUUGUUACGACUUCAUGCAGACUAUGUUUUUAGAUAGUAACCAUAUAUGUUAAUUUCAUUUUGGAUUCUUCAAAAGGAAAAAAUAUAUUAGUAUAAUAGUAGUGAUUAGAUUUUACAUAAAAAGACAAAAGGGAGUUGACUUUGUAUAAUUAUUUCCAACUAAUCGAUGAAAAAUUUGAGUUUUUUUUUGUUUGAAAGAAGAAAAUGUUUUUUUUGUUUGUAUAAAAAAAGAAUAUAAUUUGGUUGCUUUUUGUGGAAUGAAUGCUAAGUGGUGAAUGAGAUUUAACAAUCAAGGUAAGAAAAUACACGUUCAUACGAUAGAAGCUCGUAAUAAUUAAUAUUGAAGAUAACAUGUCAUGAUGAGAUUAAAUAAAGAUAAUGUGAAAUCCUUAACACUUACAUUGUGUAUUUAAUGUUUUGGAAAAAAAAAUAUUAUGGAGCAAGGGUGAAGUGUCAUGUCACCAUGCUCUUUUUUUUACCGAACUUUGGUGUGUUGGAAAGUUGAGAGGAAAUACAUGAAAUGUUUUGCUUGUUAGAAAAGUUAUUUAUCCAUUAUCAACAAUUUCUCCACUUUUUCUUUUGCUAUUGUUUCAAGUAUAGUGGUAGAAUAUUAAACUACCAACAAUUGCAAUCCAUCAAUGUUGUUACCUCCACAUUGAAAUUGUAAUUAAUGGUUUUUAUUCAUUUAAGAUAUAAUUAACAUGUUUUUAAUAAAACGCUUCUUAGUUCCUUUAUAAUAAAUAACAUUAUCAAGACGAUAUAAUUGAUGUGCAAUUAAAUGGAAAAAUUAUUUCAUUACUCAUGAUAUUUAAAAUAAUAUAUUAUUUUCUCUAAAAAAAAAAAUGCAUUCUUUUCACUUUUUUUUUAUUACUUUCUUUCUUUUCAUUUUUUUUAUUACUUUCUUUCUUUACACUUUUAUAUGAUAGAAAAACAAUGUUACAAUUUCUCCUGUGUCGAAUCUCAAACCGAGUUUCUUGAGAUUGAAAAGAGAAACUCUCAACCAAAUGAUUUCUCGGAAGAUAUGCAAAUAAUGUUACAAUUUAAAAGUGACAUUAAUAAUUUUAAAUGAUAUAUGCUUUUCACUUUUAACUUCUUUUUUUUUUCUUCGUAAAUAUAUAUAUAUAUAUAUAUAUAUAUAUAUAUAUAUAUAUAUAUAUAUAUUUUGAUGAAACUUUGAAAUGUCGCUUUAUGAUUUUUCACAAAUUUUUCAGGAAUUACUAUUAUACAUUUAAAGUGAAAAUGACACGAUUCUUAUUGCCUUUUUCAACAAACAAUAUCAAACUUGGAUUUGAAAUAGAACACCAAAUUAGAAAUUCAAAUUAAAAAUGUAGUAUUUAAAUAUAAAAAAAUAUUCAUUUUGAAUUAUGGGGUUUUCAAAUUCAAUAUUUUGUUUUGUGAGUUAAUGGUAGUAAAUUUUUGACUUUUCAUAAUUUGUUUCCGAUUCAACAUCACUGCCAAUUGAGCAUAAAUUAAAUCCAUUCUCUUGCUUAAUACUCCUAUCAGACCAUAUACAUAUUAAAUUAACACACUCCAAAUAACAUUUGAAUCUAUUAGGCACCUACAAAUUAAACACAUGUAAAUUAUUUACCUUCUAUUUAGAUAGAUACACCUUAUCCCAACAUACCCAAUUAUUUUUUCUUUGUUCCAAACCUCCACUUUAAAGGAACCUUUUAUAAAUUUGAGCUACUUCUUUCGCAACCUUUAUUGGUGCCUUAAAGAAAGACAAAAUGAAAAGCGGUAAGCUACUUACACCGAAUUUACAAGGACCAACCUACCUCGUAUAAACAAAUAUUGACCCUUCCACCACAAAAGUUUCUUCUUCAAUAAAUUUAUUAUCAUAAUCAAUUUUUGUGUUAGCACCUAACGAAAUACUUAAAAGCAUAACUAACGACACACUAUCAAUGUUACAAGAAAGAAAAUAUAAUGCCACCUCCAUAAAGGGGUCAUCCAAAUAUUAAUUCGAAACUUUCCAAAAUAGUUUUGAUGCUCCACAAGUUUUCCCAUAAUCCGUCGUUAAUCAAUAUAGUAUCAUUUGCAUAUUGAAGUAUAUCGAAACAUUUUUUUAUGAAGAAACUAAAUUAGUUAAUUCAAAUUAGCAUCAUAGACAAUCGAACCAGAAACUUUAAGGGGAAACACACUCCGACGACUUAAGUCAACACCACUAGACCAAAGUAUAUCGAAACUUAAUUCAUUAUUUACCUUAAAACUUUUAAAAGCUUCAAUAUUUGUGUGUUAAUAUUACCAAAUUUUCCUUUGUUUGUGUGUGUAUUAAAUUUGACUUUUCAUAUUUCAAUGCAAGUUAGUAGUAUUAAUUAGGGUAUGUUAAUGAAAAAAAAAAUGUAUCUAAUAAUUUGAAAAGGGACUUACAUUUAGGGAUAAAAAGAAAAUCAAAUGGGUACCUAGAUAUAAGGACGGAGUGAGUAAUUACAAACAAUUAACAUGAGUUUCUUGUUAGAAUUAAGAUCGAUGGAUGCAAAAAACGAAAUUUAAGAAAGAAUUUUGAAUUACUCAUAGAAUUAAGAUUUGCAUCAAAUGGUAACGGAAAUCAAAGUCAUAUAUGCACUCUAAGUCGUGUCAUUUACAUCCAUGGUUUAGUAUGUUUUAGUUAUCUCGAGUCCUCAUUUUACAUUUAUUAUGAAUUCAAAUUCAAAUUUGAAUAAUAAUGUGUAGAAUAAUUAUAAAAUAUUUCAUUUAUUCACUUUAAUUUGACAUUUUCUUCGAUCGUAUAAAUUAUAAUGAGUGUUCUUAAUAUACGACGUGUUUAGACAAAUGGGUUCUAGUUAAUAAGCCGUUCAAGCGAGGUCGCCGGUAUAAAUGAGCAUAUUAGAAUUGCCUAUAUAAUUUCUCCAUCGUUUUUUAGAAGCACCUCUAAUUUUUUUUCGCAUGUAUUAAAAAAAUUGGUUUGUAAAUUUAAUGUGUACAUUUCAUACGUAAAAUUUAAUAAUACCCUUUGUAUUAUUUUUAAAGGAAAAUACCCAUUGUAUCUUUAACUUUCAUAUUUUAUUUGGGUAAUGAAUUCUUGCAUUAUUUAUGUUCAGAAAAAAAAAAAAAAAAGGGACAGCUUUGAUGAAAAAAAAAAGCACCUAGUUUUUUGCAAAUGAGCUCAUAAUUAUAUUUAGAGUAAAAAAAUUAUUCAAGUAGAACUUAUUAUUAAAGAGGGAUUAAGUUUCACCCAAACAUUGAAUCGCAUAUAUUCUAAAAUAACAUCUGUUUAAUACAUUAAAUUCCAUUUUGAUAGGUACAAAUCCUGUGCAACAAAUUCAGAUAUCAGAUGGUCUCAAUGUGCAACCAAUUCAGAUACUCACCUCUGAUUUGGCUGAGCAACACAGAGAGGAACAACAGAGUGACAAAUAUCUUGAUUUACGCAUUGUUGGUCAUUGGAGUGAUGUUGUCACCAAUCUAGACUACACUCAAGGUUCCUCGUCAUUGUGUGGCACACUUUCCUCAAGAAUUGAGGUUUUAAACCAAACGUCGCUCAUGAAUUGGAGAUUUUGCGGCCACAUUUCUUGAAGGGUAAUGAUGAUAGGAACUUUGUGCCUCAACUUUACACUGAUGAAGAAGAAAGAGAGGCCGCUAUCAAUUAUCUGAGGAACCGCACUGCUGCUUCGGAAGAGCCCUACAUUGAGGUGGCGUCUCGAUCCACAAAGAAAAAGAAGCAGAAGGGUUUUCGGAUUCACAAUACUCGCUCCGCAAGUAGGUUACCAGAUUGAUUCAUGAGCUUUCUAUGAGUUACUUUCCUUGUUCUUGUUCUUGUUUGUUUUCUUUUCCCCUUUGUUUGUAUGCUUUUAUUUUCUUGUUCUUUUUAAGUUUGGCAUUUGGCCCCUGUUUUUUGUUGCCUUUAUCAUUUGAGAAGGUUUUGGUUAGGUCCCCCUUCUCCUUUUGUCCUUGUUUCUUUUUAUGUUUAUAUAUCUAGGGUGUUGCAGUUGAUUCUUCAUCUGCGCCCCUUUUGUUUGUUUAAAAAAAAAAAAAAAAAUCUAUUAUGAUUUGUUAAAAAAAAAGUUUGAUAUGUUUAAAUACACAUGUCUGGAUUAUAAAUUAAAAUAAAAAGAUUAUCAUUUUCUUUGUAUGUUAUACAUAAUAUUAAAUGAGCUUUGUAACAAAAAAGAUGUAUUAAUUGCUUUAAAAAAAAUGUAUUAAAAUGAGAUAACAGAAAAAAGAAAUGAAAUGAAAGGUAGUAUUAUUAAAAUCAUUGCAAAAUAAAACUUGUCAAUCACCAUAUAAUUAUAAAAAGCACAAGGUAUUUUUUCUUGGUCACAAGACCAAAUCAAUAAUGUUUGGAUACGCGCACAUAAAAAAUUCUCUUUAAAAUAUUCAAUCAUCUUUUUUAUCAAUUUCCUCCUUCUUAUUAAAAAAUACAUAAGAUUUGCAUCAACAACGUUACUCAUAGAAUACAUUUUUCCCUUUGCAUCAUACUCUUGAUACACAAGAUAUAUACAUCAAAUUCAGUUUACAAUAGCAAGAAUUGGCAAAAUUCUCAAACAUGUAGCGCUGCUAAUGCUGGAUUCGACCUGUAAAUCAAAGUUUGGCAAAAAUGUUAAUCAAAGUUCAGCAAAUAAUAGCAAGAAUUAUACACCCCUAACAUGACAAUUAAAAAAAUGAUUAAUAAGAAGUCUACAAAUUCAUCCAUUAGAUCGAUUAGAAUUAAAACGAAAUCAAUGUAUAUUAUAAUUUUUAAAAAUGAUUAGUAAGAAGUAAGAAUGGAAGAUUGUGUUGUACCAACAAAAAAAAGAAGGAGAUAUUAUCACUUCACAAAUAAAUCAAAACAAAACUUCUACAAAAAAAAAAUCAAAACAAAACAAUAGGAACAAUCAAUCACCUUUGAUUCUCUCACAUGAUUAAUUUUAGAAAUUAAACCUUUUAUGAAAUGAGAGCAUGAUAAACAAUAAAAGAAUAAGAAAACAAAACCGAUUUAACAAACCAAGAAAAUACUGGUUUACUAACGACACUCUCAAAUACUAUUUGUGUUGAAUUUUGAAAGUAGUGUUAGUGAAAAGCAUGAGUCUCAAGACGAUUAUUUAUAGCCAAAGAAAUCAAAUAAUCACAACAUAAUUAACUUUGAUUGGUAGAAAAUUAAAAUAAAUGACAAAUGAUUGGUUGAAAUAGCAAACAAUGAUGCUAAUAUAAAAAAUGACCGAGCAAACUAAUGGGUAUGAUUAUAGGCUUAUUAACAAUAUUGAUUAUCAUUUAAAUCCUAUAAAGAAAGGAUAACUAUUUAUUGGAAUUUACAAAUUAGUUGGCCGGAAUCAAUGGAAUUUGGAAUAACUUUGUUUUGCUCGAUCAAUAGUUUAUGGACCAAUUUUAAUGUACUGUUCAUUAUACAAAGAAUGUUUAUAUAUUUUUUAAAGAAAAACUAUUAUUUUUUAUUAAUAAACCUAAAAAAACUAUAUUUUAGAAAGACACAUGAUUAAAAUAACUGAAUGAUUUCAGAAACAUUUUCAAUAGACAGUUUGUCCUUGUUCAUAUCCCUAACAAACCAAAGUUGAAUGACUCGAACCAUGAUAUUCCAAUUUUCUUUCGAAGGGGAAAUAUCAGAAACAUAAUUGAUUUUUUGAACCAUUUGAAGUGUAAAGAGAGAUACGAAAUCGAAAGAAAGAAAAAUGGAGAAUUGAAAUUCUGAUGUGAAGAAAGUGUUAGCCAAGAUGUCUAAUUUAUAGUAUAUUUUACAGGAUAAUUUCGUAAAAUAUUCACAUUCAACUCGACAAUUCAUAUUUAAAUUUAUAUCUUAGUCAUUAAGUAAUACAUUUUUUUUUUGUGAAGCAGCGUAAUUAACUUUUUCAAUCAGCCCAUGACUUAAGGUUUAUUUUAGCAAGUCCGUUAAAUACAAUUAACUGAAAUCAUAUUUUUGAUAUUCUUUGUCAAUCAUCCAUUUAUGAUAUUCUUUGACUAAUGAACUUAAUGAUACGUAUUUAAUUCCAAUUAAUUUUUUUGAGGUUAAUUUUUAAUUCCAAUUAAUCAGCUUCAAUUCCCUUUUUUUUUUUUCUGUCCUAAAAUAAAAAUAGCACAUUUCAAUGAAAUUUAUUGAAAAGAAAGAACAGUUUAAUAAAAACCUUAUCAAUCAGCCCAUGAUUAUUGUUUUUGAUAUUCUUUGCCAAUCAACCAUCUAUAUAAUAUAAAUUUAGGAAAUAGAAUAUCAUAAAAAAAUAAUAAGUUUGCAAUUAAUGGAAAUAGAAUAAAGUAAAUUUUAAUGAGCAAUAAACACCGAAAAUUGAAAUAGAGCAGGAUGAAAGUUAUUACUCAAUUUGGUGUUUAGAGUAAUUAAAAUGGGAAAAUAUCAUAGCAAUGGAAAUAGCAUUUAAUGAGCAAUUAAAUUUUUAUCACUAAAAAAAAAAAAUGACAUAGAGCAACACACUUAAUAAGAAAUUUAAUUGAAACGCUAUUUUGUUAAAAAAAAAAAAAAUUUGUCUAAUACCAUUAAUAUCAUUAUUACGAAAAUAAAAAGUAAGAAAUGUCUAACAUUAUUUGGUGUUUUUUUUUAAUAAACACUAUUAUGCGUUAUUAUUAAUAAAAAACAAAUUUGAAUAAUUCAAUCGAUUGUUUUAUUUUAAUCUUUGAAUUCAAAUAUUUUAAUUCAAAACUAUCUUUUUUGAAAGAAUUUUAAUUUAAACUAUUUGAUUAUUAAAAAAAAUUAUUUGAUUCAAAUUUGUACUUUUUGAAUUCGAAAUGUUUGAUUUCUUCUAAUAUAAAUUCAAGUAAUAGAAUUUGAUAUUGUAAAACUUCCUUUUAUACAUGAACAUUAAAUACAAAUAUGUAAGGAUGAUUGUGGUGAGAGCAUUUUGUGAGGAUCAAUAUGGUGAGAGUAUUUGUAAAAAAGAAAGGGACAUGUGGCAACACCAAAACAAUAGUAAUUCAUUUCCAUAAAAGUCUAUGAAAUAUGUCCUAAAUUUAUAUUAUAUAGAUUCAUUUUUUAGACAUAAUUUAAAAGUACCUAAAUUAGAGUUAUUUUAUUUGCCAAUAUACGACGACUGUGACCGGGUGAGUGCUCUCAAGUUGAGAACUGGUAUAUAAUAUUAUCUUAAUUUAUUUCUCCUAAAAACAUUUAUUCAUUUUAUAUAUUUAUAAUUUAAUUGAGAAUAAUUAUUAUACUCCAAACAAUCUUUAUCUCUAUUAUAAAAAUUUGGCUUCAUGAUUUUAAAAUGUACGUGUGUCACUUCUCCAUUCUAAUGAGCAUCAAUGUCUAAUCCUUCUCAUAAAAAUUGUUUACACAUAUGAUCCAUUUCACAAGACAAUGUCAAUGUAAUUUAGCAUUAAUCAUAGGGAAUAAAAAGAAAUAAAAUCUCCACAAUUUUUAUUUUGAAUUGAAACAAUAUCUACCAUACUAAUUGAUUACCUUAAAUUAUAUCUUUUCAAAAAAAUAAAAAAUGAUCUUAACUCUAUUAUGUUACAGAGACAAAAAAUUAACAUGGUAAAAAAAAAAACAAAAAAAAUUCAAUUGCCACAAAAAUGAUAUGAACGAAAAAAUUGGUUUAAUGGUAUGUCAAAAAUAAUAAUUCUUAACGGUAUCAAAAAACAAAUAAGCCAAUUAAAUAUAAUAUAAAGACUAAUAUUAUAUAUUUGUAUUAUACAAUUCAUUUUCUAAUGGAGGAAACAUAAGUAUUUGAUUGAUUGCAUUUUUAAAAAAAAAUACGUCUCAAUAUUUAAUAGAAAUUAAUGUCUCAAUUUAAAUACAUAUUAUAUCAGUUUCUAAUUUAACCCUUAAAAAAAUCAGUUUCUAAUUUAAAUGCAUAUAUUAUCUCAAUCAAUUAUGUUUAAUGGUAUGAAACAAAUAAGUAUAAAUUUUUAAAUGUUUUUAAAAAUAAGUAAGCCUAUUAAUUCUGUUUAAUAGUAUACGUUUGCAAAACAAAAAAAAUCAACUGUAUAUCUACUUAUAUAGUAUAUGUUUGUAAAUGUUUUUUUCCAACGGUUUUGUAUAUGUAUUUUACCAAAGGUAUAUUUCUACAAAUAAGUAAACCAAUCAAAUUUUAUAACGUCGUCACAUUUUAACACUUCAACCAAUAACAAUGUAGCAUGUGGCAUCUUUUAUCUAAUAAUCCAAUCAGAAUACGUUGUUUUGUUUAUUUGCAUCAUAUUUUUUAUUUAAUCAAAUUGCACUUUACUUAUACCAUUUAUCUACAUAUGCUUUAUGUUUCUUCAAUCAUUCCAUCUUCCUAUUUCUCUUCCAUAUAGCGUUGUCAAACUCUUAAAAAAAUUAUCGUGGUACCAAAAUAUAAUUACAUCUAUCAUAUCAACCCGAUCAAAGUUGGUUCCACCCUAUUUUUCAUCAUGGUGCCUAUAAAUAUUGCUACAACUGACUUCUUUAAAUCUCGCAUAUUUUUCUUUGGUUCUUAAUUCUUCUGAGUUUGCAUUAUAUUAAAAACCAUCAUUUUAUGUUCAAACAUCUUUCUCCCUUCAAAAAAAAAAAUGUUCAAACAUCUUUCUAUCUCUCUAUAUGUUUCAGACUAUGUCUCUUUUUUGUUCAAUUUUCUUCUUUUUUUAGAAAGGAGUGAAAUAUGUUGAUUGUUCUUCGACCAAUUAUUUUUUGGGUUUGUCUAAAUUUUAUUGAUUUGUUCUAUUUUUUUCCAGUUAUUUAAAUUCAUUCAAAAAAUAGAAGCACGAGACUACAAUACAAGGAUUGAAGUUCAACACUAUAAAGAAUAUUCUUUUUAGGGGCACCGCAAAUAUUUUAGAGUUGUAUAUUUUACAGAACUAAUAAGUUGUAUAACAUCUCAUAAAUAUUUGUAUAUGUAUACAUACAAAGUUGUAUAUCUUAAUGAAUGCAUACGUUGUAGAGUUGUAUAUUUCCAAUCGGACAACAAAAUAUUGAAUGCUUUUGCUAUUAAUUUUUUUUGGGUGUUCAAAGAACUCUGAUCUACAAAUUUAAGGAGUUAAGGAAGGAAAAAGUCUAUUCUGAGUAACUUUGGUGUUGCUACAAAUCUUGGAUCUUAUUGGACAAAAAAAACAAGACAAAUUUUGAUUAUUAAAUGUUUGCUUAAACGGAACAUAGCAAUAGCCAAAUAAAGCCAGAAGGAUGCACAACAUGCUAAAAACUAUGGGAUUGUGUGGUGGUUUCAUUCAAGGAGCUUUUUUCCCGUUUCUUUCAUGAGAAAGUAAGGAUUAAACGAAUGACAUCAAAAAAUGAAGAAAACAAUUCGUCGUAAUGACAAGACUUCUCAUGAGCCUAAAUUGAGUUGGAUAAUCAUAUUAUACUAAGAGAAAUUGCACAAGUGAGAUUAACAUCACACCUUCAUCCAAAUUCUAAAGGCAUUAGAUACAAGGGCAAUCUCACUAUAUGUUUUCCACUUUCUAAUAUUGCAUGCAAUCUGGAACUUUAACUAAUAUAACACAUAUUAACAUCUCUUCCUUUACGUGUUAGACUCUUCGCAUCGGUGAUUUUGUAAUAUAGCCAAAUAAAAUCAGAUGAAGUCAUUUGAUGGUAAAAAAAAAAGGUGGGUUGAUGGUGAUUUAAUACAUGGGGAUUUACGUUCUUUUAUUUCAUGAGAAGUUAGAAAAUAAAUUAGAAAAGGAAAGAAGAUAAAAAAAAUAAUUUGAACAUGAGAGAAAUAAUAAGAGAAAAAUAUGUAAUGUGGGUUUUAUCGGUGAUAGUAUAUAAUAGUUUGAGUUACCGGUAAUUAUAUGGUUUUGUUGAAGAAGUUGAAUAUUUUUGGGUUAGUAUUACCAAAGAGUAUGACUUUAUUAAAAAAACAUCACAUCAUUUUAAAAUGUCUAAUAAACAUAUAUUUUAUAAACUCAUCAUAACUCAUCUGGAUUUUCCAUUGUCACAUCCCCCAAAGACUAGAAGUGAAGGAAUUUAUAAUAAUGGAGGUUGACUACAAAAAUACAAUGAAAGCUAAUGACAUCCGACAACAAAGUUUUACAGAAAAAAGGUUAAUUAAAAAAAUAUUGCAUAUAAAUAAGAUUUUUUUUUGGUUUUAGUCCAUAGAAAUAAGUCACAUUUUUAAUCGUUGUAACAUUUUCCUUUGAACAUUUUAUAGCCCAAAUUGUUGACGGAAAAUUUUACAGUGACUAAAAAUAAUGCUGACAGAAUAAUUUUACAAGGGCCAAGAUGUGCGAUUUAUUUUUGUAGAAAUUAAAAAUGAAAUUCUUCAAUUUUUUUUUUUGGUACAAAGAAAUUCUUGAUAUUUAUAGAGACCUUUUAGCUAAUUAACUCUUCAAAAAAUAGCAAAUAACAUCGAAAAACCGACAAAAUAGUUCAUCAUAAUGUUGAGUCUACAAAGGAAGCCUAGAAUUGGUCGAAAUAUCACAUUAUGAUAAUAGCAAUCACACAAGUGAGACUAACACCACAUCUACGCUUAAAAUGUAUAAUAGAGUAGUGCUAGCACACUCUCUUUUGAACACUCUCUCUAAUACUCACUUUCUUAUUGGUUUAAAUCAUUGCGGAUCUACACUUUGGAGAUAGAACUCGCAUAAAGUGGUGAGACAUACAUUGAUUUCAUCCAAUAAAAUAGUGAGUGCUAAAGAGAGUGUGCAAAAGUGAAUGUUGCUAGCAUUCAACAUUUAAUUUGUCAACUCAGUAUUACGCGUCUACAAUUUUAUAAUCUAUAAAAUACUAAAGAUUGACUAAAAAAAUAAGUAAAAUUUUUAAACAACGGGCAUCUAAAAUAAAUAAAAUAGUUUAUCAUAAUGUUGUGACUUUCAGGGGAACAUAAACUGAGUUGAACAAUCACAUUACAUCAAUAGAAACCAUAAAGUGAGACGAACACCACAUGUUCAGUUAAAACCUUAAAGCAUUAUGUAUGAGUCAUCUCACUUAUAUUAUUCUUACCACAUACUCACUCAUAUAUGACAAAUUAACUUCUCUCUUAAAUGUGAGACUCUUUACAUCUGCAAUCUGGUAACAUAACCAAAUAAAGUUAUACUUAGUCACAACAUUGUAAAAAAAAAAAAAAAAGACUUGCGGUGAUUUUAUGAAGAGAUGUUUCUAUUCCUCUCAUUCAUGUGAACAAAGAAACUAAACCAGAAAAAGAAAUAAGAUGAAAAAGAAAUUUUAACUUGAGAGAAAUGGUUAUGAAAAAAAAAAAAAAAAAGGAGUGUGUGCUUUGACCGUGAGAGUAUAUGGAAUAUUGUUUGUUGCUGGUAAUUUUAUGGGUUUCUUGAAGAAUUUAGAGUAAUUAAUAUACCAAAAAUUAGACUCAAAUUUAAAAUUUUAAAUAAGCGUGUAUAUUGUCAACUUAGCAAAACGGCAUAUGCAUUUUUCCAUUGUGAAGUUCUACCAAAGACAAAAAAUGAAGGAAUUUGAAAUAAGUGAGGUUGAAUAAAAAAAUAGCAUGAAAAUGAACGAUCUCCAAUAACUAAAAUUUAACAUACAAAAAUUAAAUAAAUGAGACCCACCAGCUAACAAAUAAUUCAUCAUAACUUUGGGACUUCCAAGGGAUCCUAUCUUGAGUUUUAUCACCACAUUAGACCAAGAAAAAAUACACAAGUGAAAUUGAUAUCCUUCCAUCUCACUUAUAUGUUGUUCAAAAUUUAUCAUUUCAUCCAAUAUAAAUUUUUAACUCAUACUUGACACAUUAACACCUCUUAUUCAAAUUUGCAACUCUCCUGUUCAUAAUUACGUGAUAUAGUCAAAUAAGAUCAAAGGAAGAUACAAUAUGUUUAAAAAAGUUUGUUGGCGAUGGUUUCAUUACAAGUGGUUUAUGUUCCUUUCGUACAUGGGAAGGGGGGAAAAAAUAGAAGGAAAUCAAUUGAAUGUAUUUCAUGACCGUCUUUUCACUAGUUUAUAUAAGAAAUGUACUAAUAGAUUCGACGAUAAUUUGAUGAGUUAAAAACACAUGACUUAUCAUAUCUGUUUAAUUCACGUGACAAUACAUUAUUAAAUGUAUUUGUAAAACUUUUGUACAUUGAUGUAUAUAAGUUAAGGAAAAUGUUGGUGAGUACCUAAAAGCAUUCUUUAAGAGUUUAAAAUAGUAAGUUUAUAUGAAAAAUUUGAGUAAUGCAUUGAAAAUUUAAAUGUUUAACCUUUUAAAUAUAUGCAUUGAAUUCUUCAAAAAUAUAUAUAUGCAUUGAAUUAAUUUCUUUAUUUAAAAUUCUUAAAGAGUGUCCUAAGGACACUCGUUAGCAAGACCGUGAAUUAAACUCUCUAUUAGUUGUUCCAUAAGUGUAGCUCAGUUGGUAGCUAUCAGAGAUAAUUUAUGCAGGGGCCGGGGUUCGAACCCCGAAUUCGCCACUUCUCCACACAUAAUAUGUGUGAAUCUAGCCACUAAACUACUUGAUCAAAAAAAAAAAAAAAACUCUAUUUGUUUCACAUUAGUCAUUUAAGUUAUACAAUGAAAAAUAACUUGGUUGAAGAAAGAGAGAUGAUGAGUUUUUUUUAUUAUUAUAAGUUUUUAUAUAUUUUAUCGAUUUAGAUCUGUCACGUCAGAUGUUACAAACCUUAAAUUUAGAGGACCACAAACGUAGUUUAGUCUUUAUUAAUAAAUAACUUACUGAAUUAGUUUUCGUUAUUGCUUCCUCAAUAUUCUUUGAAUUCAUACUUCAUAGGUUGACAGUGGCGGAGCCACGUUCACCUCAGGGGAUGCACAUGCACCUCCUCACUAUUAUAAUUUUGCACCUACUAUGCUAUUAUAUUUUUAUGUUGAAUCCCCUCAAUUUUCUAUUUUGCACCUCCUUUGCAUCUGACUUUAAAAUAUGUUCGUAGAUUUAGGCACACAUCUUUUUUCUAUUGGAUUUAUUUAUGUGCUGGCCUGCUGGAACCCGCCAUUAGUUAUUACCGAUGCAAUUCAGCUUUUCUUGUCGACUAUAUUUACCUUCUUCUUAUUAUUAUAUGGGUUUUUCCAUCAUGUAAUUUGCACAUGUUAAGAAGUUUAAAGUAGUAACUUUAACUUGGAACUUGUGUUUUUUAUAUUAAAUAUGUAGCUUUUAAUCAAUAAUUGUUGGUUUUUAAUGAAAAAUGACUACUUUUAGUUAUCUUAACAUGUGCAAUAUUGCACAUGUUAGACAAACCCUUAUUAUUAUAUUAUAAUAAUUAUUUACUGAAAUACCAAGAUUGAAUCUCCUGCUAUUGAAUUUAACAAGAUAUACCACCAAGCCCAUACGAAUCAGAUUGGUUGAUGCGCGCAAGUGUUAUUUAUAACUCAUAUUUCAUAAAAAACUUUUAUUACCUUGUUAAAAAACUUUUUCUUUUCUAAAUUAUUCAUGAUAUUACUUUUCUAUAUUAUUGGUGAUUGAUGAUAUUACUUUUCUAAAUGUUAAAUGGUAAAUAUUAGAAUUUACGGUUAGUGUAAGAAAUUUAAAAAAUUUAUAUGUUAAUAUAACAACUUUUGAAGUUAGCCAUGAUCAUUUUUAUGUUAUGAAGAUUGUAAAGACUAUGUUGUGUAAUCAAAUGGAAGCAAUGGGAUGUAUUACACCACAAAAAAAAAAAAAAUAAGGAGGUAAUGGAUGACCGAUUAUUAUCUCAUGACUUAUAUUGAGAGAUGAGUUUGAUAACAUGAAUAAUAGGUUGAUAAACCGCAUUUGGGACCAAAAAAAAAAUCGAUAAACCACAUAAUGAAAAAUUGUAUAAUGUUUUUAAUUUUGAUUACAAUUUUUUUAUGAAGGAUUACAAUUUUUAAUCAGUUGGUAGAGACAAUGCAUAAUAUACGCAAGGUCCGGGGUUCGAACUUCAACCACCAAAAAAAAAAAAAAAAACAUCUAAAUUCGUGGCUUGAACCCCCUGGUCCAGGGUCCUGGCAACGCCAGUGGGUUCACCAUAAGCCAGCUGCUUAAACUUUCAGAGCCUAUUGUACAGUACAGUUUAUAAUCUUCUUCUCUUUUCAUCUGUUGCGUUUUUUAAAUAUGACAGAGGCCUUACUUGGUGUUGCAUUUGAGAAUUUAUUGUCUCUUGUUCAAAGUGAAUGUUCAACCAUUUCCUGAAUCAAGUUUAAUGCUCAAAAGCUAUCAACCACCUUAGAUCUUAUCAAGGUUGUUCUUGAAGAUGUUGAGCAUAAGCAAGUCUCAGACCGCUCUAUUAAGAUAUGGCUUCAACAAAUCAAAGAUGAUAUAUAUGUGCUUGAUGAUAUCCUUGAUGAGUGCUUGAUCGAGUCUGGUCGAAUUAGAGGCUCAUCCUCUUUCAAACCAAAGAACAUUGUAUUUCGCCAUGAGAUCAAUAGGUUGAAAGAAAUUACCAGAAGAUUAGAUAAGAUUGCUGAAAAUAAGAACAAAUUUCAUCUAAGAGAGGGUAGAUGACUUAGGGAAAGGCCACAUGAAGUAGCUGAAUGACGCCAAACCAGCUUUGUUAUUGCUGAACCAAAAUUGUAUCGGUGAGAAGAUGACAAUGUUAGCGGCCAACUCUCGGGAGGGAUUUAGUCCCACAUCGGAUAGAUAGGAUUCUUGAGAAGAGUUUAUAAAGAGGAGGAACUCCUCACCGUACAAGUCGGUUUUGUAUGGAUCAGUUAGGCCUCGAUAUUCGUGACAUGGUAUCAAAGCCUAUCGGGUCCAUCGUUGGGCUUGCAUCGUCCACGCUUCAGGCCCGUUGGGACCGCGAUGAAGUGUGAGGGGGUGUGUUAGAGGCCAACACUUGAGGCGAUUUAGUCCCACAUUGAAUAGAUAUGAUUCUUGAGAAGAGUAUAUAAAGAGGAGGCACUCCUCACCGUACAAGCCGGUUUUGCAAGGAUAUGAGUUAGGCCUCGAUAUUCGUUACAGACAAAGAUAAGAUUGUCAAGUUUCUUCUCACCCAAGCGAGGGACACUGACUUCCUUUCCAUCUAUCCCAUAGUUGGUUUAGGAGGUAUUGGAAAAACAACUAUUGUUCGAUUGAUCCACGAUGAUAUUAGGGUGAGUGGAAAUUUUAAUAUAAUAAUUUGGGUUUGUGUAUAUGAGACUUUCUCUCUCAAUAGGAUUGUGUGUUCUAUUAUAGAACCUAUCAUAAGAGAGAAGUGGGAUGGCUUCAAUUUAGAUGUAAGGUAAAAUAUAUUUGUUGAUUUUGGACGAGUGUGGAACAAAAAUCAAAAACUAGAAUUCGGAUUAUGCCAAGAGAAAUGGAAUAUGUUGAAAUAUGUGUUGUCGUGUGUAUCCAAAGGUAGUUUCAUUUUUGCGUCCACUCCUGAUGAGGUUGUUGCGACAAUCAUGGGAACUUGUAAAACUCAUCCUUGUUCAAACAAUAUGUUGGGAAAAAUCCAAGUCCCACAUCGGAUAGAUAAGACUCUGAAUUAGAGUUUAUAUAGAGGAGGCAAUCCUCACCUUACAAACCGGUUUUGUAAGGAUGAGUUAGGAGUGAUGAAGUAGUGAUAAAAAAAAAAGAAAAAGGAAUGACUUGAAAUUAAAGAGAGCGAACUUUGGGUUUUACAACAUAAUGAUUAUAGUUUGUCUGAUUUGAGGUUGAGCUACUUUCAUUUAACUCCAACCUUAAAGCAGUGUUUUGCUUUUUGUGCCGUGAAGGAAUAAUUGUUUUAUCUCUAGAUGGCUGAUGGAUUUAUUUCAUCUAGGCGUAAUUUGGAGGUCCUAGAUGUUGCUAGCAUGGCUUGGAAUGGAUUGUGCCAAAAACCAUUCUUUGAAGACAUCAAGAUCUAUGAAUAUUCUAAAGACAUUUCUUUAAAGACGCGUGAUCUUUUCAAUGAUCUUGCUCAAUCAAUACUGGAGCAACAAUAUAUGUAUCUGGAGAAUGCAAACAUGACUAGUUUGACAAAAAGCACCCAUCACAUAAGUUUUGACUCCAAUAAUUUGUUAUCAAUCGAUGACGGUGCCUUCAAAAAAGUUGAAUCCUUGCGAACAUUGUAUGACUUAUAAAAAUAUAUUCCACAUAAGAACCUAUAUUGCAUUUUCUUAGGUGCAUAUUUUAGCUAUGACAUUUCUUAACAAUGUUUUGUAGAGAAACCUAUGUUGCAUUUUUUAGUUCGUUUUAGUAACUUUUUGAUUUCGUAUUGUUUAGAAGGGACCUUAUAGCCACUUCGAGUACAUCGAAGCAGCUUUUAAAACUUGACAAAUUAACGAGGUAGAGCAUGUGAUAUGGGAAACAAAGUUUGUAUAUGUUGAUAUGUAAACUAAUGAAAUAGAUGUCUAAUUGAUUUUCUAUUUGGGACUCGAGAGUUUCAUAUCUUAAUUAUGUGUAUGCACAAACGAUGUAGAUGCAAUACAAGAAUGAUAUUAGAGGUCCACAUAGCAAUAAAAUUAAUUAAUGAAAAUAUUAUAACUAUUCUCAUCUAUACUAUAUAUAUAAAGAAAAUAGUGUGUUGUAUUUUUUUUCUGACUUUUUCUCUUUUUAAAAUAACCAUCAACUUUCAAUAUAAAUAACAACUAUAACAAAUUGAUAAGAGUAAAUGAAGUAUAACAAACACGAUGAGUGUAAAUAUGUUCAGUUUUUUUCUUUUAUCCUUUAAAGGCGUAACAGACUAGAUAAGUAUAUUUAUACUUACUUUUUCAUUAUCCCAAUUAUACACUUAUACAAUGUUUUCUAUAAUAAAGAUUGUUGUUGGUUUUAUUAAAAAAAAAAAAAAAGAAUUUAGAUUAUAUUUUUUUAAAAAAAAUUAGAUUAUAUUUUUUUGUUAUAUUGUUGAUGUCAUUGAAAUGGAUAGUCGUGAUUAGUUUGAUUUGUUAUAAUUUGAAAUUAAAAAGAAUUUAUAUUUUUACUUUUAAUCAAAAUCAAAUUUCAUAACAAAAAACACUUAUCAUAAUUUUCAAAUGUUAGUGUGAUAAAAAAACAGAAAGACGGACACAUGAGUGCAUGUCUUUCUACUAGUUUUUAUAAUUAGAAUAUUAUAGUUAUUCUCAUUUUAAUUUAAAAGAUAUAAAAAUUAUAAUUAAAAAAUGGCUUAAAUAUGUAAAUCGUCCCUGUAAUUUGGCGUAUUUUUUGUUUUCGUCCCUGUAUCUUUUUUUGUUCUAAAACAACCCCUAUAAGUUAAUAACUUUUUGAUUUUCGUCCCUCCUGUCAACUUCCGUUACAAAAACGCACAUGUGGAAAACGGAGGAUGACGUGGCAGACAAUGCUGACGUGGCAAACUUAUUGAUGAGUCACACAGUGAAAGGUACCAAAAUCAAAAAACGAAAUUUGUAGAAGGACCAAAGCCAAAAAAACAAAAUUCGUAAAGGGAACAAAACCAAAACCAAAAAACGAAAUUUGUAGAUGGACUUGACUAUUUCCAGGACCAAAACCAAAAAACGAAAUUUGUAGAGGGACCAAAACCAAAAAACGAGAAGACGAAAAAUUCAAAUUUAAUUACAUUUCUUCAUCUUCUUCUUCAUUACUAUCAUUGUCUUCAUAAACUUCAUCAUCAUCAAACAAACACAAAAAUUUGUAGAUGGACUUGACUAUUUCUAGGACCAAAACCAAAAAACGAAAUUUGUAGAGGGACCAAAACCAAAAAACGAGAAGACAAAAAAUUCAAAUUUAAUUACAUUUCUUCAUCUUCUUCUUCAUUACUAUCAUUGUCUUCAUAAACUUCAUCAUCAUCAAACAAACACAUAAAUUCAUCACUUCAAAAUUCAAAAAUCCAUCAACUUAAAACAACAACAAACUCAAUCCAACACCUUCAAUUAUACCUUCAUGUGAUAACUUCUCUUUUAUUUCUUCUCACAAACAACAAAAUCAAAUUAAACCAAUAUACCCACUAUUCAACGUGCAAUCCAAUUUCACACACUUUAAAAUCGUUUAAAAUAAAACUUAUCUCAAUUCAACAUUCCAACAUAUUUUUCAAUUCUAUUUAUUAUCCCUCUAGAUCUUCAAAUGAAAAGAAUAUUCAUAUCAAACUUGAACCUUUCUCUUAUAAUCCAAUUUCACACAACAAUCUUCCAAAUCAAUCGGAAAAAAAGAACACAACCCAAAUGUUCGAAACAAAAAUGAUGAGAUUAGAGUUCAAAGAAUUGACGAAGAAAGUAUUUGGAGUGACCAAGAAAUAGCAGAGAUGCGAGAUCAAUGAUGAGACGAGAGUUGGUAAUGAAAAAAAAUCAUUCUUUAGGUUUUUCAAUUUGAGAAUUUUGUGAAUUUUUCAAUAUUGGGAAUUCGAGCAUUCACAAUGAGGAUUUUGUUGUUAUAAUUUGAUUUUGAUAUUAUCAAUAAAAGUUUAGUGGGACUAUGAACAUUGUGGAUUUUAGUGUUGAGAUGUCAAUCUGACCAUUGUCAAUGGGAAUUUUGUUUGGGUUUGUGAGAAGUUGUCUAUUGAGAGGGAGAUGAUGAUUUUGAAGUUUUUUUUUUUAUCUCUUUUCUGAGUAUUUUCUCUUGGGUUUUUUGAUGAUUUAUGAAGACAAUGAUGAAGAUGUAUAAGAGGUGGAAGGAAGAAGAUGAAGAAAGCUAUUUUUUUCUCGCUUUUUGGUUUUGGUCCCUUUACGAAUUUUGUUUUUUCGGCUUUGGUCCCUCUACAAAUUUCGUUUUUUGGUUUUGGUCCCUCGCACUGUGUGACUCAUCAAUAAGUUUGCCACGUCAGGCACUGCCAUGUCAUCCUCCGUUUGCCACAUGUGCGUUUUGUAAUGGAAGUUGACGGGAGGGACGAAAAUCAAAAAGUUAUUAACUUACAGGGGUUGUUUUAGAACAAAAAAAGAUACAGGGACAAAAACCAAAAACACGCCAAAUUAUAGGGACGACUUACAUAUUUAAGCCUUAAAAAAUUGACUAAUGACAACGAUCGUUGCCUCAUUAUAUGAAUUGUAUCUUCGAACGACGUUCAGUAAUAACUCAUCUGUAUAAAAUAAUCUCAAAUUAAUAAAGUGACAAACAAAAAUAAGGCAAAAUUUACAAAUAACAAUUUAUCACUUUUUAUAAUGAAUAAAAAUGUGUAAAAGUUUUUUUUUUUUAAAUAAAAGAACUUUUGUAUAGAAAAAAAAAAGUUAUAAAAAACACAAGUAAGGUUAUUAUAAUAAAUUUGUUGGUCAACUUGUUUUCCUAAAUUUAUUUAUUUAUAGUAGAUAGAUAGGUAUCGGUGAAUGACCUCCUUGCUUGGAUUGAUGGUGCAUAAUAUUAGUACCUUGACUUUGUAAUUAUUGUAACUGUUGCAGGUGUCUUUCCUUCUCACACCUUGUGCAGGGAGUCACUGGUGUCUAUAAUAUAUCUCAUUUUAAUUUGUUAAAAAAAAAAAAUUCAAAAUCGUAUUGAAACUUAUAUUUAAUUAAAUAAAUAGAAAGGUCUUUUUUUUUUUUGACAAGGUGUUCUUUUUGUUAAGCAGUACAUAUAUGCAUAUUAUAUUUUAGAGGAGUAAUAUUUGAACACUCAUUUGAGACAACUCUUGUGACAACUUUCUCUCUCUCUCUCUCUUCAUUGGUCAAGAACAAUGGAGAGAGAAAAAAGAAGAGAGAAAAUAAAAGUAUAAUGUGAGUAUGAAAGAGAAAAUUGUCAUAAAGUGGUUGUACAAAUAUCAUUUCUCAAUAUUUUAUUGAAAAAUUGGUAAAAUAGAUAAGACUUGUUAAGCUGUCCAAUAGACUUGUUCAAGCUGUCCUAUACAUUAUUAAAUGCAUAAAACAAGUCCUGCACCAUAAACAAUUGGUUAUCGUCCUUAGCCAGAGCAGGGGUGGAUCCCAACAUGGCAUGGUGUGGCAAGUGCCACACCAAUUUUUUUUUUUUAUAUAUAUUUUUAUUAAUUUAUUGUAUAAUUUUACUCAUAUAUUAAUACAAAUAUCUAUUUUUUUUUAUUUUAUGUUUAUACAUGUAUCUAUAUAUUUAUUCAUAUAUUAACAUGGUGUUAUAUGUUAUUUUUUUAAUUUAUACAGAUGUCUAUAUUUGUAUUCAUAUAUUAAUAAGAGAACCUAUUUAUUUAUUUAUAAAUGUGUCUAUAUUUGUACUCAUAUUUAAUAAAUAAAUAUUUUUUUUGUACAAUUUAUACACAUAUAUCUAUAUUUUUUAUUCAUAUAUCAAUACAAAGAGAUAUGCUCUAAAAAAAAAAUCAAUACAAAGAUAUAUAUAUAUAUAUAUAUAUAUAUAUAUAUAUAUAUAUAUAUAUAUAAAAUUUCUACACAAUUGCAAAUUACUUCGAAAAAAAGCGCACACGGGUAUCUUGUUAGAGCAUUUGAUUCAUCUCUUGUAACCUAUAUAGAAAGGGAUAUUCUUAGAACAAUUAGUAAUUAUAUAAUUUUAGUUUAUAUUCAACAAAUAAAAAAUAGAUUAUUUUCUUUGUAAUUUUGAUUGCUACAACUAUUUUUAAUAUAUCUUCUUAUUAAAUUUAAUAUUAUUUAAUUGUUUGACAAAAAAAAAAUUUGCCCCACUAAUAAUAUUGUGAAAUCAGAUCCGCCCGUGACCCAAAGUACUAAAUUUAAAUACUAGUGGCAUGAAAUUUUAAAGAUUAAAUAUAAGUGAAUGACGUUUCACCAACUUGAAUGAAAUUUUAUAUGGAACGUAAAUAAAAAAAGGGUUUUUCUAACCUGUGCAAGAUUGCACAGGAUAAGAAGUGAUUAAUGCACCAUAUUUUAUGGGUUUCUCCAAAUCCUAUUAAUGAGCCAAUUUAUUAGCUUCUUAUUUGUUUUUUUUUUUUGACAAAAUUUAUUAGCCUUUCCUUAAAACUCGUUCUCUUCCACGCUCACCGCACCAAUAAGUAAGAACAAAAAACUGUUCUCUCUCUCUCUCUCAUAUUUGUUUUCUUCUAAAAGCUCUCUCUCUAAUAUUCAUUCCAAUGCAGGUAAUAACCAAAUCGGAAUCAAGGUAUAACAUGAAUUAUAUCUUUUGUAAUAAUUUCUUCUGGUUCUUCUUUUGCUUUGAAUUUGGCUAAUUCUUCUCACAGUGUUCAAAUUGACGGGAGAACCAAAAUUGGGCUCAAGUACACUAUAUUCCAAACCUCUCAAACUGCACUAACCCGUAUAACUGCAAAGCUUCUUUUUUGAAGGAACUGCAAAGCUUUUAAAAGCAAACUGUAAUAUUUCAAACGAAUGAAAGCAAACUGCAAAGCUUUUGUGACGUGAGAAGAAACUGUAAUAUUUCAAGCUUAUAAAAGCAAUCUGUAAUCUCUUAAAAAAAAACUGUAAUAUUUCAAACUUGAAGAGUGACGUGAGAAGAGAAUAAAAUGUUUUAAUGUCUUUGUAGAAUGUGUCUUUUAAGGGAAGAAGAAGAAAAUGUAUUAGAGAAGAGAAGAAGGAAAAAAAACAAUUUUCAAGGAAAAGACUCGUUAAUAAGGUUUGGAAAACCCAUAAAAUAUGAUGCAUUAAUUACUUCUUAUCCUGUGCAAUCUUGCACAGGUUAGAAAAACCCAUAAAAAAAUGCAGGCACUAGAUUCAUAAACAUUUUCUGAAGAUCGUUAUUCUGUCUGUCGGCCACAUCUUAUUGUCUCCAUUGACAGAUUCAUGAACUUGUAGAUUCUUUAUUCGUGCUCAAGUAUCAAACCAACGCAAAAGACACAAUUACACAAAUAGAAUCAAUAAUGGGCCCCAAUAACGUUAACAUUUACAUAUUUUUCAUUCAUGCCGACAUUAAUAUAUUUUUUGUAAAUUGUUUGUGAGCACCUACAUGCUGACUUUCUACUUUCAUUGCAUUUAUUUUCAAAGGUCCUCCAGCUUGGUUCAACACUCAUUCUAUCUAAACAAAUUUCUCGUCUUCUUAUCUUUUCAACUCUUUAAUUUGUUUUCACAAAAAAAUGGCCGACGCUUUGCUUGGAGUUGUGUUUGAAAAUUUGACGGCUCUCCAUCAAAAUGAAUUUUCAACCAUUUCUGGAAUUAAGUCAAAGGCUCAAAAGCUAUCAGACAACUUAGUUCACAUCAAGGCUGUUCUUGAAGAUGCUGAGAAGAAACAAUUCAAAGAACUCUCUAUUAAGCUAUGGUUACAAGACCUCAAAGAUGCUGUUUAUGUGCUCGAUGAUAUCCUUGAUGAGUACUCGAUCGAGUCUUGUCGACUGAGAGGAUUUACCUCUUUCAAACCAAAGAACAUCAAGUUUCGCCAUGAGAUCGGUAACAGGUUGAAAGAGAUUACAAGGAGGUUAGAUAAUAUUGCUGAACGUAAGAACAAGUUUUCUCUACAGAUGGGUGGAACUCUUAGGGAAAUCCCAGAUCAAGUAGCUGAAGGGCGCCAAACCGGCUCCAUUAUUGCUGAACCAAAAGUGUUUGGACGAGAAGUUGAUAAAGAAAAGAUUGUUGAGUUUCUUCUCACCCAAGCGAAGGACUCUGACUUCCUUUCCGUCUAUCCCAUAGUUGGUUUAGGUGGUGUUGGAAAAACAACUCUUGUUCAAUUGGUCUACAAUGAUGUUAGGGUGAGUGGCAAUUUUGAAAAAAAAAUUUGGGUUUGUGUUUCUGAGACUUUCUCGGUAAAGAGGAUUUUGUGUUCUAUUAUAGAAUCUAUCACAUUAGAGAAGUGUCCUGACUUUGAUUAUGCUGUAAUGGAAGGAAAGGUGCAAGGAUUGUUGCAAGGGAAAAUAUAUUUGCUGAUUUUGGAUGAUGUGUGGAAUCAAAAUGAACAAUUGGAAUCUGGGUUAACACAAGAUAGAUGGAAUCGUUUGAAAUCUGUUUUGUCGUGUGGAUCAAAAGGUAGUUCCAUUUUAGUGUCCACUCGUGAUGAGGAUGUUGCAUCAAUCAUGGGGACAUGGGAAAGUCACCGUUUGUCUGGUCUCUCUGAUAGUGAUUGUUGGUUGUUGUUCAAACAACAUGCAUUUAAACGUAACAAAGAAGAGGAUACAAAGCUUGUGGAAAUUGGAAAGGAGAUAGUAAAGAAAUGUAAUGGAUUGCCUCUUGCAGCAAAAGCAUUGGGGGGUUUAAUGGUCUCAAUGAAUGAAGAAAAGGAAUGGCUUGAUAUUAAAGACAGUGAGCUUUGGGAUUUACCACAUGAAAAAUCUAUUUUACCUGCUUUGAGUUUGAGUUACUUUUAUUUAACACCAACCCUAAAGCAAUGUUUCUCCUUUUGUGCUAUAUUUCCCAAAGAUAGAGAAAUCCUGAAGGAAGAAUUGAUUCAACUUUGGAUGGCUAAUGGAUUUAUUGCAAAGAGGAAUUUAGAGGUUGAAGAUGUUGGAAACAUGGUUUGGAAGGAAUUGUACAAAAAAUCGUUCUUUCAAGAUAGCAAGAUGGAUGAAUAUUCUGGAGACAUUUCUUUCAAGAUGCAUGAUCUUGUCCAUGAUCUCGCUCAAUCAGUAAUGGGGCAAGAAUGUAUGUGUUUGGAGAAUAAAAACACGACUAAUUUGUCAAAAAGCACACACCACAUUGGUUUUGACAGCAACAACUUUUUAUCCUUCGAUGAAAAUGCUUUCAAAAAAGUUGAAUCCUUGCGAACUUUGUUUGACAUGAAGAAAUAUUAUUUUCUUAGAAAAAAAGAUGAUCACUUCCCAUUAAGCAGCUCUCUCCGUGUUUUAAGCACAUCUUCUCUGCAGAUCCCAAUAUGGAGUUUAAUUCAUUUAAGGUAUUUGGAACUUACUUAUCUUGACAUAGAAAAGUUGCCUAACUCAAUUUACAACUUACAAAAACUGGAAAUCUUGAAAAUAAAACGUUGUGAUAAACUGAGUUGUCUUCCAAAACGCUUGGCUUGCUUACAAAAUCUUAGGCAUAUAGUCAUUGAAGAAUGUCGGUCUUUGUCUCUAAUGUUUCCUAACAUUGGAAAAUUAUCUUGUCUAAGAACAUUAAGUGUGUACAUUGUUAGUUUAGAGAAAGGGAAUAGCUUGACAGAGUUACGUGAUCUAAACCUCGGUGGAAAACUGCAUAUCCAAGGAUUAAACAAUGUUGGCAGGUUAUCUGAAGCUGAAGCGGCUAAUUUGAUGGGUAAAAAAGACCUUCAUCAAUUAUGCUUGUCGUGGAUAUCGCAACAGGAAUCUAUAAUUAGUGCUGAGCAAGUGCUCGAAGAGCUUCAACCUCACUCAAAUCUCAAUUCCUUGACAGUAAAUUUCUAUGAAGGAUUAUCGUUACCAAGUUGGAUAAGCCUUCUUAGUAAUUUAAUUUCUCUUAAUCUUUGGAAUUGCAACAAAAUUGUGCUGCUUCAGUUACUUGGUAAACUACCAUCUCUAAAAAAUCUUAGAGUAUAUCGUAUGAAUAAUCUGAAAUACUUGGAUGAUGAUGAAUCUGAGGAUGGUAUGGAGGUGAGGGUUUUCCCAUCUCUGGAGGUACUCUACUUACAACGCCUACCAAACAUAGAGGGGUUAUUGAAAGUGGAAAGAGGGGAGAUGUUUCCUUGUCUUUCUAACUUGACAAUCUCCUAUUGCCCUAAAAUUGGACUGCCAUGUCUUCCAUCUCUUAAAGACCUCUAUGUUGAGGGAUGUAACAAUGAGUUACUGAGGUCAAUCUCUACCUUCCGUGGUCUUACUCAGCUUAUCUUAUAUGAAGGUGAAGGAAUAACAUCCUUCCCAGAGGGGAUGUUCAAAAACCUUACUUCUCUUCAAUCUCUGUCUAUCAUUAGUUGUAAUGAGUUGGAGUCCUUACCAGAGCAAAAUUGGGAAGGUCUUCAAUCCCUUCGAACUCUACAGAUUUAUAGCUGUGAAGGAUUGCGAUGCUUGCCGGAGGGUAUUCGACACCUCACUUCUCUUGAGCUUCUGACUAUCAUUAAUUGCCCAACAUUAGAGGAACGAUGCAAAGAGGGAACAGGGGAGGAUUGGGACAAGAUAGCUCAUAUUCCAAAUAUACAGUUUAAGUGAUAGAGUUAAUUGAUGUUUAAGAAGCAGAGACGUUUACCCUUAUCUGCCUCAAUCACCAUCGCAAAAUUCAAUUUUACUGGUAAGAUCUCUAUUUCCCCUUAUCUGCCUCAAUUCACUUUAUUUUUAUUCAAAAGUAUUUUUAUAUAUUUCUCAAUCUUGACUUCUUUGGAACCCAUCCCCCAGAAUGAGCACCAGAAUCUUUAUACAUGAAAGAUAUUUCACUGCUCAACUAAAGUUACAAAUGUUCUAAUUCAGGUCAUUUUCUUCAUCAUAGUUUAAUUUUUUUUAAUUUGCAUUUUCGAUUUUUUUUUUUAAUUUUAUUGAUUUUGUUGAGCAUAUUUUAGGAGUGAAGUUUGCUGCUGAAGAUUUCAAUUUCCUUUAACUGAUAUCUCUUUGCUGGUUAUCGUUGGUUUCCAGGUAAACAUAGUUCAUAUCUUAGCGAAUACUUUAAUAUGCAUUUUCUGCCUUAUCAAAUUGAUUGAUUUUAACACACAUAUAGAAACUUUCAGUUUGAUUUGAACAUAUAGAAACUUCAGUCGGCUUUCUUUUUAUUGCAUGCUUCAGGACUUUAUAAUGCUAAUUAGCUUCACACAUCAUAUUUAGAUGUAUGGUAAGAUUUGAUAAAGGAAUUGAGUGUAUUUUGGUCAUACUUACAGGCAAGGGACUGAAUGUAUUUUGGCCUGAAAAAUCAAUCUCCAAAUAAGGCAGUGAACAAUGGUGAUCCAACACAUGAGCUGAACUUAAUUCCAACUAAUAACAGAUGUUGAAAGAGUUAUAUAUAGCUUCUCCUAAGCCUUAGGAGGUUGUCCUUGAUUUUACAAUAUCUACUAGUACUAAUGUUGCUAACAUAAGUGAUUCUUUAUAUUAAUCUCUUUCCCAUUUCUCUAGUGUAGUUUUUUGUUGGUGAGCUUAUAAUCAGACAUUUUGUGUCUUGGUUAUUCCAAACAGUGUACAUACAUUAUUUAUUUAAAAGGGAUAAAUGCUUUUUUGAAUUCAUACUUGAUCAAAUUAUUGCCUUAUGGAAGCUAAAAUCAGUGACUACGAGAUUUUUUUGUCAUUUAUAAAAUUCACUUGUCAACAGAAAUGUAACCAGACAAAGAAUUCAAUAAACAAGGCACAAUGAAAGCGAAAACGAACACUUUCAAAUCUUGCGAAAUCACACACGCAAAUAAAUUGUGGAAGCGAAAACGGACAUGAGUUUGUUAAUCACAUAUGAAAUUUGCCUGGUUAUGUACAAAGGGGAGGGAAAAUUUGGUGAUAAAGUUCAAAAUAUUGGGGUCUCUAGAUUGGACUUGUCUAGUACAAUGAAAGUAGAAACAUUGGUCAUACAAUGUUCUUGCUUAAUUUUUUACUUAAGCAGCAGAAGAUUUUUUAUUUAAUUAACAUGAUUAGGUCUAGUUUUACUCUUUCUAUGUUACCAUACCAACCUCUCUAAUUUUCCCUCUCUAAACUGAUUUAAUUUUUUUUCACAUUAUAAUUAAUUUUUAAUUGAAGUAAAAAAAACAGUACUUUUUUGUGCAUACUAUUCUGUUCUUUUACUUUAUUUUUCGCUUCAAUUCUAAUCCAAUUCAUAUUCAAUUCUAAUUCAAAUAUUUCAUAUCAAAUUAAAAAUCAAACAUUUUGAAUUCAAAUAAUACGGAUUUAAAUCAACUAAUUUAAAUUUAAAUAUUUAAUUUCAGGUAUUAUAUAAUAAAACAAAUAAUAAAAUUUAAAUAUUUUAAUGUCAAAGAGAUCAAAUCAUUGAUAUAUGUCAAAUAAUAAAAAUACGAUUUGAUUAAAAGUAUUGAUAUUGAAAGAAUUUAAUGAAAUGUAAAAUUGUUUCAUUUUUAUAUUCACAAUAAUAAUGUGAGCUAUUAUAAUAUUUUUAAUUUUAAUGAUUGCAAAACAAAUAUGGAAAAGUUAUACUUUUAAUAUAAAAUUUAAUUCAAAAAAAAAAUUGUGCAUUUAAUCUCUUAAAAGUUGCAAAAGUUACACUUUUAAUAUAAAAUUUAAUAUUUGUUUUUUAUCAAUAAUGUUAGAAAAAAAAACACUUAUUAUUCAAACAAUACCGUAUAAUAGUGUUAUAUACAAGUAACAAAGUAAUAAUAAAAAUAUAAUUAUUUAAUAAAAUAUAUUAAUCGAUAUUUCCCUCUGUAACCAAAAAAAAUAUUAACGUGAUACAAACUUCCUAAACAAGUCAUCAAAUUGUAAUAUUUUGAAUAAACAUUAAUUUUUAUGAGAAUAUUUUCCUUAAUGAAUAAUGAUGUCUUCAAAUAAGUCAUUUUAUUAUAAGAUUUUAAAUAAUAAUUAGCUUUGAUGAGAAGAUUAUCCUCAAUGAUAAAUUUUAAUAAUAAUUGUUAUGUACAAUGUAUUUAAUUUUUUAUGAAUAAAUUGAUUAAUUUGUUUACUAACUUUUUUAUUAAAAAAAAUGAAAUAUUUAUGAAUAAAAAUACUUUGAUCUUUUUAAAAAAAUUUAAACCUAAAGACAUUUUUAAAAUAAUUAUAUUAAUCUUUUUUGAAAAAGCGGUUAAUUUCAUUUUAUCAAAAGUUGAUUUAAUUUGGUGAUAUGUCUUUAAUAUCUAAGAUAUGUCUUUUUACCACUAGACUAAACUUUUACAAAUCUAUUACAUUAAUCUAUUAUUUGCUAAUUUUAUUUUUAUUUUUUUUGAUACUUCAUCUUACUCUUAUGUGUGUGUGUGUCAAAUUUUAUCAACUUGUGAUAAAACGAAAUGUGAUAAAAUGAAAUGAAAAGGGUUUCCAAUUUUUUUUACUAAUACUUAUUAGUUUAAUCUUGUUUUUUAUCAAACCUAUUAAUCUAUUGUUCCUGUAUGUUAUUAACAUUAAAAGAGUUUUCUUUUACUUUAUUUUGGAUAUGUAAAUAUUGAUCCAAAUUAUAGUGCAUUAUAUUUGAUUGGAUUUUUUUUCUUCAAAAGAUUCAUCCAAGUCAAAGUUAACCGUGUUUGAUUUUAUAUUUGGAUCAUAUGAUAUUUUGCCUCAAAAACAUUUCGAAUUAGACUUCAAACAAACCUAUAAAUGAUUAUUAUAGUUUUUUAUUUACAGUAAUUUCAAUUUUUUUUUUUUUUUGAAAUCAUUAAAAAAGUAUUGAUUUCUAUAAUCCUAAUGUGCAUUAAUCAUAAUUAAAAAAGAUAUUUUAUCAAAAGAUAAAAGAAUGACAAUUGAAUAUUUAAAUGUUUGAGUUUUAAUUGUUCAAAAAAAAAAUGUUUGAGUUUUAUUAAGGAAAUUAAUACAUAAUAAAAGAGAGUACAACGGGUAGUCUAACUCAUAUUAUACCAUGCAAACCAUCUCCUUCUCCUGAAAAAUAAAAUAAAAAUAUACCUGUUUUUUGUCCUAAAAAAUAACUUUUUUUUUUUUAAAGUAAAAGUGGGAUGAGCACUUUCAAUAUGUCAUUGUUUUUUAAUGAACUGAAGAGAGUUUCAUUGAUGAGAAAAUUAAAAUCAAUCAAUAGUAAAUGACCACUAACAUAGGAAAUACAAUCAUUUAAUUCCUUCGUCGUUUGUAAGAAAAAUCAUUCAAUAAAAAAAAAUUAAAUUUAAGCAAACAUAAGUUUGUGAUCGUCAUGGGUAUAAAAAAAAUUAAUUAUGGAUGAUGAUAACUAUUUAAAAAGAAAUUAAGCAAACAUGCUUCAGCAUCCACGCCUACAGGUGUUCACGGGAUGAGUCGGUUUUCAUUAUAAUCUAUUACCCGAUGCAAUCAAGUUUCAUUAGGUUUGAUCAAUAAAUAAUUACACGUAACUUUAUUUUAAACAAAUCUUAAAAAUAUAUAUAAUUAAAUUACAUUCUAUAUUAUAAAAAUUUCAAGACUUGGACUAGAUUCUACUAAUUAAAAUUUGAACACACUUGAAUUUAAUUGAAACACUUUAAAUCUCUAUGACAUGGACCAGGUAUAUAAUAGUGUGAAACUGGGUCAAUGCGUAGAAGAAACGCGUUGUAUAGCUCAAAUACAAUGUUAAAUGAGCAAGGAUGGAUACAUCGCUGCCUGAAUGCAGUAAAAAAUAAGCAAGGGUCUCCACAUCUUUGUAACAUUCAAUUUAAGGUGUUUUACUCUGAUUAAUUUAUGAAAUUUUUAUGUUGGGAAAACGGGGUGUUACAAUUGGUAUCAGAGCAGGUUGGUCCGUCCGGCCAAGUAGUUGAGUCGUUUGUGUCGUGUGACAGUUAAAUAUUGUCGUUGUGUUUUUCUAAUUAAUAAUUAUGUUUUAUUAUGUGAUCAAGUUGACUGACUAACUUUAAUGUGAUUUUUGUGUAUUGUUGAAGUUUCUAUUUGUUAUCCAUAGUUUAAGAUAUUUAAGCAAUAACUGAAUUUGUUUUCGUUUGUGUUUUGAAUUUCGAGGACGAAAUUAUUUAAGUUGGGGAGAGUUGUAACACCCUAAUUGUUAUUUAAUUAUUUUUAGUUGAUUUAAAGUCUUUCAUAUGAUUUUAAAUGAUUUAUGUUGAUUUUGUGGUGUGGUGUAUUUUAUUAAAUGGCUAUUUUCAUUAUUUAAUAGAAUAAGUGAGAAUUAGGAUUUAAUUGGAGUUUCGGGGUUAAAUGAGAAUUAAUAGAAUUAAGGGGAGUUAAAAGAAAUAAGUGGGAGGUUAUGUUUUACCGAGUUAUUAGAAAAUAGAACCAAGAGUCAGAGAAUCAGUUUUACGUGAAAACAGCAGUUUUGGGAUAAAAUUAGAGAAAGCAAGAGAACCAAGGGAGAGCCAAGUGAACCAGAUUUCUGUUGGAAUUAUUCUUCUGAAUUCAGGUAAGGGUGAGGUUUGCUUCAAUAGUGUAGAUUAUUAUAAUUCUGAUUUUGGUUUAACGUAGUUCUGUUAAAAAUUUGGAAAUUGGGUUUAGGUUUGAUUCUUAGAUUUUUAUAUAUUCUAUUUAAGAAAUUUGAAAUUGUAGUGUGACAUGCCCGUUUGGGUUUUACUCUGAUGUUGAACAAUUAUUAUUUAAUUGAUUUUGGGAAACGGGGUGUUACACUCCACAUCUUUGUAAACGAGUGUGGGUAAUCAAGUUAGUUAAUGAGAGUAUGAUCUGUUUUAGAACAUAGAAUAAAGGUACUCUUAUUUGAACAUAUAUGAAAAUAGUUUUUUUUUUUUUUUUAGAUCACAUAUAUGGAAAUAGUUGACGCUAUGACUAAAAUGAAGAUUAAUUUUAUGUGCCAGCAAAAAACUAUGUGGGUAGGUGAGAAGAUGAGAAGCCAUGAUUGGGAAACAAGGAUCAAGUGGUGACAUUUAAAGGAUCAAAACCAAAGUGUUUUUCUGCAAAAGAUUUUGAAGGAAGGUUGUGUGAAGCUACAUAGAAGUGAAAAUGAUAUGUGGAACAAGAUGACAUAUGAGAUUAGAAAAGUAGCAAAAGAGACACUGGAAGAAUUAAUAGGUUUUGGACCUAGCUAGGAGUAAAAAAUCUUGGUGGAACCAAAGAGUUCAAAUUAAAGUGAGAAUCAAAACAGUACUUCACUAAUAAAAAAAUAGGGAUAAGGGUGAUACACAUUCCAACCUUGAUGACAGGGUUGUUUUCGAGGGGUGUGUUUUUUAGGAUAUAGUAAAGGCUGAUUAGAGUAGUUUAAUAGUUAAAAGGUAACAUUUUUAGGAUAUAGUAAAAAAAAAAAAACUAAGAGUUACUAACUCAACGAUACCAUUCAACAUUUUCUACAUUUUUUAGGAUGAUACGUUUAAAUAUAAAUCUAAUAUUUUUUUCUUUCUCUUCAACGUGCACACAAAUGCAUGCAAAGGUAUUAAUAUUAAUUUCGUUACUUUACAUUUAAUAUACAGAUCUGCGUAUCGGUGACGAUGACUUUAAGAACCUUUGUUUGAUUGAAAUUGAAAUGUUGUUUCAGGAAAACGGAGAGUCGCUUACUGACUUCAAAUCUAUACCCAGGCCAAACGCAGCAGACAUGCCAACUUUCACAAACAAGCUUAUCGUUGAUGAGCUAAAUUACAACAAAGAUGAACUGUAAAAGACACAUGCUGAUAUGUUACUGAUGCUGAUUGAUGAACAAAGAUAUGUGCAUGAAAAGAUCAUGGAGUCUGUUGGUUCUGACGACGAUGGUUUCUUUUUCUUAUAUGGUUACAGUGGUAUUGGAAAAACCUUUAUAUGAAAACAUAGUCGGCUGCUGUUAGAUCGAAGGGGUUAAUUGUAUUGAAUGCUGCAUCUAGCGGUAUAAUGACUCUUCUAUUACCAGGAGGAAGAACCGCACACUCGACGCUGACAGUCCCUAUUGAGAUUAUGAGGCAUCAUCACUUACGAUGGAAAAGGAUAGUCCUAGGGCAGACCUGAUGCGUGCUGCAAAGUUGAUAAUUUGGGAUGAGACUCCAUUGAUGCACUGAUGGUGUUUUGAGGCAGUUGACCGAUCAAUGCGUGAUAUCAUGUCCAAGAUUGAUCCCCUAAACGAGUUUAAACUAUUUGGUGGAAUGACAAUAGUUUUAGGUGGUGAUGUCAGGCAGAUAUUGCAUGUUGUCCGAAAAGGAACGAGGCAGGAUAUUGUUGAUGCAUCAAUCAAUUCAUCAAAGAUAUGUGCUUAUUUUAAUGUGUUAAGACUUACUGUUAAUAUGAGAUUGGGUGCAUCUUUGGUACCUGCAGAGCAGAAAGAAAUUGCUAAUUUUGGCAAGUGGAUACUCUGAAUUGGAGACGGCAACAACGCUUCGGAUGAGAAUGGUGAAAUGAAGGUAGAAAUUCCUGAAGAUUAUUUUUCCAAGAAAGGGGAAUACUCGCACCAACACUUGAUUAAGUUGAACAUGUUAACGAAUAUAUGAUGUCACUGAUUCCAGGUGAAGAGAAAGAGUAUUUAAACUCUGAUUCUGUUUGUCGCUCGGGUGAAAAUUCUGAUGUCCAAAGUGAGUGGUUCACAACGGAAUUCCUUAAUGGUAUUAAGAGCUCUGGAAUUCCAAAUCACCGGUUGAAACUAAAGGUGGGAUGUCCAGUUAUGCUGAUGAGAAACAUCGAUCAGGCCAAUGGACUGUGUAAUGGUACAAGGUUGACAGUUACACAUCUAGGGAAGAGCACAAUAGCUGCUACUGUAAUUACAGGAAAAAGGGCAGGUACCAAGGUAUUCAUUCCCAGGAUGAAUUUUAUUCCGAGUGAUCCAGGACUAUCCUUCAAAUUCAUGCGCAGAUAAUUUCCAUUGACGCUUUGUUUUGCAAUGACAAUAAAUAAAAGUCAGGGUCAAUCUUUAUCUCGAGUGGGAGUUUAUCUUCCUAAACCCGUGUUCACGCAUGGGCAACUCUAUGUCGCUGUCUCUCGAGUUACUUCUAGAAAAGUUUUUUAAAAAGUCUGAUCAUUGGUUAUAUUUUAGAAUUGUUGCUGCUAUAAUUUAGAAAACUAAAGUUGCGCAUUGAUUGAAAGUUGUUGUUGUUUUUUUUUUUUUUUAACUUCUUUGUAAGGCGUACUGGUCAUUAUAGACAUGCAAUUUCUAUAUAAGCGGAUCUUACUGCCAUUGACUAUUAAUUCAUGCAGUUUUCAAGUUUAACAAUCCGCGGAACCUUUUUUUUUACAUCGUUGUUACCCCUAAAAUACAAUAUUUACAUUAGACCAUUUGUUUUGUAAAAAUUAAAAACAAAUAACAAUCGGUGUUUCUGUAGCCCAAACUACAUUUAUACACACCCGUAAAAAUUAAACGUUUGCAUUUACCGACUACGUGUAUGCAUGUGACAAUGACUAUUAUAUAUAAAAAAAUACAUAUUUUUUAGUUUUUAUGAUUAAUAAAAUACAUUUUGUCAACAAAUAUUAUUACACAGUACGUCGGCGUAUUUUUGCAAGAAAAUUACAUAUGCGAAGUUUAACAAUGAAUGCACCUUAUACUAUAAAUAAUUAGUACAAGUAUAAUAAUCCAAAUAUUUUUAUCAUUAUAUGCAAUGUUUAGAUAUUUCAAAAUAUAUACAAAAUUAAGAUGAUAUUUUUUUCAUAUCGAAUUUAAAAUCUAUACAUUUGAUCAAAAAUGUUUUUUAUUUCCCCGUGCUGGCACGGGUCACUAUACUAGUUGUUUGUAAUUAAUCACUCCGUCCUUAUAUCUAGAUACCCAUUUGAUUUUCUUUUUAUCCCUAAAUGUAAGUCCCUUUUCAAAUUAUUAGAUACAUUUUUUUUUCAUAAACAUACCCUAAUUAAUACUACUAACUUGCCUUGAAAUAUGAAAAGUCAAAUUUAAUACACACACAAACAAAGGAAAAUUUGGUAAUAUUAACACACAAAAUAGACACAUUAAGUAAAUUAACAACUUUUCUUCAGAAAUGUGAAAAAAGCAAAGAGGGCUUACACAUAGGGACGAAGGGAAUAAGAAAAAGUUAAUCGUAACCCAUCAAUCUUAUAUAAACUUGGUCCUAUUUAUGAGAAAAAUUCAAAAAAUUGAUGGGUAUAUUUAAUACUCCUUCGGUCCUUAUUGAUCCUAUUUAUGAGGAAAAUUCAAGAAAUUUAUGGGUAUACUAUCUCUGGUUCUUUAUAUAAGAAACAAAACACAUAAAUCGAAACAAAACACAUAAAUCAAAUAGACUAAGGAAACAUUUUGAAAAUAGUUAUUUGCAUUUAAUACUCUUAUAAAUUGACAUGGUGAUGUAUAACGAGGAAGCGUCGACCAUGUUUCUCGCGCGGUUUGAAGCAAAUCAUCGGUUUGUAGGCGGUCGCGAUCUAACAUAUGCUGAAUUUCCAACAAAAUUUACUUAUGAGAAGAAAUAAAAAUAGUGGCAGCCACGUAAACUAGGAUAUCAAACCAAGCAAGUUCUCGGAAUCAAGAGAAUCAAUCAUAGUAUGAAGUAAAAAAUUUGGGAUAAAUAACUUAUUUGAUAUUAUGUGAUUGCUAAUUAAUAUAAAAUUUAAUGGAAAAAAAUUAUGGUCAAUCUUAAAUUUUAAAUUAAAGUUAAAAAUAAGGUAACUAAUUAGUUGUGGAAGUUUCUACUAUAUUUAUAAAUGAUUAUUAUAGUUUUUUAUUUACAGAAAUUUCAAUUUUUAUUGUUUUUAUUAUAGAUUUUUUUAUUAAAGAAAUCAUUAAAAAAAUAUUGAUUUCUAUAAUCCUAAUGUGCAUUAAAUCAGAAUUAAAAAAGAUAUUUUGUGAAAAGAUAAAUAAUGGAUAUUGGAUAUUUAAAUGGAUAUUGUGAACGAUUGUGGGUAAAGAAGUUAGUUAAUGAGAGUAUGAUCUGUUUUAGAACAUGGAAUAAAGGCACCCUUACUUGAACAUAUAUGGAAAUAGUUGACGCUAUCACUAAAAUGAAGAUUAAUUUUAUGUACCAACAAGAAACUAUGUGGGUAGGAGGUGAAAAGACAAAAUAAUUAGAUAGUUCAAGAUCUAAGCAUUGAUAAACCGGAAAAGUUAGAUCGAGAAAUGGUGUAGGCAUUACUGUGGAUAAGGAAUUGAAAAAGGAAAUUGUGGAUGUAAAGAGGAUGUGAGAUUUGAUUGUAUCCCACAAAUUUUUAGUUUAAUAAGACAUCUUUAUUAUUUUUUUUUUUUUAAGGAAAUAAGACAUCUUUAAUGUUAUGAGUGUUUACUCACCUUAGGUAGGUUUGGAAGAAUAUUCUAAAGUUAAAUUUUGGAAGGAUUUGAAAGGUUUAAUUCAAGUAAUACACAAGGAGAAAAUGUUUUUCUAAACCAAGUUGUUUGGGCUCCAGUGGCAAGGAGUUCCUUCCAAGGACGUAUCCGGGGAAUACCGGGUUUGAUUUCUAGGGGGAACAAUGAUUGGCCAGUGCGCAUGCCUCUAUGCAUGAGCUGAAUUAGUCGUCCACCUUAGGUGGGCCGGAAACCGGUGCGAAAGCCAAAAAAAAAAAGAUUUUCUAGGAGGGGAUCUAAAUGGGCAUGUAAGGAGUGUUUGAUAAGUUUUAAAGGCGUGAACAAGGGUAUGGCCGUGGGGACAUAAAUGCAUAGGGUAAUUCCAUCCUAGAUUUUUUGUAGUCUUUUAAUCUUACUUUAGGAAAAUAAAAAGAAAAUUUAUUACAUACAAGAGUGGAAUUUCAUGUUCUCAAAUAUAUUUAUUUCUUAUUAGGAAUUAUGACAGAAAUAUUUGUUUGAAUUUAAUGUUUUACAAAGAGAGAGUUUGACUAUCCAAGAUAUAAUAUUGGUUAUGGAUGUAAGGGUUAAGAUAAGAGCGGAGAUGAGAGGAAAUGAUUGAGAUGCAAGAAUCAAGUGGUGACAUUUAAAGGAUCAAAACCAAAGUGUUUUCCUACAAAAUAUUUUGAAGGAAGGUUGUGUGAAGUUACAUAUAAGCGAAAAUGAUACGUGAAACAAGAUGACAUAUGAGAUUAGAAAAGUAGCAAAAGAGACACUAGAAGAAUUAAUAGGUUUUGGAGCUAGCUAGGAGUAAAGAAUCUUGAGUUCAAAUUAAAGUGAAAAUCAAAAUAGUAUUUCACUAAUAAAAAAUAGGGAUAAGGGUGAUACAUUUGAAGACUAUUACACAUUAAGAAAUUUAGCACAUUCCAACCUUGAUGACAAUGUUGUUUUCGAGGGAUGUGUUUUUUAGGAUAUAAUAAAGUUUGAUAUAGACUCCAAUGAAAAAUAUUUAAUCAGGUCUCACUAACUUUACAUCAUUAAACAAAAAUAAUUUAUUUAUUAAACCUCAUUUAUUUAUUGGUAUAAACUUAAAUUUCAGCCACAUAACAUUACAAAUUUUACAUUCUUUCGUUAAAUAAUAAUAAUAAUUUGCAUGAAUUACAUUACAUUUUAUUUAAAAGAGUUAAAUAUGUUUUUGGUCUCUAUAUUUUACCUUCCUUUAAAAUAUAGUCCCUACAUUUCAAUAAAUAUUUUUAAAAUUCCUAUAUUUUUAUUCCGUUACGACAAAUAGUCCCUACCCUCAAAUCUGUAACGCUUCAACAGUAUUGUUCACUUUCAUCUUCCUGUUCAUGGUUUUCUUCAUCAUAUAUCAUCACUACCAUCUCUUGCUCCUUCUUAGAUCUUCUCUCUACCAACACCACCAACUUAUUACCACAUCACCAAAAACAAAACAGACCCACAAAUUUUCCUAGAAAUUUUGUCAAAGUCUAUCACUCUCCUUUGUUCCUUUAUUUUUUUCCAAACUAGAAAAUCUUCCACCCUGUAAAUUUUGUCCUUCAAUCUUCUUAGCUCCCACUCUCUUUGUUUUCCAAUCCGACCUUGCACAUCAACCGUGGCCAUGUCACAUGCGGCGAUUCCCUGAUUCUGAAACCUCAUUCUAUGGGUGUUGUUGUGUUUCGAUCAUGAAACCUCACUUCCCUUCCUUCAGACUCCUCUCUCUCUCCGCGAUGUUUGUUGUAUCUGUGAGGUUUGAUCGGAAUCGGGAGAGGGUUCAAUGGUGGAAUAAAAUUAGGCAAGAGAGGGGGUGAUGGAGAAUUUAUGAAGUGGGGGGACAGGGAGGAUUACAUAGGUGACUGGGGGGAGGUGCUAUUGAUUGUGUUUGAGGUGUCGUGGAAGAAGAGUUGAUUGAAACCAGUGAGUUAAAGAUCUCUUAUUGUGUGGAAUGGUGGAGGAAUUGAUACCAAUGUGCUAUUAUUGGAUCCAUUAAUCUCUAUGAUAUAACAUGACGAUUGAUGAAUAGUUCUCAAUGGGGAGAAAUAUUUAUGGGUUUAUUGAAGUUGUUGAGAUGAUGAGAGUUUUGGGAAGGAUGAUGAAUUUCUGAGCAGCCACUUGAGGAACAUUUUAUUGUAAUUCACUUGUUUUAUUUUGUUUUUGUUAAAAGGGGUUUUAUUUAAAUUUUUUAUAAUUAAUAAUUGUAAUAAAAUAAAUAUUAGAUUGCCACAUCACCAUUCUGUUUGGUGACUGAGUAUAAUUUAACAGCAGGGACUAUUUAUGCUAACAAAAUAAAAAUGUAGGAAUUUUAAAAAUAUUUAUUGAAAUGUAGGGACUAUUCUUUAAAGGAGGGUAAAAUGUAGGGAUCAAUAACAUAUUUAAACUCUAUUUAAAAUGGGGACAAAUAGAUAAAAUAAUCUUUAAAACAACUAUUAAUUUAAAAAAAAAAAAAAUUAAAACAACUACUCCAUCCGUCCCUUAAUAAGUGACCUAGUUGACCAAAUUACGUAUACCAAUGCGUAAUUUUGAGUUUAAAUAUCUUGAACAAUAUAUUGGAAAAAAUUAUGAAAAUUUGAUAUUUUGAAAAUACUCAUCGAGACGAAUCUAACGAUAUCUUAUAUGAUGUUAUUUAUCUUUGUAUAUUAGUUGAAAAAUACGGUCAAAGUCAGUUAGGUCAAAAUUAAAAAAAUUCCAAAUGGGUCACUUAUUAAGGGACGGAGGGAGUAUUAAUUAUUAAAAUAUUACUUCUUUUGUAAGCGAGCCCACAUAGUACAUAUUUUAUUACUUCUUUUGAACAUGGGACCCGUUAGUUGCUUUGGAGAGAGGGCCCUUAUGCAGUUACCCAUUCCUUAAUAGGGACUCAUUUUUUCUUCCUCCAAUGGAGAUCCUUAAUAGGGAUCCCAUUGGAGAUGCUCUAAAGGAGUCUUUGCAACAUCAAAUUUAAGGUCUCAAUGCCAUUUUUUUUGGUAAUAAAAUGUGGUUAAUAAUAGAAAUCUAAAUUCACGUUAGAACUGAUUAAAGAAAAUCGAUGUUUACACAUAUCGUAAGGAUGAGACAUACAAGUAAAAUACGUAAUUGUUUUUUCAGCAGUUAAAAACAAUUAUGCAGACAGUGAAUUUUGCAUAAUUGUUAAGCAUUUUCAAGCCAUUUUUCGAUCAGUUUUUAUCUGUAAAUAAAUCAGAGCAUUUCCAAAUGCAAUAUAAGCCAUACAACAUUUAAACUCAGUCAUAAAAGAAAAAUACAAUAUCUUUUUGUCCAUAAUUAAAUCAAACCAGCAUUUGGUUCAAAAUACACAAAAGUUUGAAAUUCAUCAAAACGUUACACAGUGUCCAUAAUUAAACAGCACAUUACAACUCAUUACAUAUCAAUAAAUUAAAUCUUUACUUACAUUCAAUGCAAUUGCAUAUGGAAAAAACAUACAUAUAUAAUAUAUUAUUUUCCACAAUAUUCCGAAACAUAAAUACGACGUCGCUAUCGUCUUUAACAAGCCAAGGCAUAUAACUUGCCGUUUUUCAUGCAUAUUCAUCUCUAUCUUCUCCUAGGUCUAUGCAUGACAUUUGACCAAACAAGUGACAUGUAUAUUGAUUUUCACCAAGAUGCUCAAAAUAAGUGUUAAGUUGUGCCUUCAAAUCAUCAAGAAAGUCGGUCGGCGUUAUCAUAACCUUAAUUGUCUUUUUUAAAAGCGGAGUACCUAACAUGACCUUCAAUUUUUGCAACCUCAUACAUGUUUCACUUCACAAAAGCUUUAUGAAAAAAAAUCAUACAUUAGGAUGUAAUUAAACGAAACGUAAUAAUAAUCAAUGAAAUGUACAUAAAAUGCAUAAACAUUAAAAAAUAUGCACUAGUUUCACCACAUAAAAGUCAUAUUAUCAUAUAUUUAUAUAAGUUACAAAAUGUUAUUUAUAUAUUGGCCACAACAAAUUGGUGUUACAAUUUCGACCCAAAAAUACGCGUCGGUGUAAUUUCUACCAAAAAAAGGACUAACACCGACAAGAAAAUCACUCAUUAAAGAUCAAAUGAUUGGGGAAGAUCACGUGAAUUAGAAUCUUCCUCAUCUUCCGCAAUAACUUCAAAUGGUUGCUUUGGUUUUUCGGGAGUGCCCAACAAAAUAGGCGCCGCUUUGUUCGACUCUUUUUGUGGUUUCGGCGGUUUCUUUCCACUUUCAAUAACUACGAGCUUUCGGAACAACUCAUGUUCCCAUGUCACCACAUCUUCUUUCUUAUGAUUGUGUCACUCCGUAGAUGAUGGAGGUAGUUGACAACCAUUCUUCAAAUAAAUAAGCACGAAAUGAUUUGGAAUUACUCCAAGGCACGUGAUUGGAUUGAUCAAGUUUGAUCUUUGUGUAACAGUUAUAAAUCCUGCCUUAUUUGGUUUACGACGUACUCACUCAAACAAUUCUUCCCUAUCUUUCGACUUAACAUCGUCUGGAAAAAAACCUAGCCAUGUCAACUUUGAGGGCAUGAAGUGGGAGGACAUCGGAGGACACAUAAACUCCAUCAAUGUUUGGUUUGGCUUCAACCUUAGGCGGUUUCACAUCUCCGAAAAUUUCGACAAAAUUUGGUUUUGUCUCUCCCGGAACAUCUUCCGUGUUCUCUACCAUUACUAUUAUUAAACAACACAAAAAUAUGAAAUAACAACUAACUAAUGCAUAUACAUCAAUGCCAUAAUGAAUUAAAACAAAAAAAAACAAAGAAUUUUUUUUGGAAAAACUGGCAAUACCGAGGAUUCCGAUGACAGGGUUCUACGUAACUGACGUAGAAACCCAUAACAAACCAAAAAAUAAACUGAUUAAAAUGUUCAAUAGUUGUUUUUUUUUACGUGAAAAGUGUGUUGAUAUCUCCUAUGCUUGAUACUUGAAUGAUUUUGGUGCAAAAUUUGAUGAAAAAAUAUUGAAUUUAAGAAUUGGAUGAAAGUGGUAUGGAAGUUGAUGAUGAAAUAGUAUGUAGGGUGAGCAGGUGACUGUUUCAUUUGAUGAAACAUAUUUCUCAACAGUUAACUACCGAGGUUUUCCUCGACAGUUAACUGCAACCAGUUUUUGAAUUUCUCGACAGUUAAAUGCUAAGGGGGUAAUUACGUAUUUUACUUGUGUGUCUCAGCCUUACGAUACGUGUGAACAACAUUUUCCUAAUUAAAAACAUAGUUUAAGAUAACUUCACGGUAGAACUAAAUGAAAAUCUUGUCACAUGAAAGUAUUUAGCAUAAAUUAAUGUCAAUAUACAAGGUCUAUUUUCUAUAAUAAAAGAGUAAUGAUUACUCCCAUUUGACAAUUCCAUCAUGGGUGGUGGUUGAUGGUGUUCAACCUUAGUGAAGCUUAAUCUUCUCUAUAUUUGUCUACUGACUGGAUGUCCCCACUCCCCAUAUACAAACCAUUUUGAAGAAAAAAUAGACGGGUUAUAGUUCAUCCAUAUUUUGAAAUGAUGGAUUCGAAUUAAUUCUUGCAUUAAUAAAUUAAUAAUCACGGCUCCUUCCGUUUCAAAAUACAUAUUUAAGUCAACAACUUCACAUAUGUCAAUGCACAAUUUUGACUGUUAAUAUAUUUAAUUAUCUGAUGUAAAAAAUUAUAAAUAAAAAUUUAAUAUUUUGAAAAUAUUUGUCGAGACAAAUUAAACAACAUCUUACAUGCUAAUAUUUGUAUUUAUAUAUUAGUUAAAAUGUAUGGUUAAAGUAAAUCAAGUGAAUAGUGCAUAUUGCAAAAAUUGGACAUGUAUUUUGAAACGAGGGAGUAUUUUGUAAAGUGUGUGAGUUAAAUGGAUACUUCCCCCACACCUCAAUUGGAGUUAAGAUCCACUCUAUUUUUUAUUUUCUUUAUUUCUUUAAUUUGGAGAGAUAAAGACACAAAAAAUCUUACAUAUAAUUAAAUUAAAUUAUACCAUCAUUAAUUAAAUUAAUGAGGGUAGAAUUCAUUUAAUGAUGGGACCCACAAUCUAUUUUUUUGUGCCUAUCUCUUUCAUAAUUGCAAUCUCCAUUUUUAUAAUGGAGAGAAUCUCAACUCCCUCAAUUGUCGGCUACCUCCACCCUCCACCUUUCUCUUUCAAUAUCCAAACCCCAUUCCUUUGGAUGUAGCUUUAUUUGGGGUAUUGCGUUCGCGUCUUCAUAGUGUUGUCACCUCACCAUCCACAACCCCUUGUGGGGUAAUUUAAGUAGUUGUCGACGGGUGGUUUACUCUGUCUCUGACAAUUUUAUGUUUGUCAUAUUUAAAACCCUCUUUGUACCGGAUUUUCUCGUGAUUUAGCAAGUUGGUUGCCUAGUCGUGAUGGAGUUAUGGAUCUAGUUAUCCAAAAGGGUAUGUGAAACGGAUGUUGUCAUGUCUAGUGACGUUCUCGUUCUUAGAUUCUUUGAUUUUAUUCAGAUUUGUUGUAAUUUACAAGUUUUAGGUUUGGCGUCUUGAUGGCUUAAUGUGAUUUAUCAAGGGGUUUGUUGGUGUCAUGGUGCGUGAAUCAGUCCAUGUUAGCGGCCAGUUCAUUCCUCGUAGUUCAUAUUGAGAUGUGAAGAGUAAUUGAGAGUGUUAUCUAUGACUCGUCAAUCAACUUUUAUAGAGUGUUAUCUCUGGACACCAUUCUUACUGCUAAUGAGGUGGUUGAUGAGGCAAACAAAUUAAAGAAAGAGUUACUUAUAUUCAAGGUUUACUUCGAAGAGGCACAUAAUUAUGUCAACUGGAAAUAUUUAGAGUCAGUUAUGGAAAAAAUGAAUUUCCCCGUUUUGUGGUUGAAGUGAAUUAUGAAAUUUGUAACUUCUGCAAUGACAUUAAUACUUGUUAAUGAGAGUUCAAAAAAUAAGUUUUCUUUUGGGAGGGGUUAUGACAAGGCAAUCACCUCUCCAUUUUUGUUCUCAAGAAGGGGGAUAUUAGGAAAAGACCUUGGAUUAAUUGGAAUACCAUUAUCUACCUAGGCAAGGAGAACAUAUGUUUAGGGGUGUACAAAUUGCGGGAAUUUAAUUUAGCUUUGUUAGGAAGAUGACGUUGGAGGGUUUGUGUUGAACAUGAUAGUUUGUGACUGAAGGAGGGAGGAUGAGGGAGGCUGGGCGUGGUGAGUCUGUGUGGUGGAGGAAUGUUAAGGGUCUGCAUAGAGGGGAGGGCUUGACAAUAUGAAGAUGAUUUAACGACAACUUGGUGAGGGUGGUGGGAGACGGCACAAGAACGUUUGUGAGAGAUUGAGAAGGUUGUUCGACUAACAGAGAGUUGUUUCGCUACACUAGUAGAUAUGUAUGCGAUAGAUUGACAGUUUGGGGGUGGGGGGGGGGGGGGGGGGGGGGGGGGGGGGGGCUCUGAAAUGACGAUGUCGGUUAUUUGCUCAGGGAGGAAGAGAUGUUGGGGGAAUGUUGUGAGGCUUUAUCUUGCAUUCUUUUACAUGUGGAGUUGGUAUCUUACACCUAACAAAGGUUACGCUGUUAGUGGAGUACACCGAUUGUUGACUGCGGUAGAGUCGAGUACCCGCCAUGAUCUUUAGGAAAUCAUUCAAAAUAAAACAAUACCACCAAAAGUUUCAAUUUUUUCUUGGAAGUUGGGAAAGAAUCGACUUUCUACCAAAGAUAAUCUACUAAAACAUGGUAUUUUCACACAAAUUUAAAUGUUUGUACUAUUGCCUGUGACUUUGAGGAAAAAUUGGAUCACUUGUUCUUGGGAUGUAAGUUUUUUUGAGACCUUGUGUUAUGGGUUUAACCAGUCAGUUGUAUUCUCUUUUUAUGUUUUUUGUUCGUGUAUAUUUUUAACUCUUGUAGUACUUUGUGUUCCUUACACAAUUACACUCCUUGAGUUUGAGAGAACAUAUUUGUAUAUAAUUUCAUUUUGCUUUAUUCACAAAACAUAUACAAUAUAUAUCUUUGUAAUUUUAUUUAAAAAAUAAAUAAAUAAAAUUCACUAACUACUUUUCUUGAUAUAUGUAAAAUAAAAAGUAAAAUGGACUUAUACUAUAAAAAGACAAAAUAUUUAGCGUUUAAUUGUUUUUUUUGUCAAGUAAUAUAUAUAGUUGCUCGAUCUCACACAUUUUAAAUUUGAGGCGUUCGAGGUUUGAACCCCAAUCUCUACAUGUAUUAUACAAUGUUCUUACUAACUGAGUUAAUCUUACCGAUUAAAUUAUUAGUGCAUGAGUUGGAAUUAUAUAAAAUUCUUCCAACUAAGUAAAACAUUUUUUUUAAGGGCACAUGACUUCUUUUUAUUAAUGUAGUUCACAUAAAUUGAGUGCGGACUAAAGUGCAUGAAUAAUAUAAAAUUGGAAAGAUUUAAAGAAUAAUUUAUUUAUAAAUUAAUUCCUAAAUUUUCUGGCUCAAAAGACAAAUUCUUUCAUUUUGUUAAAAAAAUUAAAUUCUUUAUUAUAUGAUAAUUUGCCCGUCUUAAUUUACAAAACUAAUUGUCCUAAUUUAUUAAAAAAAAUUGUCCUAAUUAAGUUCUUGGAUUAAAUAUAAAGUCCAUAUAUCUAUUCCCUUUUUUUAGUUCAUUCUAUAUACACAAUCAAUCUAAUGUUUUGUAAACUACAAGUAAAUCGCAACCAAUCAAAUGAAUGACUAAAAAUAAAAUGAUUAAAGUUUAAUUUCUGUAAUUUUUUCUUUAAAAUUGUAAUUUUUUAUUUUAUUUUUUUAAUUUGUAUAUACCAAUAAUGUAAAAUUAUUUUAUACAUGUAUCCAAUUAAAUCACUUUAUGAUAUCACUAAUUUAAACCCCGACCUUAUAUAUAUAUUAUACAUCGUCUACAACUACACAUUAUAUAUCCUAAUAAUAAAGUUUCAAUUGUUUCAAAAAUAAAUAAAUAAUAAAGUUUCGACAUAAAAUAAUCUCUUCCGAAAAACGUAACGCAAAUUUAAACAUUGGGAUUUGUCAAUUUCCUACGGCUUCAUGAUUAACAUCACCAAAUGACUCAUCUUGCAGUUUUUCUUGCAUAAAAUGCUCUCAUUGACACAAAUGUUAUUCAUGCAAUCAAUUAAUUAAAAUCAUCAUAUGAUAUGGCAUUCAACAUUGUUUUUCUUCUCUGCCUCUUUUCUCAAAUUAUUACUACCACAGUGACAUUGAAAACUUUCUCAGAACCUAUUUCUCCCAAUAUUCUCGAUGUUACUUCAUUAAAUCGAAGUAGUUUUCCUACAAACUUCAUCUUUGGAGCAUCAAACUCGGCAUACCAGGUUUUUUCGGUUUAUUCUUUAUCUAGAUCUUUUUUAUUUUCCGUGGUUAAAAUUGAUAUCGUUUCAAAUAGUUAGUGCAUGUUUGAUUAUGUGGUGAGAUUAAAAAAUUAUGAUGAACCAGAACCACCAUGAUAGUGUAUAGUUUUUGUCAAAAUUCAUCGUGAUUUGACCAAUUUGACCGCUCAACCAAACAUGCUCUUAGUGCCCGUUUGUUUUCGCGCUACAUAAAAAUCAAUCAUGCGUCAAGUUCAAAGCUAGAGUUAAUUCGUAGCUUUUUGUAGUGUAUUGGGAUGUAGUGCAAAAGUGAAUUCAAACAUACACUUAAUAUACUCUAAUCACAUUUUGAAGCAACUUUCUACGUCACAAAUUAAUUUUUUAUUUUUAUUUUUGCUACCAAGACAUGAGUUUUGUUGUGUUCAUUGUAUAUAAACAUGUACAGUACGAAGGUUCUGCAAAGGAAGGUGGCAAAGGAACAAGUAUAUGGGAUACCUUUACUCACAAAUAUCCAGGUUAUCUCUAUCUAUUUACCUUUAGGAAGCUUUUAAAUUAUUUAUUAAAAGCUACUUUGUUUUAUACGAAAUUAAUUAAGCUUCCCACACAAAAAAAAAAAACUCUCAUGUAUAAAUAAUAAAUAUAUAUGUAUACUUUUUAAAAGGAUUGGACAGAAAGAUGACAUUUUUUUGGUCAAGUCCUCUUUCUUUAAUCUUUUUUCCAACUCUUUUAUAAAGUACAAACCAUUCCUAAAGUGAUUUGGUUCGGAUAACAACUUAUGAUUUCAAACCUACAAACUUAAUCAUUUGAAAAACACAUGAGAAUAUCUACUAGUGUUUCAAUUUAGUUAAAAGUGAUUUUAAAUUAUGUAAUUUAGUUCAAAUGUAUGAAUUCUAUUAAAUAGAGUGUCAUUGUUUUUUAAUUUUAAAUUAUAUAUAUGUGUGUCAUGACAUGAUCCGAAUCAAACCAAUUUGUUCAUUACUUUCAUUGGGUUGAUUGCGUAUCAAAAAAAAAGUACAAUUUUUUGAGCCAAUCUGAACUAAUGAUUCUUGACCGAAACUGAGCCAACCCAACCCAACUCAUUUUAUUCGUUGAUCGAAAUAUAUUUUCAAUUUUUUAUAUAAUGUUUGUUUAUUUUUUCUUCCAUAAAACAAAUAAGUUUAUAGGUUUAGUCCUUGUAAUAUAGGCAAUUUUUUUAUUCCCUUAAACUAGAAUUAAACAUUAAUUUGAAAUAAAGAAUAUGUUAAUUAUUGUAAUUUAGGGUUUCUUAAAGAGUAAAAUAUAUUACAAGUACGUAAAAAUAACAACAUUAUUAACUUUUUUAAUCUUGUACUAGAAUAAACUUUUUUUCCCUCAAACUUUAGUUGGGGUAUAUUUAUUUCUUAAGAUCAAAUAAACUAGAAUAUAUUUAAGAGUAAGUAUAUCCCUUAAAAUACAUAUACUAUAAGGAUUAAAACAAAACAACUAGAAUUAAAGUAUGUCAAUGCAUGACUUACAUUUAAUAAAUGGUGAUCGAUAUACAGAAAAAAUAAUCGACAGAAGCAAUGGAGAUGUCUCUAUUGACGGGUAUCAUCGGUACAAGGUAUGAUUCACAUAUCAUUAGCAAAGUGGUUAAACUUAAAACUUUCACUUAAAGCAAAAAUGUCUCAAACAAAUUUUACUUUAGGUUUCACUCAAUGGAUUUUCUACUAAAAUUCUUUAAUAUAUCGAUGUAUUUUAUUUUUAUGUUAUAGAAAAUUUGUUUUAUACAGGAAGAUGUUGGGAUCAUGAAGUAUAUGAAUUUAGAUGCAUAUAGAUUAUCCAUCUCAUGGUCUAGAAUACUACCAAGUAAGUUGAUAAUUUCCCAUCCUUAAACAAUGCAUAUAUCAAGUAAAUUAUUGUAGUCAUAGUAAACUAUAUCCACAUUUAAUCAAAAAAAUAAAAAUAAAACUAUAUUCACAGAUGGAAGGAUAAGUGGAGGCAUUAAUCAAGAAGGGAUCACAUUCUACAACAACUUCAUCAACGAGCUAAUAGCUAAUGGUCACAAAUAUUAAAAUUUGCAUUUUAUAAUUUCUUAAGCAUAGCAUAGUACAUUGCAAUCAUAAUUGAAAAAUUAUUAGUUUUGCAGGUAUAGAAGUAUUUGUGACACUAUUUCAUUGGGAUCUACCACAAGCCUUGGAAGACGAGUAUGGAGGUUUCUUAAGUCCUCGCAUAGUGUAAGCGACGAUGUACUAACGUUAAAACUAUAAUUUAUUUAGAAUUAUAUGAGUAAAUUAAAUUUUCUUCUAAGUUGAAGAAUGCUUUAGAUGUGAAACUAGUAUCUUUUUGUGUGUGCAUGGAGCGGUAAGAAGAGUCUAUAGUGCUACAAAAAGUUUGAUUAUACUUUUACAUUUUGAAUUUUAGAAAUGAUUUUCGGGAUUACGCGGAGCUUUGCUUCAAGGAAUUUGGAGAUAGAGUGAAGUACUGGAUUACGAUAAAUGAGCCAUCCACUUACUGCACAGGUGGAUAUGUUGUUGCGAUAUUUCCACCUGGUAGAUGUUCAGAUUGGCAAAACCUCAACUGCACCGGUGGUGAUUCGGGGACAGAGCCAUAUUUAGUUGCACAUCACCUACUCCUUGCUCAUGCAGCCGCUGUUCAAGUUUACAAGACAAAAUAUCAGGUUCAUUUUAUCUUUGAGUAAUGAUAACUUUGAAGCUCUAAAAUGUACCAAACUUAUGUAUAUUAGUCUUCCUUUCAUCAGUCUUGAGUCUUGACAAGCAGUUUCCUCUAGAUUUUGAAAGCAGGACACAAUCCUUUUGUACCAAGCGCGUCAUAAGGCCUUUAUAUCCUUGUGUCUGCUCAACAAAGUCAGUUUCCUCUACAUCACGAUGUAGAAAAGCACUUUCACAUCUAGUUGAUAAAGGCACCAUCAUUUGAAAGUUGUAAGACCAAUGAUAGUUCUUACUUCUUAUAGUAUAUCCCAUAUAGCAGCAGGGGGAAACAUUUUGCGCUAGACAUCCUUGUAUUACUUGUGUCUAUAGACAAGUUCUCAUAAAUGUUUUUAUCAACUUCAAUACUAAUUGUGCAAGUUUAAUUUACAGGUUCCAUUGUUACUUAAAAGCCAAACUACAUCUCAAAAGGGUUGGAUAGGAAUAGCCUUACAAUCUUACUGGUUUGUGCCGUUUUCAAAUAGCAAAUCCGAUGAAAGAGCUGCAGAACGAGCAAUUGACUUCAUGCUUGGAUGGUUAGUAGCUCAUUGCACACUCGCUCUAUAUAUGAAAUUAUGAACUUAACAUCACUUGAUUAUAUUAAAAAGAAAAAACAAAUGGAGCAUGAUUUACUAAAGCAUUUUCAUUUUUCAUUCAUCUAUCAAAGUAUGAAGUAUUGUUAAUUAUUAAUGUUAUUAUUAUGAAACUCUCAAUACCCUCGUCGUUUUUUGGGUGCAUCCUAUCCUGCACCACCACGAUGUAUUGUAAUUUAAAAAAUUAUAUUAUAAAGUUUUGAAAAUUGAAUAAACACAUAUCCUCAAUUCUAGUAAGGUAUUGCAAGUGUGACAACGGGAGACAAUAUGUGCCCGCGUGCACACACACAGCACCAUAAGAAAGCUAAAAAACAUUCUAUUGAAAUCUCUAUUUCAGGUUUAUGACACCAUUGACAACAGGAGACUAUCCACAACAUAUGCGAUCCUUGGUUGGACAACGAUUGCCAAAGUUCUCUGAAGAACAAACCAGGCUACUCAACGGUUCUUUUGAUUUUAUUGGAUUAAACCACUACACAUCUCGAUAUGCAGCCAAUGCACCUAAUUUAAACACUACUAUACCUUGCUAUCUCACAGAUUCCCUUGCCAAUCUUACAAGUAAACACACCUUUAUUCAUCACUUAUAUCAUAAUGAAUUUUAACUAAUAAUUUAAAUCUUUGUUGAAUUUGACGACGAUCUCUCUUAUUUUUUGUAAUGGAAGCUGAACGUAACGGGAUACCCAUAGGUCCACAGGUACGUACAAGUGCGACCAAAUCAAAUGAAGUUUAUCUUUCUGCUAAAAUAAAAAUAUGAAACCUCCAUGAUUAUAUAUAUCUGCAGGCUGCUUCAGAUUGGUUUUACAGUUAUCCAAUUGGAUUUAAGAAACUGUUGGUCUACAUCAAGGAAAAGUACAAGAAUCCAUUGAUUUAUGUUACCGAAAAUGGUAAAUUACAACAAUCCUCGAUAAAUAUUGCAAAGUAAAUCUAUGAAUGAACAUGAAUAUGUGAACUAGUUAUUUGCUUAGGUGCAUCACACACACACACAUAUCAUAUACAAGCAUAUGGAUAAUGGACUUACCUUCAUGUACAAGAAAUUUUUCCUCACAUACUUGGCUUGAUUUGCAGGUAUAGAUGAGAAAAAUGAUCCAACACUGCCAUUGGAGGAAGCGCUUAAGGACAUUGACAGAAUUCAUUAUUAUCAGGACCAUCUCUCAUAUCUUCAAUCAGCAAUUAGGUAAUGGUUGUUUUUAUAUCUAAAAAUUCUGUCUAUUUGCUUCAAUACACAUCUUAAUACUUUCUAUUUUGUUUUGUUUUUUGUUAAUAUAUAAGGAUCGGCGUAAAUGUAAAAGGAUAUUUUGCGUGGUCGCUAUUGGACAAUUUUGAAUGGGGUGAAGGGUACACAGUGAGGUUUGGAAUGAACUUUGUAGAUUACAACAAUGACUUGAAAAGAUAUCAAAAGCUCUCAGCACAAUGGUUCAAGAAUUUUCUGAAGAGACUUUAAUUAGACUUUCUGAUAUUUAUAUGCAUGUCUCUCUUUGUAAUGGUAUUUAAAAAAGAAACAUAAAUGAAGUAGUUACAUAUGAUUGUUCAUUUUCUAAAGAAAUUAUGCGAUUCUAUAAAUCAUGGCUUUUGUGUAUAUUUAGUCUUUUCUCUUGUUAUGUUUCAAUAAUAACCUUGCCACACCCUUUACAACCCUUACCAUGACCACACUGACAUUUAGAUGUUAUAAGAAUCUUUGGUAAUCUAUCUUGGAAAAGCCUCUGAAAGAAUCAUGAUUCAUAUCGAAGAAUAUUCUUCAUUGCUUUGAAAGUCCACCCUAUCAACUAAGUUUCGAAGACCUACUAGCAACUCCUCCUCCCACUUAAUCACCAUUCACCACUGACACGACCAACACCAGACGCCGUCCCUCUAGCUUACAAUCUCAGCCACAGUUGCUUGCUUCUUUGUUUUCGGCCAUUUGAAAUAGUCGGGGAUACAUCACUCUAAAGCCUGUUCUCUCAAUCCAUUGAUCCUGCAAAAAACAUCAUUAAGGUUAGUUUACCUCCCAAAGAUAUGUGUCUCCCUUUCCAAGCCCUUAUACUCCUUAAAUUUUCCGUUCGCCACAACUUUCGUAACCAGCCUAUAUAAGCCUUCUAUGAUCGAUGCGAAUGCAAAAGGGACAAGUGGAUCUCCCUGUCUAAAGUCCCGCUUGAUUCGACUAUCAUCAAUAGGGCUACCAUUAACUAGUAUAGACACAUGGCUGCCGAAAAUGCAUGACAUAAUCCACUUCCUCCAUGCAUCACAAAAACUCUAUCUAGCAAGCACAUAUUCAAGAAACUUCGAACUAACUAAUAAUAUUUUUGUUGUCCUACCACUAAAAUGGUAAAAGGCUACAGAGAUUUGCAUAGCACAAACUCUGGUACGUGGAUACAGACGCAUCGACACUCCUAAUGUCAAAAAUGCCUAUUAAGCAAGAAUGAUAAAUGACCUUUAACAACACCCUCUUCAUUCCUCCUUACUCCUUCAAUAAUUACCUACAAUUUCAUCAACCUAGUAUAUAGAUUAAGAUUUUGUGAUUAUCAGAAGAAAAAUGAAAAAUCUAUAACUAAAAGCAUAAACACAAGAAUUUAUACUCGAGUUCUAUAACUUACAUAUUAAUAGGCUUUAAUUGGAAACUAAAACACAAAUCCGUUGUAGUCUAGUUGGUCAGGAUAUUCGGCUCUCACCCGAAAGACCCGGGUUCAAGUCCCGGCAACGGAAUCUUUUUUUAUUUAUUUAUAAUUUCUCUUUUUUUUUUUUCCUCGAAGGACUCUGUUUCUUUUAAAUAUUUCCAAUUUUGUAAAUACAUCACGAAAAUGGUAAGUUGGUGCCAAUGGAAUACUACUACCACCCCUCACAAUAUCUGCAGUGCCAAACUUUUGAAAAAUUCUUAUUUUUAUAAAAUACACAUUAAAUUCUUUUAAGUUUUUUAGGACUGAGUUCAGAUAAUUUUUUCUGCAUUGUGAGUUUAUGCUUAUUCAAACUUGAUUUUGUUUAGACAAAAGUAAUUUUAGAACUAAAAAAUUGAUUUUAAUAUGUUUGAUUAUUUUCAAAUAAAAUCAAUUUUGUCUUGAAUUAAUCUCUAAAGUUAAUUUGUAAGCUCAACUUUCUUUUUCAUUUAAGUAUUUAAAUAUAAAUUACUUAUAUUCAACUUACUUUUAAUCAAAAUCAAUUCAUUCAACAUGUGAAAUACGGGGUUAAGUAGAUGUUUUCAAGACAAUGAAAAAGUUGAUAACCGCUUUGAGUAAAUACAAAUAAUAACAUAUCUGAAUUUUAUUUAUUAUUGUCAUUUUGAAAAGAACAAAAACACUUUGGAACUAUUUGUCAAAUUGUUAAAAUAUAACAAUAUAUGCGGUAAUAGUAAGCGUGACAUGAGCUUGAAACAUGUAGCAUAUAUAAAUUUGUUACAAAAGACAAUUUCAUUCAAAGGUGUAGUAGCAACUAGAACCUCAAAAACUACUAAAUCUAAAUCAGCAGUAUCUUAUAUGUACAGUAACUUGAAAGAUCGGUAUGAAGUUCAGUAUUGUAUCCAAUAUUACAAAGAGUGGGCUUGCAUGGCGAAUCAAACCUUAACCUCCAAGUUAUAGCUUCAAACACACUGUGCUUAGGUGAAAUUGUCACCGCGGUUUCAAACACACUAAAACUUAAUGGUCUAUCAAGCCUAUAGCAAUCCCUAAAUAACAUGAUACUUGUUCCAUCACUGUCUCUUUUACGGCUUUAUUAUCUGAAAUUUGAUCAGUACCAGCAAUCUACCUCUUCUACUUGCACUGCUGGCAAAUUCCACUUCUUUGGAGGCCCUGAGGCCUUUGGAGAUCCAACAAAAUUAUGCACAUCAAGUUUCUCAAGUUCUACAGAGAUCGUACGACCAUAAAAACUCUGCAGAUAAAGGAUAAAAAACAUUAAAAAGAUAGCAUUCAGUUGUCAAAGUUGAUAAUCAAAAGAUAGGGCAUGCCAUUAAAAUCUGAACCUGUUGAUCCAUUGUUUCAAGUGCAAGCAUGGCAUCGUCUUGACAUGUGUAUUGAAUAAAAGCAAGUCCCUUUGAUCUUUCUGUGCUUACAUCUUUAACCAUUUGGACUGGAGCACACACCAAAUAAAUGGCACAGGUGUGAGCCAAAGUACUAAAAUCAGUUAUGCACCAUAUUUUAAGUGCUGCUAUAUCGAAGUAUGAGAAAAUUCAUGCACUUACCUUCAGCUAUCUUGCCAAAAUUUGAAAAUUUCUUCUGCAAAGCAUUCUCGCCAGUAAAAUAGGGUAGAUCUGUCUCCAAAGAAGAGCAGGUAGGACUUCAUAAAAAAAUGGUAAAUAAAAGAAAGAAAUAUCCCUUCCAAAAAAAUAAAACAAAAUGCUCCAUAGUCCAUAGCAUCCAGAUAUCAGGAGAGAAUAUUAAAAGGAUAUGAAAGACUGAUCACAGAUCAAAAUGAAGAACUACAUAAUGUAAAGAAAAUUCUCCACACUCAACAAUCAGCCAGAUUUGUGAAAACAGAAACUAGUCAAUCCACAAGUGUUUUUUUAUCUACAUCAAGUUAAUAAGAUAAUCCACAAGAAAAGUUUUUUUUGUAGAUAUCUGGAUGAAGCUUAGUGCUUUGGAACAAAAGGCAUCAAGUGUGUUAGUGGAAGUCCAUAAUUUCGAAUUCAAAAGCAUGUAAUAUGACAGAUAAGUGAACGUCAAUUUUGUAAAAAAUCAAAAUGUAGUUGGCACAAUCAUCUUAGAGAAGAUGAAUGCAAUAUUGCCAAUUUUCCAUCCAAAUGAUUGUGCAGUUGGCACCUUCGGAUUUUCAUUUAUCAGUUACGGACAUUGUAAAAUGACUUUUUUUUUCAUUAUUAUACUGGAACUUAUUUCCAUUACCAUACAGGAAAGAGGAACAAGAACCCAUCUAAACAGAGAAAACAAGUUGUUAAAGAGUCUCACAUUGGAUGAGAUAUGACCUGACUAUGUGUUAAAAGUGGGAGCAGUCCUCACCUUACAAGCCGGCUUUGUAAGGUUGAGUUAGGCCCAAACCAAAUUCUAAGACAAGCAUAUAUAACAAGAACCAAAAAAAGCAUAAUAUUGGCUUAAAAAGGCUCUUAAAUCACUUUUCACUUCUAACAAGAAUACCCUUCUCCUCUACUGCCCAAGAAAAAAAUGACUUAACCUACAUAGAUGCAACAGAAACACAUCUAUCCUAAAGAUGUUGCAACAUGUUUUCAAAAGCGUGCUUUAGCAGAGCAGACAUGUCUUAAUACUACAUAGACCGCUACAGACAUGCACUAGCUGAGCAGUUUAGUUAACUCUAUGAUUUCAAAAUAGCUGCCAUCCCGUUAUCUGCUAUCUCACUAUAGCAUUUUUUGGGUUGACCGCUACACUGCUCUAUAUGGGAUUGAUAACACCGGUUAUAGAUAGAAAUUUCUGAAUGAAAAUUCAGUAGUUGCAUGCAAGCUGCAAUCCAAACCAGUAGAGAUAGCACAGUACACGCCUUCAUCACAAGAAAGAAUCUGACAGGAAGGAAGCUUCCCUUACAAGGGAAGAGCAAAUACUACUCAGAGAAUGCAAUUCAAAAUAUUAUAAAUGAUGGUCUGCCUGCGGCAGCGUAGCAUUCUUCUUAUGUAUAUCUAAUGUGUUAAGUAAAAGCAUUGAAGAGAGCAAAUGGUGAAAUGAGGAUUUUCGUGAUGCAAAUAAGCAAAUUAGAAAGAAAAAGGUAAAUCAGACCAAUAGAGCUUCAAAUUCCUAGUCCUAACUAAUAAACUAACGAAAAACCACGCAUCGAGGCUAGGCUGGUGAUACCCAUUCACAAAAGUGGUUAGUAUUAUUUUGUAUGUGAGAUUUGUCUCUGGGCUAGGAGCAAUUGUUCUUGAUAAGGAGUUCAUUGGAUUGAACUCUUGUUUUCUCUUAUUGUUUCUGUUUUUCACCAUUGUAGAGCUUGAAGCUCACCAUUUCCCAAUUCAAUAACAAUUGUUCUAUCACGCUAGUACGAUUCAACACUUGUAACAAUGAAAACAACAAUGGAUCAACUCCUAAUAUAAUGUAUUCCCUAUAGAUUACAUUCAACACUUGUAACAUUGAAAACAACAAUGGAUCAAAUAAAGAAAUUGAAAACAGCUUGAAGGGUAGAAAAUUAUGAGAAAAUAAGAGAGUGAGAGAGUUACUUACUUUUAACAAGGAUUUUGCUAGCAAGCGGAUAUUCGUGUCGCAUAGAUAAUGAUGAUCUGAGGAGGUUUAGACGAGAACGGUUUGGUGGUGUGUAGUAAGGGAAUGAAGCCAACCCCAAAAUCUUUGUCUCCAUCAAAACUAAAACCAAGCAACCUCGUAUUCGUCGUCGUCUCUGUGUCAGAAAAUAAUCCCAACUCCUUUUUGACUUUUCAAUUGUUGGAUUUAGACUGGUUGGUUGCUUCCGUUUUCGGUAGAAAAAAUAAAUUAUACUACCUCAUUUAUUUUUUAAUUGUUACAUUUUAACAUUUUACACAAACUAAGACAAUCAAUAAAUGUUACUAUUUUUGAUAUAAUAAUUUUUAUUUUUACUAUAAUAACCUUAUUUAUUUAAUAUCUCCACAAUAAUAAAUAAGGGUAAUAUUAGUAAAAUAACAUUUAAUGUUGCAUUGAUCUAUGUAAAGUGACACUUAAAUAAGAACAAAAAAAUUCUUUAAAAGAGACACUUAAAAAGGAACGGAGGGAGUAGUCUUCCAUAGAAAAUUGUGGGUUUAAAUACUUGGGAUUGUCUAUUGCGGAUGAUCCUAAGAAGCUCCAAACUUAGGUGAUUGUAUUGUGCUUUUAAAGUCUAUCUUGUCGGUUGUGCCAAUUUACUUCUUAUUUUCUUCAAGGAACCAUCAAGUAAUAUUUCUCUUAUUGAAUCUUCAUUUGAUUUUUUUUUAGGGGAGAGUGAGGAUGCAAGGAAAAUCCACUAGGUGAAAUGAGAUAGAGUGUUGAAACCAAAAGAUACGGGAGGUUUAGGUCUAAGAGAUCUGAAAUUUUUUAAUUUAGCUCUCUUAGAAAAAUUGUGAUGGAGGUUGAAAAUUGAACUAAACUGGAUGGACUCAGUGUUUUUCGGAUGGUUGAAUUUUUUUUUUUUUUUUCUUAACACAGUCUCGAUGGUUGGAUAAACUCUCAAAAAAAAUUUGGGUCGUAUUUGACUUCCGGUAUACAUUUUACCGAAAUCUCACAAUGGACGCCGAUGGUCAUGUAUGAUCAAGUCGGGUGUACCUCAUGAACAAGAUGUGUGGUAUUCAAGCCAAUGAUUUGAUCUAUCGCGACUCGUCGUAUGCUCUUUCUCGAAGCAGAUGGGGGGAUUUGUUCAACAAAAGGCCCCAUAAGACUGUGUAAAGUGAUCAUACCUUGGGUGAUACCCCUAUUUAUAAUGUUGUAUUCUAUUGAUACACUCCUUGUUAUUUUUAUAUUUUCUCCUUUAAUUUGUUCAACUUGUAACAAAAUUAAUAUGGUUUACUUUGAGCAACUGAUUUCAAAAUAGAUGUGAUGUCUAUCCUCUUUGAAUGAGAUACAUGUUAGUAGGAAAAACCCAACAAUUAUCUUAUAGUUUGUCGGCACUUAAGGUAGUAGAGCACGUUGGUCCUUAGUUUGUUCAUGAAGUGGGAUUAAGGUGAUCCCUGAGACGAUGUAGGAGACAUAGUUUUGUGUUGCACGUUAGUAAUCGAUUAACGUUUUUGGAUAAUUCACUCUAAUAUAAUGUUCACAAACAAAAAUUAUAAAGAUAUUAUUUGGGUGAAAGUUUGUGUGCAUGAAUGUAGAAUAUUUUGGUGAUAAGAAAUGCUAGAAAUCUUACAUUGAGUAGAUAAAAAUAUUCAAUGUGAUAUUUUUCAAUUUAAUAAACUGAUCUCUUGUGAUAGAAUCUCUUCGCGUAUUUAAAUUGUGACAGUUGAUGUUUUUGCUAAGAAUUGAGUCACAAAAAAUCAAAAAUAGCAACCUACAUAGUAUUUGCUACGUAGGCUUUUACACAGAUGGCUAUGACAGAUAAAAUUGUUAAAUGUGACAUUUAAAUCAUAAGUCUAUUAUUUUUCUUCAAAAAAAAGUCACAAGUCUCUUCAACCUAAUAUAUUAAUCUUUUAAGGUUAAACUCUUUAAAUGAGAUUAAACCCUAAUAUAAAAAAGAGAAUUGUUUUUUGUAAUAGAGAUAUUUUAUGAAAAAUUUGUAAUAAUAUGAUGAAAAAGAAAUUAAGACAGAACAAAGAAAUGUUGAUAAGAACAUGAGAAUUGAGAUGUGAGAUGAGAUGGCAACGGUUAUGAUGCCAAAUAAGCCAAAUAUUAAAGAACGUGUACGUGUCUGUUGUCCUCACUCUCCUUCCUUCCUUCCAACGGUAAACUUCACAGAACCUGCUCUUGCUAUCUCAAUCACCAGAUGGGCCCCACAUUUUCAUAGCUGGUCCAAUCUUAUUCAUCAAUACAAAGAAAAGAAAUCAAAAUCUUAAUCAGCAAGGAGGAAAUUAUUGGGGCACUUGCACAGUGGUUUAAGUCAAAGAUCAAAAUCAUAAAACACUCUUUCAACACCGAUAUAGUACACUAUUUUUAUUUAUUCUUUUAUUCAUUCACACAUAUCCUAAGACCAAAUUUUCUAUUUUAUUUUUACAACUUUCUCCAGCUUUAACUACCUUCAUGUCCCAAGUUACAUUCUUACCCUCCACUUUCAUUUACAUGAUUCAUUUUUAGUGAUCACACGUUAUUAGAGUCAACAUUCAAAUUACUACAUUUUAAUGCAAGUUAAUGUUAAUGACCCCUUUAAUAAUUGAAGAAAGUCAUGCUUUACUAUUCAAAUUGAAAUUUAUGAAAUGUUAACUAGUGUUUUCGAAACACUCUUUAAGAAUUUUGGCAAAAUUACACAAUUAGUCCCUUAACUUUAUUUUAGGUAACACUUUCGUCUUUUAUCUUUUUUUUGUCACGAUUUAGUCAUUUAUGUUAUAAAAUAACAACAUAGUUAUCUUUUUUAUGAAAAAAAUAAUCAAAAACUCCAAAAAAAAAAUCAUCAAACUCAUAGGCAAACGUAAAUCUUCAUCAUACAAGCAUAUAAAAUCAAAUUUCUUUGAAAAAAAAUUUCAUAAAAAAUGAUAAGAUAUUGUCAUUUUAUAACAUAAAGGACUAAAUCGUGACAAAAAAAGAUAAAGGACGAAAGUGUUGCCUAAAAUAAAGUUAAGGGACUAAUUGUGUAAUUUUGCCAAUAAUCUUUGAAGAUAAAUUUUUAUUAAAAUCUGUGUAAUCAAGACAUUGAAAUUUAUAAAUUUGACUUUUAUAAAAAAUACUUUUUAAAUUAAAAAUCCUUAAAGAGUGCGGAUAUUCGUUUUUUUGACAAAAACAAGGAUAUUCGUUAACAAGACCCUUGAAAUUUACGGUAUGUUAAGAUUUCUCAAAUUAAAAAUUAUACUAUGUGCAUGUUUGAAUUUCCAAUAUUUACGUUUAUGACGUAUGAUUUGAGUGAAAGUAUAUUUUAAAAUGAUAGACAAAUAUAUGAUAAAUGUGAGUAGUUGUUCUUUAAAAUAUGAACUAAAGAGUUCCUUUUUUUUUUUUUUUUUUGGUACAAAAACUAAAGAGUUCCUUAAUCCUUUUAUUAAUGUUUUUGGAGCUAAAACUAUGGAAACAGAUCUUUGCAUAACUUUUAUUUUAACAACAGGAAAACAAAUAUUUUAACAAAUAUAUAUACGGUCAUUAUUAUAAGUAAAAAUUAACAUUUUAGAUUCAUUUAUUAAAUAAUGUAUGUGAUUUAUAAUAAAGACCAUAUACAAUAUUAAUUAAAUGAAUCUAAAAUAUAAUUUUUUGCUUAUAAUAGCAACUGGAGGGUGUACUUUUUUAGAGAUUAAUUAAUAUAAAUUCGUGUAGAAUCUCUUGAUAGAAUCUCUCCCUCUCCAACAAGUCGGCCCUAGUUUUCUCUAUCUAGGUUUUCUCUUACAAUUUCUUCAUUGAGGGGUGGUUUUGGGUCAAUAUUUGACCUGAAAUCACCCCUCUUCAUCUUUUUCUCUUUAUUUCAAUCUAAAUAAGUGAUUUUCACAUAGAUCUAGGUUUUUUUUCUUUGUAAUUUCAUCAUCUAAGUGUGGUGAUUUGUUGUUCGUCAUCUUGUGCGGCGUUGUUUGAUUUCCCAUCUUCGUGCGGUGUUCAUUUAAUUCAUAUUGAAAGAUCGAUUGUUCAAUCAAAGAUUUGGACGUCAACAUUGCAGAUUCAUCCCUUACGUUUUUAGCGGUGUUUAAUGAUGUAAUCUCUCUAUUUGAAUGAAUGAAUAUCAUUUUGUUUUUGUCAAAAAAAUUAAUAUAAAUUCGUGUAAAAAAUUUAGUUGACCAUCCGAUAAAUAUUAAUUGAAAAGAUAUGAUGAGAUAACUUCCAAAAAUAAUAUAAAUAUAUAAUCAUAUAUUAUUAUUUUAUUUAUACUUGUGAUGGACAUCAAUUAAAUUUUUGUUUCCUUCAAAAAAAAUCAAUUAAAUUUUUGCUGCCCUAAUACUUAUAACCGAAUCUUUGACCGAUAAUCAUAUAUUUUUUUAUCCAACAUGAUAUUUCAAGAUAUUUCAACAAUUUGUAAAAGAAAAGGAAAGAUAUUUUAACAAAUUUAUGUAAUAAUAAUCACCAAUAUAUUUUGUCAAAAAAAUAAAUAAAUAAUCACCAAUAUAUAUAUAUUAUUGGGAAGAAGCUAUUUUAAGAAAAAUUUAUAUGAUGAAAUUUUGUCAAAGAAAAAAAUAGUUAGAUAACCAUAAAUUAUUAUAUUUUUUGUGUAAAAAUUUUAAAUUAUUAAUUUUUUACUUGUGAAUGCAUACCAAUUAAAUUUUAUCUUUUCUUUCCCUAAGUACACAUAAAACGAAUCUUUGACCAAUUUCCACAUACUCCAUAUGAAGAAGAUAGAUAUGUCAUUCAAGUAGUAAGCAAAGGGCAAAAUCGAAGUUUCCAUAGCAUGGUCAAAGAACGUUUUAAAAAUUGACUUGGAAGAAAGAAAGAAAGAAACUAAAACUAUAGCUGUGAUUUAGUAGCAAAAUUCACAUCACAAAUAACACGCAAAUCAAAUUAACAAUUAAAUUAAAUGGGUCCCACAUUUUCUUUCCUUUAAAUAGCAAUUCUUCAUCCUCCUCAUAACACUUAUUCAUUCAACGGUACGAAAAAAAAAAAAAACAUAAACACACGAACAAACAAAGACCAAUUCCAACGUUAAAUUAUUUGACUCAAACAAAACAAAAAACCUUAAUCAUCGUGAACAACAACAAUAACCUUAAACAUGUCUUGCUCCGUCGCGGUUUCGAAUUCGCCGGUGUUUUCACCUUCUUCAUCUCUCUUCUGCAACAAAUCUGAAACGUUAACGUUAUCUCUUUCUCAUCUCAAACCAUCUUCAACAACAACAACAACGUCUUCAUCGUCUUCUUCUUCGCCUUCUCCUUGUUCUUCACCUUCUUCACCUUUUUGUCUUCGGUUACCGAAACUACCCUUGGUUUUUACGUCUAACAAGGAUUCUGGGUCGCAGAAUGAUGCUGUUUUGAAGAGGAAACGACCUACCAGGCUUAAUAUACCUGUUUCUGAACAUGCUUUUUGUGUUCCGGCGACGCCUUCUGCGGUGGCGAGGGAUGUUGUUGAGGCGGAGGGAGAUGGGUAUUCUGUUUAUUGUAAGAGAGGGAGGAGGGAGUAUAUGGAAGAUCGUUAUACAGCUGGGGUUAAUCUUCGUGGUGAAAACAAUUUGGUAAGAAAUUUUUUAACCUUUUUAUUUAUUUUUAAUAGAAUAUAUAAUAUUUAUUUGGUUGGUUUUGAUGUUGAUAUGUUUUUGUCAAUUGGGUUUGUUGAAAGUUUCAAACUUGAUUUCUUAAUUGAUUUGGGUCUUAUUGGAUCUAAUUGUUUGCAGAAUUUCAAUAUUUUGUUCUUUUUUUGGUCUGAUUUGGUAGCUGCAUAUGGAAAAUUUGAGAUUAAUUUAUGUAGUUGAAAAAGUCAAUUUUAAGCUGCUAGGAUUUUUUUGAAUUGUUGCUUUUGAAGUUAAAAAGUUUGUCUUAGUAAUUAGCCAUUAGUUAAAUUUGAAUUUUGUAGAUAGUUGAAACAAAUUAGGAACAUAUGAUUAUGCAUUUAAUGUUUAAUUGAGAUUUGAUGUAUAUGCUUGCUUGUUCUUGUUGUUGUUGAUGACUUGGACUUAUAUUAGAUUUGAUUGUGUAAAAUCUAACUUGUACAAGUUUAUUUUGUGGUAAUUGCAGGCUUUUUUUGGCGUAUUUGAUGGACAUGGAGGUGCCAAAGCCGCUGAAUUUGCGGCAAACAACUUAGAAAAGAACAUCUUGGACGAAGUUAUCAUGAGCGACAAAGAUGAUGUUGAGGAGGCAGUGAAGCGCGGUUACCUCAAUACCGAUUCUGAGUUCAUGAAAAAAGAUCUACAUGGUGGUUCUUGUUGUGUGACAGCAUUCAUUAGGAAUGGUAACUUAGUUGUGUCUAAUGCUGGUGAUUGCCGUGCUGUUAUUAGUAGAGGAGGGGUUGCUGAGGCACUAACAUCUGAUCACCGUCCUUCAAGGGAAGACGAAAAGGACAGAAUUGAGACCCUGGUAAAUUUUCUUACCAUUGUAUUGGCUUCUCUUUUUAUUUAUGUUUUUUUGAAACCUUGUGUUUGAGUUUGGUUCUUAAUCUUAUGCAUUGAAAUUUGUCUUGCAGGGUGGUUAUGUUGAUUUAUGUCGCGGUGUUUGGAGGAUUCAAGGAUCUCUUGCUGUAUCAAGAGGAAUUGGAGACCGACACUUGAAACAAUGGGUGACAGCGGAGCCCGAGACUAAAGUUAUUAGAAUUGAACCUGAACAUGACUUGUUAAUAUUAGCUUCAGAUGGAUUAUGGGAUAAGGUAAUACUUCAAAAUUUCAUUGCGAUGUUAUUGUAUGUGUAUUCGGCGUUUGUCAAACAUGAUUUUGAUUGGAAUGUUUGUCUAAUGUCAAACUCGUGCUAAUCCAAACGCAUUCAAAUCAUGUUUGACAAAGAUAAAAUCAAUUAUGAUGAUUUUCGCACUUUUCUUUUGAUAUUGAAUGAUUAACUGAUCAAGUUUCUUUUUAUCAUUUCAGGUUAGUAAUCAGGAAGCAGUAGACAUUGCUCGUCAAUUUUGCGUAGGAAAUAACAACCAACAACCAUUGAUGGCCUGUAAAAAGCUUGCAAAGUUGUCUGUUUCAAGAGGCUCUUUGGAUGAUACCAGUGUCAUGAUAAUCAAAUUGAAACACUAUGUUUAGAGGUUCAUUGGUAGAACAGAAGAAGAUGGUGGUGCCUGAUGAUUAGAAAUUAGCCUAUUCUUUUCUGUAUAUAUAUUAAUUAUUAUUGAUUAAUUUUAUCUGACGACAUUUAUUGGUGAAUUUUUGUACCCGUAGAUGGGUGAGUAGAGAUUAACAAAGCCAUUUAGCCAUUUGUUUAGUAGAAUAUUUAUCUAAUAAUCAUGUAAUAACUUUAUAGAUUAUCUAAUUAUUUCGGUAAUAAUUCAUUCAUUCUUUUAUAUUGGAUAUAACAAAUUUGUGAUAGUUUAUAGUUUCACUUUUUUGAUGCAUGGAAUGAUUGCAUAGUUCCAUAGAAUUCAAUGAAUCACUUUUUCAAACGGUCAAGACCAAGUUAGUUAGCCUACUGUCUUUUGAAUUUAUCAGCUUAAUCAAACGGUCAGAUAUUUUGACCAAUAGGCUGGUGGAGGUUUUUGUUUACAAAUUUGAAAGCUUAAUCAAGCUUAAUUUAGAUCAAUAACCUAAUUUGUUUCUCAGAGCAUGGAUCAGUGUCACAUGUGGUUUAUGAUGUGCCUUAUUUACUCAUUAUUUGAGUAAAUCCUAUUAAAUUUUAGCAGGCUCUGCUUGCAAGUUUUGAGUCGAAAGUAAAGGAAGAUUCCUAUUAAAGUAUAUGAUUUUUGCUUAAGACCAAAUUUAAUAGCAAAUAGUACGAAAUUUGUCAAAUAUCGACUUCGUAUAUGUCUGGUUUAGCUUUUUCAAAGAUGAAAUCACUUUCAAAUGCACAUUUGGACGUUAAGCUCCAUUUCGUAGCUUCCAUUGUGAUGUGUGUUAGAAAUUAGUUUCUAACGCAGAAUUAUACAAAAAGUUAUGUGGUAAUCUUUUUGUUUCAAAUAGUGGUUAAAGGAUUUUUUUUUCUUUCUUUCUAUGAUGGUACAAGUUUGACAAUAAUUCAUUUUACAAGCAAAGGUUUCAAUGGUUUUGUAAAAUGAAAGUAGUAUGAAACAAUGUAAAAGAAACUAACUGAAGUACAAAAUUACAUGAAAACAUGUAAAGAGUUUCAUGAAAAGUAAUAGUGUUAGCCUCAUGCACCCCAAUGCUAUCAAUGACUUUCAGUUGCAACCUAGUUCGAUAUUAUGAAGUAUUUGUCCGAAUUACAAUGAACUAGUGUGAUUUUAUAAAAGUUAUCACGGUGUUUCAAUGUGAUUUUGACAAAUUCACAGUGAAAACUAAACAAGACCUCAAUCAUUAAGUUACGAUUAGGUACUUUGAUGGACGAACAACAUCUUACCACCCUAUGCUAUAAACAUAGAUUUAAAGUCCGUUCAUUCUUACAUUCUUAUGGAGUACAUUAAUGGCAAGGUUCAUCAUUUCCUUUGUAUGAACUAAAUUGGCGAUUGUUGGUUUAUCAUUGCUACUAUUCGUGUUAUUAGACUCUCUUCUAAUUUUUAAGAGAUAUUACUCACAUCCCAAAAAACUUAAUUUUGUUUAAAUAUAUGAAAAUAGAAAAAAGGUGAAAAUGAUAAUGACCCUUUAUUUUAUUUUAUUUUUUUGAAGGAAAAAAAUUCAUUGCUUUUCAUUAGCUAUCAAGUCUCGGAUACAUGACGGUACAUCAUCAUAAACGUUGGAGCUAGCAUGAGAUGAGGCUACCGUAGCUAAUUCAUGAGCGACCCUAUUGGCUUGCCUCCUAUUGAACUCGACAUAAGAGUUUUGAAAAUUAUAAUCGAACAACUGCCUACAUAUAUCCUUGAGACUUCAAAGAUCAAAAGUCGUCACUUUUUUUCUCUCUCUUUAUUCUUUUGUAACUAAGCACUUUUUUUAGAAGAUGAACUAAACACUUUUACACGUGAAAACUAUUCUCUAAAGUAAUUUUUCACAAUAAUUUGUGUUAAUCCUCACAAAUUUAUACUUAUAACUUUGGAACUAGUUUGCCAAUUUCUUAUCAAGAGGUCCAUAUAUUUUCCUCUUCUUAUACGUUGACAUUUUCAUAAGGAUCACGAGCCUUAAAUCAAUAGUAUAAAAAAAACUUCAAAUUAUUUUUUAUAUAUAUGUAAUACUAAUGUGAACAUUGAACUAAUUUAUAAAUUGGACCGUUGGUGGAAAUUGACCAAGUUUCCUAGCCAUUAGGACUUAGGAGCACUGACUCCGUCCCCUGCCGACCACCAUUUGUGACAUGCACAGAAUAAUGAACUUAUCAUUAUGAACCUUAGGAAUUAAUGAAGAUUUUCAAUUUAAUUUAGACCAAAAUUAAGGUGGGGAAUAAAAUAGCUAAGUGUACAAAUUAAGGUGGGGAUACUAUACUAAUUAAGUGGCGGUGUGAGAUUAAGACAUUAUUUUUGUCUUGACUAAGAGAUUGACUUUAGGAUCAUAAGGUUGGUUAGAGAUAUUAUUGAGAUACCUUUAGGACACGUUCUCAUCAUUCAUGGUCCUUCGAGGAAGGCACAAUGUUUUGUUAACUUAUGUACACUCCAAAAUCCAAAUGAAGUUUUGGUGGAUAAUAUAUGCCAUACAAUUCCCACAAGAUAUUCGAUUCAAGAAGAGAAAGUACAUGUACAUGCAACCAAACUCAAUUAUCAUCAAAUCACCAACCAACGUUUGUAAUAUGCAUUGCAUGUAGCACGUACCAUACGGCAUAAUAAUAUGUAUGUACACCAUUGUAUGAAUUUGACUCAGAGAAAAAUCAGUCUCCUUUAAUGAUAUAUACUAUACUAGCUAGUAUAUAUUAUUUUGGCAUGCCAUGUAUUUUUUGGUAUGUCAAUGAAUCAAUGAUAUAUUAUAUGUACGUCAUGGAACAUGCAUGUUUGGAUUGUUCUCUAUAUAGUUUCUUUUAAUAUUAAACAAUCUUUAUGUUUUUUUUUUUUUUUUUUUUUUUAUAUAUUUGUUGUUGGUAGUCAAAUUAUUUAUUGUGUGUGUAUAUAUGAGUUUUUUUUUUUGUUUUUUGGGAAGAACCACGUUUGCCGCUGUAUGAUGGUCAAACCGUCUUGAUACUUUUUCUCUUUAAAGACUCGAUUUAAUAUUUUUUUUCCUUCAUAAUUUUCUCACAAUCUAGUUUAUAUCUCUGGCAAGAAAGAAAAUAGUAUUUUGAUUAGUUUUUGACAUUUUCAUAAGGCUGUUGUAAUGAGGUAAACUUAAGAGAGAAACUAAUAUAAUCCCUCAUAAACAUGUUAUAACUAAUUUAAAUCUAAUUUUUUUGAUUAAAUUGGUCUGCGAGUCAGAAUUAAUUUUAAGGAGACAAAAAUGUUCAUUCUCAUACAAACUAAUGAAAAUACAUCCACGUGACUUAAGUCAUGUUCGCCUUAUAUCAACGUGAGUUACGUCAUGUCUAAAGCAAGGUUGAUAUAAGACGAAAUUACUUAAGUCACGUUGAAGACAUUUUUGUCAGUUCAUGUGGAAGUGAGCAAUUUUGUAUGGGAGAAGAGCAACAUUCUUUUCUUCUAGCCAAACAAGGAGGCCCGUUUACACUACAAGGCCUCAGCUUAGGCCCCAAACAAUUUUGAUAAUUAUUUACUUUUUAAAAAUAAGUCUUUGCAUUAAAAUGAUUAUAAUUGAUGUUGUAGUAAUAUACUUUUUGAUUAGAUCCUUCUUGUUAUAACGUUGGUAGUCAACUAAUAGCUUAUUCACAAAAAAUAUAUAAUAGUUCAUGUCUAAUUGUAACCAAAUGAUCAUAUUGGCUUAAUUUAACACUCACAACAACAAUAAGUAUACGAGUUACUUUGAACUUGUCCAAUGACUUGAAAGAUAAUUUAAAAAGAUCCUUUCAGACACUUGUAAGAUGGUAUGAGAAGUGGUGGAGGCUAUGAGGAGAGAAGCUUCCUCUGUGAGUCCAUCAAAGGGUGUGUUGAAUCUAUACAUGUUUUGACGCUCAAGUUGGUGAGUGAACAAGAGAGUGAGGUAGAUAUUAAUGAUGAAAAGUGAGGCAGAUAUCUACCGCUAGGCUUUCACCUAACCAUGUGUCCCCAAAAGAUCCUUAUAAUGAUCUGGAGGUAGUCACAACAUUGGAUUCAUACUGGUUGGUCCAUAUUGACAGUCUGGACCACGAACCAAUGAGAUUUAUGGGGUGUCCAUGAUAGGAUCCGCCAAGCAGCAGUAUCCAGUCGGACAUGGGUCCUAACUCGGAUUUAGUAUUGGUCCUGUCUGUAACAAAAAAAGAAACUUGAAAAUGAGUAAUUUGACAUAAAUAAAAGCAAGGGUUAAUUAAGUAAAUGAUCUCUAUAAAUAUACACAAUUUUGUUUUUAAUCCCUACAAAAUAAAAUUGCAUUUUUUAGUCUUUUGUAAAAUUUUAUAUUGACAUAAAGAAGAUACAUAUGUUUCUCAUACUAAUUAAACAAAACACAUUUCAUUCAACGAUAAAGAAAACAUUUGUGAUUGAUUUUACAUCCACAUAUAUGACUUACAAUUGUUUGUUACAACUUUUUCUAUGAAAAAGAAAAUAGUAUUUUUAAACAAAAUAAACACAUUUAAAAAAUUACUCAGUUUGAUACAACUUCAAAAAAAUAAUAAUGAAUUUGAGAAGGGUACAUUUAUAUUUUAGAAUUUUUUUAUUUAAAAAAAAAUUUCUAAAGAUUUUAUUGUUCUAAAUGGCCAAAGUCCUAAAUAUAUUGAUUCUCUAAUUCUUAACACGUUUGACAUUGAUCCAAGACUCCAAGUUAGAACAUGAUUUUUAGAAAAACGAUAAAAAUACAUCAAAGUGAUAAACACCACAAAAACUCACACAUAUUACAAUGUCUCGAGUUCAAAUUCAAAUAAAGAUGUCCAACAUAAUAAUUUCGACAUAUUCAAUUGAGAUGGGCUUUAGGGACCUUUUCCUUAUAAUUGUAAUUGGCAUGAGAAGGAGUGCAAGGUACAAGGCUAAAAACACAUAACCAUCAUUGCAAAAUUUGAAAAAAUUUCUUUGAGCAAUUUGAAUUUUCUAAGCAAGAACUCUAAACAAACAGACAGAUAAGAGGGGAUGGGGGGAAGCAUUGCAUGCUAAGCGUAAAAAAAGAUGGAAUGUUUUGUGUGCACUAACAAGCACUACAUGCCCACCUCAUAAACCAUUAAUGACCCUUCUUUUGUCUCAUUCUUCAUAGACAAAUCUCCCCAACAUUGCAAUUUGCAACAAACACAUUUCCCACAUCUCUUUUACUACCUCAUCAUACACCUCUCAAACAUAGUACUAAUAUUGUUUUUUUGUGUCUUCUUUUAUGUUGUCAAUGUUAGCAAGAACUUUGGGGGCUUCUAACCCUAUCAUAUAGAUAAGCAAUGGAAUACACGUCUUUUGCUUCAUUCAUUAUUGAAUAUUAUAAAGCUUUAUAUGUUUCUUUUUAAAACGAAAGGUAAAGAAAUUAUGAAAGGUUCAUGCUUCAUGUUUUUAAAAUUUAAAUUUAAAGUCAUAGUUGGAUGCACGAAGAAAAGAGCUGAGCUACGUUAACAAAACGUUCUUCUUUUUGCAUUAUUGGCUCGUGCCCAUAUUCGAUCUCGUGGUUACUUGUCCAAUGCAUAUGGGGUUGCUUUUUGCACCCUCUUUUCUUGUUAUACUAACAACCAUGUAUCAUUUUGUUUUCUUUUCAAAAAUUUCCAUGUCUAAAAGUUUACUUUUUGAGUGCAUAUUCUUUUCAAACCUAUAUUGUCAUGCGAGCAUUUUUACAUUAUGAAAGUUUGUCUCUAGUGAUAUGUUUAGAAAAUGGGUCUUCAAGGUUAACAUUAUUAUUAGAAAGGUAUUUUGGUUGUGAUUAACGUACUAGAUGUUGAUCCGUACGUGGAACAUAUUAUUAGAUGAUAAUCAAGAAAUAAAUUUUUAUGAGUAAAAAAAAGAGAACAAGAUUUUUAGAAUUAUAAUGGUCUAGAUAUUUGGUUUUACAAACAAGUAGUAAACAAUUUCUUGAGUUUUAUUUUCUAAAGGAACUUGAAUUUGAAAAGAGUAAUGACAUUUAAACACAAAUAGUUGACACUGAAAAAAUACAGUUACUUUAAACUUUGAUUCAAUUGAAAGACAAAUAAAAGAAACUAAUGAAAAUAAAUAAAUCAAAAUCAUAUAAUGUACGGUCUGAUGCCACUUUUUGUGUUGAUAUAACAUUUUUGUUUGAAGAAAUAAUUUGUCAUAGCAAAUAGAAUCAAGGCUUAAAUAUGCAAACUGCCCCUGUAAUUUGGGCUCAUUUUGAUUUUUGUCCCUGUAAAAAAAAAUAAUUUAAUUACAUCCCUGUAAAAAAAAUUUUGUUUUAAAAAUGUCCCUGGCCCCACUUCGCUGGUGAUGUGGCAUGGGUUUUGCCACGUGGCAGUCCACAUAAUUAAAAAAUUAAAAUUAUUUUUAAAGUUUUAAAAAUUAUUUUUUUAAAUUAAAAAAAUAUGAAAAUAAAUUCAAAAAUCAUUAAAAAAAAUUGAAAAAAAACUGUUAAAAUUAAAUCUUCGACUUUAAUUUUUUUGAAUUUGAAAAUUAUAUUUUUUUCUUCAUAUUUUAAAAAAAAUUAAAAAAAUAAUUUCAUUUUUUUCAGAAAUUUCAGAUUUUAUAAUUUAAAAAAAAUAUUUUUUUUUUUUAAAAUUAUAUGAUAAAAAUAAUUUCAGAAAAUAAUUUAAUUUUUUAAAAUGUUUUUUUUAUAUUUUUAAAUUUUAAAAAAUAAUUUUAAUAUUUUAAUUAUGUGGACUGCCACGUGGCAUAAGUUGCCUAGUCAGCAACUGCCACGUGGCCCAAAACGUUGCCACAUCACCAGCGAAGUGGGGCCAGGGACAUUUUUAAAACAAAUUUUUUUUUACAGGGAUGUAAUUAAUUUUUUUUUUUUUUUACAGGGAUGAAAAUCAAAAUGAACCCAAAUUACAGGGACGGUUUGCAUAUUUAAGCCUAGAAUCAAUAUUUACAUUUCCAUUCGAAAAAGAAAAAAAAAAAAAAAAAAAAAACAUAUCUUUUACACACUAAACUUAGCUAGGCAGAAUCACCAUGAUUGCCAGAAUAUAUAUAUAUUUGUAUGGGAUUUUGGAGAAAAGAAUCCUAACUUAGUCAUUGGGCAAAUAAAUAGUGAUUUUCACGAAUUUUGACAUUUAUUUCGUUAACAUGUCAUGCCUUGGACCUCUAAAAAAAGGUCAUACCUUGGUUGAUGUUAUAUUAUUUUUUUUUGAAUAAAAGUUUGAUGUUAUAUUUGGUUGCACUACAAAGAUAAGAAAAAUAUUUACUAGUCAUGUUUCUAUCAUCAAGACCUAAAUUAAUCGACUUCUAAAGUAAGGAAAAAUCAAAAUGAAAGUUGCGUCUACGCUUUAUUUUGAGUUAGAAUCCUCUACAUUUAUAAAGAACAAUCCUCAUUUCGAUACCCAAUUCAAUUGUUGCAAUGACUCAUUUAAAAUUAUUGAAGAUUAAGUUUGUUAAUAUGAUAACUCAACUAAAUAUUUCUUACAAAAUGCUUUAUACAAGGAAAUAAUAUAGCAUCACGAAAUGGCAACGAACUAAUAUCAUUGGUUUCACGGCCGUGUUUUCCGCAAAGGAAAUUGCUAGUUAUAGCGAAAGAGAAACUCCAGAACAAGUGUCUAUUUAAUAAACAUAUCUCUUAAAUUAUAUCCAUGACAUCAUUGUUUUCCGCCCUAAAUGCUAUUGGCUUAAUGGUGUAUCAUGAACUGCUCGGACAAAAUAUCUCACGUUAAAUAGCAUCAGCGGCGAAGCUAGCAACUUUUUUACGAGGGGGUCAAAUGUUAAAAGUUUAUUUUUAUUUGUAAGAAACUAAGUAAUUUACAAGAAAUUUAUUCUCUAUUUUAUGUUUGAAUCUUAUAUUGACAAUUUUCAUUGCUAAUGUUGAGAAUUGACUCAAAAUUGAGGAUUCAGCCAAAAUCGUGGCCCGAUUUUGGACCAGUUUUUGGACUUAUGAUUCUGGAAAAAUCUACCCAAUUCAAUUGUUGCAAUGACUCAUUUAAAAUUAUUGAAGAUUAAGUUUGUUAUAUGAUAACUCAACUAAAUAUUUCUUACAAAAUGCUUUAUACAGGAAAUACAUAUAGCAUCACGAAACGGCAGCGAACUAAUAUCAUUGAUUUCAUGGCUGUGUUUUUCGCAAAGGAAAUUGCUAGUUAUAGCGAAAGAGAAACUCAGCAACGAGUGUGUAUUUAGUAAAUGUAUCUCCUAAAUUAUACACAUAAUUGUUUUCCCCUCAAAAAGAAAUGCUAUUGGCUUAAUGGUGUAUUGCGAACUGCUCGGGACAAAAUAUCUCGCGUUAAAUAGCAAUGCUCUUCCGCAAAACACCAACAAAUAUGUUUUUAAACAAUUCUAAAAUUUUGACAUGUUUCCUUCGUGAAUUUUCGUGAUCCUUUUCUCCCAAUUUUUUUUUUUGGUAAAGAUAAUGUCUCCCAUAUUUUCAAUGCAAAACACGGCAAUUCUAGCUCUAAUUCAUUUGCAGGGUAAAGUCUUUCAUGGUUUUUUUUUUUUUUUUUUUUGCUUCCUAGAGGCAGAAUACUAGCAAAUGACUUUGUAUGGUGUGAUUAUCCAUCGUAUGCAUCUCUUCAUGAUAUGAUGUGGGUGGAGUUUUCUCACAAUGAUGUUAGGGUGGAUUUUGAUCGGGGAAAUAUUAUUUAUAGAAAAAAGAACAAGUAUAAGAUACUAUCUGACUAUGCCAAAGCACCUACUAUUUCUAGUUUAAAAGACCACAAUAUACCACAAUAUAUUCACUAGAAUUAGACAAAGCAAGUCAUACACGGGCACAACCUUAAAUCAUAAACGUUUGGACACACAUAUGGAAACUGUUAAAAGAAAAAUAAUUUAAUCACAUCAUUUAACGCAAAAGGCAUCUCAAAGGGUAUAUAAAAGUUUACAAAACAAGUAUCGCUAGAUAGCUAGCCAAAAGGGAGAAAAACAAAACAUUACGAAUUAGAAAACCCAAGAUUGGCUAACGAGUUGGAUCACCAUGCGUGAUAGUCGCAAACAUUAUGAGAGUUAUACGAUUUCAGACACCGCCAAAAAUGAAGUUUAAUACACUCAAGUAACUAAUCCAACAUAAUAUGAUGUAAUCUCACUGUUACCAUGAAUUCGCCUACAUGUUCCCUAAACAAACUUGUCUCACCUCCCUCACCCCCUUUUCAAUAUCAAAUAAAUCCUUCCACCACACUGAUGUCUGCCUCCCUCCUCUACGAAUACUAUCAUUUAAACACCAUAUUUAGCCGGUAUAAUUUUAAAUAAAAUUAAUAUAUUUUGGUUCAAAUAGCUCUCAAACGUUUUAGAAUACCAAAUCAAAUUGAUAGUAAAAUCAAUAAAUUUAAUUGUGUUAAAAUAUAUUCUAUUAAUUUGAAUUUUGAAAAUGAUUCAUUGUGAAGUUUUUUCUUCAAAAAACGCUAACAGAGAAACCUACACGUACUAAAUACUGAGAAGUGACGAAUUAUAAAUUCGAACGACGUUCAUGCAUAUCUAAGGUAUCCACAACGUUUUUAGGCUAAAUUACAUCGGAGAUUCUUUAAGUUAUUUAAUUGUAACAAAUUUGUCUUUUAAGUUUUUUCGUAUUACUUACGUCUUUUAAGUUAUUUAAUUGUAACAAGUUAAUCGUUUUAGUAUUUUUUUUUUGUAACACUUAAGUCCUUUUAAGUUAUUUAAUUGUAAUUUGUUGGAAAUUUAGGUUUUAAUAAAAAAACAGAUUUCAUAAAACAUGUUCAACAAUUAUGAAUCAAUAGCGGAAGCAAACAAAACAUUGAACACGAUUAUGAUCGGAUCUAGACAUGUCUGAUUUAUCAAGGAUAUUAAGAAUAAGGGUAUUAAGAAUACCUGGAUGAAGCUUUCGUGACAACUCUCUCGCCAUCAACGAUCUAAAACAAGGAGAGGAGAUGAUCUAAUCUGAAACACACAACAUAGCUUAGCGGCGACUGAUUUGGUUCUUCCUCAACCGGUACCUUUAUACCUCGAGUUCUCUUCAGAUGGGGAGAAGAGAAUGUUUGCCGUGUACGGUGUAUUGGGACCAUAGUCUCUUUUAUAUUGGAUGACUAUUAGAUUUUCCAUUAUUCCGUUAAUGAGUCAUCCAGACAUCCACUCAUUGAAUCCAUAUCUAUUAAUGAAAUAUUUAAUUAAUUAUCUAAUUAGAAAUCCAAUAGCCUUAUUACUUAAUUUAAUCACUAAUCAAUUAAGGCUCACAACUGAUAAAUAGCUAAUAUAAUUAUUAUUACAAUAUUUGUCCACAUAAUGAUAUCGGAAUAUAAUAAAAUAAUAAAAUAUUCCAACAUAACUUUUAAGCCCCAAAUAACUUACAUUUUUAAGAUUUGAAAUCCUCCAAAUUAUUACUAUUAAAUAACUUAAAAGGUUAGAAAAAAAUACUUAAAGACCAACUUAUAAUAAUGAGUUAACUUAAAGACUUGAGUGGUACAUUCAUAUUAAUAACUUAAAAAUGAUCGUCGGAGUUAAUAAAGAAUUUAAAUGAUCAAUUUAUUACAAUUAAUAACUUUAAAAUUAUCGCCGGUGUAAUUUAUCCACGUUUUUACUAUACAAAUUGUACUUACGACAUAUGAUUUUUAUUUUAUUUUAUUUAUUUAGUAAAUUGUUUUAUACUUUUGAAGGUCUAAAACGAUUACUUUGUUGACUUUAUUCUUGUACCGACUUGCUUGUUUUAAGAGUCAAAGGCAAUGUUAUCCAAGAACUCCUUACAUCUUUUUUAUUCCACCACUAACCUAAAAAAACUAACGAUUUAGGCACUUCAAAUUGUACCACCUCUCCAUUAUUUUUUUACUUUAAAAACUCCAUGCCAAUACAUAUCCAAUACCCUCUUUAUUCUUUUUUGAGGGAGGGUGAGGGGUGGGAAUGUGUAAAGGAAUAUACACCUUCUUUAGGUGAUGGUCAAUUUCAUUUAGAAAAGAUGUGGACACAAUAAACUCCGUCACAUAAAUAUAUAGUUCUACAUAACUUUGUGGCAAUAUGCAAUGCAAGUCAAGUCAUGAAGCACGUUGCUUAACCUUCAAAACUUGAAUCUUAUCCAAAACCAAGUAGGUCACCGAGUAAGCAUAAGCACCACAAUUUUAUUUGUUUAUUCUAUUCUUAUACUCCUUCGUGCCUUAGUGUGAAAGGUUGCAAAUUGAAGUUACUAAGAAAACCAUUCCUACGCGUCACACUUUAAUCAUAACCUUGCCACAUAUACUUAGAGACCAUUUUCUACUACCGUGUGGGACAUUCAUAUUUAAGCCAAAUGGCAUCAUUCUAGAAAUUACUAGAAAUUAAUCCAAAUUUAAAUUUAAAUUCAAAUGUCUUUUUUAAAUAAUAUUGACAACUAAAGAAGUAAUUUAAACCAUGUUGAAAUUUUAUCAUGGUUUUCCUUUUAAAAGUCUUGUUUUUCCUCAUUUGUGUAGCUAGUUUUAUGCCAAAAGUCAUGUUUAUGUGGACACAUAUUUCAAUUUUCUAUUUCCCUCAUGCGUAACGCUUUGUCUAUUUUUUUUUUCUUUUAAAAAAUCUUAUAUAGUCAAAUUCAGUUCUAAUGACCUUCCAAUUCAUUUAGACUUUGACAAAUGGCAUGUCAAUAAGAGUUCUAUCUCACUAAAACUUUGUUUGCACAUACAAAAAACCUAAAAUAAAAUGAAUAUAAAUAUAAAAUACAAAAUACACCAAUCAUGCAUUGAAUAGUUUUUUUUUUUUUUUAUUUCUCAACAAAAAUAUUAUAAUCAUACACCAUUUUUUAAAUUUCAUCUUAAUUUAUAUUUUAUAUUUAUAUUAAUAUAAUUUACCAAAGAAGUGAAAUAUAGGAAAACAAAUGUGGGAUAAGUUGGACUUAGGAAUAGGCAUUUUCAUUUUAAAUAAUCUUGUAUGUUACCUAAAAUCAUAAUUUUGCCGUUUAGGGUGAAGUAGUGCAUUUAUAUGAACAUGAGAAUAGGUAUUUUUCAUAUAAAAAUUUAGGCUGAAUUAGGCAAAAGCAAUUUAAGGAAAAACCUUAUCUUUUAAUUUGUAUCCAAACAAAAGAAUACUCUAGUACGGUAUAAUGUAAGGUGUCAAGAACUUAAUAAGGAAAUGAAGAAAUGAAGUACCACAUGUCAAAUUGUUCCAAUAAUUUUGUCACAACACAAGUCAGAGAGAAUUUCCCACAUCUUCUAAAAGAUACGACUAGAUUUUGGGGACCUUACCAAAAUCCAAAAUUUCACAUACAACCAAUUAAAAAUAAGAAUAAAAAAAUACAUUAAAAUAUAACAUAACAUAAAAAUAUUUGGUGGAAGUGUUAUGGUGCACGUCAUAUAGUUGUAGUUUAACUAAAUUUUGUGUGGCUAAAGCCAUAUACAAGCAUCAUUGAAAUCUUUCUAACAUAUUUGCAUUACCUUUACCAGAAUCUAGCACUGUCUUCAUAAAUUCGUGGACCAACAAUUUUUUGCCACGUUAGUGUUAUUACCUACUUAUAUGUUAAUUUUACUCUGUUUCCUACUACAGCCACGGUGUUAUGUUCCCUUUUGCCAACUUGUAACAUUCACCUCUCAACUAUAAUGCAUGCCCAUAUUCCACACUCCAACCACAUGUUCAAAUUAUUAUUCCUACGCAACAGUACCAACUGUAUAUUAUAAAUAAAUUAAAUGUACCUUGCUGGGUAAUUUAAUAAUAAAUACCGAACACCCCUUCAACAGAAAACCUAUCGUGAACCGUUUUUUUAUAUGUAAGAAAUAUUAUUAUAGAAAUGCUACCAUGGUAUUGUUUUCAGAGAAAUAUAGCUUUAACAAAAUUUGAGUUUGGUCCAAAAGUUAGGUGAUGUUAAUUAAGAGUUUUACAUGAGAUGAAAGAUAGUUUGAACUUUGAAUAUAUCUUUUAUAAGUAGAGGUAUUAGUAAUUUAGAAAUCAAAUUUAUAAUAUUGAGUUACAUUUAACUUAAAUUUUAAGAUGGUAUGAAAAUCUAUUACUAUUAGAUUUCUUUAAUUAGAUCACUUGAAUUAUAGUUCGUAUGUAUAAUCCUAACUAUGAAGAGUGUACGUUAAGAAUAAGACACUAACGUGAGAAUAUAAGUUAGACCUAAUCUAAAUUUUAAGAAGUGAAAUAUAAUUAAUUGCAAACUUCUAAUUAACUUAAAUUUUGAAAAAUGGUAUGAAAACUUAUUCAAGAUUCAUUGGAUCAUCUACUGCUAAAUUUCUCUUAUCAAAUUGAAUUACUUGAGUCCAUAAUUCAGAUAUUUAAUCCUAAAUAUGAAGGGUGUGCGUUAAGAGUCAUACAUUAAUGUAAUAUGAUAAAAACAUAUUAGUGAAGACAAUCAACCCCUUAUAAAUUAAGCUCAAAGUAAAUUAUAAAUUCUAAGUGAAAUAUAAUUAACUACAAACCUCCCAUUUUUGCUCAACCUUACUUACACACAUUUUAAUCCCUUAGUCUCCACACUAGUACCACUAAAAUUCACCUAAAUCACAUAGAAAAGGCUUUAAAAACAUUUCCUUAAAUCAAAAUUAAAAACCAUAGUACUUAUCCAAGUAUUGUCUACUAGUGACAUGAAAAUGAAAAAUAAAAAUUGGGAUCUUAAUCUUGGAUAAGGAUUAAAAGUCCAAUCCCUUAAGAAAGAAACAGUAUCACCAAGUUCUCUGUUCCAAGAAUUCUCCAUUUAAUGUCAAAAAACAUUACCGUCCUCUAAUAUCUCUCCCUCAACGUCACACCACCGCUUUUCUUAAUUAUCCACUUCCAUAAUUUCCACGCUGUAACAAAAAUACAUAUUUUAAAAAAUAAAAUAAUUUUCCAAAAACACGUAACACCGAAUGUUAGAAGAACAAACACGCACUACAUGUGUCUAUAUAUAUAAACCUCAUUCCCCUCAAACAAAACCAAACAACACAACGUCAAAAAAAAAAAAAAAAAACACAUUACAUUACAUUACAAUUUUCAUAGUUCAUAGCAAUGAGUUCAUGGGUGAGAGGCAAGUGUAUUGGUAAAGGAGCGUUUGGCGUUGUGAAUUUAGCUUAUUCAAAAAGCGAUUCUAAAGUUUUCGCGGUGAAAUCAGUUGAUACUAAAACUGCUCUUCCAAGUCAGUUAGAAGCGUUGGAGAAUGAGAUUAAGAUUUUGAAACGGUUAUCUUCUUCUUCUUGUUCUUCUUCGCCUCACGUGAUUGGUUUUCUCGGCGAAGAUGUCACGUGCGAAGGAAAUAAAACGUCGUCGUUUAAGAAUCUACACUUGGAGUACAUGCCAGGUGGCACCGUCGCUGAAAUCAACCGUGCUGACGUGGAUGAAAAGUUAGUUAGAAACUUCGCCUGGUGUUUAGUUAACGCGUUACGUGAUGUUCACGCGCGUGGCGUUGUUCAUUGUGAUGUUAAAGGAAGAAACGUUCUCAUCGGUGGUUCCGUCGCUAAGCUAGCUGAUUUUGGUUCAGCUAUGGAAUUUUCCGGUGGUGAAUGUGAAGUACCACGUGGAAGUCCGAUGUGGAUGGCGCCGGAGGUUGUUCGCCGGGAGUAUCAAGGACCGGAGUCUGAUGUCUGGUCAUUAGGAUGUACUGUAAUUGAGAUUUUCACCGGAAAAUCACCGUGGGAGGAUCGGGGAUUCGAGACGUUGAGUCGAAUUGGAUUUUCCGAUGAGUUACCGGAGUUUCCAAGCGGUUUGUCGGAGCUCGGGAGAGAUUUUCUGGAGAAAUGUUUGAGGCGUGAUCGGAAUCGGAGAUGGAGGUGUGAUCAGCUACUUCAGCAUCCAUUUUUGUUACCGUGUGAUCGCGUAGUUGAAACUUCGCCACGUUGCGUUUUGGAUUGUGAAGAAAACGAGUUUGAAUUUGAAGAAGAAAAUGAAGUGAAGUUGAAUAGUGAUGAAAAUGAAAAUUCAGGUAAAAAUAGAAUUGGUAAAUUAGCAACGGGAAUGAGGGUAAAUUGGGAAACGGAAGAUUGGAUUGAAGUGAGGGCAAUUUCGUCUGAACAAAAAGAAGAAGCAACAAUGGAAAAUGAAGAGUAUGAGUGUGACUGUGAGGGGGAAGAAGCUGAAUCAGGGGUAAUAUGGGAAAUUGAGAAUAUAAUGAGGGUAGAAGAGGAAAUGGAAGUUGGGAGUAAUUCGGAAUAUGGGGAUUCUGAUGAAAGGGUAAAAUGGGAAAUGUGGAAAUACAACCGCAACCGUAGGAACAACGUUAUAGGUGGAAGUGGAAGUUGGUCUGGUUGGAGAUGUCGGUAUAGAUACGGUUGGGGAAAUUUUAAUAGGAAUAUUAGUGGAAUAUUCAGCAUUUGCACUUGUUGUAAUAAUUGUAAAUUAUUCAAAUCAUGUAAAUUGUUCUCAAUAUAUAAUAAUUGUUAUUAUUCCUUGUGGUUGAAAAUAUUCUUUAAUUGGUGUUUCAAAUUGAGAUUCAUGUUAAACAUGGUUAAGAGUGUUUUUAUUUUAAAGUUUAGUGGAAAUAAUUUAAUCAGAACUAUUUUAUUUAGUCAAAUAUUAGAAGAGUUCGUUCAAUAUAAAUAAUUUUUUUAAUAAAUAAAAAUGAGAUAUAUUAUUAUUAAAAGAAAAAAAUUUACCCCUCUAAGGAUCAUAUUAAGGGUCAUGCUUAAGAAUAUUGGAGGCCAGAGAUAAUUCUCAAAAGAAAAGAAAACUAGUAUAAGUUUACAUGUCUAAAGAAAAUUGUACUGAUUUUAUAUAUUUUGUACGACCUUGUUGUUUGUUUAUUAUUUGUUUGCAUUGACGUUUAUAACUUUGAAUGUUUGCCAAAAAUCUAUGAAAUCUUAUAUAUUUCAUAAUGUUUACGAAAAAUUUAAUGCAAAAAUAAUUUUUUAAAAUCUUCAUCGAAGAGAAGGAUCAAGAAUAUUCUAAUUUACAGAUGACUACUAUAACAUCAUAUAUGGAGAGAAAUGUUACUCAUGAGGUCAUAUGAAACUAAAAUAUUUAAAAUUGCAUUUUAAAUCCAUAAUGUUCUUUGAAAUUUUAAAGGUAUAGGUAUGUGUUAUAAAUUCCUACUCACUAUUUUAAAAUCCUCAAGACAUUUUUUUGUUGUUGUUAACAUUGUCUCUUAAAAUUCAAGAACAUGAUGUAGUAUCACAUACGCCAACCUUUCAAGGCAAAAUACACGAUAUUUUCCAUUCCAAUAAUUAAUUUUGUGUCAAACUUUGAAGGAAUCAUGAGAAGGCAUUGUCCACUCUUAAAGAAUUAAUUGUGUGUCAAACUCUAUGUAAAUGAAUCUAAAGGUCUAAAGGUAGAUUUCUUAUUUCUCCCAAUUCAAAGAUGGAAAUCUCAAAUACUAAACUUUGCAUAAAUCAUGAGAAGGCAUUUUCCACUCUAAGAAUUAAUUUUGCAUCAAAGAUUUCUUUUUCUCCCAAUCAAAGAUGGAAGUUGCAAAUACUUUCCAGUGCCCAAUACAUUUUGAAUCUAAAAAUUUAUGCAAUUCUAUCCUUGAGCUCUUGUGAAACAUUCAUACUACCAAAGUAUUUUUUUUGUUGAUUUUUCAAGUUACCCAGACUUGAACCAAAGACCUAAAGAUUGACGGCAUAAACCUCUAACCAAUAGAACACUUGGGAGCAAGUAUAAGUAUACUACACAAGUAUUAAGUCUUCUAAAAUUACUCAUGUCUCAUAAUAAUAGUCACAUUUGUAAAAAAAUAGUCACAAAAAGGUUAUCAUUUUUAAUUUCUAAUGUAACUUUAAUUGCUUAUUAUCUAAUUAUAUCACUAAUUAACGCUAUGUGCACAACUUUUAAGUUAUAAUUGUCUCAAAAAAAUUGUCUCGAAAAAAAUUAAGUUAUUAUUCUUUACUUUUCAUUUAUGAUAAUUGACAUACACAUUAGUCAUAGAUAAUUGAUUAAAAUCACCAUUCAUUUUUUUUUUCCAUUUAUAAUUGUUAAUUAUUUCUUUAUUUAUUUUUUCGAUAAGCAAAGAGAUAUGUAUGACAUCAUGACGAGUCUAAAUAGAGUACCUCAUCAGAUGUUUUUUUUUACUACUUGAUAAUUGUUUUUUAAUAUGUAUGAAAUAAUCAAAUACGAUAAAUACCGUAGAAUGACUAAAAAGAAAAACAAUAAAUACCGUAGAAUGACGAGAGUAAUGGUUUGUCUCGAUGCAACCACAUAAGUUUUUGUCUAAGUGUAAAUGUCUCACAUGUUAGUUUGUUAGUGAUAGAGUAGAACUCAUGACCUCUAUAUUUCUCUAAUUCAAUUUUUGUAGGUGUUAUCCAAUAUGGAUCUAUUAGAACAAAAAAUAUACCCACUUCGAGAUACAGAUAUACCCACAUUGACUUGCAAGAACUUAAUUUAGACAUUAUUUUAUGGACAACAUUACAUGGGGAUAUAGGCCUCCGACCCCUCAUAGACUUCCCGUUAUCACACUUAGGAAUCAAAACAAUAUUUGUUGAGUUCAUGUCUUAUAGCAUAAAUCCUAAAGCAAGCCAAUGACAACAAGAUGUAUCAAAAGACAAUUAAACCCCACAUAUCUAACAAGAUUUCACUUCUUGUGGUAUCUAUUUUAAGGAGUGGGCAAAACAAAGUGGGCCCCAAUGUUUAAUAACGGUUUUGGAUGGUUGAUCAAAAGACACAUAAAGAUUACUUAUUUUAUUGAAAAAAGCUGAUCGAGAGUUACGAUUCGAUCACAUUUUACAUACAAAAACAGUUGAUCAGAAAUUACGUUCCGAUCAGAAGCGAAAUUGAGAAGUCUAUUGAGCAACUUUAUGGAUUUUAUAUGGCACACAACAGAAGUGGAAAAAGGCACAUGUAACUUAUAAUUUGGUGUUUUCUUUGUUGGAUUUUCAAUUGGACAACUACGAAACAUGGUCACAAGAAGCAUACCUCAUGUUGCAACCGCAGUAAUGCUUUUUGGCUUUGAGCCAACAAUUGCAUAUGGCAAAUGGAUUUGGAGGAGUCAAUUGGGUUUUGAUGGAAAAGAAAAAGGAAAAAAUGUUUGGAUGAUAUGAAAUUGUAUGCUGUAUAUAAUUGGAUUGAGGUGUGUCAUGUGGACCAUAUAGUUUCUUUACAAUUCUAGAGAUAUUUUUAACAUGCAUUAUUAAUAAAUGUCAGUGCUACUUGUGCUUGCCCAUCACUUGAGAUUGGAUGGCAAACAUAUCCAUAUAGUAAUAAAAAGAUACACAUAGAUAUAUAUCAUAAAAAUAUAAACUACAAUGACCUAAUGUGUGGUACAUUAACACUUCCCUAAAGUAUCUGUUAUAAAAAUGUUUUUUUAGAGAAGUUAUAAAAAUGUUAUAGUUAUUUUUAUAUCAAUUUUUUUGAUCAGAUAGUCUAGUGGCUAGAAUUCACCUUAUUAAUUGUUAUAUUAAACCUUAUCUAUCUAUUUUAAAAUAAUUAUUUUGUCUGAUGAUAUUGGAGGAAAUUUUGUACCUUUAUUUUUAUUAAGAUCACAAAUUCUUUAUUUAUUUCUUUCUAAAAAGUAGUUUUCUUAUCAUGAAGUAAGGGGAAAUGUUUUGUUUGACUCGUGAAACAUACCUCUACAACAAAUAUAUAUUGAACUUUAAUUAAUUUUUUAUUUUUAAAAUAAGAGAGGCCUAAGCCCAAGAAAGAAGAAUGUUAUUGUUCCCACAUCAAAGAAUUGUAGGAAACACUACGAAAAUACUAAAGUAACCUCAUCAACAGUUAACUGCCGAUGGAUAUUAACCAAUGGUAGUUAACCGUCGAUGAAAAUUGGUGUUAAAUUCGCCAUUUUAUGGUAUUUCUUAACUUUGUGCAAAGUGUAAACAACAAUUUUCAAAAAAGAAACUACAUUAAAAUUACGCGUUUUAUUUUAUUUUUGUUUUUUAAAACAAAAGAGGGCCUAAGCCCAAAAAAGACACUGAAAUUAUACAAUGACUUUUGACACCAGUUUGAUCAACUAAUAGUUUUCUUAGUAAACAUCAAUGUAAUUCAAUAUGUUAAUUGAAUUAAAAUUUAAAACUAAGUUGAAGUACAUUCUAGAGCGUAGUAAGACUAGAGAGCACCUCUGUCUAUUGCAGGUGUCAUAGUUUUUUGGUAAUUCUAAAUUUGAAGCAUUACCACUCGAUCACAUGCAUGUCUAUUGCAUGAGUGCAUCUUCCAAAGACUCAAAGUCUUCAUUUACAUGAAAUUUUAAUUCAGCUUUCAACAUUCAUAAGCACUUAAUGAAUUGACGACCAAUAUAUUGGAUGCAUAUUGUUUUGAAUAUGCCCUUAAUAAAGAUGAAAAGGAGAAAGAUGAACUUGAACUCAUCAUUUUUACAGCCGUUAAAAUAGCAUACAUGAUUUGCUUUUGCUACUUGUCUAAAUUUUAUCUAAACACCUAAUUAUGAUGGUUGCCAAACACAUUCAAACAUUUAAGUUAGUAACAAUUUUAUAAGCAUGGCAUUUUUAGUUUACUAACUUUGGUAUUUGAUUGAAGGGUUAAUUAUAUUUUCGGUCUCUACAAAAUUGCGACCUUGUAAGUUUAGUCCUUAUUUAAUUUUAAUAGUUUUUUUAAUCCUUACAAAAAAUUUCUGCACUCAAUAUUAGUCCUUACUCAAUCCAAAUUUGUUUAAUUUAUGCUUAAACUCUUAAGUUUUUCAACAAUUUUUUACAGACGUGUUAAGAACGUUAUUAAAAGGUCCUCCGAAAAAAAUAUCGCAAAAAUUUGAUUUCUACGUCCAUAUUUUUGUUACUUAUAUCUUAAACUUUUGUCGUUUUAAAAAAUUCAUAUUUAAUUUAUUUCAUGUUAAAAAAUUAUAGAUUUUAGCAAAUGAACCUUCAUAGUGUUAUAAACUUGUAUAAAAAGAAUCGUUAAAAAAGUUAAGAGUUUAAGGAUAAUUAAGCAAAAUUUAUUUUAGCAGGGACUAAAAUUAUAAGUAAUUUUUUUUUGUGUAGGGAUUAAAAAAGCUAUUAAAAUUAAGUAAGGACUAAACUUAGAAUGUCGCAAUUUUAUAGAGACCAAAAACAUAUUUAACCCUUGAUUAAAUUAGUUUUUCCUUUUGCCAAUCCAAAAAGUCAUGCAAGCCUCACAUCUUUCUCACUUGUGAGCUUAGCUCAGUUGGUAGGACAAUGCAUUAUUAUUUGCAGAGAACCACUAAACUACCUGACAAAAAAAAAAGCUAGACUUGUUUCCCUAUAUUGUAGAUGCCAAUUAAAGCCUGAAUUUAUUUUUUUAUUAUUUUUUUUUCUUUGAAAAUGAAGUCUGCAAAUCUUAUAGCUUAUGUCUUUUUGGCUUUCAGCAAACUACAAUGGGGCUCUGUUGGAUAUUUUUAGGGUUGUAUGGCCCAAAAGUCCUAAACCAAAUGGCUUUCACCUCCCAUCCGUCAUGUUUCUCAUGCGUCCUCCUAAAUUUCAAAACUGCCCUCAGAUUUUCGGAUUAUUCAAUAUGCUACUCUUAUUUUCAACUCUUCCUUUGAGGUCCAACUCGAUUAGUCUCUUCAGUGGUUCAGUUGUGAUUUUUCCUCUUAAGUCCAACUAGAUUAGUCUCUUUAGCGGUCCAGUUAUAAAGUCGAUUUGUGACAAUACCUUAUAUGCAUCUAUGUUAGGAUUGAUACGAGCUGUUAGUGGGUUCUGAUACCAUGUUGGAUGGAGGAAUGUUUUACAUAUUGAGCUGUAGUUGUUUCAAGGGGCACUCAACAUGGAAAGGAUAUUGAAGAUUUGCAGAAAAGUUUGGACAAUGCUGAGUAAGGUACAUAUACAAGCAUUUCUAAUUUUCUGACAUAAUUACAUUUUCAGAGUGAUUUUCAAAUUAACUAAGAAUAAACAGUAUUGUUCUAAAGUUUUUGAACUAGGAUAAAAAACUUUAACAGUGUUUGUGGUUUCUAGAAGCAUUGCAGAAGAUUAUGGUCAGACUCAGACAGUCAAAUAUAGGUUUGACGCCAUCUAAGUAAUCAGCAUUUCAAUCUUGGGCUAUGUUUCAGAGUUUAUAAGAGAUCAUAGCAGAAUUCUAUUCACUUUGUGUUAUUGUCAAAUCUUAAUUCUUAGUGUUAAUUGAUGGUCUUAUGAUGAAAAUUAUAAAUUUAACCCAAAUAAAAACGGAUAUUAAGAACAUAUCCAUGUACCGAACUAAUAAGUAGCAAGAAAGUGAAAUAAAAGAAAACACAAUGAUUUGAACUUAUCAUUGAAAAACAUUACAGAAACUAACAUGCACUGCAUGAUAAUAAUGAAGUGACAAGAGUGCAAUAUCCUGCAAAUAAAGUAAAAAAGGUUGUUACUGCACAGUAAGAAACAUAAACAAGUUGAAUCAAAGCUUUUCAAGUGUGUCUGUUUCUUCAUUUUAAUUCUAACGAAUGUCUAAUUUUGGAAUGUGUGCUAUCUUUUCCCAGUACACCCUUGUUCCCUCGUUGCAUCGCUCAUUUAAUCCUCCAGACAAACAUAAAUAGUCAGAACCUCAAGUGAAGUGAGGCGUGGAAUACCUUCUUGCAAGGAUUUCAAUCCUUUAUACCAAGCAAAUUCCAUUGUUCGAAUCGUAGACCUUUCCACAUUUUCUCCGGAAAAGACUCAGGCUCAUCACAGUAUAAGAUAUGCAGACACUCUAAAGCUUGGUUUAACGGUUCUCAAAAUCCUCUAUGGGAAAGAUUUCAUUUCUUUACCUACACAAAGGUAGAGAGUGUCAUGACCAUUGAAACUACAGAUUGACAUCAGUGACUCAUAGUUACGUCCAACUGCAAAGAGGUCUUUAACAGAUGGAAGAGAUGGCAACUCAAAUUUCGGGCAAUCAUGGAUGGUCAGAUCAUGGAUUAGCGAGGUCUUUAAUAUGAAUUACAUCAAUUCAUAUUAAAAAGUGACAAAAAGAAAUGCAAAUUCAAUAUAUUUGACAAGGCCUGAGAGUUUGUUGUGAUAUAUGACACAAACUAUAUGAAUGCAAAUUUAUUACUGGACAACACGCGAUGCAUCCAAGAACUCGCGCAUUGCGCAGCAUGGAACGUAAUUGAAGGUUGUAAUAAGAGUAGUAGUACUUCUAGAUACUGAAUCCUGCUACCUCUAUAUGAUUCUACUUCCAUUGUUCUAGACAAGCCCAAUCUAGAGCCCCAAAUAUUUAGAACUUUCUCACCAUUUUAUUUUCCUCCCUUUUGUAAAUAACCAAGAAAGUUUCAUGUGUACUAAACAAACUCAUGUUAAUUUUCCCUUCAACAAUUCAUUUGCUUGUGUGAUUUUUCAAUAUUUGAAAGUGCAGUCUUCCACAAUUUUGUUUAUUGAAUUCUUUGUCUGGUUACAUUUCUGUUGACAAGUCAAUUUUAUAAAUGACAAAAAAUCUUGUAGUCACUGAUUUUAGCCUCCAUAAGGCAAUAAUUUGAUCAAGUAUGAAUUCAAAAAAGUAUUUGUCCCUUUUAAAUAAAUAAUGUAUGUACAUUAUUUGGAACAACCAAGGCACAAAAUGGCAAGGACAACCUCCUGAGGCUUAGGAGAAACUCAAGUGAAGUCAGGUGUCAAAUAUCUUCUGGCAAGGAUCAAGUUCGAAGAGAAAUAAACUAAUGCUAAUCUACUAAAAUAUACGUAGUUAAAAGAUGGAAAAUUCACUUUGUUAUAAAAUAAAACAAUUGAUUUCUCAUUCAGGAAAAGCAGUGGAUGCAACUUGGUUAAUUAACAUUGUCUGACACAAACGAAGUCGGGAUUCAGCAGCAUUCCACAACAUAUACGACACAAACCCAAAACAAUAACACAGAUUAAUCAAUGGCUGUGCGUCUGGAAGAUAGGCCUUUAUCAUGCAGUUCUUUGUCAUAUCAAUCAAACUUUGAUUCCAUAUCACAUGCUCUGCCUCAUUAAUUUAUCCAGUUUUAGAAGUUUCUCCAAUGUAUUUGUAAUGAAUAUCAGGAUCCUCUAUAAAUAAUACAAAAUAAAAAGUUAUGAAAAUGAAAAAGAACUAGAAAAUGCAAUAUAGGUUAGUCUAGAAAACAGUCUUAAGAAAUACCAUAGCUAAAAUAUUGGUCAAAGAGGCCUUUAAUUGGUAAAAGAGUUUGAUGCAUGCAUCAACAAUUUGCAACUCAGAAUAUUCCUUAGAAGUCAUCAGAUUUUGAAGCAGUAAAAUUCUUUAAUAUAAGUCCAGAAAAAUAAUUUAUUUGAAAAGAAAAGGCUUAUGUUAACAACAUGAGUGCUAAUACAUUACCUGCACAAUUAAUUGUAUAUUUCCCCGAAGGAUGACCAAUAAAGAUCUUCCGUGUACUCCAGUGUUCAUUCUUCGAAAUAGGUUCAAACCAAUUCAACCAAAGCCUGAAAAUCACUCAUAUGGAGCAUAUAUAACAAUGUUUUAAAAUUCAGUGAGUUGAGCACUUGAAAUCCAAACAUGUGGUGCAAUGACAUGUGUAUUCACAAUGGCCUAUUUGACCAGCCAGAAGCAGAAACACAAACACAAUACCUUUGCUUCUUGAUUCCUAUUGAACAUAAAAGCAACAUCACCAAAAGUCUAAGUUCGGAAUACGUGCUAUCUUGUUCCAGUCCUCUCCUGUUCCGUCCUUGCAUUGCUCCUCUAAUGUUUUAGUUGGAGAACAUAAACCUUUGAAAAACAUUGAAAACGUUGAAUUCUAUCAGGAACCAUUGCUGCUAUCAUAGAUCCUGUUUCAAUAGGCAAACAUAAUUAAAAUUAAACACAAACAAACAAACAAACUUAACCUAACCAAAUCUUAGGACAAACCAUCUGAGUUUUAACUAAAUCAAAAACUCACUAAAAAAGACAAUGAAACAAAUUCACUAAAAUACUAACCCGUUGAGUGCCCAAAAACAUGAGCCUUUUUCCAACCUAAACGACCCAACAAAGUAAUUGCAUCCUUGGCAUGAUCUUUGUUCUGCACCCAACAAUCAUUCACCAAUAUUCAAAUUUCCAUUUCACUUUUUGUAAAUCAUUCAAAUUAACGUAUUGAUGACAUGUCUGAUGUUUAGAUACUGAUAUGACACCAAGCCAUAACAAACAGAAACUUUCAUUUUUUAUCAAAAUUAAGCAAAAAAGAAGCCAAACAAUAUAUCAUUCAAAUAAACAAUCUAAAACAAAUAAAUAAAAAAGACCAACAAAAACUUAAGAAUAAAAAUGGAGUAAACCUUGAUGAUCAGACUUGCUAAUGGGCACAGAGCUCCGACCCAUGCCCCGAUUGUCAAAAUCGCAAUCCUCGAUACCCCCACCAGGGACUCAUUGUCACCUACUCCAACUGUAUUUUUGGAAUAUGAGCUAUCUUGUCCCAAUCCUCCCCUGUUCCCUCUUUGCAUCGUUCCUUUAAUGUUGGGCAAUCAUUGAUUGUCAGAACCUCAAGAGAAGUGAGGUGUCUAAUACCCUCCGGAAAGCAUCGCAAUUCUUUACAAUUAGAAAUAUAUAGAUAUUGAAGGGAUUGCAGACCUUCCCAAUUUUGCUCAUUACAAUCAGAGAUACGCAGAUGCGUCAAAGCUUGGUUAAAGGGUUCAUUUUGUAACUCCUUCAGUGUUGGGAAAUCAUUUACAACCAGUGAUUGAAGAGAAGUAAGGUUUUUGAACAUCCCCUCUGGGAAGGAUGUUAUUCCUCUACCGUAAUCUAGGGAAAGCUCAGUAAGACCACGGAAGGUAGAGAUUGACCUCAGUAACUCAUUGUUACAUCCCAAUACAUAGAGGGAUUUAAGAGAUGGAAGACAUGGCACUCCAAGUUUAGGGCAAGCUGUGAUUCUCAACUCAGAAAGACAAGGAAACAUCUCCCCUCUUUCCACUUUCAAUAACCCCUCUAUGUUUGGUAGGCAUAGUAAAUGGAGUUCCUCCAGAGAUGGGAAAACCCUCACCUCCACACCAUCCUGAGAUUCAUCAUCAUCCAAGUAUUUCAGAUUAUCCAUAUCAGAUAAUUCCAGUUUUUUUAGAGACGGUAGUUUACCAAUUAACUGAAGUCGCACAACUUUCUUGCAAUUCCCAAGUUCAAGAGAAACUAAAUUACUAAGAAUAAUUAUCCAACUUGGUAAUGAUAAUCCGUCAUAGUAAUUUAUUUUCAAGCACUUGAGAUUUGAGUGAGGUUGAAGCACUUCGAGUACUUGCUGAGCACUAAUAGUUGGGGGAUUGGUAAAUCCAUAGUUGCUUUCCCAUGACAAGCAUAAUUCAUGAAGGUCUUUUUUACCCAUCAAAUCAGCCGCUUGAGCUUGAGAUAAACUGCCAAAAUCUUUUAAGCCUUCGAUACGCAGUUUUCCACCGAGGUUUAGAUCACGUAACUCUGACAAGCUAUUCCCUUUCUCUAAACUAACAAUGUACACACUUAAUGUUUUUAGACUAGUUAAUUUUCCAAUGUUAGGAAACAUUCGAGACAAAGAUAUACAAUAUUCAAUAACUAUAUGUCUAAGAUUUUGUAAGAAAGCCAAGCGUUUUGGGAGACAAAUCAGUUCACCACAAUGUUUUAUUUUCAAGGUUUCCAGUUUUUGUAAGUUGUAAAUUGAGUCAGGCAACUCUUGUAUGUCAAGAUAAAGAAGCUCCAAAUACCUUAAAUGAAUUAAACUACCUAGUAAUGGCCCCCGGAUAAAGGUUGUGCAUAAAACCCGAAGAGAAGGGUCUGUUGGGAAGUAAUCCUGUUCUUCUUUUGGAAAAGUAGAAAACUCAAACCAUGUUCGCAAGGAUUCAACUUUUCUGAAGGCACCCUCAUCGAAUGAUAACAAAUUAUCAGAGUUAAAACUUAUGUGGUGUGUGCUUUUUGACAAACUAGUCAUGUUUGCAUUCUCCAAAUAUAUACAUUCUUGCCCCAUUACUGACUUAGCGAGAUCAUGGACAAGAUCAUGCAUCUUGAAUGAAAUGUUGCCAGAAAAUUCAUCCAUUUUUUUGUCUUGAAAGAAUGAUUUUUGGUACAAUUCAUCCCAAACCAUGAUGCCAACAUCUUCAACCUCCGUAUUACCCCAAGAUGAAAUCAAUCCAUUAGCCAUCCAAAGCUGAAUCAAUUCUUCUUUCAAGAUUUCCCUAUCCUUGGGAAAUAUAGCACAAAAAGAGAAACAUUGCUUUAGGGUCGGUGUUAAAUAAAAGUAACUCAACCUCAAAGAACGCAAAAUAUAAUUUUCUUCUGGUAAAGCCCAAAGCUCAGUGUCUUUAAUAUCAAGCCAUUCCUUUUCUCCAUUCCUUGAGCUCAUCAAACCUCCCAAUGCUUUUGCUGCAAGAGGCAAUCCAUUACAUUUCUUUACUAUCUCCUUUCCUAUUGCUACAAGUUCUGCACGCUCUUCUCUAUAAUGUCCCAAUGCAUAUUCUUUGAACAACAACCAACAUUCACUAUCAGAGAGACCAGACAAAGAGUGAGCUUGGCAUGUUCCCAUGAUUGUUGCAACAACUUUAUCACGGGUGGACACUAAAAUGGAACUACCUUUUGAUCCACACGACAAAACAGAUUUCAAACGAUUCCAUCUAUCUUGUGUUAACCCAGAUUCCAAUUGUUCAUUUUGAUUCCACACAUCAUCCAAAAUCAGCAAAUAUAUUCUCCCUUGCAACAAUUCUUGCACCUUUCUUUGUAUUACAUCUGAAUCCAAGGCAUCACAUAUCUCUCCUGUAAUAUAUUCUAUAAUAGAACACAAAAUCCUCUUGACAGAGAAAGUCUCGGAAACACAAACCCAAGAUCUUAUGUCAAAAUAGUCCCUCACCCUAACAUCAUUGUAGACCAAUUGAACAAGAGUUGUUUUACCAAUACCACCUAAACCAACAAUGGGGUAGACGGAAAGGAAGUCAGAGUCCCUCGCAUGGGUGAGAAGAAACUCAAAAAUCUUUUCUUUAUCAUCUUUUCGUCCAAACACUUCUGGUUUAGCAAUAAUGGAGUUGAUUUGACGCCAUUCAUCUACUUCAUCUGAGCUUUCCCUAACAUAUACAGUACCAUCUCGUAGAAGAAAUUUGUUCUUAAUAUCAGCAAUAUCAUCCAAUCUUCUUGUAAUCUCUUUCAACCUGUUGCCGAUCUGACGGCGAAACACGAUGUUCUUUGGGUUGAAAGAGAAUGAGCCUCCAAGUCGAGCAGACUCGAUCGAACACUCAUCAAGGAUAUCAUCGAGCACAUAAACAGCAUCUUUGAGUUGUUGGAGCCAUACCUUAAUAUAGCUGUCUUUGACUUGUCUCUUCUCAGCAUCUACAAGAACAGCCUCGAUGUGAUUUAAGGAGGUUGAUAGGUUUUUGGCCUUUGACUUGAUUCCAGAAAUGGUAGAAAAUUCACUUUGUAGGAGAGAAUUCACUUUCUCAAACGCAGCUCUAAGUAAAGCUUCGGCCAUUUUUUUAGAAAAGAAAGAGUUGAAAAGUUAUAAGGAAAUGAGAAACUGGUUUAGACAGAAAGAGUGCUAAGGAGACGCAAGUAGGUGUUCAAUAAUUGAUGCAACUUGCAGAGUCCAUUACAUUGUAUUUUAUUGGAUUAACGGUGUUUUAUCUAGAUCAUUUUUGGAUUUAUCUCUUAUAAAAUAUUUUUUUGGUUUAAUUGCACUUUUCCUCUCUAUAGUUUGCCAAUUGUACAAUUUUGCAUCCCAUAGUUUUAAACUAGCGAUUUUGCCCCCUAUAAUUUUCCCCUUUAUGAUUUUAUGGUCCCCAUGAUAUUUAGUGUUGGUUUUUUUUUUAUCAAUUAAUGUGUGUCACGUGUGUAAUUCCAUUUUUUUAAAAAUAAAAAAAAUGGUAUUUUUUAGAUUUUGAGAAGGGGGCACGUGAUUUUUCAGAUUUUAAGAAAAAAUAUCACGUGCCUCCUUCUCUCAAAAUCGAUGGAAAGAGUUUGAUUGAACUACUAUAACGAGUGGUCGACAUAACAAUGAAAUACCUUUACUUUAUAACCCUCUAAAAAAAAUUUAAUUGAUAGUACUUUAUGUAACACUCCGUUUUCUAAACAUAAACAAAUUCAUAAAAAUAAUCAGAGUUUUUCACAUAAACGGAAUGCUACACUUCUUUUCUUAAAAAUCAUAAACGAAAUAAUUAACUAAUAAAUAUCAACAUAUAACAUAACAAAAUAUCACUCAUCAAAAUAAAUCGACUAAAUUAUAAAAAGUCAUUUAAACUCAAUAAAAUAAAUAAAUAAUAAAAUAGAGUGUUACAACUCUACCUUCUUAAAAGAAUUUCGUCUUUGAAAUUUAAAGCACAAGAGAAAAAUGAAUUUAAUUAUUGCUUAAAUAUCUUAAACUUUGUAUAACAAAAAUAGAAACUUCAACAAUACACAAAAUUCACAUUAAAGUUAAUCAGUCAAACAUGAUCACAUAAUAAAACAUCACCAUUAAUUAGAAAAAUACAACGACAAACGACUCAACUACUUGGCCGGUCGGACCGACCUGCUCUGAUACCAAUUGUAACACUCUGUUUUCCCAACAUAAAAAAAUUCAUAAAAAUAAUCAGAGUUUUCCACAUAAACGAAAUGCUACAAUUCUUUUCUUAAAAAUCAUAAACGGAAUAAUUAACUAAUAAAUAUCAACAUAUAACAUAACAAAAUAUCACUCAUCAAAAUAAAUCGACUAAAUUAUAAAAAGACAUCUAAACUCAAUAAAUUAAAUAAAUAAUAAAAUAGGGCGUUACACUUUAUACUACUCUUCAGUACUUGUCGCUUUUAGAGAAUAAUUUUAUUUCAUUUUACUUGUCACUUUUAAGUUUCAAUACAAAAUUAAUUAUUGGUUUGUCAAUAAUACCCUUAUCCAUUUAUUGAAGAAAGAAAAAUAAUAAAAUGAAAUAACAAAUGAUUAAGAGUAUUAUAGAAAAAAAAACACAGAAUUUCAUCAAAAAUAACAAAAUUUAUUUGGUUUCUUGGUAUGUGUAAAUUUCUCAAAAGAGAUAAGUAUUGUGAAAUGGAGAGAAUAAUAACUUUGUUUUACAUUUUAUUUAUAAGAAAUGCAUGUCUUUAAUUGUUUCGAAGUUUAAAAUGAAAAUAUUAUUUUAAAAUAAAAAAUAAUUGUUUGUUCAUGCAAACAUUGAAAUAAUAAGAAAUAAUUAUUUUCUACCUAAAACUCUAACAUUAAACAAAUUUAAAUUGAAUAAGGACUAAUAUUGAAUGUAUAAAUUUUUUAUAGGGUCUAAAAAAACUAUUAUAAUUAAGUAAGAACUAAACUGAAAAGGUCGCAAUUUUACAGGGACCAAAAACAUAUUUAACCCAAAAAAAUUAUUCACUUUUAGUUUAUAUUUACAUGUUAUAAAGGACUAUUUUGGAGUACUAAAUGUGCCCAUUUUUUGUAAAAAGUUUUUAAAAUAAUGACUAUUCUUACAAACUAUAUGGAAUAGAAGAUUAAAAUUACCUUAAAAUUUUAUAGAAACUAAACUUAAGAAUUUGUGAUUUUGCAGCGACUAAAAAUAUAUAUUUAAUCAUUUGUUUCGUGAGCAUAACUCAGUUGGUAGGACAAUACAUUAUUAUAUACAGGGGCCGGAGUUUGAACCCCGGACACCCCACUUAUUCACCUUAUAAGGUGAAUUCUAACCACUAAGCUACCUGACAAAAAAAUAAAAAAGAUUUAAUCAUUUAAUUUCAUACUUGCUCAAGUUCUCUCUCCAAAAAAGUCUAAUUUAUUGUACUAAUUUUAGAUAAAAUAAUAUAUAGGAGUUCUCUUGAUUCUUGAAUCCAAAAAUCACCACUGUAUCUCAAUUCUCACAAGCGUAGGUUAGGGUCUGUUUGGUUCGCGGGUUUUGAACGGGAGGGGAGGGGAAGGGAGGGAAUAUUUUAAAAUUUUUGUGAUUAGUUCAAUUUUUAGAAGGGGAUGAGAGGGAGAGGAAGGGGAACAAAAUCCCUCAUAUAAGCUCAUUUAUGGCUCCUCCUCAAAUUGAAGUUUUUUGGAGGGGAGGGGAGAGAAAAAGAGAUGAGUUAAUGCAAUUUUAAUUACAUUAACAUAAUUAUCCUCAUGUUUAUUUUUAAAUGACAAAACCGUCCUUAUUAAAAAUUUAAGUGUUUUCAACAUAUUGCUUAUUACUAUCUUUUUUGUAACAUGUCAAUGUCAAUUUUUUUUUUUUUAACGAGAAUUGCAUAUUCUUGUCUUCUAAUUAUUAUUUUUUACGUGAAUUCACUUUUUUUUUACUAACGAUGCUUUUAUUUUUUUUAUUUGGAUAUAUUUAUUUUGGGUUUGGUUAUGGUGCAUAAGGAUUUUCCUUAUGCACCCUGCAUAAGGAUUGCUAAUAGGGCCCAUUAAUAGUAGCCCAACAAAUUUUCUGCUUCCUACACCCCAAAAACAGAAAACAAGUAAAACUGGCAAAACAAAACAAACUAUUCAUUUCUUCAACAACCACCUCUCUUUCACCUCUCACCGGAAACCGUCGCCGUUAACCAUCGCCGUCGUUCUUCACCACUGUAUCAAUCGCCAUCAUUUCUCAAGGUCGUCGUUCUCCACCACUGUCUUGAUUUCCCCACCAUCGUCGUUCUUACUAUCGUCGUUCUUCACCUUCCACCACCAUCGGAACACGAGGUCCAUCGGAAACAACCUCCACCACCGGAAACACUAGCCGCCGUUCUUCAUCAACACAAGGUCGUCAUUCUUCACCACCGGAGACACCGUCGUUCACUACACCAGCUCUUCACCACCACCGUCGUCGCCGUUCACUUCCAACACCGUCGUUCACUUCCAACGCCUUCGUUCACUACAACAUCUUCAACAAACAGCAAACAUGUCGAAAUCAAAUCAGGUUUGCACUGAACUUCUUUAUUGAUCGUAAAUUUGAUUUUCAACCAAAACCAUUUUUACGUGGAAAUGGUUUCUAUGUGUUGUACACUAAAACCAUUUGGUGCUGGUAAUUUUUUUCUUUGGAUUAAUGACUCAAGUAUAUUAUAAUCAUCUGAUGCUGGUAAUUGAUUUCUUUGAUCCAGGUUAACAAAUCUAACGACGGGGGGCCAAUUCCAAACUUCAGUAUUGGACUUACGCAAUUAGAGCAAGAGCAAGCAUCUGAUGAAGAUAAAGGAAAAAAAAAGGGUAAAAAGAUGGAAAAAAGGGUAAGUCUUCAAUUCUAUUUGCUGUCAUUUUUAGUACGAGCAAUAAUUUCUUCGUUGAUUUUUUAGUACGAGCAAUAAUUUGUUCAUUAUGCUGCAAUGUUGUUCAAUUGAAAGGUAUAUUUCAUUGAUUCUGAAAUAAAUUGUUUUAUCUAUGUUUCUUUGAUGUUUUGAUUUCAUCAAUCUCAAUUUGUUGUUGUAUAGUUCAUGCUAUGUUUUUAAUUGUUGCUGGAUGUAUGCUCUAUGAUUCAUGUUUUGACUCUUCGUGCUUAACACUGAACUGCUAGUGAUAGUUAACCUAUGAUAUGAAGCAUGCACUCGGACACACACAGCGCUGAUACGACACGUCAGACACAAUUUGAGAAAAUUAGACAAUUCAAUGUAAUCACAUGUGUCCUGUCAUCAUUUGAUUUGAUACGCUAUGUAGCACGGACACUUCUAUUUGACGAGGAUUUGGUUUGUCUGAAUAUCCAUAACCAAUAAGAUCAAUAGAGUAUAUGCGGUGGGAUUUUGCUAGGUCUGGAAUAUUUUUCCUCCAGUGAUCACUGCAAUGAAGUGUAUUCUCAAUCACUCAAAAUAACUGCAGAACCAAACAGACCUAGCUAUAAGACCCUUACAAUAAAUAUGUGAUAUAAUAUGUGUCCUGCAUUUUCUAAUUGAAAUGAAAGAACAUGAAUGCAUGUUUCUUAAUCAAAUUUCUAGAUACCUCUAUUCAUGAAAAAAUUCAAGAAUAAAGAUCCCUAUAAUUUCUAAAUCUUUGCCUGAUAAAUUGGUUGAUGGUUUAUGAGGAAGGAGAGGUGAAAGAAGCUAAAAAGUUGUGACUUAUGAUGAUGAAUGGUUUUGUUAUCUGAUGGUUCUGUUGUAUGCUUCAUGUUUAGAAUGGUUCUGUCUGCUGUCAUUUACUCUGAUAUUGAAGACGUAGGCACAAUUGGUCUAUAUCCUCUUAUAUCUCUGUCUGCAUAGUCCACUUCGUCAUAACUUCAAUCUAAUUUUUCUUCGUCUAAUGGUGCUAAGUACUAGCUGAGGCAUAGUCUACUGUGUUGUGUCUUAUAUUUCAACACUGAUAUGAUGGAUAAAUGUAUCUAAUAUGAUAGAAGCAAAUAUCUGAAGACCAUAUGAUGCUGUUAGUUAUUCUAAUUGUUGCUCCUCCCUAUUAGCUCUCUUCCAUAUAUUUGGUUAUGCAAUAUAAGGUCUUUAUUCCAAGUUCAAAAAACAAGAAAAUGUGAGUGAGUAAUCACUUUUGAGAAAAGGAAUUCUUCACUGAACUCCAUCUACAAUUCACAAAUCACAAGAUACAUAAGUUUAGAAAAUUUAUGUGAGCCUAACUGAUAGGAAUAGGAUCACACAUAACAAAUUCAUGCACUGCUUGGACUUGCACAAUGUUGAAUGUUGGAAAUAACAUAUGAAUGGUGGAAUGGUAGUUCUGGGUGAGCAUCAAGUCUCACGAGAGGCUUCAAUCCAAGAGGAAAAAAAACUGAAUUGAAUUUGUCUUGAACUCUCUCUGCAUUUGUGUGUGUCUGCAUCGUCUUAUAUCUCUCUCUGGCCCACUUGAAUUUUUCUUAACUACAAAGUUUCAAUUGUUUCGUUGAACACUGAGAUGAUAAAUACAUGUGUUUGAUAAGAUAGAAGAAAAAAUCUAAUACUGAGAUGAUAAAGACCGUUGGUUAUUGGUAGUUAUUCUAAAUUUCUAAUAGUGACAUCUCUAUGUUAGCAAUAGUUUUAAUUCAAAAUACAAGAAAACAUGAGAGGAAACUUACAAGAGGAAUGUCUGAAGGUCUGUUCUUUAGAAACUUAGACAAAAUAUGUGAGUGUUCAUUAAACUAUAUAUCUAUAAUUUGCAAGAUCACAAUGUAAUCUGUUUCCUCUUAUGGUUCUGGACAUAACCCUUGAUUCUAAGGUGAACCACAUUAAUUAACUCUAAUUGAGUUCUUAUGUGUUUUGUUUUUUCACAGAAGUUCCAACCAUUGUACUCCAAAACCAUUAGAUGUAUUUAAUGGUUUUCUUUGCUCAUGCAGGUGAAAAAAACUAAAGAGCUAGAGCCAUUGCCAUCAUUUAGUAUUGGACUAACUCAAAUAGAAGAGGAGGGCAGGAAUGAAGAGGCUAAAAGUUCAGAUAUGGAAAAUGAGGAAAAUGCAAAGCAAAGACUGAGGCAUAAGAUGAGUAUACCUAAGGUAUAUGAUCUUAUGAAUUCAGUAAAUGGCAAACAAAGAAAGGAUGAGAUCAUUAACGUAUUGAAUGAAAGUGGCUUUGGGGGAAUGGUUCAUUUCUGAAUCUGUGUUAAUGCUUCAAAAGAUGUUUAUGAAUUUCGAUGAAUUUGCUCAAAAUUAGGUGUAUGGAAUACUGAAACCAUAAGUAUGGUAUAAUGGUUUUGAUAGUGUACUAGGUAAAACCAUACUUAUGGUGUAAUGGUUUUGAUCAAAAUUAUUAUAGGUACGUGGUUCUAAUGGUUUUCUAAAUAAAAACAAAUGUGAUAAACAGUUAUUUUAGGCCCAAGAAUGUUGAAUUUAAUUAAAAUUUGCUCAAAAUUAGGAGUAUGGAAUACUGAAACCAUAAGUAUGGUAUAAUGGUUUUGAUAGUGUACUAGGUAAAACCAUACUUAUGGUGUAAUGGUUUUGAUCAAAAAUUAUUAUUGGUACAUGGUUCUAAUGGUUUUCUAAAUAAAAACAAAUGUGAUAAACAGUUAUUUUAGGCCCAAAAAUGUUGAAUUUAAUUAAAAUUUGCUCAAAAUUAGGUGUAUGGAAUACUGAAACCAUAAGUAUGGUAUAAUGGUUUUGAUAGUGUACUAGGUAAAACCAUACUUAUGGUGUAAUGGUUUUGAUCAAAAAUUAUUAUUGGUACAUGGUUCUAAUGGUUUUCUAAAUAAAAACAAAUGUGCUAAACAGUUAUUUUAGGCCCAAGAAUGUUGAAUUUAAUUAAAAUUUGCUCAAAAUUAGGUGUAUGGAAUACUGAAACCAUAAGUAUGCUAUAAUGGUUUUGAUAGUGUACUAGGUAAAACCAUACUUAUGGUGUAAUGGUUUUGAUCAAAAAUUAUUAUUGGUACAUGGUUCUAAUGGUUUUCUAAAUAAAAACAAAUGUGAUAAACAGUUAUUUUAGGCCCAAGAAUGUUGAAUUUAAUUAAAAUUUGCUCAAAAUUAGGUGUAUGGAAUACUGAAAUCAUAAGUAUGGUAUAAUGGUUUUGAUAGUGUACUAGGUAAAACCAUACUUAUGGUGUAAUGGUUUUGAUCAAAAUUAUUAUAGGUACGUGGUUCUAAUGGUUUUCUAAAUAAAAACAAAUGUGAUAAACAGUUAUUUUAGGCCCAAGAAUGUUGAAUUUAAUUAAAAUUUGCUCAAAAUUAGGUGUAUGGAAUACUGAAACCAUAAGUAUGGUAUAAUGGUUUUGAUAGUGUACUAGGUAAAACCAUACUUAUUGUGUAAUGGUUUUGAUCAAAAUUAUUAUAGGUACGUGGUUCUAAUAGUUUUCUAAAUAAAAACAAAUGUGAUAAACAGUUAUUUUAGCCCAAGAAUGUUGAAUUUAAUUAAAAUUUGCUCAAAAUUAGGAGUAUGGAAUACUGAAACCAUAAGUAUGGUAUAAUGGUUUUGAUAGUGUACUAGGUAAAACCAUACUUAUGGUGUAAUGGUUUUGAUCAAAAAUUAUUAUUGGUACAUGGUUCUAAUGGUCUCAGAUAACACAAAUGCUCUGGUUUAUGUAAUGGAUGACAGUGAGCCACAUCCCAUCUAUAAAUCUUAUACACAUUCAAAACUUCAUCCAGCUUCAAAUAUAUUCCAGCUUUACAACCGACCCUUUCCUCAGGUUUUUCUUUCACUUUCACAAACUCAAUAACCAGUGGACUGUCUGAUGUUGGCCUGUUGUUAGGAUUAAGCAAACUUCCCUUCUUGUAACCUUGUUUGUUACAAACAUAACGCAAAUAAUGUAUCUUUUCUGAUUUCUUAUUUUGUGAAUUAUUCUUCGACUUCAACAUAGUCCUAAUAGAAAAUCCAGUGUUAUAUGCAUAAUUACCAUAAAAAUCUUCAACCUCUUUGAUAGAUUGAAAGACUAAAGACUUCCAUGAUUCUUCAUUGCUAGGGGAGUAACAUUCAGUAUGAAUCAUUGAAGAAGUUUCAACACUCAGUUGUCCACUCUCAGCAUGAAUCAGUGAUGAAGCUUCAACACUCAGUUGUCCACUCUCAGAUGAAGUUGAUAUCAAAUCCAUUGAAAACAGCAACAAACACUAUUAAGAACAAACAACCAUUAGCACAUUAAGCAUUUUUCAUUCAAUAUACAAAACGAUUAACACAUCAAUGCAUGUAAAUUUGCAGAUUAAGCAUUCAAGAUCAGAAAAGUAGACAAGGACUGAAAAAACUACAAACAAUAACACAUCAAUGCUCUUAUUUUUCAAUCUAAUAUUCCUAAAAGUUUCGCAUAAAUCUUUGCUUGACUUGAAUAAUGAGUUAUUCACUCUUGUUUAUCAUCGGCUUAAAUUCGAUUGUAUAGCUAUAAAUUCCAUUUUUCAUGGUUACAAACCAGGAAUAAAAGGACUCCUCUUUUCACUGCAUAUCAUAUUAGGUUCUAGAAGUGACAGUUUUUUGUGAUUGACAGUUUUAUGUGAUACAUUGAUUUUCAUAAGUUGUAAAUUUUAGGUAUCAUACAACUUUCAAUAAGUGUCCUGGAGUUUGUGACACAAGAGUUUUAUGUCUGAAACUAUAUAGAAAAAUAAACUUGUUUGGUUCUGACUAGGUUUGGAUAUUGUUUUUACAGAAAUCAAUUGUAGCAAAUAUAAGUUAUUACAUGAUACAAUAGUCCUCAAAUAUAGUAAAAUGUUAAUGUCUGACACUAUAUAGCAAAUAAACUUGUUUGGUUCUGAUUCUUAAUGCAUCUAAUUUUAGUCUCUUAAUGACACUUCACAUCAAAAUUGUAAGACUCUGAACAAUAAUUUUGUAAAUCAUGUUCAAUGACACUUCACAAGAAAAACUUUAUCUGCUGUUUCAUAUCCUUUACUGAUGGUUUCAGGUUGAGAAAGAAUUCUAUGUUGAGGAAUUAGUGUUUCCUUAUAAGCAAAAUCAUAAAUUCAACACAGAAAUAGAGAAUACAAACAAACAAUAAAUCUUUGCCUGAAAAAACUACAAACAAUAACACAUCAAUGCUCUUAUUUUUGAGGAAUUAGUGUUUCCUUAUAAGCAAAAUCAUAAAUCCAACACAGAAACAGGGAAUACAAACAAACAAUAAAUCUUUGCCUGAAAAAACUACAAACAAUAACACAUCAAUGCUCUUAUUUUUGAGGAAUUAGUGUUUCCUUAUAAGCCAAAUCAUAAAUUCAACACAGAAACAGGGAAUACAAUCUAUUGAAUUUAUUAAGAAAUUCAAUAAAUUCAAUCACAGGAACAGGGAAUGGUUCAUAAAUCACCAAAAAUGCAGGAACAGGGAAUGGUUCAUAAAUCACCAAAAAUGCGAAAUUGAAAACCGAUCAAACACAGAAAAACAUCACAAACGCAAAACCUGAAGGUUAAUCGGAGUUGAGCGAGCGGCGAGCGGCAGAGAAUGAGCGGUGAGCGGCGGUAGAGAAGCACUUAUGAGAUGAGCGGCGGCAAGCGGGAGGGUUGCAACAACAAUGAAUAGGCGAGCGGCGAGCGGCGGUAGAGAUUGAGAGGCGACGGCGGCAGAGAAGCGGCGAGCAGCGAUCGGCGAGGUGAGAAGAGGAAAAUGAUAGUAUGAGAUGUGAAGGAGAGUGUGAGCUGAGAUUAUUACACGUGUAAAACCAAUCUGAAGGUUGAAAAGAGCUUAUGCAGGGUGCAUAAGGGAAACCCUUAUGCACCAUAACUUAUACCAUUUAUUUUAUAGUUUUUGAUUGUAUUAUAUAUUAAAACAUAAUUAAUAAAAUUUGUAGAAGAUUUUUUUAUAAAUAUAUUUUAAAAAUAAUUUCUAACAAUAAAUUUUUUAUAAAUAUUUUUAUAUUGUACUAGAUUAUUUUAGAAGUGCUCUAAUAUUUAUGGAUAUCUAAUAUUUUGUUAGAACUUUUGUGUUUGAUUAUUUAUGGAGUUUUUGGUUACCGAGUUUUCAUGUUUAAAUUUUUAUGAACGGAAUAAUAUAAAAAUCAUGAUAUUGUUUUAAGGCUAGAGGGAUAAAAAAGUAAUUUGGUUUUAAAAUCCAUCCCAUUCCCUUAUGAAUCAAACAUAUAUUUAAUUAAAAUCUCUUCCUUCCCCCUUCCCUCCCAUCAUUUGAACCAAACAUAUAUUUAAUUGAUAUAUCUCCCCUUCCCCCCUCCCUUUCCCUCCCUUCCAUUAAAACCCCUCCCCUUCCCUCUGUUGAACCAAACGGACCCUAAAGAAUUAUAGACUGGUACGUUGUGAGUAGUGCACAAACGUGAAAAAGGAUUGAUGUGUGCUUUUGAAGACCGCUAGGGUUUUACGGCACCGCUUGCGAUUGCACUUGCCCUUAAUUCCAUCAAUUUUGAAUUGAAGUUCGGUUGGUGUUUUAAUCCAAUCGGUUACCAUCCAAUUGGUGUUAAACCUUUAUCAUCAUCAAUUUGUUUUAGCAAUUGUGGGGCUGGUGGUUCAAAGGUAUCACGUAGAAGUUUUUGAGUUACUAGCUUUCAACGAAGUCCUUUACAACAAGUUAACAAGUUGCUGCAAUUGAUAAUUGUAUGUCACAUUUUGGCUCUGUUUGGUAAACAUAACGGAUAACUAUAAGUUCGUUGAUAGCUUAUAGCUGAUAGCUUUUAGCUGAUAGCUUUUAGCUGAUAAAUGUAAAAUGACAUAAAGGGUAUUCUUAAUUCAUAAUAAAAAUUAUAUCAUUAAUUUAAGUAUUUGUAAUUUUGUAAACUAAUUUUUCUUUCAAAAAAUACUUUAAAUUUAUUAAUUUAAUAUAUCCUAUGUAUUAUAAAUUAAAUUAAAUUUUAUUCACUAAAAUUUUAUCUUAUAUUUAUUAUCAUUUAAGUGUUUCCACUUUAUAAAGAAAAUAACAUUUACCUCAAAAAAAAAAAAAAAAAAGGUAGCACUAAUAGAGUAAUACUAAUAACAGAGAAUAAAGAAAAUAACACUUACCUCAAAAAAAAAAAAAAGUAACACUAAUAGAAUAAUAGUAUUUUGUUUCGUAAAAAAAAAAACGAAGGUAUAUAUUUUUUCAAAAAAAAAAAGAAAGAAAAAGGCCAGCUGCUAUAUAUACAAAAAUUGGAAUAAAGGGAUAGUAGUCUUUAUUACGUAGCUUAUUAUAAAAAUUAUAAUGGAUAAAAAUACAAUUUAAAUGAAAUAAUAAGGGUAAAAUUGGAAGAAAAAGUGAGAAGAUAUAAGCUAUAAGCUCAAACGCUACUUGGAAUAGCUUCUGAAAAAUAGCUUAUAAGCUCGUGAAAUAAGCUAUAAACUCAUGGUGAAAAAGUGUUACCAAACAGAGCUUUUUUUGUCAAACGAGCUUAUAAGCUAUAAGCUAAAAGCUAAAAGCUUUUUUUUUGGGUUUCCCAAACAGACCCUUUGGAACCAAGGAAUCACGACAGGUUUGAAUUACGACUGCCCUAGCUCCGGUGUGGCUUUGCCAGCCUCAGCCAUGUUUGACUGACUGGCAGGCAGAGCUAGCGCCUCCAACCCUCAACUUUGGAACCAAGGAAUCACGACAGCUUUCAACAGUGCUCGCACCCACACCUGUUAAGUCUAUUGUCGCUCCUACGGUUCAGAUGACAUCAGUUGCACCUAAGCCCUCGUUUGAUCAGGUCCUACGUGGUAAUACGAUACUGUCUGACCCUCUCCCGGUGCCUUCCAUUCGUGGUGAAAUAUUAUCUGUCAAAAUCACGGAUGAUGUCUAUUUUUGUGAACUAGAUGCUUGCAAAACCAACCUUCGAGGUCGGUUGCUUCUGAACAAAGGAGAUAAGCCUUACUCCUCCAAAGAUCUUGCUGACAAAUUACAGAAGUUGUGGAAAGUGAAGGAGCCAUGAAAUUUGACGUCCCUUGGACAGGGUUAUUAUGAAAUUUUCUUUAAUUCACAAGAGGACAUGCGAACCGUUUGGGUAGACGGUAGUAUUAGCUUGAAGCCAGGCUUACUCGGAUUAUUUGAAUGGACAAAAGACUUCAACAUGCACACGCAACGACAAACUCACACUCAGGUUUGGAUUCGGUUAUGGGAAUUACCACAGGAGUACUGGAUGGAGAGAACCUUAUAUGAGAUCACAGGGGCGGUGGGAACUUCGUUACUCAUUGAUAAUGUGACUAGAAAUAAACUUUAUGGUCAUUAUGCCGCAUUUUGGUUGACAUGGAUCUUUGGAAAGAUAUUUUUAAGGUUCUGUUUGGUUAGAGACGCUUCCAGCUAAGUUGCAUAUUUCUUUCGAGACAGAAUUGGUCUACCCAAUAUAGAUUUCUUUUGUUCUGUUUUUUUUUCUUUUUUUUCCGAGAGUUUUGGCCUAGUCUCCCUUCUUUCUUGUACAUACUUUUUUCCUUUUUUUUUAAUUUUAUUUUAUUGAAUUUAGAGUUUGGCAAAAAUAGGACCGAGGCUUUCCGGGGUGCCAACUUAGUUACGAUGUCGGUGUUGUCUCCUGAUGUCUGACUUUCUCCUGCUGAGCAAAGAAAAAAAAAAGUGCACAAACGUGGAAUGGAAUAAUAAGCAUUACUACAAUUAAAUGUUAAUAUUAAUUUUAAAGGUUAAAUAUGUUUUGGUCCCUGUAAAUAUAUCAAAUUUUUCUUUUAGUCAUUCUAAAAAAUUUCAUUGAUUUUUAAUUUUUUUAAAAUUUUCAAACACCACUUUUGAUUCAUAUUUUUAUGUCAAUUCAUGUAAUUUUUAAUGAAAUUGUGCAGAAAUGUGUAGAAUAUUGUAAACAUUUAUUCGAAAACAUAUUUGAUUUUUUAGAUGUUCAUAUAACAUCACUAAAUUUUAAAGAACCCUAUUUGCAGAGACUAAACACAUUUAUAUUAUUAAGGUGUUGUUAAUUAAGGAGUGCCCCCGAACACUCUUUUAGGAUCACAAGUUUGGAAAAUAUUCUUUCAAAAAAUCAAAUAUUACAAAUUUUAAUACAUUAAUAACAUACAUUUUUAUAAAAAGUUACUACUAUUAAAAGAUCUUAAAAGAAUACUCUUGGAGCAUUGAUCUUAUCAUUUCCCUUAUUUGGAGUAAAGCUCUUAAAACAAAUAAAUUAUUUGGAGUAAAAUUGACUUGGGUCAAUAUGGAUUGAUUAUUAUAUUGCAAUAGACUUGCGUGACUAUCUGUAUUUUGCAUUUUCGAUAAGGAAAGUGUUGACUGAAUGAAAUCAAUACUCCAAAUAUGAACCAUCAAUGGAUAUACGACGUGUUCAUAAAUUUCAGAGGGGACGACAGUCGUAAUAGCUUGGUUUCUCAUCUGUACGCUGCUCUCUCAAACGCGCGAAUCAACACAUUUCUUGACGAUGAGAAGCUUCACAAGGGAUCGGAGCUGCAACCACAACUAUUGAGAGCAAUACAAGGGUCUCAGAUCUGUUUAGUUGUUUUCUCGGAGAAUUACAGUAGAUCUAGUUGGUGUCUUCUUGAACUUGAAAAAAUCAUGGAAAACCGUGGUACUCAUGGUCAAAUAGUUAUACCAAUAUUUUACCAUAUUGAUCCAGCCAUUGUUCGUCGUCAGUUAGGUAAUUUUGGAAAAGCUUUAGAAAUUACAGCUAAAAAAAUGCAAUCAAAAAGGGAGAAGCAAAAACUGUUGUUGCAGACGUGGAAGUCUGCUCUUAGCCAAGCUACAAAUUUAUCUGGCUGGGAUGUCACCUCUUCCAGGUAAAUCAUUUUCUUCUUCUUUUUUUUUUUUAAUAAUUUUAUUUUUUAGAAUCAGAAUGAAUUAAUGUUUUUAAGUUUUUUUUCUUUCACUAUAUUCAUAUUAUAAUUACUGUGUGGUGUGUAAAAAAAAGAAAGAAGCUAGUAUGUGUUAACAAAUGUUUCUGACAAACCAUUUUUUAUAAUAUACGUCAUUUUGGUCACUAUUAUAAAAUUAUAAUACUGAGUUAGCAGAAACAAUGCAUUUUUAUAUGCAGAAAAUGUAAGGAUUAUUCUUCAAUGCAUUGUUUUUAGUCCCAGUUAUUUAUUAAAAUGUAAUGAUUAUUCUUCAAAGUCACACAAAAUUUAGGGAUCAAAAACAUAUUUAACUCUAAAAUAAUUGGGACCCACUAACUAUCACAUCAGCAUUCCGUUGGAGAAUUAACAGCUGAGCCUAAUUUUGAUAACGGAGACAAAAUGUGAGGAUUUUAAAAACAUUAAUGAAAUGUAGGGACUAUUCUUCGAAGGAGCGUAAAAUGUAAGGACUAAAACCAUAUUUAACCCUAAUAUUUACUAGAUCCAAUAGCUUUUCAAAUAAUCUAAUUUUUUUUUUCUUCUUAUAAUAAUAACCGAAUUGUGUAACAUUCUUAUAAACACAUUUAUUUUUUGAAGGAUAUAAACACAUUUAUUUAAAAGUAUAAUUCAAAGUAUAAAAAAGUCGGUCCAAAAUUCCUAUAACUUUAUAUGUUGUUAACUGAUGAUAAUAAUAAUAAUAAUAUUCAUUGAAUUUGAAGGAAUGAAAGUGAACUGGUGCAAAAAAUUGUUGAGGAGGUAUUGGCAAAGCUAGACAACACAUUCAUGCCUCUUCCUGAGCACACGGUUGGACUAGAGUCCCGUGUUGAGAAAAUGGUUCCAUGGAUUGAAAAUAAUUCAACAAAGGUUUGUAUGAUAGGCAUAUGGGGAAUGGGAGGGUUGGGUAAAACUACGGCAGCCAAAGCCAUCUACAAUCAAAUUCAUCGCAAAUUUGUGUACAGAAGUUUCAUCGAAAAUAUUAGAGAAACUUGUGAAAGGGAUAGCAAAGGCGGAUGGCAUAUUUGUUUACAACAACAACUUCUUUCAGAUCUUCUCAAAACAAAGGAGAAGAUACACAACAUUGCCUCUGGGACAAUUGCAAUCAAGAAAAUGCUCUCUGCAAAAAAGGUGCUCAUUGUACUUGAUGAUGUGACCAAAGUAGAGCAGGUAAAAGCCCUAUAUGAAAGUCGUAAGUGGUUUGGUGCAGGAAGUGUAUUAAUUGUUACAAGCAGGGAUGCACACAUACUUAAGUCACUUCAAGUUGACCAUGUCUAUCCAGUUAACGAGAUGGAUCAAAAGGAGUCCCUCGAGCUUUUCAGCUGGCAUGCGUUUAGACAGGCAAGUCCAAGAGCAGACUUCAGUGAGCUCUCAAGUAGUGUAAUUAAGUACUGUGGAGGACUACCCUUGGCUGCUGAAGUCAUCGGAUCUUAUUUAUAUGGCAGGACAAGAGAAGAAUGGACAAGUGUGCUAUCAAAACUAGAGAUAAUUCCUGACCAUCAUGUGCAAGAGAAACUAAGAAUAAGCUACGAUGGUCUAAGUGAUGGUAAGCAAAAGGAUAUAUUUCUUGACAUAUGUUGUUUCUUUAUCGGCAAGGACAGAGCUUAUGUUACUGAGAUUCUAAAUGGCUGUGGACUUUUUGCUAGUAUUGGAAUAUCUGUCCUCAUAGAGCGGAGCCUCUUAAAAGUUGAAAAGAAUAACAAGCUUGGAAUGCAUGAUUUAAUAAGAGACAUGGGAAGAGAAAUUGUUCGUCAAAAUUCAGAAAAAGAUGUUCGCCAAAUUUCAGAAAAAGAUCCAGGGGAGCGUAGUCGGUUGUGGUUUCAGAAAGAUGUACAUGAUGUUUUGACAAAUAAUACUGUAAGAACUUUCUCCAUAUACAAUUUGAAACUUUUGAAUAUCCUCUGUAAUCUUAUGAAAAUUAUAAAGUUCUCUUUGUUAAUGAACUGAUUUGCUCUUCAUAACUAUUUGCUGAAAAAUCUUCAUGUUUGUUACAAGUGUGCUUGGGCCACAGCCCACAUCUGCCGUUUUGUUGCCACUGUUCUAGCAAGUAAACGAAAAACAUUUCCCCUUACUUUUCUUAGUUUUUUCUCUUCACACACAGGGAACAAAAACUGUUGAGGGUUUGGUUUUAAACUUGGAAACAACAAGCAGAGCUAGCUUUAAUACUAGUGCUUUUCAGGAGAUGAAGAAACUGAGACUUUUACAACUUGAUUGUGUUGACCUCACUGGAGAUUUUGGGUUUCUUUCCAAACAACUGAGAUGGGUCAAUUGGCGACAAUCUACCUUCAACCAUGUUCCCAACAACUUUUAUCAAGGAAAUCUAGUUGUUUUUGAAUUAAAAUAUAGCAUGGUUAAACAAGUUUGGAAGGAGACCCCGGUAUAAUAACAUUUUCUUUAAAAUUCAAAUGCUCAUGACAAUAGAAUCUGUUGCCACUCUUUCAUUUCUGAUUUUCAUCUCUAAUUUUUCUUUUAAAUGAUUAUUUUCUUGCAGUUUCUGGACAAGCUAAAAAUUCUCAACCUCAGUCAUUCCAAGUACUUGAAAAACACCCCUAACUUUUCAUUAUUACCGAGUCUAGAAAAGCUCAUUAUGAAGGAUUGUCCAAGUUUGUCCGAGGUACACCCGUCCAUUGGAGAUCUCAAUAAUCUUCUUCUGAUAAAUUUUAAGGAUUGUACAAGUCUUGGCAAUCUACCAAGAGAGAUAUCUCAAUUGAUGUCUGUGACAACUCUCAUACUUGAUGGUUGUUCAAACAUUACUGAAUUGGAAGAAGAUGUAGUGCAAAUGAAAUCCUUGAAAACUCUAAUGGCAGCAAGAACUGGUAUAGAAAAAGCACCUUUUUCCAUAGUUAGUUCGAAAAGCAUUGUUUAUAUAUCCCUGUGUGGAUUUGAAGGAUUUGCACGUGAUGUUUUUCCUUGUCUCAUACGGUCUUGGAUGUCACCAACAAUAAAUUCCUUACCACAUAUCCCUCACAUGUCCUUGGGUGUAGAGAGUAAUGAUUUGCGUUUGGGCAAUCAAUCAUCAACGCUUAGAAGCUGUUCAACACCUAGAAGUGUUUGGGUACAAUGCUGCUCCGAUAUUCAAUUAACUGAAGAAUUAAAAAGAUUACUUAAUGAUCUAAACAGUGUGGAUUUUACUGAAUCAGAAACUUCACAUGCAUUACAAAUCUCAGAUCUAUCAUUGAAAUCUUUUGUUAUUACUCUUGGCAAGAGCUUAUCACAGGUUCCUUCUCUAUCCUUUUAGUCUCACAUGUACUGAUAUCUAUUGUUAAUUAAGAGAACACGAUGAUAUUUUCUGUUUGCAUUUUUUUCUUUAAAUGGUUAAAGUUUCUUGAAGAUACAAAUUUAUUCAGUCAGACGUGUACCAUUGAAGUGAAAUAAUUUUUUAGAUAAUUACACCCUCUUAUUUUUUACUAUACGUGUCAUAUUUUUUAUAAUCAAUCUGGUUUUAUGUCUGGGAUGUUUACCAUUGAAGCAAUCUACUUACUGCAAAAUGUAAUGGAGUGAUAUCGGAUGGAUAAGACUUCCACUUAGUUUUCAUUAAUUUGGAGAAGACAUAGAUAGAGUGCCUAGAGAGAUUUUGUGGAAAACUCUCGACAAGAAAGGGGUUAAGACUGCCUACUUUUGAGCUAUCAAGGAUAUGUGUGGGAGGUUCUCGACUAGUGUGAGGACACAGAGUGGGGUCACAAGAUUUUCCCAUAACAAUAGGACUGCACCAAGGGUCCAUUCCAAGUCCUUAUCCUUUUUACUUUGGUUUUGGGCUUACUUAGGGAGAGGAAAAAGAAAAAUUAUAAGAGAUAGUAUUAAAAACAACAAUUAUUUUUAUGCAAUAAACAAAGCAAAUGAGUUCAAGCACGGUAUAGCUGCUAGGAAAGAAAGGCGUAAUAGAAAAUUAUUCAUAGAGAUAACAAAACCCUCAUCUACUAGAAAAGUUGAGGUUCCUUCCCUUUUCUAAGUCCUAGAUGACAAAACUCUCAACUGAAAUUUAGUGAUAUCAUUAUUAUCUUACAGAUGGAAAUUACCAAAACUUUUAAGUUGAGAUAUUAACUAGCAUAUGGAAAGUGAAAAGAAGUAUAAGAAAAGGUUAAUUAUAACAUGAGAAAAUGGUCAUUGGCCAAUUACAAGUUAAAAUCUGUGUAUGGCAUAUCAGUAUUUCAAGGGUUCUGCAGCUAUUAUAAAAGCAUUCUGCUAUUGAUGUGAGUGUUACAAAACUAUUGCCUCAUUGCUUUAAAUCAGUUUCUGUGUAUAUUUUUAUUUUUAUUUUUCUGUGUAAUGCACUAUUUUUACACUAUAAAUGGCACAAAAAUGUCUAUUAGCAUGAAAUAAUUACACAACUAACUCAACAUAUGUUCAUGAUACAGGGAUUAACAACCACAACCACUGGUUCCAAUGAUUGUUUUGUUCUGGUUAACAAUUAUCCUUCUGGGUUAUCUUAUACAUGUACAGGACCUUCAGUCCGAUUUCGAGUGCCUGAGGAUAGUGAUUGUCACAUGAAGGGAAUUACUUUAUGUGUUGUUUAUUCAUCAACAUUUGAAAACAUGGAAACUGAAUGCCUCGUUGGUGUUUUGAUUAUUAAUUAUACAAAAUUCACUAUCAAUUUAUACAAGCGAGACACAGUAAUGUCCUUUAACGAUGAAGAUUGGCAGGGUGUAAAAUCAAAUUUAGGAGCUGGUGACAAUAUGGAGAUUUUUGUAGCUUUAGGGAAUGGUAUGACUGUUAAAGAAACAGGUGUCCAUCUUGUACAUGGCCAAUCAAGUACUAUGGAAGUUGAGUCGUCGUCAAUGACCAUGGAAGUUGAGCAAUCUAUUAUGGUAAAAAUGGAGCCAUUGCCCGAAGUGGAAGUGCAAACGCAGCCUAAUGUGAAAAUAGAUCCAUCACCUGAAGAGGAAGUACAAUCAUCCCUUGAUGUGAAAAAUGAGGCAUCACUUAUUAUCCAGAAUGAACCAUCACUGGAGCCAUCGCUUACUGUCCAGGACGAGUCAUCACCGAAGCCAAAUGAAAACAUCUUUGCAAAACUUGGAAAGAGAGUUGGUAAAUGUGUAUGCUUGAAACUAUAGAAUAGGGAUCUCAGAAAUUUAUGAUUGCCCAAUUGGGCACACUUUGUCCUAAUAUCGAAAUACCUUCCUAAAUAUUAUCAUCUUAACGACUUUACCUGUAUGUUUUUGUAGGAUACUCAUCUAGUUUUGAACUGCAUUAACUACUUAUUUAUAUAUUACCCAUUUAUCAUGUAAAUGUAAACAAUAAAUAUCAUGACAUCCUCUAAAAAAAAAACAAUUGGAUAGAAAGAUAAACUAAUGAUCUAUCCUGAAGAGGAAACUUAAGAAAAUCGACAUCAUUUGUUUUUAAUACCAUUUCACCAACAUGUGGCACAAUUGGAAAAACAUAUUAGGAGAUGUGAACUCAACUCUUUAAAUGCAUCUCAAUUAUUUUUAUAUAUUAGUUUUCACAGUUAUGUGGGGAUAAACUGGUUUAUCAAAAAAUUAAUACCACUUCUAUUUUUUAAUGCUUUUAAUUUAGUCACUAAAUUUAGGCAGAGAAGACAAUAAAUUAAUGAGAAAUGAUAUUUGUACAUCCAUUUUAUGAUAAUUUUUGUACAAUCUUCUCUCUCAUACUUACAUUAUCUUUUUGGGAGGGAGCUUGGACUAUGCUAAUGUCAGUUUUUAUAUUAGUAGUAUGUGAAACUUCCAUCGUAUUGUUUGAUUCAAUUUAUGUGGUUCUGAAAAUGUUGUUAAGAAAUUCUCAUGCGUGGUAUCCUGCUUUAUGAUUUAAAAAUUUAAAAAAACCAAAAAUCAGUGUCAGAUUUCGAAAAAGUUACUCCCUUCACCCAAGUUAACCCUCCAAGGUCAAUGGGGAAGGCGACGGUGCAGGGAAGGAAUUAGUGAAUAAAAUUGUUAGGUCAUGUAUUGUUUUCGAUCAAAUCGCAAAAACAAAACAUCAACUUUGGCCUGAAGCAUUGAACCCGCUUCCUGAAAUUUAUUUCAGAUUAGACGACUAUCCAUCAAAUUGUUUAGUCCAAAAGCUCUUGAACCGAUCUAUCACCUUGCAUCUAAAAGAGAUUGCAAUCCAAAAAAAUAAAAUUGUAAUAAUAAAAAAUGAGAUUAAAAUAAUCUUUUUGAUAAUUGAAUGUGUGAGGUGAUGUCAUUAUAGAAUUUGAAUGCAUGAAUAUCACAAAAACAUCUCAAAGUGCUUUUUGUUAGUAAUUUUAUGGAUGAAAUUGACUAAUGAAAAACAUUUUCAAGAACCAAGCAAAAAAGAAAGACUUUUGAAGACCAAACUCAAUAAAAAAAAUAUGUAUUUCAAUAAUUUUUAUUAUUUCGAUACAUUUUUUUAUUUGAAUCAGCAACAUUUAUUAGGCUCGGCUAGCACAAGAUGCACUUAACCGGCGAAGGAGGAAAAAGAGUACAAAUAGGCACUACAAAACAGACCGCAGCGCACUACCAAAGACAAACUUGAUAAAAAAAAACCCCUAAGAGCCCAAUUCCAACCAAAGGAGGACUCAAACAACAGCAUAAAAACAACAAGAACGAAAUACAAGUGGAACGCUUAAACAACAAAAAACGCAGGCUGCCAAACACACACAACCACCAACAACAGAAAACAGCUCCCAAAAAAACCAGUCAACAAAAGCUAUCUCACAAGGCACGCCAAAGGGUUCCAACACCAUUCGUAGAAAAGGAAAAGCAGCGCUUUUUAAACGACUUAGACACCACCGCCACGACAAAACUUUAAUAUCAUCCACCAACUCCAUCACCCCCGUCUCCUUAGCAUUGAAAAUUUUAUCAUUCCUUGCCUUUCAUAUCACCUAAAUAGUCGCAUGCCAAAUGAGUCUAAGUCCUCGAAUGAUCUUCUUGUUCGACGAAACCGCAUUCCAACACGCCCAAUGGAUGAACAAGUUUUGAGGAAUGAUGAACAUAAAACCCACCCAAUGGAGAAGUUCUAACCAAACACCUCUCGCAACCUCACAAUGCAUAAAAAGAUGAUUCGUGCUUUCGUUAUCCCUUCCACACAAAACACAACUCAAAUUAAUAUCUGGAGAAAGGGCGUUCCUUCUACGAAGGUUGACACGGGUAGGGAUACGGUCUAACAACAUCUUCCACGAAAGAGCCUGAUAGUACUCAAAAGUAAUAUAUUUCAUGUGUUAAUUUAGGCAUUUUAGUGACUUGUUUUGCAAGUUAUCUAAGGAAAAACUACCAUUUAUCGUAAUUUUGCCAUUUAUGCUUUACAUGUCUUACUCUACUCAAUUUGUGCAGGAAAUGACAAGCAAGGACCAAGAAACCACUUUAUGAGCCAAGCCAAACUCGCUUAAGCGAGAAAGUUCCAGAGAGCAGCCAUCCAUCUCGCUUCUGAGCCGUGGUUUUAUUUCCGAUGCGUUGUUUGGUGAGAACUAUUUAACUCUCGCCCUUGACGAGCUUGUUUGUAUCUUUUCUAUGAUUUAUCUGAAACAUAAUGAUACUUCCACACUUCCAAAGUAACCAACAAAAUAAAUAAUGAAGUUUUAAUCAUAUCCAAUCAUUUUCAAUGGGAAUUAUCUAUUCUUUGUCUUAGCUUACCCAUAAUUUCUACUCUUCUUCAUAUUCUCUUUUAUUUUACUAAAUUCAAAAUCUUUUAAUCCUUUUCUUCUUUCUAUUAGAUUGGAACUAAGUCUUCUACUCUAUGAUACUACUUCUCUUAGAUCAAAAUUCGCUACAUCCCUAUUUAGAUUUGAACUAGCUGGCCCAUUUCAUUCUUUUCUGUUAUACUCCUUCUCUUAACUUGGAAAAAAGCAUCGCCUGCUAUCCUACUUUCUACUUCUCUUCAUGCUCCUAUUAGAAAUUUGAACUAAGUCAUGCAUAUUUUAUUCAUUCUCCUUCUACCGUUCAUCCAUCCCAUGAAGUGUAAAAUGUAGUUGCUGACAUUAUAGGCUAUAGAGAAAUAAUAAGAGCUCACUUAUAUAAAUGAGUUGCACAUAACCACAUAUUAUGUGUAUAUGCACCAAAUAAUAGUUGGAAAAUAGAUAAUAUCGAUUAAAUUGUAUAACCAAAUUUUGUCUCAAAAUAUGAACUCUUAAGUUGUUAUUAAUUACUUUUCAAAUGCCGCAAAUGUAUAAUAAUUUUGACACAUAAAAUCGGAAAGACAGAACCUGAGCGUUAAUUCUCUCUUUUGAAUGAAGUGUUAUGUUACAUAGAAUUAUAGAGUUCUGGUGUCGCCGACUGUGAUCCAGAAGUAUGUCAUUAAUGCACUGCCUGACGCCAACCUUGAUCCUGCAUAAGAUACGCAAAGUCUAGCUUGCAAUUAUUAGCACAACCAUCUCUCAAGAACACCUCUGGAACUAUAAUACAAAUGUGAUAUUCACUAUAGACAAAGCGAAAACAGUAGAAUAUUUAAAUUGAAUGGAAGUUAGUGUCACAGAAAAAGCUUCUACUUGCUGCCAGAGAAGAAACAAAUUUGCAGUAGAGAUAUAUAGUGGAUUUCUAAAUUCUUCUAACUAGUAACUUUAUCCAUAAGAGCAACAUUGUUAAUUUUGACCAUGGGGUAUCGUGAUUUAUAGUCUUGUAAAUCCAACAUCAUUCAAUGAUAUAAUUUGUAAAUUUAUUCGAACUGAAAGACAUGUAUAAAAGGCUAACUUGUGUAGUAAUGAUUUAAAUCAUUGAUGGUGUGACUGUCAUCAACUAACGAAUUUGGUUAAACACGCAUUAAUAUCGAUAAUAUAUAACCUGGAGGAUGUUGUUCUGGUUGCGCGGCGCUUCAUGUGUUUUGAGCGUUAAUCUGAGUUCCUGUAUUUUAGAAAUUGAUAUAUUUUCCUAGCAUUCAAAAGUUGUUAGAUAAUAUAGAUAAUAUCAUCUAUAAACAAGGAAGUCGUUUACACAAUACAGAGGUUGUUUUAGUUUAUCAUUUAAAACUGAAGUGUAUCUAAAAUUGUGCAAAUUUGAUCAAGGACUUGUGGAACUGAUUUAGCUCUAGAUCGAUAGCGACGAGACUGACAUGAAAGCGUUUUACAGGAAAUUCGUUACACCAAGGGUUUUAAUAAAUCAAUCAAACAAUUUCAAAAUUAUGCAAAACAACAGUAGACAGUAGCAAAACUGACAGUUUGCUAUGAGAAGGCUCUCAAGGUUAGUAUUUACAGUCAUAAGCGGGUUGGAUAAACCCUAUAUUCUAGGCAUUUAGUUACUUUGAUAAGAAUAACUAUCAGGGGUUCUAGCUGCUUUUAGAAUGUGCUCAUUCGUGAUGCCUGUAAAGGUGCCACCUUUGCUUGCUUCGAGCCUUUAGAAGGGUGCUUAUGAUCAUCUGAGUCCUUAUGAAGGACAUUGUGUCCUUUAUCCGGGUUUUCCCAGUCCAUUAUGAAAUUAAAGAAAGAAAAAAGGCUUCAAUCAGUCCUUUUCCCAGUCCUUUAUCCUCCUUUGCUUGCUUCGACCCUUUAGAAGGGUGCUUAUGUCACCAGGUACUCAUUUUUUUUGUAUUCCAAAUAUUAAAUUUGUCAUAUAAAAUCUUAUGCUUGGUUUCAUUUCAUGUAUCAGAAUUUAAAGAGGACAUUCUUGUGCAAAUGUGCUGACUCUAGCAUACCAAAGUCUUGGAGUAGUUUAUGGUGACCUAAGUACUUCUCCUCUUUAUGUAUACAAGACCUCAUUCUCAGGGAAAUUGAGCCUUAAAGAAGAUGAUGAAGAAAUUUUUGGGGUGCUUUCAUUUAUCUUUUGGAUAUUUACUAUUAUUGCUCUCUUCAAAUAUGUUUUCAUUGUCAUGUCUGCUGAUGAUGAUGGAGAAGGUACAGUCUUCAAUCAUUGAUGUUGCUUAAGUCUGUCUUCUCAAUUAUAAGAUAUCAUUUUGGAAUAAAUAAAAGGACUAAUAUUGUCUCUCUUAAUUAUAUAUUAGGAUAAAUAGUUAAAUCUUUGUUAGAAUCAAUUGCAGGAGGCACCUUUGCAUUAUACUCACUUCUUUGCAGACAUGCAAGACUAAGCAUUUUGCCUAAUCAGCAACCAACAGAUGAGAAUUUAUCUGCUUAUUCCACAGAAGAUUCUGCCGAUACAUGGCAAUCUUCUCUUUUGAAGCUGUUCUUUGAAAAGCAUCCUAGAUUCCAGAAAGGACUGUUAAUAUUUGUUCUGUUGGGAACUUGCAUGACGAUUGGUGAUGGUGUGAUUACUCCUGCAAUAUCAGGUAGUUUGAUCGGGAGCAGCCCCUCUCAGCUUCUAUUAUUAUGUUUACUUGAUACUUCCUGUACGCUUUGACCUUAAUAUCAGUUCCAGAUUACUUGUUGAACAAGUAUACAGGAGUUUGGUCUUAUAAAAAACAGAAUUGUUUAAAUAUGUGUUUUGUCCCUGUAAAUAGAGCGAAUUUCGGUUUUAGUCCCUAUAAAUACCUUAUUGUUUUCUUUUCAUCCUUACAAAAUCAUGUAUUUGUUUUUUGUCCGUAGUGUCAACUUUCUGUUUAAAAUAACUAACGUGGAAAAUACAAGUAAAUGACAUCCGUUCCAUGUAGAAUAAUUAUGCCACGUGUCAACACCACCACAUCGGGUGAUAGUGAGACAUCAACACUAAUGAACACGUCAUUAAAAACGAGGAGAUAGACAUGGCAUAUCAGCUCCAUGUGUCCGUGCUGAUGUUCAUGCCAGUCGUAGCUCACUAUCAUCCAAUGUGGUUUUGACAUGUGGCAUUGUCAUCCUACGUGGAAAUGAUGGUGUGUACCUUUGUUUACACCAUUAGCUUUUUUAAACCGAAAGUUUAUGCCAGGGACCAAAAAUGAAAACAUUUGAUUUUGCAAGGACUAACCGUAAUAUUUUAAACCAAAAAGAAUUAUGCUAUCCAUCAUUAGCAAUGUCACAGAUACACACAUGCAUUCCUUAAAUUGUAGCUUUAGUUGAUUACUAAUUUCUAGAAUUCAUUAUUUCUCACUAAUGUGAUUAGACAAAAGCACAUUUCACAAUAAAUAAUUGCACUGUUUACCGAAAAUAUACUGUUUCAAGAGUUGAUCCUUAUACAAAGUUCUGUACCAGUUUGUCCGUUUCGGUCUAUGACCAUCCUUUUCGUGUCUCAUUUCAGUAUUUUCAGCAGUUUUAGGAGUUCAAGUUAAGAUCAACCAACUACAUGACAGUAAGCCAACCAAACUUCUAUCAUUACCAUUAUGUCUAUUCAAUGCAUAAUUUUAAAACUCUACCUUAUGUAUUGCGCAGAUUAUGUUGUUAUAGUCUCAUGUAUCAUUUUAGUUGGCCUUUUCUCCAUUCAGCAUCAUGGAACACAUAGAGUUGCCUUCAUGUUUGCCCCAGUUGUUGCAGCAUGGCUUUUGUGCAUCAGUGGUAUUGGUAUAUACAAUAUAUUCCGAUGGAACCGACAAGUAUAUCGUGCACUUUCUCCAGUCUAUAUGUUCAGGUUUCUCAAAACAACUGGCAUUGAAGGAUGGUUGUCAUUAAGUGGAGUGGUGCUUUAGAUAACAGGUAACUAUAAGUUAGUCAAUUUUAUUAUAGUUGUCUAGCUUGUGUUAUUUGAACAACCAAAUUCAGACAAUUUUCGCAAUAACUUUUUAAGUGGUUAACACAGUUCAUGUAAGUGGCUAAUUGCGUUCAGUAGGUGCUUAAUGGACCAUAAGUGAAAACUCAUUGACCAUCAAUUUAACUUCAUCCCAAACUUGUGGUUGAUGAAUUUAUGUUGGUGGUUAAUAAGUUUGGACACCUGAUAUAUCUAUUAAUCAUCUACUAAACAUAAUUAAUCACCUAUUUGAACUAAGUUGAACACUUAAAAAGUCACGAAAAUUGUCUAAAUUUGGUUGUACAACAAAUCAUUUCUCGAUCAGCUACUGUCUUAGGUGUGGAGACAAUGUACGCUGACAUGGGUCAUUUUUCUGCACUCUCAAUAAAGGUAAAUUAAAAGUAUGCAAUAAUUAACAAUGUUGAUCCAAGUAUAUUAGUCUAGCAUACAAAAAUGAAAUCUGAUUUAACAGUUACACGUAAAUCUCAGAUAGCUUUCACAUGUUUAGUAUAUCCCUGCCUGAUUUUGGCAUAUAUGGGUGAGGCUGCAUUUCUCUCUAAGCACCAUUAUGACAUUGAGAGAAGUUUCUACAAAGCCAUACCAGGCAAGAAUUCACUUUAAUAAACAACAAAUAUAUCGAUAUUAUUUAUGAUAACUCUAGGGUAACAGUGCUACUAUUUUUCUGCAGAAGCUGUAUUUUGGCCAGUUUUUAUAGUGGCCACUUUUGAUGCUGUUGUAGGAAGUCAAGCAGUGAUUUCUGCAACUUUUUCCAUCAUAAGCCAAUGUUGUGCUUUAAAUUGUUUUCGAGUCAAGAUUGUUCAUACUUCUAGCAAAAUAUAUGGACAGAUAUAUGUUCCAGAAGUCAAUUGGAUAUUAAUGUGCCUUUGUUUAGCUGUUACAAUUGGCCUUUGGGAUCCAAACAUGAUGGGUCAUGCAUAUGGUAUGAUAUCCUUUUCCAUUGUGUUUAGAUUAAACAAUCAUUUUUAUCCUAAAAUGUGUGAGGUGCUGUCACAUUAGUCUCUAACGUAUCCAAUUAUAAAAAUAAAAUGAAAAACUGCAUAAAUGCGUCUUUCAGUAGUCCGUUUCUUUAUCAAAUGUAUCUUUCAUUAAUUAGUUUAGUUCUCAAAUGUGUCUUCUUGUAGUCAAUUUGGUCCAUAAAAUUACGAACAAAAGACAUGUUUGGGACAUUUUUGUAAUUCGGAUACAAUCAUUACUAUAGUGAUUACGCCUCACACAUUUAGGGAAAAUGACAGUUUAUUCUUAUGUUUACUCAUUAUGAUAUAUGAAGUAUGGAAAACUAAAUUUAAACUACUUUUCUUGGUUUGCAGGGUUGGCUAUCACCACUGUUAUGUUUGUGACAACAUGUUUGAUGACACUAGUAAUUAUAAUGGUUUGGAAACAAGGGAUAAUAAAAGCACUUACAUGUUUCCUAUUGUUUGGAUCUAUUGAACUUCUUUACAUCUCAGCUUCUGUCUGCAAAGUCGCUGAAGGAGGAUGGAUCCCAAUUUUGCUCUCUUUCAUUUUUAUGGCCAUAAUGUUCACAUGGAAUUAUGGAACAAUGAAGAAACACCAAUUUGAUGUUGAAAACAAGGUCUCCAUGAGCAAGAUGGUCCGUGUCCCGGGAAUCGGUCUCAUUUUCAGUAAUCUUGCUUCCGGUAUCCCGGCUAUUUUCGGUCAUUUUAUUACAAAUUUACCAGCAUCCCAUCAGGUUUUAGUUUUCGUAUGUGCUAAAUCAGUCCAAGUCCCUUAUGUCAGUGAAAAUGAAAGAUUAGUCAUCAGCAGGAUUGGUCCGAAGGAAUUCUACAUGUUUCGGUGCAUUGUUCGAUACGGAUACAAUGACAUGCAACAAGAGAAUUACAAUUUUGAAAUUAAAUUGGUAUCUGCAAUAAUACAAUUUAUAGAAAUAGAAGACAGUGUUCCAGAACAAACAAAUGAAUUGACUAUAGAUGAUGGGAGAAACUUAAAUAUGGAAGAUCUUGGUCAGUCACAACACACCUUGAAAUUGAAUUGGUCACAUUCUGAAAAGAAUUGUUUACCAUUUUCAUGCGAUGGCCAACAAGUUCAAGACGAGUCCUAUAAAUUUGAGUCAUUUCAGAUUUUAAGAGCCAAAGAAUUAGGUGUUACUUAUAUAGUUGGGUAUUCCUAUGCAGAGGCAAAAAAAUCAUCUACCAUUUUAAAGAAAUUUGGAAUAGAUGUUGUUUAUGCUUUUCUAAGCAAAAAUUGCAGAGAACCUGAUAUUAUGUUGGAAGUAGCUCAUACUUCUUUGCCAGAAGUUGGUAUGGUUUACCAUGUAUAACUCUAACCUUAUACUGAGGUAUUUGCAUAGAAGAGAAUAGAUAUAGUUUGUAAAUGUUGGUCAUAAACAUUAACAAUGACUUCUAGUAUCUAAGAAUGUAUCAAAAAAUGUUGAUCAUUAGGUUGUAGGUUUUUCAUCAUUGAUCUCUAAAGAGUCUUUGAUUCUGUAUCUAAGAAUGUAAUUCAAAAAGUAGAAUAUAUAUACUUGUACUUUUGUUGAAAUGUAGCUACUGAGAUAUGACACAAUCAUUAAAAUACUUCAUUUAUAUUUACUGAGAUGUUAUUUCCUUUAUUUUCUUCUAUGUAAAUGUAAAUAUUCUCUAUUUUCAUGUAUAUAUUUAUGAUGUAAUUAGAUUGUAAGGUUAUUCUCAAGUUAACCCUUUCAUGAAAAUUUCAUCUGAUCUUGUUGUAUAAAAAUUGUAUUUAUAGUGAACUUAAUGUUCCCUUACUAAUGGCUAACAUAACCAGCACCUGACAUUAUAGAAACUAUAGUUCAGAAUUAGCAAAAAAGGUAAUUAAUACGAUGAUGUUUGAAAAAGAAAAUCAAUUGUCAUUUAAAAAACUUGCCUGCACUCCCAAAGUAGCCAUCAACUAUAUUAUUUGGAAUAUUGCAGUGAUUUGAAUAUACAUGGUCUUAAUAUACAAAUGAUUCUAUAUUAUUCGGCAUACUGUAUUGGAAUCAAUGUUGGUCAAAAGUUUCUUCUUCUUCAGUCUAAUUAAUAUAUAAUUUAGGAAUGUGUUCUAUCUUGUCCCAGUCCUCUCCUAUUCCCUCCUUACAUCGCUCCGUUACAGCUGGGCAACCAUAAAUUGCCAGAACCUCAAGUGAUGUGAGGUGCAGAAUACCUUCUGGCAAGCAUCUCAAUCUUUCACAGAAAGCAAUCUCCAUGGUUCGAAGGGAUCGUAGAGUAGACCUUCAAAAAGUUGUUCCGGUAAUGAAUCAAGCUCACAACAGUGAUGGAUACCAAGAUGCUCCAAAGCUAGGUUGAAGGCUUCACUUGGCAAUGCAUUCACUUAAUUUGGGAAAUCAGAUAUUUCCAAAGUUCGAAGACAGGUCAGGUUUUUCAACAUCCCUUUUGGAAAAUAUGUCACAUCUUCACGUCUAUUAAUCUCAAGGGUAGUUAGGCCGUAGAAACUAGAGAUUGACUCCAGUAACUCAUUGUUACAUCCAUCUACAAUGAGUUCUUUAAAAGAUGAAAGGCAUGGCAACCCAAGUUUAAGGCAACCAACAAUGGCCAACUUAGAAAGGUGGGGAAAAAUCUCCCAUUUCCACUUUCAACAACCGUUCCAAGUUAGGUAAAUUACCUAAAAGCAGAUCCUCCAGAGAUGGGAAACCCCUGACCUCCACACCAUCGCUUGAUUCUUCAUCAUUCACAUACUGCACAUUAUCCAUAUACCAUAAUUGGAGUUUUCUGAGAGAUGGUAAUUUAGCAAGUGAUGGAAGCCAAACACAGUUUCUGCAAUAAGAAAGUGUAAGAACAGCUAAAGUACUUUGAAUUUGGAUCCAACAUGGGAGGUGCAAUCCGUCAUAGCCAUGUAUUUUCAAAAUCUUAAGAUUUGAGUGAGAUUGAAGCACUUCAAGUACUUCCUCGGUGCUAGUAGCAGGUGUCUUGGCUUUACACCUGAUGUUCCAUGAGAAGCAUAUUUCCUGAAGUUCUUUUUUAUCUUGCAAAUUUGCUUCUCGAGCUUCAGACAAACUUCCAACAUUUUCUAGACAUGUAAUGCUUAGUUUUCCUCCUAGCUUUAGAUCAUGUAAUUCUGCCAAGCUGUAUCCAAUCUCUAAACUGGAUCCUGAAUCCUGCCCAAUCUAGAGCCCCCAAUGUUUAGAACUUUCUCACCAAUUUUUUCCCUCCCCUUUGUACAUAACCAGGAAAAUUAUAUUUAAUUAGCCAAGUCAUGUUCAUUUUGCCUUCCACAAUUCAUUUGUGUGUGUGAUUUCGCAAGAUUUGAAAGUGUUUUCUUCCUGAAUUUUGGUUAUUCUUUUCGUAAGUCUUCCUGAAUUUUGUUAAUUUCAUGAUUAUGAUGAUCGUUAUAUGGCAAAUAAGACUUCUGAUGUUACUAGUCGCAAAGCUUUAUACUUCAUAAACUUCACCAUAUCCAUGGUGGAAUCAGAGAAAAUGCAGAAGCUUAAGGAAGAAAAAAGAGAUAAAAUCUCUAGAUUCAUUCAACUGAGAUGAGUUUGUUACAACAUAGCUAUAUAUAGCUGAAUUUAAUCCUAACUAACUGUAACUAACUAUUAGCUAGGAUUAGAAUCAUAGAGAGCUAGUACAUAGUAAAGUUUUAGGGAAUUGCAAGAUAACUUGCUGCGCAAGCUAUCUGUUAGUAGAAAUAAUCACACAGUUUAAUAAUAGUCAUGAUGAUAGAUUGCUUCCUGAUUUUUAUUUCUGAUCUGAGAACUAUCCAUCAAUAUUUUUAGCUCCAGCCGGGGAACAAAUCUAUCACCUUGUCUUCGAAAGAGGUUGAAUUCCAAAAACUACUGGUUUGUUUUUCUUCUGCACAAUUGGAUUUUGAUUUAAAUAUAAACUUCAGAAAACAAAGAUCUCAAGCUAACUGUACUAUUGUGAAAAAUAAACAUCAAAUGGAAAAAUAAGGCUCUAAGAAAAAUUCUUCAGACUGCUCCCUCUCCCCAUGCAAUUACAACUCAGCAGAAGUAUGUAAAGGUUGUGGGGCUGAAGUGUCACUAUUUACAUAAUUUCAUUACCUUUUUUCUUGAUUGAUUUAAAUAUUACAACACAUGACUGAGAUUAUUUAAGUUAGCGUAGCUCUCAAGAUGAGAAAAACCAAAUAAAUUGUGCAUAACCAUGUAUUCUUUGGUGGUUUGAUUGUAAUAAUUUGGACAAGAGGCUAAAGAGCAUUAGUAACAUCUUUGUCUGGUUACAUUUCUGUUGACAAGUCAAUUUUAUAAAUGACAAAAAAAUCUUGUAGUCACUGAUUUUAGCUUCCACAAGGCAAUAAUUUGAUCAAGUGUGAAUUCAAAAAAGUAUUUGUCCCUUUUAAAUAAAUAAUGUAUGUGCAUUGUUUGGAACAACCAAGGCACAAAAUGUAUGAUUAUAAGCUCACCAACAAAAAAACUACACUAGAGGAAUAGGAAAAAGAUUAAUACAAAGAAUCCCUUAUGUCAGCGACAUUAGUACUAGUAGAUAUUGUAAAAUCAGCAACAUCUGUUGUUAGUUGGAAUUAAGUUCGGCUCAUGUGUUGGAUCCUCUCCUUUCAUGCCAACCAUAUCAAUUUUAUAUUCCCUUUUCUCAUUAUUUGAUGGACUAAUAGCUUGUUUACUUCCUUCUUUCGAGAUUAAUUUUUCAGGCCAAAAUACAUUCAGUCCCUUGCCUGUAUGUAUGACCAAAAUACACUCAAUUCCUUUAUAAAAUCUUACCAUACAUCUACAAUAUACUAUUUUUUUUCUUUGCUAUAAGGAUGGAAUUUUAAAUAUGUUUGGUGAAAAAAAAAAUCUGUGAAGGUAAUUAGCAUUAAAAAGUCCUGAAAACCAACUCCAACCACAAGGAGGUGGAGAGAGUAUUACUUUGUUGAAGCAUGCAAUAAAAAGAAAGCCGACUAAAGUUUCGAUAUGUAUGUUAAAAUAAAUCAGUUUGACGAGGCAGAAAAUUCAUGUUAAAGUAUUCACGAAUAUAUGAACUAUGCCUUACCUUGAAAUUAACCAUAACCAGCAAAGAGCUAUCAGUUAAAGGAAAUUGAAAUCUUCAGCAGCAAACUUCAUUCCUAAUAUUGCUUAACAACGUCGCCAAUUCUGGCUAUUGGUGUUUCCCCUGAUCGAACAUGAAACUCCGACUCUUUCAUAAAUGUAUUAUUAUACAUGAAACGGCUAUUUCAUAAAUGAAGGACCAUCACCUGCAUAUUUUCAUGGAUAUAUGUAUUUAAAUUGAAAUAAAGUAAUGUAUGUUAAAAUUAAUACUAUAGGAAUUGAAGAUCUAUACCAUAUCAAUACCAGCAUUAACGAAAGUGGAGACGCGAUAACGAUAAUAUGACCAAUAAGGUUGACAUCUUGAUUUCGCUCAGAUAAAAAUCACAAGUUUCACAUAAAUCAAUUCAAGGAUGUCUUCUUCUUCAUUCCAAUAAACAAUUUUUGGAAUAUGUGGUAUCUUGUCACAUUCCUCUCCUGUUCUCUCCUUACACUCCUUUAAUUUUGGGCAACCACGGAUAUUCAUAAACUCAAGUGAAAUGAGGUGUUAAAUACCUUCUGGCAAGGAUCUGAAUUCGUCGCAUUCAACAAUAUCCAUAUUUCAAAGAGAAAUAAAUGGCACCUGUUCAGUUUCACAGGAGAUGCUCUCUGUAAGUGAUAUGAAUAAUGCUAAUAUACUAAAAUAUAUGGAGUUAAAAGAUGCAAAAUUCACUUUGUUAUCAAAUAAAACAGUUGAUUUCUUGUUCAUAUCAUCCAAAAUCAUCACCUCUUGCUUUCAGGAGAAGCAGUGGACACAACUUGAUCAAUUAACAUUGUCCAACACAAACAUGGUUGGGAUUCAGCAGCAUUCCACAACAUAUCUGACACAAACAUAAUGAAAUAACAUGAGUGUCUCGACUAGAAAAAAUGAAAUACAAUGACACCAUCCUAACAAAGAGCUGUAUACACACCUGCAGAUUUUCUGUCUUUGGUUGGUAACAUGCCAAGCAUCACAGUGCUCCCUUUGGUAAGCAAGAAUGACAAACACAGGGCCUCAUUUCUCACAAUAUGCAUUGGUUGUGACCUGAAUUUUAACUAAAUCAAAAACUCAAUAAAAAAGACAGAAAUACACAAUAAUAACCCGCUGAGUGCCCAAAAACAUGAGCCUUUUUCCAACCUAAAUGACCCAACAAAGUAAUUGUAUCUUUUGCCAUGAUCUUUGUUCUGCACCCAACAAUCAUUCACCAAUUCACCAAUAUUCAAAACUCAACCUAAUUGUAUCUUUUGCCAUGAGCUUUGUUCUGCACCCAACAAUCAUUCACCAAUAUUCAAAUUUCCAUUUCACUCUUUGUAAAUUAUUCAAAUUAAUGUAGCACCAACACUUCAUAUUGAUGAGAUAUGUUUAGACACUGAUAUGACACCAAGUCGUAUAAUUACAUUCAAAAACUUUCAUUUCUUCAAAUUAUUAUUAAAAUUAAGCAAAGAGGAAUCCAAACAAUAUAUCAUUCAAACAAACAAUAUAAAGCAAAUAAAUAAAAAGACCAAUAAAAAAACUUAAGAAUAAAAAUGGAGAAAACCUUAUCAUCAGACUUUCUAUUGUGCACUGAGCUCCGACCCGAACCAUGCCGUCUUCAUCAUUAGGUACGUUUGUUCCUGUUAAUCCCUUUAUUUGUGGACCCCACCCUUGUGUCAAAGGCAAUCCUAACCAUUCAAUUCAAUCUCCACGAAAUCAGCAAAAUUAAAAAUGAAAUCAAAAAUCAAAAAGGAAAUGAAAAAAAAAAUUAAACUAUGAUGAAGAAAAUUACCUGAAUUAGAAUAUUAGAACAUAUCUUUUGGGGGAUACCUUCAAAAGAACUCAACAGAAAAGCCUGCAAAUCAUCCUAUAAUGAGAAUAUAUAACGAUUUUUGAAUAAAAUUCGAGUCAAUUAAUCACUUAAAAUCCAAACAAAAGAAGGGUGUAUUUUAGGGGGAAAUAGAGAUCCUACCAGUAAAAUAGAUUUUUGCGAUGGUGAUUGAGGCAGAUAAGGGUAAACGUCUCUGCUUCUUAAACAUCAAUCAACUCUAUUCUUGGAAUAUGAGCUAUCUUGUCCCAAUCCUCCCCUGUUCCCUCUUUGCAUCGUUCCUUUAAUGUUGGGCAAUCAAUGAUAGACAGAAGCUCAAGAGAAGUGAGGUGUCGAAUACCCUCCGGCAAGCAUCGCAAUCCUCUACAACCCCAAAUCAGUAGAGCUCGAAGGGAUUGAAGACCUUCCCAGUUUUGCUCUGGUAAGGACUCCAAUUGUGGUAAAAAAGUUACAAACAGGGAUUGAAGAGAAGUAAGGUUUUUGAACAUCUCCUCUGGUAAGGAUGUUAUUCCUUCACCACUAUUUAGGGUAAGCUGAGUAAGACCACGGAAGGUAGAGAUUGACCUCAGUAACUCAUUGUUACGUCCAUCGACACCGAGGUCUUUAAGAGAUGGAAGACAUGGCAGUCCAAGUUUAGGGCAUUUCCAGAUAUCCAAACUAGAAAGACAAGGAAACAUCUCCCCUCUUUCCACUUUCAAUAACCCCUCUAUGUUUGGUAACCCAUGUAAUUCGAGUACCUCCAAAGAUGGGAAAGCCCUCACCUCCAUACCAUCCUCAGAUUCAUCAUCAUCCAAGUAUUUCAGAUUAUUCAUACCAUAUACUCUAAGUUUUUUUAGAGAUGGUAGUUUACCAAAUAACGGAAGCCGCACAAUUUUGUUGCAAUCCCCAAGUUUAAGAGAAAUUAAAUUACUAAGAAUAAUUAUCCAACUUGGUAACGAUAAUCCGUCAUAGCAAUUUAUAUCCAAGCACUUGAGAUUUGAGUGAGGUUGAAGCUCUUCGAGUAAUUGCUCAGAUCUAAUUAUAGAUUCCUGUUGCGAUAUCCACGACAAGCAUAAUUCAUGAAGGUCUUUUUUACCCUUCAAAUUAGCCGCUUCAGCUUCAGAUAAACUACCAACAUUGUUUAAUCCUUUGAUACUCAGUUUUCCACCGAGGUUUAGAUCAUGUAACUCUGUCAAGCUAUUUCCUUUCUCUAAACUAACAAUGUACACACUUAAUGUUCUUAGACAAGUUAAUUUUCCAAUGUUGGGAAACAUUCGAAAUAAAGAUCCACAUCCUUCAAUGACUAUAUGUCUAAGAUUUUGUAAGCAAACCAAGCGUUUUGGGAGACAACUCAGUUCACGACAAUAUUUUAUUUUCAAGAUUUCCAGUUUUUGUAAGUUGUAAAUUGAGUUAGGCAACUUUUUUAUAUCAAGAGAACAAAGUUCCAAAUACCUUAAAUGAAUUAAACUCCAUACUGGGCCUUGUAGAGAGGAUGUGCUUAAAACUCGAAGAGAGCUGUUUAAUGGGAAGUGAUCAUGUUUUUUUGGAAUAUAAUUCUCCAAGUCAAACAAUGUUCGUAAGGAUUCAACUUUUUUGAAGGCACCCUCAUCGAAUGAUAACAAAUUUUCAGAGUUAAAACUUAUGUGGUGUGUGUUUUUUGUCAAAUUAGUCAUGUUUGCAUUCUCCAAAUACAUACAUUCUUUCCCCGUUACUGAUUGAGCGAGAUCAUGGACAAGAUCAUGCAUCUUGAAAGAAAUGUCUCCAAAAUAUUCAUCCAUCUUGCUAUCUUGAAAGAAUGAUUUUUGGUACAAUUCCUUCCAAACCAUUUUUCCAACAUCUUCAACGUCCAAAUUACCCAUAGAUGAAAUAAAUUCAUUAGCCAUCCAAAGUCGAAUCAAUUCUUCUUUUAGGAUUUCUCUAUCCUUGGGAAAUAUAGCACAAAAAGAGAAACAUUGCUUUAGGGUUGGUGUUAAAUAAAAGUAACUCAAUCUCAAAGCGGGCAAAAUAGAAUUUUCUUGUGGUAAAGCCCAAAGCUCACUGUCUUUAAUAUCAAGCCAUUCCUUUUCUUCAUUCCUUGAGCUCAUCAAACCCCCCAAUGCUUUUGCUGCAAGAGGCAAUCCAUUACAUUUCUUUACUAUCUCCUUUCCAAUUUCCACAAACUUUGUAUGCUCUUUGUAACGUCUAAAUGCAUGUUGUUUGAACAACAACCAACAGUCACUAUCAGAGAGACCAGACAAACGGUGAGUUUCCCAUGUUCCCAUGAUUGUUGCAACAUCCUCAUCACGAGUGGACACUAAAAUGGAACUACCUUUUGAUCCACACGACAAAACAGAUUUCAAAUGAUCCCAUCUAUCUUGUGUUAACCCAAAUUCCAAUUGUUCAUUUUGAUUCCACACAUCAUCCAAAAUCAGCAAAUAUAUUUUCCCUUGCAACAAUCCUUGCACCUUUCUUUCCAUUACAUCUAAAUCAAAGUCAGCACACUUCUCUCUUGUGAUAGAUUCUAUAAUAGAACACAAAAUCCUUUUGACCGAGAAAGUCUCAGAAACACAAACCCAAAUUUUUUUAUCAAAAUUGCGACUCACCCUAACAUCAUUGUAGAUCAAUUGAACAAGAGUUGUUUUUCCAAUACCACCUAAACCAACAACGGGAUAGACAGAAAUAAAGUCAGAGUCCUUCGCAAGGGUAAGAAGAAACUGGACAAUCUUUUCUUUAUCAUCGUCUCUUCCUAACACUUUUGUUUCAAGAGGGGUGGAGCUGGUUUGGCGCCCUUCAGCAGCUUGAUCUGGGCUUUCCCUAAGAGUUACACCCGUAUGGAGAGAAAACUUGUUCUUACGUUCAGCAAUACGAUCCAACCUCCCUGUAAUCUCUUUCAACCUGUUACCGAUCUUAUGGCGAAACUUUAAAGAUGUGAAUUUUCUCAGUCGACUAGACUUGAUCGAACACUCAUCAAGGAUGUCAUCGAGCACAUAAACAGCAUCUUUGAGGUCUUGUAGCCAUACCUUAAUGAAGUUGUCUUUGACUUGUCUCUUUUCAGCAUCUUCAAGAACAGCCUUGAUGUCAACUAAGGUGGUUGAUAGGUUUUCAGCCUUUGACUUGAUUCCAGAAAUAGUAGAAAAUUCAUUUUGAAGCAGAGAUAUCAAAUUCUCAAACACAACUCCAAGAAAGGGAUCAGCCAUUUUUUGAGAAAAAAAAGAGUUGAAAAGAUAAGAAAAAUGAGAAAUUGGUUUAGAUUGAAAGAGUAAUGAAGUAAACAGAAUGAAGAACUUUGAAAAUAAAUGCAAUGGUAGUAGAAAGUUAGGUGCUGAAUGGUAGUAGUAAUUUUUAAAAUAAAUGAUUUGGAGGAAGCUUCAAUGUACGUUUACCUCUUAAUAUAAAAAAAUAAUAGAAAAAAUUCACUUCAACAUGCGUAAUCCAUAAACAUAAUACUCCCACCGUCCCAAUUUAAUUGAACCAUUUAUUCAUUUCACACUUAUUAAGAAAAAUAUAUUAACGAAGAAGACAGAAAAAUAGUUUUGAGUGUUUUUGUUAAUUAUUGGUCCAUUAUUCUUUAUCAUAAAUGUAAAGUAGAAUAGAUUAUAUCGGAAGUGAUGAAAGUAAAAUAUUAAUUAGAGUUAUAAUUAAAAAAAAGUAAUUAAUAUUGUAUUUAAAAGUGAAAUGACUCAGUUGUUUUGAGAUACUUUUUAUUGAAAAUAACUCAGUUAUUAUGGAAGAAGAAGUAGAAUUUUACGGUGACAGGAAAAAAAACAAGUACCAAAACCGAAACCAUGUCAGAAGCAAUAAGACAAGCGGUGCCUCGGUGGUAGAUUCAUGAACUUGUAAAUUCUUUAUUCAAGAUGUGACCGACCACUUUAACCAAUAAGAUGUGGCCGAUAGAAUAAUGAUCCCUACACAGCACGAUAGCCAGUUGUUUAUGGGUCCAACUCCAACACUUGUUUUAUUGGUGAAAAAAAUAAGUCUUAUCUAUUAUUCUAAUGUUUAGAUAAAAUAAUAUUCCAUCUAUCCCGUGAGUUUUUUUUUUAAGAAAUCUAUCCCGUAAGUUUGAUUCAGUUAGUAAAGGAUAUUGCGUAUUAUAUGUAAGAAUCGGAGUUCGAAACACCAUACUUUUUCACAUUUAAAAUCUAUUAACUUAACUCUAACCACCAAACUACAUAACAAAAAAAAAACAAUAUUAAAAACCAUCUAACUGUCAAAAUUAUAGUUUCAAUUUAAUCAUUUAAUUCAAAAUUAUACUUCUUAUGAUAUCUAUGUUAAGGAGUGGGUAAACACAUCGUAGGCCCCUAUGUUUAAUAGCAGUUUUGAUGGUUGAUCAAUAAACACAUAAAUAUUGCUCACUUUAUUGAAAAAAGCCGAUCCAGAGUUACGAUCUGAUCGUAUUUUACACACAAAAACAAUUGAUCAGAAGUUACGACACGGUUGGAAGCAAAAUUGAGGAGUCUAUCGAACAACUUUAUGAAUUUUAUAUGGCACACAACAGAAGUGGAAAAAGGCACAUGUAACUUAUAAUUUGGUGUUUUCUUUGUUGGAUUUUCAAUUGGACAACUACGAAACAUGGUCACAAGAAGCAUACCUCAUGUUGCAACCGCAGUAAUGCUUUUUGGCUUUGAGCCAACAAUUGCAUAUGGCAAAUGGAUUUGGAGGAGUCAAUUGGGUUUUGAUGGAAAAGAAAAAGGAAAAAAUGUUUGGAUGAUAUGAAAUUGUAUGCUCUAUAUAAUUGGAUUGAGGUGUGUCAUGUGGACCCUAUAGUUUCUUUACAAUUCUAGAGAUAUUUUUAACAUGCAUUAUUAAUAAAUGUCAUUGCUACUUGCAUGCCCAUCACUUGAGAUUGGAUGGCAAACUUAUCCCUAUAGUAAUAAAAAGAUACACAUAGAUAUAUCUUAUCAUAAAAAUAUAAACUACAAUGACCUAAUGUGUGGUACAUUAACACUUCCUGAAAGUAAAUGUUGUAGUUAUUGUUUAUAUUAAACCUUAUCUAUCAAUUUUGAAAUAAUUAUUUUGUCAGGUGAUAUUGGAGGAAAUUUUGUACCUCUAUUUUUAUUAAGAUCACAAAUUCAUUAUUUUUUUCUUUCUAAUAAAUAGUUUUCUUACCAUCAAAUAAGGAAAAAUGUUUUGUUUGAUCCGUGAAACAUUUUUUUUUUAAAGAACAAUACAUAAUACCAAGAGAUGGAUAAGUACAACACAAACAUCAAGCUAUGUCGUGAGUAAUCAAGUUCUGCUAAUAAUAAAAGUGUCUCCAAUAUUUUUGCCCUACAACAUAAGUACAACACAAACACAAAACUCAUGUAUUGAUACAAAAAUCUGCAUAAUUAUGAAGAAUUGCAGGAGCAACCAAGUUCUUUGCUUAUAAUAAAACGAUAGAAAAAAAUAUCCAAGUUAAACUAACCAUUCAUAUUGACAUUACUAACUAAAACGUUGAAUGAUUCAAUUACAACACCUCUUGGCCCGCCUCGGAUCAGCCAUAACAAUCUCAGCAGCUUUCUCAUUAGCCAUAAUUUUCUUCAACUCUGAAGCAUUCUUCUUAGUCUAAGACAUCAAAUUCCGACUAAGACUUAUCAAAUCCUUCUUCCUCUGAAGCAUUAUUCUCGGUCUAAGACAUCAAAAUUAGUUCAAAUCAGCAAAAAGGUAAUAUAAAUCCAAGUAAAAUAAGAACAGUAAAAAUUCACAGUAACAGAGAAGUUAUAAAAGUAAUUACAAUUCCCAUAUUGUACGCAAGCAUUGUCUCCUCAUACUCCUCCUUGAACUUCUCAAACUUAGCAAUGAAUCGAGCCUUAUCCUAAAAUACACAUAAAUCACAAAAACAUUUAAAAACAAAACACGAACUAAGAUUUAUAUCAAUUUUCUUCAGUGAAACAUAGGUGAAAUUCUCACAGCAUCCUAACCUAUUUCAACCUUUAUAUCCAUUCCAUUCCUUUCCACCAACUUUCCCAACCUAAUUCAAAUUCACCGUAAAUCACGUUAGAAAACUCAAUAACAUUCAAAAUUUCCUAAAAAUCAAAUUCAACAGUUAAACAAUAUUGCUUCACAAAACUCACCACGACAAUGGAUUUGUUGCUUGGAUUCUCUUUUCUUAAACCUCUCUCUGAAUUCAGACCUAAAAAUCACAAAACAAAAAUCAUCAGAAUCAAUGGAACUUCAGCAUGUUGCAAAUCAGACACAAAUUUGUAUGGCUGAUUCCAGUACAGGUUUCACUAUAAGAAUUUGUAUACGAUCACUCUAUCAGACACAAAUCAGAUCGAAAUUAUAACUCAACAUCAACAAAAUCUACACCAGAAUCAAGAUUAUCACCAAUGUUAUAGUGAAAACCUAGAAAAAGACCAGAUGUAAUAAGUUUUAUUCUAAAAAACACCAUUGUUUGUUCAAUAAAACAACAAAAUACAAAAUUCACUUAAUUUAACGUUAAAUCAAAUAAACAUAAAUAAACCCAGAUAUUUAAUUCUAAAAUUCACAAAUUAGCAUACAACAAAUUGAAUACCUGGGAAAAUGGAAUUAGGUCAGCAAAAUCAAUGAAUUUUCAUGGGUUAAAACCAACAAAUCUAGAUGUAGAGGAUUUUGAGAUCUGGAUUUGAUGUGAGAUGAAUAUGUUCAUUCUCAACUCACAGUCUUGUGGUGGUUUACGUAAGGUGGCUGGAGCUAGAGGCAAUGACGAUGAAGAAGAGCAGAGCAUCGACUGAGAGAGGAGAAGAGAAGAGCAGUGACCGGAAGAGAAUGAGAGAGAAGAGUCACGUUUUUUUUUUUUGUUAAGAGGCAUUGAGCGUGUGAAAUAUUUGUCAUUUACAAUGUUAAGAGGCAUUGAGCGUUUUUUUUUUUUUUUUUGCAUUGGAACAUUUGUCAUUUACAAUGUUACUUUUAACUUUACAUGGGAACUGCUUUAUUAUACACACAGUUGCACAACCAUAUAAAUGUGCAUGGAAAAUAUACGCACGUUUACAGCUUUGCCAUUGAAAAUGUGCAUCCGAAAUAUGAAAUGCUUUAAAUGUUCUUCAUGUUUGAAUGGUGUACCGCCCUAGCAUAUAGUGAAGAGAUUUGAAAUUUGAAAAUGGCAUUAAAUGUGAUAUUAUUAGCAAAAGUUUCCCGCUCUAAAUCUAGGUUUAGGGUUUUAGAGGUGUUGUGUGCAUUGUACAUUAGGAUUAGAUAAUACUAGGACUAUUACCCGUGCUAACGUCCGGGACAUUAAAAAUGGAGAAGCUAAAAAAGUUCCGAUAUUAUUCAUUACAUAAAAAAUAAAAUAAAUAAACAUAAAAAGUAUUUAAGAGCAUACAAAAUAUUGGGUCACACAUUUUCGAAUAUCUCCUUAUAAACUACAUUUGAAGUGGUGCUGAUACAAUCCCAUUGUCAUCCGUUAAUAAUUUCUUCAGACCAUCCCUUGAUGUCACACGUGAUACUGCAACAUAUAGCUGCCCAUGUGAGACGACCGACUGUGGAAGAUAGAUGCCAACUUGCUAUAGAUCCAAACAGCUGCAACUGCCAACCCUAUAGAUGCUAGCCAGCAGCUGAAACCAACAACUAAAAUGCCAACAACACCAUGACAGCACCCUGAAACCACCAAAAACCUGCACAACACCACCAGAAAAGCUCCCAAAAUGACAGCAGAACCCGCACAAAAUAAAGGAAUUAAACGUAAGGAAUGUUGAAUAACUAAAUAUACUUCGCAAUCAUAUUUUCAAUUUAUAAACACAGAGCGAAGUGGAAAGCACAAUCAUUAAAGGUCAGCAUCAAUGGACAUAUUGGUGUGUUUGAAAAAAAAAUAAACAUAUGAUUUUAAAGUAUCAAUCAAUUUAUUAACAACAUAAUACAUGAUGGUAAAAUCUAUUUAAAUAUCAUCAAUUCACUUACAAACAAACCAAAAAUGUAAUGGAAUAACAAAGUUAGGGAAAAGUUACAGGAACAACGAUUUAGGAUAUAUAUAGUAGCAUCUUCAACACAUAUGGCUGAUACGAUGCCGCAGACGACAACGGCCAAGGUGAUGUCGGAAUCGAGAGCAUUGGUGAAGGGCGACGACAGGAGAGAGCUGCGGCAACGGAGAGAGCGGCAACGACAGAGAAUUUUGUUUGAAUGUCUGAGAGUGAGGUGGAAGAUGAACAACUCAAAGGGCGAAGAGAUUUUUUUUGAGUAAAAGCAAUCUGAAUUCCAACACAUAAAGAAGGAAUAAUGAGAGUGGAGAGAAGAGAACUUUAAAAUGAAGGAGAAAGAGGUGGACAUCGAUAAGUGUGGAGUCAAUUUGGGAAUUGGAGGAUAAUUAAUGAGUCAAAACUUGGAAAAGUGCAUAGGAAAUAUACAUCAAAUUUGAAAAUUUGACUCAGAUUAGAUCAAAGGAUGAGAUGCAUGCUUAGCCAAAUGAUGAGAUCCAACGGCCUCCCUUGUUUUGGAGCCAAAACCAUUUAGGUUUAGGGUUUGCAAUUUCAUUAGCAAUGUUAACAAAGAUUAGAUAUAAGCAUGACUAGGACUAUUACCCGUGCUAACGCCCGGGACAUUAAAAAUGGAAAAGUUAAAAAUGUUCCGAUAUUAUUCAUUACAUAAAAAAUAAAAUAAAUAAACAUAAAAAGUAUUUAAGGGCAUACAAAAUAUUGGGUCACACAUUUUCGAAUAUCUCCUUAUAAACUACAUUUGAAGUGGUCCUUAUACAAUCCCCAUUGUCAUCCGUUAAUAAUAUCUUCAGACCAUCCCUUGAUGUAACACGUGAUAUUGCAACAUAUAGCUGCCCAUGUGAGAAGACCGGUUGUGGAAGAUAGAUGCCAACUUACUUAAGUGAUUGUCCCUGACUUUUGUUUAUAGUCAUUGCAAAACACAAAGCUAUAGGAAACUGUAUGCGUUGAAAUUUGAAAGGAAUUCUGGUAUCAGAUGGUUCAAUGACAAUCUCGGUAUGUAGACCUUCUCUCCAACAUUGCUUCCUGAUAUUACCCUCCCUUCAAUAACAUAUCUUCCCAUCUUAGUGACUAUUAGUCGAGUACCAUUACACAAACCUGCUGUUAUGUCCAAAUUUCUCAACAACAUAAUAGGAACUCCAACUUUCAAAGUAAUCUUGUGAUUAGGAAGACCCGAUGAAUUGAUUGUGUUCAAGAAUUCUGGUAUGUGAAUAUCAUCUGGCCUAUUGACUGAUGCGAUAUCUGCUAUUACAGAAUCACAACUCAAAUAUGUCCUUUCUUCGCCGGGAAUGAGAGACAAAACAUAGUUAUUAACCUCAUCAACAAUUGUAUUUUUAGGAGUCAAUAUUGCUUUAUCUUGAAAAAAAGAUGUAUCAUGCAUAUUGAGUAAUAUUGACGGAUAGAUGCAGUCAACAAUUGAAGCAAUAUGAUCACUUGCGCUAUUAACGAGUAGAUCAUCUGGGAUUUCCACCUGAAUGCUAUCAUCUCCAAUCCCUAAUACCCAUUUGGCGAAUUCUGUUCUUUCUUGUACCUCAUUUGGUGAACAUCCAUGCAAAAGUCUCAUAUUCGUUGUUAAUGUUAAUACCUCACAAUGUCGCCAAAGUUUUGACGAAUUAAUACUUGUAUAAACGACAUCUGGUCUGGUGCCUUUAGGAACGACUGGUAGAAUCUGUCGAAAAUCUCCACCAAGAACCACAACUUUACCACCAAAAGGAAUGUCUGUCCUCCUGUUAUUAUGAUCUUUAAGGACAUCCCUUAAGGUGCGAUCAAGAGCUUCAAAGCAAUGUUUGUGCAUCAUAGGUGCUUCGUCCCAGAUGAUUAGUUUUGCUCGUAUAAUCAAUUGUGCCAACGGACUUUUAGGCUUUAUAGUGCAAGUCGAACAUUCGUCCACAUUGAAAGGAAUGCAAAACCUUGAGUGUGCUGUUCUUCCGCCAGGGAUAAGCAAUGCGGCAAUACCGCUGGAUGCAACUGUCAACACAAUUUCACCCUUCGAAUGCAAUGCUGAUGACAAAGCUCUCCAAAUAAAUGUUUUACCUACAUUAAGGAACCUAAUUAGAUUAAUAUCAUACACUUGCCAAUAUAUAUUUCUCACCGGAAUUUAACAAAAUAAUCAAUUGUUGUAAACUACUAUAUUUCAAGUAUAGAUCUGAUGCAAAAUUGUUGUACUAUUAUGCUAAUAUAUACCAUCAAAAUAAAAAUUUGAUAAAACAAUAAUUUUCCCAGCCAAAGACUACAAUAAUGAUUAUUACAAAUUUUUUUGAAUGUUAUUAAAACGAUAUAUUUUAAUAGGCAGCAAUGUGAAAUUUAAAAAACCAAGAUGAGCUUCGAAAACAAACACGUGAUAGAUAUUAUUGAAGUAGCAAUAAACGUCACAAGAAAGGGGGGGUUUGAAUUGUGACCCUUUUAAAAAUUAUUCCUGAAACUUAAUUUUAGAUUUAUAUACUCAAGAAUAAUCUUGGUGAAUGUUAGUUUAUCAAGAUUAGAGUAUAUAACAAUUAAUUGAAUUAGAACAGAACGUUCUGAAGAAUGAUUAUAAACAGAAUGAGAAAAAUGAAGUUAAGUUAAAAGAUUAUUUUAGCAAGGACCAGAAUGUUCUGGAGAUUAAUAAAAUAAUGUGUGUGUGUUGUGUAACUUUAAAUAAAGAGAGAGAGAGAGAGAGAGAGAGAGAGAGAGAGAGAGAGAGAGAGAGAGAGAGAGAGAGAGAGAGAGAGAGAGAGAGAGAGAGAGAGAGAGAGAAAUAACACAGGAGAGUUAUCCUGAUUCACCAAACCCGGCUACUUCCAGUCCCCACACCUCGUGUGAGAUUAUCCACUAUAGUUUUCUUGCUAACAGAAACUUCUGACUAGCACUACAAUUUCUUGAUCACACCAGAUCAGUCCAUAACACCUGUAUUAUCAACCUCAGCAGGCUUAUACAAUUCUUUGCACACUAGCAAAAGAAAGGUUGGAAUUUUCUAUCUCAAAACUAUUAAGCCCAAUAGACUUUGAGAAAUACAACACACUUUGUAUGAAGAGAUUUGUUUGGAUAGAAUAAAUACUCAAAUCUUUGUUUGAGUUUUACAAGAGGCAAAUUCAAGAGAGAUGAUCCAAGAGAUAUAGUGAGAGAGCUUGGAAUUUGCUUUGUAUGUGAAGAGCUUUGUUUGUAGUGAUGAUUUUCACUUUGAGAGAUAUUAGCUUUCAAAACUCUUGCUUAUGACCUUCAAAGGCCCUUGUAUUUAUAGGUGAGGAGUGUCUUGGUGACCAAGGGAGAAAAUAGAGCUGUUGGACACGUUUUUGAUAGCUGUCCAAAGUCUCAUUUGAUUUCUCUUUUCUUCUUAAAAAUAGCCAGAACGUUCUCAGAAUGUUCUUUCUGAUUUGCCUGACUUUGAAAGCACUGUUGCUUUGCUUGCGCAUGAGAUAACCAGCUGUAAUGAGCUGUAUAACUUGCAGCCCACUUCUGAUGAUGUCAUGUCCUUUUGCUCUAGUGAUGUCAUGCUUAAGUAAGCCAUGUGAUCUUAUCCAUUUAAUGGGCUUUACUUUUCCAAAUGGGCUUAAAGCUUUUCUUAUGGCCCAAUAGACAUAAUCAGCCAAGCUUUCUUGCUGUGCAGACUUGUUCGCUUUUGAUGUACUGUUCCUUUUUCAUCGUUUUCGCCAGAACGUUCUCAUUUCAUUCUCAUGAAACAAAUUCUCACAAAAACGAAUUAGUAGAUAACAAGAUUAAAUAAAUAUAAUAUGUUUGUAAUCUUUAAAACAUCAAAUAAGGAUUUUGUCUCAACAAUCUCCCCCUUUUUGAUGAUGACAAACAUUUAUAAUUUAUUUUGAUUUUGAUUUUGAGUUUUUGAAAAAUUUGUUAAAAACUCCCCCUCAAUUUUAGCAACCAAAAUUUUGUGCCAUUUUGAGAGUUUUCCAGAAUUUGUUUAUGGACAAUUGAGUUUGAUAAUUUUAUCAAAGAACUCCCCCUCAAUUCAUGCAUUCAAGAUUUAAUAUGCAAAAUGAGAAUAUAGAACAUAAACAACAUAAUUCAUAAAUCAUGAAGAUCAUUACAAGGUAUCAAACCUAGCAUUUCAAAACAUCAAAAAGCAUUGUUCAUAUGCGCACAUACUAGCAGCAAUUUGAUCCUUAGUUAAUCAUGAUCAAAAGACAUAAACAGAGAAAUAAAAACAGAGUUUUUUUUAAACAUCAAAAUACUUAAACAUAAACAGCAGCAUAGUGAUCUAUUCUUCCCUAGAUCCUAACUGUUUUCCUGGUCCUCCUAACUCAUAAUCCCCUAAAUCAUCUCCCCCUUUGUCAUCAUGAAAAGGGGCAGCAGCAGCAGUAGGUGGAAUGGUUGGAGAAGAAGCAUCAGAUGAUGAAGAGAUAGUAGGCAUGAACAUGGGAUACAUAGGAACUGGGAAUGGGUUUUGUUCUGGUCUAGCAAACUCAUUCUUGUCACUUAUGGAGUCCUUCCACUCCUGACAGAGACUCUCACGCGUCUUUGUUCUUUUGCCUUUCCUUNNNNNNNNNNNNNNNNNNNNNNNNNNNNNNNNNNNNNNNNNNNNNNNNNNGAAGAGACUUAAGGGAAUCCAUUUGGACAGAUGAAUCAAAAGCUUGUGGAGCAAAUAAUUUGUCCACUGAAUCACAUUGAAACAAAGCAGAAUAAUCAUGCUUUUGAGGAGAGAUAAACAAUUUUGAAGGUUUUGUGAUUAUGGUUUUUUCAGUGAAACUUUGAAGAAUUUCUGAAGCUUUGACUUUUGACAGAGAAGCAUGAUUGCCAAAGUUUUCAAGCAGUUCCUGAUCUUCCUCCAUCACAGGAGAACGUUCUGAAGAACGUUCUGGAGGAUUGCAGUGUUCAUCAGAAGCAUUUUAUGGAACUGGAUUCUGCAGAUCAGGCCCAUCUUCCCUCUUUCUUUUGAGGUCAGAAGGAGGCUCAUCAACAGGUUCCUGCUUCAUGUGACUCAGAUUUUUUGGAGUAAAUUGAGAAUACUCAAAAACAGAUUUUUCACCUUCAAAAGGAAUAUGAUUCUUAAUGAAGAUUUUGGUAAGAGCCAUUCCAUAAGGAAGACAAGAUUUUUUGUUACGAGACUGAAUAACAUUGAUCAUGUUAUGAAUAAUGAUAUGAGGCAGACUCAAUUUUUCUUUCAUUAAGAGAUGAUACAUGACCAAGAGAUCAUUUGAACUAACAUGUUGAAAAUUACCAUUUCUAGGCAAGACACAAUGUUGGCUUAUGCCAUUCAGCAUUUUUGGGGUUGGCAGAAGGUUCGAAGAAACAAACUCAGUGACAUUUGGUUUGAAAAGGAGUUUGUAAACAUUUUCAGAAUUGACUUCAAGUUUUUCAAACCAAUCAUCACCAAAGACAGUUUGACCAGAAUUUGAGAUACCAAGAGUAUCAGAGAUUACCUGUGGAGUGAGACGUAUCUCAACAUCCUUAAUCCUAGACACUAUUAAGCUUUCCUCAGGGUAUGCUUCUGCCAUGAAAUAGAAAGCUUGGACAAGCUUUGGGUAGUGUCUCUCACGAAGCUGUAGAAAUUUGGUCCAGCCUUGCUCAUCAACAUACUCCUUAAGAACGACUUUGUCUUUUUCCAGCUUGACAAAAUCAUAAUACCUUCCAAUUCCAAUUGACCUAUUUCCCCAUUUUUCUUUGAAAUCCUUUUUCAGAGAAGGAUCAAACAGAGGUACUCUCUUUCCUGUAGAGAUAUGAAUGAUCUUCUGUUUUGAAGGAUUUUUGGGCUUUGGAGAACAUUCUGGAGAAUAAUCUGAAGAGAGUUCAUAGUCUUUAUCAGAAAGACUUUCUGAAGAACGUUCUGGAGAACGUUCUGGUUGAGCAGUUUGCUUCUGCUUUCCUUUGUCCUUCACAGUUGGUUUAGGCUUUGGUUUUGGUACAGAAACCUUGAUAGGAGGUUUAGAGACCUUUUUGUUACUCUUAGGUUUGGGCUUAAGAGGAGAAGGAGUUUUCUCAGCCAAAGGGGUAGUUGGUUCAGUUUCUUCAUCUGAAUCAGAGAUUUCAUGUACAGUUGUGUCUACACUGUUGGUUUUCUUUGUUCCAACUGCAGAACGAAGCCUUUGAGAUUUUCUAGGUCUUGGAUUAGGAGCAGAUUUAGCCUUCUUGGGAGGCAACUUCCUUUUGGUCAUGUUCCUGAGAUGAGGAGCCAUUUUGUUCAAGUUUGGAGGUUCCUGAGGAGCGGUUGGUUGAUCUUCAACACCUACUCUUGGUGUGUUGAGAUUUAGGUUGACCGAAGUUGGUUGUGGUUCAACGUAGAGUACCAUCGCGAGAGGAUGGAAGGAUUCAGGGUCAGGGAUGAAAGGAAGUUCUUCGUCGUUUUUCAAUGGAGUUUUUUCUGGUGUGGUUUCGGUGGUGAGAUAACCAUCUUGCAUGAUUGGUUCUGUGGAGUUAUUGAGCGGAGAUUGUGGUGGAGUUUCGAAUGGAGUGGUUUCCUUGGUUGGUGAUGGAGUUGAAUCGAACAGAGGAGGAGAUGACAGCGGUUUUGUCACCGGAGGAGAUGGUGGAGAAGGAGAACGGGUUGGUGAAGGUGAAGGAGAAGAGUCAUCUGGGUUAGUGUUUCCGGUUCCUUUGGUUCUAGCCAUUUUGUGAUGAAGAAAAUGGUGGUUGAGAGAAGAAGAAGAGACGGUUUGAAGAAGGAAGAAAGUGGGAGUUUAGAGAGAAAAAGUGAAAACCGGUUUUGGGAGAAGGAAAAAGGUAAGAAGUGACUAUUAGUGGUUUAAUGAUGAGAGAGAGGACAAGAGCAUUAAUGAGCUGUAAGAGAUUUCUUGGUAAUUAAAUUUCUACCUAGAGAUUAGCUUAAAUAGAACUAAGCUGAAAGGACAAGGUUGAGGCGUGACCCUCAAGCCAGUCUUUGGGAGACAUUUUUCAAAGAAUGUUUUCAGAACAUUCUGAUGAAGAGAGACUCUUCCUAUUUUAAUCCUUUGCAAGGAUUUUGAAUAAUAUGCAAUUUUUCUUUAAUGAAAUUAAAGUGAUCCUCAACUAAAGGUUUAGUAAAGAUAUCAGCUAAUUGAUUUUUUGUAUCAACAAAAAUCAAUUCAAUUUCCUUUUUAUUGACAUGAUCCCUAAUGAAAUGAUGUUUUAUUUCAAUAUGUUUUGAUCUUGAAUGUUGAAUGGGAUUCUUUGAUAAAUUUAUUGCACUUGUAUUGUCACAAAAUACUGGAAUAUUUGUGUACCUUAUUGAGAAAUCUUCAAGUUGAUUUUUAAUCCAGAGAACUUGAGAACAACAGUUGGCUGCUGACACAUAUUCUGCUUCUGUAGUUGACAGAGCUAUAGUGUUCUGCUUUCUGCAUGACCAACUUAUGAGUGCAUUCCCAAGAAACUGACAUGCUCCACUUGUACUUUUUCUUUCUAUUCUGUCUCCAGCAUAGUCAUCAUCACAGUAUGCUAUAAGAUCAAAACAAGACCCUUUGCUAUACCAAAGGCCAAGAUCAGUAGUACCUACUAGAUAUCUGAAAAUUCUUUUUACAGCAGUUAAAUGAGAUUCCCUUGGAGAGGUUUGAAAACGUGCACAUAAACCAACAGCAAAAACAAUAUCUGGUCUGCUAGCAGUUAAGUACAACAGAGAUCCAAUCAUACCUCUGUAUUCUUUUUCAGAAAUGGUUUUUCCAUUUUCAUCCUUAUCUAAAUUAGAUGUUGGAUGCAUGGGAGUUGCCAUUAUUUUGGCUUCAUUCAUUUUAUAUUUUUUAAGAAGAUCUCUUAUAUAUUUUUCUUGACAAAUAAAAAUGCCAUUUGAUUCUUGCUUAAUUUGCAAGCCAAGAAAGAAUCUUAAUUCUCCCAUCAUACUCAUUUCGAAUUCACUUUGCAUGAGAUUUGAAAAAUCAUCACACAUUUUUUCAUUUGUUGAACCGAAUAUGAUAUCAUCAACAUAAAUUUGAACAAUUAAAAAAUUUGUUUUGUCAUUUUUUCUAAAAAGGGUUGUAUCAAUUUUUCCUCUAGAAAAAUCAUUUUUGAUUAAGAAUGGACUUAACCUUUCAUACCAAGCUCGAGGAGCUUGUUUAAGACCAUAUAGUGCUUUUGUGAGUUUAAACACAUGAUUAGGUUUGUUUGUGUUCUCAAAACCAGGAGGUUGAUGAACAUAAACUUCCUCAUUUAAAAAUCCAUUUAAAAAGGCACUUUUGACAUCCAUUUGAAAUAAUUUAAUAUUUUUAUGAGAUGCAUAUGCAAGAAGAAUUCUAAUUGCUUCUAACCUGGCUACCGGAGCAAAGGUUUCAUCGUAAUCAAUACCUUCUUGUUGAUUGUACCCUUGAGCUACCAAUCUAGCUUUGUUUCUGAUAACUUUUCCUUCUUCAUUUAGUUUAUUUCUAAAUACCCAUCUUGUUCCAAUGAUGGAUUGAUUUUGAGGUUUAGGAACAAGAUUCCAUACUUCAUUCUUUUCAAAUUGAGAGCGUUCUUCUUCCAUGGCUUUUACCCAUGAUUCUUCACAUAUUGCUUCUUGUAUAUUUUUUGGUUCAAUGUGAGAAAUCAUUGCCAUGUUGACAUCAUUAUUCAUAAAUGAUCGUCUUGUUCUUAUUCCAUCAGAUGUGUCUCCAACGAUUUGUUCAGGAGGAUGAUCACCGACGGUUUUCCAGCUUUUUGGAAGAACUUGAGAAGAAUGUUCUUGAGAAUCAUUACUUUCUUUUUGAGGAAUUUCUUCUUCAUCUUCUUUGUUGAUUAUCAAGUCAUCAAACUCAUCAAAAAUAACAUGCAUGCUUAUUUCCAUGGUUUGAUUUUUCAAAUUAUAAAUUCUAUAUCCUUUGGAGUUUGUUGCAUAUCCUAAGAAUAUUCCUUUAUCUGAUUUUGAAUCAAAUUUUCCUAGAUUUUCUUUAUCAUUUAAAAUAUAACAAUAACAUCCAAAAAUAUGAAAAUAUGAGAUGUUAGGUUUUAUAUUUUUCCAGAGUUCGUAUGGGGUUUUGUUUAAAACUUUUCUAAUUGAAACCCUGUUUAUGAUAUAACAAGAAGUAUUUAUGGCUUCAGCCCAAAAGUAUUUUUCUACAUUUGAUUCAUUUAACAUUGUUCUUGCCAUUUCUUGGAGUGUUCUAUUUUUUCUUUCAACAACUCCAUUUUGUUGUGGAGUUCUUGCACAUGAAAAAUUAUGAGAAAUUCCUUUUUCAUCAAAGAAGUUUUUAAAGAAAGCAUUUUCAAAUUCUCCUCCAUGAUCACUUCUUACUGAAAUGAUUUUUGAUUCUUUUUCAUUUUGAACUAAUGUGCAAAAAGUUUUGAAUGCUUCACAAGCUUCAUCUUUAUGUUUUAAAAAUAGAACCCAUGUAUAUCUGGAAAAAUCAUCAACUAUAACAAACCCAUAUUGUUUUCCACUUAGACUGGCGGUUUUAACAGGACCAAAUAGAUCUAUGUGAAGUAGUUCAAGAGGUCUCUUAGUUGAAACAAAAUCAUUUGUUUUAAAACUGCUUUUAACUUGUUUACCUCUUGUACAAGCUUCGCAUAUUCUAUCUUUUUCAAAAUCAAUUUUUGGAAGUCCUCUUACAAGAUCCAGUUUGGCGAUUUUUGAAAUAGUUUUCAUACUUAUAUGUCCAGCUCUUUUGUGCCAAAUCCAUUUAUCUUUUUCAAGUGUCAUAAAACAUGUUUCUGCUGGAAUAUCAUCUAAGUAUAAAGCAUAUAGGUUUUUCUUUCUAGAAGCGGUAAAGAAAAUCUUACCUGAGGAUGUAUGUUUUACAAUACAUGUAUUAGGUUUGAAAAUAACUUCAAAGCCACUAUCACAUAAUUGACUUAUGCUUAGUAGAUUGUGUUUUAAACCUUCAACAUAUUGAACAUCCUCAAUUUUUGCAGAGUCUUUUUUACCAAUAAUACCUUUACCUUUAAUUUGUCCUUUGUCAUUAUUGCCAAAGGUUACUAGACCUCCUUCCUUUUUUGUGAAGGAGAUGAAGCAUUGUUUAUCCCCAGUCAUGUGUCUAGAACAACCACUGUCCAAGUACCAUGGCUUUGUUCUUGCAUCUUGUGAGGAUCCCUGCAUUUUGAGUUAGUGGUUCCUUAGGUACCCAUGAAGAUGUGGGUCCUUUGUGGUUAGUUUCUUUGGUCUCAAGAUGUUUAAUCUUGAGAAAACAGUUUAAUUCUAGAUGACCUAAUCUCUUACAAUAUGAGCAUUCUUUUCUUUUUAAUGAGAAAGAAUGUUCUGGAGAAUGUUCUGAGAUAGAUGGUUCUUCUUUAAUUUCUAGUUUUCUCUUUUUAUGAAAACAGACUGAUUCAUGAUGUCCCCUUUUAUUACAGAAAGAACAUUUUAGUUUUUGUGGUAUAAGAACCUUUUCAUAAAUUUGAUUAAAACCUAAACCAGUUUUGUCAAAUUCUGCCAUUUGUGAACCCACAAUUUUUUGAAAUGUUUCUGUUGAUUUUAUAAACUGUGAAAGAUCAUUUCUAAGUUCUUUGACUUCCUUUUUAAGAAUAACAUUUUCAUUUUUAGAAAUUUCAGGAAGUUUUGUUUUUCCAAAAGCUUUUAAUUUUUCAGCUGCUUGAAAAUAAGAAUCUUGUAGACUUUGAAUGAUUUUCUUUUGAUCAUUAUUCAAAGUUUGAAGUUUCUCUUUUUCUUCUUUUAACUCAGAAAUUUCUUUUUGUAAAGAGUGACAUUUGUUUGUUAAGAAAUUUGAGUCAAAUAAAAGACUAUCAAAUUUAUUUUCUAACUCUUUAUAUACUAGAGGUUGGUUGAUAAGAAUUACCUCUUCGUUUUCUGAAUCUGCCAUUAGAACCAUGUUGGCUUCAGUGUCUUCAUCUUUUGAUUCUUCAAGAUCAUCCCAUGUAAACAUUGAUUUUGAGUAGGGAGAUUUUUUCUGACUCUUUUUGUUUAAUGGACAUUCGUUUUUGUAAUGUCUUAAUUUGUUGCAUCCAAAGCAGGUUACUUGACUUUUGUCAACUUCUCCUUUUGAGUUAUCUUUCUUGUUAGGAAAGUAUUUCUUUAUUUGAUCUCUUCUUCUCAUCAUUCUUUGAAUCUUCUUUGUGAUGAGAGCUAGUUCGUCUUCUGCUUCACCUUGGAUGUUUUCUUCUUCAUUGGUUUCUUUAAUUUCUUCGCUUUGUGAAAAGACAUCUUCUUGUUCACUUUGAGAUGCUUUGAGAGCAACCAUCUUUCCUUUCCUUGAUGGUUUAUCAUCUUGCAGCAGCGUCUCAUGAGCUUUUAAUGACCCAAUGAGAUCUUCAAGAGCUAAAGAGUUUAAGUCUUUAGCUUGUGUGAUUGCAGUUACCAUGGGUCUCCAUGUGCUUGGAAGACAUCUUAAGAUUUUUCUUAUCCGAUCAUGAGUGGUAUAAGUUUUUCCAAGUGAUCUUAAUUCAUUCACAAUAGAUGUGAAUCUGGAGUACAUUUCAUCAAUGUUCUCAUCUUCGUUCAUUUCGAAGAUUUCAAAUUUUCUUACGCCAAUGUCUAUUCUUGUUUCUUUUACAUGGCUAGUUCCUUCAUGAUGAAUUUUUAGAGUGUCCCACACUUCUUUUGCAGUCACACAUUCAUCAACUCUUUCACUUUCUUCCAUGCUUAGUGCGCAUGAUAGAAAGAGUCGAGCUUUAGAGUUUAGAAGUACUUUUUCUUUAUCUUCUUUUGACCAUGAUGCUUCUGGUGUGAGUGUCUCCACCUUUGUUGUUGCAUCGGUUGUCAUAGGUAUGUGUUCUCCAUUUGUGAUUAUUUUCCACAUAUCCACAUCUUGGGAUCUAAGGAAUAGUUCCAUUUUUCCUUUCCAGAAAUAAUAGUUCUUUCCAUUGAAGAAUGGUGGUCUUGUGCAUGAUAGACCUUCUGGUAUAUACUUUUCUUUUGACAUUGCCUUCUUCCUGAAUCUUUUCCUCCAACACUUGUUAGGUGUUUUUGUAGAGCCCGAGCUCUGAUACCAAUUGAAGUAGCAAUAAACGUCACAAGAAAGGGGGGGGGGUUUGAAUUGUGACCCUUUUAAAAAUUAUUCCUGAAACUUAAUUUUAGAUUUAUAUACUCAAGAAUAAUCUUGGUGAAUGUUAGUUUAUCAAGAUUAGAGUAUAUAACAAUUAAUUGAAUUAGAAUAGAACGUUCUGAAGAAUGAUUAUAAACAGAAUGAGAAAAAUGAAGUUAAGUUAAAAGAUUAUUUUAGCAAGGACCAGAAUGUUCUGGAGAUUAAUAAAAUAAUGUGUGUGUGUUGUGUAACUUUAAAUAAAGAGAGAGAGAGAGAGAGAGAGAGAGAGAGAGAGAGAGAGAGAGAGAGAGAGAAAGAGAAAAAUAACACAGGAGAGUUAUCCUGGUUCACCAAACCCGGCUACUUCCAGUCCCCACACCUCGUGUGAGAUUAUCCACUAUAGUUUUCUUGCUAACAGAAACUUCUGACUAGCACUACAAUUUCUUGAUCACACCAGAUCAGUCCGUAACACCUGUAUUAUCAACCUCAGCAGGCUUAUACAAUUCUUUGCACACUAGCAAAAGAAAGGUUGGAAUUUUCUAUCUCAAAACUAUUAAGCCCAAUAGACUUUGAGAAAUACAACACACUUUGUAUGAAGAGAUUUGUUUGGAUAGAAUAAAUACUCAAAUCUUUGUUUGAGUUUUACAAGAGGCAAAUUCAAGAGAGAUGAUCCAAGAGAUAUAGUGAGAGAGCUUGGAAUUUGCUUUGUAUGUGAAGAGCUUUGUUUGUAGUGAUGAUUUUCACUUUGAGAGAUAUUAGCUUUCAAAACUCUUGCUUAUGACCUUCAAAGGCCCUUGUAUUUAUAGGUGAGGAGUGUCUUGGUGACCAAGGGAGAAAAUAGAGCUGUUGGACACGUUUUUGAUAGCUGUCCAAAGUCUCAUUUGAUUUCUCUUUUCUUCUUAAAAAUAGCCAGAACGUUCUCAGAAUGUUCUUUCUGAUUUGCCUGACUUUGAAAGCACUGUUGCUUUGCUUGCGCAUGAGAUAACCAGCUGUAAUGAGCUGUAUAACUUGCAGCCCACUUCUGAUGAUGUCAUGUCCUUUUGCUCUAGUGAUGUCAUGCUUAAGUAAGCCAUGUGAUCUUAUCCAUUUAAUGGGCUUUACUUUUCCAAAUGGGCUUAAAGCUUUUCUUAUGGCCCAAUAGACAUAAUCAGCCAAGCUUUCUUGCUGUGCAGACUUGUUCGCUUUUGAUGUACUGUUCCUUUUUCAUCGUUUUCGCCAGAACGUUCUCAUUUCAUUCUCAUGAAACAAAUUCUCACAAAAACGAAUUAGUAGAUAACAAGAUUAAAUAAAUAUAAUAUGUUUGUAAUCUUUAAAACAUCAAAUAAGGAUUUUGUCUCAACAAUCUCCCCCUUUUUGAUGAUGACAAACAUUUAUAAUUUAUUUUGAUUUUGAUUUUGAGUUUUUGAAAAAUUUGUUAAAAACUCCCCCUCAAGUUUAGCAACCAAAAUUUUGUGCCAUUUUGAGAGUUUUCCAGAAUUUGUUUAUGGACAAUUGAGUUUGAUAAUUUUAUCAAAGAACUCCCCCUCAAUUCAUGCAUUCAAGAUUUAAUAUGCAAAAUGAGAAUAUAGAACAUAAACAACAUAAUUCAUAAAUCAUGAAGAUCAUUACAAGGUAUCAAACCUAGCAUUUCAAAACAUCAAAAAGCAUUGUUCAUAUGCGCACAUACUAGCAGCAAUUUGAUCCUUAGUUAAUCAUGAUCAAAAGACAUAAACAGAGAAAUAAAAACAGAGUUUUUUUUAAACAUCAAAAUACUUAAACAUAAACAGCAGCAUAGUGAUCUAUUCUUCCCUAGAUCCUAACUGUUUUCCUGGUCCUCCUAACUCAUAAUCCCCUAAAUCAUCUCCCCCUUUGUCAUCAUGAAAAGGGGCAGCAGCAGCAGUAGGUGGAAUGGUUGGAGAAGAAGCAUCAGAUGAUGAAGAGAUAGUAGGCAUGAACAUGGGAUACAUAGGAACUGGGAAUGGGUUUUGUUCUGGUCUAGCAAACUCAUUCUUGUCACUUAUGGAGUCCUUCCACUUCCUUGACAGAGACAUUUCAAAAGUCAUCCAAGACAGAUAAUGCAAAAUUGCAUUGUUCCCUUCAAUUACCCUAGUCAAGUCACUGCGUGUCUUGCUGCAGUCUUUCUCAACCUUGGACCUUUUGGUUGGCCUUUCAUUGUGCUCAAAAAUCCUUUGCGCCAUUGAAGGAGAUUCAUUGAAUCUUGAAGGAAAGGAGAGAUUAGUUUGAAGAGACUUAAGGGAAUCCAUUUGGACAGAUGAAUCAAAAGCUUGUGGAGCAAAUAAUUUGUCCACUGAAUCACAUUGAAACAAAGCAGAAUAAUCAUGCUUUUGAGGAGAGAUAAACAAUUUUGAAGGUUUUGUGAUUAUGGUUUUUUCAGUGAAACUUUGAAGAAUUUCUGAAGCUUUGACUUUUGACAGAGAAGCAUGAUUGCCAAAGUUUUCAAGCAGUUCCUGAUCUUCCUCCAUCACAGGAGAACGUUCUGAAGAACGUUCUGGAGGAUUGCAGUGUUCAUCAGAAGCAUUUUAUGGAACUGGAUUCUGCAGAUCAGGCCCAUCUUCCCUCUUUCUUUUGAGGUCAGAAGGAGGCUCAUCAACAGGUUCCUGCUUCAUGUGACUCAGAUUUUUUGGAGUAAAUUGAGAAUACUCAAAAACAGAUUUUUCACCUUCAAAAGGAAUAUGAUUCUUAAUGAAGAUUUUGGUAAGAGCCAUUCCAUAAGGAAGACAAGAUUUUUUGUUACGAGACUGAAUAACAUUGAUCAUGUUAUGAAUAAUGAUAUGAGGCAGACUCAAUUUUUCUUUCAUUAAGAGAUGAUACAUGACCAAGAGAUCAUUUGAACUAACAUGUUGAAAAUUACCAUUUCUAGGCAAGACACAAUGUUGGCUUAUGCCAUUCAACAUUUUUGGGGUUGGCAGAAGGUUCGAAGACACAAACUCAGUGACAUUUGGUUUGAAAAGGAGUUUGUAAACAUUUUCAGAAUUGACUUCAAGUUUUUCAAACCAAUCAUCACCAAAGACAGUUUGACCAUAAUUUGAGAUACCAAGAGUAUCAGAGAUUACCUGUGGAGUGAGACGUAUCUCAACAUCCUUAAUCCUAGACACUAUUAAGCUUUCCUCAGGGUAUGCUUCUGCCAUGAAAUAGAAAGCUUGGACAAGCUUUGGGUAGUGUCUCUCACGAAGCUGUAGAAAUUUGGUCCAGCCUUGCUCAUCAACAUACUCCUUAAGAACGACUUUGUCUUUUUCCAGCUUGACAAAAUCAUAAUACCUUCCAAUUCCAAUUGACCUAUUUCCCCAUUUUUCUUUGAAAUCCUUUUUCAGAGAAGGAUCAAACAGAGGUACUCUCUUUCCUGUAGAGAUAUGAAUGAUCUUCUGUUUUGAAGGAUUUUUGGGCUUUGGAGAACAUUCUGGAGAAUAAUCUGAAGAGAGUUCAUAGUCUUUAUCAGAAAGACUUUCUGAAGAACGUUCUGGAGAACGUUCUGGUUGAGCAGUUUGCUUCUGCUUUCCUUUGUCCUUCACAGUUGGUUUAGGCUUUGGUUUUGGUACAGAAACCUUGAUAGGAGGUUUAGAGACCUUUUUGUUACUCUUAGGUUUGGGCUUAAGAGGAGAAGGAGUUUUCUCAGCCAAAGGGGUAGUUGGUUCAGUUUCUUCAUCUGAAUCAGAGAUUUCAUGUACAGUUGUGUCUACACUGUUGGUUUUCUUUGUUCCAACUGCAGAANNNNNNNNNNNNNNNNNNNNNNNNNNNNNNNNNNNNNNNNNNNNNNNNNNAAAUAAUAUAAAUCAAGUAGGGGAGGGGGUGGGUGGUGUGGGGUUAGAAGAAAAGAAUAUUUUUUUUUUUUUUUGUUUUUUUUUGAAAAAUUUUUGCCCCAUUAUAAAAAAACCCCUUGUUUUGUCUUUGAUUUGUUCUUUAUUUUUUUUUUUUUUUUUUUAAAAAGAAUUCUCCCCAUGAUAAAAAAAUGUUUUUUGGAGUGGAGGGAGGUUUUUUUUUAGAGUUUUUUUUUUUUUAAAGGACACUUUGGUUUUUGUUAAAGUUUUUAAAUUUUUGGGCAUCCCAAAACCAGGGUAACUUGACCUUUUUUCAAAUUUUUUCCUUUUGGAGUUUUUUUUUUUUUUUUAGGGAAAAGUAUUUUUUUUAUUUUGAUUUUUUUUUUUUCCAUCAAUUUUUGAAAUCUUUUUUUGGGAGAAGAGCUAUGUUCUUUUUUUGGCUUCCCCUUGGAUGUUUUUCUUUUUCAUUGGUUUCUUUAUUUCUUCGCUUUGUGAAAAGACAUCUUCUUGUUCACUUUGAGAUGCUUUGAGAGCAACCAUCUUUCCUUUCCUUGAUGGUUUAUCAUCUUGCAGCAGCGUCUCAUGAGCUUUUAAUGACCCAAUGAGAUCUUCAAGAGCUAAAGAGUUUAAGUCUUUAGCUUGUGUGAUUGCAGUUACCAUGGGUCUCCAUGUGCUUGGAAGACAUCUUAAGAUUUUUCUUAUCCGAUCAUGAGUGGUAUAAGUUUUUCCAAGUGAUCUUAAUUCAUUCACAAUAGAUGUGAAUCUGGAGUACAUUUCAUCAAUGUUCUCAUCUUCGUUCAUUUCGAAGAUUUCAAAUUUUCUUACGCCAAUGUCUAUUCUUGUUUCUUUUACAUGGCUAGUUCCUUCAUGAUGAAUUUUUAGAGUGUCCCACACUUCUUUUGCAGUCACACAUUCAUCAACUCUUUCACUUUCUUCCAUGCUUAGUGCGCAUGAUAGAAAGAGUCGAGCUUUAGAGUUUAGAAGUACUUUUUCUUUAUCUUCUUUUGACCAUGAUGCUUCUGGUGUGAGUGUCUCCACCUUUGUUGUUGCAUCGGUUGUCAUAGGUAUGUGUUCUCCAUUUGUGAUUAUUUUCCACAUAUCCACAUCUUGGGAUCUGAGGAAUAGUUCCAUUUUUCCUUUCCAGAAAUAAUAGUUCUUUCCAUUGAAGAAUGGUGGUCUUGUGCAUGAUAGACCUUCUGGUAUAUACUUUUCUUUUGACAUUGCCUUCUUCCUGAAUCUUUUCCUCCAACACUUGUUAGGUGUUUUUGUAGAGCCCGGGCUCUGAUACCAAUUGAAGUAGCAAUAAACGUCACAAGAAAGGGGGGGGGGUUUGAAUUGUGACCCUUUUAAAAAUUAUUCCUGAAACUUAAUUUUAGAUUUAUAUACUCAAGAAUAAUCUUGGUGAAUGUUAGUUUAUCAAGAUUAGAGUAUAUAACAAUUAAUUGAAUUAGAACAGAACGUUCUGAAGAAUGAUUAUAAACAGAAUGAGAAAAAUGAAGUUAAGUUAAAAGAUUAUUUUAGCAAGGACCAGAAUGUUCUGGAGAUUAAUAAAAUAAUGUGUGUGUGUUGUGUAACUUUAAAUAAAGAGAGAGAGAGAGAGAGAGAGAGAGAGAGAGAGAGAGAAAAAUAACACAGGAGAGUUAUCCUGGUUCACCAAACCCGGCUACUUCCAGUCCCCACACCUCGUGUGAGAUUAUCCACUAUAGUUUUCUUGCUAACAGAAACUUCUGACUAGCACUACAAUUUCUUGAUCACACCAGAUCAGUCCGUAACACCUGUAUUAUCAACCUCGGCAGGCUUAUACAAUUCUUUGCACACUAGCAAAAGAAAGGUUGGAAUUUUCUAUCUCAAAACUAUUAAGCCCAAUAGACUUUGAGAAAUACAACACACUUUGUAUGAAGAGAUUUGUUUGGAUAGAAUAAAUACUCAAAUCUUUGUUUGAGUUUUACAAGAGGCAAAUUCAAGAGAGAUGAUCCAAGAGAUAUAGUGAGAGAGCUUGGAAUUUGCUUUGUAUGUGAAGAGCUUUGUUUGUAGUGAUGAUUUUCACUUUGAGAGAUAUUAGCUUUCAAAACUCUUGCUUAUGACCUUCAAAGGCCCUUGUAUUUAUAGGUGAGGAGUGUCUUGGUGACCAAGGGAGAAAAUAGAGCUGUUGGACACGUUUUUGAUAGCUGUCCAAAGUCUCAUUUGAUUUCUCUUUUCUUCUUAAAAAUAGCCAGAACGUUCUCAGAAUGUUCUUUCUGAUUUGCCUGACUUUGAAAGCACUGUUGCUUUGCUUGCGCAUGAGAUAACCAGCUGUAAUGAGCUGUAUAACUUGCAGCCCACUUCUGAUGAUGUCAUGUCCUUUUGCUCUAGUGAUGUCAUGCUUAAGUAAGCCAUGUGAUCUUAUCCAUUUAAUGGGCUUUACUUUUCCAAAUGGGCUUAAAGCUUUUCUUAUGGCCCAAUAGACAUAAUCAGCCAAGCUUUCUUGCUGUGCAGACUUGUUCGCUUUUGAUGUACUGUUCCUUUUUCAUCGUUUUCGCCAGAACGUUCUCAUUUCAUUCUCAUGAAACAAAUUCUCACAAAAACGAAUUAGUAGAUAACAAGAUUAAAUAAAUAUAAUAUGUUUGUAAUCUUUAAAACAUCAAAUAAGGAUUUUGUCUCAACAAUUAUAACAUUACGAAUGAGGUUACAUUUUAAGAUGCAAGAUUGCCGUAAUUUAACAAUCCAAAGUGAGUAAUCAAACAGACACGCGAGACUAAUUAUCACAUUAUGAACGACGAUCAGAUUUUAAGAUGCAAGUAUCGCAUGUCUGUUUCAUUACUCACUACUUUUCCUUAUGUGUAAACUUUUCAAGGCUACGGUGACACCGCAAUUCAAAAUAUGCAAGAAGUACUGAAAUUUGGUCGAAACGAUAUAUUUUAAUAUGCAGCAAUGAUCUCAUUAAAAAAACCAAGACGAGCUUUGAAAACAAACAUGUGAUAGAUAUUAUAACAUUACGAAUGAGGAUACAUUUUAAGAUGCAAGAUUGCUGCAAUUUAACAAUCAAAAGUGAGUAAUGAAACAGACACGCGAGACUACUUAUCACAUUAUGAACGACGAUCAGAUUUUUUGAAUGCAGCAAUGCCGCUUUUUGAAAAAUCUGAUACACUACUUUUCCUUAUGUGUAAACUUAUAAAGGCUACGGUGACACCGCGAUUCAAAAUAUGCAAGAAGUACUGAAUAUUGGUUGAAACGAAAUAUUUUAUUAUGCAGCAAUGUGAAAUUUAAAAAAACCAAGAUGCAGCAAUGCCGCUUUCAAAAAACUCUAAUUGUGUUUUGAAACAAACACGUGAUAAUAUAUUCGACAGUAUAAUACAUUCCGUUGUAUUGAAACAUCUGGUGUAAAAUAAUAUCUACUAUGAUAAUAUAUAUUUUCAACGACUGACAACACAUUAUAUUAUGUAUAAAAGAAAUAACCUUUAAACAUACACGGAUACACGUUAAAGUAAAAGUAUGAAGGUUCCUCUGACACCGCAAUUCAAAAUAUUCGCACAGCAAAGAAAUUAGAUUCCGUCAACAAUGACAAAGUUGUGAGCAUUUAAGUAAGAAACUCAACAAAAAGUGAAAUGCAGCAAUGCUGCUUUCAAAAAACUCUAAUUGUGUUUUUCAUAGAAUCAUACUCCCUUAAAAUAGGUUUCAACGAAAGGUCAGACAUACCAGAUAAACUGUGCAAAGCUUUGCGAGUAUUCUCUGCAACAUCAUUAUCCAUUCUGUUUCGUUUGAUCCACCUUGACUACUAAUUAGCCGUAACAAUAAGUUUUUUUGCAGAGAGAACAGAUGUGUAAGUAUGAGCCUCCAAAUGAUAUGUAAACCAAUGAAUUACCGCAUAAAUAGACAUUAAUGCGAUUUGGGUAACAACAAUUCUGAAUUAAUGACAUGACUUUGAAGCUGAACAGACACGUCCAAACAUUGAAUCAAAAAGAUCGUGAAACAAAGCAUGGGAAAACACUAUAUGAAUCUCUUCCAUAAUGCAAUCAAAGAGAAGUAUAUGACAAUUAAUACUAAUCAUAUAUCUUAUCUGUAACAUCAGCAGAAAUGAUGUUUUUUUUUGUAUAUCUGAGCAUCUUGAUAACUAAAAACGCACAUCUGACCGCAAUAAACCUACCCAAUUAUCAUACUGCUGAUGGAUUAGCAAUUUAAGGAAACACAUCAAUCUAAAAAUAUAAUGAGAUCAUCUGAUUAUAAAGGUUGUUACAAUUUUAUUAGGUGCAUUUGACUAAUAUCAUUGCCGAUUCCAUCAUUAUUAUUUAUCUAUCAAGAAAACGCCGUUGCUACAAAGCAAUAUAUUAAUAACAACAACGCCGCGUGUAGCAUUGUAUUCGUCUGUACACAAUAGGAGGUGAAUACUGCAUCUUAAUUUGUUUAUUCAAUAAAGAAGUUGUGCCAUUACAGGGAUUAAAAAAGAAAAAAGCACCAUUGCAUUAUCGGAAUAACCCACACCUUUUGAAUUACAUAAGACUGAUUUUCUAUUUUGCCUACCAGAACUUGCAAUACUAAAAAUGCAAAAUUUAAAAGAAUCUAAUAUAGAGCAUUAUUCACUUCUAAACAUCACACCCUUCUUAAUGAAAAAAAGAAAAAAAAAAUGAUGCAUUCAAACAAAAUAUGAAGCAUAAGUCUGCCACGCCACCACUAAAACUCAUCCAAACGUUGCACAUUGUUAAGAAGAUCAGUUGCGAAUCACACGAAGGUAGAGAGUUGUGUUGCUUCCAGCCAUUGGAGCACCAAGAACUAAUCGGGAACCUUGGCGAAGCCUGCGUGCCAUAACCAAUCUCUUCCAGCCACCUCCGAUUAUGAAAUGAGGUCCGCCAUCAGUAGCAAACAUCAAAGUACAGCCCCACACAUUGCCAUUGUCAUCAAAGUAAAGCGAAUAAAGUAAGUUUGUUUACUGUCAAAUGCAUAUAAAUAUAAUUACUCACGUUAAUAAAGUUAAGCUCGACUGUGUAAGUUCUAUACUUGAUACGAAGAUCAUUGACAAUCCUUUCCAAUUCAGAAUUCGGAUUAGGGUUCAGAGGUGCUGUUAUAAAAAAACAACAAAAAAGAAACAUAAGUGAGUUGUACAAAACUGGAAAUAACAACAUCAAAUGAUGGAAACUUAUACCUAUCAAAGCAUGGUAGGAAAGCAGUGCCUGGAUUCCAUUAUUUGCCAUGGGAUUCGAUUGAACUUGAAAAAGAAUGAGAUGUGAUUUUUUUGAUUCCAUGGUAUGGUAUAUAUACACGUUCAGAUUCAUUCACUAUGAUAAGGAGGUUAUGAUACCUAUACAUUGUUAUCAUAUCAAAGGCUUUGGAAUCAAUAACAACAUUAAAUGCAAUCAUGGAAUGGGGGAAGCCACAACCAAAAGCGUUAAAUGUAAUUAGCAUGGGGAAACUGAAAGUGCCAAGUCAAAUGAGAUCAAAGGAUGAGAUGAAUGCUUAGCUAGCUCAUUUGAUCAAACGGCUCUCCUUAAUUGGCGCCCAAAAUGGCUAGGUUUAGGGUUUUGCAAGGUAAUUAGCAUUGUUAACAAAGAUUAGAUAUAAGUAUGAUAAGAUAAGAUAAGAUAUAUUGAAUUUUAAUAAAUUUUUAAUUUUUAAAAUAAGAGAGGGCCUAAGCCCAAGAAAAAAACUACACUAAAAGUACAUAAAAUUGCUUUUCUUACUGCAAAAACUUUCUAAUAACACAUGAAAGUUACUAAAUUGUCCAUAGAAGUAGUUAACUACCAUUGGCAAGUCCGACAUCAGUUAAUUACCACUGACUCCCAACUGCAGUUAACUACCGCUGGCUCAUCUGCACUUAAGUUCGGUUCCUAGCAGAGCAUCAAUUGUGAUUAUGCGCGUUUCGGUCGAAAAAAAUAAAAAAAUCGAGACUUAUUUGGAAUGUUACGGAACAUUCCACAUCCUCUAUAUGUAUUUUUACAGAGGUGUCUAUAAAUUUGGUAACAUUCCGACUAAGUCUCGAUAUAUUUUGAUUUUUUGACCGAACCGUGCAAAAUCACAAUUUUUUUCAAGUUCGAGUCCGGAAAAGUGACCUAGACGUUGAAUUUUUUCAUGAUUUUUUGCACUCAUGUUUAGGACAAAAAAGAACAUCUCCCACAAAAAUUUUGAACUUUUUCGACAAUGGACGAAUCCUUUAUAUCUAAUCCUAGCAAACAUGCAAACCCUAAUUCCACAAUCCUAAACCUAAAAAAUUGGCUCCCAAAUUUGAAAUUUGAAUUUCAUAUUGGAAAACCAAUGCACACUACUCAAUACAUAUCUUAAGGGCUAGGAUUAAAUGCGACUAAUACCUCAAAUUCGUCCUUGAAUUUUAAAAAAUCGGUCAAAUUCGUCCCUGAAUUUUGCGAAAUAUCUAUUUAGUCCCUGAAUUUACAAAAUAUCAAUCAAAUCAGUCCCUCUGUUAAGUUGGUCUGUUUACGGAGGUGACGUGUAACGUUAACCUCUUACAAGGCUUACCAUGUCAGAUGUCACGCAAGCAGGGACCAAAUUGAUUGAUUUACAGAAAAUUGUCAAGGACCAAAUUGAUGGAUUUUCAGAAAAUUGCCAACGUUUCCAAGGACCAAAUUGAUGGAUUUUCAGAAAAUUCCCAACGACUCUUUCUCCCGUUUCUCAUUAAAGAAUCUUUCUCCUCUUCCUCAUUAACGGCUCUUUCUUCCCCAAAUAUAUAAAUUUGGAACCCUAAUGUUAUAAUUUGUUACCUAGAGUUCAAAAUCCCCCAAAUUUCUUCCAUGACUUGAUGUCAAUGUUCUUCCCAAUUAAAUAAACUUAACACCCUAAUUUUUUUGAUUCAAUUCGAAAUUCAAAAACCAAUGGUCAUUGUUGAAGAUUCGGUGUUCAGAAAUGAUGGGUAGUGGGCGUAUGGGCAAAAAAAACUACAAUAGUCAGUCUUCAUCUUCAAGCUCUAUGUACAAUGAUAAGGUGAGAGAGCUUCAAUGUUGCUGACCUAGAAUUUGUGUUGUAAGAGAAGCCAACACUGUCAAUAACCAAGGAAGGCCUUUCUAUAUCUUCCCUCUGCCAAAGGUUUGUUUAACAAUGGUUAUGUGAUGUGUAAAUGGUUUGUUUAAGAUAUUCAUAGGAGUAUUUUGUUUGAUUGAGUUGUUUAAAAUGAUAUUGUAUUGUGCCAAGUCCAUGUAAUGUUGUAAUGAAAAGAGGUUGUCAAUGAAUGAAUCAAACCCUUCUGUCAAAAAAUUUCAAUCAAAUUGGUCCUUGAAUUAUAUGCAUAUCCAUCAUAUCGAUCCUAAAAUUAGUGAUAAUACCAUCAAAUAGGUCCUUGAAUUUUCACAACAGAUAUCACUGUGAUCCUUGGUGCAUAUAUUUGCUGAACAAAGUAAAAAGUAAAAGACAUGCACUUUGACUAUAAAAAGACAGACAUUUGCAUACCAUCAUAAGUCAUAUAUUUGAUGUUCAUAAGUCAUUACAUAGCCAAAAAAAUAACAUUACAUAGCCAUAAAGUCAUCAAAUCGUUUGAUGUUCUUAAGUGAUUACAUAUCUGUUAUCACGAUUUUGGGGUAUCAAGUCAUUAAUUAGGCUUGAACCUUUCAAUCUUUGAUAUUCUCUAUUUUUUCUUGGGAAGGGAAAAAUUGAGAAAACCCUUAGAAAUUCUAAGUUCGGGGGUCGUUUUCGUUACGGGAAGGUGUUAGGAACCCGCAAUGACUAUAGUACUCUAUAGGAACCGUUUUCUUAGUUUUAUGUCUACGCUUUAUUUUUAAUGCUAUUUAUUGAAAAAAGAAGUUGUUUAUUUAGGUUAAGAAUGGAGGGAGAAAAUGUUUGGGAUUUUAUUUAUUGGACUUGGAGAGGUUUUGACCUCUUGCCUACAUACCCUUUUAAGGGAUCAAAAUUCCAUGUAGUUCUCUUUAAAAAAUGUUUUUGUGUGUUUGAUUGAUUUUAAGUUUUGGAAAAUGGUUUUGAAGAAGAGAAAGAGGCCGUAAAGGCAUGAGAGAAAAAAAUGGUGAAAGGUUGGUUCAAUUAUUAUUAAAAAAGGUCUAAGUUGGAAUUAGAGUUCAUUUGAGUUUGAUUAAGAAAAUAAAGGGAAAAUUCAAUGGAGUUUUGACUCCAAGGUUUAUUUGGAAAUUUUUUUCAAGUGAUGGAAUUUGCUUAUUUUGGAAAAUUGAUAUUUUUCUAAGUAUCGCGUUUCCUAAGCAUACAUCUAAAGCGGUAAACAUACAACGUGUGUGCGUGUCGGUGCUUGUGUCGGUGUACAUCAUUAGAGAGUCCAUUGUCCGUUACAUUGGCCCUAGUUUACAUUCUAUGGUCUUGCAAGAAAUUAAAAGGAAAUUUAAACUACCUAAAAUAUUAUAUGACAUUUUAACAUAGAAAUUAAAAGGUAAAAAUGCCUAAACUAUGAGAAAUUGAGAUGAAAAAGGUAGAAUGCUUAUGAGGUGAAUGAAACAAGAAAUAAAAUGGUUAGUAAAAUAAGGUGUAAAAUGAUAGGAAACAAGCAAGGAAACAUUGAAUGGAAUAGCAAAAAAGAGAGUAAUAAAGUGGUAAAAUAUGCCCAAAACUUGUCAUAAUACCUAAACAUGUACACGACCUAUAAUUCUCUCAUCAUAGCAAUUUAAAAGGGGGUUUAUUUUAUACCAUAAUGUGAGAAUGACAAGAACACAUUCAAGCCAAGAAUUAUGACAUAUUUCUAGAGAUACUUUGCACUUUAUUUCUUGACAAAAACACACAUUACUUGCAAAACAAGAAAAAAAGAAAAAUUCACAUCCACAAACAGUAAAACACACAUAUGAUCAGAGACAUAUUCAUCAUGAAAUUGCAUAUUAACCACUCAUAUCAUGUCAAGACCUCAUGAACGAAUUAUGGCAAGAAAAUUCACAAGUUUAAUAAAAAAAAAUGAACAUAUCAACAAGAAAAUGUUACAUAUAUUUUUUUAUCAUUUUUUAACAUGUAAAAGCAUCACAAAAGUAUUAAAAAUACCUCAAGAAACAUAUAGGAAUUUUUAGGAAUUUUUUGCACGAAAAUUGGACGAGCAGGGGGUUCAGAUAGCAAGAAACAGGGUGCAAAUAGCAAGAAAUAAGAAAAAAAAAGCAGAAACAAACAAACUGGAAGCCCAAGCCCAAAACCCAUGGAUCCGGAUGCACAAGGAGCGUUGGAUUGAUCCAGGAAGAGAAACCCUAGAUCUAAAGGCUCAGAAUGAAGGGGAAGAACCGGGAAUAAACCCGACCGGUUCAGUUGUUUAUAAAAAGGCUUGGGGACCGGUUUUUUUCAUUUCUUCCUCUCCUUUCUCUCUCUUCUCUCAUUCUAGUGAGAGAAGCUCUCACUUCUCUCCUUUCUGAUGAAUUAGGUUCUGGAAAAGUUAGGGUUUUCUGAAUGUUCUUGGUAAUUUUCUGUUUUGAUCUAACUAAAUGGAGAGAGAAAAUGUGAUUCUGUUUUUGGUGAUGUGACUGAUUCUGUGGAUCCUUUCUGAUUUGUGCAGUGAAUGCACCUUUUAUAGGCUGCCAUGUGUGAUUCUGAACCAAUGGAAGAGGAACACCUGUUUUGGACUUAGGGACUUUCCUGCAAAAAUAAGAAAAUUGGAGGACUGGACUGCAAAUAAGAAAAAGGACCUAAAAAUGCAAUUUUAAAAAGUAUUGGACUAAAAUGUAAUUUGGAAAAAACGUAAAGUGAAACCAAAAAUAAAAUCAACAAAAGGACUAAAAUGAACCAGUUACAAAAAAUGAGGUAUUUUAAAAUACCUCUCUGUCGAAAUUUUGACAGGAAAAGACCAAAAAUACCCCUAGGGACUAAACUGACUCAAACUGACUCAGAUGCAAUUUUUGAAAUGGUUUUUAAACAGAGAUUCAACAAUGAUUUGUACAGACAAGUUGAAAAGACUCAGAGGCAAACACAGGGACUAAAAUGGGUUCCAAUGCGGGAAAUGACCAAAAUACCCUUUUUGUAUGAUUUUUUGAAAUAAAAUGCAAGAAAAGCAAUGCAAUGAUUCAGAGAGUUUUCAAAUGACUUGUAAUGCAAGAAAGACACUUUGGGUAGUUUUAUUCAAGAAAAUCAUGAUUGAACAUACUUCGAGACAGAGACAGUAAAAUAUGCAGAUGAAAAGAGAGUAAAGGUUCGGAGUAAAAUAAUAGUAAAUUGACAAAUAUCAGUGUUGAAAAAGAAAUUUGAAUGAGUAUUUUUAGGUCCAAAAUCAGGGUAUAACAAUAUCCAAAAAAGCAUAAACUAAACAAGUCCAAAAAGCAUAAUUUAAACAAGCAUCAAUGCUUUGGAAAUCCUGAAGUUGGGUAUAAACUCCAUGUAUUGGGGUUGAGUAGAAGCGGAUGACCCGUAAUUUGGAUUUGGAACUCUAAUAACUCUAGGAGUAGUUAGAUUUUGUGGAGCAAGACCCCUCAAUGAUGUUUGUUUAUGCAUGUCAUUUGAAAUCACAGGUCAUCUCAUGCCAUAUCUUCUUGUACUCAUUCUCUGCAAAUAAAAUCAAUCAUAUCCGUCCUUAAAUUAUAACAAAAUCCAUCAAAUUAGUCCUCAAAUUAUGUCAGUAAGUCUCAAAUCGAUCCUUAUGUAAUAGCGGGGUAUAAUUGGAACACAUGAAAAAUUACACUGAAAAGUUAAAUCUCAAAUUUUUACCAUUUCCAUCAAAUUAGUCCUUGUACACGUGGUUGCCUUGUUGACACGUGUACAUGACAACACAACAUGCAAGAGGACACGUCAUCACCACUAACGGAGCUUUUGGACGGAGGGACCAUUUUGAUGGACGUCUGUAAAAUUCAAGGACUAAAUAGAUAUUUCGCAAAAUUGAGAGACGAAUUUGACCAAUUUUUUAAAAUUCAAGGACGAAAUUGAGGUAUCAGUCCAUUCAAUGUUAUACAAAAGUCUGAAAAAUAAAACACACAACACACGCGUUCCUUUUUCCCAGUGUUUUCUUCUUCUUCUUCCUCUUAUCAUCAUCACCACCGCCAACCCUCUCCCUCAAUCCACCGACGUUCUACCCCGUAUGUUCCAUGUCUUUUCUACUUUAACCGUCAUAUUUCUCCUCUCAUACUUCGCCGUCGUCGAUUCCACUGCCACUUUCUUUCCAUCGCCACGGGAAUAAUGAGAUUAAGCGCGAGAGUGAUCGACCUAAACUUAUUCCCUCUCUCCAGGUACUCAAUCUGUUAACUUUGAUGUUAGUUCAUACAAAUUUGCAUGUAACAAAUUUGUAUAAGAACAGGCAUAGACUUCUUAACCAAUCAAAUAAACUGCUCAAUCAAAGCUUACUCAAUUUUAUUGUAAAAGAAGAAAUAGAAAAUUUAGGUGGUUUGAAAUGUAAGAUCCAACAUAUGUUAGAUAUGAAAUUACUGUUGUGCUUUGAUGAUUUUUUCUCCUGAUUCCAAAAAUAUAGUUUUAAGCCAAUUUAUGGCAUUGAGUGAUUUGAUUUUCUGUUUCUUUUUUGUCUCAUUGGUUCUAAGUUGGAUGAGAAAUUAGUGGCCACAGAAAGAAGAAUGAAAUAUAAGUUAAUUAACAUUUUUUCAAUAACUUUGAAUUUUUGCUGAUUUUUCUUUAACUAUUGUUUUCUAAUACCAUUUGAAGUAGUCGUUUUUAUUAGAUUAUGUCAUUGCUACAAAAUUUUCUCUAUAUGGGUUCAUGUUGAUUUUGAAAUGAUUGCAAAUUUGUGUAUAAGCAUCUGUAUGCAAACCUCUCUUUUAAGAGCACUAUUUUUUGUUCCGGCUUUGUGUUUUUUGCGGAUGUGCUUAUGAUUUGUGCAGCUACAGGUUUGUUACUUACAGAGCUUUCCAAAUGUGGUAUGUUGCUUUGUUCAUUUAGUGGUUGAGAAUGAAAUUAGUUUGCACUCCCUGAGAAAAUAGCUCUCUAAACUGAAGUUCCCAUAAUCUCUUAUGAUCAUUGUACACACCAAAUCUCUUACCCUAAGUCAAAUUUACUGUACUGAGUAGAAAUUAUCUAUUCUUUCAUUAAUAUUGAAAAAUCUUUCAUCCCUUCAACAUUGUUUCUGAGUAUGAUGUUACCAGUGAAUUUUUGGUAUGUUCCUUACCAAUUCACAUUUUUUAUUGUUACUUUUAUUGGACAAAAUUACUUCUUGCGUCUAUUCUUCCCUGAUUCAUAGAAGUUGUUCUACAAUGGUUUUUGUGAAUUUGCAUUGGAUAAGAGGACCACGGCCAUGGUGGUCAUAGCACAAUUGCGACAACAAGUGGAAUUGCACUCUUAUUUUUGGAUCUAUGUCAUACAAUCAUAAUUGGUGGUGGUGAGUGGAAGAGCAUGAUUGAGUGCAGAAUUUUUGAAGGUGUACGUUUCAAGCUGGGUGAUCAGAUGGUCGGCAAAAGUGAAAUUGUUUACCUUCAUGUCUAUCGAGAUUUCAGUUUUUAAGCUGGGGUCUUCAUAUGAAUUUCCAUUUUGAAUAUUGUUUCUAUUGUAAUCUGCCAAUUAUCAGAAUUGUGUUAGAUAAGUUUGAGUCUAAUGUGUUCAGCUCCACUGUGUAAUCUGUUUCUGUAUUUCAUUUUCAAUAGAAUCCAAUUAAAACAACUUAUUCUGCUUGCUUAAUUAUCAUCUCCAAUCUGCACAAGUAAUACUAUAAACAGGGUCAUAUUAUUCUAUUGAAAUUGAAAUACGGAAACAUAUUACAAAGAAAAUGACUAAAGGCGGUGUAUAAAGAAGUUUUUCGCAAUUUAUGAAUUGUUCGGUGCUGAUGAAAUAAAGGUGUUGCCGUUUUGUUAGUCUGCCAUCGAUGUAAGUAUGUACUGUAUUUAUAUUAGUCGUUAAUAAAUGUCUUAAUAAUGGUCGUCAAACCUAACCCAUCAGUGUGUUGCUUAAUUUGUUUUUACAGAUUUGUUUGACCUGACUGUAGCAUUUGCCAUCAUAUCUGAAACGCAUAAAUUCAUGUUUUACUGUAUACUCGGUGAUCAAUCCUUCUGUCUAUAUGAAAAGGCUUGAUGUAUACUGGUACGGUGAUUAAAUUUUCGCAUAAAUCAGUUCUUCUCAUAUUAUAAAUAACUUAUAAUAAGGAUUGCAGCAACUAAUGCUUCAAUUUUAUGCUGUCUUUGUUUUUCUUCGCAGGUUGAGCACAAUUAAGGCAUUGCAUUUUUGGAGAUCGUUAUCAUUGUUAUACCAUUAUUAUCUUUGCUAAUAUAUGCUCCUAAUUGUUUAAGAAUUUCAUCUCUGGUCCAUACUGACGGUUUAUUACUGAUAUCAAUGGCACCAAUCUCAAUUGAUACUAUGUAUCACAUUAUCACCAACAAAGGUGUAACUUGGUUAUCAUUAUGAUCCAUUUCUGAUUCCGUAAUUAUACUAUAUCCAAGUUCGUUGUUAACUUAUUACAAAUAAUUUGUCGUUUAGAAGAAUAUUAACCACAAAUUACUCAUAGUGAUUUAUCGUUAUGAAAAUACAUAUAGAGAAUAUGAAAAUUUACGUAGUAUAUUGACUGAGCCUCAAUUUAUUUUGAAUUUUUCACCGAAACACAUAAAAUCACAAUAUUUUUGCAACUUCACAUCCGAAAAAGUUAUAUAGACGUUGAAUUUUUUCGUUAUUUUUUGCACAUAUGUUAAGGACAUAAAAAAACAUUUCCCACAAAAAAUUAGAAUUUUCCGACAACGGAUGGAUUAAUUAUGAAUUUUUAAUGCGCCAAAAACUCAAGAAACUAAAACAUCAAAAGAUCGACUUAGAAAUUGAAUUUUGAGUUGGUUUUUUGCACACAACUCUAUAAAAAUACAUAUAGAGGGUCUGUAAAUUUUCAUGGAAUUCCAAAUAAGCUUCAAUUUAUUUUGAUUUUUCGACCGAAACGCGUAAAAUCACAAUUGAUUCUCUUCCAGAAACUGCACUUAAGUGCAACAAAAUCAGCUGUAGUUAACUGCAACUGAAGCCAGCGGUAGUUAACUACAGCUGAGAGUCAGCAGUAGUUAACUACCGUUGGGGGAAAUUUCAUAACUUAAAUGUGUUUUUAGGAAUUUUUUGAUGUGAGAAAAACAAUUUUCAAAAGUAUAUGUUUUUUAAAAUAAAAGAGGGCAUAAGACCAUAAAAGGCACUGAUACGAUGACCUUUAACACCAGUUUGAUCAACUAAGACCAACCACAAUGGUGAGGUCUUAACAAUUUAAGAUCCGGUACCUAUUAGGUACCUCCAUUGUGGGAAAAAUAUUUGGGGGUCUCUUAAGACCCUCAUUUUUAAGUGGACCCCACACAACUUUUUAAUAAAAUAAUCAUUGUUUAGUUACUUUUGUUUAAAUGUAAAUGAUAAAGAGUUAUUGGUGGGUCCCAUUUAGACCUUUUGUUAGAGCGUCUCUGUUGGAGUGGUUGAGUACCUAUUAGGUACUAUCAUUAAAAAAUUAUAAAAAAAUGAUUUGUCAAUGUGGAAUCCGUUUAAGACCUCAAGAUUGAGGAUCUCCAUUGUAGAUCACAUGCAUGUCUAUUGCAUGAGUGCAUCUUCCAAAGAUUCAAAGUCUUCAUUUACAUGAAAUUUUCAUUCAGCUUUCAACAUUCAUAAGCACUUAAUGAAUUAACGACCAAUAUAUUGGAUGCAUGUUGUUUUGAAUAUGCCCUUAAUAAAGAUGAAAAGGAGAAAGAUGAACUUGAACUCAUCAUUUUUACAGCCGUUAAAAUAGCAUACAUGAUUUGCUUUUGCUACUUGUCUAAAUUUUAUCUAAACACCUAAUUAUGAUGGUUGCCAAACACAUUCAAACAUUUAUGUUAGUAACAAUUUUAUAAGCAUGGCAUUUUUAGGGUUGUAUGGCCCAAAAGUCCUAAACCAAAUGGCUUUCACCAUUUCUCAUGCGUCCUCCUAAAUUUCAAAACUGCCCUCAGAUUUUCGGAUUAUACAAUAUGCUACUCUUAUUUUCAACUCUUCCUUUGAGGUCCAACUCGAUUAGUCUCUUCAGUGGUUCAGUUGUGAUUUUUCCUCUUAAGUCCAACUAGAUUAGUCUCUUUAGCGGUCCAGUUAUAAAGUCGAUUUGUGACAAUACCUUAUAUGCAUCUAUGUUAGGAUUGAUACGAGCUGUUAGUAGGUUCUGAUACCAUGUUGGAUGGAGGAAUGUUUUACAUAUUGAGCUUUAGUUGUUUCAAGGGGCACUCAACAUGGAAAGGAUAUUGAAGCUUUGCAGAAAAGUUUGGACAAUGCUGAGUAAGGUUCAUAUACAAACAUGUCUAAUUUUCUAACAUAAUUACAUUUUAAGAGUGAUUUUCAAAUCAACUAAUAUUUAACAUUAUGGUUCUAAAGUUGGUGAACUAUGACAUAAAACUUUAACAUUGUUUGUGGUUUCUAGAAGAAUCAAUUUGGUUACAUAACAUGAAAAAUGGUUACCAUAAGACAAGGAGAAAGAAUAAGCAUGUAUCUUUACACUCGCAACAAAGAAACACACCAACUUUGGCCAUUGCAGAAGAUUAUGGUUAGACUCAGACAGUCAAAUAUAGGUUUGACGCCAUCGAAGUAAUCGGCAUUUCAACCUUAGGUUGUGUUUCAGAGUUUUGAAGAGAUUAUCAGAAUUCUAUUCACUUUGUUUUCUUGUCAAAUCUUAAUUGUUAGUGCUAAUUGAUGGUCUUAUCAUGAAAAUUAUAAAUCAAACCUAAAUAAAAACGAAUAAUAAGAACAUGUUCAUGUACCGAACUGAUAAGUAGCAAGAAAGUGAAAUAAAGAAAACACAAUGAUCUAAACUUAUCAUUGAAAAACAUCACAGAAAACACAAUGUUUGUUUCUUCAUUUUAAUUCUAACGAAUGUCUAAUUUUGGAAUGUGUGCUAUCUUAUCCCAGUCCACCCUUGUUCCCUCCUUGCAUCGCUCAUCUAAUCCUCCAGAAAAACAUAAUUAAUCAGCAAGAGUAUCAUGCAAAACCCCAAAACAGUUAAAAAGGUGCACAUGCACUUAACAAACUCAUCAUCAUUUUCUCUUCCAUAAUUCCCUUCCUUGUUUGUACCACUUUGUCCUUGAAAGAAUUCACAAUUACCUUUGCUAACUGAAUUAUUGCUUAUUGUGAAAAACAAAAAUAUCUCAAAGUUAUCUUAUGUGAACCAAAUACAAAACCAGUAAUUAAUAAUAUCAUAACAACAACAAAUUACAAAUUUGAUGUAUCAUUUUAAACUGAGUGAAAAACAUGAAAAAACAAAAGUCAUUGAAAGAGACAGAAAAUUUAUAUGCUAAAAGGGCAUUAUAAGGCUCUAAGACAGAUUUUAGAUGUCUGUUUUUCUCUCCCAUUGCUGCUCCAACUCUCUGCAGAAGUAUAUUACUGGAAGACAGAAGACAAACUAACAUGUGCUGCAAAACCACCAUAGUGAAGAGACAAGAGUGUCAUAUCCUGCAAACACAGUACAAAAUAUUGUUACUAUACUAUAAGAAACAAAAUCAAAAAAGGGUGAUGGUGGAAGAGAGAGCCUACCAAAUGUGAUAGAAAUUGGAAGCAUAUAUGUGUGUGCUUUUUCAUUCAAUCAACAUGUAAUUUUGGAAUGUGCGCUAUCUUGUCCCAGUCCUCACCGGUUCCUUUCUUCAAUCGCUCCUUUAAUGUUGGGCAACCUCGAAUUUUCAAAAACUCAAGUGAAGUGAGGUGUUGAAUAGAUUCGGGAAAGGAUCUCAAUCCUCCACAAUAACCAAUAUCAAUAGUUCGAAGAGAUCGAAGACCUUCCCAUGUUUGUUCCGGUAUAGACUCAAGCUCACCACAAGAAGAGAUACUCAGACACUCCAACACUAGGUUGAAGGGUUCAUUUGGUAGUUUCUUCAAUUUUGGGAAAUUAGAAAUUUUCAAACUUCGAAGACAAGUCAAGUUUCUUAACAAACCGUCAGGAAAGCAAAUCACGUCUUCACCGUUAAGAAGGUGAAGGGUGGUAAGACUACAGAAAUUGGAGAUUGAUCUCAGUAACUCAUUGUUACAUCCAAAUACAAUGAGGUCUUUAAGGGAUGGAAGGCAUGGCAACACAAGUUUAGGGCAAUCAAUAAUGGUCAAAUUAGAAAGAAGAAGGAACAUAUCUCUUAUUUGCACUUUCAACAAACGCUCUAAGUUUCGUAGUCCUGCUAGUAACAAUUUUUCCAAGGAUGGAAAAGCCCUCACCUCUACACCAUCAUGAUAUUCAGCAUCAUCCAUGUAUUGCAUAUUAUUCAUACCCCAUAAUUCAAGCUUUUUUAGAGAUGGUAGUUUACCUAGUGAUGAAAGAACACAAUUAUUGCAAUACUGAAGUUGAAGAUCAACUAAACUAUUAAGAAAUCCAAUCCAUUUUGGCAAGCAUAAUCCGUCAUAGUAAAGUAUUUUCAACCUCUUGAGAUUUGAGUGAGGUUGAAGCAUUUCAAGUACUUGCUCAGCAGUAGUAGUUGGUGUCUCAGUUUCACCAUUAUUCCUCCAUGACAAGGAUAAUUCUUGGAGGUCCUUUUUACCCAUCAAAUUGGCAUGUCGAGCUUCAAAUAAGCUACCAACAUUUCCCAGACCUUGUAUGCUCAGUUUUCCUCCAAGUGAUAGAUCAUGUAGCUCUCCCAAGCCAUACCCCCUCUCUGACUGAACAAUGUAUACACUUAAUGUUCUUAGGAAAUACAAUUUUCCAAUAUAAGGAAACACACAAGACAAUGAAUUACAAUCUUCAAUGACAAGAUGCCUGAGAUUCUGUAAACAAGUCAAGUGUUUUGGUAGAAAAGUCAGUUUUCGAAAAUAUUUCAAUUUCAAGAUUUCCAAUUUCUGCAAGCGAUAAAUUGAGUCAGGAAGGGUUUCUACGUCAAGAUCACGAAGCUCCAAAUACCUCAAAUGAAUUAAGUUCCCAAGUGACGAUAACUUGAAAGUGUUUGUGCUUAAAACUCGAAGGGAGCGAUUUGUUGGGAAGUAAUCGUAUUCUUUUUCGCUGUAAAACUCUAGUUGAUACAACGUUCGCAAGGAUUCAACUUUUUUGAAGGCCUCAUUGAAGGAAAACAAGUUAAUAUCAGAGUAAAAGCUAGUAUGGUGUGUGCUUCUUAACAAGUUAGUGUUAGUAUUCUCCAAAAUCAUACACUCUGACCCCAUAACUGAUUGAGCAAGAUCAUGCACUAGGUCAUGCAUCUUGAAAGUAAUGUCUCCUGAAUAAUCAUCUAUCUUGAUGUCUUGGAAGAAUGAUUUUUGGCACAGUUCCUUCCAAAUCAUAUUGCCAAAAAAUUCUACAUCCAAAUUAGCCUUUGAGAAAAUAAAUCCAUUGCCCAUCCAUAGAUGAAUCAAAUCUUCCUUUACAAUUUCCAUAUCUUUGGGAAAUAUCGCACAAAAAGCAAAACACCGCUUUAAGGUCGGUGUUAAAUGAAAGUAGCUUAACCUCAAGGCUGGCAAAAUGGAAUUCUCAUAUGGUAAGGUCCAGAGAUUACUGUCUUUAAUUUCAAGCCAUUCAUUUUCAUCACUCCUUGAGCGCAUUAGACCUCCCAAUGCUUGUGCUGCAAGAGGCAAUCCUCCACACUUCUUUACUAUCGCCUUACCUAUUGCUACAAGCUCUUCCCGUUCUUCUCCAGCACAUCCAAAUGCAUAUUGUCUAAACAACAACCAACAUUCGUUUUCAGAGAGACCAGAUAAAUGAUGAGCUAAACAUGUUCCCAUGAUUUCUGCAACAUCCUUAUCACGAGUGGAAACUAAAAUGGAAGAUCCUUUGGAUCCACAUGACAACGCAGAUUUCAACUUGUUCCAUUUGUCUUGGCUUAAUCCUAGUUCCAAUCCUUGAUUUCUGCUCCAUACAUCAUCCAAAACCAGCAAAAAUCUUUUACCUUGCAAUAGUUCUCGUGCUUUUCUUUGUAUUACAUCUAAAUCCAAGGCAUCAAACUUGUCUUUUGUGAUAGAUUCUAUAAUGGAACACAAAAUCCUUUUGACAGAGAAAGUCUCCGAAACACAAAUCCAAACUUUUGUAUUAAAAUUGCUACUUACCCUAUGAUCAUUGUAGACCAUUUGAGCAAGUGUUGUUUUACCAACACCACCUAGGCCAACAAUAGGAUAGAUGGAUAGGAAGUCAGAUACUUGCGCUUGGGUGAGAAGAAACUCGACAAUCCUCUCUCUAUCAUCUACUCGUCCAAACACUUUGGGUUCAGCAAUAAUGGAGCUUGUUUGGCGCCAUUCAGCAACUUCAUUUGGCCUUUCCCUAACAACGACACCCUCUCGUAAAAGAAACUUGUCUUUACUUUCAGCAAUUUGAUCGAAUCUCCUUGUAAUUUCUUUCAACCUUUUGCCGAUGUCACGGCGAAACACAAUGUUCUUUAGGUUGAAACAGGACGAGGCUUUAAGUCUACUAGAUUCAAUGGAACAUUCAUCAAGAAUAUCAUCAAGCACAUAUACAGCAUCUUUGAGUUGUUGGAGCCAUACCUUAAUAGAGCGGUCUGUGACCUGUUUCUGCUCAGCAUCUUCAAGAACAGCCUUGAUCAGAUCCAAGGUGGUUGACAACUUUUCAGCCUUUGAUGUGAUUCCAGAAAUGGUUGCAAAUUCAUUUUGAACAAGAGAUAACAAAUUCUCAAAUACAACUCCUAGCAAGGCCUCUGCCAUUUUUAGUUAGUACUAGGAAUAUCGGCUGUUAGGUGAUCAGUUGGAAAUUAUGAAGGAAAAUAAAACAAAAUGCAGAUUUGAUUCAAUUUAGAGCAACAUCCACUAAGCACUGGGGUGAUAGUGCUAGGACCCACACUUUAAAUUUAAUGUCAUUAUUAUGGAUCCAUUGUUGACUUUUGUUUCUUUUUUUUUUUCCUACCAUUUCAUACAGAAAUAAAAAACAGUCAUAUAAUCUAUCUUGGCUAUUUCUCAAAACGUAAAGUUCUUACUUGCCCUUUGAAAGAACAAGCAAGCCAAAUCUCCAUAUAAAAGUCUAUAAAUAAAUUUGAUUCCAAUGAAGAAAAGUUCUGAAGGGUUAAAAAAGAAAAAUAUAAAAUUAUCUACAAAAACAGAUACACUAUUUGAAGGAAAUUUUCAUAUUUUUAGUCAAUAGGAAUCGAACUCGGUACCAAGUGGUUUAUAACAGUCAAUAGCGUGCAUGACAUAUCAAUGAGUUUUUCAUCAGAGCAUAAUUUUUAGCUAUGAAGAAUAUUACAAUAACAUGAAAACAUUUUGACUGCAACGAUACCUUGCUUAUGUGAUACUCUAUUAUCAUAGGCAUAAAAGAAUUAACUUCGAAAAAUUUUCUUAAAUUUCAUUAAACUGGCUUUCAUGUAUUUGGCCUUUAGGAAACAUAAUUAAAUUUGGUAUUAACCCUACACAAGAGAAGUGUAACCAUAUAUAUUUGUUGAGUUUUACAAGUUAAUGUAUGUGUUUAAAUGAAUGUUAAUUGGACGGAAAUACAGCGCACGAGUAUCAUGUAUAAUUAAGUACAACAUUGGUUCUCAAAUUUUGCUUGCAAUCUGGAAUUUUUACCAGAUAAUUGAAGCGAAAAAUAAAGUAAAAGAACAGAAUAAUAUGCACAAAAAAGUACUGUUUUUUUUACUUCAAUUAAAAAUUAAUUAUAAUGUGCAAAAAACUUAAAUCAGUUUAGAGAGGGGAAAUUAGAGAGGUUGGUAUGGUAACAUAGAAAGCGUAAAACUAGACCUAAUCAUGUUAAUUAAAUAAAAAAUUAAAUAAAAAAUCUUCUGCUGCUUAAGUAAAAAAUUAAGCAAGACUGGAGUAUCAUAUAAAACCCAAAACAAGAACAUUGUAUGACCAAUGUUUCUACUUUCCUUGUACUAGACAAGUCCAAUGAACUUUGUUUAUUGUUUUUGGUAAGACUUGCUGAACUUUGUUGAUUUCAUGAUGAUUAUGAUUGGCAUCUGGCAAAUAAGACUUCUGAUUUUAACUAGUUGCAAAGCUUCAUACUCAUUCUGAUAGAUUGUUUCCUGAAAUUUGUUUCUGGUCUGAUAGCUAUCCGUCAAUAUUUACCUCCAACCUGGGAACGAAUCUACCACAUUGUCUUUAAUUUGAAAGAGCUAUGCUAAUUGAACUAUUGUGAAGAAUAAAUAUAUAAAGGCAUAAUAAGGCUCUAAGAAAGAUUCUGAAGUCUGCCUCCUAUCCACAAGCUACUACAACUCACAGCAGAAGUGUCACUAUUUACAUCACUGCAUUACCUUUUUGAUUGAUUUUAAUAUUACAACAGACGACUGAGAUGAUUUAAGUUAGCAUAGCUCUCAAGAUGAGAAAAACCACAAAAAUUGUGCAUAACCAUGUAUUCUUUGGUACAAUCGUUCAAUUAAUAAGUAUUUCAGAGAUUUGAGAGAUUGAGAAUUCUAUUAACUUUGUUUUAUGUCAGAUCCUAAUUAUUGUCAUGAAUUAUUCAUAGCAAGUUCAUUUACUGAACAGAUAAGAAACAAGAAUUUGAAAUAAAAUAAGGAUGAGUUCUUAAAUAUAUUUGGUAAAAACUAAAUUGUGAAGGUAAUCAAUAUUAUAAAUCCUUAAGAUGAAGUCCUUUCUUAAGGAUCAUUCAUGUGUGCUGAUGAUAAUGAACUCAAGUUGGCUGAGACUUCAUCUGUUGCUUUUUUUUUCGGACAACUGUUGCACCGGACUAUUCAUUACUCCUCAAGUCCUCUGUGGUGUGUUUGUGUUGCUUAGUGGGUGGUUACAUAUAUGGUAUAUAUUUCUCUACCCCCUUCCAUUUACUAUAUUUUGCUACCCCAAGUUAUUCACAUCAUUGAUAAUUUGUGCCUUGUUUAUUGAAUUCUUUGUGUGGUUACAUUUCUGUUGACAAGUGAAUUUUAUAAAUGACAAAAAUCACGUAGUCACUGAUUUUAGCUUCCAUAAGGCAAUAAUUUGAUCAAGUAUGAAUUCAAAAAAGCAUUUAUCCCUUUUAAAUAAAUAAUGUAUGUACACUGUUUGGAAUAACCAAGACACAAAAUGUCUGAUUAUAAGCUCACUAACAAAAAACUACACUAGAGAAAUGGGAAAGAGAUUAAUAUAAAGAAUCACUUAUGUUAGCAACAUUAGUACUAGUAGAUAUUGUAAAAUCAAGGACAACCUCCUAAGGCUUAGGAGAAGCUAUAUAUAACUCUUUCAACAUCUGUUAUUAGUUGGAAUUAAGUUCGGCUCAUGUGUUGGAUCACCGCUGUCAACAUCCUCUCGUUUCAUGCCAACCAUAUCAAUUUUUCUCAUUAUUUGUGAUUUCCAUUGCUUCAUUUGAUGGACUAAUAGAUUUUUCACUGCUUUCUUUGGAGAUUGAUUUUUCAGGCCAAAAUACAUUCAAUCCAUUACCUGUAUGUAUGACCAAAAUACAUUCAAUUCCUUUAUCAAAUCUUACCAUACAUCUAAAUAUGUUUGGUGAAAAAAAUGAUGUGUGAAGGUAAUUAGUAUUAUAAAGUCCUGAAGCAUGCAAUAAAAAGAAAGCCGACUGAAGUUUCUAUAUGUUAAAAUCAAACUGAAAGUUUCUAUAUGUGUGUUAAAAUCAAUCAAUUUGAUAAGGCAGAAAAUGCAUAUUAAAGUAUUCGCUAAGAUAUGAACUAUGUUUACCUGGAAACCAACGAUAACCAGUAAAGAGAUAUCAGUUAAAGGAAAUUGAAAUCUUCAGCAGCAAACAUCACUCCUAAAAUAUGCUCAACAACGUCGCCAAUUCUGGCUAUUGGUGUUUCCCCUGAUCGAACUUGAAACUCCAACUUUCCAUAAAUAUUUCAUACAUGAAGGGACUAUUUCAUAAAUGAAGGAUCAUAACCUGCAUAUUUUCAUGAACACGUGAAAUUAAAUUGAAAUCUAGUAGUAUAUGGAGUUGAACAUCUUAAUACUAUAGGAAUUGAAGAUCUAUACCAUAUCAAUACUAUGAAGGAUCAUAAGGAAGUGGAGACGCCAUAACGAUAAUCUGACCCAUUAGGUUGACAUCUUUAAUUGAUUUCGUCUCAGACAAAAAUCACAAGUUUCACAUAAAUGAAUUCAAAGAUGUCUUCUUCAUUCCAAUAAACAAUUUUUGGAAUAUGUGGUAUCCUGUCACAUUCCUCUCCUGCUCUCUCCUUACACUCCUUUAAUUUUAGGCAACCACGGAUACUCAUAAACUCAAGUGAAGUGAGGUGUCAAAUACCUUCUGGAAAGGAUCUCAAUCCUCGCAUUCAACAAUAUCCAUAGUUCAAAGAGAAAUAAAUGGCUCCUGUUCAGUUUCACAGGAGAUGCUCUCUGUAAGUGAUAUGACUAAUGCUAAUCUACUAAAAUAUAUGGAGUUAAAAGAUGCAAAAUUCACUUUGUUAUCAAAUAAAACAUUUGAUUUCUCAUUCAUAUCAUCCGAAAUUAUCACCUCUUAUAGUUUCUGUGGUUCAGCUGAAGCAUCCUCUUGCUUUCAGGAAAAGCAGUGGUCCGACACAAAUAUGGUUGGGAUUCAGCAGCAUUCCACAACAUAUCUGACACAAACAUAAUGAAAUAACAUGAGUGACUCGACUAGAAUCAUGAAUUACAAUGUCACCUUCCUAAUAAAGAGCUGUAUACACACCUGCAGAUUUUCUGUCUUUGGUUGGUAACAAUGACAGACACAUGGCAUCAUUUCUCACAAUAUUUACCAACACACGAGAAUUAUAAUAUGCAUUGGUUGUGACAAAAUGCUCUAGAUUGUUAUUGAUGUCGAUGAUAGUUUUACCCGGAGUAUUAUACACAUGUUGAUCUUGGCUUCCCUCACUCAAAAGAUGUUUUAACAACUAUGUAACAAGUGGUUCCUGCACAUAGAAAUUAAACUAAGACAAUAAUAUUGUUAUAAUGAUGUAAAAGAGACAAAGAAGCUUUAAAAAAUUGUUCCGACUAGAAAUUACACUCAGCCAUCAAAUUGAAACAUGCAAUUAUAGAUUUCAAUACCACAAAUAAAAAAAGGGAUAUUCAGAAACGUCAAAUAAGGAAACCAUAGUCAAGAGACAUGAGAGGCAUAUCCUGCAAAUAGAGUACCAAGAGAUUGUUAUGAAACACAGUCAAAAGAAAUAAAGAUGGAGGCAGAAACACCAACAUCUCUGUUUUUUGAUUCCUGUUGAAAUCAGUAGCAGAAACAUCACCUGCCAAAGAGUGAGCCAAACAAUAUAUAUUAUUCAAAUAAACAAUCUAAAACAAAUAAAUAAGAAUGACCAAUAAAAACUUAAGAAUAAAAAUCGAGAAAACCUUGACACCGAUCAGACUUUGCUAAUGGGUACGGAGCUCUGACCCAUUGUCACUUCCUCCACUCCAAAAGACUGCGUCUUCGUCAUUGGGUAUGUUUGUUCCAUUAAUCCCGUUAUUUGUCUUGUGUGUCGACGCCAAUCCUAACCAUUCAAUUAAAUCCCCACAAAAUCAGUAAAAUUAAAAAAAAAAAUCCAAAAUUCAAAUUAAAAAAAAUUAAACUAUGAUGAAGAAAAUGACCUGAAUUAGAACAUUUGUAACUUUAGUUGAGCAGUGAAAUAUCUUUCAUGUAGUCUGGAUCUCUUCCUGCGGAAUGGGUUCCAAAUAAGUCAACAACGAGAAUAAAAAUAAAGAUUUUUGAGCAGUUGAAAUCCAAACAUAAGAAGGGGAAAUUGAGAUCUUACCAGUAAAAUUGAUUUUUGCGAUGUUGAUUGUGGCAGAUAAGGGUAAACGUCUCUGCUUCUUAAUCCUCGGUAAACUGUAUUUUUGGAAUAUGAGCUAUCUUGUCCCAAUCCUCCCAUGUUCCCUCUUUGCAUCGUUCCUCUAAUGUUGGGCAUUCCCAAAUUGUCAGAACCUCAAGAGAAGUGAGGUGUCGAAUACCCUCCGGCAAGCAUCGCAAUCCUUUACAGCUAUAAAUCUGUAGAUUUCGAAGGGAAGUGAGGUGUCGAAUACCCUCCGGCAAGCAUCUCAAUCCUCUACAACUCGAAAUGUGUAGAGCUCGAAGGGAUUGAAGACCUUCCCAAUUUUGCUCUGGUAAGGACUCCAAUUGUGGGAACCAAUCUACUUCCAGAUAUUGAAGACAAGUAAGGUUUUUGAACAUCCCCUCUGGGAAGGAUGUUAUUCCUUCACCCUCCAUUAGGGUAAGCUGAGUAAGACCACGGAAGGUAGAGAUUGACCUCAGUAACUCAUUGUUACAUCCAUCCACAUAGAGGCCUUCAAGAGAUGGAAGAGAUGGCAGUCCAAGUUUAUGGCAAUAUGAGAUUUCCAAGUAAGAAAGACAAGGAAACAUCUCCCCUCUUUCCACUUUCAAUAACCCCUCUAUGUUUCGUAGGUAUCGUAAAUGGAGAUCCAUCAGAGAUCGGAAAACCAUCACCUCCACACCAUCCUGAGAUUCAUCAUCAUCCAAGUAUUUCAGAUUAUCCAUAUAAGAUAAUUCCAGUUUUUUUAGAGAUGGUAGUUUACCAAGUAACGGAAGCCGCACAAUUUUGUUGCAAUUCCGAAGUUCAAGAGAAAUUAAAUUACUAAGAAGGCUUAUCCAACUUGGUAACGAUAACCCUUCAUUGUAAUUUAUUGUCAAGCAUUUGAGAUUUGAGUGAGGUUGAAGCUCUUCAAGUACUUGCUCAGCACUAAUUAUAGAUUCCUGUUGGGAUAUCCAUGACAAGCAUAAUUCAUGAAGGUCUUUUUUACCCAUCAAAUUAGCCGCUUCAGCUUCAGAUAACCUGCCAACAUUGUUUAAUCCUUGGAUAUGCAGUUUUCCACCGAGGUUUAGAUCACGUAACUCUGUCAAGCUAUUCCCUUUCUCUACACUAACAAUGUACACACUUAAUGUUCUUAGACAAGUUAAUUUUCCAAUGUUAGGAAACAUUUGAGACAAAGACCGACAUUCUUCAAUGACUAUAUGCCUAAGAUUUUG
RNAcentral lists this long non-coding RNA (630484 nucleotides) under Medicago truncatula (barrel medic). Lineage: Eukaryota; Viridiplantae; Streptophyta; Magnoliopsida; Fabales; Fabaceae. The record is from RNAcentral.